Molecule: long non-coding RNA, 409514 nt
Filed under: Triticum aestivum (bread wheat)
Lineage: Eukaryota; Viridiplantae; Streptophyta; Magnoliopsida; Poales; Poaceae
Description: long non-coding RNA (TAES_LNC027714)
Rfam family: MIR1120/MIR1122 microRNA precursor family (bases 252411-252545)
Source: RNAcentral
UAGAUCACAAUCACAACACAAAACCAAGAGCGACCACCUGAGUUGGAUGACCAUGGCAAAGUAUGCACGUAUGUUUUUCAUCCUUAUGGUCCUUGUUCUACGCGCCAGCUUCCAAGCCCAAGGUAUGAAACGCACCUCUGCUCACUAAAUUUAAGUAUACUGCACAAAAUAGUUACAGAAAGCGACUCGUUUGGCGACCUCAGCGCCUGGGCUCCCGCCGUCGAUCUCGUCGGAUCCCCUCGCUUCCGUCGCCCUCGUCGGCGUCAUGAGGUGAGGGGGCCCAGAUCCACGGGUGGGCUGUGUAUAUAGCGUAGUUUGGUGGCUCUGUAGCUAGGCUUUUGCUGUGGGGUGGGCUCCUCGGCAUCGCGCUUGGCUCCGGCAGAGACGCCCGCGAAUUGUUGUGCUUCGGGUGCUGCGUUGUCUGGUCGGCCUCGUCCAUGGCGGCGGUUUCAGGUCAGCUGCUUGUGUGUGCUCCGAAUCGAGCGCUUGAUCUGGUUGGGCGCUCGCCGGCGUCGUCCUUGGCUCUGGCUUGGUAGGCGAUGGAGGAGCUGCACACGAGUAUGUCUUCGUCGUGGCGCUGCUCCGGCCCGUGGGCUCCGUCGUCGGUGGCGGCCGCAGCUCAGAUGCGUUUUGCGGGGACGGCGUUUGGUUGGAGGCUGCGUCUCGUCGGUGUUUUGUUCUUCCGGGGCUCGAUCCACCUCGAGCUCGUCUUCUGGGACGGGAUCGAUGGGCCAUCGGCGUAGAUUCCAAAAAUUACACGAUACUGAAACAAAUAUAACAAUCAUCCGUUGCAUGAUGAUAUAUUUAGUGAAUAUGCUCUCACAGGAAACAAAAUGAAAUUUUAUUGUCUAUCUUUUUUAUGGAUGAUCUCAUAGAAUUGUCAAUAAAGUUUUUUCAUAAUCAUAAAUAAAUACUUAUAUGCAGGACAACUAGGACCGACGGAGCCAUACAACUUCACAUAGUACAUCCCAAGAAACCAUGUGUUCAAGCACCAAGCUGUUGCUAUCAGAUAAACUGCAAUGAUCCUGGAAAACCACUUGGUACUUGUAUUGAAUGUGCGAUCUCCUGUAAUUGUGAUAAUAGUUGCAAGUGAUCAAGUGUUUUUCCCUUUAAAAACUGGAGCAAUUUGAUAGAAUGACACACUUUUCCUUGUACUUUGACUCAAUAGCACACAUUUCUUUUUAUUGGAUUAAAUGACACAUCUUUGAUUCAGGGAUAGAUAAAAUGGCACAAACUAACUUUUUAGCUCAAUUUUUAGGUCUGGACCCGCACGUAAUAUUUUGUAGGAUGAUUUUGCCCUUCGGUCGGUUUGACCUAUUUACUGGUUUGAUUCAGCCCGGUCACCUUCGAUCUGUUUCGAUCGAAACAGAUACAGACCAGGCAGGAAGACACAAAGGUGUGUUUGGUAGCAUGUAUGGACCUAGCCUAGUUGUUCUCUUCUCAUACAUGUUGAGUGUAGACAUGCUGAGUCUAUGCAAUUGCUGUUGUUUGGCAGCGAUGUAUGCGUUGAGACAUGCUGAGCUGAGACUUUGUUUGGCAGCCUGCAUGUGUUUAGACAUGUUGAACAAUUUCAAAUUCUAUUUUUUUUGAAUGAUGAACAAAAUCGAAAAAAUAUGAACACAAAUUUAAACAUAUUUUGAAAAUUUACAUUUUUUGAAAUUCUUUUUCUUGAAAAACUAAAAUAAAUUUUGAAAUUCUGAACUUUUUUUAAAAUUUGAGCAUAUUUGAAAUUCCAAGCUUUUUUAAAAAAUUUAAACAAAAUCUGAAAUUUUGAAUAUUUUAUAAAAAUUUAAAUAAAUUUGAAAUUAUGGUUUUUUUCAAAAUUCAAACAAUUUUUUAUUUUAUUUUGAAAUUCCAAACAUUGUUGAUUUUUUAAAAAAUAUUGAAAUUAUGAACAUUUUUGAAAAUUUAAACAAUUUUGAAAUCCUAUUUUUUUCAAAAAUUUAAAGAAAUUUCGAAAUUCUAAACUUUUCGAAAAUUUAAAAAAUAAAUAAAAUUCUGAACAUUUUUUGAAAAUAUAAACAUAUUUGAACAUGGUCUGGUGGGUGGGGACGAGUGUGAGUGCCAGUAUAGCUGCCUUCAUGCACCCUGUCUGGGGUGCAUGAGAUGAGCAUAGCUAAGGGCCCUUUUAUGCAUCAGAUGAGCAUAGCCCAUGUGAGCUCAUGCACCCUACCAAACAAGUAAAAGUGGGUCGGAUUGGGAACUUUUACCCUCGUGCACCCUCCAUGCAUCCUACCAAACACACUCAAAAGCGCCGCCGCCUCGCUCUCCUCGCCGUGCCCCGGUGCACUGCCCGUCCCACCGCCGACGCAUGGAAGUGUGCCUCCUCCCAGCGCUUCGCCUGUCUGCCCCGUCUCGCCGCGCUCCGGCCGCUCGCUCGCCGACCGGAGAGAAAAGGCGACCCCCUUUCUCAAACCAUCAGUUAGCCCAGGAACUGAGACGCGGCAGUUAACGUAUGGAUAGCCAGCCAAUCUGAUUUUUGAUUACAUCCAUAUGAACAAGCAUCUGUAGUCCAUAUGUCUUGUUGACAGAAGCUAUAGCUAAAUCCAUCAAUCCAUAUGAUUUUCAGCUACAAUCGUUUUUUUUAGGACAAAAUUUGGCGUUGGCAAGAUUUGAACUCAAGCUGCAGUCCUUUUUUAGCUCAACCCAUAUAAGGUCUUGUACAAUGUAAGGUGCUUAGAAGAGGUGCUUAGAAAAAUAAACCAGACUUUCCUUAAGCACCGUUGCUUAUUUGUACAAGAUAGACACUUAACUAAGCGUCUCUCCUGUAGAAAUAGGCACCGGUGCUUCAAAAAAACUCGAUUUAUUUUUGUAAGCACCUCCCUAAGCAUCUUUCAUUGUACAAGGCCUAAGGAAGAGAGCACUGCUACAGCCGCAAAUGCUGCUCCAACGCGGCCAACAAUGACAUAUACAUGGACGCGCUGCUGCGCCGUGGACAAUGUGCCGAGCGUCGAACGGAGGUUAGAGCUGCAGCUGCGAGGCGCUUGAAGGGGCGGUGCCUUUUUCUCUUCGACCAGCGAGGGUGCGGCCGGAGCGCGGCGAGUCGUGUCAGACGGGUGGAGCGCUGGGGAGGAGCCAUACUUCGAUGCAACCACGAUGGGACGGGCGGUGUGCCGAGGCGGAUGCACAACGAGGAGAGCGAGGCCGCCGUGCUGUUCUGUCUUGAACCAGUAAACAGCUCAAACCGACCGAGGGGCAAAAUCGUCCUACAAGAUAUUAUCUGCAGGCCCAAUCAAAAAGCAGAGCUAAAAAGUCAGUUUGUGCCAUUUUAUCUAGCCAUGAAUCAAAGGUGUGCCAUUUAAUUCAAUAAAAAGAAAGAUGUGCUAUUGAGUCAAAGCAUGAGGAAAAGUGUGACAUUUUAUCAAAUUGCUCAAAAAACUGUUCUUGUUUUCCCGCAAAAAAAAAACUGUGUUUAGUUAGCUACGAAGAAGCAAGAUGGAUUACAUUGACCCAAAACCAGUCAAGCAAAUCAGGUUAUGUAGCAACCAAAACAAACAUAUUUUAACGACAACUCCGCUCUCUCUCCAAGCUUUGAAUCCGGCGACUCCGCUCCCCCGCGGGCCUCAUGUUCGUUGGGUAGUGCCGUAGUGGUUAGAUUCGCCGGAUCUGCUGCACAAUUCGUUUUUGGCUAUAGUCUAGGUAAGAUUGGGUUUGGCUGACCGUCAUGGCUUCUCCGACGGCGAUAGCGGUGGCCAUCAAUAAGGGUGCCUCAGAUCUAUCCCUCACACUUUGAUCUUCGGAGCAGUGGGUGACAGAUCUAGGGGCUACGGUCUGCUCGCGGGUCAUGUGCGGCUGGCGAGAAAUUGGUGGUAGGGCUCGGUCAGCGAGGCGGCGGAUCCGGGGGCUCGGUCGGCGAGGCGGCGGAUCUGGGGGCUCGGUCGGCGAGGCGGCAGCAGAGUCCGAACUCUUGUCCUUUGUCCAUCGGGCAUGUUUCCGUCUUAGCGAUAUCUCCUCCAACACAACUCGAGGGCGUGCAAGGAUGCUUAGGGGUGAAUUGUCCGAUGUUGGCUCCCUCCUCGGAUGGUGGCAGCGCAGGCGACCCCUUGGACAUAGUGGCCUCUUAUAAGGGUUUGUGGAAGACGGUGAGCAGAUCUGAUCCUGUACUUCGACGACAUUGAGCGGAGUCGGCGGAUCUACAAUCCGGCGAGCAUGGGGAUGUUCCCCGUUCGACGUGCUACAGAGGUCCAGCUUUGUCGUUGUAUGGCGAGCUGCUCAAUCGGUUCACAACGCUGCUUCAACUAUGGUGCUUCGGCGGAUCUGGUUUGUGGGGUUGCUUGCUUUUCCUAUCGCCGGCGGUGCUUUAGUGACGACUGUGGUCGGCAACAAGCAAAGAUGACGAUGGAUGCAAGGGUCUCUUAGGACUGAGUUUUGUACUUUGUUUCUUUGGAGGUCUUUUGUGCAAUUGUACGGGGACACAUGCCUUCCUUGGUCCUUUUUAUGAAUUUUGUGUGUACAUGUUCUGUAUGCUAUUUGCAAUAAACACGUAGUUAUUCCUAUAAAAACAUGUCAAGCUUACUCCAAAUUUUAAAUAUGGUAAAAAUAUAGAUUGGAAGAAAGUUGAGAAUUGACAACAAUUUAUAGAAAAGUGUUAUUUGAACGUCGGUUGUAAAGAAAGAUUAUUCGGGAUGGUACGUUUUACACUUCUCUACUAUGAUUCUCUUUUUGAAUGUUGGGAUUGUAAAAGAGUUAUGGGGAUAGAAAAUUUCAACACAUGGGGAUGCUGAUAAUUGAACAUGGGCUCAAAUAUGCAAUUUCACAAGAAUCACAGAAAAUAAAUAAGCACAUGAUUCAUGAGAAAUAGGAUAUUAGAGCAUCUACAGUCUUUUUUUAGGGGUAAAACAACUUUAUUCAUCAAAGUCCACAAAGAGUGGGAUACAACUAUGGUUAUGGGGCUGGCCUAACCAAGUAUGCCGCCCCGUCCCUCUACCAAUAGCAAAUCUAGCUAAGCUAUGUCCUUCCUUAUUGGCUGCAUGACCUAAAGUAAAUUUACAAAGAAAAUCACUUGACCGGGUAAUAAUCUCCCUAACUGUUGAACCAUUCUUUUCCAUGCUGGCUGUUGAUGUCCAAUAUAGCCUGUUUGGAGUCUGACGCAAUGAGCACAUUAUGUAAGUUCAGAUCUUCAGUGAGGGCAAGAGCCUCUCUACAUGCAACAGUCUCCAAGAUUAAUGGAUCGUCCAGACCGGCUAUUACUAGCACGGAGCUUCCCAGAUAGGCUCCAUUGUGAUCCCGACACACAGCCGAUGCCGAGCCUCUCCCGCCCGCUCAGACUCCUGCAUCGACAUGAAUUUUCGCAUAACCCGUCGGCGGGGCCUUUUGGCGUAUGACCGGGCUGGAUGUGCGCCCCCUACAUCCCCUCCUGUGAUGGUGGUAGCUCCGUUCUCGGACAGGACCGCGGUAUGAAUCUUCCUAUGAACAAAUGAGUAGCUCGAGGAGUUUGAAAGAUGUGCUCAUGAAUGGCUUUGUGUCUAGCUGUCUAGAUUGCCCAGAGUGUGACCGCCACCUUGAUGAACUGAUCAUGUGAUAAUGAAUCAAUGAGUGUAAACAGCCACUGUUUUUCCUUGGUCUCAUUAGUAUUCACUAGUUGACUGGCGGAUCUACAGUCAGAUCUCUCAAACCCGCCUCAUACGUCCGGGCGGGCCGCCGGACACUAUUCGGUCACAUUUUUUUGCCCGGACGGGCUCUUUAAACGGGCCUCAAACGCCCGGGCUGACCAGCACCCCGCAUAUCCACUCUAAAUAUGGGGCGGAUAUGGGGGCGCCCGAGCACGCCUGCCACGUCAUUCUGACGGCGGGGCCCCACGCGGAAACACCCGGCUGUCCGACGGACGCCGCGUCCGUCGCAGCGAUGUGAACGCCGCGUGGCGCCCCUCCGGCUCGUCGCCCAAGACCAAAUCCGGCUAUUUAAGUCGGCGGACGUCCCACAACCCUAACCCAUCCCCCUUCCCCUUAUCUGUGCCGCGAGUCCAUGCCAAUCCACCCCCUCUCCGGCUCUGGAGCUCCGCCCACGCUCCGGCACUCCGCCAUGUUCCGAAGCAAGAUCACCUACUACGCCAUGCUGACGCCGAAGCGCUGCUACGAGGUCUAGUAGGAGAUCCGGGCGAGGCAAGCCACGCGUGCCGACCGCAUUGUUGCCAGGCUGCCUCUAGACUCGCUGGAUCCGGAGGAGGACGAGGAGCAGCCGGGGGAAGAGGAGGAGGAGGAGAUGGCUCCGAUGGAGGUGGAGGAGGCAGAGGAGCCGGAGCAGCAGGAGCCAGAGCAGCAGCUGCCGUGCUUCAACAUGGCGCAGGCUGAGGCGGAGGUCGUCGUCGCCCAGGCAGAUGAGAUGGCGGAGCAGCAGGCCAUCCUGAAGUCCAUCCAGGAUGAGGCCUAUGUGGAGGCCAACCGGGCGUUCCUUCGAUGGGAGCAGGCAGAUGAUGACGUGUGCUACGUCUUGAGCUUGCGUUGGGUUUCUUUGAAGAUGAAAGGGUGAUGCAGCACAGUAGCGUAAGUAUUUCCCUCAGUUUUUGAAAACCAAGGUAUUAGUCUAGUAAGAGGCUCCUCAAAAGUCCCACGCACCUACAUAAACAAACAAAAACCUCGCAACCAACGUGAUAAAGGGGUUGUCAAUCCCUUAACGGAAACUUGCGAAAGUGAGAUCUGAUAGAGAUAAUAUGAUAAGAUAAAUAUUUUUGGUAUUUUUCUGAUAUAGAUUGGAAAGUAAAAGAUGCAAAUAAAAGUAGAUGAUAAACUUAUAUGAUAAAAGAUAGACCCGGGGGCCAUAGGUUUCACUAGUGGCUUCUUUCAAGAUAGCAUAAGUAUUACGGUGGGUGAACAAAUUACUGUCGAGCAAUUGAUAGAAACGUGCAUAGUUAUGAGAUUAUCUAGGCAUGAUCAUGCAUAUAGGCAUCACUGUAACACCCCCAGUGUCAUGCUAUAGUAAUCAUCUGUGAUUAAACUAAUCAUUUUCCCAAACAGUGCUUAAUCACCUUUGUUUAAUAUCCCAUUUGAAAUUCCAGUCAAUUCAAAUUCAAGUGAAGUUUGAAGUUGCUCAAAAGUUGCUGGAAUUUUUUUCAUCAAUUGCCAAAAAUUCCAUAACAAAUAUUUGUUAAGGAACACAACAUCACUUUUGUGCAACUAUGAGCAUUAGCAAUUAUAAUAGCACCAAUUCAGCAUUUUUAAAUGCUAUCCUAUUUAUGAAAAAUACCGAAUGAAUUCUUCUGGUCUCCAAAAUAUUUAUGACGCUAUCUAUAAUCACCAGGGUUUUAAUGGGACUCCUCUCGAAGUUUUCCCAAGUGAAAUAGUUGACAAAAUAAUUCCCUUUCUCUCUCUGUUAAUAAAUAAAAGCUAAAACAGAAAGAAGAAAUAGAAAAGGCCUAAACGCUACCGUGGGGCUGGGCCUCCAGUUCUACAGUGCAGCCCAACCCACCGGGGUUGGCCUUUCCCUUACCUCCCGCCAGGUACAGAGAGAGGCCAAAGGCCAUGGCCAGUGCCCGCCCCCCCUCGUCACUGUAGUUCCCCCAGAUGGAUAAGAGGAUCCCCCCUGCUCCUUCUCGCUCCCUCCCCAAACCCUAGAUCCAUUAGCUCCUUUCUCCCCGCUCACCUCCUCGAUCUGGACCCCGCGCCUGAAACCACUAUAGCCGCGCCGUCGACGUUCUCGCAGCCAGCGUCGUCCCCGAGCCCCGCGAGGAUGCCCAAGGGACGCGCGCCGUCGUCCUCGACCUCUUCGUAGCAGGAGCCGCCGCGGAUCAUCGCCGACCCAUCCCCUUCGUCCGUCUUCUUCAACUCCAGCCACUGCGCAUCGCCGUUCGCUUGGCUCCACCCGACCCCUUCCGGCCGUUCCGAGCUCACCACCGACACCCCCUCCCGGUGAGCGACGUCGUCCUCCCUGUUUCCUUGUUGGUUCCAUCGUCGCUCGUCGCCACCACCACCGAGCCAUGCUCCGUGGAGCUCGCGCGUGCCCGCGUAGUCCCGCCGCCGCUGUGCCCGCCAUCGCCUGCAGCCGCGCCGGCACGCCCGACGCCCGCUGUCCCGCACGCUGAUCUGCGCCCUGGCCUCGCCCGCACACACGUGGCCGCCCCCUUCCUUGCCUCCCCUGUCGUUGCGCUGCUGCUGCCUGUUCUUGCUGCUGCUCGCCUACUGCUCUGCUUCUGCUAGUCGUGAUUGCUGCUACCUACCGCCACAGUUGUUCUUGCUGCAACUGCUGCCGCCGGCCCCGCCCUCUGCCCCGCGGCCACUUCCCCAAACUCACCGCGCCUGCGACGCCCACUCGUCGGCCGCGCCCGUGACUCCCGUCACCGUGCUGCCUUGGGCCGCCCGUCCUGGCUGCUUUGCCGCGCCGUCGGCGCCUGGCCACUCCAGCCAGGCCGCUUCUGCUCGAGGCCUCGCCCUGCAUGGCCGCCGGCGCUCCUCUGCGAGCGGCCAUGCGUGCUCCCAGCCGUGGCCAGAGGCCACUGCACGAUUUGGGGCCGGCCUGCCUAAUUGGGGAUUAGCCCCGAUAGCUUUUUGUUUUUAUAUUUGUAUUUAGAUAAGUUAGCUCAAUGGCAGGUGGCCCCCCAUCCCCUAAGUAAAUUAUUUAAAAUCAGUUGAAAGACCCUGUUAAAACAUGUGACACCCACAAGCGGGUCCCACGUGCACUGUUUACUCAUUUGACCAGUCAACAGUCAAUUAUUGACUGUUGACUGGGCAGUAAAUAGGCCCCACUGUCAGCCACACAAUGCCUACUGCCGGGUACACUUCUGGGUGUGCCUAGCCUUUUCCUUUCAAUAAUUUUCGAAUUAAUAAUAAUUUCAGAAUAUUGUUUAAUCUUUGAAUUUUCAUAGAAAAUAAUCCGUAGCUCGGAUGAAAAAGUUUUAUACACAAAAGUAGCUCACAACAACGAGACGAAUCCGAAUACGCGGUCCGUUUGCCCGCCACACGUCUCUAUCAUAGCAAAUGUUGAACAUUUCCCCUCCGAUUCAUUUGUCUGACAAACGUCCGGAACCGGGAAAACUUUCCCGGAUGUUCCCCCCUUCGCCCGUAUUGUGUAGCACUGCGUUAGAACAUCUCUAGCAUCGCUUAUUUGUCUUGUAAUGCAUAUGUUUGCGUGUAUUUAUUGUUUCUUCCCCCUCUUCUCUUUGAUAGACCCCGAGACUGAUGCUGCCCCUGUGACCGACUAUGUCGACCACGACCCUUCUUCCCUUCCAGCGGAGCUUCCAGGCAAGCCCCCCCCUAUUGAUCAUCCCGAUAUCACCCAUUGUUGGAAAUAUGCCCUAGAGGCAAUAAUAAAAGUAUUAUUAUAUUUCCUUGUUCAUGAUAAUUGUCUUUUAUUCAUGCUAUAACUGUAUUAUCCGGAAAUCGUAAUACACGUGUGAAUACAUAGACCACAAUAUGUCCCUAGUGAGCCUCUAGUUGACUAGCUCGUUGUGAUCAACAGAUAGUCAUGAUUUCCUGGCUAUGGACAUUGGAUGUCGUUGAUAACGGGAUCACAUCAUUAGGAGAAUGAUGUGAUGGACAAAACCCAAUCCUAACCAUAGCACAAAGAUCGUGUAGUUCGUUUGCUAGAGCUUUGCCAAUGUCAAGUAUCUCUUCCUUAGACCAUGAGAUCGUGUAACUCCCGGAUACCGUAAGAGUGCUUUGGGUGUACCAAACGUCACAACGUAACUGGGUGAUUAUAAAGGUGCACUACAGGUAUCUCCGAAAGUGUCUGUUGGUUGACACGGAUCGAGACUGGGAUUUGUCACUCCGUGUAAACGGAGAGGUAUCUCUGGGCCCACUCGGUAGGACAUCAUCAUAAUGUGCACAAUGUGACCAAGGGGUUGAUCACGGGAUGAUGUGUUACGGAACGAGUAAAGAGACUUGCCGGUAAUGAGAUUGAACAAGGUAUCGGUAUACCGACGAUCGAAUCUCGGGCAAGUACAAUACCGCUAGACAAAGGGAAUUGUAUACGGGAUCGAUUGAGUCCUUGACAUCGUGGUUCAUCCGAUGAGAUCAUCGUGGAACAUGUGGGAGCCAACAUGGGUAUCCAGAUCCCGCUGUUGGUUAUUGACCGGAGAACGUCUCGGUCAUGUCUACAUGUCUCCCGAACCCGUAGGGUCUACACACUUAAGGUUCGAUGGCGCUAGGGUUAUAAAGGAAGUUUGUAUGUGGUUACCGAAUGUUGUUCGGAGUCCCGGAUGAGAUCCCGGACGUCACGAGGAGUUUCGGAAUGGUCCGGAGGUAAAGAUUUAUAUAUGGAAAGUUGUUGUUCGGGUUCCGGAAAAGGUUCGGGUUUUUUCGGUAUUGUACCGGAAAGCUUCCAGAAGGUUUCGGAGGAUUCCGGAGGGGUCCGGAGGUCCAGAAAUUGUUCCACCACGUCCAAUACAGUAGCAUGGGCUGUAGGGGGGCGCCCUAGCCUUAAUGGGCCAAGGGCACCAGCCCCCNNNNNNNNNNNNNNNNNNNNNNNNNNNNNNNNNNNNNNNNNNNNNNNNNNNNNNNNNNNNNNNNNNNNNNNNNNNNNNNNNNNNNNNNNNNNNNNNNNNNNNNNNNNNNNNNNNNNNNNNNNNNNNNGAGGGCCUCCACUUGACUUGGGAGGCACUCCUCCCCCCUUGGCCGCACCCCUUGGGGUGAGAAACCCUAAAGGGGGCGCAGCCCCCCUUCCCCCUAUAUAUACUUGAGGUUUUGGGGCUGCCAACAUAUGAGAACUUCUCCUCUUGGUGCAGCCCUACCUCUCUCCCUUCUCCUCAUAUCUCGCGGUGCUUGGCGAAGCCCUGCAGGACUACCACGCUCCUCCAUCACCACCACGCCGUUGUGCUGCUGUUGGAUGGAGUCUUCCUCAACCUCUCCCUCUCUCCUUGCUGGAUCAAGGCGUGGGAGACGUCACCGGGCUGUACGUGUGUUGAACGCGGAGGUGCCGUCCGUUUGGCACUAGGAUCUCCGGUGAUUUGGAUCACGACGAGUACGACUCCUUCAACCGCGUUCUCUUGAACGCUUCCGCUUAGCGAUCUACAAGGGUAUGUAGAUGCACUCUCCUUCCCCUCGUUGCUGGUUUCUCCAUAGAUAGAUCUUGGUGACACGUAGGAAAAUUUUGAAUUUCUGCUACGUUCCCCAACAGUGGCAUCAUGAGCUAGGUCUAUUGCGUAGAUUCUUUGCACGAGUAGAACACAAAGUAGUUGUGGGCGUUGAUGUUGUUCAAUAUGCUUACCGUUACUAGUCCAAUCUUGUUUCGACGGUAUUGUGGGAUGAAGCGGCCCGGACCGACCUUACACGUACUCUUACGUGAGACAGGUUCCACCGAUUGACAUGCACUUGGUGCAUAAGGUGGCUAGCGGGUGCCAGUCUCUCCCACUUUAGUCGGAACGGAUUCGAUGAAAAGGGUCCUUAUGAAGGGUAAAUAGCAAUUGGCAUAUCACGUUGUGGUUUUGGUUAGGUAAGAAACGUUCUUGCUAGAAACCCAUAGCAGCCACGUAAAACAUGCUAACAACAAUUAGAGGACGUCUAACUUGUUUUUGCAGGGUAUGCUAUGUGAUGUGAUAUGGCCAAGUAGAAUGUGAUGAAUGAUAUGUGAUGUAUGAGAUUGAUCAUGUUCUUGUAAUAGGAUUCACGACUUGCAUGUCGAUGAGUAUGACAACCGGCAUGAGCCAUAGGAGUUGUCUUAAUUUAUUGUAUGACCUGCGUGUCAUUGAACAACGCCAUGUAACUUACUUUACUUUAUUGCUAAACGCGUUAGCCAUAGAAGUAGAAGUAGUCGUUGGCGUGACAACUUCAUGAAGACACGAUGAUGGAGAUCAUGAUGAUGGAGAUCAUGGUGUCAAGCCGGUGACAAGAUGAUCAUGGAGCCCCGAAGAUGAAGAUCAAUGGAGCUAUAUGAUAUUGGCCAUAUCAUGUCACAACUAUAUAAUUGCAUGUGAUGUUUAUUAUGAUUAUGCAUCUUGUUUACUUAGGACGACGGUAGUAAAUAAGAUGACCCCUUACAAAAUUUCAAGAAGUGUUCUCCCCUAACUGUGCAUCGUUGCUACAGUUCGUCGCUUCUAAGCACCACGUGAUGAUCGGGUGUGAUGGAUUCUUACGUUCACAUACAACGGGUGUAAGACAGUUUUACACAGCGAAAACACUUAGGGUUAACUUGACGAGCCUAGCAUGUACAGACAUGGCCUCGGAACACGGAGACCGAAAGGUCGAGCAUGAGUCAUAUAGUAGAUACGAUCAACAUGAAGAUGUUCACCGAUGAUGACUAGUCCGUCUCACGUGAUGAUCGGACACGGCCUAGUUGACUCGGAUCAUGUAAUCACUUAGAUGACAAGAGGGAUGUCUAUCUGAGUGGGAGUUCAUAAGAUGAACUUAAUUAUCUGAACAUAGUCAAAAGGAUUUUGCAAAUUAUGUCGUAGCUCGCGCUUUAGUUCUACUGUUUUAGAUAUGUUCCUAGAGAAAAUAUAGUUGAAAGUUGAAAGUAGCAAUUAUGCGGACAGUAGAUAGCUUAUGUCCUUAUUGCACUGCUCAGUGUGACGAACCCCAAACGCCGUUUGUGGAUGUUGCGAACAUCAGACACACACGUUUUGAUAACUACGUGAUAGUUCAGUUAAACGGUUUAGAGUUGAGGCACUAAAGACGUUUUCGAAACAUCGCGGAACAUAUAAGAUGUUUCGAGAGCUGAAAUUGGGAUUUCAGGCUCGUGCCCACGACAAGAGGUAUGAGACCUCCGACGAUUUUCUAAGCCUGCAAACUAAGGGAGAAAAGCUCAAUCGUUGAGCUUGUGCUUAGAUUGUCUGAGUGCGACAAUCACUUGAAUUGAGUGGGAGUUGAUCUUCCAGAUGAGAUAGUAAUGUUUCUCCAAAGUCAUUGCCACCAAGUUGCUAGAGCUUCGUGAUGAACUAUAACAUAUCAGGGAUAGAUAUGAUGAUCCUUGAUGUAUUCGUGAUGUUUGACACCGCGAAAGUAGAAAUCAAGAAGGAGCAUCAAUUGUUGAUGGUUGGUGAAACCACUAGUUUCAAGAAGGGCAAGGGCAAGAAGGGAUACUUCAUGAAACGGAAAUUCAGCUGCUGCUCUAGUGAAGAAACCCAAGGUUGAACCCAAACCCGAGACUAAGUGCUUCUGUAAUAAAGGGAACAGCCACUGGAGCAGAAUUACCCUAGAUACUUGGUAGAUGAGAAGGCUGGCAAGGUCGAUAGAAGUAUAUUGGAUAUACAUUGUGUUGAUGUGUACUUUACUAGUACUCCUAGUAGCACCAGGGUAUUAGAUACUGGUUCGGUUGCUAAGUGUUAGUAACUCGAAAUAAAAGCUACGGAAUAAACGGAGACUAGCUAAAGGUGAGCUGACGAUAUGUGUUGGAAAUGUUUACAAUGUUGAUAUGAUCAAGCAUCGCACGCUCCCUCUACCAUCGAGAUUGGUGUUAAAACCUGAAUAAUUGUUAUUUGGUGUUUGCGUUGAGCAUAGACAUGAUUGGAUUAUGACUAUCGCAAUACGGUUAUUCAUUUAAAGAGAAUAAUGGUUACUCGAUUUAUUUGAAUAAUACCUUCAAUGGUCUUGCACCUAAAAUGAAUGGUUCAUUGAAAUCUCGAUCGUAGUGAUACACAUGUUCAUGCCAAAAGAUAGUAAUGAUAGUACCACCUACUUGUGGCACUGCCACGUAAGUCAUAUCGGUAUAAAAUGCAUGAAGAAGCUCCAUGUUGAUGGAUCUUUGGACUCACUCUUUUUUGAAAAGUUUGAGACAUGCGAACCAUGUCUAUUGCUGUAUAUGCAUGAAGAAACUCCAUGCAAAUGGACCGUUUGAACUCACUUGAUUUUGAAUCACUUGAGACAUGCAAAUCAUACCACAUGGGCAAGAUGACUGAAAAGCCUCGGUUUCAGUAAGAUGGAACAAGAUAGCAACUUGUUGGAAGUAACACAUUUUGAUGUGUGCAGUCCAAUGAGUGCUGAGGCAUGCAGUGAAUAUCGUUAUGUUCUUACUUCACAGAUGAUUCGAGUAGAUGUUGAGAAUAUUUACUUGAUGAAACGCAAGUCUGAAUUAUUGAAUGGUUCAAGUAAUUUUAGAGUGAAGUAGAAGAUCAUUGUGACAAGAGGAUAAAAUGUCUAUGAUAUGAUCAUAGAGAUGAAUAUCUGAGUUACGAGUUUUGGCACACAAUUAAGACAUUGUGGAAAUUGUUUCGCAAUUAAUACCGCCUGGAACACCAUAGUGUGAUGGUAUGUCCGAACAUCAUAGUUGCACCCUAUUGGAUAUGGUGCGUACCAUGAUGUCUCUUAUCGAAUUACCACUAUUGUUCAUGGGUUAGGCAUUAGAGACAACCACAUUCACUUUAAAUAGGGCACCACGUAAUUCCGUUGAGAUGACACCGUAUGAAUUAUGGUUUAGAGAAACCUAAGUUGUCGUUUCUUAAAGGUUUGGGGCUGCGAUGCUUAUGUGAAAAAGUUUCAGGAUUGAUAAGCUCGAACCCAAAGCGGAUAAAAUGCAUCUUCAUAGGACACCCAAAACAGUUGGGUAUACCUCCUAGUUCAGAUCCGAAAGCAAUAUGGAUUGUUUCUUGAAUCGGGUCCUUUCUCGAGGAAAGGUUUCUCUCGAAAGAGUUGAGUGGGAGGAUGGUGGAGACUUGAUAUGGUUAUUGAACCAUCACUUCAACCAGUGUGUAUCAGGGCACAGGAAGUUGUUCAUGUGGCACCUACACCAAUUGAAGUAGAAGCUUAUGAUAGUGAUCAUGAAGUUUCGGAUCAAGUCACUGCCGUACCUCGUAGGGUGACAAGGAUACGUACUACUUCAGAGUGGUACAGUAAUCCUGUCUUGAAGGUCAUGUUGCUAGACAAUAAUGAACCUACGAGCUAUGGAGAAGCGAUGGUGGGCCCAAAUUCCGACAAAUGGUUAAGAAACCAUGAAAUCCGAGAUAGGAUCCAUGUAUCAGAACAAAGCAUGGACUUUGGCGGACUUGCCAAUGAUCGGCAAGCCAUUUGAUAAAUGGAUCUUUUAAGAAGAAGACGGACGUGGAUGGUAAUGUCACCAUCCAUGAAGCUCGACUUGUGGCGAAGAGUUUUUCACAAGUUCAAGGAGUUGACUACGAUGAGAUUUUCUCAUCCGUAGCGAUGCUUAAAGUCCAUCGGAAUCACAUUAGCACAAGCUGCGUUUAUGAAAUCUGGCAGAUGGAUGUCAAAACGAGUUUCCUUACCAGUCGUAAGGAAAGGUUGUAUGCGAUACAAUCAGAAAGGUUUUGUCGAUCCUAAGGAUGCUAAAAGGUAUGCUGGCUCCAGCGAUCCUUCUAAGGACUGGAGUAAGCAUCUUGGAGUUGGAAUGUGCGCUUUGAUGAGAUGAUCAAAGAUUUUGGGUUUAUACAAAGUUUAUGAGAAACUUGUAUUUCCAAAGAAGUGAGUGGGAGCACUAUAGAAUUUCUGAUGAGUAUAUGUUGUUGACAUAUUGUUGAUCAGAAAUGACGUAGAAUUUCUGGAAAGCAUAUAGGGUUAUUUUGAAAGUGUUUUUCAAUGGAAAGCCUGGAUUAAGGUACUUGAGCAUUGAGCAUCAAGAUCUAUAAGGAUAGAUCAAAACACUUAAUGGUACUUUCAAAUGAGCACAUACCUUGACAUGAUCUUGAAGGUGUUCAAGAUGGACCAGUCAAACAAGGAGUUCUUGCCUGAAUUGUAAGGUACGAAGUUAAGACUUGAAAGCUCGACCACGGCAGAAUAGAGAGAAAGGACGAGGGUCGUCCCCUAUGCUUAAGACGUAGGCUCUUCAGUAUGCUAUGCUGUGUACCGCACCUGAAGUGUGCCUUGCCAUGAGUCAGUCAAGGGGUACAAGAGUGAUCCAUGAAUGGAUCACAGGACAGCGGUCAAAGUUAUCCUUAGUAACUAGUGGACUAAGGAAUUUUCCCGAUUAUGGAGGUGGUAAAAGAGUUCGUCGUAAAGGGUUACGUCGAUGCAAGCUUAACACCUAUCCGGAUAGCUCUGAGUAGAGAUACGGGAUACGUAUAAUGGAGCAACAAUUUAGAAUAGCUCCAAGUAGAACAGUUAUUUGGAAUAGCUCCAAAUAGAGCGUGGUAGCUGCAUCUAGGAGAUGACAUAGAGAUUUGUAAAGCACAUACGGAUCUGAUUGUUGCAGACCCGUUGACUAAAACCUCUCUCACAAGCAAAACAUGAUCAAACCCCAGAACCCAUUGAGUCUUAAUCACAUGAUGAUGUGAACUAGUUUAAUGACACUAGUAAACUCUUUGGAUGUUGAUCACAUGGCGAUGUGACCUGUCAGUGUUAAUCACAUGGCGAUGUGAACUAGAUUAUUGACUCUAGUGCAAGUGGGAGACUGUUGGAAAUAUGCCCUAGAGGCAAUAAUAAAAGUAUUAUUAUAUUUCCUUGUUCAUGAUAAUUGUCUUUUAUUCAUGCUAUAACUGUAUUAUCCGGAAAUCGUAAUACACGUGUGAAUACAUAGACCACAAUAUGUCCCUAGUGAGCCUCUAGUUGACUAGCUCGUUGUGAUCAACAGAUAGUCAUGAUUUCCUGGCUAUGGACAUUGGAUGUCGUUGAUAACGGGAUCACAUCAUUAGGAGAAUGAUGUGAUGGACAAGACCCAAUCCUAAGCAUAGCACAAAGAUCGUGUAGUUCGUUUGCUAGAGCUUUGCCAAUGUCAAGUAUCUCUUCCUUAGACCAUGAGAUCGUGUAACUCCCGGAUACCGUAAGAGUGCUUUGGGUGUACCAAACGUCACAAUGUAACUGGGUGAUUAUAAAGGUGCACUACAGGUAUCUCCGAAAGUGUCUAUUGGGUUGACACGGAUCGAGACUGGGAUUUGUCACUCCGUGUAAACGGAGAGGUAUCUCUGGGCCCACUCGGUAGGACAUCAUCAUAAUGUGCACAAUGUGACCAAGGGGUUGAUCACGGGAUGAUGUGUUACGGAACGAGUAAAGAGACUUGCCGGUAACGAGAUUGAACAAGGUAUCGGUAUACCGACGAUCGAAUCUCGGGCAAGUACAAUACCGCUAGACAAAGGGAAUUGUAUACGGGAUCGAUUGAGUCCUUGACAUCGUGGUUCAUCCGAUGAGAUCAUCGUGGAACAUGUGGGAGCCAACAUGGGUAUCCAGAUCCCGCUGUUGGUUAUUGACCGGAGAACGUCUCGGUCAUGUCUACAUGUCUCCCGAACCCGUAGGGUCUACACACUUAAGGUUCGAUGACGCUAGGGUUAUAAAGGAAGUUUGUAUGUGGUUACCGAAUGUUGUUCGGAGUCCCGGAUGAGAUCCCGGACGUCACGAGGAGUUUUGGAAUGGUCCGGAGGUAAAGAUUUAUAUAUGGAAAGUUGUUGUUCGGGUUCCGGAAAAGGUUCGGGUUUUUUCGGUAUUGUACCGGGAAGCUUCCAAAAGGUUCCGGAGGAUUCCGGAGGGGUCCGGAGGUCCGGAAAUUGUUCCACCACGUCCAAUACAGUAGCAUGGGCUGUAGGGGGGCGCCCUAGCCUUAAUGGGCCAAGGGCACCAGCCCCCCAAGGCCCAUGCGCAUGGGAAGGGGGAAACCCUAAGGGGGAGGGCCUCCACUUGACUUGGGAGGCACUCCUCCCCCCUUGGCCGCACCCCUUGGGGUGAGAAACCCUAAAGGGGGCGCAUCCCCCCUUCCCCUAUAUAUACUUGUGGUUUUGGGGCUGCCAACAUAUGAGAACUUCUCCUCUUGGUGCAGCCCUACCUCUCUCCCUUCUCCUCAUAUCUCGCGGUGCUUGGCGAAGCCCUGCAGGACUACCACGCUCCUCCAUCACCACCACGCUGUUGUGCUGCUGUUGGAUGGAGUCUUCCUCAACCUCUCCCUCUCUCCUUGCCGGAUCAAGGCGUGGGAGACGUCACCGGGCUGUACGUGUGUUGAACGCGGAGGUGCUGUCCGUUCGGCACUAGGAUCUCCGGUGAUUUGGAUCACGACCAGUACGACUUCUUCAACCCCGUUCGCUUGAACGCUUCCGCUUAGCGAUCUACAAGGGUAUGUAGAUGCACUCUCCUUCCCCUCGUUGCUGGUUUCUCCAUAGAUAGAUCUUGGUGACACGUAGGAAAAUUUUGAAUUUUCAUAGAAAAUAAUCCGUAGCUCGGAUGAAAAAGUUUUAUACACAAAAGUAGCUCAGAACGACGAGACGAAUCCGAAUACGCGGUCCGUUUGCCCGCCACACGUCUCUAUCAUAGCAAACGUUGAACAUUUCCCCUCCGAUUCAUUUGUCUGACAAACGUCCGGAACCGGGAAAACUUUCCCGGAUGUUCCCCCCUUCGCCCGUAUUGUGUAGCACUGCAUUAGAACAUCUCUAGCAUCGCUUAUUUGUCUUGUAAUGCAUAUGUUUGCGUGUAUUUAUUGUUUCUUCCCCCUCUUCUCUUUGAUAGACCCCGAGACUGAUGCUGCCCCUGUGACCGACUAUGUCGACCACGACCCUUCUUCCCUUCCAGCGGAGCUUCCAGGCAAGCCCCCCCUAUUGAUCAUCCCGAUAUCGCCCAUUCCAUUCUCUCAUGCUUGCAUUAGAUUUUGCUACUGUAAUUGAUUGCUCCUAUUCUGAUGCAUAGCCUGCUUUUGUACCUGCUGUUGUACCUUACCUGCUUAUCCUAAACUGCUUAGCAUAGGUGUGAUCCAUCAAUGACCCCCACUUGUCCUUGUUGCCCUUGCUUCAUCAUCGAUGCCUUGAUCAACGUGAUCGACGACCAGAGCCCGACACCUCACAUCACAUCACGCCCCUUUUGUUGCUCGACUCUGCAGAGCUACUAUCGAGUGCCAAGGGUGAUCCCUCAUAACACACUCCUAAUGAUAAUUCUGUAGGGUAGCUAUUCAGUCGUGGUCAUCGAGGGUGAUUUCCUCUUUCACCAUUCCCGAUACGGCUUUGUCGUUCAACACCUCAAGUGUGAACCUUGAGGGUGGUCCCUCUUACAUUCACCUUGAUGAUUACAUUGAGUGGAAUUAGGGUGAUUCCUCGGGUUUUCCCCUUGAUGUAUGGACACACAGUUACCUUGACUUUACUUGAGACCAUUGUUGAAGUCGGGUCGGCCCUGAGGGGUACCCGCGAGUUGAUGUGAAAGUUGGGCGGGCCCGUUGAGCACCCCGUGAGUUUUCCACGUGGCACGGCCGAGCAAUCUGGGCCCUUGCUGUAAGUCCACGAUACGGGGCGACGGGGUCACCUUAUCGUGAGUCUCUACUCGUUUCUGCGAGCCCCCAAUGCACUAACAGGUUUGGGUAUUUGUUCUGAGUUGGCCUUUGGCCUUUACGCACUAACCACCACGCGAGAAUAGAUAUGGGCCUCGACGUCGCAGUAUCAGUCGAAGCUUUGUUAGACGUCCAGUUCAGCAGUGCGGCAUGAUCGGAUCAUGCUGGCCAUUCGAGGCCGUGCUGGUAUUCACCCUGCGUGCAACGUCCCGGAGUGCUACGGGCGAUGGGCCCAAGACCUCGGAGCGCUUAGGAUGUAGACCGGCGGGGACCUUUCUGCUGAGCCUAGGUAGGGUUGCGACGUGUUGAUCUUCCGAGGCCGGGCAUUGACCCUAGAAAGGUGUGUCCGGCUAGAGUGAUCGAGCGUGUUGGGUAACGUGGUGCACCCCUGCAGGGAAGAUAUAUAUUCGAAUACCAUGUCCACAGUAAUGGACGUUCAGACUUAUAUCCUGAUCUUAUAUAACUAGAAAUGGAUACUUGAGAUAUGUGAUGGAUAUGUGGCUCCGAGAUUGCUUUCUCGCAGAGAGUCGAGGAAGGAUCUCUGGGCAUUGUUGUUACGACAUGCUUGUUAAAUAUUAUAAACUGCUAUUCUUUACUCUUCUACAUGCUGCAAUAUGCUUGGAGCUGCUUGAAGAUGCUAGUCUUUGAUAGGCGAGGCCUUCCCCUCUAUUCUGGCAUUCUACAGUCCAGUCCACAGAUACAAACCUUCCAUUUGAUACCAGUGCAUACUUAGUAUAGAUCUGAUGCUUGCGAGUACUUUGGAUGAGUACUCACGGUUGCUUUGCUACCCCUUUUUCCCCUUCUUCCUUCUUUCUUGUUGAUGCAACCAGAUGGUGGAUCCCUGGAGCCAGAUGCCACCGCCGAUGGAUGCUGCUACGUGAAGACCGCCGACGACCAGGAGUAGUUAGGAGGUCCCAGGCAGGAGGCCUUGCCUCUUCGAUCGUGUUUCUUUUGUGAUAGCCUUCUUAAGGCAUCCUUGUUUAACUUAUGUCUGUACUCAGAUAUUGUUGCUUCCGUUAACUCUUGUGUAUCGAGCUUGUAUUCGAGCCCUCGAGGCCCUGGCUUGUAAUAUGAAGCUUGUAUUAUUUCAUUUUGUGUCUAGAGUUGUGUUGUGAUAUCUUCUCGUGAGUCCCUGAUCUUGAUCGUACACAUUUGUGUGUAUGAUUAGUGUACGAUUGAAUCGGGGGCGUCACAAUCACGUCCAUAACAAGUAGACCGACUCCUGUCUACAUCUAUUACUAUUACUCCACACAUCGACCGACUCCUGCCUGCAUCUAGAGUAUUAAGUUCAUGAAGAACAGAGUAACACAUUAAGAAAGAUGACAUGAUGUAGAGGGAUAAACUCAUGCAAUAUGAUAUAAACCCCAUCUUUUUAUCCUUGAUGGCAAGAAUACAAUACGUGCCUUGCUGCCCCUACUGUCACUGUGAAAGGACACCGCAAGAUUGAACCCAAAGCUAAGCACUUCUCCCAUGGCAAGAAAGAUCAAUCUAGUAGGCCAAACCAAACUGAUAAUUCAAAGAGACUUGCAAAGAUAACCAAUCAUACAUAAAAGAAUUCAGAGGAGAUUCAAAUAUUUCUCAUAGAUAAACUUGAUCAUAAACCCACAAUUCAUCGGAUCUCGACAAACACACCGCAAAAAGAGUUACAUCGAAUAGAUCUCCAAGAAGAGGAAGGAGAACUUUGUAUUGAGAAUCAAAGAGAGAGAGAAGAAGCCAUCCAGCUAAUAACUAUGGACCCGAAGGUCUGUGGUAAACUACUCACAACUCAUCAGAGAGGCCUUGGUGAUGAUGUAGAGGCCCUCCGUGGUGGAUUCCCCCUCUGGCGGAGCGCCGACGACGGCUCCAAGAUGGGAUCUCAUGGAUACAGAAGGUUGCGGUGGUGGUAUAUAUAGGAGGAAGAAGUACAUCGGUGGACGAUCGAGGGGCCCACGAGGGUGGGGGGCGCGCCGGGCACCCUCGUGGCCGCCUCGUUUGUUGCUUGAUGUCCACUCCAAGUCCCCCGGUUGGCAUUUGUUCCAAAAAGAUCGUUCCUGAAGGUUUCAUUCCGUUUGGACUCCGUUUGAUAUUUCUUUUCUUCGAUAUACUGAAAUAGGCAAAAAAAACAUCAAUUCGGGUUGGGCAUCCGGUUAGUAGGUUAGUCCCAAAAAUGAUAUAAAAGUGUAAAGUAAAGCCCAUAAACAUCCAAAACAGGUAAUAUAAUAGCAUGGAACAAUAAAAAAUUAUAGAUACGUUGGAGACGUAUCAAGCAUCCCCAAGCUUAAUUCCUGCUCGUCCUCGAGUAGGUAAAUGAUCAAAACAGAAUUUUUGAUGUGGAAUGCUACCUAGCAGAAUUCUCAAUGUAAUUUUCUUUAUUGUGGCAUGAAUGUUCAGAUCCAAAUGAUUCAAAAUAAAAGUUCAUAUUGACAUGAUAAACAAUAAUACUUCAAGCAUACUAACAAAGUAAUCAUGUCUUCUCAAAAUAUCAUGGCUAAAGAAUGCUAUCCCUACAAUAUCAUAUAGUCUGGCUAUGCUCUAUCUUCAUCACACAAAGUAUUUAAUCAUGCACAACCCCGAUGACAAGCCAAGAAAUUGUUUCAUACUUUCACUACAAAAAAAAGACACAUCCGAGACAUUUUGGGCUGAAUGAAUUUUUUUCUAUCAUAAAUAUGACACUUCUAUGACGAUAAUUGUGACAAAACCUGGUAUCAUCAUAGAUGUGGUGGGCUCCUACUUCUAUGACAAAAAAUCAUGACAGAAAAUGGGCUUCUCGUCCUGGGCGGGCCGGAGACGCAGCUGCAUGACAUUCUUUAGGCCGUCCAUGACGGAAAACACCGUGGUAGAAGCGAGGGCGAGGAAAAUUUCAGGGGGUUCCCGGUUACGGUGGGUGGUCGGGGGCCGAGCGAUGCGCGUUUCUCUCGUACACGUACGCACGUAUGUGUGAGGCGUUGGCUCUAAAUGAACCCGAGCGAGGCGUUGGGCUCUAACUGAACCCGAGCAAUUGCACUGCAGGCUACGCGUUACUGAACCCGAGCGAUCGAUCGAUGGCUGCUAAUUGAACCCGAUCGAGCGAUUCCUUCGCUACUGCUGCUAACUGAAGCCGAUCGAUGCUGCCUCUCUAGAUGAACAGUGAGCAUUGUGGGGGGGAGGAGGGUUUGGAUGAACAGUGAGCGGUGGGAGUGGAUGAACAGGACCCGUGGCGUUGCCUCUGGAUGAACAGGACCCCGAUCAAUCGAGCCGGUUGGGGCUGGAUGAACAGGACCCCGUGGAGGGCUGGAUAAACAGGACGACCCCAUGGAGGGCUGGAUGAACAGUAGACGGUGGAGGGGUGGACGAACAGUAGCCCGUGGAGGGGUGGUUGAACAGGAGCCCAUGGAGAGGGGUGGUUGAACAGUAGCCGGUGGAGUAGCGCGCGGUGGAAGUUGGAUAAACAGGAGCCCGUGGAUGAACAGUUGCAGGUGAAGGCUGGAGGAGGUCGACGGUGGAUGAACAGUAGCUCGUGGAGGCUGGAGGAGGUCGACGGUGGAGAUGAACAGUAUCCCGUGGAGUCCAGUUUUGCGGUACGCCACACCCCUCCCGAUGAACAGGACCCCCGUUUCGACCGUAGCGCUCCAACACAAGUCCGUUUCGUCCGUUUUGCGGUACGCCACACCCCUCCCGAUCAAUAGGACCCCCGUUUCGACCGUAGGAGGUCCGUUUCCUCCAUUUUGCGGUACGCCAGACCCCUCCCGAUGAACAGGAUCCCGUUUCGAACGUGGCCGAUAGAACACGAGGCCGUUUCCUCCGUUCUACAGUACGCCAGGCCUUGUUUCCAUCUCCUGUUCCGUCCAAGCCCUGCCGAUAAACAUGACGACGCAUUCCGUUCCGACCCAGCCGGUUGGCUCCCAUGAACAUGACGACGAUGAUUAUGUUUCUCCGUUCCGACCUAGCCAUGUACACGAGCCCUGGCCGUACGUAUGCACGAGUAGGUGUUCGAGACCCCGCCCGUAUGUACGUAUGUGGCCGUAUUUUCUUUAUUGCACCCUGGCCGCUGUACGUACAUGUACAUGCUACGUGCGCACCUCUACUACGACACGUGCGCGCCUCUACAUCCACCAGUAUGUACGUACACGUUCGUGACCAGAAUGAGAACGCUACUUACACUUCGACCAGGUGGGUCCCGACUGUCACGCAAUUCCUUGCGUGCGAAGAUGUAGUCGGUGGGUCCCAGCAGUCAGGGGGCGAAUCAUUUUUUUUGCCCGGACGCACUUCCUUGCGUGCGAAGGUGUAGCUGGUGGGUCCCAGCAGUCAGGGGGUGAAUCAUUUUGUUUUUUUUUGCCCGGACGCACUUCCUUGCAUGCGAAGGUGUAGCUGGUGGGUCCUAGCAGUCAGGGGGGAAACUUUUUUUUUUGCAAAAUACGGUGGCCCGUCCGGUGGGUCCCCGCUGUCAGGUGGAGGAAUAAUUAUUUUGCGCAUAAUAAGGAGGCACCUUGUAAGGGCAUUCUUGUCCCUCAGUAGUUUUGGUGAUUGGUGACAAUGCCUUUGCGGACUAAUUGUGUGUAUUGAGCUUUACACAUAUAUCACGACAAAACACAAGACGAUUUGAUGCCCCUCGAAGAUUAUUGAAGAUGGCAUUUCUCUACACUUCGGUUCGGUGCAGUUGAGUCAUAGGAAAGCCGUACUAUCUAGAGGGAGUCCGCUUUGGAAAGGUUUGGGUGGAAUCUCAUGUACACGUUCCCUUUGCACUGCCUUUCCUCGAGCUCUUUGGAGUGCUCCUCCGUCUCACCUUGUCUCUGCGAAAUGAAGGUCUCCGUGUUGCUCUUCUCAGGCUAGUGAUAGUACUGCUCUUCAGAGCGGUACUACCGCAGGAGCCAGCGGUAGUACCAGGCUCCGGCACGGUAGUACCAUGGGCUCCCACGGUAGUACCGCUCCUUAGAGCGGUAGUACCGAGAGCUCUGGACUGGCGCCGCUGCUCAAGCGGUAGUAGGCGCGGAUGUAAUUUUUUACAUCUGCGCUCUACGCGGUAGUACCGUGCUGCGGCACGAUAGUACCGUGGCGCCAGGCCAGGUAUAGUAGCAGGAGCGGAAGUAGGGGCGGAUGUAUUUUUUUACAUCUGCACCCAUCACGGUAGUACCGCACCCUUGGCCGCGGUAGUUCCGGGUCGGAUUUUCGCAUGACAAUUUCUCAGCGGAGGUAGUCACGGAUGUAAUUUUUUACAUCUAUGCCUACCAGGCUGGCAUGCGGCUGUCCUGCGGUAGUACCGCAUGGGGCCGCGGUAGUACCGCACCUGCGGAUCUACCGCGCCCUGUCCGUGCUCCUUUCUUCAGGUCUGGGCUCUGCCGCACCCACGGUAGUACCGCGGUCCGCCGCGGUAGUACCACAGGCCCGUGCGGUAGUGCCGCGUCUGUGGUGCGGUAGUUCCGUGGGUCGUGGGCUGAGUGGUGGGUAACGGUUGGAAUUGUAUCCCCACUAUAUAAGGGGGUCUUCUUCUCCAAGAAGAUUUACCUCUUCCAACCCAAAACUCCAUUGUUGCUCCAAGCUCCAUUUUCGGCUGAUCUCUCUCCCUAGCCAAUCAAACUUGUUGAUUUGCUCGGGAUUGGGUGACAAGGCCCCGAUCUACACUUCCACCAACAGAUAUUCGAUUCCCCCCACUAAUCCCUAGCGGAUCUUAUUACUCUUGGGUGUUUAAGCACCCUAGACGGUUGAGGUCACCUCGGAGCCAAAGUCCAUUGUGGUGAAGCUUCAUGGUGUCGUUGGGAGCCUCCAAUUAAGUUGUGGAGAUUGCCCCAACCUUGUUUGUAAAGGUUCGGUCGCCGCCUUCAAGGGCACCAAUAGUGGAAUCACAGCAUCUCGCAUGUGUGAGGGCAUGAGGAGAUUACGGUGGCCCUAGUGGCUUCUUGGGGAGCAUUGUGCCUCCACACCACUCUAACGGAGACGUACUUCCCCUCAAAAGGAAGGAACUUCGGUAACACAUCCUCGACUCCACCGGCUCCACUCUUGGUUAUCUCGUGCCUUUACUCGUGCAAGCUUAUUUGUGUUGUUUACCUUGCUUGCUUAUGUGCUAGUUGUUAUUGCAUCAUAUAGGUUGCUCACAUAGUUGCAUAUCUAGACAACCUACUUUGAUGCAAAGUUUAAAUUGGUAAAUAAAAAAUUAAAAAGUGUUAGUUGCCUAUUCACCCCCCUCUAGUUAACUAUAUCGAUCCAUUCACACUUCCUUGCGGCCGUCGUGGACCCAGCUGUCAGCCUCUCCACGUACAUUACUCUUCCGAUGGAAGUCGGUCGUUGACCACAUUGACCACGCCGCGCCGAGAGCACCACGGCGGUGGACGACGGCGAGGCCUAGGAAGGGGACGAUGCAGAGCCGGGGAAGACACGGCCGUGGAUGCCCACGUGGAGAGGAGUACGACUGUACGAGGGUUUACCGGUUCGUCUGCCGUCUCCGGAGAAUAACAACAUGUGUGGGUCAGUGCCAGCGAUAGGAGUACGAUGGGGCGGUGAGGCCUGCGCGGCAGCAUAGCCGGCCGCGGGGAGGAGGGAGCAGGCAGUCCCGCCGGCGCUUGUUUGAGUGGCUGGAGCAUGAAGAGCAAAGAUUGAAGAAGCACGACAGCCGUUGGAUGGACAUCCAACAGUCACGGGUCUCGUGUGUUGACUAAGUCGACAGGGCGUUGCGUGUGCGUCAACCUUUUUUUAUGAAAGCAUACGCGUCAACUGUACUAGGUGCACAAGUCAGCCUCAAAUCUGUGGAAAACAGCAGACAACCCAUCUGCCAUUAUUUCUAAUAAUGUACAGCCCAUUUGCUAAUUCUUAAGAAUUCUUUUGGACCCUACGCCAUGGCCAAAGACGCGUGGCAGUGUGUUGUGUCUCUCUAUCGAGGAAGCGCAAGCAUUCAACGCUCCAACUAUGAAGUGGUGCAAGAUGAAGCCGAUGAAUUUACAAUGAAGGAAGAUGAAGAACCUCGUGAGCUCUUUCGGAGAGUUACCAAACUCACGGUCUCACUCUGAGAUCAUGGGAGUAAGGACACAGAUGACAAUUGGAUCAAAUGCAAGUUUCUGAAGGCCAUGAUACCCUACAACAAGGCCAUGUCCUCCGUCAUCCGUUAAAGACCGGACUUCCACUCCAUGACCUCAAGUGAAGUGUUGGAUGAGUUCGUUGCUAUGAGCAUCUUGGACAAAACCACCGACAAUGCGGUGCUCCGUCCUCAAAGAACAAAGAAGACCAAUCUUGCUUUGAAGGCCAAGGUCAUCAUGGAAGAAGAGGAAUAAGAAGAAGAUGAUGAGAGCAACCCCGAGGAUACAAAUAUGAUUAUCAUGAGCACAUGGCUCUUGCUUCAAGGCAAUUUUGGAGCAAGAAGAACACAAGGCCCAACUUCAACAAGAACAAUUCAAGUGGGUUCAAGGGCAAGCAACGAGUGAGAACUUGCUACAACUAUGGCAAUGUGAGUCACUUUGUUGUGGAUUGUCCUUACGAGAAGUGGGAAGAUAAUGGUGGCAAGCUCAUUCGAAAAGACAAAGCCAAGUCCUUCCCCAACAAGAACAACUUCACCAAGAAGACUCCUACUCGAGGGUUAGUGGUACAAGAAGAAUACCAUGAGGAUGACGAUGAUGAUGAAGAUGGAUAAGCGAUGGUCAUGGACUCCAUUGCCAUUGCUACUACUCCCCGGGUGUCUCUCUUUGACUCACCCAACAAAAACAUCACCGCCAAGUGCCUCAUGGCUAAAGCCACCAACAAGGUAACCCCCAACAUCAAAACCACCAUCAUUACUAAUCCUUCAUUAACGGAUUGCAUUGAUGAAAAUGAGGGGUCUAAUGAAGAGUCGAAUGAAUUUGAGUCUUUUAUGAGUAAACUCAAGAGAAAAGCCAAGAAGCACUUUGUUGCUCUCUUGGAACAACUUGGUGAAGCCAAUGACAUGAUCGAGGCUCAUGAAGAAACCAUCUCUAAGAUGGAAGGUCAUAGUCGUGACUAUGCCGAUGAGAUAUCGGAUCUCUCUAAUUCCCUUGAGGAAGAGCGUGGGCAUCGUUUGACUCUUGAGGAGUCACACAAUGAUGACCAUGCUAAAUUAAAGAAAGAUCUUGAUCAUGCCAUUGUUGUCUCUCAUGUGGCAAAACCGAGAAGGCUAAACUUGGGGUUGAUCUUGCUAGACUCAAAGAGGAGUUUGAUGUACUUGACAAGGCUCACAAGGUCUUGAAGGGUGCUCAUGCUAGCCUCAAGGAGUCUCAUGCUCAACUCCAAGUCAAGUUAACCAAGGAGAAAGCCAUUUUUCCUCCUAUGGUCUUAAUUGAUAACGCAAAUGCUACUAACCCGUGUUGUGAGCAUGUGCAUAUUGUGGAGGAGAAUGCCCAGUUGAAAGAGCAAUUGAAGAAAGGUCUUGUGACAUGCAUUCAAGGUGAGAAAAACCUCAAUGACCUUUUGAGCAAUCAAAAGGAAGUUGUGGCCAAGGAGGGAGUUGGGUUUACCCCCAAGUCCAAGAAUAAGAAGAAGAAUGACAAGACUAAAUGACCUCCUCCUCUCAAGCAAACAUUUGUGAAGGAGGGAGAGGGUGAUCUUAAGGAGAAGAAGAACAAUGUGAAGGGUGGUGAUGUCAAGAAGGGAAAUCCCACCCCUUCCAACAAAGCCGGCGACUUUAACCCCUCUUAUGUGUUAUGCCAUGCUAGUGAUGGACAUGUUUAUGCAAAAUUUGUUGGCUCUCCUUAUGAGUAUAUUGAAUGGUCUAUUUGGGUUCCCAAGACCCUUGUUGCUAACAUCAAAGGACUCAUUACUCAAUGGGUACCUAAAACCAAGCAUUGAUUUCAUGUAGGGGUUUGCUUCUGGUGGAGGAUCAUGGUUGCUCGAUAGUGGAGCAACAAAUCAUAUGACCGGAAGCAAGGAGUUGGUGGUGGACGUGCACAAGAUUCCAUCUAUGCCCACCAACGUCGAGUGGGGUGAUGCCUCGUCUUCUAAGGUAUUGGGUCUUGGCAAGGUUGUCAUUUCUCAUGAUCUAAUGAUCGAGAAAGUCAUGCUUGUCAAGUCCCUUGCAUUCAAUCUUAUUUUCGUUCGUCGACUUGCACUCAUGGGUUUUGCCACCUUCUUUGAUAUUGAUACUGUGGCCCUCUUGUGGAGCAAGACUCUUAAAGUAGCCUUUGUUGGGCAUGUCGAGAAUGGUCUCUAUGUGAUUAACUUUUCGGAGCGACCCACUAAGACCGCGACAUGCAUAAUGUCUAAAGUUGAUGUGGGAUGGCUUUGGCAUCGCCGUUUAGCCCAUGUCAAUAUGAGAUCUUUGCAAAGUCUUCUCAAGGGGGACCAUGUCCGUGUACUAACAAAUGUUAGUUUUGCCAAAGAUCGUGCUUGCAGUGCUUGUAUCGAAGGGAAGCUUCAUGAGAAGGCUCACCCUCCCACGACUAUCAUCUACUCGAAGAGACCCUUGGAGCUCCUUCACAUGGACCUCUUUGGGCCUCAAUCCUUUGAUAGUCUUGGGGGUAGAAAAUAUUGCUUGGUGAUUGUGGAUGAUUACUCAAGAUACACUUGGGUAUAUUUCUUCAAGAGAAAGAGUGAAACUCAACAAACCGUCAUCGACUUUGCAAAUGAAGCUCAACGCCAACAUGAUGCAAAGAUCUUGACAAUAAGAAGUGACAACGGCACCGAGUUCAAGAACUACACCUUGGAUAAGUUUCUUAGUGAUGAGGGGAUCAAACAUCAAUAUGCUGCACCAUAUACCCCUCAACAAAAUGGUGUAGCAGAGAGGAAGAACCGGACAUUGAUGGAUGCGGCAAGAACCAUGAUGGCGGAGUUCAAGUCUCCAUACAACUUUUGGGCUGAAGCCAUCAACACAGCAUGUCAUGCAUCCAAUCGGCUCUAUCUCUGCAAAGGCUUGAAGAAGACUCCUUAUGAAAUACUCACCGGUAACAAGCCCAACCUCAAGUACUUCCGGGUGUUCGGGUGUAAGUGUUUCAUUCUCAAGAAAGGUGUUCGUUUGUCUAAAUUUGAGGCUAGAGCUUAUGAGGGCAUAUUUGUUGGUUAUGCUUCAAACUCUCAUGCUUACCGUGUCCUCAACAAGUCCACCGGACUCAUUGAGGAGACGUGUAACGUAGAGUUUGACGAGAAUAACGGCUCCCAAGUGGAGCAAAGUGGUACUUGUGAUGUAGGUGAUGAAAUUCCUCCCCAAGCCAUAAGAAGAAUGGGUAUUGGUCACAUCCUACCCAUUGAGGAACCCCUUGUGGCCGAAGGAGAAGGACAAUGCUCCACUCAAGUGGAGCCAUCACCAACCCAAGACCCACACGCUUCCGAAGAACAAAGUGAAGGCCCUCAACCUCGUGAACAAGACCAAGGGCAAGAUCAACCUCAAGACGGUGAUGAUCCACCGAAUGAUGCCCAAGGUCAAGUUCUCCCCCUCGAGCAAGUUCAAGAUCUCGAACAAGCUCUAGAUGGCGCUCAAGAUAAUCAAGUUGAUCCUCCUCCUUCCACAUCCGAGGAGGAAUUAGAGCAUCGUGCCGCGAAGAUUGCUUCCAAGCUCACCACCAAAGGUCAUCUCAUGGAGAAUGUGGUUGGAAGCCUAAGAAAGGGGUAAGCACUCGUAGACAAUUAGCAAACUAUUGUGAACAUCACGCGUUUGUCUCUUGUGUUGAACUCCAAAAGGUCAUUGAGGCACUCGAAGAUUCAGAUUGGCUCAAUGCCAUGCAUGAAGAACUCAACAACUUCGAGUACAAAAAGGUGUGGAGAUUGGUACCAAGGCUGUCGGGGAACCACAACGUCAUUGGAACCAAAUGGAUUUUCAAGGACAAGCAAGACGCUCAUGGGAACAUCAUUCGGAACAAGGCAAGAUUGGUAGCACAAGGCUACUCCCAAGUCGAGGGUAUCGACUACCGUGAAACCUUUGCCCCCGUUGCUCGCCUUGAAUCCAUUCAUUUGUUGAUUGCUUAUGCUUCCCAUCACAACUUUAAGUUACAACAAAUGGAUGUGAAAAGUGUUUUUCUUAAUGUUCCUAUUAAUGAGUUGGUUUAUGUCAAACAACCCCCCUGGGUUCGAGGAUCCCUAUUUCCCGGAUCAUGUGUAUCAACUCGAUAAGGCACUCUAUGGCCUUAAACAAGCCCCACGUGCAUGGUAUGACCACCUUACCGAGUUGUUACAAGAUCGUGGAUUUGAAGUUGGGCAAAUUGAUCCCACUCUUUUUACUAAGAAGGUCAAAGGGGAGUUGUUUGUAUGCCAACUAUAUGUUGAUGAUAUUAUCUUUGGUUCCCCUAACAAAGCUUUAAAUGAGGAAUUUUCCGCUCUCAUGACCUCUAAGUUCAAGAUGUCUUUGAUGGGAGAGUUGAAGUUCUUCCUUGGUAUUGAUAUCAAACAAAGAAGAGAAGGUACCUUCAUCAACCAAGCCAAAUAUACUCAAGACAUGCUAAACAGAUUCAAGCUAAGUGAUGUCAAGCCGGCUUCUACUCCAAUGCCUACCAAGUGCCAACUUGACAUUGAUCCCAAUGGUAAAGCGGUGGAUCAAAAGGUAUAUUGCUCCAUGAUUGGAUCCUUGCUCUACCUUUGUGCAUCUAGACCGGAUAUCAUGUUGAGUGUGGGAAUUUGUGCACAGUUUCAAGCCGCACCGAAGGAAAGCCACUAUGUGGCGGUCAAGCGAAUCUUUCGAUAUCUGGCUCAUACCCCAAACUUUGGCUUGUGGUACCCAAGAGGAGCAAACUUCAAGCUUGAAGGAUUUACGGAUUCCGAUUGGGCGGGAGACAAAGUGGAUAGGAAGUCCACUUCCGGAGGGUGCCAAUUUCUUGGUUGCUCUUUGGUGAGUUGGUCUUCCAAAAAGCAAAGUUGUGUGUCUCUCUCGUCCACCGAAGUAGAAUAUGUGGCGGCCGGUAGUUGUUGUGCACAACUCCUAUGGAUGAGGCAAACUUUAAAGGAAUACGGUGUCAUUUGUGACAAAGUGCCUCUUUGGUGUGAUAAUGAAAGUGCCAUCAAGAUUUCUCUCAACCCGGUGCAACACUUUAAGACGAAGCACAUUGAAAUUCGGUAUCACUUCAUCCGGGAUCAUAUUAGGCGAGGGGAGAUCGAGCUCAAGUAUGUUAACACUCAUGAUAACCUUGCAGAUAUUUUCACGAAGCCCUUGGAUGAAGCAAGAUUUAGCGAGUUAAGGAAUGAGCUAAAUAUCAUUGAUUCAAGCAAUGUGACUUGAGCCCGUGCACACCCCACCUCACUCAACUUGUUGUCUAGUUUAGGUGUAGGCAUGGACAUAGGGGGAGUGUUGUUCUCUCAAUGAACUCUUCCUCCCCCCCAUUAUGCAUAAAUUGAUCAACUCUUUCACAUUAGCCAUUUUUGAUGGUACUUGUGCUUCAAAGACGAGUUUUGGUCAUGGACCCAAGGAUAAUUCUUCGCGGUGCCAUACCAAUUGACUCAAACAUAGGUGGCUCCGACCACCGCCCUCCCUUUGGAGAAGUUGUGUCUCGUUGUUGGCCUUCGUUGUCGUGUGGCUUCCUCUUCUCCUUGUCGUGCUUGAGUCAUCGUUUGUGUUCUCCUCUUAGUUGGUCGGUGUUUCUCCAGAGGUUGUUUUUCCUUUUUUUCCUCCUUUUUCUCUCUUUAGUUCCAGCACUUUCUUGGCUUACGGUACUACCAUGGUGCGCCACGGUACUACCGCAGGAGCUGGUGGCUCUUUGUCUAAUGCGUGGCCCUCCAGGGGCAUGGUACUACCGCUACCUCCGCGACAGAAAUUUUUUACUACCGCUGAACAAGCAGUACUACCGCCCAGCGUGCGGUACUUCCGCCCGGGCGGUGCUACCACGAUGACCCACGGUACUUCCGCGCACAUGCGAGCGGGUGGGGGUUAAGAGCGGGACAGGGGGAGUUCUAACUCCCCCAUACCCAUUCAUCUCUAUUCCCCACCCCGUCUCUCUCUCUCUCGUGACCAAGAACGGCGCCGGAGGCCUUCGCCGGAUCUCUGUCUCCGGCCGCUCUCCUCGGAUUCCGAGCGGUGGGAUCGUUCCCCACCUCGCCCUCUUGCCAUGUACCUAGGUGGUGGCUCCGGUUUUGCUCCUCGCUUGAAUCACAGCCGUGACACAGGGUCAAAGCGGCUCCGCAACCCAGAUGAUGUUCCAGAGGGGUCCUCUGCUGCUCCCCAAUGCAGGACCAAGCACACCUCUAGCAAGCAGAAGGAGCCCGUCAUGGGCAUGGAUGAGAUUUCCCAGGCCGAGUUUGUCAUUCGAAGGAAGAUCAAUCCCUAUGUGUCUCCCCGGGCUAGCACGCGAGGCAAUGAUCUCUUCUGGAACAAGCAGCAGAAUCUGAUCUAUAUGGAUGUGACCAAGGCCAAGCAGAAUCACUAUGUUGAAGUUCACUGGAUUGACAUGGUUCACAUGAGGCAAGAGAAGCACCGUGGGUACUUUGGAGAGGCUUUGGAUCUUGUGGAGCAGUUCGGUAUUGAAAACAUGCUCACCUUCCACAAGGAUUUUGAUCCGGAGAUCAUAGCACAGUUCUUUGCUUCGGUUCACUUCGGCGUCGAUGAAGCAAGGACCAUGACUUGGAUGGCCAAUGGUCAACAGAUGUCUGCUACCUGGAAGGAGUUCAUGGAGUUGCUUCAGUUUCCCGAUGAUGGGCUCGACUCGCCAGUUGGAGUUCACCCUCAUGCCAAUGCUGAGUCCGCCAACAAGAACAAACUCAUGCCAUUCCUUAUUCAGAAGAAUCUUCCAAGCAUGAGGAAGGUGUGGCUGCUUAAUCCCUUCCUUGACAUCAUGCGCAGGCUCUUCCGAAACACACUCUUCCCGCGUAUUGGUGACAUGGGACAGGUGCAUGCUUACCUUGUUGACAUGAUGCUCCUUUGUGAGGAGGCCCGUCAGGCUCAGACUCAGCCACUCGAUAUCUCACAUAUCAUGUGGUGUGAGCUUUAGUUCGCCGUGUUCAACCGUAAGGUCCCCAUCUAUGGGCAUUACCUGUUUCACCUGAUCUCCAAGACUUGGGAGCAGCUCUUCCCAACUGAUGAGUUUGAAGCUCCAGGCUGGAUCCGUCAUGAGCCCAUCAAGCGCCGCAUCAAGCCCCAAUGGGCUAACACCACCACUGCUGCUGAGGCUGCCAGGAUGGCUGUGGAUGAGGAGGAGAUUGAGGAGGAAGAGGCUGCUGAGGACCGUACUGCUUUCACUCCGCCCUCUUUGAGCCUUCUUGGGCGAAGAAGCUGAAGAACAAGAUGAAGAGGAUGUUCUGCAUGCAGGUUCAGGGUCAGUACAAGGCCCAUGUUGCUUAGAAGGAGAGUCGCCGUCGCGACAUCAUGAUCUUGAGGGCUUGUGGGGAGGACAUGGCCAGCGGCUCUGAGAAGCACAUCACCCCCGAGACUGCCUAGAUGGUGAAGCAGGGCUACCAGUGGACCGAUUCAGAGGAGUAUGUUCCUGCUGCAGAGUUUGGCGAUGAUGAGUCGUUUUACGCCUGAGCUACCACCUAUGUUGUAGGUGACCUCUCUGCCUAUUUGGUGUCUGGAUGCCAAAGGGAGAGAGAGAGAGUAGGAGUUGCGUGUCGUGUGUUGUGUGUUUCGUCGUUUGCUUUGCUUUCCGUUGUUGAACUUGCUUGCUUUGGUUUGGUUGUGCUCGUGAGACAAAGUUUAUCAUAUGGUGUAAGACAUAUGCACUCUAUCGUACCUUAUUACCUUAUUGAGCUUAUGCUAUAUCAUGCUAUUCAUGUUAUGCUCAUAUCUAGUAUUUUGUUUAGUGUUAGCCUUACCAUUGCAAGAUAUGCUUUGUUUCUAAAAUAUAGGGGGAGUGGUGAUCCUAGUAUUCGUGCCGUGCAAUCCGAAGCACUUUACUCUCUAGCACGAAUCUAGGGGGAGCUCAUCUAUAUUUUAGAGAUGUGGGGUUUUCUUAUGCUUUAUUCAUUUCCUUGUGCAAAUCCCGUAUUGUCAUCAAUCCACCAAAAAGGGGGAGAUUGUAAGGGCAUUCUUGUCCCUCAUUAGUUUUGGUGAUUGAUGACAAUGCCUUUGCGGACUAAUCGUGAGUAUUGAGCUUUGCAGAUAUAUCAUGACAAAACACAAGACGAUUUGAUGGCCCUCAAAGAUUAUUGAAGAUGGCGUUUCUCUACGGUUCAGUUCGGUGGAGUUGAGUCAUAGGAAAGUUGUACUAUCAAGAGGGGGUCCGCUUUGGAAAGGUUUGGGUGGAAUCUCACGUACACGUUCCCUUUGCACCGCCUUUCCUCGAGCUCUUUCGAGUGUUCCUCCAUCUCACCUUGUCUCUGCGAAAUGAAGGUCUCUGUGUUGCUCUUCUCAGGCUAGCGGUAGUACUGCUCUUCAGAGCAGUACUACCGUAGGAGCCAGCCGUAGUACUGUGGGCUCCUAUGGUAGUACCGCUCCUCAGAGCGGUAGUACCGUGAGCUCUGGACUAGCGCCGCUGCUCAAGCGGUAGUAGGAGUGGUAGUAUCAUGCUGCGGCAUGGUAGUACCGUGGCGCCGGGCUAGGUAUAGUAGCAGGAGCAGAAGUAGGGGCAGAUGUAAUUUUUUUACAUCCGCACCCAUCACGGUAGUACCGCACCCUUGGUCGCGGCAGUUCUGUGUCGGAUUUUCGCACGACAAUUUCUCAGCGGAGGUAGUCAUGGAUGUAAUUUUUUACAUCUGUGCCUACCGGGCCUGGCAUGCGGCUGUCCUGCGGUAGUACCACAUGGGGCCGCGGUAGUACCGCACCUGCGGAUCUACCGUGCCCUGUCCGUGCUCCUUUUUUCAGGUCUGGGCUCUGCCGCACCCACGGUAGUACUGCGGUCCGCCGCGGUAGUACUGCAGGCCCGUGCGAUAGUACCGCGCCUGUGGUGCGGUAGUUCCAUGGGUCAUGGGCUGAGUGGUGGGUAACGGUUGGAAUUGUCCCCCCACUAUAUAAGGGGGUCUUCUUCUCCAAGAAGAUUUACCUCUUCCAAUCCAAAACUCCAUUGUUGCUCCAAGCUCCAUUUUCGGCCGAUCUCUCUCCCUAGCCUAUCAAACUUGUUGAUUUGCUCGGGAUUGGGUGACAAGGCCGCGAUCUACACUUCCACCAAGAGAUAUUUGAUUCCCCCCACUAAUCCCUAGCGGAUCUUGUUACUCUUGGGUGUUUGAGCACCCUAGACGGUUGAGGUCACCUCGGAGCCAAAGUCCAUUGUGGUGAAGCUUCGUGGUGUCAUUGGGAGCCUCCAAUUAAGUUGUGGAGAUUGCCCAACCUUGUUUGUAAAGGUUCGGUCGCCGCCUUCAAGGGCACCAAUAGUGGAAUCACUACAUCUCGCAUGUGUGAGGGUGUGAGGAGAUUACGGUGGCCCUAGUGGCUUCUUGGGGAGCAUUGUGCCUCCACACCGCUCUAACGGAGACGUACUUCCCCUCAAAAGGAAGGAACUUCGGUAACACAUCCUCAUCUCCACUGGCUCCACUCUUCGUUAUCUCGUGCCUUUACUCAUGCAAGCUUAUUUGUGUUAUUUACCUUGCUUGCUUAUGUGCUAGUUGUUAUUGCAUCAUAUAGGUUGCUCAUAUAGUUGCAUAUCUAGACAACCUACUUUGAUGUAAAGUUUAAAUUGGUAAAGAAAAGAUUAAAAAGUGUCAGUUGCCUAUUCACCCCCCUCCUAGUCAACUAUAUUGGUCCUUCCACACUUCCUUGCGGCCGCCGUGGACCCAGCUGUCAGCCUCUCCACGUACAUUACUCUUCCGAUGGAAGUCGGUCAUUAACCACAUUGACCACGCCGCACCGAGAGUACCACGACAGUGGACGGCGGCGAGGCCUAGGAAGGGGACGACGCGGAGCCGGGGAAGACACGGCAGUGGAUGCCCACACGGAGAGGAGUACGACUGUACCAGGGUUUACUAGUUCGUCUGCCGUCGCCGGAGAAUAACAACAGGUGUGGGUCAGUACAGGGAUGGCUAGGCCAGCAAUGGGAGUACGAUAGGGCGGUGAGGCUUGCACGGCAGCACAGCCGGCUGCAGGGAGGAGGGAGCAGGCAGUCCCGUCGGUGCUUGUUUGAGCGGCUGGAGCAUGAAGAGCAAAGAUUGAAGAAGCACGACAGCCUUGGAUGGACAUCCAACAGUCACUGCUCUCGUGUGUUGACUAAGUUGACAGGGCAUUGCGUGUGCGUUAAUCUUUUUGUAAUGCCCCGGAUUCGAUGCGCCAGGUGUCUGCCAGUUAUUCGCCGUUGUUGCCAUGUCAUUUGCUUGCGUGUUGCAUUUUGCCAUGUCAUCAUGUGCAUUUCAUUUUGCAUACGUCUUCAUUUCUUGCAUCUAAGCAUUUUCCCCGUUGUCCAUUUUGCAAUCCGGCACUCCUAUGCCCUCCGGCGUCCCCCUUUUGUCUCUCGUUGUGAGCGGGUGUUGAACUUUCUCGGAAUGGCCCGAGGUUUGCCAAGCGGCCUUGGUAUAGCACCGGUAGACCUCCUGUCAAGUUUUCGUGCCAUUUGUAUGUUGUUUGAUACUCCAACGGUUAACCGGGGAACCGUAAAGUCCUCUUUAGUGUGCAGCCCAACACCCCUCCAAAACAGCCCAAUAACCCAUCCAAACCCCCUCCAUCCUCUCGGCCAUUCGAUCAUGACCGCGUUGCCGAAAACCACACCUCAUUUGGACUCUCCUAGCUCCCAGAAUCUAUAAAUAGGUGCCCUCCCCUGAAAUUCGCAGAUGACUUCCCCCGAAACCCUAGCUUCUUCCUCCUCCAGCCGCCGGACAUGUCCGCGCCCCGGCUGGACACGUCCGACCCGCUCCCCCCAUCCAACCGCAGUGCGCCACGUGGCGUUCGCCGCCUCCCACCACCGCGCGGCCCGCGGGACCCGGAUUGGGCCCGCGCAAGCCCGCNNNNNNNNNNNNNNNNNNNNNNNNNNNNNNNNNNNNNNNNNNNNNNNNNNNNNNNNNNNNNNNNNNNNNNNNNNNNNNNNNNNNNNNNNNNNNNNNNNNNNNNNNNNNNNNNNNNNNNNNNNNNNNNNNNNNNNNNNNNNNNNNNNNNNNNNNNNNNNNNNNNNNNNNNNNNNNNNNNNNNNNNNNNNNNNNNNNNNNNNNNNNNNNNNNNNNNNNNNNNNNNNNNNNNNNNNNNNNNNNNNNNNNNNNNNNNNNNNNNNNNNNNNNNNNNNNNNNNNNNNNNNNNNNNNNNNNNNNNNNNNNNNNNNNNNNNNNNNNNNNNNNNNNNNNNNNNNNNNNNNNNNNNNNNNNNNNNNNNNNNCGCCGCCCGCGCGCCGCGGAUCCGGUCGGGCUGGACCGGAUCCGGCCGCCUCGACCUCGCCGGCCGCCUCCCCGCGCCUCCCCGUGCCUCCUCGGCCCUCUCGACCUCGCCGGAGGCUCCCUCCGUCCACUCCGGCGAACUACUCCGGCGAACUCCAGAUCCAGAUCUGAACGAGGUUGACCCCGUUUUUCGUGCAAGUCCCGAAAUAAUUGCAUAUUUUUAGCCCCUGUUCAUCGCAUCAUAACUCUGCACCUGUAGCUCCAUUUCGUGCGUGUAAUAUGUAAAAAAUUUUGUUGUGAGAUGCUCUACAUUUCAUUCCAUUGUGCCAUGCUUGUUUGAGUUCAUCUUGAUGCCCGAAUCAUCGUUGCAAGAGUGCUAUAUGAUGUUAAUCUGCUGAAACUGUUAUAACUUGGUGAUUUGUCAUUUUUGUUGCAUUUGAUGUGUGCAUCCUAUGAGCAUGAGCUCUACAUGUGUUUUGAACUACAUCAUGCCAUAUUUACAGAGAUGCAAUCCAUGUAUUUUUAUGAGUCUUGUAGUGAGUGCAUCGAGCUUGUUAAGUAGGGUACUUGCUGUUGCUGUUUUGCUAGGCUGAAUCUGUUAUUUUGUGAUGCUAUGUAAACCUGCUGCUACAAGUCAUUCUAUGCACAAUCUGGAGAUGUUCACUAAAGAUGUUUUGUUAUACAUGUCAUGCUCUAUCCAUCCAUGCCCCUGGUUGCAUCUAUAGUCUGCUGUAGGUUGUUGUAAUCUUGCUCCAAAGUUGCUAAAUAAUGUUGCUGUCAGCCUGUCAACAUUAAGUUCAGUUUUGCCAUGUGACUUUUCUAGUGAUCCAUCCACCCUAUGAACUUGUUAUUGCCAUGCUUAGCUUAAUAAACAUGGCUUCUUACUGUUAGUUACCUUGUCAUGCCAUGUAUUGCUCUGUGGUGAGUGGUACAAGCUCACCAACAUGCCUACUUAUUGUUGUUCCUGCCAUGUUUAAAUCUGUCAUAUAACUUGCUAUGUUUACGUGGGUGCCAUCAUAUCUUCUGGUCCUUUUUGGCUCUUGGUCAGUAAAGGACUUUUGUUCUAUGCAAUUAGUAGGUUAAUUCCAUGCCUUUGUUUGCCAUGAUAAGUUCUUGUAGCUUGUUGUUUGAUAGCUCUAAACAUUGCAACCUGAUGUUAUUUCUGCAAAGUCUGAAACUGUUACUAUUUGCAAUCUUGCCAUGUGUGUUUGAGCAUGUUCUAGUCAUUUCUGGAGAUAGCUCAGUGUUCAUGUUUUGUUAUGCUUUACCUAUACAUCAUUCCCAUGCCUUUUGUUUUCAUGUACAGAUGAUGUAGCAUAUUGUUUUGAUGCUUGCUAGAUGCCUAGUUGCUGUUUUGGACAGCUUGUCCUUUAAACUUGUAUAGAGUGCAUGUGUUGAACCGUUGCUCCGUUUUGAGUGUGCUCUAUAUGAUACUUUCUUGAUUUUGCAUGUAGUUUCAUAUUAUCAUGUUGCAUCCUUGUUUUGAGGUGUUUGCUUGUUGUUCGUAUGCAUUUUGCAUCUAUGCCAUGUUUAACUUGUUUUGCUCAUAUCUUCUAGGCCGUAGCUCUGAACUAAAUGAACUUUAUAUGUAACUUGACUAGAAUCUCGUGUAGAUCAUCUUGUUGCAUCUUAACUUGCUAUUUAACAACUUGAACAUAAGGUUUAUUCAGAUAUGUACCAAUUUCGAAAUUUGCAUAUGAGGACUUACCGGUUUAGUUCUAUGUUGUUUCCGGCCUCAUUUAAACUUACCUUGAUGUGUUGUUCUUGUUUGCAUCAUCUCUUGCCAUGAGUAGCUUCAUGUAGUCUUGUCUUGCAUCAUGCUUGGUUGUGCAUCUUGUCUUGCCUAUGUGUGGUGUGUUUACCAUGUUGUGUGCUUCUUCUCGAUAGUUCCCGUUUCGUUGCGCUCGUGAGGAUUCAUUCGUCUAUGCUUGGUUCGUCUUCGUGGCUUCAUCUUCUUCAUGGACUCAUUCUUCUUCCUAGCGGGAUUUCAGGAAAGAUGACCGUCACCUUGGAUCUCACUACUAUCAUUGCUAUGCUAGUUGCUUUGUUCUAUCGCUAUGCUGCGCUACCUAUCACUUGUUCUUCAAGCCUCCCAAAUUGCCAUGUCAGCCUCUAACCUUGUCACCCUUCCUAGCAAACCAUUGCUUGGCUAUGUUACUGCUUUGCUCAAACCCUCUUAUAGCGUUGUUAGUUGUAGGUGAAGUUGAAGAUUGCUCCAUGGUGGACAGGAUUAUGUUGGGAUAUCACAAUAUCUCUUAUUUAAUUAAUGCAUCUAUAUACUUGGUAAGGGUGGAAGGCUCGGCCUUAUGCCUGGUGUUUUGUUCCACUCUUGCCGCCCUAGUUUCCGUCAUACCGGUGUUAUGUUCCCGGAUUUUGUGUUCCUUACACGGUUGGGUGAUUUAUGGGACCCCCUCGACAGUUUGCUUUGAAUAAAACUCCUCCAGCAAGGCCCAACCUUAGUUUUACCAUUUGCCUCACCACCACCUACAUUUCCCUUGGGAGUAAUUAACCCAAGGGUCAUCUUUAUUCAGCCCCCCCGGGCCAAUGCUUGUCUAAGUGUUGGUCCGAACCAGAGCCACUUGCAGCGCCACCUCGGGGAAACUUGAGGUCUGGUUUUAGUUGUACGUAGUGUUCAUCCGGUGUUGCCCUGAGAACGAGAUAUGUGCAGCUCCUAUCGGGAUUGUCGGCGCAUCGGGCGGUCUUGCUGGUCUUGUUUUACCAUUGUCGAAAUGUCUUGUAAACUGGGAUUCCGAGUCUAAUCGGGUCUUCCUGGGAGAAGGAAUAUCCUUCUUUGAUCGCGAGAGCUUAUCAUGGGCUAAGUUGGGACACCCCUGCAGGGUAUAAACUUUGGAAAGCCGUGACCGCGGUUAUGUGGCAGAUGGGAAUUUUUUAAUGUCCGGUUGUAGAUAACUUGACACCAGAUCCAAAUUAAAAGGCAUCAACCGCGUGUGUAGCCGUGAUGGUCUCUUUUCGGCGGAGUCCGGGAAGUGAACACGGUUUUUGGGUUAUGUUUGACGUAAGUAGGAGUUAAAUAUCACUUCUUGAUCAUUGCUAGCUUCACGACCGUUCCACUUGCUCUCUUCUCGCUCUUAUUUGCGUAUGUUAGCCACCAUAUAUGCUUAGUCGCUGCUGGAACCUCACCGCUUUACCCCUUCCUUUCCCUUUAAGCUUUGCUAGUCUUGAUACCCAUGGUAAUGGGAUUGCUGAGUCCUCGUGGCUCACAGAUUACUACAAAAACAGUUGCAGGUGCAGGUUAUGCGAUGAUCUUGACGCGAGAGUGAUGUUUUCUUACCUUGGAGUUCUUCUUCUGCUUCUUCUUUGAUCAGGGGAUAGGUUCCAGGUCGACAGCCUGGGCUAGCAGGGUGGAUGUCGGUUGAGUUUCUGUUUGUGUUUCAUCCGUAGUCGGAUGAUGCUCUUAUGUUUUGUGAUGUGCUAUUCGUGUGGCAUUGUAUGCCUCUUGUAUGUAUUCCCAUCUAUUAUGUAAUGUUGAUGUAAUGAUAUCCACCUUGCAAAAGCGUCUUCAAGAUGCGCUUCUAUCCUUGGUGGGACCUUCGAGUUCCUUUAGGAUAGGGUCUCAUCUUGGGCGUGACAAGUUGGUAUCAGAGCCUCGACCGACCCUAGGAGCCCCCUUGAUUGAUCAUGUAGUCUGGCCGUUGUCGAGUCUAGAAGAAAACUGUUUUCGGAGUCUAGUUAUAUCGGAGAGUAGGAAUUCUUUUUACUCCUCAGCCCCUUCGUCGCUCUGGUAAGGAAUCUUGACGUAGGUGUUUUGACUUACUCCUCUUCCCGUUCAAACUUUCUUUAGGUUCACGCAGUUAGUUUUUGUUCGUUGGUUCUCAGCUCUUUUCAUCCGGUGCAUUUCUCGUCAAGUUGACUCGAGCCUCUUCAUCGUUGCCAAGUUCAAUCCUCAGUUCGCUCUCAACGAAGUUGUUUCUUUGUCCUCAGUUGUUUUCUUUUCCCACCCGCCCACCCUUCUUCUUCUUGGAACCGGAGUCCGUAAUCGAGUAUCCAUCCUACUCGUGCGAAGUCUUUGCUUUCUUUCCUCAAUGAUUUCAACCGGUGUUUUCUCUACAAGAUAUUCGUUGUUUCCCCUUCCAAGUUGCCUUUGUUUUUCCCGCCCUCCCACCCCUUUUUCUUCCCGGAGCUUGAGUCUCUCUCUUGACCAUCUAUUUCAUCCGUGUGGAGCCUCUUCAGUCUUUCGUCAAUUGUUUCAACCGGUGAAUUCUCUUUUGUUUGACAUUCUUCAUCUCUUUUCCGGUGGAUUCAAUUCUAAUUUUUGGUAGUGAUUAUAUUCUUCUCCUCGGCUCAAGUGUUUUCCCUGCUCGUUUGCCUCUCGCCAGUUAUCCUUCCAGAGUGCUCAAGACAUCUCAAAAGAUUCGUCUGUGUUCGAAUUAAUUCGAGGUUGUCACCUCAUUCAAAUAUUUGAAUUGUUCCGGUGCUUCAUCUAUCUGUUCAUCAACCCUUUCCAACGGUGUUUUCUUUUAGUGGGCCCUAACCCACAGGUCUUUUCCCAGGAUCUUACCUGACUCUUCUAAUCAUUCCGGAGCCAUUCCUAAUUCUUUUCAAGUAUGACGUAAGAAUGAAUUUCAUCAGUCAGAUGCCUUUCCAAGAUCGAUUUCAAAUCAUUUUCAUUGUUGGCUCAACCUCUCUGCUUCUCAUUCUACCGGAGUAUCUCAGUAAUUUUGGUGUUGUUUCUCGUUGUCAUUUGAAGACCGAAGAAGAGUUUUUCCUCUAAAUCUUGCCCGUUUCUCUCGAAGAUUUGUGGUUCUAGCUUCAUGUUAUCCUCUCAAAUUAUUCCAUUUGUCAGAUAUUCUUUUCUUACCCACCCGGAGUAUGUCAGAAGUUGUUUUUCCAUUUCUUUUCACCAGAGGCCAUCGUUCCAUAAGAAUUCUUCGUCCUCACCUUUCAGCUAUCGUUAUCCAAUUAUCCCGGUGAUCCAGUCUCUUUCAUCAGUCAUUUCCAAAUUCUUACGGUGGGUCGUUCAAGAUUCUUUUUCCUUGAUUAUCAUUCAAUCCACUCAUUCUUUCCAAUCUACCGGUGGUUCAUGAAAACUUUCUCAAGUUUUGUGCUAUAUUCCCCCUUAAUCCUUUUCAAGAAGAAUAAGUAGUAUGCGAAAUCCAUUGCUAGUCAUCAAUUUAAUUUGAUGAAGUUUAAGCAUACAAUAAAUCUUAUUCUUAUUUCAUCCAAGUGAGUAAUCCCUUCCUUCGGAGUUUGUUCUUGAUGAAUAAAUUCUAGUUCCAAGUGUUUCCAUCUUUUCUUUUCCGGAGUUCAAAUUUCCUCGACCAUUUCGUCGGAACCUCCACCUGAAUCAUCACAAGGCUCAUCUUAUUCUUUCAUCCUUCAUUCUAUCUCAUCAUCCUUUUGUACCGAAGUUCUUCAUGGUGGUUCUUCAUGAUUUAAUUCAUUCUUCAAGAGUUCAUCAAGUAUCAUUCCAUCCUCUCAAGUUCAUGUUUUAUUCUUUCAAGGUUCAGCCGGAGUGCUGCCUAAAUCCUUUCAGUCUUAUUCGUUUCUUAUCUCGUUCUAACUGGAGUGGUUUCAUAGUCUAUCUGAUUCCGUGAGCUUUCGAUUCUCGUCAUUUUCGUCGUUCCUCUCUUCUUCUCGUGUGCUCGCGAUUCUUUGCUUCUCCUCUUAAGUUCUUGCUUCACAUCAUCCCUUUUCCCCUUCUGUCUCGGUCCUAAGAUUUCGGGACAAGAUCUCUUGUUAGUGGAGGAGUGUUGUAACGCCCCGGAUUCGAUGCGCCAGGUGUCUGCCAGUUAUUCGCCGUUGUUGCCAUGUCAUUUGCUUGCGUGUUGCAUUUUGCCAUGUCAUCAUGUGCAUUUCAUUUUGCAUACGUAUUCGUUUCUUGCAUUUGAGCAUUUUCCCCGUUGUCCGUUUUGCAACCCGGCACUCCUAUGCCCUCCGGCGUCCCCCUUUUGUCUCUCGUUGUGAGCGGGUGUUGAACUUUCUCAGAAUGACCCGAGGUUUGCCAAGCGGCCUUGGUAUAGUACCGGUAUACCUCCUGUCAAGUUUCGUGCCAUUUGGAGGUUGUUUGAUACUCCAAUGGUUAUCCGGGGAACCGUAAAGUCCUCUUUUGUGUGCAGCCCAACACCCCUCCAAAACAGCCGAAUAACCCAUACAAACCCCCUUCAUCCUCUCGGUCGUUCGAUCACGAUCGCGUGGCCGAAAACUGCACCUCAUUUGGACUCUCCUAGCUCCCAGAAUCUAUAAAUAGGUGUCCUCCCCCGAAAUUCGCGGAUGAUUUCCCCUGAAACCCUAGCUUCUUCCUCCUCCAGCCGCCAGACAUGUCCGCGCCCCGGCCGGACACGUCCGCCCCGCUCCCCACGUCCAACAGCAGUGCGCCAUGUGGCGUUCGCCGCCUCCCACCACCGCGCGGCCCGUGGGACCCGGAUAGGGCUCGCGCGAGCCCGUGCCGCCGCCACCGUCCGCCCGCCUAGCCCGGUUCCCUCCGCCGCCCGCUCGGCCCCGCGCUGCCCGUGCGCCGCCGCCCGCCGGCCUCCUCCUCCGCCAUCGCCGUCCGGUUCCUCAUCGUCGGCUNNNNNNNNNNNNNNNNNNNNNNNNNNNNNNNNNNNNNNNNNNNNNNNNNNNNNNNNNNNNNNNNNNNNNNNNNNNNNNNNNNNNNNNNNNNNNNNNNNNNNNNNNNNNNNNNNNNNNNNNNNNNNNNNNNNNNNNNNNNNNNNNNNNNNNNNNNNNNNNNNNNNNNNNNNNNNNNNNNNNNNNNNNNNNNNNNNNNNNNNNNNNNNNNNNNNNNNNNNNNNNNNNNNNNNNNNNNNNNNNNNNNNNNNNNNNNNNNNNNNNNNNNNNNNNNNNNNNNNNNNNNNNNNNNNNNNNNNNNNNNNNNNNNNNNNNNNNNNNNNNNNNNNNNNNNNNNNNNNNNNNNNNNNNNNNNNNNNNNNNNNNNNNNNNNNNNNNNNNNNNNNNNNNNNNNNNNNNNNNNNNNNNNNNNNNNNNNNNNNNNNNNNNNNNNNNNNNNNNNNNNNNNNNNNNNNNNNNNNNNNNNNNNNNNNNNNNNNNNNNNNNNNCGAGCUCGCCGCCAGCGGCCGCGGAUCCGGUCGGGCUGGACCGGAUCCGGCCGCCUCGACCUCGCCGGCCGCCUCCCUGCGCCUCCCCGUGCCUCCCCGGCCCUCUCGACCUCGCCGGAUGCUCCCUCCGUCCACUCCGGUGAACUACUCCGGCGAACUCCAGAUCCAGAUCUGAACGAGGUUGACCCCGUUUUUCGUCCAAGUCCCGAAAUAAUUGCAUAUUUUUAUCCCCUGUUCAUCGCAUCAUAACUCUGCAUCUGUAGCUCCAUUUAGUGCGUGUAAUAUGUCAAAAUGUUCUUUGUGAGAUGCUCUACAUUUCAUUCCAUUGUUCCAUGCUUGUUUGAGUUCAUCUUGAUUCCCGAAUCAUCGUUGCAAAAGUGCUAUAUGAUGUUAAUCUGCUGAAACUGUUAUAACUUGGUGAUUUAUGAUUUUUGUUGCAUUUGAUGUGUGCAUCCUAUGAGCAUGAGCUCUACAUGUGUUCUAAACUACAUCAUGCCAUCUUUACAGAAAUGCAAUCCAUGUAUUUUUGUGAGUCUUGUAGUUAGUGCAUCCAGCUUGUUAAGUAGGGUACUUGCUGUUGCUGUUUUGCUAGGCUGAAUCUGUUAUUUUGUGAUGCUAUGUAAACCUGCUGCUACAAGUCAUUCUAUGCAUAAUCUGAAGAUGUUCACUAAGGAUGUUUUGUUAUACAUGUCAUGCUCUAUCCAUCCAUGGCCCUGGUUGCAUUUAUAGGCUGUUGUAGCUUGUUGUAAUCUUGCUCCAAAGUUGCUAAAUAAUGUUGUUGUCAGCCUGUCAACAUUAAGUUCAGUUUUGCCAUGUGAUUUUUUCUAGUGAUCCAUGCACCCUAUGAACUUGUUCUUGCCAUUCUUAGCUUAAUGAACAUGUCUUCUUAUGGUUAGUUACCUUGUCAUGCCAUUUAUUGCUCUGUGGUGAGUGGUACAAGCUCACCAACAUGCCUACUUAUUGUUGUUCCUGCCAUGUUUAAAUCUGUCAUAUAACUUGCUAUGUUUACGUGGGUGCCAUCAUAUCUUCUGGUCCUUUUUGGCUCUUGGUCAGUAAAGGACUUUUGUUCUAUGCAAUUAGUAGGUUAAUGCCAUGCCUUUAUUUGCCAUGGUAAGUUCCUGUAGCUUGUUGUUUGAUAGCUCUAAACAUUGCAACCUGAUGUUAUUUCUGCAAAGUCUGAAACUGUUACUAUUUGCAAUCUUGCCAUGUGUGUUUGAGCAUGUUCUAGUGAUUUCUAGAGAUAGCUCAGUGUUCAUGUUUUGUUAUGCUUUACCAUUACAUCAUGCCCAUGCCAUUUGUUUUCAUGUACAGAUGCUAUAGCAUAUUGUUUUGAUGCUUGCUAGAUGCCUAGUUGCUGUUUUGGACAGCUUGUCCUUUAAACUUGUAUAGAGUGCAUGUGUUGAACCGUUGCUCCGUUUUGAGUGUGCUCUAUAUGAUACUUUCUUGAUUUUGCAUGUAGUUUCAUAUUAUCAUGUUGCAUCCUUGUUUUGAGGUGUUUGCUUGUUGUUCGUAUGCAUUUUGCAUCUAUGCCAUGUUUAACUUGUUUUGCUCAUAUCUUCUAGGCCGUAGCUCUGAACUAAAUGAACUUUAUAUGUAACUUGACUAGAAUCUCGUGUAGAUCAUCUUGGUGCAUCUUAACUUAUUUUUUAACAACUUGAACAUAAGGUUUAUUCAGAUCUGGACCAAUUUCGAAAUUUGCAUAUGAGGACUUACCGGUUUAGUUCUAUGUUGUUUCCGGCCUCAUUUAAACUUACCUUGAUGUGUUCUUCUUGUUUGCAUCAUCUCUUGACAUGAGUAGCUUCAUGUAGUCUUGUCUUGCAUCAUGCUUGGUUGUGCAUCUUGUCUUGCCUAUGUGUGGUGUGUUUACCAUGUUGUGUGCUUCUUCUCGAUAGUUCCUGUUUCGUUGCGCUCGUGAGGAUUCGUUCGUCUACGCUUGGUUCGUCUUCGUGGCUUCAUCUUCUUCAUGGACUCGUUUUUCUUCCUAGCGGGAUUUCAGGCAAGAUGACCGUCACCUUGGAUCUCACUACUAUCAUUGCUAUGCUAGUUGCUUCGCUCUAUCGCUAUGCUGUGCUACCUAUCACUUGUUCUUCAAGCCUCCCAAAUUGCCAUGUCAGCCUCUAACCUUGUCACCCUUCCUAGCAAACCAUUGAUUGGCUAUGUUACUGCUUUGCUCAGCCCCUCUUAUAGCGUUGUUAGUUGUAGGUGAAGUUGAAGAUUGCUCCAUGGUGGACAGGAUUAUGUUGGGAUAUCACAAUAUCUCUUAUUUAGUUAAUGCAUCUAUAUACUUGGUAAAGGGUGGAAGGCUCGACCUUAUGCCUGGUGUUUUGUUCCACUCUUGCCGCCCUAGUUUCCGUCAUACCGGUGUUAUGUUCCCGGAUUUUGCGUUCCUUACGCGGUUGGGUGAUUUAUGGGACCCCCUCGACAGUUCGCUUUGAAUAAAACUCCUCCAGCAAGGCCCAACCUUGGUUUUACCAUUUGCCUCACCACCACCUACAUUUCCCUUGGGAGUAAUUAACCCAAGGGUCAUCUUUAUUCAGCCCCCCUGGCCAAUGCUUGUCUAAGUGUUGGUCCGAAGCAGAGCCACUUGCAGCGCCACCUCAGGGAAACUUGAGGUCUGGUUUUAGUUGUACGUAGUGUUCAUCCGGUGUUGCCCUGAGAACGACAUAUGUGCAGCUCCUAUCGAGAUUGUCGGCGCAUCGGGCGGUCUUGCUGGUCUUGUUUUACCAUUGUCGAAAUGUCUUGUAAACCGGGAUUCCGAGUCUGACCGGUUCUUCCUGGGAGAAGGAAUAUCCUUUGUUGAUCGCGAGAGAUUAUCAUGGGCUAAGUUGGGACACCCCUGCAGGGUAUAAACUUUCGAAAGCCGUGCCCUCGGUUAUGUGGCAAAUGGGAAUUUGUUAAUGUCCUGUUGUAAAUAACUUGACACCAGAUCCGAAUUAAAAUGCAUCAACCGCGUGUGUAGCCGUGAUGGUCUCUUUUCGGCGGAGUCCGAGAAGUGAACACAGUUUUUGGGUUAUGUUUGACAUAAGUAGGAGUUCAGGAUCACUUCUUGAUCAUUGCUAGCUUCACGACCAUUCCGCUUGCUCUCUUCUCGCUCUUAUUUGCGUAUGUUAGCCACCAUAUAUGCUUAGUCGCUGCUGCAACCUCACGGCUUUACCCCUUCCUUUCCCUUUAAGCUUUGCUAGUCUUGAUACCCAUGGUAACGGGAUUGCUGAGUCCUCGAGGCUCAUAGGUUACUACAAAAACUGUUGCAGGUGCAGGUUAUGCGAUGAUCUUGACGCAAGAGCGAUGUUUUCUUACCUUGGAGUUCUUCUUCUGCUUCUUCUUCGAUCAGGGGGAUAUGUUCCAGGUCGGCAGCCUGGGCUAGCAGGGUGGAUGUCGGUUGAGUUUCUGUUUGUGUUUCAUCUAUAGUCGGAUGAUGCUCUUAUGUUUUGUGAUGUGGUAUUCGUGUGGCAUUGUAUGCCUCUUGUAUGUAUCCCCAUCUAUUAUGUAAUGUUGAUGUAAUGAUAUCCACCUUGCAAAAGCGUCUUCAAGAUGCGCUUCUAUCCUUGGUGGGACCUUCGAGUUCCUUUAGGAUAGGGUCGCAUCUUGGGCGUGACACUUCUUUUAUGUAAGCAUAUGCGUCAACGUGUAGUAUGCGCAUAAGUCAGCCUCAAAUCUGUGGAAAACAGCAGACAUGCCAUCUGCCAUUAUUUCUAAUAAUGUAUAGCCCAUUUGCUAAUUCUUAAGAAUUCUUUUGGAUCCCAUCUUCUUUUUGUUAGCAUUACACCCCAUAUUGUGGGCACGGUUAAAAAGUAUACGAAAUUUUGCAUAUUUCGGUGCGGUCAACUGUUUUUAAUCCAGAAAUAUCAAUUCACAUUCAAACUAUUUUGAAAAAUAAUUUAUAUAAAUAUAAAAUCCAAAUAAUUGUCCACGCAUAAAAAUCAAUGGAAUUUAAAAUCUUGUAAUGAAAAAAAUUGAAAGUAAUUCCCGGUUUGAUGUGUUUUAAAAAUGUACAGCCCAUUUCUGGGCAAACUGAAUGAAACUCUCCUCGUCUUGAAAGAUUUGCAGCCCAGCAGGGCCGAUAAAGCAAGCAGGCCUUGUUUGGGUAUUUUUUUUAAAAUAGAACUGGGCUAGCCAUUGUCAGCAAGAAAAAAACACAACUGGGCUCAUGAUGUGGUAAACAUAAAUAAAACCCUGGCUAGAUGGGCCACGGCCCCCGCACAGCCCCGUUGUUACCCUGAUCCAUCGCUAAAACUAGUAUAAAUAACAAAUGCUUGUUCCUCAAAAAAAAUGAGCGACCUGUUAGGUCCCUGGUGUCAGCCGCUCGUAGUAUAAUUCUCUCGUUUAUUGAUGACGUUGACAAUGGCGUGAGCCCCAGAUGUCCAACCAUUAGGAGGAACCAUAUUUUUGGGCUUGUAAUAUAGAGGCACUUGCUUGCGUACUGCCAUGAAGCUGGUGGGUCCCUACUGUCGUCCUCUCCACGUACAGUCAUCUCCUUGUUCCUCUCGGUUGUUGACGACGUUGACAAUGCAAGAGGGUGGCGCACCAUGCACAGCGAGCGAACCAAGGCCGCAAAGCGGAGGACGAUGGCGAGGCCUCAGACGGAACGAACAGGAGCCGUGGAAGAUGCGCCGGUCCAGUCGCAAGCGGAGGGGAGUACGAGGGUUGACUGGUUCGGGUCCGGGUGCGUGUUGGGGCUGACGUCGCCGGAGAAUAACAUGACGUGUGGGGGAAUAAAGGGAGGGACUGGCCAAUGUUGGAGGGUACGUACGGUAGGGCGGCGGAGGCGUAGCCAGCCAUGGGAUGCGGGAGCAGGCAGAGCCGACGGGGUGGUUCGGUUUGGGUGGCUGGAGGAAGAAGACAAGAGAUAGAAGAUACACAAUAGAUGUUGGAUGUCAAUCCAACGGCUGGUAGACAGAAUCAUUUGUUGACUGGCUAGGCUAUUUCCUCGCGGGUCCCAAAUGUCAGAAUCUAAAUUUGUCAUGGUCAUGCAGCCUUUCCUAUGAAAAUUUACAGUCCAUUUGAUGUGCUAGUUCGAAAUAAGUUUGUGGGUGCUGGUGGGGGCUAAUCACUUGGCUUUUGUAAUGCACAAUGAGCUCAAGCAGCCGACGAGAGUGAUGUUAUUUCCCUUGGUUGGGAUUUGUUACAAUAUUUCACUCUAAAUUAAACGAAUGGCAAGCCAUGCCUUGUUUCAAAGAAAAUAUGACAGCCACAGCUGAGUUGAAAAGGGCAGGAACAUCUAACUCCAGCUUACAAACUGUACAAAAGCACGAGGGUUAAUUGUUCAUCAGGUUUACAAAAAAACCCAGGUUGAAAAGGGCAACAACAUCUAACUCCAGCACUGUUUUCGGCAGUCCCUGUCAAAUGGAUCGGUCGGGUCCAUAGAAUGAACAUCCUGGGUCGUAAAAUUUACUGGAUUAUGACCACAAUAUGUUGUAAAUAGAAGCCCGACACGUUCAGAUGCUCUUUUGCCCACCUGAAACUCCUUUUUUUACUCUUCGACAUACCCAUCCGUCAAAACCAUGCUGCUGAUAAACUUAAGCCUGAUGGACAAUAGUAACCUCGCAUUCAGCAGGAAGAAUGUGACAAAUCUAGUGUUUGCAUGGUUGGCUACAUAUCGUUCUAGCGUUAUUGUCUUUAAUCGAAUCUCAUGAGAAGUGAGAAAAUCCCGAUGCUUACGAAUCCACCGAUUGGUUAUAACUUUCUUACCCAGUCUUGUUGCCUAAAUAGACAUGAAGAUUGAAAACAGUUAAGGUCUAAAAAAGAGUGUUGAAAGAGCAACAGCUGAACGGUUAAUUCUAGUACACUAUAUGCAGGCUUCCAAUGUGCGUGAAAUUAUCACCUUUAUAUAUAACUUCUCCAGACAUGGAAAGCAUUGCAGCAAGCCAAUAAUCUUGUUCAUAUCAAAACUAAUCAUUUGGAUAUAUAAGAUCUUGGCAGAAUCCAGCACCAUUGAUAGGCCAUCCAUGGAGAAACUCUUCAUUGAGCAUAGAACAUAGUAUUAGUACAAAAUGUGUACUCCAAGAUGAUAUAUAACUUAUGGGCAGAAAUUUAAAAUGCAGCUUAUGGUUACAAGUGUAGAUGAUAAUAUAAAGUACCUGAAGAAAUGUGGAGCCAAACACCAUAUUGAAAUGAGCACAGAGAUCAUGUAUUACACCCAAGGUCUCCAGUUUAGGCGCAGAGAGGACGGUUAUUUGCAAUGGUGAAUAACUAGAAUCAAGGAUCAACCUUUGAAGUGAAGGGGCAUCUUGGAUAAUGAGCUGCCUUCCGUCAAAAGAAAUUCCAAUUCUUACAAGGUUAGGUGACUUUAUUUGGAGACAACCGAUUCUAACUGUGAAAACAAGCACCAAGCACUCCAGGGCAGGGCAACUGGAGUGGAUGAUGUUGUGUAAUGAGGACUUCGAUAUACGAACCCACACAAGUGAAAGUUUCUUGAGAAAUGGGAGUCAAAGGUUUAGUACCAGAUUGUCUGGUAGGUAGCACAUUGCAAAGGUGGCGGUGUGGAGAGAGGAGGAAAACCACGAGAUGGACAUUGGUGUUGAGGGCAUAAGUUCAUGGCGUUCGGUAUGUGGUAUGUGAUUUCCAGGGGAAUAGUAGAACUCAAGCAGCUGUAGUUCUGUGAAUUCAGGGGAUUUCAGCCAGGUGUUCACCGUGCAGGGCAUGGUAUGCUUGCUCAGGUAGCAUGACGGGAUGCAGAGGCUUUGAAUGGAGCCCUGGUGGGAGCAGAUGAUGGCUCUGGGGAUUUCAAAAUCAUUGAAGAGAGAUAGCUGAUGAUAGUCGAGAUUAAGGGGCACGUCACGCCAUAGAGGGCGCCACCAAAUUGAGAGGACUUGGGUGCGGCAGCAACCUUGGUGGGGAGAAGCAAGAUGAUCUCCCCAAGGACGGCAUCCGGGAGAUCGCUGAUGCGGUCCACCCGAGAUUCUAUGGGUUCCUGGGAUCCGGUGGGGGCGGGGUCGCCGCUUCUCCCUGUGCUGCCGGGUGCGGGAUCUACAACAGGCGUCGCCACUGGCGGGAGCCUCAUCUUCUUGGCGCUGGGGUCAGCCAACUCCAUUUUCCUCGAGGGUGUCGCGUCACGCUCACGGAUUUGAGCAGAGUUAUGAAUGACGAGCCUAGUUGUAGUGCGAGUGAAGAAGAUGGGGAGCUGAGGUUUUUUCUGUAGUAGUGAGGAAGAAGGGGAGCUGGGGUUUUCUGUAGAAGUGAGGUAAGGAAUUUGGGGGUACGAGUGCAGCGAGCUGACGUGAGGUGGGUAGGAGCGAGAAGGAAGAAGAGCACCCAGAUUUUGGAGGGGGGGUGUGCUGGGUGUGGGUAGCGCCUCUCAUUCAGUAAAUAUAGGGAUUUUGAAUUGAUUUUACUAUUUACUAGCGUGGAUGGGCUGUUUUGUCUUGGGCCCAGAGAAACAAUUACUACUAGUACAGUGGAGACACUCUACAGCUACCCAGAAAAAUAAUUACUACUAGUAUAGUGGAGACACUCUACCGCUUCUGGCUCCUCCUAGGUCAUUGAAAUGUCUCCCUCUACUGAAUGCCGUUAUACUUUUGUUCAACGACAUGCGAGCCAUGCAGCGCGCGAGCCCAAGUGCCAUCCACCAAAUUAGAAGGCAGUAUGCAGGCAAAGAGUCACCCCGGUCGUAGCGCGGCAGUAACGAGCCGUCGUAUCACAAAACCCCACCCCCGCAGUCUAAGUUUGACGGAUGAAGCAACCAUCAUUUCACUCUUCGCUGAAUCCCCUUAUCCCUCACCGUCUUCAAGAAAGGCAACACUCGCAUCUGCCACUGUUGUUCUCUCCCAACGAAGGGAAGGCAAGUGGAUCCGUGAUGUUGGUAUAUUUUCGUUUAGAGAAAAAAAAGAACUUUUGCAAAGCAGUAACCGAUCCUCACUCUCUUUUUUGUUUCAUUGUCAUUGUAAUUGUGUUUUCCUUUCAGUGCUCUCCUAGUAUUCGUCAGUUUCAUGAUGGACCAAGGAGAACCAGGCAAAGAUCUGCCAAUAUUGGAGCAGACGCGAGAGGCUGAUCCCCACGAGAUAGAGAGCUCCAAGAAGAUGGAGGCAGUCACCGAGCCGACCCCUGAUACGCUCACGGCCACUACUGAGAUGGUCAACACCCCGUUUGAGGUUACAACCCCCNNNNNNNNNNNNNNNNNNNNNNNNNNNNNNNNNNNNNNNNNNNNNNNNNNNNNNNNNNNNNNNNNNNNNNNNNNNNNNNNNNNNNNNNNNNNNNNNNNNNNNNNNNNNNNNNNNNNNNNNNNNNNNNNNNNNNNNNNNNNNNNNNNNNNNNNNNNNNNNNNNNNNNNNNNNNNNNNNNNNNNNNNNNNNNNNNNNNNNNNNNNNNNNNNNNNNNNNNNNNNNNNNNNNNNNNNNNNNNNNNNNNNNNNNNNNNNNNNNNNNNNNNNNNNNNNNNNNNNNNNNNNNNNNNNNNNNNNNNNNNNNUUUUCUUCUUUGCCGAUCUCGGUUGUGGUUUUUCAUCUAAGUAUGUGGUGAUUAAUAAUGCACAAUUUAUUAGCUUCGAUGCCAUGCUAUACAUAGUGGUUUAAAUAACUUGUGUUUCUUAUACUGAAAAGUAAUUCAGAAUUUGUUUUUGUUUCAAUUAGAACCCUGAUGCAGACAAGGAUUGUGUGGUUGUAAAUGUCACUAUCUAUGAGGCGGAUGACCUGAAUAUACGCACUGGGAAAACAAAGUUCUUAGGCUGUUGGAUCCUGGAAGCCAUUUGCGGUUAUACCAAUGAAGAGUUGUAUUCCAGCCUCACUGUUGUCAGGCGUGUUGUCCAGGGUGUACUAAAGCACAAGAAGUUCAAAGCUACUCCUUCGUUUGUGAGGCAUACUGUUCUUGUCAAGCUUACGCAGGAAUAUGAUGUGGCAUGCCUCCACAAACAAGUUUAUCAGUGGCAAGGCCACAAGGUUGUCUUCAUGAAGCUUCACAGGAUUGAGCUGUUACGGGACGUCCUCGAUGAUGUUCAUGGCAAGGUCCGUCUUGUGUCCAACCCAAAUUAGAUCGAGGCAUGAAAUAGUUUCCCCAUCUAGUGUUUAAUAGUAGUUUGGAUUGUGUCUAAUUAUCCGAACUUGCCUAUUAUCGACCCCUCUGGGGCUAGUACUCUGGUUGAAUCCGUCUAUGGGAACUGCUGCUACUUUUGUGUGCCCGUGAAUCAUGUGAGAACCAUCGUAAUUGUUGCCGAAACAGAUGCGUCCUCACUAGUUUUUUCAUGAAUAUGGCAUGGUAAGACAUAAGUUGUCACGUUUUAUCAUACGAGCAGUGUGUGUUUUGAUGAAAUAGAGCACUCGUUCGAGAACUGUGUGCCAACGUAUACAUAAGUACUUGUAAACAUUGUUGGUGCUACCUCGCUUCAACACUAGGCUAUCGACCAGCUAACAAUCAACAAUCUGUUGUUUGACAUAUAAGCAACUAUGUAUCUUGUUAUAGUGGUUCAUGCAGUUAACUGAGGCCACAAUGUAAAUUCCAUACGUUCACAUGCUUGUCCAGCGCUCAUGUGGAACACUCACAUUAAACUCGUCUUCAUAAAUAACUUGAAAAGCAUAAGUUAAGCAAUUUUAUACAUCUCAAUGAUUCAUAGAACAUAACAAACAUAUACUAGUUCACAGCAAAAGACAAAGUUGUGAGAAGGUUUACAAAUCAGGAAAACACAAGCAAGGCUUCUCUGGGCAAAGGGCCUCCCGGUAGGCUUAAAUUUCUUGGAGUUCACUCUGUUUUUUUCUUGUUGCCACCAUCCAGGCUUAGGUUCUCUCAUUCCAGAAUAACCAAUUAUAAUUGUGGUCUCAGCUGGAAUGCUGAACUGAACCAUGCAGUGUACUGACCAGGUGAAAUUCUUGUGCAUUCCACUAAAUUUAAGCACCGCUAUUUGUAGAAAUAAGCAGACCACAAUGCCUCUUGUCCGUGCACCUGUCCAAAAAACCGUGGUGCAGCCGUGCCAGCUAGUCCUCAGUCCGUGGAUGAACUGGUGAAAGUGCAUUCCAGACUAGGAUGUAGUUGUUUUUGCUCGUCCCUGCACUGCAAUCAGGAAGUAAAACGUAUGAAUCAGCUUCUUUUAGAUUGCGUUGGUCAUUCUACCUUAGUUACUACCAAUGUAGGAAUACCUUGAAGACUGGAGGUUAUACGAUGGCAACGAGGGAUAGCCAUCUCAUUUUGCGCAGUUGUACUAAAACUGAGGUGUGUGCUUUUGAUUGCGCGAAUAGAAACGAUACAGAGACAUACAUCCCGAAACAAUAUGGAGACAGACAUCCCUGUUUGCGCAAAUACAAAAUACGGUUAUUUAAACAGUGACAGAUAUUUGCAGUGGCGUAUGAUUAACAACAACAUCUAUUGUGUUAUAAUUGGCACUAGAUUAACAGUAUGAAGAGUCCUGAAGUAAGUAGCAUCACAUCACAUCAACAAUGCCACUAGAUUAACAUGCAGAACAAUAGCAUUAGUAUUACUGUCAUGAGAGUAGCACAUGGUCAGUAAAUGUGCAAUCAAAUUUGUGCAGUUCCACUAGGAUGAAGCAAUGUUAGCGGUGUGAGGGUUAAGUGUAACUGCAAAAACACAAUUCAUGGGAAAUAAAGCAAGAUGAAAGCACUUCAUAAAAUGGUGGUGGCAUUGCUUCAAUUUAUCGACGUCACUAGACCAUUACUUAUAGUGACAUUAGGUGGCAUUGCUUAAUGCUUCAUGUGAUUUUACAUUAACGGUAGCGAUAUGGACAUAGGGACAACAUGGGCAUAAAGUGGUGAGGCAGAUGUGGCUGCCGAGAGCGGCAAACACUCAGGCAGCAUGUCUGCAUUUGUCCCAUUUUUUAUCUCCUCGGCGACAUUUUCCUAUGUGAGCACAGGAAAUCUAGACCUGCUCAUUCUCAUUUGCGUUGUCCCCCAACACCCGUCACUUUCUUUCCUUUUUCAACCAAGAGAUAGGUCCACUUCCCCCCACCCUUCGCCAUCCACCAUGCUUUCUUCGUCUUUUCAACCAAGAGACCGGUUGGGUAGCCAGUAUCUACUACUUUCCCCCGUUUCCUCUUAGAACCAAGUCCUAGAUUCAUGCUACAACUUUCCCACUUUCUUCCCUGUUUGAACCAACUCUUAGAGUCGACUGUAUGAACUAGCUUUACCUCUAAUAAUAGUAAAAGUCUAGGUGGCUUUGGAACAGCGGACGGAAGUAGAAAAAGAUCCACACGAAGGGAGCUGGGGCAGUAGACCAAGGUAGGUUUCGAAGGAAUAUAUACCUGAGGGUCGUCGGCAUGUGGCAAAGACGGCGUCGGGAGGCCGCAUCUUGGCCACAAUACCGCAGGGAGGAAGAAGGGGUCGGAGGCACUCCCGAGCCGGCGCUCUCUCGGAGAGAAUGACACGGCCGCCGAUCGGGACGCGCGGGCAGCCGUUGGUCUCCUCCCUCGCCGCUGACGACAACGUGAACGAUGCACCUACACCCCUGCCCCGGUCGAGGUUGUGCGGCCGGAUUUGUGACCAGCUGUGAGCUACGAGAGAGUGUGGCCACCUAUGUCUUGCUUAGAUCUGGAGAGCAUGAGAGAGUGAACGAGAGGAACCCUAGUGAAGCAAGCGCUAAGGCUCCUGCUUAUAUAUAUAGUGGAGUGAUUUUGUUGUACCAGCUUCAAAAAAAUGCGCUCCUACGUGUACCAGUGAGUGGGUGUGAGAGAACUAGUGUGUGCGUGCACCGCUUCUCUUCGUGAGAGUACAAUAUACUAUGCCCAAAGAACGUUCGCCGCAAGAGUAAUAGUAUAAGUGUGUCACGUGUGAGCUAAAAUAAAAUGUGCGCGAUGUCUUUUGUUUUUUAGAAGUUCUGAGGGUAGGGUGUGAAGAGCACAUAUGUGCGUGACGUCUACCUACAAAUAGACGAUGGGUGCGGCGUGCGAGUCUGCGAGAGGACUCGGGAGAGUCGUGACUCAUGAGGGUGCGUGUGCGUGAGAGGGAGGGGGGCACGUAUCAAUGCAAUGCAUGUGUCCGUAAAUCAUUAUCCGACAAACAUUCGCCACAAGCCUUUUCCUGACGAACGCCGUAAGAACCAUUAGAUCGGCAUCCGACAGUGUCAGUUUUGCCAUGUCAUUUAACAGAACAGACACUCCUCCUACACACAAAUCUUCCACGUGAGUGUUAGCAACUGCCGUAUGCUCCCUCCGUUUCGAAAUGCGGUGCAUAUAGCUUUAUUGAAAAUUCGAACCUCGCAAACUUUUACCGAGUUUUCGUGUACCAAAUUGCACAUGUAGAAUUCCCUGUAUAUAUCAUUUUAUUCAUCUUCGAGAGGUAACUAUAAAGAUGGGGGAGGAGUCUACAAAAUAAGACCAUCGUAUCACCCACAUCAAUUUCAACCAUCCUUUGGUGUCGAGGAAUAUCAUAGGAACUCUAUAUGAUAUGAUUUUUAUAGGAUUUUUUCCUUUAGAGCCAAUUGGUUCAUAGGAAUAGAUUCAUAUACUCCACAUUUCAAAGGAAAUAAACAUGAUAUCAUUUCUAUAACUUGAGACCCACUUGGUUCAAAUGAAUGGAUUCCUAUACUCCCUUAAUUUCAAAGGAAAAUAAACAUUAGCAUGUAUUCAAUAGAAAAGUUCCUAUGUUCUGAACCAAAUUACAUAUCUUUUCUAAUCCCUCGUCAUAGGAAGUGAGGUACAUGUCAUCUCUAGAUUCAAUAGAAAAGUUCCUAUGAUGUGAACCAAAUGACAUCUCUUUUCCAAUCCCUACUCAUAGGAAUUGAGAUGCUCCAUGUCAUCUCUUUCCCUACAACUUCCAUGUAUACAUCUUCUAUUCCUAAAUAGAUAGUACAACCCACUAGUAGCUUUUUUCCAAAACAUGCAACUAUGGCACAAGAACUAUAUAGUGUGCCAAUAACUUUGAAAGAUGGUCACUGGAUGAAGCUAAUCCAACAGUGCAGAGAUGGCGAAUCCGAGCACUACUGGCCGUUGGAUAUCAUCAACAUUCCACCAGAUCUACCACAUGUACAAUUUAGAAGACUCCAUGGUUGAACUUAAGCAUAUUGCACAAACCUCAAAACACAAGCACUUCUCCUUUGUUCUAGAAUCUUCUGUAUCAUAAUUGUUUUUUUCUAAAUGAAUUGCCAUUAUUUGUUUUUUACUUUAUGCUUUACAAUGCACAACCCCAUGAAUCUUAACAUUUUUAUAAAACUAAUUGAUUUUGAAUGAGAUGAACUAUAAGAACUAAACGAACAUCUACAUCAUGCAUAUAUGACUCAAAGCUUUACAUGUUAUAGUGUGUAUUUAUUCAUAAUUUGGUUUCAAAAUCUCAUGCGUUCAAUGCAUCAUUGCCUUUCGGUCGAACCUACGUCCACAAUUUUUUGUACGUACUAUAUCUCCACUAGUCCCCGAACCCAAAAUGUUGCCUCGUUCCCGUAAAACCAAGCGGCCCACACAUGGGUCGACUCGAACCUGUUUACUACGACGUGGCCCCGCACGCCGUAGUACUCCUACAAACCCUACCGCCGCACUCAUCAUCGGUUUUCUUCAAGAGGACGAGGGAGAAGCCGAUUUGUAGUGGAGGUGCUUUCAAAAAAAAGGAUAUGUAGUGGAGACCCCUACCCUAGGGUGCCCUAGGUAGCUGCCGCAUGCAUCAUUGUUUUCUCUUCUUUAUGCUCUUGCGCCGUAGACUGAAAUGAUGGUUGCUUCGUCCGUCCAGCUCAAUGCGGGAAAGGUGGGGCUUUGUGAUUUGACCCCUCGUCGCUCAUUUUCUACUACUGCGGCGCUACCGGGGUGCCUCCAGUUCCAACCGCUGCUCUGAACUGUAUUUUGGUGCAUCGCACGUGGAACAAGACGGUGGAUGAGCCACAUGUCAGCCAAAGGGGUCAUGUUAAGUGUCUCGCCAUUUCGUGUGCGGACUGACCCUACUUGAGUUACUACACCAACACGACAGGAGCAGCCUACCACUUGGUUUUGCUCCUUGGUGAAUCCCGACUAUAUUGAUCUAAAAAGAUACGUGCUGAACUACCCUCUCCGUCUCAGUUUUUUAUUUUUAGGUGUCUCGGUUUAUAGGGCGUGCACGUAGUUCUAGGUCAUCCAUUUGACUAACUAAAUAUGAGUUACUAUGUCAUAAAAAGUACUACUAUAUCAUUGGAUUCUUAAGUAGAUGUAGUUGUAUUUAAAAGUCGAGGGCGGGGCUUUUCCUGCGCGGUAGGCGGGGAAGUUCCGCCUAGUCGGUUCGAUAGAGACGCGAGAAGACGAGGGAGUAGGCUGCUGCAAACAUAGGGAUGUGUGAUUUGACAGCGAGUUACUGCUGGACAGCUGGGGCCCCGUGAUUUGAUUUGCCAUUUUCAUUUUAACUGCGGCGCUACGACCGGCGUGAGUCUCCCGAUUCCUGACCACCUCCAUACAGGUGCCUCUCCCAAUGCUCCACCAUGUAGUUGAGGCUGGCUUUUGCAUGAGAGCCCACUUCUCCACUUUUUCCUUGCCUCUUUCCUCCACACAUGCAAAAAUGCCAUGUAAAGCGGGCUUAUAGCCCACUAUUGUACAGGUGCUAAGCUUAUAGCUAACCUUAUAGCUAACCUUGUUGUAGUAUGAGUGACUAAGUGAUGACUAUGUAUGACAUACCAACAUCAGAUAGCCUAACGCACCGUGUUAAAUCUCCAAGGGCGCGACCGCGCGAGCGACGCGACGGUCGUGGUAGGCGCGACCAUGAUACGGGCUGCUGGCAGCCCUUGGAUCUGAGAUCAAACAGUCGCAUGCUAAGUUGCUGAAAAUUUGCAGAAUAACCCUCCAAGAUAGGAUAUUCACCCAUAGGUAUAGAAUCACGCCAUGCAACCGUUCGAUCUCAGAUCCAAGGGCUCUCGGAAGCCCGUAUCAUGGGAGAAUGGAAAGCCACUACCCUGUCGUUCGCACGCUGGCAGUUCGCUCCUACUCGUCCCCGCACGUCCUUUAAUACUACGGCGGUUCGCUCCUAGUCGUCCCGCCCUUUCACAUUACAGCAGUUCCACUAAUCCUAACCCUCCUCCCAAAUCCAUGGCGUCCCAAAUCUCCAUGAUCGGUGGUGAGUGCAAGGUUAGAACCAUCACCUAUGAUGAGUUUGACGUCAUCUACACCCGUUCUUCCACGACGGUGAAAGGAUGCCUUUCUCGCUUCAGACGCAUGUUCAAAAACUCACAUGAUGAGUGGGUCAUUGGGCUAGAUGUUGAGUACACCACAGUCCUGGGACGAGAGAAGGAUCUAAAGGACGAAGAGAGGAAGAAGCCCGCCGUGAUCCAGGUUUGCGUGCAUGAGUUAUGCUUGGUCUACCACAUAUGCCAUUUCGACGUUGAAUGCCUGGAUUUUAAGAACUUCCUCGAGAGCAACCUAGUCAAAUUCGUUACUGUAGACUUUACGAACGACAAAGAAGUCUUGGGUCGGAUAGGCCUCAUUGUAGGCAACCCCUUCAACCUCCAGAAGAAUCGGCUGCUGCCCUCCGGUGGCCAGCCUUCAAUGUUGACCCUGGCAGGAGCCAUCCUUCAUCCUUCAUAUGGUAAACUGGAGAAACCUCAUUACACGUUUCAUCGUCAUGAAUGGCAGUGGAAUGUACUAGAUAUAGACCACAUCCACUACACUGCAAUGGAUGGCUACCUUUGUUUCAAUAUCUACAAGGGUUGGAUGAAGAGCAUGUUGGGGAACGUAGCAGAAAUUCAAAAUUUUCUACGCAUCACCAAGAUCAAUCUAUGGAGAUUCUAGCAACAAGAGAGAGAGGGAAUGCAUCUUCAUACCCUUGAAGAUCGCUAAGCGGAAGCGUUACAAGAACGCGGUUGAUGGAGUCGUACUCGCGGCGAUUCAAAUCGCGGAAGAUCCGAUCUAGCGCCCGAACGGACGGCGCCUCCGCGUUCAACACACGUACAGCCCGGGGACUUCUCCUCCUUCUUAAUCCAGCAAGGGGAGAGGAGAAGUUGAGGGAGAGCUCCGGCAGAACGACGGCGUGGUGGUGGAGCUUGCAGUUCUCCGGCAGGGCUUCGCCAAGCACUACGGAGGAGGAGAAAGAGUUGGAGGAGGGAGGGGCUGCACCAAAAGCAAGGUUGCGGCUGCCCUCUCUCGCCCUCACUAUAUAUAGGGGGAAGGGAAGAGGGGGUCGGCCCCUGUAGAUGGAUCUAGAGGAGGGGGGCGGCGGCCAGGGGAAACCCUAGAUGGAUUUGGGCGCCCCUACCCCCUAGGAAACUUGCCCCCCAAGCCGGGAGGGGAGGCUGCCCUAGGGGUGGCGCCCCUACCUCUCCAGGUUAUGUGAGAUGGGGUGAGAGAGGCGCUCAGCCCCUUAGUGGGAUGAUGUGCCUCCUCCCCUUUGCCCAUAAGGCCCCCUAACACUUGUCGGGGCCUCCGAAACCCCUUUCGGACCCCCUGGUCAUCACCUGGUACCCCCAGAACAAUUCCGGACUCCAAUACCCUUCGUCCAAUAUACCGAUCUUCACCUCCGGACCAUUCCGGAACUCCUCGUCACGUCCGGGAUCUCAUCCGGGACUCCGAACAACCUUCGGUAACCACAUACUAUUUCCCAUAACAACUCUAGCGUCACCGAACCUUAAGUGUGUAGACCCUACAGGUUCGGGAACCAUGCAGACAUGACCGAGACACCUCUCUGGCCAAUAACCAAUAGCGGGAUCUGGAUACCCAUAUUGGCGCCCACAUGUCCCACGAUGAUCUCAUUGGAUGAACAACGAUGUUGAGGAUUCAGUCAAUCCAGUAUACAAUUCCCUUUGUCUAUCGGUAUGUUACUUGCCCGAGAUUCGAUCGUCGGUAUCCCAAUACCUCGUUCAAUCUCGUUACCGGCAAGUCACUUUACUCGUUCCGUAAUGCAUGAUCCCAUGAGUAACUACUUAGUCACAUUGAGCUCAUUAUGAUGAUGCAUUACCGAGUGGGCCCAGAGAUACCUCUCUAUCACACGGAGUGACAAAUCCCAGUCUCGAUUCAUGCCAACCCAACAGACACUUUCGGAGAUACCCAUAGUGCACAUUUAUAGCCACCCAGUUACGUUGUGACAUUUGGCACUCCCAAAGCAUUCCUACGGUAUCUGGGAGUUGCACAAUCUCAUGGUCUAAGGAAAUGAUACUUGACAUUAGAAAAGCCUUUAGCAAAUGAACUACACGAUCUUGUGCUAUGCUUAGGAUUGGGUCUUGUCCAUCACAUCAUUCUCCUAAUGAUGUGAUCCCGUUAUCAAUGACAUCCAAUGUCCAUGGUCAGGAAACCAUAACCAUCUAUUGAUCAACGAGCUAGUCAACUAGAGACUCACUAGGGACAUGUUGUGGUCUAUGUAUUCACACAUGUAUUACGGUUUCCAGUUAAUACAAUUAUAGCAUGAACAAUAGACAAUUAUCAUGAACAAGGAAAUACAAUAAUAACCAUAUUAUUAUUGCCUCUAGGGCAUAUUUCCAAUAGGCAAGAGCCAAGUGUGCAGUUCAAGUAAAGAAGUAUCGGCCAAGAGGAAGAGGGACAAGGACGAAGUCGAGGAUGUGGACGAGGACUCCUCCGAGUGAGUAAGGUGUCAGUAUUGUUGCUCAUGGUGGUUCUAAUGCAGUGUCUACCGAAUUAGUUGCAUAGUUUAAUUUCAGGUGUGCUUACUUGAAUUUGAGGGGUGUGUUGUGCUGAGCCCAAGCAGAACUAUGUUAUGUUUCUUCUCAUUACUUUAACUCCUCAGUAUGAUACAUACUACUAGUAUUUCUUUAAUAGAAUUUAGCACCCCAAUUAAGCACGUACUAGCUUUUUUAAUAGUACUAUAUGCAUAAUUUGGCGACAAGCACUCUCUAUAUGUACCACCUUUUUUUUUAAUUUCAAUUUUUGCUCCAUGGUGCAAUCCAUUGAUAGUACUACUGUACAAAAGUAUACAUUUUUUAAAAGGCUAGAGUACUGUUCAUCACAUAUAUAGCCAGCUAAAUUCUCGACCUAGAACGACGUGCAUGCCAUGUAGUAAACCGAUACGCGGAGGAAGUAUAGUAAAAAUGAGGUGAUUUUACCGAGCGAUCGGCGGGGGAGCAUGGCUGUCAUGCGGUCCCACGUGUCAUGAUGUACCAAGGUGAUGCGCGUGUCCCUCUUGAGGCAGAAGCAAUACUACGUGGUUUGAGAUGAUGGCGAACCGAAGUGUGAAAUAAUGGUUGCUUCGUCCGUCUGGGAAGGUGCGGCAUUGUGAUUUGACGUCUCAUUGCUCAUUACUACUACUGGGCCGGUACGAGUGGGGUGCGUCCCCCUGCUAUUCUGCACUGUUAUUUGGUGCUUGACACGUCAACCCGGUUGCUAUGUGUCCCACAUGUCGGUGACAGGAAGUACAGAAUUCAUGAAAGGGAGCGUCGACGGAGGAGUAUACUACAGAAUUCAUGAAAGGGAGCGACUUAGUUUUGGAAAAAUCUGUUUUUACGGAGUAUGUACCCACUAGGGUUUAUAGGGCUCAUCUAAAAAUCAUUCGUUUUUCCGUUUGAUAAGUCUCAAUUCUACUAUACUAGUAGUAGUACCAUUACAUGUUGGAUUUCGAGGUGCUUUAGAUCACCCGAUGCAAGUAGUGUCAAGAGGAAACUAACCAAUGCAUGUACAAGUUCAUGGAAAUUUAGUGGUCAUUCAUGCAUUCGUUCUAAUUAAUGCCUCGGUAAACAUAACUUCUUGAGAAAACUACGAAAUUAAUUCGACCACUCACCGUCUACCUUGGUUGGAGAGAUUUUGAAAUUGAGCCAUAAACUGGAAAGGAGGGAGUAGUAACUUUUGUCUCGAUUACUAUUUGUGGCCUUGUAUAGAUGCAAAAUGUAUUUUUUAUAGUGGCCUUGUAUAAGUAAAUGGAGGGAGUACUCACCAAGGUACGUAGUAGGGACGAGGAGUAAACGGAGGGAGUAGUAAAAUUUUCUCCUCGUGCUGCGAGCCACCGCGCGCGUGGGCGAGGGAGCGGGCGUAAGGUGUACAGUAGUAGGAGUACUACUACUACUACUACUACUCGUAAGCAAGCUUCACCUCAUCCUGCGAGCCACCGCGCCUGUGGGCGGGGGAGACAGCAUACUAAGCAAGCUUCUCCUUGUUCUGCGAGUUGACGGGACACAUCAAAAGUACUCCAGUGUAUAGAGCCUUGCCUCUAAGGUAGGCCCCACAUGGUUUGCCUCUUUUUUUAACAUAACACGUCAAGUCGCAAUUUGUUUGUUCACCUGUGGUAGACGAUCCUCCCUCCACCAAGUGGACAACCAGUACACGUGCCAAAUUACCACAUGGGCUGCCUUUUUCGUACAGAAAUGAGCUCCACCGUGUACCCGCGCGGGUGUGGUUGGAAAAGAGACGGGAGUACGUGCGCCGUGCGUGCACCUCUUCUCUUCGUGCACGUCCCCCACCUAUGUAGUGUGUGUGAGAGAGAUACAAACCAAGACAUAAUGCGCCAUCCAUCCCCAUGCCUCCGCCCAGUCCGACCAGCAGUCACCACCACGCCCCACUCCUCCUCACCUUAUCUCUCAUCUUUCUCCCUCCAUUUUUAUAUACAAGGGGCCACUAUCAAAAUUACAAUUUGCAGAUAUACAAGGCCACUAACACUAAUCGAUGCAAUAUUAAUGGUGUUUGCCUCGUGGUACUAGCAAAGGAGGACAUUAAUUAUCCCUUGCAUGCAUGCGGGAGUUUGUAAAAAAAUGCAGCUUGAUGUUUCGUGCAAUGCACAGGCAUCUUGCUAGUCCAUGAAAACAACACAUGGCAAAAUUCCAUGGCGAAAGUGGGAUUUGAUUCUGUUGGGAGGGGUUGUUUGGAUCUUGCCCGGGGUAGCCAAAAUAUUGGCGACCCUUUUGUCCACCGGUGCCUUUGCCACCGAUGAACGAGGAAUGGCUCGGGUGCUCAUGCUGUCAUGCAUCCUCCAGCGCGCACGUUGGAGACGAGCUCGCACGAGCUGUGUUUUUUGUCCCACAACAUCGCCCGAACCGCCCGCAGACCGACCGACGACCCGCAAAUUACGCCAUCCAACCGUAGCCGCACACAUUAUGACAGCAACUCAACCAACCGGACGAAAUUUACGCAAACACGUAGACAAACUGAUAUUUCAUAUAAACAACAACGGAAAUCAUAUAAAAUACCGGAUUUUCAUACAAACAUGAUGGAUUUCAUUACAUUCAAAUGAACUACGCGGUGCUAGUUCUGGACAGCACAGGUAUAUAAUACCUGGCCUAAAUGGUCGCCCGCCGAUCGAUUUGUGUUCCUCAUGUCCGGCAGCAUGAUCACCGGACUACUGGGAGCCCCAGAGGUAUAUGCUUCAGUGCAAAGGACGGCUCGCUUCCCCACUGCCCAACUGAUAUCAUUGGCUGGUGCCAAAGAUGAUGGUGGUCAGCACCGGUUCGAGUUCAUCACCGGCCACUACUUUGCCAUGGCCGGCACCGGCUCGAGUUCAUCCUAAUAUUCCCCUCUUCCGUGGAGCCCAUGCCGGGUCGAUGAAGGUCCUCACAACAAAAGGAUCCGGCAAGACACCUGUUGUGUACACCAGCGUCGCCUCCGCGAUGGCCUUCAUGGGACCCAAGCGGCGGCGGCCUCCCAUGUUCUACUUCUCCUUGAUGAUGGCGGCAGACGCGGAGGCACUGGCCACCGACUCGUCGCUCUCCGCGCACCUGGCUUCUGUCCCUGCUUGCAUGGCGCGGCCGCCGGCAUGGGAGUCUCGGCCACAGAAACGGGAGACGCGGUACGAGGCGGCGGCGUGGACGGCAGCAACGACGCCCUGCGCCGCUCCUCGUCGAGCUGGCCUGGAGCGGCGAGUUGCUGAACCGCGCGCCGGCUUGGGGCGGCAACUGGCUUCGUCGGGCGAGGGAAGGGAGGUGGAUCAGCGAGCUGCAUAGCUCGUAUCUAGCAGGCUACCCAGCCGGCUUGGAUGCGGAAUAACUACUCUUCGUAAGCCAUUGUAAGAGUGGACAAAAUGGUGGAGGAGAUAGGGGAGCGGCGGAGGUGUGCGAUUCUUGGCCAUCAUUUAGCCUCAUUUAAAUAGGAGAUUAAAUAGAUGGCAGAUGGGAGGAGCUCGGCCGGCGUUGCAUUUAACAUCGGCCCGGUCAUGAACGGACGUGUGUCCACAGUGGGUUUCUCGGCUUCCACACGGGCGGGUUUCAUGGAGGCGUUUGAAUGCGGCACGAAGGCAUGUUCAGCUGGGCGUGCAGCGAGUGGCGCCCUCGACUCUGACCUAGGACACCGCACCAUUCUUCCACUGACAUGUGGACUCUUUGGGUGCAUGGCCUCCAUGUCAGUGACCGAAUGCAUGCAGCGCACAGCAGAGGAACCUUUGGUGGGCUAGGGUGGUCAGAAGCAGGCAUUUCAUAAACCGAUGAUUGUUCAUUGAGUGUGACAUCAUCUUUUUCAUGUAGGUAAGCGUACUAUGUUGAUAGCCCGUUCGAUACAUUGUGAUUCAUAAAUACCGCUGCAAACAUCAAUGUUCUGCUUAUCACAGAUAAGAUUGAUUAAUACCCGUAACAAUCCAUGUCCUUAACAAAGGGUGCAUGCACGUAUACGUUGAGCGUGUGUCUUGCGUCAUGUGUUGUGUGCAUGCAGGUGUGCGAGUGUUGCGUGCGUGCAAGGGUACGUUUCAGUGUUGCAUGCAUAGGUGCGUACGUGCGUGUGUUCGUGAGUGCAUGUGUACGUGUCAGUGUUGCACGCCAGCAUGCGUGCGUGUGUACGUUAUGUGUACGUGACAGCGUUGCACGCCUGCAUGCGUGCGUGUCUUGCAUGCGUGCAUGUGUACGUUAUGUGUACGUGUGAGUGUUUCACGCCUGCAUGCGUGCAUGUCUUGCUUGCGUGCAUGUGUACGUGCGGGGUGAGGCUACACGUCAGUCAACUGACUUUUUCAUCUCUGGUCAUUAGAUUUUCUAGCCGUUGGAUACAAAAUCAAGGGCCUCUAGUUUAUCAUCAAACUCCACCCCCUGAGCCGCCAGCCACCACCGGUCGAACUGCCAGUCCCCACCACCCGCGGCCGGCCUGCGCCGUCACGCCGGCCCGCCUUCCCCAAAACCACUCCCCACCGCCNNNNNNNNNNNNNNNNNNNNNNNNNNNNNNNNNNNNNNNNNNNNNNNNNNNNNNNNNNNNNNNNNNNNNNNNNNNNNNNNNNNNNNNNNNNNNNNNNNNNNNNNNNNNNNNNNNNNNNNNNNNNNNNNNNNNNNNNNNNNNNNNNNNNNNNNNNNNNNNNNNNNNNNNNNNNNNNNNNNNNNNNNNNNNNNNNNNNNNNNNNNNNNNNNNNNNNNNNNNNNNNNNNNNNNNNNNNNNNNNNNNNNNNNNNNNNNNNNNNNNNNNNNNNNNNNNNNNNNNNNNNNNNNNNNNNNNNNNNNNNNNNNNNNNNNNNNNNNNNNNNNNNNNNNNNNNNNNNNNNNNNNNNNNNNNNNNNNNNNNNNNNNNNNNNNNNNNNNNNNNNNNNCCCACCGCCCAAUGAACGCCCCCCAACCUCCGGUGACUGCCAACCAGAGGUCUCACGACUUCGAAUACCCACCGACCACUAAUUUAUUACCAUUUAUGUCCUUCAUAUACGCGCUGACGGGUGGGCCCUAUGGUAAUGUGCGCUGAUGAAUGUGGACCGUUUGACUGGUCAAUUGAUCGUGUUAUCAACAAAUUACGGAGUUGUAUGGUGAGCCAGUGACCGUAUGAUCACCCUAAAAUGUACUGCUAUUAUAUUAACACAGUACAGACACAAACUACCAUUUCUUUCUUUCAUAUACGGGCUGACAGGUGGGCCCCACGGUUACGCACCCCGGUGGUGCAACACUAGUUGCGCCGGGUGGAAUGUCUGACUGGUCAAUUGAUUGGGUCAUCAACAAAAUACGGAGUUGUACGGGUGAGCCAGUGACCGUAUAAUCAUGACAUGUAUUUUUUUAACACGGUACAGACGCAAGGGCUCAUAUAUACGCGCAAGCACUCACCGCUAUAAGCGCACACACGCGAACCCUACCCCUAUGAGCACCUUCGAGAGAGUGGGCCAGCAUAUAUGAUCUUGAGAUUUUAGGAAGUCACCAUAGGUGCCUCGUAGUCGAGUGGAACGUCUCCUCCCACUGAACGUGCAUCGCCGGAAAAUACUAAAAUUAACACAAGAUAAAUGCGAGCACUGGGACUUUAACCUUGGUGGGCUCAAGAAACCACUGUCCUCCUAACCAUCCAACCACAUGUUGGUUAGCACGACAAAAUGUAUGUGGUGACCGUGAUAAGCUUAUUCUGAAGUCCAGUGACCAUAUCGUGCUUUCGCUUCAAAUACAAUGACCGUAAGUGUCGUCAAAAAAAUACGGAGCACACAUCAAAUGCAAAGUCCGUCAGUGUCAUCAACAAAAUAUGGAGACAUAUCGUGAGCUAGAUACCGUUGUACUAUUGUAUAUGCUUAUUUUCUUAGUGACCGAUUGCGUGUGUGGUGUGGUGGGUCACAUCAUUUCUAGUUGUGGUGGGUCAACAUGAAGACUCAUGGGUCGGUUCCAUCCUGCGCCACAUAUAGGUUGGACCGAGACGUGUUAUACGAAGACCCAUACGGUUCCAUCCUGUGGGGCACAUCAUAUCAUUUCUAGUUGUGCUGGGUCAACAUGACAACACGAAGCUACCAGAGUCAUGGAGGACUCUAUCCCCACUGGUGAUAAGCCGACUAUAUAUGAUUUGUAACCCUAGGCCCUUAGUAUGUUAUACAAGCUUGGGGGCUAGUUCGUCAAUAGUAUACACACACGCACAAUGCCUGGUAUUCACGUGUACUUUGUACACACCCCUAUCACUAAUAUAUAGUACCAGGAGUAGGCUCUUUCUUCAACUGCAAGGGUCCGAUCCGAACUAGGGUAAAACUUUGCCUCGUAUUACCAUCCAGCCUAACAGCCAGGGAUAUCCUACCGAAUGAUAUGAUGAAAUCAUAUCUGCAACUACUAAGAGAGAGGUGUGUCGGGGGGGCAAUGUGUGUGAGAGAGGCCUAAAGAUAAUGUGCGUGCGGUAGACACGUAGGCACAUAUAUGUGCAUAUAGAGGGCUAGUAGAGACCUUGUGUGUGUAUAUAUGCAUGCGAGAGAAAAAGUGUUUUCCAACUGAGAUUAGUGAAAAGAGUGGUACAUAGUAGUCAGAAAGAGAGAGAGAAAAAAGAGCAUGUGCGUGAGACACCUCAACACCCUGAGAGAGAUUGUGAGCAUGUGUGAAAGAGAAAUGCCGAUGCAUAUAAAGUGUGUGCACUUAUGCGUUAGAUAGAGAGAUAUAUAACGCGUUUGUGAGAACGGGGCAAGGCAUAGUGCAUCUAUGUGUAAAAGGCGGUUCUACGCAUUAAAUUAAAAUAUAAAUGGCAUUAUUAUUUUUGGAUGAGAACAUGAAUUUUGCAAAUUGCGUAUGGACAAAAAUCGGUCUACCAGACACCCAUACUCUAUUGAAUUCUAGCAUGUGCAUGUGUUUAUUUCAUAUUAUCGAUCCAUAGAUUGAGAGCGGUUUGAAAUACAGGCAAUGGAUGCUUUUGCAAUUCAUAUAUAAACAUUACUUAGUGCACUCCAUGUUGUUAGUGUGAAGCACUUUAUACAUUUGUCACUUGCAUGGAUACAUUCCAAAUUGCUAGCUACGAAAUAGAAUACAUGUCGAAUUCAACAUAAAGGGGGUUUCGAAGAUUCGAAUUCAUAGGAAGUGCAUUCAUCUAUUUGAACCCGAGAUAAUGGCACUUGUAAAUCAGAUGUAAAAGGGGGCAUAUCUUUGUUGUGAGUUUGAACAUGCUAUAUAUAUUCAUACACAUAUCUAACUUUUUUUUGCAACCAGGGAGAUUAUAUCUGGAACCAUGCAUGAACUGAGGUAAGUUGCAUAUUUUUUAAUAUAUACUCGUGUACAAUGUAUAUUCAAAUGUACCCCCUCCAUUCCAAAAUAAUCGUAGCUCUAGGAUUUUCAAGAGUAAAGAUUUGUGAAGUUUGACAAAUCCUGAAAGUUCAAUUCAAGAGAAUCGAAAACGUUAAUGCUUCUGCUCCCAAAUAUUGAAUGAAGCGCCAAAUAGGCCUCUGGUCACUUGAAACUGCGCGAGACUAAUGUUUGGUGGUAGGAAAUUACUGUCCUGACUCUGGCCCGUAUAGCCUAUCGGCCCGAUGUCCAAAGGUCUAAACCGGGGUAGGUUUGUAACCUCACCAAGACUCCAGUCUCAACCGCCUCCGAGAAGCAUUCAUACGCCGUGGGCGCCUAAACACCCAUGCACUCGGUCAAAAUCUAUCCCGCCCACAUUUGGGACACCUGACAUGACUGUCCGACCCCCAACCCACAAUAUGUCCGAACUUUUAGAUGGGGGCAAAGUUUGUAACUUUCCCCAAAUUUCAAACAAGCGCGUCUCAAACCGAAACAUAGUUCCCCCUUAGUUCCCCGCCUCACUCCGUUUACCCAUUCAUACUCCAUGGGCGCAAAAAUGCCCUCUCCACCAGCCACGAAACCCCAGCCUCCUCCAUCCUCCACCCCAUAGCGGCCAAUCCACCGCCGCCCUCCUCCAUCACGCCGGAGCCGGUACCCCAAUGUCGUCGUCCAACGCAACCGUAACCGCAACGCCCUCAAGGACUUUGCAGCUGAAGCCAAGGCAGAGCUACCUCCACGACGCCGACGCCGACAUGCGCCGUAGCAGAACCACUCCGACCACGCCGUCCUGCGCCUCACUGCUGCGGCUCCACUGUUGCAACCGUCCACGGCACCGGAGUUGUUCCCGCUACGCCGUCGUUCGCCGCCUCGGAUCUGCUUCCCCGCCACCGACAGACGGCCACCGCACCACACUCAACAACUUGGCCAUGGGUUCGUCCAAGGCUGCACCGUCCUCCACAACUUCGAGUUUCCGGAGAACAACAAGAAGAUUGUCAGAAAAACAGAAGGAGGACACAACACUACCAGCAGAAAGAGGUACUGAAAGGAUCGAUAUAGUUGACUAGAGGGGGGUGAAUAGGCAACUAACACUUUUUAAACUUUUCUUUACCAAAUUAAACUUUUCAUCAAAGUAGGUUGUCUAGAUAUGCAACUAGGUGAGCAACCUAUAUGAUGCAACAACAACUAGCACACAAGCAAGCAAGGGAUACAACACAAAUAAGCUUGCACAAGUAAAGGCACGAGGUAACCAAGAGUGGAGCCGGUGGAGACGAGGAUGUGUUACCGAAGUUCCUUCCUUUUGAGGGGAAGUACGUCUCCGUUAGAGCGGUGUGGAGGCACAAUGCUCCCCAAGAAGCCAUUAGGGCCACCGUAAUCUCCUCACGCCCUCACACAAUGCGAGAUGUCAUGAUUCCACUAUUGGUGCCCUUGAAGGCGGGGAUUGAACCUUUACAAACAAGGUUGGGGCAAUCUCCACAGCUUAAUUGGAGGUUCCAAACGACACCACGAAGCUUCACCACAAUGGACUAUGGCUCCGCGGUGACCUCAACCGUCUAGGGUGCUCAAACACCCAAAAGUAACAAGAUCCGCUAGGGAUUAGUGGAGGGAAUCAAAUUUCUCUUGGUGGAAGUGUAGAUCUGGGCCUUCUCAACCACUCUCGAGCAAAUCAACAAGUUUGAUUGGCUAGGGAGAGAGAUCGGGUGAAAAUGGAGCUUGGAGCAAUAAUGGAGCUUUUUGGGGGAAGAGGCAGGUUAACUUUGGGGAAGAAGACCCCUUUAUAUAGUGGGGGAAACAAUCCAACCGUUACCCCCCCCCCCUAAGCAGCCCUGCAGAGAGUGGUACUAGCACUUGGGUGGGCGGUACUACUGCUCAGCCAGCGGUACUACCGUGCCACCUAGCGGUACUGCCGCGCACAAGAGGGGAGCAGGGUCCUGGACCGAGAGCGGUACUACCGCGGUGGUAAGGGCGGUACUACCGCUCGGGAGCGGUACUACCGCUACUACUGCCGCGACUAGUGCCGCAGAACCCGACACGAGAAAACGAGGGCUCGAGUCAAGGCGGUAGUGGCCCGGCGCCUCAGCGGUACUACCGCUGAGGAGCAGUACUACCGCUUGUUGUCUUCGGCGGUACUACCACUGUGGCCCGUGGUACUACCGCUGGGGCCAGACAGAGAGAGCAGAGAGGGGAAUGAGAGCUCCAUUGAAGCGGGAAGGAACAACGGGUGCAAUAAGAAUGUGUACGUGUUGAUUCCACCCUAGCCAUACCAAAGCGGAUCCCCUCUUGAUAGUACGGUGACUCCUAUGCAACUAGUCCACCAACAAAGAAACGAAGGAGCUGCACCGUCUUGAAUAGAGCACCGAGGGGAGGGAAUCGUCUCGUGCCAAAGGAUGAAUCUCUGGAAAUCUCAACGCACACGGUUAGUCCGCAAAAGCAUUGUCACCAAUCACCAAAACACCUUGGGGAUAAAUAUGCCCUUACAGGUACUCCUCUUCCCUUAUUCGUGCAAAUCUUACGUCUCCGUUCACACCGUAUUCAUCCCACGAAAGAAACUAGUUGAGCGCUUCUUACUGCAUCUUCUUCGUGAUACUAAAUGCACAAGGUUUCCUCCCUUUUACUGUUUCACCUUUGCUAGAGGUUAGUAGCCCGCCUAGAUUUCAAUUCAGGGUCAGUCGAACCGCAAUUAAAAGAAGCAGCACCCGCUUAGGCACGCGGAGCACCUAGUCCGCAUGUUCCCCGGGGAAGCGGCGCAUCGGUGUCUAUCAUAGGGGUGUGGUGCGCAGGAGCUGCUUGAGCCCGAUCUGGAGGUCGGUGGGGCUUGAAUGGAUGGCCGGGGGCGGUGCCAAGCACGGCGGUGCAGUGAGGUCGAAGGGAUGGCGCAGGCAGGGGAGGAAUACUCGGCCAGUGGUCGCUGGCAUUUCGAGGAAGAUCGUCAACACUGACUGGCUGGAGGUAGAUGAAGGUGAUCUGCCCAUUCUUUGUACAUCGGACAGUGCGGAAAAAAUGGACUGACCUAUUUGCUUUUAGUCGACUGUUAUUUUCAUAGAAUCCUGUAGUAAUUUAGUGUGCCAUGCAUGUUGCAGAGCUAUCAUAUGUCUCCCGUCAUUUAUUUCUCACCGACCUGCUAUCUGCUACCUUUACACUAUACUAAUUGUGGACUCACUUCACCCAUACUCACAUUAUUUUUUUAUGCAUGGGUAUUUCAGACUCUGACGCAGUGUUGAUGAAUGCAGAAAAGAAAAGACAGAAGUCGCUCCACUGUAAUUCGAAGAUAAGCACUAAGCGUUUCAGCGCUCUAAUGGGUGCAGUGUUAGCAGUUGGAGAUAGUAAACGUAGCUCUGCAGUUGAUGAUCUCAAUUGCCACACACAACCAUCCCAGGUGCUUGCUUUAAGUUCGCGCUGUCAAAUGUGGUUGCAUGUUGCAUAUGGUGUCUAGCUUGUAUUGCUUCCAAUUUGGUUAAAUUGCAUCUUCUUACUUUACACAUUAUACCUUUGAUAAUGACAUGCAUUCCUGUUUUUGAUACAUACUACAUAUGUCUAUUAACCAUGUUCGUACAUCAAACUAAUGCUCUUUUGUAUCCCUCGUCAAUCACUUAUGAUGAGUCAGUCACCCGAGUGGGUUACUGUGAGAUGCCCUACUCGUUUAAAGAGUGCAGUGUCAUCCUCCCCACAUGAUUCUCAAGAAAUAGCAAGGCUAAAUGAAGAUAGUCAACGUAGCUCUCUAGUUGAUCACAUCAAUUCCCCCACACCACCAUCACAGGUGCUUGCUCUUACUUGGCAGUGUGAUAUGUGGUUGCAUGUUGCAUAUGGUGUCUACCUUGUAAUGCUUCUAAUUAGGGUAAAUUGCAUCUGCUUAGUUAACACAUUAUACCUGUGAAUAUGACAUGCCUUCCUGUUUUUGGUACAUACUACAUCUUUCUAUUAACCAUGUUCUUACAUCAAACUACUUUUCUUGUGUAUCCCUCAUCAAUGCUCCUAAUUUGUUAAACUGCAUCUCCUUAGCUUACACAUUAUACAUGUGAAUAUGACACGCCUUCCUGUUUUUGGUACAUACUACAUCUGCCUAUCACACCAUGUUCUUACAUCAAACUACUGUUCUUAUGUAUCCUGCAUCUAUCGCUUAUGAUCAGACAGUCAUGCGCGUGGGUUAAUAUGAGACGCAAUACUCUUAUAAAGAAUGCAAUUUCAUCCUCUCCACAUGAUUCUCAAGAAACAGCAAGCCUAAAUGAAGAUAUUGAACGUAGCUCUGUACCUGAAGACCGCACUUCCCCUACACCACCACCACAGGUGCUUGCUCUAACUUCGCAGUGUGAUAUGUAGUUGCAUGUUGCAUACGGUGUCUAGCUUGUAAUGCUUCUAAUUAGGGUAAAUUGCAUCUGCUUAGUUUACACACUAUACCUGUGAAUAUGACAUGCCUUCCUAUUUUUGGUACACACUACAUCUAUGUGUUAACCUUGUUCUUACAUGGAACUACCUCUCUUCUGUAUCUUGCAUCAAUCACUUACGACGAGUCACCUUUAUUCGUUGCAUAUUGCAUAUUAUUUCUAGCCUGUUGCCAUGUAUUGCUUCUAAUUUGGUCAAAUACAUUUGUUAGGGCACCCUUUUAAUUUGGCAGAGUGAUAUUGGUUUCAUCUUUCAUAUGGUUUCUAGCUUGCAUUGAUUCUAACAAGUUCAAGCACCUUGUGCUUAGUUUACACUUUAUACAUCAUACAUGUCAAUAUGUCACGCCGUCCUGUUUUUCAUACAUAUUCCAUCCUCCUAUCAUGCGGCUGCCUUACAUGAAAGUAGUGUUCAUCAGUAUCAUGCAUCAAUGAGUUUUGAAGAGCAAAUUUUAUUCCUUUUUCUUGUGGGUUUGACUUGACAAGGCAAAAUCAAGAAAGAGGAAGGAAAAGAGUAAGGAAGGCGAUGAUGGUGGUCCUCUGCAGCAACAUAAAUGGAGCAUCUGUACCGAUUCUCCUUGUACUGAUAGUGCAUUACAAGGUCCAAGUCUCCGCUCCCCUACUCCACCAUCCAAGGUGCUUGCUCUAACUUGGCAGUGUGAUAUCUGGUUGCAUGUUGCAUAUGGUGUCUAGCUCGUAUUGCUCCUAAUUAGUGUAAACUGCAUCUGCUUAGCUUACACAUGAUACAUGUGAAUAUGACACGUUUUCUUGUUUUUGGUACAUACUAUAUCUGUCUAUCACAUCAUGUUCUUACAUGAAACUACUCUUCUUGUGUAUCCUGCAUCAGUCACUUAUGAUGGGACACCUUUAAGUUGGCAGUGUGAUAUUGGUUUGCAUCUUGAAUAUGAUUUCUAGCAUGUAUUGCUUCUAGUUUGAUGAACGCCACCUUUGACGAAACAGUUUUAACUUGGCACGGUGAUAUUGAUUGCACCUUCCAUAUGGUGUCUUGCAGUGUUUCUAAUUUUUUGAAGUGCCUUCUGCUUAGUUACCACAUCAUAGGUGUGAAUAUGUCAAGCCGUCCAUUUUUCGUACAUAUUUCAUCCUCGUAUCAUGACUUUGCCUUUCAUCAGAGUAGUGUUCGUCAGUAUCAUGCAUGAAUGAGUUCUGAAGAGCGAAUGAUAUUCCUUUUUCUUGUCGGUAUGACCUCACAAUGCAAAAUUAAUAAAGCUGAAGGAAAUUGGCAAGGCAUUGGAUGAUGGUGGUUCUUCCGAGCAACUGAAAUGAAGGUUCUCUAUAGAUUCUACUCCGCCAUCCUCCCAACAAGAUUCGCAAGACAACGCAAGGCUAGACAGUCAAUGUAGCUGUGUAGAUGAUGAGCACAUCUCCCCUACUCCACCAUCACAGGUGCUUGCUCUAACUUGGCACUAUUAUAUGUGGUUGCAUGUUGCGUAUGAUGUCUAGCUUGUAUUGCUUCUAACUUUGUUGAAUUGCAUCUGCUUACUUUACACAUAAUGCCUGUGAAUAUGACAUGUGUUCCUGUUUCUACAUCAGACUACUAUUCUUGCAUAUCCCGCAUCAGUCACUUAUGAUAAGGCACCUUUAAGUCGCCACUGUGAUAUUGGUUGUGUCUUGCAUAUGAUUUCUAGCAUGUACUACUUCUAAUUUGUUGAAACGUCAUACAUUUUGAACUUGGCAGAGUGAUAUUGGUUGCAUCUUUCAUAUGGUGUCUAGCUUGCAGUGCUUCUAAUUUGUUGAAAUGCCUUCAGCUUAGUUACCACAUCAUAGGUGUGAAUAUGUCACACCAUCCUGUUUUUCAUACAUAUUCCAUCCUCGCAUCAUGUGUUUGCCUUUCAUCCGAGUAGUGUUCGUCAGUAUCAUGCAUCAAUGAGUUCUGAAGAGCGAAUUUAUUCCUUUUUCUUAUCGGUUUGAUUUCACAAUGCAAAAUCAUUAUAGCUGAAGGAAAUUAGUCCGGCAGUGGAUGAUGGUGGUCCUUCGGAGCAACUCAAACAGGGGGUCUCUACAGAUUCUACUCCCCCAUCCUCCCAACAAGAUUCUCAAGACAACACAAGGUUGGACAGUCAACGUAGCUGUGUAGAUGAUGAGGACAUCUCCCCUACUCCACCAUCAUAGGUGCUUGCUCUAACUUGGCACUAUUAUAUGUGGUUGCAUGUUGCGUAUGAUGUCUAGCUUGUAUUGCUGCUAACUUUGUUGAAUUACAUCUGCUUACUUUACACAUAAUGCCUGUGAAUAUGACAUGUGUUCCUGUUUCUACAUCAGACUACUAUUCUUGCAUAUCCCGCAUCAGUCACUUAUGAUAAGGCACCUUUAAGUCGCCACUGUGAUAUUGGUUGUGUCUUGCAUAUGAUUUCUAGCAUGUACUACUUCUAGUUUGUUGAAACGUCAUACAUUUUGAACUUGGCAGAGUGAUAUUGGUUGCAUCUUUCAUAUGGUGUCUAGCUUGCAGUGCUUCUAAUUUGUUGAAAUGCCUUCAGCUUAGUUACCACAUCAUAGGUGUGAAUAUGUCACACCAUCCUGUUUUUCAUACAUAUUCCAUCCUCGCAUCAUGUGUUUUCCUUUCAUCCGAGUAGUGCUCGUCAGUAUCAUGCAUGAAUGAGUUCUGAAGAGCGAAUUUUAUUCCUUUUUCUUAUCAGUUUGACUUCACAAUGCAAAAUCAUUAUAGCUGAAGGAAAUUAGUCCGACAGUGGAUGAUGGCGGUCCUUCGGAGCAACUCAAACAGGGGGUCUCUACAGAUUCUACUCCCCCAUCCUCCCAACAAGAUUCUCAAGACAACACAAGGUUGGACAGUCAACGUAGCUGUGUAGAUGAUGAGGACAUCUCCCCUACUCCACCAUCAUAGGUGCUUGCUCUAACUUGGCACUAUUAUAUGUGGUUGCAUGUUGCGUAUGAUGUCUAGUUUGUAUUACUUCUAACUUGAAUUGCAUCUGCUUACUUUACACAUAAUGCCUGUGAAUAUGACACGUGUUCCUGUUUCUAGAACAUACGUGUACAUGAUGAGCACAUCUCCCCUACUCCACCAUCACAUGUGCUUGCUCUUACUUGGAACUGUUAUAUGUGGUUGCAUUUUCCAUAUGAUGUCCAGUUUGUAUUGCUUCUGAUUAUGUUGAAUUGCAUCUGCGUAGCUUACAACUUAUACCUGCAACAAUCACUCACCCAUAAGACGCAUUUAACUUGGGACUAUGAUGUAGGUUGCAUCUUGCAUUUUCUUCUAGCUUGUACUGCUUUUAAUUUCUUGAAAUGGCACUUACGACGAGACACUUUUUACCUGAUAGAGUGAUAUUGGUUGCAUGUUCAUAUGGUGCCUAGCUUUCAUUUAUUCUAAUUUUGUUGAAAUGCCUUCCGCUUACUGUUUUUUCAUACAUAUUCCAUCCUCCUAUCAUACGUGUGAAUAUGAAAUGCUGUCUUUUUUUGUAUAGGUUCCAUCCUCCUAUCCUGCGCUUGCCUUACAUCAAAGUAGUGUUCGUUUGUAUCAUGCAUCAACCAGUUAUGCAGAGCUAAUUUUAUUCAUCUUCUUGUGGUUUUGACUUCAUAAGGCAAUAUCAGAAAAUUGGAAGGAAAAGAGUAAGUUAGGGGAUGUUGGUGGUCCUCCGCACCGACGCAAACAGAGACUCUCUAGAUUUGCCACUGCUACUGCUAAUGAAGUUGAAGUCCCAAGUCUACAUGAUGGGUUCAUCUCCCGUACUCCACCAUCGCAGGUGCUUGCUCUAAGUUAACAGUGUGAUAAUUGGUUUCAUGUUGCAUAUGUUGUCUAGCCUGUAUUUCUUCUAUUUUGAUAAAAUUGCACCUGCUGAGUUUAUACCUUAUACAUGUGCAUAUGACAUGGCUUUCUGUGUCUAGAAUACACUACAUCUAUCUAUCAUAACAUGUUCUUACAUCAAAGUACUGCUGUUGUGUAUCCCGCAUCAGUCACUCAUGAUUGGACGCUUUUAACAUGGCAGUUUGAUAGUGGUUGCAUCUUGCAUUGAUUUCUACGUUGUACUACUUCUAAUUUUUCGAAUUGCCACUUAUGACAAGACACUUUUAACUUGGCAGAGUUAUAUUGGUUGCAUCUUUCAUAUGGUGUCUAGCUUGCAUUACUUCUAUUUUCUUGAAAAUCCUUCUGCUUGGUUUGCACAUCGUAGCUGUGAAUAUGUCAUGUCGUCCUGUUUUUCUUACAUAUUCCAUUCUCAUACAGUUGUCUUACAUCAAAGUAUUGCUUGUCUAUAUCAUGCAUCAAUGAGUUCUGAAGAGUGAUUUUAUUCUUUUGUGUUGUGGGUACAGCUUGACAUGGCAAAGUCAAAAAAGAGCAAGGAAAAUAAUAUAGUAGGGAGUGCUGUUACUCGUCGGGUGAAACAGAAAAGGAUCUGCCGUCGAGAUUCUGCUGGUACUUAUAGUGCAGUAGAAGGUCCAAGUCCACCGGCUAAAUCUACAAACACAGUAUCACCUGCUCCACCAACUGUAGCAUCCGCUUCAACUGUACCAGUAUCUCAACCAGUUACUCGUUCGUUUGCUCCAGAACUGGCUAGUUCCCAAGCUGCCUUCACACCUAACACUACUUCCGAAGCACUGCUGACUCUACAGGACUUGGCAAGAUCAGAUGAACCUCAUGAGCAUGAACACCAAGACGGUACCUGACCGAGUCAAGUUGCAGUUGCAUGCUCCUUUAUAUGUACUCUCACAGUUUGAUGUACACUAACACUUCCCAUAUUCGUUGUUGAACUAGCACCACGGUGCAAGCAGAAACAGACAUCAGGGAUAAUGCUUGAUAGAUUAACAAAAUCUAAAGGAGCAAGAAGGAGAUCCAUUUUGAGGCAGGUUUAAAAAGGCCAUGUGAUGCUACAGAGUCGGCCAAGUUAGUAUCAGAGGCAGCCGUUGCCGUUAGGUGUCAUGCACGUAUCCUUCCAAUGUGGAUCCAGUACAGGAAUGAGCAAGACAAUACCCAGUUUAACACCUUCCUUGACCAUUUAUCCGUAAGUAAUGUUAUUCAUCGCAAUUAGUUGUUGGAGAACGUAGCAGAAAUUCAAAAUUUUCCUACGUGUCACCAAGAUCUAUCUAUGGAGAAACCAGCAACGAGGGGAAGGAGAGUGCAUCUACAUACCCUUGUAGAUCGCUAAGCGGAAGCGUUCAAGAGAACGGGGUUGAAGGAGUCGUACUCGUCGUGAUCCAAAUCACCAGAGAUCCUAGUGCCGAACGGACGGCACCUCCGCGUUCAACACACGUACAACCCGGUGACGUCUCCCAUGCCUUGAUCCAGCAAGGAGAGAGGGAGAGGUUGAGGAAGACUCCAUCCAGCAGUAGAACAAUGGCGUGGUGGUGGUUGAGGAGCGUGGCAAUCCUGCAGGGCUUCGCCAAGCACCGCGGAAGAGGAGAAGGGAGAGAGGUAGGGCUGCGCCAGGGAGAGGUCAAAACUCAUGUGUUGGCAGCCCUCAAGACCUCAACUAUAUAUAGGGGAGAGGGAGGGGGUGCGCCCCCUCUAGGGUUUCCACCCCAAGGGGUGCGGCAGCCCCAAUCCCAUCUAGGGUGGCGGCCAAGGGAGGGAAGAGGGGAAACUUGCCCCCCAAGUUAGGUGGGUGCGCCCCCUCCCCCAACCCUAGGCGCCUUGGGCCCUUGUGGGGGGCGCACUAGCCCACCUGGGGCUGGUCCCCUCCCACACUUGGCCCAUGCAGCCCUCCGGGGCCGGUGGCCCCACUUGGUGGACCCCCGGAACCCUCCCGGUGGUCCCGGUACGUUACUGAUAAAACCCGAAACUUUUCCGGUGACCAAAACAGGACUUCCCCUAUAUAAAUCUUUACCUCCGGACCAUUCCAGAAUUCCUUGUGACGUCCGGGAUCUCAUCCGGGACUCUGAACAACAUUCGGUAACCACAUGCAAACUUCCUUUAUAACCCUAGCAUCAUCGAACCUUAAGUGUGUAGACCCUACGGGUUCGGGAACCAUGCAGACAUGACCGAGACGUUCUCCGGUCAAUAACCAACAGCGGGAUCUGGAUACCCAUGUUGGCUCCCACAUGUUCCACAAUGAUCUCAUCGGAUGAACCACGAUGUCAAGUACUCAAUCGAUCUUGUAUACAAUUCCUUUUGUCUAGCGGUAUUGUACUUGCCCGAGAUUCGAUCGUCGGUAUGCCGAUACCUUGUUCAAUCUCGUUACCGGCAAAUCUCUUUACUCGUUCCGUAACACAUCAUCCCGUGAUCAACCCCUUGGUCACAUUGUGCACAUUGUGAUGAUGUCCUACCGAUUGGGCCCAGAGAUACCUCUCCGUCAACCGGAGUGACAAAUCCCAGUCUCGAUGUGUGCCAACCCAACAGACACUUUCGGAGAUACCUGUAGUGCACCUUUAUAGCCACCCAGUUACGUUGUGACGUUUCGUGCACCCAAAGCAUUCCUACGGUAUCCGGGAGUUGCACAAUCUCAUGGUCUAAGGAAAUGAUACUUGACAUUAUAAAAGCUUUAGCAUACGAACUACACGAUCUUUGUGCUAGGCUUAGGAUUGGGUCUUGUCCAUCACAUCAUUCUCCUAAUGAUGUGAUCCCGUUAUCAACGGCAUCCAAUGUCCAUGGUCAGGAAACCGUAACCAUCUAUUGAUCAACGAGCUAGUUAACUAGAGGCUUACUAGGGACAUGGUGUUGUCUAUGUACCCACACAUGUAUCUGAGAUUCCUAUCAAUACAAUUAUAGCAUGGAUAAUAAACGAUUAUCAUGAACAAGGAAAUAUAAUAAUAACUAAUUUAUUAUUGCCUCUAGGGCAUAUUUCCAACAGUCUCCCACUUGCACUAGAGUCAAUAAUCUAGUUCACAUCGCCAUGUGAUUAACACUCACAGGUCACAUCGCCAUGUGACCAACAUCCAAAAAGUUUACUAGUGUCACUAAACUAGUUCACAUCAUCAUGUGAUUAAGACUCAAUGAGUUCUGGGGUUUGAUCAUGUUUUGCUUGUGAGAGAGGUUUUAGUCAACGGGUCUGCGACAAUCAGAUCCGUAUGUACUUCGCAAAUCUCUAGGUCAUAUUGUAAAUGCUGCUUCCACGCUCCACUUGAAGUUAUUCCAAAUGGUUGCUCCACUAUACGUAUCCGGUUUGCUACUCAGAGUCAUUCGGAUAUGUGUUAAAGUUUGCAUCGACGUAACCCUUUACGCCGAACUCUUUAUCACCUCCAUAAUCGAGAAACAUGUCCUUAUUUACUCCAAGGACAAUUUUGACUGCUGUCCAAUGAUCCCCAUUCCUGGAUCAUUCUUGUACCCCUUGACUGACUCAUGGCUAGGCACACUUCCGGUGCGGUACACAGCAUAGCAUACUAUAGAGCCUACGUCUGAAGCAUAAGGGAUGACCUUCGUCCUUUCUCUCUCUUCUGCCGUGGUCGAGCUUUAACUCUUAACUUCAUACCUUACAACUCAGGCAAGAACUCCUUCUUGACUGAUCCAUCUUGAACACCUUCAAGAUCAUGUCAAGGUAUGUGCUCAUUUGAAAGUAUUAUUAAACAUUUUGAUCUAUCUUAUAGAUCUUGAUGCUUAUUGUUCAAGUAGCCUAAUCCAGGUUUUCCAUUGAAAAACACUUUUCAAACAACCCUAUAUGCUUUCUAGAAAUUCUACAUCAUUUCUGAUCAACAAUAUGUCAACAACAUAUACUCAUCAGAAAUUCUAUAGCGCUCCCACUCACUUCUUUGGAAAUACAAGUUUCUCAUAAACUUUUGUAUAAACCCAAAAUCUUUGAUCAUCUCAUCAAAGCGUACAUUCCAACUCUGAGAUGCUUACUCCAGUCCUUAGAAGGAUUGCUGGAGUUUUCCAUAUUUGUUAGCGUUCUUCAGGAUUGUCAAAACCUUCUGGUUGUAUCACAUACAACCUUUUCUCAAGAAAACUGUCGAGGAAACAAUGUUUUGACAUUCUAUCUGCAAGAUUUCAUAAAUAAUGCAGAAACUCCUUGAACUUGUCGGAAAACAUCUUAACGACAAGUCGAGCUUUCUUAAUGGUGAUUCUUACCAUCAUUGUCUGUCUUCCUUUUAAAAUCCAUCUGUACCCAAUGGCCUUACCACCAUCAAGUAUUUCUUCCAAAGUCAUGGAUCCUUUCUCGGAUUUUAUGGCCUCGAGCCAUUCGUCGGAAUCCGGGCCCACCAUCGCUUCUCCAUAGCUCGUAGGUUCAUUGUUGUCUAGCAACAUGACCUCUAAGACAGGAUUGCGUACCACUCUGAAGUAGUACGCAUCCUUGUCACCCCACGAGGUACGGUAGUGACUUGAUCCGAAACUUCAUGAUCACUAUCAUAAGCUUCUACUUCAAUUGGUGUAGGCGCCACAGGAACAACUUCCUGUGCCCUACUACACACUAGUUGAAGUGACGGUUCAAUAACCUCAUCAAGUCUCCACCAUCCUCCCACUCAAUUCUUUCGAGAGAAACUUUUCCUUGAGAAAGGACCCGUUUCUAGAAACAAUUACUCUUGCUUCCGGAUCUGAGAUAGGAGGUAUACCCAACCAUUUUGGGUAUCCUAUGAAGAUGUAUUUAUCCGUUUUGGGUUCGAGCUUAUUGUCGGUGUCAAAACCGGCGGAUCUCGGGUAGGGGGUCCCGAACUGUGCGUCUAGGCGGAUGGUAACAAGAGACAAGGGACACGAUGUUUUACCCAGGUUCGGGCCCUCUUGAUGGAGGUAAAACCCUAUGUCCUGCUCGAUUAAUAUUGAUGAUGUGUGUUACAAGAGUAGAUCUACCACGAGAUCAAGGAGGCUAAACCCUACAAGCUAGCCUAUGGUAUGAUUGUUGUUCGUCCUACGGACUAAAGCCAUCCGGUUUAUAUAGACACCGGAGAGGGCUAGGGUUACACAGAGUCGGUUAUAAUGGUAGGAGAUCUACAUAUCUAUAUCGCCAAGCUUGCCUUCCAUGCCAAGGAAAGUCCCAUCCGGACACGGGACGAAGUCUUCAAUCUUGUAUCUUCAUAGUCUUGGAGUCCGGCCGAUGAUGAUAGUUCGGCUAUCCAGACACCCCCUAGUCUAGGACUCCCUCAGUAGCCCCUGAACCAGGCUUCAAUGACGACGAGUCCGGCACGCAUAUUGUCUUCGGCAUUGCAAGGCGGGUUCCUUCUCCGAAUAAUUUAUAGAAGAUUGUGAACACCUGGAUAGUGUCCGGCUCUGCAAAAUAAAUUCCACGUACCACCGUAGAAAGAAUAAUAUUACACAAGUUCAAUCUGCUGACGUAUUUGGUGACGUGACGUCACACCACUACCAAGCCUUUACUAGAAUUGUUUUUAUUGUACCACCUCAGCGCGUUUAGCGAAGCGGUUUCCUUGGAACGUCUUAUUGAAGCAGAGAUCGUGUUCCCCUUAUUCCGGAAUUCCCAUCAAUACAGACGUGGGUAACCCAACCGCGCCAUUGAUUGUGGCGCUUGGGAGAUAAGCGAGUUUUAUCAGGCCGGUGGGGACACAUGUUUUUGUCCGCCCAUAUAAGGGGAUAGAAAUCCAACCCUUUUACCUACGCCUUCUUCCUCCUUGGCUUAUCCAUCUCCGCGAACUCGAGCUCCAGCGCCCAAGUCCGCACAUCUCACCUCAACCUUCUCCAACUAUGUCCGGAGCGGGAGGCAAGUGGAUGGCCUCCUCCGUCACGGAGGGGCACAUCCAGAAGCUGCACAGCGCCGGAUAUUUGUCCAGUAACAUCGCGCACCGGCUCCCCAACGAGGGAGAUCUCAUCCCCACCCCCAGGCCCCAUGAGACGGUAGUAUUUCUUCCCCAUUUCCUCCGCGGACUGGGCUUCCCACUGAAGGAAAUAUGCCCUAGAGGCAAUAAUAAAGUUAUUAUUUAUUUCCUUAUAAUCAUGAUAAAUGUUUAUUAUUCAUGCUAGAAUUGUAUUUACCGGAAACAUAAUACAUGUGUGAAUACAUAGACAAACAGAGUGUCACUAGUAUGCCUCUACUUGACUAGCUCGUUAAUCAAAGAUGGUUAUGUUUCCUGACCAUGAACAAUGAGUUGUUAUUUGAUUAACGAGGUCACAUCAUUAGUAGAAUGAUCUGAUUGACAUGACCCAUUCCGUUAGCUUAGCACCCGAUCGUUUAGUAUGUUGCUAUUGCUUUCUUCAUGACUUAUACAUGUUCCUAUGACUAUGAGAUUAUGCAACUCCCGUUUACCAGAGGAACACUUUGGGUACUACCAAACGUCACAACGUAACUGGGUGAUUAUAAAGGAGUACUACAGGUGUCUCCAAUGGUCGAUGUUGGGUUUGCGUAUUUCGAGAUUAGGAUUUGUCACUCCGAUUGUCGGAGAGGUAUCUCUGGGCCCUCUCGGUAAUACACAUCACAUAAGCCUUGCAAGCAUUACAACUAAUAUGUUAGUUGUGAGAUGAUGUAUUACGGAACGAGUAAAGAGACUUGCCGGUAACGAGAUUGAACUAGGUAUUGGAUACCGACGAUCGAAUCUCGGGCAAGUAACAUACCGAUGACAAAGGGAACAACGUAUGUUGUUAUGCGGUCUGACCGAUAAAGAUCUUCGUAGAAUAUGUAGGAGCCAAUAUGGGCAUCCAGGUCCCGCUAUUGGUUAUUGACCAGAGACGUGUCUCGGUCAUGUCUACAUUGUUCUCGAACCCGUAGGGUCCGCACGCUUAAGGUUACGAUGACAGUUAUAUUAUGAGUUUAUGCAUUUUGAUGUACCGAAGGUUGUUCGGAGUCCCGGAUGUGAUCACGGACAUGACGAGGAGUCUCGAAAUGGUCGAGACGUAAAGAUUGAUAUAUUGGAAGCCUAUAUUUGGAUAUCGGAAGUGUUCCGGGUGAAAUCGGGAUUUUACCGGAAUACCGGGAGGGUUACUGGAACCCCCCGGGAGCUAUUUGGGCCAUAGUGGGCCUUAGUGGAAAAGAGAAGGGGCUGCCCUAGAUGGGCUGCGCCCCCCCCCCUUCCCCUAGUCCUAUUAGGACUAGGAGAGGUGGCCGGCCCCCUCCUCCUCUUUUCCCCUCCGAGGAAUCCUAGUUGGACUAGGAUUGGAGGGGGAAUCCUACUCCCAGAAGGAGUAGGACUCUCCUGCGCCUCCCCCCCUUGGCCGGCCAGCCUCCCCUCCUCUCCUCCUUUAUACACGGAGGCAGGGGCACCUCUAAACACACAAGUUGACACAAGUUGAUCCACGUGAUCGAUUCCUUAGCCGUGUGCGGUGCCCCCUGCCACCAUAUUCCUCGAUAAUACUGUAGCGGAGUUUAGGCGAAGCCCUGCUGCUGUAGUUCAUCAAGAUCGUCACCAUGCCGUUGUGCUGACGAAACUCUUCCCCGACACUUUGCUGGAUCGGAGUCCGGGGAUCGUCAUCGAGCUGAACGUGUGCUCGAACUCGGAGGUGCCGUAGUUUCGGUGCUUGAUCGGUUGGAUCGUGAAGACGUACGACUACUUCCUCUACGUCGUGUCAUCGCUUCCGCAGUCGGUCUGCGUAGGGUACGUAGGCAAUACUCUUCCCCUUGUUGCUAUGCAUCACAUGAUCUUGCGUGUGCGUAGGAAAUUUUUUGAAAUUACUACGAAACCCAACAGUGGCAUCCGAGCCUAGGUUAUUGAUGUUGAUGUUAUAUGCACGAGUAGAACACAAGUAAGUUGUGGACGAUACAAGUCAUACUGCCUACCAGCAUGUCAUACUUUGGUUCGGCGGUAUUGUUGGACGAGACGACCCGGACCAACCUUACGCGUACGCUUACGCGAGACCGGUUCCCUCGACGUGCUUUGCACAGAGAUGGCUUGCGGGCGACUGCCUCUCCAACUUUAGUUGAACCAAGUAUGGCUACGCCCGGUCCUUGCGAAGGUUAAAACGGAGUCUAUUUGACAAACUAUCGUUGUGGUUUUGAUGCGUAGGUGAGAUUGGUUCUUACUUAAGCCCGUAGCAGCCACGUGAAAACAUGCAACAACAAAGUAGAGGACGUCUAACUUGUUUUUGCAGGGCAUGUUGUGAUGUGAUAUGGUCAAGGCAUGAUGCUGAAUUUUAUUGUAUGAGAUGAUCAUGUUUUGUAAACAAGUUAUCGGCAACUGGCAGGAGCCAUAUGGUUGUCGCUUUAUUGUAUGCAAUGCAAUCGCGAUGUAAUGCUUUACUUUAUUACUAAACGGUAGUGAUAGUCGUGGAAGCAUAAGAUUGGCGAGACGACAACGAUGCUACGAUGGAGAUCAAGGUGUCGCGCCGGUGACGAUGGUGAUCAUGACGGUGCUUCAGAGAUGGAGAUCACAAGCACAAGAUGAUGAUGGCCAUAUCAUAUCACUUAUAUUGAUUGCAUGUGAUGUUUAUCUUUUUAUGCAUAUUAUCUUGCUUUGAUUGACGGUAGCAUUAUAAGAUGAUCUCUCACUAAAUUAUCAAGAAGUGUUCUCCCUGAGUAUGCACCGUUGCCAAAGUUCGUCAUGCCCAGACACCACGUGAUGAUCGGGUGUGAUAAGCUCUACGUCCAUCUACAACGGGUGCAAGCCAGUUUUGCACACGCAGAAUACUCAGGUUAAACUUGACGAGCCUAGCAUAUGCAGAUAUGGCCUCGGAACACGGAGACCGAAAGGUCGAGCGUGAAUCAUAUAGUAGAUAUGAUCAACAUAACGAUGUUCACCAUUGAAAACUACUCCAUCUCACGUGAUGAUCGGUUAUGGUUUAGUUGAUUUGGAUCACGUGAUCACUUAGAGGAUUAGAGGGAUGUCUAUCUAAGUGGGAGUUCUUUAGUAAUAUGAUUAAUUGAACUUAAAAUUUAUCAUGAACUUAGUCCCUGAUAGUAUCUUGCUUGUUUAUGUUGAUUGUAGAUAGAUGGCUCGUGCUGUUGUUCCGUUAAAUUUUAAUGCGUUCCUUGAGAAAGCAAAGUUGAAAGAUGAUGGUAGCAAUUACACGGACUGGGUCCGUAACUUGAGGAUUAUCCUCAUUGCUACACAGAAGAAUUACGUCCUGGAAGCACCGUUGGGUGCCAGGCCUGCUGCUGGAGCAACGCCAGAUGUUAUGAACGUCUGGCAGAGCAAAGCUGAUGACUACUCGAUAGUUCAGUGUGCCAUGCUUUACGGCUUAGAAUCGGGACUUCAACGACGUUUUGAACGUCAUGGAGCAUAUGAGAUGUUCCAGGAGUUGAAGUUAAUAUUUCAAGCAAAUGCCCGGAUUGAGAGAUAUGAAGUCUCCAAUAAGUUCUAUAGCUGCAAGAUGGAGGAGAACAGUUCUGUCAGUGAGCAUAUACUCAAAAUGUCUGGGUAUAAUAAUCACUUGAUUCAAUUGGGAGUUAAUCUUCCGGAUGAUUGCGUCAUUGACAGAAUUCUCCAAUCACUACCACCAAGCUACAAGAGCUUCGUGAUGAACUAUAAUAUGCAAGGGAUGAACAAGACUAUUCCCGAGCUCUUCGCAAUGCUGAAAGCUGCGGAGGUAGAAAUCAAGAAGGAGCAUCAAGUGUUGAUGGUUAACAAGACCACUAGUUUCAAGAAAAAGGGCAAAGGGAAGAAAAAGGGGAACUUCAAAAAGAACGGCAAGCAAGUUGCUGCUCAAGAGAAGAAACCCAAGUCUGGACCUAAGCCUGAAACUGAGUGCUUCUACUGCAAGCAGACUGGUCACUGGAAGCGGAACUGCCCCAAGUAUUUGGCGGAUAAGAAGGAUGGCAAGGUGAACAAAGGUAUAUAUGAUAUACAUGUUAUUGAUGUGUACCUUACUAGAGCUCGCAGUAGCACCUGGGUAUUUGAUACUGGUUCUGUUGCUAAUAUUUGCAACUCGAAACAGGGACUACAGAAUAAGCGGGCACUGGCAAAGGGCGAGGUGACGAUGCGCGUGGGAAACGGUUCCAAAGUCGAUGUGAUCGCGGUCGGCAUGCUACCUCUACAUCUACCUUCGGGAUUAAUAUUAGACCUAAAUAAUUGUUAUUUGGUGCCAGCGUUGAGCAUGAACAUUAUAUCUGGAUCUUGUUUAAUGCGAGACGGUUAUUCAUUUAAAUCAGAGAAUAAUGGUUGUUCUAUUUAUAUGAGUAAUAUCUUUUAUGGUCAUGCACCCUUGAAGAGUGGUCUAUUCUUACUGAAUCUCGAUAGUAGUAAUACACAUAUUCAUAAUGUUGAAACCAAAAGAUGCAGAGUUGAUAAUGAAAGUGCAACUUAUUUGUGGCACUGUCGUUUAGGUCAUAUCGGUAUAAAGCGCAUGAAGAAACUCCAUACCGAUGGACUUUUGGAACCACUUGAUUAUGAAUCACUUGGUACUUGCGAACCGUGCCUCUUGGGCAAGAUGACUAAAACACCGUUCUCCGGUACGAUGGAGAGAGCAACAGAUUUGUUGGAAAUCAUACAUACCGAUGUAUGUGGCCCGAUGAAUAUUGAGGCUCGUGGCGGAUAUCGUUAUUUUCUCACCUUCACAGAUGAUUUGAGCAGAUAUGGAUAUAUCUACUUAAUGAAGCAUAAGUCUGAAACAUUUGAAAAAUUCAAAGAAUUUCAGAGUGAAGUUGAAAAUCAUCGUAACAAGAAAAUAAAGUUUCUACGAUCUGAUCGUGGAGGAGAAUAUUUGAGUUACGAGUUUGGUGUACAUUUGAAAAACUGUGGAAUAGUUUCACAACUCACGCCACCCGGAACACCACAGCGCAAUGGUGUGUCCGAACGUCGUAAUCGUACUUUACUAGAUAUGGUGCGAUCUAUGAUGUCUCUUACAGAUUUACCGCUAUCAUUUUGGGGUUAUGCUUUAGAGACGGCCGCAUUCACGUUAAAUAGGGCACCAUCAAAAUCCGUUGAGACGACGCCUUAUGAACUAUGGUUUGGCAAGAAACCAAAGUUGUCGUUUCUUAAAGUUUGGGGCUGCGAUGCUUAUGUGAAAAAGCUUCAACCUGAUAAGCUCGAACCCAAAUCGGAGAAAUGUGUAUUCAUAGGAUACCCAAAGGAAACUGUUGGGUACACCUUCUAUCACAGAUCCGAAGGCAAAACAUUCGUUGCUAAGAAUGGAUCAUUUCUAGAGAAGGAGUUUCUCUCGAAAGAAGUGAGUGGGAGGAAAGUAGAACUUGACGAGGUAACUGUACCCGCUCCCUUACUGGAGAGUAGUUCAUCACAGAAAACUGUUUCAGUGACACCUACACCGGUUAGUGAGGAAGCUAAUGAUAAUGAUCAUUAAACUUCAGAUCAAGAUACUACUGAACCACGUAGAUCAACCAGAGUAAGAUCCGCGCCAGAGUGGUACGGAAAUCCUGUUCUGGAAGUCAUGCUACUAGAUCAUGAUGAACCUACGAACUAUGAAGAAGCGAUGGUGAGCCCAGAUUCCGCAAAGUGGCUUGAAGCCAUGAAAUCUGAGAUGGGAUCCAUGUAUGAGAACAAAGUAUGGACUUUGGUUGACUUGCCCGAUGAUCGGCAAGCAAUUGAGAAUAAAUGGAUCUUUAAGAUGAAGACUGACGCUGAUGGUAAUGUUACUGUCUACAAAGCUCGACUUGUCGCAAAAGGUUUUCGACAAGUUCAAGGGAUUGAUUACGAUGAGACCUUCUCACCCGUAGCGAUGCUUAAGUCCGUCCGAAUCAUGUUAGCGAUUGCCGCAUUUUAUGAUUAUGAAAUUUGGCAGAUGGAUGUCAAAACUGCAUUCCUGAAUGGAUUUCUGGAAGAAGAGUUGUAUAUGAUGCAACCGGAAGGUUUUGUCGAUCCAAAGGAAGCUAACAAAGUGUGCAAGCUCCAGCGAUCCAUUUAUGGACUGGUGCAAGCCUCUCGGAGUUGGAAUAAACGUUUUGAUAGUGUGAUCAAAGCAUUUGGUUUUAUACAGACUUUCGGAGAAGCCUGUAUUUACAAGAAAGUGAGUGGGAGCUCUGUAGUAUUUCUGAUAUUAUAUGUGGAUGACAUAUUACUGAUUGGAAAUGAUAUAGAAUUUCUGGAUAGCAUAAAGGGAUACUUGAAUAAAAGUUUUUCAAUGAAAGACCUCGGUGAAGCUGCUUACAUAUUAGGCAUUAAGAUCUAUAGAGAUAGAUCAAGACGCUUAAUUGGACUUUCACAAAGCACAUACCUUGACAAAAUUUUGAAGAAGUUCAAAAUGGAUCAAGCAAAGAAAGGGUUUUUGCCUGUGUUACAAGGUGUGAAAUUGAGUAAGACUCAAUGCCCGACCACUGCAGAAGAUAGAGAGAAUAUGAGAGAUGUUCCCUAUGCAUCAGCCAUAGGAUCUAUCAUGUAUGCAAUACUGUGUACCAGACCUGAUGUAUGCCUUGCUAUAAGUUUAGCAGGGAGGUACCAAAGUAAUCCAGGAGUGGAUCACUGGACAGCGGUCAAGAACAUCCUGAAAUACCUGAAAAGGACUAAGGAUAUGUUUCUCGUAUAUGGAGGUGACAAAGAGCUCAUCGUAAAAGGUUACGUUGAUGCAAGCUUUGACACUGAUCCGGACGAUUCUAAAUCGCAAACCGGAUACGUGUUUACAUUAAACGGAGGAGCUGUCAGUUGGUGCAGUUCUAAACAAAGCGUCGUAGCGGGAUCUACAUGUGAAGCGGAAUACAUAGCUGCUUCGGAAGCAGCAAAUGAAGGAGUCUGGAUGAAGGAGUUCAUAUCCGAUCUAGGUGUCAUACCUAGUGCAUCGGGUCCAAUGAAAAUCUUUUGUGACAAUACUGGUGCAAUUGCCUUAGCAAAGGAAUCCAGAUUUCACAAAAGGACCAAACACAUCAAGAGACGCUUCAACUCCAUCCGGGAUCUAGUCCAGGUGGGAGACAUAGAGAUUUGCAAGAUACAUACGGAUCUGAAUGUUGCAGACCCGUUGACUAAGCCUCUUCCACGAGCAAAACAUGAUCAUCACCAAGGCUCCAUGGGUGUUAGAAUCAUUACAGUGUAAUCUAGAUUAUUGACUCUAGUGCAAGUGGGAGACUGAAGGAAAUAUGCCCUAGAGGCAAUAAUAAAGUUAUUAUUUAUUUCCUUAUAAUCAUGAUAAAUGUUUAUUAUUCAUGCUAGAAUUGUAUUUACCGGAAACAUAAUACAUGUGUGAAUACAUAGACAAACAGAGUGUCACUAGUAUGCCUCUACUUGACUAGCUCGUUAAUCAAAGAUGGUUAUGUUUCCUAACCAUGAACAAUGAGUUGUUAUUUGAUUAACGAGGUCACAUCAUUAGUAGAAUGAUCUGAUUGACAUGACCCAUUCCAUUAAGCUUAGCACCCGAUCGUUUAGUAUGUUGCUAUUGCUUUCUUCAUGACUUAUACAUGUUCCUAUGACUAUGAGAUUAUGCAACUCCCGUUUACCGGAGGAACACUUUGGGUACUACCAAACGUCACAAACGUAACUGGGUGAUUAUAAAGGAGUACUACAGGUGUCUCCAAUGGUCGAUGUUGGGUUGGCGUAUUUCGAGAUUAGGAUUUGUCACUCCGAUUGUCGGAGAGGUAUCUCUGGGCCCUCUCGGUAAUACACAUCACAUAAGCCUUGCAAGCAUUACAACUAAUAUGUUAGUUGUGAGAUGAUGUAUUACGGAACGAGUAAAGAGACUUGCCGGUAACGAGAUUGAACUAGGUAUUGGAUACCGACGAUCGAAUCUCGGGCAAGUAACAUACCGAUGACAAAGGGAACAACGUAUGUUGUUAUGCGGUCUGACCGAUAAAGAUCUUCGUAGAAUAUGUAGGAGCCAAUAUGGGCAUCCAGGUCCCGCUAUUGGUUAUUGACCAGAGACGUGUCUCGGUCAUGUCUACAUUGUUCUCGAACCCGUAGGGUCCGCACGCUUAAGGUUACGAUGACAGUUAUAUUAUGAGUUUAUGCAUUUUGAUGUACCGAAGGUUGUUCGGAGUCCCGGAUGUGAUCACGGACAUGACGAGGAGUCUCGAAAUGGUCGAGACGUAAAGAUUGAUAUAUUGGAAGCCUAUAUUUGGAUAUCGGAAGUGUUCCGGGUGAAAUCGGGAUUUUACCGGAAUACCGGGAGGGUUACUGGAACCCUCCGGGAGCUAUUUGGGCCAUAGUGGGCCUUAGUGGAAAAGAGAAGGGGCUGCCCUAGAUGGGCUGCGCCCCCCCCCCCCUUCCCCUAGUCCUAUUAGGACUAGGAGAGGUGGCCGGCCCCCUCCUCCUCUUUUCCCCUCCGAGGAAUCCUAGUUGGACUAGGAUUGGAGGGGGAAUCCUACUCCCAGAAGGAGUAGGACUCUCCUGCGCCUCCCCCCCUUGGCCGGCCAGCCUCCCCUCCUCUCCUCCUUUAUAUACAGAGGCAGGGGCACCUCUAAACACACAAGUUGACACAAGUUGAUCCACGUGAUCGAUUCCUUAGCCGUGUGCGGUGCCCCCUGCCACCAUAUUCCUCGAUAAUACUGUAGCGGAGUUUAGGCGAAGCCCUGCUGCUGUAGUUCAUCAAGAUCGUCACCACGCCGUCGUGCUGACGGAACUCUUCCCCGACACUUUGCUGGAUCGGAGUCCGGGGAUCGUCAUCGAGCUGAACGUGUGCUCGAACUCGGAGGUGCCGUAGUUUCGGUGCUUGAUCGGUUGGAUCGUGAAGACGUACGACUACUUCCUCUACGUCGUGUCAUCGCUUCCGCAGUCGGUCUGCGUAGGGUACGUAGACAAUACUCUUCCCCUCGUUGCUAUGCAUCACAUGAACUUGCGUGUGCGUAGGAAAUUUUUUGAAAUUACUACGAAACCCAACACCCACUCCAUCCCUUUGUCCGGGGGCUCAUGUUCUACUACGGCCUGGAUUUCCAUGAUCUGGCCCCGAAUUUCAUCCUCAACAUCUCAGCGUUCAUCGUCGUGUGUGAGGCCUUCCUCUGCAUCUAGCCCCACUUCGGCUUGUGGCUCAAGACCUUCAGUAUCAAGCCGAAAGUUGUGACGGGCAGUCAAGCGGAGUGCGGAGGCGCCAUGGUGGGCAGGAUGUCCCACGUUACUUGGCUUGAGGGCACUUUCGUGGAAACCAUUAAGGGGUGGCAAUCGGGGUGGUUCUACAUCACCGAGCCGCGUGACCCUGAAUGGGCAGCGGCCCCCAAAUUCAGAUCUGGCAUCCCCACAUGGCUCACCUCCUGGAAAGAGAGCGGAUGGACAUGGGGUGAUUCGGAGCAGCUGACCGGACUCCAAGCCUGCAUCCAAAAGCUAGUGGACAAGAAGCUCAAGCUUGUCAACGUAGUCCAGGUCAUGCUCAUCCGCCGGAUUCUCCCGUGCCAACGACGGGGCUUCAAUAUGUGGGAGUUCGAUCUGGUGCAGCACCAGACUUUGAGCGGGCUCUUCGAUACUACAUACGAAGAUGUCUGGAAGGUGCUGUUUAAGGGUGUUGAGGCCCUCGCAUCCGCUACCGAAGAUCGCGGAUUCAGCUCGCAGCGUCCAGCUGACGAGGUAAGCGAUUUUGCCCUUUACGGGACGUUUGUUUUCCAUAGUUUGACUCUAUGCGGGACCUAAACUCCCUCUCCUUUGACAGGGCUGGCUGGAGAAGGCCGAACAGACUAUCUGUCCGCCCCCAUUACCAGAGGACCCAGCAGACGCCCGCUUAAUGGGGCUGCUGGCUCCGGCACCCCACGUGGUGCCGGAGAAGAAGGCCAAGAAGAAGGCCACGGGCACUCGGAAGAGUUCCCGUUUUCAGGUGUUAUCGGAUGAUGACUCCGAGGCAGACUCCUCUCACAAAGGCGAGGAGGAGAAGAAGAAAGCCUCUCCCCUAGCGGGGGGAGGGAAGAAAAGGAAGGCCUUCCCAACGAGGGAGGCCGAAGGGUCCAAGAAGGGAAGGACUCUUCCCCCGGACUGCUCUGCCAACGCCGGCGACGACGACGAGGAUUGGCCCCCAAGGGCCAAGCCCCUGGCGAGAUCGUAAGUAUCCGGACUCCCGAAUAACUUUAUGAUUUUUCUUUUCGCCACAUGGUGUCUUUCUAAUGCCGCAUACAACCCUGUAGUCCGCCCAAGGAUGAUCUUCCCGCUUCGUCGAGCGGGUCCUUGGGUGUGUCGGAUAUGGGUUCCCUUCCGACCGCCUCCACCCCCCGUGAUGCAGACGAUGCCAAGGUGGGAUCCCGGGAAGGGACCUACCAGGAGGAGGAGGCCCCGGAGGUGUCGCAGAACAACCUCCCGUACUUUGCACCGGACUUGGCCCCGGAACCCAUAGUGGCUCCGGAGUCCGACGGGCGGCCCCUUCGUAAGAAGGGCAAGACCGUGACGCCGGUAGCCUCCGUCCAACCGGAGGCGCCGGAUAGCUUGCUGGAGGCGCUCAAUGGCGCCUCCAUCAAAGAGGAACACCGCACUGUUAUGAGUGCGGUGAUUCAGAAGGUUCAGCUCGCCAAGAGCGGGCUGACCGAAGCCUGCAGCAGCCUUCUAACAGGCUUUGAGGUAAGAAUUUCGAUAUAUGUAAAAUAGUACCGCAUAGACAGUAGCCCCUGAUGCUCGGUUCGGUGUUCGGAAAGAAAAGCCGGACUGAGGAUCUAAAAAGAUAUACGCAGGAGUCAUAAAAAAUAUGUCAAUAUGGGAUUGCAGGCUGUGCUGCUGACCUCUGCCGCACUGACUGCGGAGGUCAAUACUUUGAAGCAAAGCCUCGAGCGGUCCGAGAACGAGCUCGGCCGUGCCAAGAAGCAGCUCGAGGACAAUGAAGGUGAGUAACACCUUAUUAAAAAUGUACCUUACAGAAAAGGAUUUUGGUUGCAAGAAGAAUGACAAGGAUAACGUGGGUAUUGCAGGGGCCACAAGCGAGGUGGCGACCCUGAAGGAGACGGUGUCCGCGGCCGAACGUAAUGCGGCCACGGAAUGCACCGAGCGAGAGAGGCAGGAGGCACGGGUGGCGGAGGUACGGCAAGAGCUCCAGGCUCUUGUGAAAAAACACGAGAGUUUGGAGCAUCACUCGAAGACUCGAGAGUCCGAGCUUGCAACGGCUCGUGAGAGUGCCAAAGCCGCUAAGGCAGAAGCCUAUAAGACCCUCCAAGAAGUCGAGGCGUUGAAGAAAAUAGCGGCGGGUAAGGCAUUUUUCAUGCAAAGUAAGCAUGUGAGUGUGAAUUACCUAUCACUUACCCGAAUUCGGAGCUCUCCAAGAGCGUUCGCAGAUCUGCCUCGCAGCGUGUCCGAUGCUGCCGCUUUCUACAGGGCCGAGGAGGGGAGCUCGACGGAGAAGGUCUUCUGGUCUCAGUAUGCUGAGGCCGGACAUCUGGUGCCCCUUAGCGACCAGCUGAAGCAGCUGGUCGAGCUCCACAAGGUGGCCGAACAGGCCAUGAAGGGCCUCAUAGUUCGGCUAUGGCCUAAGGAGGACAUGCCUGGGAGCUACUUCGGCCUAGUGCGGCGGCUGGUGGAUGCGUGUCCAUGGGUUGAAGUCAUCAAGCACUCCACCUGUAUUGAAGGUGCCCGUCGGGCCCUUGCCCGCGCAAAGGUGCACUGGGGCAAGAUGGAUGCUCAGAAGCUUGUGACGGACGCGCCACCGCAGGGCAAGGAGCAUGGCACGCCCGAGAUGUAUUAUAAGAGUGUCCUGAAGGGUGCCCGCAUUAUUGCGGGUGAGUGCUCCAAAGAUGUAAUAUUUGAGUAGACUCGCAUUUUGUUAUCCUGUGCGCUAAAAACUUAGUUCAUAUGCGCUAAGCAACGCUUGUUAAUUUAAAAUAUUACCUUUUGUGCGGCUGUUUAUCAAAUCUGAGAGAUGGCAAGUCGUCGGCUUCAGCCCCCAUGCCACGAGUGCUGGGGUGUUCGGGAUAAAUUUGAGCACUCUUGUUCCCAUUUUUGGGUCCACCUAGGGAGGCGCUCAACACAACGAACAAGGCAACCGGACUUAUAAUGCUUGAACACUCUCACUUAGCCAUAGAAUUCUAUAAUUUUAAAUUUUGGCGAAGCCCCUAGUAUUCGGAAGGCCGAAUUUGGGGCGCUAUCCACACCUGGGCCGGACAAAGCCGGCUCCUCGCUCUAAGCGGCAUAAGUCUUUAGGGACUCGCAAAAAACCUCUCGAACAGCGACCAGCUCUCGCCUCAUCAUGACGGUCAGUUUUAGCUUUCUCCACUGAGGCGCUCGCCCAGCUCAACUGGGGCGCAAUCGCAGUGGUUCUCCCAGUGCUACCUUAGCCGAUACAAUGGAACGUAAGGUACCAAAACAUGGGAGUCGGGCAAACCCAACUAUUGACCCAAGACAUGAUUCGGAGCCGAUGCAUAUAAUGCUAUAAGUUCGGGGUGCCGCACUUGUGAAAGUGUUCGGACUUAUCACACCAUGAUGCGGGAAACAUAACCCUCUGGUGUAUUUAGCCGUACCAAAAUGUACGGAUGCAACAUGUCAUAAAUGAACAUAUGUAUAAGAAAGAAAUGCAAUUGGAAGCAAAAAGGUGCUGCAUUACUUAUUCAAGAAAAACUGUUGUGAAUGCAGAACGAUACAAAUGGUGCAAUAGGCAAGGGAUGGGACUAUUAAAUAUGUCCCCCUCCAGGGGUAGGCUGCGGAAUGGUGCAUAAAACAGAUUUAAUGCUCGUAAUGGAGACCACCUGGAUAUUCGUUGUAGCCUUUCUCCUCCCCUGGCUGUUGCAUCGUGAGUUCGGCAGGUCUGCUGCCGGACAGGGCCUCUGACGAACGGAGUCCUGUGGGUAAAAAUAAAAAGGAAAAAGAAAAAAAGAACGACACACUUGAGAGCCCCUGGUGUGGUUGAGCCGCAUUCUGAGCCUAUCGUGGUCGUGCCCCUCUCCCCAUGCCCAUGGUAUCUUCAGAGCGUAAUGGUGUAUGCGAAUAACCCGUCUUGACGUUUUGCAGGGGCUGGGGUUGGGGCCGCACUGCUACGCGUGCUCGAAACGUGCCAGGUGGUCUUGUUGUAGGUUACUCCGGGCGCGUUUAGCCGUGUCCGGUCGCUUAAUGGCCGGACUCGAGAAUUGCCUUAAAAGGCUGCACUGUACUUCUACCGCGAGAGCCGCUGUAUGUUCCUCCGUUCGGAGAGAGCGUUCAAUGUUUCCGUUGGCCGUGAUGACUCCUCGAGGUCCUGGCAUCUUGAGCUUGAGUUAUGCGUAGUGCGGCACCGCGUUGAACUUUGCGAAUGCGGUACGUCCGAGCAGAGCAUGAUAGCCGCUAUGGAACGGAACUAUGUCGAAGAUUAACUUCUCGCUUCGGAAGUUAUCCGGGGAUCCGAAGACCACUUCCAGUGUAACUGAGCCUGUACAAUUGGCUUCUACACCUGGUAUGACGCCUUUAAAGGUCGUCUUGGUAGGUUUAAUCCUUGAGGGGUCUAUGCCCAUUUUGCGCACUGUAUCCUGAUAAAGCAGAUUCAGGCUGCUGCCGCCGUCCAUCAGGACUCUGGUGAGGUGAAAUCCAUCGACGAUUGGGUCUAAAACCAAUGCGGCGAAUCCGCCGUGGCGGAUGCUGCUGGGGUGGUCCCUUCGGUCAAAAGUGAUCGGGCAGGAGGACCAUGGAUUGAACUUCGGGGCAACUGGCUCCAUCGCGUAUACAUCCCUGAGUGCACGCUUCCGCUCCCUUUUGGGUAUGUGUGUUGCGUAUAUCAUGUUCACCGUCCGCACCUGUGGGGGGAAACCCUUCUUGUCCUCUAUUGUUCGGGGGUCGGGUCUCUUCCUCGUCAUCGCUAUGCAGCCCCUUGUCAUUGUUUUUGGCAAUUAACUUGCCUGCCUGCUUGAAUACCCAACAGUCCCUGUUGGUGUGGUUGGCUGGCUUUUCGGGGGUGCCGUGUAUCUGGCACGAGCGAUCGAGUAUUCGGUCCAAAUUGGACGGACCCGGAGUAGUUCUUUUGAAUGGCUUUUCCGCUGACCGGGUUUAGAGCCUCUGAAUCCGGCAUUGACUGCCGUAUCUUCACUAUUAUCACCGUUAAUGCGGCGUUUGUUUUUGUUGUGACGCGACCUGCCAUUACGGUCCUUGAUAUCCGGACUGCCAGAAUUUUUGCUGAGGUUGUUGCUGCGUGCUAGCCAGCUGUCCUCACCCGCGCAGAAGCAGGUCAUGAGUGAUGUGAGGGCUGCCAUGGAUUUCGGCUUUUCCUGCCCCAGGUGUCGGGCAAGCCACUCAUCGCGGAUGUUAUGUUUGAAGGUCGCGAGGGCCUCCGCAUUCGGACAGUCGACGAUUUGGUUUUUCUUGGUUAAGAACCGUGUCCAAAAUUGUCUGGCUGCUGAAUUAUAUGGCUUAGGUCAUCAGCGUCUGGUGGUCGCACAUACGUGCCUUGGAAGUUAUCGAGAAAUGCGGCUUCCAGGUCUUCCCAACUCCCGAUUGACUCUACUAGCAAGCUGUUAAGCCAAUGUCAGGCUGGUCCUUUAAGUUUGAGUGGGAGAUAUUUGAUGGCGUGAAGAUCGUCACUGCAGGCCAUGUGGAUGUGGAGGAGAUAGUCUUCGAUCCAAACCGCGGGGUCUGUUGUUCCAUCGUAAGAUUCAAUAUUCACGGGUUUAAACCCUUCGGGGAUUUGAUGAUCCAUUACUUCAUCUGUGAAGCAUAGUGGGUGUGCGGCGCCUCUGUACUGGGCGAUAUCACGACGGAGCUCAAAAGAGCUUUGUCUAUUUUGUUCGGCCCGGCCGGACUUACUGUGUCCGGCGCGACGGUUGUCGUCAUGUAUCAUGGGGCACCCACGCGAUCCAUAGAUCGAUCUUGAUUGUCUUGCCUUAUCCUCCAAUAUAUCUCGCAAGUCCGGAGCGUUCCCCUGUGGCCUUGUGCUUUUCGAGCGAUGCCGGGGUACGGUUCUAGUGAAGGGCCUAGAGGCCUCUGUGUCGCGACCACGGGGUGGUCGGUCAGCCGUAUUGUCUGUUGGUGAUGCAGGUUCAUAUGCCUCCUCCUCUAAUCGGGGGAGCAGCUUGCGUUUAGGGUAGCUUUUGGAGGGGCGUUCGAGCUCAUGCUCUUCGGCCGCGAGGACUUCAGUCCAUUUGUCGGCUAGCAGAUCUUGAUCAGCUCUAAGUUGUUGCUACUUUUUCUUGAGGCUGUUUGCCGUGACCAUAAGCCUGCGUUUAAAACGCUCUUGUUCGACGGGAUCCUCAGGCAUGACGAAUUCUUCGUCGUCGAGGCUUGCCUCGUCGCCGGAGGGAGGCAUAUAAUCCUCUACCUCUUCUUCUACCGCUCUCUCAUGAGGGCUGGCGUCUAUGUCCUCCUGUGCUGAAUCUUGCUGGAGUGGGUUGUCUUCGGCACUGUCUGGGGUGUUAUUAUCUCCGGUGCCGGAAUCUUCAUUCUUGCUGUGGCAGGAUUUAGAGCGGCACCGCUGACGCCGGCGCUUAGGCUGUUUCUUGGAGGGGCCAUCCUCCGCUGUUCCUUCGCCAUUCCCAUCCUUUGGGAUAUCCAUCAUGUAUAUGUCAUAUGAUGAGGUGGCUUUCCAGUGCCCAGUAGGUGCUGGUUCUUGGUCGUCUCCGGCAUCGUCGUCCAUACCGUCGAUGUCUUCGGAGUCGAAGUCUAGCAUGUCGGUUAGAUCAUCGACAGAGGCUACUAAGUGGGUGGUGGGUGGGCUUUGAAUUUCUUCUUCAUCCGCAUCCCAACCGUCCUGACCGCAGUCCGGCCAGAGCUCUCCUGAUAACAAGAGAUACUUUAGCGAACUCAAGAUGUCGCCGAAAGGUGAGUGUUGAAAGAUGUCCGCAGCGGUGAACUCCAUGACCGGCGCCCAAUCGGAUUCGAUUGGAGGGGGCGCAGGAGGUUCAGAGUCCGGCAAGGAGUCCGGCACCUCGGAGUCACGAGCUUCAUGAGGGACAAGGUCAGUGUUCGGCUCUAUCGCCGUAGAGGUUGCAGCCCCCGAGGCGGUGUCUAGCCACCCGUCCUCGAUCUGCGCAGCCGGCUCCGAAUUGAAGAUUGGAGCGGACUCGUGAGUGGCCUCCAGGUUACUGUCCGGCUGCAGAGCUAAGUCAUGCCCGUCGUGACAGUGCGGCGCGCUCGGCUGUGGCUCGAAUCCAUCGAAGAUCAAGUCCCCGCGGAUGUCAGCCGUGAAGUUCAAACUUCCAAAUCUGACCUGACGGCCAGGGGCGUAGCUUUCGAUCUGCUCCAGAUGGCCAAGCGAAUUGGCCCACAGUGCAAAGCCGCCGAAUACGAAGAUCUGUCCGGGGAGGAAGGUCUCACCCUGGACUGCGUCGUUGUUGAUGAUCGAAGAAGCCAUCGAGCCUAUCAGUGACGACACAGAGGAACUCUAAAUGAAAGCACCAAUGUCGGUGUCAAAACCGGCGGAUCUCGGGUAGGGGGUCCCGAACUGUGCGUCUAGGCGGAUGGUAACAGGAGACAAGGGACACGAUGUUUUACCCAGGUUCGGGCCCUCUUGAUGGAGGUAAAACCCUACGUCCUACUCGAUUAAUAUUGAUGAUGUGUGUUACAAGAGUAGAUCUACCACGAGAUCAAGGAGGCUAAACCCUAGAAGCUAGCCUAUGGUAUGAUUGUUGUUCGUCCUACGGACUAAAGCCAUCCGGUUUAUAUAGACAUUGGAGAGGGCUAGGGUUACACAGAUUCGGUUAUAAUGGUAGGAGAUCUACAUAUCCGUAUCGCCAAGCUUGCCUUCCACGCCAAGGAAAGUCCCAUCCGAACACGGGACGAAGUCUUCAAUCUUGUAUCUUCAUAGUCUUAGAGUCCGGCCGAUGAUGAUAGUUCGGCUAUCCGGACACCCCCUAGUCCAGGACUCCCUCACUUAUCACGAUGAAACUUUUCACAUAAGCGUCGCAGCCCCAAACUUUCAAGAAACGACAGCUUAGGUUUCUCUAAACCAUAGUUCACACGGUGUCAUCUCAACAGAAUUAUGUGGUGCCCUAUUAAAGUGAAUAUGGUUGUCUCUAAUGCCUAACCCAUGAACGAUAGUGGUAAUUUGAUAAGAGACAUCAUGGUACGCACCAUAUCCAAUAGGGUCCAACUAUGAUGUUCGGACACACCAUCACACUAUGGUGUUCCAGGCGGUAUUAAUUGUGAAACAAUUUCCACAAUGUCUUAAUUGCGUGCCAAAGCUCGUAACUCGGAUACUCAUCUCUAUGAUCAUAUCAUAGACAUUUUAUCCUCUUGUCACAAUGAUCUUCAACUUCACUCUGAAAUUACUUGAACCAUUCAAUAAUUCAGACUUGUGUUUCAUCAAGUAAAUAUACUCAACAUCUACUCGAAUCAUCUAUGAAGUAAGAACAUAAUAAUACUCACUGCAUGCCUCAACACUCAUUGGACUGCACACAUCAAAUGUGUUACUUCCAACAAGUUGCUAUCUUGUUCCAUCUUACAGAAAAUGAGGCUUUUCAGUCAUCUUGCCCAUGUGGUAUGAUUUGCAUAUCUCAAGUGAUUCAAAAUCAAGUGAGUCCAAACGAUCCAUCUGCAUGGAGUUUCUUUAUGCGUAUACACCAAUAGACAUGGUUCACAUGUCUCAAACCUUUUUAAAAUGAGUGAGUCCAAAGAUCCAUCAACAUGGAGUUUCUUCAUGCGUUUUACACCAAUAUGACUUACAUGGCAGUGCCACAAGUAAGUGGUACUAUCAUUACUAUCUUAUAUCUUUUGGCAUGAAAAUGUGUAUCACUACGAUCGAGAUUCAACAAACCAUUCCUUUUAGGUGCAAGACCAUUGAAGGCAUUAUUCAAAUAAACAGAGUAAUCAUUAUUCUCCUUAAAUGAAUAACCGUAUUGUGAUAGACAUAAUCCAAUCAUGUCUAUGCUCAACGCAAACACCAAGUAACAAUUAUUUAGGUUUAAUACCAAUCUCGAUGCUAGAGGGAGCGUGCGAUGCUUGAUCACAUCAACCUUGGAAACACUUCCAACACAUAUCGUCAGCUCACCUUUAGCUAGUCUCCGUUCAUUCCGUAGCUUUUAUUUCGGGUUAGUAACACUUAGCAACCGAACCGGUAUCUAAUACCCUGGUGCUACUAGAAGUACUAGUAAAGUACACAUUAACAUAAUGUAUAUCCAAUAUACUGCUAUCGACCUUGCCAGCCUUCUCAUCUACCAAGUAUCUAGGGUAAUUCUGCUCCAGUGGUUGUUCCCUUUAUUACAGAAGCACUUAGUCUCGGGUUUGGGUUCAACCUCGGGUUUCUUCACUAGAGCAGCAGCUGAUUUGCCAUUUCAUGAAGUAUCCCUUCUUGCCCUUGCCCUUCUUGAAACUAGUGGUUUCACCAACCAUCAACAAUUGAUGCUCCUUCUUGAUUUCUACUUUCGCGGUGUCAAACAUCGCGAAUACCUCAAGGAUCAUCAUAUCUAUCCCUGAUAUGUUAUAGUUCAUCAUGAAGCUCUAGCAGCUUGGUGGCAAUGACUUUGGAGAAACAUCACUAUCUCAUCUGGAAGAUCAACUCCCACUGGAUUCAAGUGAUUGUUGUACUCAGACAAUCUGAGCACAAGCUCAACGAUUGAGCUUUUCUCCCUUAGUUUGCAGGCUAAGAAAAUCGUCGGAGGUCUCAUACCUCUUGACGUGGGCACGAGCCUGAAAAUCCAAUUUCAGCCCUCGAAACAUCUCAUAUGUUUCGCGACGUUUCGAAAAUGUCUUUGGUGCCUCAACUCUAAACCGUUUAACUGAACUAUCACGUAGUUAUCAAAACGUGUAUGUAUGAUGUUCGCAACAUCCACAAAUGAAGUUUGGGGUUCAGCACAUUGAGCGGUGCAUUAAGGACAUAAGCUUUCUACUGUCCGCAUAAUCGCUAUUGUCAACUUUCAACUAUAUUUUCUCUAGGAACAUAUCUAAACAGUGGAACUAAAGCGCGAGCUAUGACAUAAUUUGCAAAGGGCUUUUGACUACGUUCAGGAUAAUUAAGUUCAUCUAAUGAACUCCCACUCGGAUAGACAUCCCUCUAGUCAUCUAAGUGAUUACAUGAUCCGAGUCAACUAGGUCGUGUCCGAUCAUCACGUGAGACGAACUAGUCAUCAUCGGUGAACAUCUUCAUGUUGAUCGUAUCUAGUAUACGACUCAUACUCGACCUUUCGGUCUCUUGUGUUCCGAGGCCAUGUAUGUACAUGCUAGGCUCGUUAAGUCAACCUAAGUGUUUCACAUGUGUAAAUCUGGCUUACACCUGUUGUAUGUGAACGUAAGAAUCUAUCACACCCGAUCAUCACGUGGUGCUCCGAAACGACGAACUUUCGCAACGGUGCACAGUUAGGGGGAACACUUUCUUGAAAUUUUAAUGAGGGAUCAUCUUAUUUACUACUGUAGUUCUAAGCAAAUAAGAUGCAUAAACAUGAUAAACAUCACAUGCAAUCAAAUAGUGACAUGAUAUGGCCAAUAUCAUUUUGCUCCUUUUGAUCUCCAUCUUCGGGGCUCCAUGAUCAUCAUCGUCACCGGCAUGACACCAUGAUCUCCAUCAUCAUGUCUCCAUGAAGUUGUCUCGCCAACUUAUUACUUCUACUACUAUGGCUACUGGUUAGCAAUAAAGUAAAGUAAUUACAUGGCGUUGUUCAAUGACACGCAGGUCAUACAAUAAAUAAAGAAAACUCCUAUGGCUCCUGCCGGUUGCCAUACUCAUCGACAUGCAAGUCGUGAUUCCUAUUACAAGAACAUGAUCAAUCUCAUACAUCACAUAUCAUUCAUCACAUUCUUCUUGGCCAUAUCACAUCACAUAGCAUACCCUGCAAAAACAAGUUAGACGUCCUCUAAUUGUUGUUUUCAUGUUUUACGUGGCUGCUAUGGGUUUCUAGCAAGAACGUUUCUUACCUACACAAAACCACAACAUGAUAUGCCAAUUGCUAUUUACCCUUCAUAAGGACCCUUUUCAUCGAAUCCGUUCCGACUAAAGUGGGAGAGACUGGCACCCGCUAGCCACCUUAUGCACCAAGUGCAUGUCAGUCGGUGGAACCUGUCUCACGUAAGAGUACGUGUAAGGUCGGUCCGGGACGCUUCAUCCCACAAUACCGUCGAAACAAGAUUGGACUAGUAACGGUAAGCAUAUUGAACAAAAUCAACGCCCACAACUACUUUGUGUUCUACUUGUGCAUAGAAUCUACGCAAUAGACCUAGCUCAUGAUGCCACUGUUGGAGAACGUAGCAGAAAUUCAAAAUUUUCCUACGUGUCACCAAGAUCUAUCUAUGGAGAAACCAGCAACGAGGGGAAGGAGAGUGCAUCUACAUACCCUUGUAGAUCGCUAAGCGGAAGCGUUCAAGAGAACGGGGUUGAAGGAGUCGUACUCGUCGUGAUCCAAAUCACCGGAGAUCCUAGUGCCGAACGGACGGCACCUCCGCGUUCAACACACGUACAGCCCGGUGACGUCUCCCAUGCCUUGAUCCAGCAAGGAGAGAGGGAGAGGUUGAGGAAGACUCCAUCCAGCAGCAGCAUAACGGAGUGGUGGUGGUGGAGGAGCGUGGCAAUCCUGCAGGGCUUCGCCAAGCACCACGGAAGAGGAGAAGGGAGAGAGGUAGGGCUGCGCCAAGGAGAGGUCAAAACUCAUGUGUUGGCAGCCCUCAAGACCUCAACUAUAUAUAGGGGAGAGGGAGGGGGGUGCGCCCCCUCUAGGGUUUCCACCCCAAGGGGUGCGGUAGCCCCAAUCCCAUCUAGGGUGGCGGCCAGGGGGGGGGGGAAGAGGGGAAACUUGCCCCCCAAGUUAGGUGGGUGCGCCCCCUCCCCCAACCCUAGGCGCCUUGGGCCCUUGUGGGGGGCGCACUAGCCCACCUGGGGCUGGUCCCCUCCCACACUUGGCCCAUGCAGCCCACCGGGGCCGGUGGCCCCACUUGGUGGACCCCCGGGACCCUCCCAGUGGUCCCGGUACGUUACCGAUAAAACCCGAAACUUUUCCGGUGACCAAAACAGGACUUCCCCUAUAUAAAUCUUUACCUCCGGAACAUUCCGGAACUCCUCGUGACGUCCGGGAUCUCAUCCGGGACUCCGAACAACAUUCAGUAACCACAUGCAAACUUCCUUUAUAACCCUAGCGUCAUCGAACCUUAAGUGUGUAGACCCUACGGGUUCGGGAACCAUGCAGACAUGACCGAGACGUUCUCCGGUCAAUAACCAACAGCGGGAUCUGGAUACCCAUGUUGGCUCCCACAUGUUCCACAAUGAUCUCAUCGGAUGAACCACGAUGUCAAGUACUCAAUCGAUCUUGUAUACAAUUCCUUUUGUCUAGCGGUAUUGUACUUGCCCGAGAUUCGAUCGUCGGUAUGCCGAUACCUUGUUCAAUCUCGUUACCGGCAAAUCUCUUUACUCGUUCCGUAACACAUCAUCCCGUGAUCAACCCCUUGGUCACAUUGUGCACAUUAUGAUGAUGUCCUACCGAGUGGGCCCAGAGAUACCUCUCCGUCAACCGGAGUGACAAAUCCCAGUCUCGAUUUGUGCCAACCCAACAGACACUUUCAGAGAUACCUGUAGUGCACCUUUAUAGCCACCCAGUUACGUUGUGACGUUUGGUGCACCCAAAGCAUUCCUACGGUAUCCGGGAGUUGCACAAUCUCAUGGUCUAAGGAAAUGAUACUUGACAUUAUAAAAGCUUUAGCAUACGAACUACACGAUCUUUGUGCUAGGCUUAGGAUUGGGUCUUGUCCAUCACAUCAUUCUCCUAAUGAUGUGAUCCCGUUAUCAACGGCAUCCAAUGUCCAUGGUCAGGAAACCGUAACCAUCUAUUGAUCAACGAGCUAGUUAACUAGAGGCUUACUAGGGACAUGGUGUUGUCUAUGUACCCACACAUGUAUCUGAGAUUCCUAUCAAUACAAUUAUAGCAUGGAUAAUAAAUGAUUAUCAUGAAUAAGGAAAUAUAAUAAUAACUAAUUUAUUAUUGCCUCUAGGGCAUAUUUCCAACAUUAGUAAUAUUGUCUUGCUCUGUCCCUGUAACACCCACGAUGCGGCUAUAUCUCCCACGUGUCGAAGCACGACUUAGAGGCAUAACCGCAUUGUGGUUUUGUCGCAAGAAGGGUCAUCUUCACACAAUCCCAUGUAAUGAACAAGACUGGGAUAAAGAGUUGGCUUACAAUCACCACUUCACACAAUGAACAUAUAAUUCAUACAUCAUUCAGAGUACACACAUAGUCCGACUACAGACAAAACCAAAAGAAAAGAAGAUAACCCAACUGCUAGAUCCCCGAUCGUCCCCAACUGGGCUCCACUACUAAUCAACAUGAAACGAAACAUAGCAAUGACCAAGGUCUUCGUUGAGCUCCCAUCUGAGCUCGGUUGCAUCACCUGCACUGGUAUCAUCGGCACCUGCAACUGUUGUGAUAGUAUCUGGUGAGUCACGAGGACUCGGCAAUCUCAAAACCCGCGAGAUCAAGACUAUUUAAGCUUAUGGGUAGGAAGUGGUAAUGAGGUGGAGUUGCAGCAAGCACUAAGCAAAUAUGGUGGCUAACAUACGCAAAUAAGAGCGAGAAGAGAGCAAACGGAACGGUCGUGAAGCUAGCAAUGAUCAAGAAGUGAUCCUGAACUCCUACUUACGUCAAACAUAACCCAAAACCGUGUUCACUUCCCGGACUCCGCCGAAAAGAGACCAUCACGGCUAAACACGCGGUUGAUGUGUUUUAAUUCGGAUCUGGUGUCAAGUUAUCUACAACCGGACAUUAACAAAUUCCCAUCUGCCACAUAACCGCGGGCACGGCUUUAGAAAGUUUAUACCCUGCAGGGGUGUCCCAACUUAGCCCAUGAUAAGCUCUGGCGAUCAACAAAGGAUAUACCUUCUCCCAGGAAGACCCGAUCAGACUCGGAAUCCCGGUUUACAAGACAUUUCGAUAAUGGUAAAACAAGACCAGCAAAGCCUCCCGCUGUGCCGACAAAUCCCGAUAGGAGCUGCACAUAUCUCGUUCUCAGGGCACACUGGAUUGUCCAAACUUCCGAUAGGCCAGCCCAGAGUUGCCCCUGGUGGCCACCGGUGGUUGACAGGUUGGACCAACACUCACGAUGAGCACUGGCCCGGGGGGGGUAAAAUAAAGAUGAUCCUUGAGUCUGCAGAACCCAAGGGAAAAAGGCUUAGGUAGGCAAAUGGUAAAACCAAGGUUGGGCCUUGCUGGAGGAGUUUUAUUCAAAGCGAACUGUCAAGGGGGUCCCAUAAAUCACCCAACCGCGUAAGGAACGCAAAAUCCGGGAACAUAACACUGGUAUGACGGAAACUAGGGCGGCAAGAGUGGAACAAAACACCAGGCAUAAGGCCGAGUCUUCCACCCUUUACCAAGUAUAUAGAUGCAUUAAUAAUAUAAGAGAUAUUGUGAUAUCCCAACAUAAUCCUGUCCACCAUGGAGAAAUCUUCAACUUCACCUGCAACUAACAACGCUAUAAGAUGGGCUGGGCAAAAGUGGUAACAUAGCCAAACAACGGUUUGCUAGGAAGGGUGAAAAAGGUUAGAGGCUGAAAUGGCAAUAUGGGAGGCAUGGUAAACAAGUGAUAGGUAGCGCAACAUAGCGAUAGAACGGAGCAACUAGCAAGCAAAGAUAGAAGUGAUAUCGAGGGUAAUAGUCAUCUUGCCUGGAAUCCCGAUAGGAAGAAGAACGAGUCCAUGAAGAAGACAAACGGACGUAGUCGAACGAAUCCUCACAACUCCGGAACGAAACCGAAGCUAACGAGAGAAGCAAACCGGAAAGAAGUAAACAACAUGGUAAACACACAAGCAUAAACAUGUCAUGAUGCACAAACAAGUAUGAUGCAUGUCCGGUUUAAUGAGGCAUGGCAGGGCAAAGUGCAACAAACAAUACUACAAGUUAAGUGGAGCUCAAUAUGCAACGAGUUGCAUAUUGAUGAAACACCACAUCAAAUUAUUUAGUUUACUCUCGGUUAAGAUACUCAACAAUUAUUAAAUAUUAAUUAACAUGGCAAGGGGUGAAGCAUAAGUAAACUAACUAUUUAAGCAAGUUUAAAUGAGGCCAGAACAACAAACAACCAUUCCGGAAAAUCCACAUAUGGCAUUUAGCAAUUUAACACAAACACAAUUUUAAACAUUUUAAAUGUUGUUAUCAUGAUGCGGAUGACAUAUACAAGUUUUAUGCAAUUUUAUGAAAAUGUUGACAUGAGCAUGUUACGAGGCAUUUGUCGCCAUGGCGGAAGGAAAAAGGUGCCACGGCGGUGAAACGAAAAUGGUGCCACGGCAACAUAUCGGUUCUGAUAACUCAUGGAGGUACCGGUGCAAAAGGAAGUGUGACGUGAGCGAGUCAUGCAAGAUGGUGGGGUGAUCCCGGCUACCAGGUUCCCACGGGACGGCGGCAUGGCAAACGAGGAAGGAACGUGCACGAAACAAACGGGCAUGAUGCAAACAUAUGGUUCAUCUCAUACAACACUCAAGCAUUCGUUUACGGGCGGUCGUCUCGGGGUUAUACCUUCGAAGCGUGCAUUUUCGGAGCGGGUCGAGUUCGAUACGAUGUAGAGGACGUAGACGUUCUUGUAGUGGUCGUAGUGGAAGUAGUGGUUCACAGACGUCGUGGAAGUAGUCGUUCGCAGCGAUGGUAGAGGUACUCGCGAUCUUGGCGACGGUAGUGGUACAUCUCGUAGAUGAAGUAGUUGUUCAUGAUCCGUAGAUGUUCGGGGUCCACGGGGUCUUCAAGGGUCGACGGUAGUUGUACUCAUAUUGUCGUGGUACUUGGCGGUAUCCAAGACGGUCUUGCGUAUCCGUGCAUAGAGGUACUUGGCGUUCCGGUCCUGUAGUCGUACUAGGCCUUCGGUGAACUUGGCGAAAUCCAUGAAGGCGUCCUUGGGCGCUCCUGGUUGCCGCGACUUGGCAAAAACGAAGGGAUCUUGGCACCCAUGCAACCGGCAGCGGAGGUGCACGAAACCAGCGGCAAAGGACAAAGCAAGGGCAGAGCUGCGCUCGAUGGCAGGAAGUGAAGAAGACGGUGCGGCAGCGGGGCGAGGAACAAAGGGGCCAUGGCGGCAUGGACGGGCAGAAAGCGCUCGGGAUCGAGCUCCUCUCGAUCCAGAGCAUGGAUGCGGCCGUGGGACGGAGGUGGAGGCCCGGCGAGGUCGGCAGCUUAGGCCUCCAUGGGGCGGCAUGGACAAAGUGGCCGGCGUCGGCCUUGGCUCGAAGCAGGGGAGGCGCGGCCAUGGCAGGGCCUGACGAAUCCGGACAGGGGUGGCGCUUGACGACGGAGGGCGACGCGAGGCAGGGGCGCCAGCAGCAGGGCAACCGCGGGAGGCCGAGGCCGACGGAGGUGCUGAGGCGGCAUGGCCAUGGACGACGGCGAGGAGGGUUGAGGGAGGCGGCGCUUGCUGGUCGGCGCAAGGGGAGGCAAGAAGGCGCGGCGACGGCCUGGACUCGCCGGCAUCGAGGAGGGAGACGUGGGCACGCGGCGCUCCUCUCUCUCUCUCUCUCUCACUGCGACGGCGCAACGAGGGAGGAGGGGAUCGAGCGCUGGGCUCUCCCUGGUGAUGUGCGUGUGUGAGUGGCGGCAUGAGGGAACGAGAGGGAGAGCGGAUCGAGAGAUGGGGAUCGAUCGACCUAGGGUUAGAGCUGGUGGGGGCGGCUGGGCCUUGGGCCGGCUUAGUUGGUCGGGCCUAAGAGGCCUGGCUGGGCUCUCUUCUCCCUCUCUCUUUUAUUUACCAAAAGCAGUAAAUAGCAAAGAAAGAAAAAGGAGAUAAAGAAAGGGUUGGAGAAAUAAUUUGAGCAUGGGGGUAAUUUUCCUGGACUCGCAUAAAUGCGCUUGUUUCGAGAAAAUAGAAAAAAGGCAUGAAUGAAAGAUGUAAAUUCAAACUCAUUUGAAUUUAAUUCAAAUGGGUUUAAACUAGGACUUGAUAAAAGGAAGGUCCAAAAAUGUUCGGAUUUUUGGUGGAGCUCCGGAAAAUGGUAAAAGAAUUAUUGGCAAGGUUAGAGAGUCAAAACUUGAAGAAGAAAAGGCCAAGGGAUUUAAUAUGCAAGUGGGUUCAUGGGUGAUUCCAAAACAAUGGAAUAUUUUAUAAUAUCUCCCUAAAUAUCGGGAGGGUAUGUUAUAAAGAGAAAUCACCAUUGUGAAUAUCCCUCAAUUUAAAUGGACCGAGGAUCCAUACAAUUUAUUUAGAAGAGUUAUAAAAAUUAAUGAUAUGAUGGCAUGAUGAAACGAUGCAAUGCAAGAGAUGACAUGAUGCAAUGCAACAAGCAAAUAAAAAACACGGCGAAACUCGGAAUAGCUGGAAGUCUUCUGGAGCGUCGUUCUCGGGGCGUCACAGUCCCAUACUUUCUAGCUUCCUCCUAAUAAGACUCACAUUCUUUUUUCAAUAGAUGAGGUUCAAGUUGGAUCCGAAAGAUGAUGCAACUAAACAAGCAUGCACUCAUGUUUUUCAGUCUGCUCUGCGACAGUAUCGGUACCACCUUAGAAAAUCUCACUUUGAAGGCAAGGCUAACAAUGAAAUCGCCCAAACAUCUCUAGUGGAAUAUAUUACAAAUGAAGAUUGGACAACCCUUGUUAAAGUAUCAGGUAGGCUAUAUGUAUUUGAUCAGACCACAUAUUGAACUUGUAUUUAUGUAUGUGCCUUACAAGUGUAUCUUGUUCCAGGCUAACUGUUUGAAGAACAAAACCAACCGUUCUAAAGUGAAAUUCCAACAGACAACAAGAUCUCGUAGCUAUAUUGCACACUGCGAGGCUCUUGUAAAUAGCUGCUACUUCCUUCUUUUUUGUGUGCCAUAUUAUCGUAUCUAUAUUGACUUGUUCCAAAUACAGAGGAAAGGUCGUGCGGACCAAAAAGAACCUGAACCGAAUGCAGUGGAAAUCUUCAAGGAUUGCCACACCAUCAAGACGAAGGGCAUGAGCACACGAGUUCAAGCCAUUGUUGUAAGUCCUUACUCCUCCUGCCUUGAAUUGAUUGGUAUUGUGAUGUGUUCAUUUAACUACUUGGUUUGCAACCAAUGUCAGUUACUCUGUUCACUUUUAUACACAGUUGUCUUAACGUAUCAUUUCACCUUACAUGGUUUAAAAGAGAUGAAGGAUAUUCUUUUGGUCUUGAUCUGUAAUCUAGUUGUUAUGUUCACAUGCUCACACAAUGAUAAAAUAGCCUGUUUGUUUUCUAUCUGUUUGUCCAUGAUAUGAAUGAUGUCAUACUAUGUUCAUCCUACUUUAAACCAUGUCUCUUUAUCCUUAGAUGUCAACGAAUGUGAGGAAAUAGACAAUACCGUAGGCAUGCUACAUGGACAUAUGUUCCGAAAGUGAUUUUAUUAUGUAGUUGGCACUACAAUACAUGCUAAUGUAUUACAGUAGUUCACCAAAAUAAGUUAUGUAUAAACGUUUAACCUACUUUGUUUGUUUUUUUCUCAUCAGUAACUUAUCUGGUACACUAAUCUACAAGUUCAAACUUUCAGGAAGCUAUGGAACAAAUGAUUGAACAACCACAACCACCUGAAGGUGACGAGGCUACUAUAGGCACAAUGUCACCUCAUGCUGCAGUGCGUCAGUACCUCUCCACUAACAGUGCAAAAAGCACCUUCCUGCGUAAUUCUGGGUUGGUUGUCAAGGUAACCUCGUCCAAAUCACCUCCUGAACAAAAUCUUCCUGCUAGACAGAGUGAUAUAUCUGUGCUCCAGACACAAGUCCAAUCCCUAAUGGACGUUGUUUCAGAAACAAGAAUAGUGGUUGAGAAAUGUCGUCAAGAUAUGAAUGGUUUUGAAACCAUACUAUCAGACAUUCGCUUCGUUGUUCAAGAGCAAUGGCGGAAAAAGGUGGAGAUCAUGCUACUCCAUCAGAUUCUACAGCCUGAAACAUUAGCACUCAGGUCAAAUGAUAUGUGCUUCUAUACAUCUGAUGGUGCUUUUAUCUGGAAGGAUUGUAAAGUUUAUGCCAACAGGCCUUUUGUUGUAUGGUUGGAAUUUAUUUUGUUGUGAUACAACAUUUAUGAUGCUGCCACAGGUUGCAGUAAUUAUGAUGCUAUUUUUGUAUAGUGUAGGUUUAUCUUAGUAAUGUAUUCGGCCGAAAGCUUCGUAGGAGCCCAACACGCCAACAUUCGUCGGGCCCAUUCCAAUUGGGCUAAAAACGAUUACGGGCCAAAAUUGGCAUGUAGCCCACUAAAAAUAUCUGGGCCUAAAUCAGCAUAAGCUUUCAUAUUUUUCUGGUAGGCCUGUGCCCAUAGUGGGCCUUUAAUAGGCCUAAACAUAAUUUGGGCCCUCAGUAAAAUUAGGCCGUUUACAGGUGUAAAUAUCUCGAGCCCAUAAAAAACAUGGGUCUUUAAUAGACCAAAAGUGAGAUUGGGCCCUGAUUGUGCCAAAUAACCCACUGGACUUAGCAGGCCGAAAUGGUGGCCCAUUUACGACGUGGAUCUUUGACAGGCCGAAAUUCGGAUGGGUCGUAAAUGCGCCGACCUAAUACACGGGCCUUUAACAGGCCGGAACUUUGGUCAGGCUAGAUUAUCGUCAUUUUUGUAUGGGUCGUUAAUGGGCCCGAUAUGACGUUGGGCCACAUAUGGCCCAUGGUUUACGUCCGGCGUUAACAGGCCGAAAAUGACGACAGGCCGAAAGUGGCCCAAAUCUAUAGUGGGCCUCUAACAGGCCGAAUGUCAGACAUGGCCGAAUAUGACCCAAAUCCUUCACGGUCGUUUAUGGGCCGAAAGUUUUGAUGGCCUGUAAAUGGGCCCAAAUGAAGCCGGACCUUUAGCAGCCCGGAAAUACACCAGGUCGUAAUUCGGCCCAAUUACUUAGCGGACAAUUAACGGACCAAAAGUGACCAUGGGCCGCGUUGAUGACAAGUUUAGGACAGGCCAUUGACGGGCCGAUUUGACAAAGAAUGUUGGGCCUUUAGCUGGGCCGGCCCAUUAUGGUCUGCAGAAUCUUGUGGGCCUUUAGCUGGGUCGGCCGAUUGUGGUCCGCAAAAUCUUGUGGGCCUUUAGCUGGGCCGGCCAUUAUGGUCUGCAAAUUCGUGUGGGCCUUUAGCUGGGUCGGCCCAUUAUGGCCUGCUAAAUAUUAUGGGCCUUCGGUUGGGCUGGCCCAUUUAAACUUUGUGGGCCACUUUUGGGCCAGUCCACAUGUCAACAUAUCAUAGGCCCAUCUCGACCAUUGGAUGAAUGACACCUGUGCCAACACGGAGCUGACGCGUGUAUCCGUGAGCCAAUGAGAAUUUUACAUGUGGAAAAUUGGUAUUGGUCGUGGCUGUUAACGGGUUAUCGGAUCCCAAAUCCGACCCGAUAGCUUAACGGUGUUCCGUUACGGUGGAUGCCACAUGUCGGUCACCCUUGACGAAAGCACUUCUGUGACGCGCGAUAUAUCAUCAUGGAAGUGGACACUUCCGUGAUGAUAAUUUUGGUAAUGUCAUGGAACACUUCUAUGACAACACAUGUAUGACUAUCUUGAUUCUGUCAUAAAAUCGUCAUGGAUGUACAUCCAUGACAGAAAACGCGACCUACUGUGACAAACACGUAUCAUCACAGAAGUGUAUAUUUUUGUAGUGUUUAGUAUUCUCAAACUUUUUCAACUUUCACGCAAUACAUGAGCAUGAGCCAUGGACAUAGCACUAUAUGUGGAAUAGAAUGGUGGUUGUGGAGAAGACAAAAAGAGGAAGAUAGUCUCACAUCAACUAGGUGUGUCAACGGGCUAUGGAGAUGCCCAUUAAUAGAUAUCAAUGUGAGUGAGUAGGGAUUGCCAUGCAACAGAUGCACUAGAGCUAUAAAUGUAUGAAAGCUCAACAAAAGAAACUAAGUGGGUGUGCAUCCAACUUGCUUGCUCACGAAGACCUAGGGCAUUUUGAGGAAGCCCAUCAUUGGAAUAUACAAGCCAAGUUCUGUAAUGAAAAAUGCCCACUAGUAUAUGAAAGUGACAACAUAUGAGACUCUCUAUUAUGAAGAUCAUGGUGCUACUUUGAAGCACAAGUGUGGUAAAAGGGUAGUAUCAUUGUCCCUUCUCUCUUUUUCUCUCAUUUUUUAUUUGUUUUUCUUAUUUGGCCUUUUUCUUUUUUUGGCCUUUUUUUGUAAAGUCCGAAGUCUCAUCCCGACUUGUGGGGGAAUCAUAGUCUCCAUCAUCCUUUCCUCACUUGGGACAAUGCUCUAAUAAUGAAGAUCAUCACAGUUUUAUUUACUUACAACUCAAGAUUACAACUCGAUACUUAGAACAAGAUAUGACUCUAUAUGAAUGCCUCUGGCAGUGUACCGGGAUAUGCAAUGAACCAAGAGUGGCAUGUAUGGAAAUCAUGAUGGUGGCCUUUCCACAAAUACGAUGUCAACUACAUGAUCAUACAAGAGCAAUAUGACAAUGAUGAUGCGUGUCAUAAUAAACGGAACGGUGGAAAGUUGCAUGGCAAUAUAUCUCGGAAUGGCUAUGGAAAUGCCACAAUAGGUAGUUUAGGUGGCUGUUUUGAGGAAGGUAUAUGGUGGGUGUAUGGUAGAAAGUUGCGCGGCACAAAAGAGCCUAGCAAUGGUGGAAGGGAGAGAGUGUGUAUAAUCCAUGGACUCAACAUUAGUCAUAAAGAACUCAUAUACUUAUUGCAAAAAUCUACAAGUAAUCAAAAACCAAGCACUACAUGCAUGCUCCUAGGGGGAUAGAUUGGUAGGAAAAUACCACCGCUCGUCCCCGACCGCCCCUCACAAGGAAGACAAUCAAUAAAUAAACCGUGCUCCAACUUCAUCACAAAGCGGUUCACCAUACGUGCAUGCUACGGGAAUCACAAACUUCAACACAAGUAUUCCUUAAAUUCAUAAUUACCCCACUAGCAUGACUCUAAUAUCACCAUCCUCAUAUCUCAAAACAAUUAUCAAGCAUCGAAUUGAUCAUAGCAUCCAAUUCACUUUCUAUGAUAGUUUUUAUUAUACCCAACUUGGAUGCCCAUCAUUCUAGGGCCAAUUUUAAUAACCAUAGCAAAUACCAUGUUGUUCUAAAAGACUCUCAAAAUAAUAUAAGUGAAGCAUUAGAGAUUAACAAUUUCUACAAAAUUAAACCACCACCAUGCUCUAAAAGAUAUAAGUGAAGUACUAGAGCAAAACUAUCUAGCUCAAAAGAUAUAAGUGAAGCACAUAGAGUAUUCUAAUAAAUUCCAAAUCAAGUAUUUCUCUCCCAAUAGGUGUGUACAGCAAGGAUGAUUGUGGAAAUCUAGAAAGAAAAGACUAAUAUCAUACAAGACGCUCCAAGCAAAACACAUAUCAUGUGGUAAAUAAAAAUAUAGCUCCAAGUAAAGUUACCGAUGGACGAAGACGAAAGAGGGGAUGCCUUCCGGGGCAUCCCCAAGCUUAGACUUUUGGUUAUCCUUGAAUAUCUUGGGGUGCCAUGGGCAUCCCCAAGCUUAGGCUUUUUCCACUCCUUAUUCCAUAGUCCAUCAAAUCUUUACCCAAAACUUGAAAACUUCACAACACAAAACUCAACAGGAAAUCUCAUAAGCUCCGUUAGUGCAAGAAAGAAAAACCACCACAUAAGGUACUGUAAUGAACUCAUUAUUUAUUUAUAUUGGUGUUAAACCUACUGUAUUCCAACUUCUCUAUGGUUCAUACCCCCGAUACUAGCCAUAGAUGCAUCAAAAUAAGCAAACAACACACAAAAAAGAGAAUCUGUAAAAAAUAGAACAGUCUAUAGCAGUCUGUAACUUUCGAAUACUUAUGGAACUCCAAAAAUCCUACCAAAAUAGGAAAUUCUAGGAAAUUUGUCUAUUGAUCAACAGCAAAAAGAAUCAACGCAAAAGUACGUUUCUGUGAUUUAUUGAAUUUUUUCUCUUGAGCGUAAAGUUUCUGUUUUUCACCAGAAUCAAAUUAACUUUCACCAUAGGUUAUCCUAUACUUGGCACAAACACUAAUUAAAACAUAAAAAACAAAUCUAACCAGAGACUAAAUAAAUUAUUUAUUACUAAAAAGGAACAAAAAGCAAGGAACAAAAAUAAAAUUGGGUUGCCUCCAAACAAGCGCUAUCGUUUAACGCCCCUAGCUAGGCAUAAAAGUGAGAAUAGAUCUAAGUAUUGCCAUCUUUGGCAUUCAAUUCAUAAGUGGCUCGCAUAAUAGAUUCAUAUGGUAAUUUAAAUUUCUUUCUAGGGAAGUGUUCCAUGCCUUUCCUUAACAGAAAUUGGAAUCUAAUAUUCCCUACCUUCAUAUCAAUAAUUGCACCAAUCGUUCUAAGGAAAGGCCUACCAAGAAUAAUAGGACACAAAAGAUUGCAAUCAAUAUCAAGAACGAUAAAAUCUACGGGAACAUAGUUCCUAUUUGCAACAAUAAGAACAUCAUUGAGCCUUCCCAUAGGUUUCUUAAUGGUGAAAUCCGCAAGGUACAAGUUUAAAGAACAAUCAUCAAAUUCAUGGAAACCUAGCAUAUCACAUAAAGUUUUCAGAAUCGUGGAAACACUAGCACCCAAAUCACACAAAGCAUAGCAUUCAUGAUCUUUAAUUUUAAUUUUUAUAGUAGGUUCCCACUCAUCAUAAAGUUUUCUAGGUAUAUAAACUUCCAAAUUAAGUUUUUCCUCAUAAGAUUGCAUCAUAGCAUCAACGCUAUGUUUAGUAAAAGCUUUAUUUUGGCUAUAAGCAUGGAGAAUUCAACACAGAUUGCAACAAGGAAAUACAAUCUAUUAAAGAGAAAUUAAAUUUAUUGAAAUCCAAAGUGGUGGGUUCAUUACUAUUCAAAGUUUUAAUUUCUUCAAUCCCACUUUUACCAAUUUUAGCAUCAAGAUCAUAAUACUCCAAAUCAUCGGAACGCUUUUUAACUAAAGUUGAUUCACUUCUAGUCCCAUCAUUAUCAAGAUUCAUAUUGCAGAACAAAGAUUUAAUAGGGUACACAUCAAUAAAUUUUAGAUCUUCAUCAUUAUUUUCUCCUAGCCCUUCUGGUUUGGCAGCCAUCUUAUUAACUAAGGUGGCUUGCUUAUCAGAAAUUUGGGCUAAGGAUUUUCCGAUACGAGCAAUUUGAGCAUUUAAACCAUGAACUUCCUUAGAUAAAUCAUCAAGCUCUUUAUUCAUGAAACCUAGAAAAUUCUUUUGCUCUUUAAGCUCAUUUCUAAAGAAAUUAUUAUGCUCAAAUUGUAAAGUCAUAAAGCUUCUAAUAUUUGAUUCAAUCUCCUCUAACCUUUUAAGGUGAAGAUCAACGUUCUUAGGCAAAGCCAUAAGGGCAAACGGGCACACAAGAGGCAAGCGAAAGAGAGAGGAGAACGGGAAAGAGAGGGCGAAUAAAACGGCAAGGGUGAAGUGGGGGAGAGGAAAACGAGAGGCAAAUGGCAAAUAAUGUAAUGCGAGGGAGAUGAGUUUGUUAUGGGUACUUGGUAUGUCUUGACUUGAGCAAAGACCUCCCCGGCAACGGCGCCACUAAUCCUUCUUGCUACGUCUCGAGCUUUUGUUGGUUUUCCUUGAAGAGGAAAGGAUGAUGCAGCACAGUAGCGUAAGUAUUUCCCUCAGUUUUUGAGAACCAAGGUAUCAAUCCAAUAGGAGGCUCCUCAAAAGUCCCACGCACCUACACAAACAAACAAAAAUCUCGCAACCAACGCGAUAAAGAGGUUGUAAAUCCCUUCAUGGAAACUUGCAAAAGUGAGAUCUGAUAGAGAUAAUAUGAUAAGAUAAAUAUUUUUCGUAUUUUUAUGAUAUAGAUUGGAAAUUAAAAGAUGCAAAUAAAAGUAGAUGGUAAACUUAUAUGAUAAAAGAUAGACCUGGGGGCCAUAGGUUUCACUAGUGGCUUCUCUGAAGAUAGCAUAAGUAUUACGGUGGGUGAACAAAUUACUGUCGAGCCAUUGAUAGAAAAGUGCAUAGUUAUGAGAUUAUCUAGGCAUGAUCAUGUAUAUAGGCAUCACGUCCAUAACAAGUAGAUCGACUCCUGCCUGCAUCUACUACUAUUACUCCACAUAUCGACCGACUCCUGCCUGCGUCUAGAGUAUUAAGUUCAUGAAGAACAGAGUAACGCAUUAAGAAAGAUGACAUGAUGUAGAGGAAUAAACUCAUGCAAUAUGAUAUAAACCCCAUCUUUUUAUCCUCGAUGGCAACAAUACAAUGCGUGCCUUGCUGCCCCUACUGUCACUGGGAAAGGACACCGCAAGAUUGAACCCAAAGCUAAGCACUUCUCCCAUGGCAAGAAAGAUCAAUCUAGUAGGCCAAACAAAACUGAUAAUUCAAAGAGACUUGCAAAUAUAACCAAUCAUACAUAAAAGAAUUCAGAGGAGAUUCAAAUAUUUCUCAUAGAUAAACUUGAUCAUAAACCCACAAUUCAUCGGAUCUCGUUAAACACACCGCAAAAAGAGUUACAUGGAAUAGAUAUCUAAGAAGAGGAAGGAGAACUUUGUAUUGAGAAUCAAAGAGAGAGAAGAAGCCAUCUAGCUAAUAAUUAUGGACCCGAAGGUCUAUGGUAAACUACUCACAACUCAUCGGAGAGGCCUUGGUGAUGAUGUAGAGGCCCUCCAUGGUGGAUUCCCCCUCCGGCGGAGCGCCAACGACGGCUCCAAGAUGGGAUCUCGCGGAUACAGAAGGUUGUGGCGGUGGAAUUAGGUUUUCGUGGUUGCUUCUGAUGGUUUCAGGGUACAGGUGUAUAUAUAGGAGGAAGAAGUACGUCAGUGGACGAUUGAGGGGCCCACGAGGGUGGGGGGUGUGCCCACCCCCAGGGGGCACGCCGGGCACCCUCGUGGCCGCCUUGUUUGUUGCUUGACGUCCACUCCAAGUCUCCCGGUUGGCAUUUGUUCCAAAAAGAUCGUUCCCGAAGGUUUCGUUCCGUUUGGACUCCGUUUGAUAUUCCUUUUCUCGAUAUACUAAAAUAGGCAAAAACCAGCAAUUCGGGCUGGGCCUCCGGUUAGUAGGUUAGUCCCAAAAAUGAUAUAAAAGUGUAAAGUAAAGCCCAUAAACAUCCAAAACAGGUAAUAUAAUAGCAUGGAACAAUAAAAAAUUAUAGAUACAUUGGAGACGUAUCAACGCGCUCUUCACCGAAAUCGGCACGGAGAUAGAGGCGAAGGAGGCUGGAGCGGAGCAGCCGGAGGCGCCGGAGCUGCAGCUGCUGCCCAUGUCGCCGGAGCCGGGCAUGGAUAUCAUCGACAUCUCCGACGAUGAGUAGCUAGGUGAUCGACAUAGUACGUAGGUUUAUUUUAGGUUGCAUGUCUUUGUAUGGAUUUGAGGAUCUAUUAUGAGAUGUCCGGCUACAUGUGUGGAAAUUUGAGGGGUGCCCGGUCAAUGCACGCGGACGCGCCCGGGCGCGUCCGCGGGCGUUUGAGUGGCCGAUUUGCCAAGUCGAUUGUAGGUGUUCUUAUGGUAUGGUUGCUCCCUUUGCUUUGAGGUGGUGUCCCCAGUUGUCAGUGGUCACUAACUUUUCCUGAUGGUGGAAUAAGAGCAUCUACAACUAGAUCCUUCAAACCCAUCUCAGAAGUCCGGGCAAGCCGCCUGGUCACUGCCCAAUCAUGAUUUUUUGACCCAGACGGGCCUCUAAAAGGACCCUCAAAUGCCCAGGCUUACCGACACCCCCCAUAUCCAGCCCAAAUAUGGGGCGGAUACAGGGGCGCCCAGGCACGCCCGCCACGUCGGACCCGACCCACGCUGGCCCACCUGACCCCACAUAAAAUCCUCCCCAUCUGCUCGCCAGACCAUAACAUACACACUUCACUCCCCUCCCCUCCACUCCCCUUUGCCACCCAUUCUCGUCUCCGGCUCCUUCCUGUCAUCUCUGGCAUGGCGGGCAGUGGAUCUGAGUCCUUCACCUCCAGAUCCGUCGACCCCGAGCUCAUCCCGCGCGACCCCUAGGAGGACAUGGUCGUCCGGCUUGUGCUCCACCGCGCCCGGGAGGAGGCCCGUGGACGACUGCGCUCAGACUCCAUCCGUCGGGAAUCCAUUGCGUCCGCCCAAACGGGGCAUGGAUCCUGCGCUAGGCCGGCCAUAGCUGCCCCGCCAAAGGCCGUGCGGUCCGUCUGGCGUCCAAACAUGGAGACGUGCAACCCCUAUGGUGGCGCUCCGAGCAUCAGGACGCACCAUGGGCCUCGUCUGACGAGGCCAUGGCACGCCGUGCCCGCCGUGCAAGGCAUCGGGCGCGGGAGGCGGCGACAACCCUCGCGACGAUGGAAGUCGGCGAGGCGGAGUCGCAUUCUCCGACGCCCUGUAUGGUGCAUCAGUCCGGGCGCCACAACCGCAUCAUGGUGGACAUCGGCGGCUCAUCCCUGGAUGGAUCCGUCAUUGAUCUGACGUCCACCAGCAUCGCUCGGGUUCCGGUCUCCGACGAGGAAGAGUAGGGCAUGGGAGACGGUGGGGCCUUGAGUUCCAUGAGCCAGCUCGUGUCCCAUGCCCUGCCCUACCUUGUCGGUGACUGGCCCAACAGUUUGAGGAGCGCAGCCGGCCACCGGACAUGGCCAGGGCGGACCCCGGCGAGCCAGGAGCGGAAUCGGACAAGCUUCGCGUAGAUUAGGUUUCAUGUUGCAUGUGAUAAUAUGGAUUUGAGGUAUUCAGAUGUAGAAUGUGUUUUUUGAGAGGUGACCGGUCACUAUCCGCGGACGCGCCCGGGCGCGUCCGCGGGCAUUUGAGAGGUCGGAUUUGCCAAGUCCGUCUAUAGAUGCUCUAACGAUAUUCAUAUUGCCCAUUGAAAAAAAACAUAUUUGUAAUAGAAAAUAUAUGGAGGGACCUUUCCCUCGCAUAUCCUCUGGUACGAAUCCUCUAGCCACUCGUUUAUGAUAAAAACAUAUUGUCCAUGUGACUAGAGUUUUUUUGGAGGGGGGGGGCGGGGUUUAUCAUUUAUGCCACUAGUUGUGUCCCACUACUCAGGCUAUUAGAAGUUGCAACUGCUUAAAAGUGUCAUCGUUCCGUGAGAUACUUGCUCAAAAAUACCAUUACAUAUCUAAAUGACAUCCUUCCAUUAGAUGUUUUAUCAAAAAUACCAUUAGACAUAGUUAUUGUCAGGUCAAACCCAUUGAUCAUGUUAUCGGACAAAAAUACCUAUAAACCACAUGCCAACUCUCUCUAUCACAUAAUGAUAAGUGUGCCCCCCAGAUUUUGUACUAAUUACCUAUCAUUUUAUUGAGAAAAUGGACGGACGCAGCAACACGCAUCUUUGAUGAUCUAGUUUGCCAUGUUAAAGUGACAUAAAUACCUAUGGACCGACAUGUCAGUGCUCCCUCUAUUUCAAUACAAUAACGUGUGAGUCUCACUUGAUCCCAACAAUGUUUUUAUUUUCUUAUAAACUUAUUUGCUUGCUUACUCCUCACAAGUGUUAGUGUAAGUCAAUCAUUUUUUGAAGUUUUGGAAGAAGAUUGUAGAAGCAAGUUAGUAUGCAUUACUUUGUGUUCAAAUUAUUAAGUGAAUAUUAGAGUUCAGAGACAAGUCAAAUAAAAUUAAUAAUUAUAUAAAAUUGUAACAGACUCCUUUGAAAAUUUUAUAAAACAAAACCUAACUCUCGGCUUUACGCAAAACACUUCACAUACCUUAAUGUUUUACAUGCCAUACAACCAUAUCAAGCACACACUACACAAGAUCUUGAUCACGCAAACAAUCAUAUAUCAUCAAAACUUUGUUGUUGAUCUACCUAUCAGUGUCACUGCCAAGGAUCAAAGUAAGACGGUCUUCCUGACUUGCCGUCAAAGAAUAAUGACGUAGAUGAGAUCUUCUAAACCAAGACAUGAUAUUGUUUUCAAAAAUAAUGGAAGAGUACUUGUCAUUUUGCACCAGAGUUGGUAGGUAGCAAUAAUUUUUAAAUCUUCACCAAACCUCCUUCAGUGAUUUAAAUCACCGCUUGACAAGUUAUAUAGGUGUUCAAUUGAUCAUCUAUCACACUUGAAUUGCAAGGAUCUAGGAAAUCUUGCAAGCAAUUUGACAUACCAACAGAAAGUCAAAACAAAUCUGAACAAAUAAUCCUCAAUUUGAUGGUGAUUUCCACCAUAGGUCAUUUUGUAAUAACUAAACAGAAGCAGGUACCUUUGCUUCAUGAGAUUACAGUAACCAUGUAAAGUUUAUACAUUACACACUCAACUAAUAUCACAAUAUGAUGAGCAAAUAACAAAGACAGAUAAGUUAAUUUGCAAAAUGACAAGAAAAUAGUAAUAAUUUUGUACAUAGUGAUUAAAAUGCAAUGACAUAAGAGAAAUAUUUCUAUAACCGAAUAUACAUGAUAAGAAGCUGAUUUGCUGUACAAAAAGGACUAUUGUACUGUUUUUACCUCUACGGAAUGAAUUAAAUAAGUCAAUGCAAUUGGCUAGUCAAUCACUAUGCAAGCCUAUGUUUUAUUGCUAAAUCACAUGUUUUAUUACUGAUUUUCUAUAGUAGAAAAUCCUUUAUUUCAUCCUUCUAAGUAUAGAGAGUGUUCAUCGCAUCAACUUUGUGAACAUCUUUUAGUGCGCAAUCCACUAAAUAAAGAUGAGUCAAUCACAUGAACAAAAUUAGAUGGAAUCUAGCCCACAGCCAAUUGAUGAGCAUAAUUGCUCACUGGGAUCUUAGCAUAACUAUUCACUGUCAGGAUUACCCCCCAAACCUGAAUUACUCGAGCACAAAUGAGACUUACAGUAUGAACCCACAUGGCGUUGGCAUUUGACAAAUGCACUCUCUAUACCAAAGCUCGGAAUGGGGGCUAGUUGUGCUCUUAGAUAAUGCAAAAAAAGUGAAUGGUAUCUGAGGUUCAGACUAGUGCUGACAAACAAUGUUUUUUGCUGGAAGCAACACGCUACCAUAUGUAUUAACCUCACCUAAAUUUCAGAGCAUCGUUUUCUUUAGUUAGAUAAGAUAUCCAAACCGGAACUUUGAAACCCUCUGGAAUUGUACAAACCCAAAAUUGCUUAACCUAGUUGCUCCAGGCAGUGAGUUAAUUGUAACAUGUCCUAUGUAGUGGCGUGAGAGGGCUGGGAUGAGUGACGGCCAGGAAUCAAGGGGGCGUGAGAGGGCUCGCUUUAGAUGCAGUUAUACUGUCCUAAAUGACAACUAGAAGCCUGCUGCUCAAAUUCUACUUUGCCGUUCACUCGGACAAUAGUCAUAUGGAUAACUGGAUAUACAUUAUGUUGGAUCAGCAGCAAAUAAAUGCUUACAGGAAGAGGAACCAAGGCAUUCCAUCUUCUGCUUAACUUUGAAUUAUUUGUUUAGCCAAACAAGAGCAUUAAGAACCAAAGAAGAAUUGCAGAAAAGAACAUCCAUGUUUUACCAUCCAAAAGCCCAAAAAGUCGACUUGAUUUACCAGAUGUAUUUUCUUCAUCUGUCCUAAUAAUAGUCCCUUAUUCUAUGCACAAAACAUUUAUACUCUACUUUUCUUCCACAAAGUUUUCUUAUAACUUCAUCUAAUACAAUCUUGCAGAAAUGCAAAUAAUUGCUCAGGAACAUAUAAUCUAAGCAAUUGUGUGGCGUAAAAACAUGGAUGGUAGAACAUGAAAAGAUAAGGUGUGGAGCAAUUAUUUGUCUAGAAGCCAUUGGAGAUUAUGAAAAUGCCAGCACCAAGCUCUAAAAUUUGCCCAAAUCGGUCCACCACAACAGCAUGAACAUCACCUGUAUGUACAAUUUUUUGAAUGAGAGGAUAUCAAGAUAAUGUAAUUGCUUGGUGGAAGAACCAUACAUGAACUGAAAAGAAAUAUAUGGUAACCUAGCCGAGCAUCAUGUUGAAGGAGGUUCUGCUGCCGGAGUGUAAAGGGUGAACAAGGAGUGGUAGGGGAGGCAACAUUUGUAUACACAACCGUACCACGAGGUAGUGGAAAGGAUUUAUACAUACCUCGCCAUGAAUGCAUGAGCAGAAACUGAAGAAACAUUCCCUCGGUGGAGCAGUUUCACUUAGACGAGGCGUCGGCCCUGAAUCACCACGUCGGCUAGAACCUUUAUUUUCUCCUUUGCAGAUUGAUCGUUCGCAUCACCCGUGGUGGCUGGGUGGAUCCCUGCCUCUGUCUGCCUCGCAUUGUUGGGAAUUAGCACACAGAUGCACUUGUGGUUAAAUGAAAAACUGGAGCGGAAACAAGUAAUCUCAGCACCACAUCAUGUACUAACUCAAGGAUCGUUGCUUAGCACAGAAGGAAACACAUGCAGCAGCAUAUAUGGAGGCAGAAAAUGUUACUCAGCGGGCAAGACACCCCUCAGCCUAGUGUCUUGUGGUAGGAGUAAGUUUCUGGACAGUAGCAAGCAUCAACAAAGAGACACCAGAUUUUUACGUGGAGCCCUCAACUUGAGGGGAAAAACCACGGGCCGAAGCCACCCAAAUCCUCUUCCACUAUUAUCAAAUGUGGGAUACAACAAGUUCUUCUCUAGACAGCACUAGAGGAUCUCAUACAUCAAGAUUUCUGAAUCUUGGAUGAACACAACAAGAAUUGGGGCUCAAGAACUAGGGAUUGGAACAAUCUCACCAAAGAUGGUGGAACCGAAGCUUGAAGGAGACAAGGUAGUGGAUCUGGACCAUCACAACCUUGGGGAGGAGAUCCCUUUUCUUCUUCCUUCAAUCUUCCUCUUCUUCCCUUGCUCUCUUGGUUUUCUCUCUUCUUCUCUCCUGGAGGAUGAACUGAUUUUCGUCACCCUUGGUGGUGGUUGUUGGAUAGAGGGUAAAGCAUCCCCAUCCACUCAUGUGCAAAGUCCAAAAUUACCCUAGGUCAUAACCCUCAUGGGUAGUGGGCUUCUGCACCUCUUUGGGCUGCCUAAAAGGCCUCAAAUGGUAAUAUCCUCAUAGCCCACAUGAGGAGGAUAUCCCAACACGCAUCAAUGGCAGUGAUCGGUCGAUCAGGGUCGCUCGCAUCACCCGCGGCAGCUGGAUGGACUGAUCCCCAUCCUCUUUCUCUCUCUCUCUCUCUCUCUCUCUCUCUCUCUCUCUCUCUCUCUCUCUCUGUGUGUGUGUGUGUGUGUGUGUGUGUGUGUCUCGAUCUCAAUCUCGAUCUGGUUAUAACUAUCGACAACAAUUCUUUCGGGAGGUUUGGUGGUCCAGCAGGCCCUCACAUCGAAGCUAGCCAUAUGGAAGCUAAGCCAUAUAUACAGGCCGGGUGAAAGCCCAAACAACAACAGAUCUCCGUUUUUUAUUGUGGAGUAGUUGCCCUUUUAGGACAACUGGGCCAAGAAUUUGACGAUGUGAUGGAGAUCAAUAGGGCAAUAAUCUGAUGGCUAGAAACGCUCCAAUUAGUAAAAUGGACGGCCAGGAAUGAGAUGAGCUGAUACCAAUGGUGCCCAAUGACAUUUUGUAGUAUGCACCUAACAAAGUGAUGUCAUUUUUUAGCAGUUAAAGUUCCUACUGGCAAAAUUGAGUUGUGUGACACAAAUUAUGGCAUAAAUGAUGAAAAAAAUUCUUUUGUUUUCUUAGAAAAAUUCACAGGUACCAAUCUGAGGAGUAUUGAAUAGCAUUAAGGAUCUGAACAUAUGAUCUUCCACCGAAUAAACCAACUAGCAUCAACUACAAUGAGUAAUCAACACAACUAGCAACCCACAGGUACCAAUAUGAGGUUUUGAGACAAAGAUCGAAUACAAGAGAUGAACUAGGGUUUGAGAGGAGAUGGUGUUGGUGACGAUAUUGAUGGAGAUUGACCCCCUCUCGAUGAGAGGAUCGAUGGUGAUGACGAUGGCGGUGAUUUAACCCUCCCGGAGGGAUGUUUCCCUGGUAGAACAGCUCCGCCGGAGCCCUAGAUUGGUCCUGCCCAGGUUCUGCCUCGAGACGAUGGCGCUUCGUCUCGAAAGCUUCCUUGAAAGUGACAACAUAGGAGACAAUCUAUAUGAAGAACAUGGUGAUACUUUGAAGCACAAGUGUGGAAAAAGGAUAGUGACAUUGCCCCUUUUCUUUUUCUUUUUUUUAUUUUUGUUUCUUUUUGGGUGGGCUUCUUUGGCCCCCUUUUUUAUUUAGGCUUCUUUGGCCUUUCCUUUUUUUCUGUUUUUUUUUCUUUUUUUUCUUUUUUUUCACGGGGCAAUGCUCUAUAAUGAUGAUCAUCACACUUUUAUUUACUUACAACUCAAUAUUACAACUCGAUACUAGAACAAAGAUAUGACUCUAUAUGAAUGCUUCCGGCGGUGUACCGGGAAGUGCAAUGAUCUAGCGUAGAAAUGACAUCAAAAAACCGACAAGCCAUGAAAACAUCAUGCUAGCUAUCUUACGAUCAUGCAAAGCAAUAUGACAAUAAAUGCUCAAGUCAUGUAUAUGAUGAUGAUGGAAGUUGCAUGGCAAUAUAUCUCGGAAUGGCUAUGGAAAUGCCAUAAUAGGUAGGUAUGGUGGCUGUUUUGAGGAAGAUAUAAUGAGGCUUAUGUGUGAUAGAGCAUAUCAUAUCACGGGGUUUGGAUGCGCCGGUGAAGUUUGCACGAACUCUCGAGGUGAGAAAGGGCAAUGCACGGUACCGAAGAGGUUAGCAAUGAUGGAAAGGUAAAAGUGCGUAUAAUCCAUGGACUCACAUUAGUCAUAAAGAACUCAUAUACUUAUUGCAAAAGUUUAUUAGCCCUCGAAGCAAAGUACUACUACGCAUGCCCCUAGGGGGAUAGAUUGGUAGGAAAAGACCAUCGCUCGUCCCGACUGCCACUCAUAAGGAAGACCAUCAAAGAAACACCCCAUGCUUCAAAUUUGUCACACAACGGUUACCAUACGUGCAUGCUACGGGACUUGCAAACCUCAACACAAGUGUCUAUACAAUCCACAACCACCCACUAGCAUAACUCUAAUAUCACCAUCUUUAUAUCGCAAAACUAUUGCAAGGAAUCAAACAUAUCAUAUUCAACGAUCUACAAGUUUAUGUAGGAUUUUAUGACUAACCAUGUGAUUGACCAAUUCCUGUCAUCUCUCUAAAUAGAUAUAAGUGAAGCAAGAGAGUUUAAUUCUUUUUACAAAAGAUAUGCCCACGCUCUAACAAAUAUAAGUGAAGCAAAAGAGCAUUCUAUAAAUGGCGGUUUUCUAUGUGAAAAGAAACAGGCAAUCCAAACUUCAAAUAAUAUAAGUGAAGCACAUGAAGCAUUCUAUAAAGCCAUACUCAAAAUAUUUAAGUGAAGUGCAAUGAGCAUUCUAUAAAUCAACCAAGGACUAUCUCAUACCAGCAUGGUGCAUAAAAGAAAAGUGAAAACUAAAUGCAAAAGACGCUCCAAGACUUGCACAUAUCGCAUGAACGAAACGAAUACGAAAACAUACCGAUACUUGUUGAAGAAAGAGGGGAUGCCUUCCGGGGCAUCCCCGAGCUUAGACGCUUGAGUCUCCUUGAAUAUUUACUUGGGGUGCCUUGGGCAUCCCCAAACUUGAGCUCUUUCCUCUCUUCCUUUUCCUCAUAUCGAAACCUCCUCGUUUAGACACUUCAUCCACACAAAACUUUAACAGAAAACUCGGUAGGAUCCGUUAGUAUAAUAAAGAAAAUCACCACUCUAAGUACUGUUUCAAACCAAUUCAUAUUUGGUUUUUGCAUUGUGUCUACUGUAAUAUAACUUUUUCAUGGCUUAAUCCACUAAUAUAAAUUGAUAGUUUCAUCAAAACAAGCAAACUAUGUAUCAAAAACAGAAUCUGUCAAAAACAGAACAGUCUAUAGCAAUCUGAACAUCCACCAUACUUAUGGUACCCCAACAAUUCUACCAAAAUUAGGAAAAAUAAACAAGUUGUAUAUAAAGACAGUGCAAAAAGAAUCAGAACCAAUUGACAUUCCAGCUAAAAAUGUAAAAUCAUGCACUACAGCAAAAGUUUCUGUCCUGCAUCGUACAAACCAACAAGCAUUGUAAACAUCCUAAAGGCAAACCUUGGCACAUUAUUUUUAUAAUACAAUGGAAUUAUACAAGGGGAUAAUUAUUUUUGUUGAAAAUUUUCUGUAAUCAAGAUUCAUAAAGUUUCCGUGAGCAUGAACAAAGUUCAAGGCUAGCUCCCACUUCAACAAUGCUUGUCUUUCUCACUUUCACUUUCCUUUUUGACAAGUUUUUAGGUUCCCCUCUUUAUUUUUGUUAUUUUUAAAAUAUAUGAAAGCACUCAACAGAAAUAAAUGACUCUCUAAAACUUCCGGGUUGUCUCCCUGGCAGCGCUUUCUUUAAAGCCAUUAAGCUAGGCAUUUAGUGCUCAAGUAAUGAAUCCACCCGGAUCCCAAGGUAUAUCAAAGCCAAUUUUAAUUAACAAUGAUUUGUAAUUUAGUAGUGAGCAAAAAGUAACAUAUAUCAUGCAACAACAAAUUCCAACUCUCUUCCUACGCAUUGGCAUGUCAUAAAAGAACAAUUCAUGCACACAUAGUAAAGGCCAAUGCAUAGUAUAAACAGUUUCUUGCAAUUUUAUCGUAUUGGAAACAUAGAGAGGUGGAGAUAUAGUUCCUCUCUCAUAAUAAUUGCAAGUAGGAGCAGCAAACACAUUCAUAUUACAUUCAUCAAAAUCAUCAUGUGCAAUGGUAAAAGGCAACCCAUCAAUAUAAUCCUUAAUAAGCACAAACUUCUCCGAUAUAGUGUAGUAGGGAGAAUUCAAAAAGAUAAUAGGACUAUCAUGCAUGGGUGCAAUAGCAACAAUUUCAUGUUUAACAUAAGGAACUAUAGCAAGUUCAUCUCCAUAAGCACAAUUCAUAUUGGCAUCUUGGCGACAAGCAUAGCAAGCAUCAUCAAAAAGGGGUAAUUCAAGGGAAUCAACGGGAUCAUAACAAUCAUUAUAGCAAUCAUCCUUUGGUAAGCACGAAGGGAAAUUAAAUAGUGUAUGGGAUAAAGAGUUACUCUCAUUAGAAGGUGGGCACGGGUGAUCAAUCCACUCUUCCUCCAUUUGUUCUUCGCUCUCCUCCUCAUCUUUUUCAUCCAAUGAGCUCACAGAUUCAUCAAUUUCUUCUUCCAUAGCUUCCUGCAAAAUAUUAUUCUCUUCUUGGACAACGGAGAAGACCUCAAUAUAUGGUUUAACAUAGGCAUUAGAAGAAUAAUUAUCAUAACAAUAUUCAAGUAUGGCAAAGUUUUCAGAUUUGUAGAGAGUAGCAUCAUACUUUUCAAUGAAAGAAGCAAUUUCAUAAGCACCCUUAAAAGCAACAAAUUCUUCAAUUUGUUGAACAUCAUAGUAAUUAUAAACACCUUCAGCAUAUGAAGAUACAAUACCAUUAUCAAACUCACAUUGGUAGGGAAGGUGUUUCUUAGGGUUUUCAGAACAACAAGUAAUAUCAUAUAAUUCACAUAAAUUCCAAGCAUAGCAUUGCAAACGUUGAAUUUGAUCCCAUAAUAGUUUCCCUUUUUCAGAUAUACGGUGUCGCACAUAACAGGCAUGCUCAUCUAAAGAUUUGCCCUCAACUAAGCUAGUGGGGUUUCAGCACGAACACAUAGGGAUCGAAGAUGAUCCGAGUAAAAAGCUUCAGGAGUGCGAUAGAUUUUGAGUGGUUCUUCAACCAUUGGUGCAGUAGGUACAACUAAUUGUUUUGGUAUUUUGCGUUUCCUACCCAUAACUAAAGAUAGAAAACAACUAAGAACAGCAAAUAAAAAUUACUUAGUGAUAAAGCAAACAAGCACACGCGAGAAUAUUCACCCCACGCUUUGACUCCCCGGCAACGGCGCCAGAAAAAGGUCUUGAUAACCUGCAAGUAUACGGUAGUUGUAGCCUCUUUCGAUAAGUAAGAGUGUCGAACCCAACGAGGAGCUAAAGGUAGAACAAAUACUCUCUCAAGUCCUAUCGGCCACUGAUACGACUCUACGCACGCUUGAUGUUCGCUUUACCUAGAACAAGUAUGAAACUAGGAGUACUUUGUAGGUGUUGUUGGAUAGGUUUGCAAGAGUAAAGAGCACGUAAAUAUAAACUAGGGGCUGUUUAGAUAAAGAAGCAAUAAAGUAAAUAUAACGAGUGUGGAAAAGUGGUGGUAGGAGUUGUGAAAUUGUCCCUAGGCAAUUGACUAUGUUACUAGACCGGUAAUCACUAUUGCAAUUCUAUUUGAGGGAGAGGCAUAAGCUAACAUACUUUCUCUACUUGGAUCAUAUGCACUUAUGAUUGGAACUCUAGCAAGCAUCCGCAACUACUAAAGAUUCAUUAAGGUAAAACUCAACCAUAGCAUUAAAGCAUCAAGUCCCCUUUAUCCCAUACGCAACAAUCCCCUUACCCGGGUUUGUGUUUCAGUCACUCACGCAACCCACUAUAAGCGAAUCAUGAACGCAUUGCAACACCCUACAGCAGGAAUCCCUCAUGCUUGCACGACACGGAGGGCACAAUAGGACAGCACCAAUAAUAAAACAUGCAACUCAAACCAAUCAUAGCAAUUCAUCAAUCACCAAUAGGACAAUAGAAAUCUACUCAGACAUCAUAGGAUGGCAACACAUCGUUGGAAAAUAAUAUGAAGCAUAAAGCACCAUGUUCAAGUAGAGGGUACAGUGGGUUGCGGGAGAAUGGACCGCUGGAUAUAGAAGGGGGAAGGUGAUGCAGAUGUUGGUGAAGAUGACGGCAGUGUUGGUGAAGAUCGCAGUGAUGAUGAUGGCCCCCAGCAACGCUCCGGCGCCACCGGAAGCAAGGGGGAGAGGGGGGCCCUUCUUCUUCUUCUUCCUUGACCUCCUCCCUAGAUGGGAGAAGGGUUUCCCCUCUGGUCCUUGGCUCUCAUGGCUUGGGAGGGGCGAGAGCCCCUCCGAGAUUGGAUCUAUCUCUCUGUCUCUGCCUUCUCUGUUUCUGCCCCUUCACCGUUUCCUUUAUAUCUGGAGAUCCGUAACUCCGAUUGGGGUGAAUCUCGCCCAGAUUUUUCUUGUAAAAUUAGCUUUCUUGUGGCAAAAGAAGAGCAUCAACCGCCUUACGGGUGGCCCAUGAGAGUCCAGGGCACGCCCCCCUGUCUCGUGGCCACCCCGGACACCAUUUCGCGUUGAUUCUUCCUCCGAAAAAUCCCAAAUAUUCCAAAAUAAUUCUCCGUCCAUUUUUAUCCCAUUUGGAUUCCCUUUGAUAUUGGGUUUCUGCGAAACAUAAAACAUGCAACAGAUAGGAACAGGCACUGGAUCAAUAUGUUAGUCCCCAAAAAUAGUAUAAAAAGUUGCCAAAAGUAUAUGAAAGUUGAAGAAUAUUGGCAUGGAACAAUAAAAAAUUAUAGAUAUGACGGAGACAUAUCAGUCAUCCCAAAAGUAAUGUCUUAAAUCAUAGAUUUUUUUUCUUUUGUUGGUAUGUGAAACUAGGUGGUAUAAAUUUAGCAACAAUCUAAUCAGCAUACCAUGGAGCAGUACGAGAAGCAUUUAUGACAUCUAAUUGUUCAUCGGGAAAACUAUCAUCAAUAGGUAGUGGGUCAUCAAGAACAUUUUCUAACCUAGACAAGUUGUCUGCAACGGGGUUCUCGACUCCCUUUCUAUCAAUAAUAUGCAAAUCAAAUUCUUGUAGCAAGAGAACCCAUCUAAUUAGUCUAGGUUUAGCAUCUUUCUUUUCCAUAAGAUAUUUAAUAACAGCAUGAUCAGUGUGAACAGUUACUUUGGAAUCAACAAUAUAUGGUCUGAACUUAUCACAAGCAAAUACGACUGCUAAAAAUUCUUUUUCAGCAGUAGGAUAAUUUCUCUGGGCACUGUCUAGAAUUUUACUGGCAUAUUGGAUAACAUUUAAUUUCUUAUCAACUCUUUGCCCUAGAACAACACCAACAACAUAAUCACUAGCAUCACACAUAAUUUCAAAGGGUAAAUUCCAAUCAGGUGGCUGAACAAUAUAUGCAAAAAUCAAGGCGUUCUUAAGUAUUUCAAAUGCUUCUACACAAUCAUCAUCAAAAACAAAAGGAACAUCUUUUUGCAAGAGAUUAGUGAGAGGCCUAGAAAUUUUAGAGAAGUCUUUAAUAAACCUCCUAUAGAAACCAGCAUGACCAAGGAAACUUCUUAUACCUUUGAUAUCUUUAGGACACGACAUCUUUUCAAUAGCAUCAACCUUAGCUUUUAUCAACUUCAAUACCUCUUUCAGAAAUUUUAUGCCCCGAGACAAUACCUUCAUUAACCAUAAAGUGGCACUUCUCCCAAUUCAAGACAAGAUUAGUUUCUUUGCAUCUCUGCAAAACUCGAUCAAGGUUGCUUAAGCAAUCAUCAAAAGAAGUUCCGUAAACGGAGAAAUCAUCCAUGAAAACCUCAACAAUCUUUUCACAAAAGUCAGAGAAUAUAGAAGUCAUACAUCUUUGAAAGGUAGCAGGUGCAUUGCAUAAACCAAAAGGCAUGCAUCUAUAAGCAAAAGUAUCGAAAGGGCAAGUAAAAGUGGUCGUUUCCUGAUCCUCUUUCGACACAGGUAUUUGAGAGAAACCAGAAUAACCAUCUAGAAAGCAAAAAUGUGUAUGUUUGGAUAGUCUUUCUAACAUUUAAUCAACAAAAGGUAGAGGGUAAUGAUCUUUUCUAGUAGCUUUAUUUAAUUUGCGGAAAUCAAUUACCAUUCUAUAACCUGUAACAAUUCUUUGUGGGAUCAAUUCAUCCUUAUCAUUAGGAACAAUAGUAAUACCUCCCUUCUUAGGGACACAAUGAACAUGACUUACCCAUUGACUAUCAGUGAUAGGAUAAAUUAUAUCUGCCUCCACAAGCUUUAGCAUUUCAUUUCUUACCACUUCUUUCAUCUUAGGAUUUAACCGUCAUUGAUGAUCAACAACUGGUUUAGCAUCUUUCUCCAGUUUUAUUUUGUGCUGACAUAGAGUGGUACUAAUGCCCUUAAGAUCAUCAAGAGUAUAUCCAAUGGUAGCAUGGUGCUUCUUUAGAGUUUUCAAUAAUUUUUCUUCUUCAUGCCUGAAAGCUUAGCACUAAUAAUAAACAAUAUAUAUCUUCUUUUCAUCAAGAUAGGCAUAUUUAAGAGUAUCACGCAAUUGUUUAGGCUCAAACACGGGAUCUCCCUUGGGUGGAGGAGGAUCUCCGAGAAUUUCUACACGCAAGUUGUGUUUCAAAAUAGUUCCUUGCUUAAAGAAUACUUCGUCUAUUUCUCUUCUUUCAUUCAUAAACAUAUCAUUUUCAUUAUCGAGAAAAUAUUGUUCUAAAGGAUCAUUAGGAGGCACAACAAUAGAAGCAGGACCAAUAAUUUCAUCUUUACUAGGCAAUUUGUUAUCAUGGGGUUGUCUACGAAAUUUAGCAAAAUUAAAAUCAUGAGACAUAUCCCCUAAACCAAUAGUAACAAUAUCUUUUUCACAGUCUAUCUUAGCAUUAACAGUAUUCAAGAAGGGUCUACCAAAUAAAAUGGGACAAAAGUCAUCUUGUGGGGAACCAAGAACAAGUAAAUCAGUAGGAUAUUUGAUUUUCCCACACAAGACUUCAACAUCUCUAACAAUCCCAAUUGGUGAAAUAGUGUCUCUAUUGGCAAGCUUAAUAGUAACAUCAAUAUCUUCUAUCUUAAUAGGUGCAAUAUCAUGCAUAAUUUCUUUGUAUAAGGAAUGAGGUAUUGCAUUCACACUAGCACCCAUAUCACAUAAGCCAUGACAACAAUGAUCUCCUAUUUUAACAGAAACAACAUGCAUACCAACAACAGGUCUAUGCUUAUUUUUAGUAUCGGGUUUAGCGAUUCUAGCAACUUCGUCACAGAAAUAAAUAACAUGCCCAUCAAUAUUAUCGACCAAGAGAUCUUUGACCAUAGCAAUACUAGGUUCAACUUUAAUUUGCUCAGGGGGUGUAGGUGUUCUAGUAUUACUCUUACGAACCACAGUUGAAGCUUUAGCAUGAUCCUUUAUUCUAACAGGGAAAGGUGGUUUCUCAAUAUAAGCAGUAGGAAUAAUACGAUCAACAUUAUAAGUAAUAGUUUCUUCUUCAACUUUAAUAGGUUCUAUUACUUUCACUUCAAUGGGAGGAUGAUAUUUUAACCACUUCUCCUUAGGGAGAUCAACAUGAGUAGCAAACAAUUCACAAAAAGAAGCUAUUAUCUCAGAGUCAAGUCCAUAUUUAGUGCUAAAUUCACGAAAAGCAUCGGUAUCCAUAAAAGAUUUAACACAAUCAAACUUCGGAUUUAUACCUGACUCCUUACCUUCGUCGAGUUCCCAAUCUUCAUAGUUGCAUUUAAUUCUUUUCAAUAAAUCCCAUUUGAAUUCAAUAGUCUUCAUCAUAAAAGAACCAGUACAAGAAGUAUCGAGCAUAGAGCGAUCAUUAUGAGAAAGCCGAGCAUAAUUUUUUUGAAUAAUAAUUUCUCUUAAGAGCUCAUGAUUGGGGCAUGAAUAUAACAUUGACUUAAGCCUCCCCCAAGCUUAAGCGAUACUUUCUCCUUCAUGAGGCUAAAAAUUAUAUAUAUAAUUACGAUCACAAUGAACCAGAUGCAUAGGAUAAAACUUUUGAUGAAAUUCCAAUUUCAAUUGGUUGUAGUUCCAUGAUCCAAUAUCAUCACAUAGCCUAUACCAUGUCAAUUCCUUUCCCUUCAAAGAUAAAGGGAAGACAUUCUUCUUGGCAAGAUCCUCGGGCAUACCUGGAAGCCUAAAUAAUCCACAAACUUCAUCCACAUAGAUUAGGUGCAUAUCGGGAUGUAAUGUUCCACCUCCUGUAUAGGGAUUAGCUAGCAGUUUCUCUAUCAUACCCGAAGGAAUUUCAAAGUAAAUAUUUUCAGUAGGUUCAAUAGGUUGAGGAGAAACUAUUUGCACUUUUGGUCAGGGUGAAGAUACCCCGAACAAGCCCCUCAAAGGAUUAUUUUCCAUAGUAACAAGUGACAGUAAAUUUUAGCACAAUAUAAAUGUUUCCUUACCAAAUUCCAUUUACCAAAGGCGCUUCACUCCUCGGUAACGGCGCCAGAAAAGAGUCUUGAUGACCCACAAGUAUAGGGGGUCUAUCAUAGUCCUUUCGAUAAGUAAGAGUGUCGAACCCAACGAGGAGCAGAAGGAAAUGACAAGCAGUUUUCAGUAAGGUAUUCUCUGCAAGCACUGAAAUUAUUGGUAACAGUUAGUUUUGUGAUGAGGUAAUCCGUAACGGGUAACAAGUAACAAAAGUAACUAAGGUGUAGCAUGGUGGCUCAAUCCUUUUUGUAGCAAUGGACAAGCCUGGACAAACUCUUAUAUAAAGCAAGGUGCUCCCGAGGACACAUGGGAAUUAUCGUCAAGCUAGUUUCCAUCAUGCUCAUAUGAUUCGUGCUCAUUACUUUGAUAAUUUGAUAUGUGGGUGGACCGGUGCUUGGGUGCUGUCCUUACUUGGACAAGCCUCCCACUUAUGAUUAACCCCUCUCGCAAGCAUCCGCAACUACGAAAGAAGAAUUAAGGUAAACCUAACCAUAGCAUGAAACAUAUGGAUCCAAAUCAGCCCCUUAUGAAGCAACGCAUAAACUAGGGUUUAACCUUCUAUCACUCUAGCAACCCAUAAUCUACUUAUUACUUCCUAAUGCCUUCCCCUAGGCCCAAAUCAUGGUGAAGUGUCAUGUAGUCGACGUUCACAUAACACCACUAGAGGAGAGACAACAUACAUCUCAUCAAAAUAUCAAACGAAUACCAAAUUCACAUGAAUACUUAUAACAGGACUACUCCCAUGUCCUCAGGAACAAAUGUAACUACUCACAAAGCAUAUUCAUGUUCAUAAUCAGAGUAGUAUUGAAUAGCAUUAAGGAUCUGAACAUAUGAUCUUCCACCGAAUAAACCAACUAGCAUCAACUACAAGGAGUAAUCAACACUACUAGCAACCCACAGGUACCAAUAUGAGGCUUUGAGACAAAGAUCGGAUACAAGAGAUGAGCUAGGGUUUGAGAGGAGAUGGUGCUGGUGAAGAUGUUGAUGGAGAUUGACCCCCUUUUGAUGAGAGGAUUGAUGGUGAUGACGAUGGCGGUGAUUUCCCCUUCUCGGAGGGAUGUUUCCCCGGCAGAACAACUCUGUCGGAGCCCUAGAUUGGUCCUGCCUAGGUUCCACCUCGAGAGGGCGGCGCUUCGUCCCGAAAGCUUCCUUAUGAUAUUUUCCAGGGCAAAAGACACCAUAUAGCAGAAGAUGGACGUCGGGGGCCUGCCAGGGGGGCCACGAGGCAGGGGGGUGCCCAGGGGGUAGGGCGCACCCUCCACCCUUGUGGAUGACUGGUGGCCCCCCCUCUGGUGCUCUCUUCGCCCAAUAUUUUUAAUAUAUUCCAAAACUGAUCUCCGUGAAGUUUCAGGACUAUUGGAGUUGUGCAGAAUAGGUCUUUAAUAUUUGCUCCUUUUCCAGUCCAAAAUUCCAGCUGCCGGCAGUCUCCCUCUUCAUGUAAACCUUAUAAAAUAAGAUAGAAAAGGCAUAAGUAUUGUGAUAUAAUGUGUAGUAACAUCCCAUAAUGCAAUAAAUAUUGAUAUAAAAGCAUGAUGCGAAAUGGACGUAUCAGUAGGCAAGGAGGUAUUGGUAAAGGACGUUGCUCAAGCGGUCCCAGUGUUCUCUAUGUCAUGUUUCAAAGUUCCUCGGGACCUCUGUGAGCACUUAAAUAUGCUGAUCCAGAAAUUCUGGUGGGGAAGCAAAGAAGGAAAACGUAAACCACAUUGGGUAUCGUGGAAAGCUAUGGCACAACCCAAAGGUAUGGGAGGGCUUGGUUUUAAGGAUUUUGAACUGUUUAACAUGGCAAUGUUAGCCAAGCAGGCUUGGUGAUUGCUAUAGUCUCCGGACUCAUUGAGUGCAUGCCUUUUGAAGAGUAUAUAUUAUCCAAAUUGUUCCGUCCUUGAAGCGAUGUUAGGAGGGCAUCCCAGCCAAGUUUGGCGAGCCAUGAUCGAAGGGAGAGAUCCCCUGAAGCUGGGUUUGAUCAAGCGGAUUGGGAACGGUUCCUCAACUAAAAUAUGGGACGAUAACUGGCUUCCAAGGGAGGAGAUGAUGAGGCCCUAUGGAUGUGUUAGUCAGAAUCCCCCGGAGUUUGUGUCCGAACUCAUCGACCAGUCCGCAGCAUGCUGGGACGUACAGAGGAUUUCAGCGGUGUUUAUCUGAAGGAAAUAUGCCCUAGAGGCAAUAAUAAAGUUAUUAUUUAUUUCCUUAAUUCAUGAUAAAUGUUUAUUACUCAUCCUAGAAUUGUAUUAACCGGAAACUUAGUACAUGUGUGAAUACAUAGACAAAACAUAGUCCCUAGUAUGCCUCUACUAGACUAGCUCAUUAAUCAAAGAUGGUUAUGUUUCCUAACCAUAGACAUGUGUUGUCAUUUGAUGAACGGGAUCACAUCAUUACAUCAUUAGGAGAAUGAUGUGAUGGACAUGACCCAUCCGCUAGCUUAGCAUUAUGAUCGUGUCAGUUUCAUUGCUACUGCUUUCUUCAUGACUUAUACAAGUUCCUCAGAGUAUGAGAUUAUGCAACUCCCGAAUACCGGAGGAACACUUUGUGUGCUACCAAAUGUCACAACGUAAAUGGGUGAUUAUAAAGGUGCUCUACAGGUGUCUCCGAAGGUGUUUUUUGGGUUGGCAUAGAUUGAGAUUAGGAUUUGUCAUUCCGUGUUUCGGAGAGGUAUCUCUGGGCCCUCUCUGUAAUACUCAACACUAUAAGCCUUGCAAGCAUUGUGACUAAUGAGUUAGUUGCGGGAUGAAGUAUUACGGAACGAGUAAAGAGGCUUGCCGGUAAUGAGAUUGAACUAGGUAUGAUGAUACCGACGAUCGAAUCUCGGGCAAGUAACAUACCGAUGACAAAGAGAACAACAUAUGAUGUUAUGCGGUUUGACCGAUAAAGAUCUUCAUAGAAUAUGUAGGAACCAAUAUGAGCAUCCAGGUUCUGCUGUUGGUUAUUGACCGAAGACUUGUCUCAGUCAUGUCUACAUAGUUCUCGAACCCGUGGGGUCCACACGUUUAACGUUCGAUGACGAUUGGUAUUAUGAGUUUAUGUGAUAUGAUGUACCAAAGGUUGUUCGGAGUCCCGGAUGUGAUCACAGACAUGACGAGGAGUCUCGAAAUGGUCGAGACAUAAAGAUUGAUAUAUUGGAAGGCUAUGUUUGGAUACCGAAAAGGUUCCGAGAGGUUCGGGCAUUUUUCUGGAGUACCGAGAGGUUACCGGAACCCCCUGGGGAGUCAAUGGGCCUUAAUGGGCCAUAGUGGAAGAGAGGAGGAGGCGGCCAAGGUGGGGGCAUGCCCCCCCUCCCAAGCCCAAUCCAAAUUGGGAGGGGGGUCGGCCCCCUUUCCUUCUCUCCCUCUCCAUCUUCCUUCUUCUCCUACUCCAACUAGGGAAAGGGGGAAACCUACUCCUACUGGGAGUAGGACUCCCCCCCUUGGGGGCGCCAUAGAGGGCCGGCCCUCCCCCUCCUCCACUCCUUUAUAUACGGGGGAGGGGGGCACCCCAUAGACACACAAGUUGAUCAAGUUGAUCUUUUAGCCGUGUGUGGUGCCCCCUCCAAAAAUUUCCACCCCGGUCAUAUCGUCGUAGUGCUUAGGCGAAGCCCUGCGCCGGUAACUUCAUCAUCAUCGUCAACACGCCGUCGUGCUGACGAAACUCUCCCUUGACCUUAGCUGGAUCUAGAGUUCGUGGGAGGUCACCGAGCUGAACGUGUGCAGAUCGAGGAGGUGCCAUACCUUCGGUGCUAGGAUCAGUCGGAUCGUGAAGACGUACAACUACAUCAACCGCGUUGUCAUAACGAUUCCACUUUCAGUCUACGAGGGUACAUAGACAACACUCUCCCCUCUCGUUGCUAUGCAUCUCCUAGAUAGAUCUUGCGUGAUCAUAGGAUUUUUUUUGAAAUUACCGUGUUCCCCAACAUUAUGCCUAUAGAUGCUCGCGUAAUUCUAGGCAUCCCCCUCUGUACAAGAAAUAUGCCAUACUUUUGGAGCUGGCACCAUGAGAAGAAUGGUCUGUUCUCCGUUAGGCCAGCAUAUAGAAUGCUCGUCGCAACAAGAUCAAGAAGGGAAGCUUGGCUGGAGAACAGAGUGGGCACAUCAAGUGCGGCGGGGGACGAACAUGCUUGGAAGAAGCUAUGGAAAACACAAGUUCCAGGGAAGGUGAGGACCUUCCUUUGGCGGUUAUCAAAACACUCAAUCCCAACUAAUGAUGUCUGAGCUCAUAGACACAUGACAGAUUCCAGUGCAUGUGGUUUGUGCGGAGCCCAAGAUUCUUGGAGACACUCUUUGCUGGAAUGCACAAUGUCACGAUGCACAUGGACCCUAGUUAACGAGGAGCUGGCCCAAACAAUGGCAACAGUCACUGAACCGAGUGCAAAACAAUGGCUCUUCACAUUGAUGGAACUUCUCUCACAUGAGGAUUUUGUAAAGCUUUCGGUGACACUAUGGGCUCUUUGGGCAGCUCGCCGCAAAGCGAUACAUGAAGGGAUCUUUCAAAGCCCGCAGACGAUCAAUUAUUUCACCAACAACUACAUUGCCGAGCUUGAUGUUAUCAGGGGAAAGCAAGAGCGGGUGCCUCGAGCUGGUACAGGGGUAAUAUACCUACUGGAAGACCAAGAGCUCCUCCUCAGGGAUACGCAAAAAUCAACGUAGAUGCGGGGACCCGACGCGAAAGGGGAUCUCUUGUUGCUGUGUGCAGGGAUAACACAGGUGCAUACUUGGGUAGUUCUGCACUGGUCAUUGAUGGACUAGAUGACCCGGCGGCUCUUGAAGCGAUAGCUUGUCGCAAAGGCAUGGCGCUAGCGGCAGACCUCCACAUAAACCAAUUUGUGAUCACCUCGGAUGCACAAGCAGUGGUGAAUGAGAUCAACAAGGGCAGCUUAGGCACCUAAGGGACAAUUAUCAAUGAAAUAAAACUUCGGUCUGAGUUAUUUUGAUGUAAUUUUAUUUUUGAAGGUCGUGCCUUGAAUCAGGAAGCACAUAGUUUAGCCAAACAAUCACUUUUCCUAGGUCCAGGGUGUCAUGUCCGGUUUGGCCAACCCCGUGAUCUGAAGUGUAUCCCACUCAAUGUAGUUUUUUAUGAAUAAAGUUUGGCUUACCUCUAAAAAAAUGUAUGGUGAUAAAAUACCUGAUUGGCCGGACAGCCGGCGGGAGUGCAAAAUCAACAGUGAGCCCUAGCACCACGGAUGAAUCACGGCGGUGUCCUGGUUUGGUCAUCCACGGCGCAUGCGGACGGGGAGCGGCGGCAAGCCCUAGCAGCGAGGCACAAAGUUACGAUCGACCGAUUGUUUGGCGGCCCCAGAUCGCUGUGGUGGAAAAGAACAUGCAGUUUGCAAGCCACGAUGGCUCAAUGGUUACGAGUGUCAGGCUCGUAGUGGGCUUGGGCUUAUGCGCCAGGUUAACCUUCAGGUUAAGUCUAAUCAGGCCCUGUACAAUGGCAGGUGCUAACACAGAUGCCUGAGAAAAAAACCCGGUUUUUUACCUGAGAUUGGAAUGCACCGAUGCUUAGGAAGGAAAGCAGAAGCAAAGUUUUGCUUCCGGUGCCAGCGGGUGCUUAGCAGAAGUAACUGCUCCAUUCAGUCACGGACGCUUCAAUCCAGCGCCUGCAUCGGCAGAAAAUAAAAAGAAAAAAAGCCCAGCUGGCACCCCACACGAAGCACUCUGCGUUGCGGACCAAAGAAAAUUCCGUGACGAAGCAUAGCUAGCACCGGUGUAUAGGCUUCCGCGUUGUACAAGGCCUCAGUAACCAACAAGGCCUAAUUGCAGCCUAGUACCUCACGUAAAUUGCUAAGGANNNNNNNNNNNNNNNNNNNNNNNNNNNNNNNNNNNNNNNNNNNNNNNNNNNNNNNNNNNNNNNNNNNNNNNNNNNNNNNNNNNNNNNNNNNNNNNNNNNNNNNNNNNNNNNNNNNNNNNNNNNNNNNNNNNNNNNNNNNNNNNNNNNNNNNNNNNNNNNNNNNNNNNNNNNNNNNNNNNNNNNNNNNNNNNNNNNNNNNNNNNNNNNNNNNNNNNNNNNNNNNNNNNNNNNNNNNNNNNNNNNNNNNNNNNNNNNNNNNNNNNNNNNNNNNNNNNNNNNNNNNNNNNNNNNNNNNNNNCCCUGCUCCCCCUGUCUCCGCCCCUGGUGGGGGCGAUAGGUCGUGCGGGCGUACGUUGUUGGCAACCUUUUUCUUUUCUUGAACGACGGGGCAGUUAGCGAUCGAGGGCUUAUGCGUGGUUUGUAGUGUUAAACACCCAAGGAUUAAGGGUCAUUAGAUCUUGUUGAUUGAUUGGUCUGAUUAUUUGGAUCUACCUUCUUUUUUUAUAGGGGUAAUAGAUAAAUAGAUACUUCCUCCGUAAACUAAUAUAAAAGCGUUUAGAUCACUAGUUUACAGAGGGAGUAGUAGAUAGAUAGAUAGAUAGUGCACACUGUCUUGCAGGAAAACUUUACCUUCCUGAGUAACUACCGGGCCGGCCCAUUUUCCUCAAUUUUUAAAAAUUUAUAAUGUCUCGAUGUCCAACGUUUUCAUACACAUUAAUUUUUUCUGCAUAUCUAAAAACUUUUAAAUACAAGUUUAACAUUUAUGAUAUAUAUGAUUAAUAUUCUUAAAAUAUAUGUUUUGAUGUCUACUUUUCUCCGUACACAUCUUACAUUUUUUUAUACAUCUGAUACAUUUUUUAAAUUUUAUAUAUGCAUGUUUAAUAUUUCCAAAUACAUGAUUACCAUUUUCAAACAUAUAUUGUUGGAUGUAUACUUCUUCCAUACACAUUGUACAUUUUUUUAUAUGCAUCUUUAUAAUUUUCCACAUACACGAUUAACAUUUUUGGAAACUUACAUUUUUUAUGUCUACUUGUUUUCAUACAUAUUGUACAUUUUUCAUAUACAUCAAAAUCAUUUUUACUAUACACAUUUAAAGAAUCAAAUGAAUGAUUAAAUUUAAAAAAAGUAUGUGAAGUAUUUUUUUGUAAUAUAUAUAUUUUUAGAAUAUUUAGAAAAAAAGUGAAACAAAAAAAGAACAAGUGAGGCAGUGGCCUCCCACGCGCUGGGCCGGCCAAGUUAGGCAGGCGCCUAGUUGCGCGUGCUAGUUGGACCGGCCCAUUCGUUAGCUCCAUUCAGUCUCGCGUCAAGCGAGACAUAAUCGAGACCAACUAAUGAACGAUUACCCCUUGCGGGGCCCCGUACGGGUAACUUUUGUGGUUUGAGAGCGCGUCAAGUGGUGCAUCCAUCAGCCGCCAUGUGGCAUGUUGGCUCUCCCUCUGGAAUUUAAUUUUUAUUAUUCUGUACACAUUUUUAGGUUUUAUGUGUUUUUUAUGGCUUCUCGAUUUUUGCGUGGUUAUCCCUAGGUUUUGAGAAAAAAAGUUCUUUUGGAAAUAAAAAUUGUGCUUCCAUGAGAAGCACAUCGAAUGGGGAAAAAUGUGCUUCGUCAAGAAGCACAUAUUUGUAGUGGAAGCGUAGAUUUAUUUCCGCAAGAAGCACAACCUUGAAAAGGAAAAAAAAUGUGCUUCCAUUAGAAGCACAUAUUUGCUUCUGCGAGCUAUGCUUCUAAAAAAAGUGCUUUCACAAGAAGUACAACUAUGCCUCUUGAAAAAGAAAAAUAAAGCGAAAAAACGCAAGUGUGCUUCGGUUUUUUCUUUCUUUUUUCCGUUAUUCGUUUUUUUCGGUUUUCGUUCUUUUUACUAGUUUUUUGGUAUUUGUUUUUCUGGUUUUGGGUUUUUCAUAAAAAAAUCAGCGAAAUAUGUUAACAUGGGAUCUAAUUUAAACUAGCAGAGCCCGUGCAGCGGCACGCCGCACCUGUCAAUACGAUUUGUCCAUAUGGACUGUGUUAAUUGCCUAUAAUAAGUGUUAUUAGUUUUAAAAAGACAUAAUCAUGUACGUAAAAAUGUGGACGUAGGAAGAUAUGUUGGAAAAAAGCAUACUUAUUCCAUCAUGCUGGCUGCAUGUUUCACACGUUGAUAGUACAUUUUUUAUAAGAUUAUUCUUGUCGUACAUGGCACGUUCUACAGAAUAAAUGGUACAUGAUCAUGUUGUUGCAAUAAGAUGAAAGAAACAUAGAAGCUCAUGGCAGAUAAGAUCAUCCUAGUGUAGACUCCUGUUGAAUUAGUGCUUGUGAUGAAGUGGUAUAGUCUUUGCUCCAGCCCGCAGGUAGCUCGGCGCAUGUUUAUCUAAUGAUGAGAUCUUCACUAUGUGAACGUUGGGUAGCUUAUAUUCCACAAUAUAUAUUAUUGUAUAGCAUGUGAAAUUAUCCUACAUUUUCUCUUUGUAAAUUUAUUGGGUUUGAUAAGUUUCUUGGUAUGAAAAUUAAGUCAAUAGAAUAAUUGAAUGACUCUAGAAGAGUGGUAUUCAUGGAUCUUUAUUUAUUUCAUAAUCUAGUUUGAAUACAUUACAUAGGAAGACGUCAACAUUAGAUAUAAAUUAAUAUAAAGGAAUAGAUGUUGUGUAGACAGACUUAAACUAAAUAGAGCAAAAAUUGAACAGUGCUAUCUCAACACAAGAAAUUCAACAAUGAAAACAGUUCGGGAUUGACGUACAGUUCAAAAGAUAAAACAUUUUAAAUAAACAAAUUAGAAAAAACACCCAGGUUGAGAAGAUGUGGGGAGUGACCUUUGCUCCGUGCGACAUUUUAGGUAGUCGAUAAGAACGUCUACCCUCCCACUAAACACUCAUCGCCAAAUGUCUAAAAUUUUAGGAAAAAUGCGAGCAUCAGUGUUAAGAUUAGGACUUGAAUCCCGGUGAGUUGAGAUAUCACCGUCCUCCCAACCAUCCAACCACAAAUUGGUUUGUGUUCAUUUUUUUUCCUAACGUGCUAUUUGUUCCAACUUUGUCUGUUUUUUAAUUAUCAUUUACAUGUUUUCCUUUUUUUUGUUUCUUAGAAAAAGCUUAAGCAUUUGUCAUGAUGUGUGCAAUGUAUUGCACACUAUUUGGCAAACAAAUUUGUGUGUAGUGAGUUCACCUGUCGCCCACAGCUUGUUUGAAAAAUGUGUGAGAUGAAGUACACACACUGUUUUGUUACGUAAACUGUGUGCGUUAAUAUUUGGGUGAUUCUAUUCUGAGAAAUCGUGUACGAUAUAGUUUUCACAUUAAUAACAAAAUGUUUGUGUGUGUUAUUGCAAAAUGGAUAAGAACGACCGUCGGUCCACGCGUCUUCUCUUUGAUGUGCAGGAAGGGCUAGGCACAGACUGUACUGAUCUGAUUCCCGCCGGUGCUCUUGGGUUCCCGACCGUGCCGCCCAAUUUUUGUUGAUCACCAUGUGUCGGUGCCACAACUGCACAAUGCGCACACCAAUGCCUACUUUCACGCGCAUCGCCGAGGAUUGCCGCCCAAGCACGUCAAGCGGUUGGUCGAAAAAUAAUAUAAUUUCGCCCAUGGUAUAAAACUCCCCUUGCUCCAUGUUCUCCCUCAUCGAGAUCGCCCCCACCGCCGACAAAACCAAUGGUUCCGCCAUGCCACAACUCAUCGACUUGCGAGAGGAGUUGUUGCAUAUGCUUGGUGUUGCUGCCACGCUGCUCGCGCAUCGAGCAUGAUCGCCAAGUGUUGGCGCGCCGAGGCACCUACGUCGCCCACAUCGCACAGAAUGCGACCGAUAGAGCCAAGGCGCCAGCCGCCAUUGUCGGCACAGGGGCCGUAGCGGCAGUCGCCGCCUCGAACGAUGACGACAAUGAAGGUGCCCCUCAGCUCGAGCCGGACAUGUUGUUGGCCCUCGCUUAGUCCAUUUAGGAUGAGCGACGCAUAUCAUUAGGUAGAACAAAUGGUAAAGCCGUGUUUUCCACCAAAUGGUAUGAAUUUCGCUAAUUUACAAGAAAAGAAUGAUAGGUACAAAAAUUUCUAAGCGGAUGGUGAAGAAAUACCAGCACAAAAAGACAGAAAGCAAGAGAUACUUUUGAAACUAUAACUUUAAACCAACAAGCUUUGCUCGGAACGAUCCCACAUGACAAAAGCACAGAAAAGACAUAAUAGAUCAACAAGCAAAGAACACAAUUUAUGGCAAUGACGAGCCUACAGAAAGAUUGGUAGAAGAGACCUACAAGGAUGCACGAACAUAAGGAGCAAGAGUUAACCGAAUAAAGAAGAGGAACAUGAAAGAAGAACUUAAAGAAGUAAGGUAAAUUGUGUGGUAGAAGGGCCAACAUGAAUCGGUAUGUAUGAAGUAUCUAUGCAAGACGGAGAUAUAUGCGGUCAGGUGUUCAGAGUGUAUCGAAUUUGAGUCAGAUUUUCACGAUAAUAACAAUGACAAUAUAAAGCGUGAACUGAGCGUUUCUUAGAGGAUUAGGAUCCUCAUGUGAAACCAAGUCCUAAAUUUGAUAUUGGUGGUCAUAUUUUUUAAAUUUAUUUCAGGCCAUUUGAUGACAUGCAUUCAAUGUAAGAAAAUGUUUCCAUCGACUAUGAAGACACAUGUGAUAAUUUUAUUAAUUUUUUUCUUGCUGGACGAUUUUGUCAAUCUCAAUAUGACGUGUUGGCUCGGUCUCUUUAAGAUGCUCAUGGGAUGCGUGCGUGUGUUUUGUAUGUGCGCCUGUGUUAAAUAAAAGAAGACAAUGAAAAGCAUACGAAAAUCCUUUAUUUCAAAAUGGGUCCCAAAAGCGAACCAACUAUGGUUGAGAUGGUUAGGUGGACAGUGGUAUCCCCAACCCACCGGGAUUCAAAUCAUGGUGCUCGCAUUAUUUCUGGAUUUAUUUGAUGCGUUUUCAGUGGGAGGAGGCGUUCCCGUCGACGACGAGGCGACUACGGUAACUUCGUAAAUCUCAAGAUGAUAUGCCGGCUCAGUCUUUCGGAGAUGCUCAUAAGGGUAGAAUGUACGUGUGUGCGUUCAUAGGGAUGAGUGUAUGCACAUGUAUAUGUGCGCCUGUGUCUGUACUGAUGCUUAAAAAAAAAGUCGCAAAAGCCCGGUACCCAGUGUGGUACUGCGCCAACAAAAUCCGGUCUCCGUGUGGCUCAUUGAAGAAGUGGACUGUGGUCGCUUCGCAGCCCGGCUUCUCCGCAAUAAAGAAACCACUCUGACGCGGCUCUGCCAACACGCGACGCGAUGAUCUCGCCCCUCCUUCCUCCCAUUCCCACUCCACCUCCGCGAACCUUAGCCCCGCCGCAGCCGCAUUCAUCUGCCGCCUCCUCGUAGCCGCCGACGCCGCCGCCGGCCCGUCGCCUCACCGGACUCCCCUCCAUACUACGCAACCUUAUCUAGGUAAACCCCUGGCCUCUCCGGUUUAGUCCGUACAUCGGGUUUACCGCUUAAUCCGUCGGCGGGUUCCCUUGAUCGCCGAGUUAGGGUUUACCGGCCGCCGACAAAGCGCACAGCGUGGCGGCGUGCGUUGUUUGACGGCCGGAAUACGGCGCCCCGCUGUUCUGACUUCUGACGAGGCGAUGCAUUUUGCUUCGAGUUCGAGGGUUUUGUGAAACUUUGGGGGAGGCUUGGACUCUGGUUGCUUGACGGCCACCGCGCCAUUUCCGGCCCUUGCUUACAACUUUGACCCGGCCGUGGUACUACGUGUGGUGCAUACUGUGGAGGCCGUUGUGUGAUAUACGAUGGGAUCUUUUAUUAAGAAAUUAUAAUCUCUGAACAGGGGGGAAAUACGUCCUUACCAACCAAAUUACUCGUGGCACUGGGAAAAUGUGCUAUUUAGUACGUUUGGUUUGGAUUUGAUCUGCUAUCAUUCAUAGUCGCAUCGUCUUCUUGCAUUGCACGAAUAAAUGUUGACGGAAGGUGUCAACAAGAUCAGUUAUAGCUGCAAUUUUCUUAUGUGCAAGUUCUCGGUUUUGGGUCUGCCUUGCCUCAAGUCUCAACAUGUUCUAUUUUUAGGAAGAGACAAAUAUGUUUGGUUUCCUCAAUCCCUCAGAGCAAUUACCCUGACCAAGAAACCUUUAAUAAACAUGAGAAUACUUCAUGGAGAAAAUAGCUUCAUGCUUUCAUUUAUAUUCUGUUGAGAGCAAAUAUGUGCAAAUGAAAACCAGGGCAAACAUCCUCCUUUAUAUAACCGAUAAGGUUUGAUGAUGUUUGAAUAUUCCGAAGUGGUUGAUUUGGAAGCGGCGGAGGGCUUACACCUUUGAAGGCAAGCAGCCAAAUGUCGAAUGCUUGACGCUCCCCAUCCAAUCUAAAGCACGUGUGUGUGCUACAGGCUGCUUGGCGGGACUUCUAGCAAUACCCUAAGGGGUAACUGCAAUCAGUGGCAGGGCCACCUCCAGGCAACCCCAGGCAGCUUCCCAGGCUUGGCCAGAGAUCAUCCGCUGAGAAGUGGUGUGAUCCUAGAGGUUGAAGAUGGUGUUUGGUUGGCAAAAGUUUACUCACGUAGCCAUAGUCAGGCUUGCCCAGGCUCCAAAGUCCGGCUGGCUCCGCCACUGAAAUGCCAUGUCCGAUUGUUAGUGGGUGUUGUCUACCCUUACUCUUGUACAUAAACCUUUUUGUUCUAUCAACGCAUCAAGGCACAAGGCUUUUGCGCUUAGAUGAGAAAGGAAUGUUCUUAAUUUAUAUUUCGUUAUAAAUUGUCAGUGGGUGUUGCCUACCUUUAGUCUUGUACAUAAACCUUUUUAUUCUAUCAACACAUCAAGGCACGAGGCUUUUCCGCAUAGUUGAGAAAGGGAUGUUCUUAAUUUAUAUUUGGUUAUAAAUGAUUUAUAAUGCUUAGGCAAUGCUAUUUUGUACUCUUUUAACUUAUUGAUUAUAUAUGUAACUUAUUCUGCAGGGAUUCAGCAUGGUUGAGCUCGUCCAAAACUAUGAUGUGCUGGAGAAGUGUACAAAAGAUAUUCUCUCCAUAAUCAAGCCAACAGAGGCCGAUCAGAACAAACGACUGCACGCAAUUCAGGAGAUUGUGGAUUCCAUCUAUUUAGUUGGUCGCUUGGGAGGUAACUUCUCAUUGUUUGGUUACCAUAUGGCUCUUUUCCAUCUCUUGGAAACAACCACUUGCAAUCCUGAUAUUUAUAAAGGGUGCAGUGUUGUAAUUGUUUGACAUAAAGCUUGGCUAGUACUUAAUUAUAUAAAUUAUGGAAGGAAAAUUUUUUCCCUUCUUGCACAUGCUGUAGAUUCCUCGUAGAUUACUUUAACAUAGACCCCCAUCCGAACAUUUUAUUGCAACUUCCGUUACUCGUAUUCAUCAAAGAUCUCCAGGAAGGCUUUUCCCCUUCAACGGACUAUAUAGGUUGUGGUCUCUGGGUAACAUUUGCAUUCUAUGAAAACACUAAUAAGUGACAAUCCUGUAAAAUCCGUAUAACCCUAAAGUGGAUAAGUCUGGUUUGUGUCAAAUUACUGGCAAUAUUCCUACUGUGAGUGCUGUAAGUGGGAAGCAUUGGCUACUCAAUGACUGACAUACGGAAGCUGCUCAAACGGCAUACCAUUUUACUGUUCUUAUUCUUUUGUUAUACUAUGCCUAGUGAGUCAACACAUUUGUUAUUUAAAUUUCUAGGAGGUGUUGAGAGGUUUAUUACUAGUAUGGUUUUCUUACUUUUCCUAUUUCCCUUAACAGAUGCUGCUGUCAAACCUUUUGGAUCCUUUUUAUCAAAACUUUACGCAAAAUCAGGUGAUUUGGAUGUAUCAGUUGAGCUGCCAAAUGUCUUAGGCUUCCCUACAAGCAAGGAAAAGAAGCAAAGUCUCUUGGGAGAACUAAUGAGAGCUUUAGAAGUUAGAGGUAACUUCUUUUAAAUCCAUGCACCUGUGUCCAUAACGGAACGUCUUGUACUCUAAUCAUGUAUAUGUUUGAUCAUUCUAUUCAAGACACGAGAGCAUCCUCUUGUUUUUUGGUUGCUUCCGACAUCCAGAUAAAUCUUCUCAGGCAACCAUGUUCCUGCUUUGCCUGUUUGAAUGCAAUACCUUUUGCUAUCUGUGUGGCUGGACUCAUUUAGAUUUUGUGAGAUCAUUUUUUACGAGAGAUUGAAGGGGAGCCUUGUGACCAUGAGGUCACGGGUUCGAGUUCUGGAAACAGCCUCUUAUAGAAAUGUAGGGAAAGGCUGUGUACAAUAGACCCAAAGUGGUCNNNNNNNNNNNNNNNNNNNNNNNNNNNNNNNNNNNNNNNNNNNNNNNNNNNNNNNNNNNNNNNNNNNNNNNNNNNNNNNNNNNNNNNNNNNNNNNNNNNNNNNNNNNNNNNNNNNNNNNNNNNNNNNNNNNNNNNNNNNNNNNNNNNNNNNNNNNNNNNNNNNNNNNNNNNNNNNNNNNNNNNNNNNNNNNNNNNNNNNNNNNNNNNNNNNNNNNNNNNNNNNNNNNNNNNNNNNNNNNNNNNNNNNNNNNNNNNNNNNNNNNNNNNNNNNNNUCCCAUACUUUAUUUAGGUGUUUCUAGAGAUGUGAACUUCAUUCCUACUGCAAGAGUUCCAGUUCUUCAGUAUGUGAGCAACCACUUUGGUGUUUCCUGUGAUAUAUCCAUUGAUAACUACCCUGGUGGACUUAAAUCCAAAGUGCUGUACUGGAUCAAUACUUUAGAUGGCCGCUUUGGCGAUAUGGUUUUAUUGGUAAGUUCUUUGUACCCAAGAGAUAGUUUUCUUUCCAACAAUUUCUUAGUUCAGCUCAAGCUUAGUACCAUAUUUUCUUGCAGGUCAAGGAAUGGGCAAAAGCUCAAAACAUCAACGAUCCAAAAGAUGGAACCCUCAACUCCUAUUCGCUUUGCUUACUUGUACUCUUUCAUUUUCAGGUGCCCUUUUCAAUUUAGAGGUCACCUAUUUUUUUAUCAACAGUUUUAUCAAAGUUGAACAGCUUAUGUCAUGCUCUUAAUCUUGCAUUUGCAGACAUGUAAGCCUGCGAUUUUACCACCUAUGAAUGAGUUUUUAGAUGUGAACAUUUCAGCAGGUGAGAUGAAAUUGGAUUGUUUGUGAGACUAAAGAUUGUCUGGUGUACCGUGUAUUGGUGCUGGUAAUUUACCCUUUGCGUUCACAUGCAGAAAGUGGGCCUUAUAAUGAAAAAAAUCUUGAUGAGAUGUGUGCGGAAAGUAUAGCAAAGUUUCGACGCCGGGACAUAGGGCAAAGGAAUCAGAGCUCUCUGUCUCAUCUCCUUGCAACUUUCUUUGAGAAGGUAAUUGAACUUAUUGUCCGCUAUAUUGACUAAGUCAUCGCCAUCUAAAUUCUAAAUUCUAAAUGCUGUUCAAAGAAUGGUAAAUAUGAUAUUCAUGUUUCGAAGCACAUCUUCUUCUGCCUAUGUUGUAGCCCUUGGCUGCCAUAUUUUUGGGCCACCUUUUGUCUUAUUUUGAGAUGUUCACCAUCAUACCAUAAUAAACUUAGCAUAGUGAUAAACAAGGGUGCGCUUGGAUCUUUCGCCGUUCAUGCCCAGGAGACAAGGCUUUUGAGCUAUAGCUUACACGAGCAAAGCAAAUAUUUGGUUCAACUAACAACCUCCAUGUCCAAGCACAAUUCCAGUGGCCAUUAUCUUGCCGACGGAGGAGAGCCAAAUUGGCCCUCCUACUGGGUCAAGGCUUUUCUAGCCCAUGCAGUCUAGAUUGAACAGCAAAGCUAGUUAUUUUGUUUUUAUCCAAUAACUCUCCUAUCUAGCUAAGACUAGAAUUGCUUAGGCACGAAACACAUCCGAAGUUGCCUAUGUUUGGGCGCUAGCUAAUAGGUUUAUAUGUCUUAUCCAGAGAGAAGCUCAAGCAAAGCACAUGUUCUUAAAUGGUUUAGUUGAGUUUGGUCAAGCGCAUACAGUUCCUACUGGGGUUAUGACUUAUAAGUACUUAGGCCAACCUAAUUAGAUAACCUUUUUGCCAACUACAAUUUUGAGGGGAAAUCAGCUAAUCACUUACCUAACCAAAAUGUGUUCAUUUUUGUUAGCUCAAGAUAUUUUUGUUAACAAGCACAUUUGAGUUUCAGGUGAAGUGCACUAUUUGCCGUAUGUAUUUGCAGUACUGUGAUGAGAUUUGGUAUUAAUAAUUUUCAUUCGAAAAAGGCAUAACAUGGACAAUGUCAAAAUGCUGCAGUUGUACUAUUCAAAAUUGUAGCACUGUCAUAACAUGAGAUAAAAAAAUCUAGUGAUGCCCAUUCGGCUGAUAUACAAUACCGUUUGCAGUUUUGCCGUCUAGGUGUCCAUUCUAGUGAUCAUGUUAUAUCCACUUACAUGGGCCGGCUCCAGCGAAAACAAGGCGGCCUAUAUUGGAUGACCAAAUCUUGCUACUUGUUUGUAAGUAUUCCCUUCAUAGCACAUUUGGUGGCUAUAUUCGUAAAUGUCUAAAAAAUAGCCUCACAUGUACACUGUUUUUUUCUUCUUGUUUAGGUUGAAGAUCCAUUUCAGAGACUUGAUAAUGCAGCUAGAACAGUUGAUGUGCUAGGGCUUCAUGAUAUUGCCACAGCCUUAAAAAAUGCUAAAAAUAUUGUCUCCUCUGAUGGGCCUGUUGACCGGAAUGAAUUCCUUUCGCUGCUGUGUACGCCUGAAGUUGGUUCUAAACUGGGUGCAAGAGCCACGGCUGGCCGUUACGCUACUCCUGCGACGACCCUUCAGGAGGACAGAUUCAGAGGAUUUCUGGAACGUUUGGCAGCUAACCCUUUCGAUAAUCAGCAUCGCCUUAGAGCCCAAGGAUCAACAGGAAGCAGAUCAAUUCAUAGCCCACAGCCACAGGGGUACAAUUCAGGCAGGCAGGCAGCUGCUCGACGCCAGAGCCAGCAGCGCAGAGGGGAGUACACUUCAGAUCGUCAAGCUAGUGGUCAUGCUCUGAAUGCGAUGUUUGAUGAGAUUUUGGGUAGACGUCUCCACAAUGGUUCAGCACCCAACUCACGAUCCCAAGCCUUCUCCAGCAGGUCACCAGGGCAAUACUGGUAGCAAGUCAACGGCAACAGCAUCGAUUGACAAGUAGUCCCAGGGUAGCAGCAGAUGAUCUUCAGCUUUUUUACCGGCAGUGUGGACCAAGUUAUGUUUGAUUAAUUAGUUUUUUCCUGACAAACUGCAUCCGUUUAUGUUACUUGACGUGCUACCUCAGUCCCAAAAUAUAAGAUCAUUUUUGAGACAAUCAUAUGGUAGUAUUACAUUUUGGGAAGGAGGGAGUAGUUCCCAGCCGGCUCAUAUGCUUGAGCCCGUGGUUACGUGGAUUGUAGGAUCGAAAAUUUGUAGUCUUGCUUGACAGAACCUUCUUGGGAAUUCCUCGCUAUACAUGUAUGUGCAAUGAAAUUGAGAGACAGGAGGGCUCUGUACUUCUGUAGUCAUGCAAUCACGCUUUUACAUUGUAAAGUACUAGUUCGUCGCACCGUGUGCUAAGCUCUGGGACGUACAAAUUGCCACUAAGUCACGGAAAGACCAAUCGAAGCUUCCAUGAUUUCAUACCGGAUAAGAACACAUUGCAUUGUUGGCACAAUAAUGGGGGGAAGACUUGUAUAGGAUCUGUUCUUAGGUGAGAUCAAUGAGAUCAAUCAUUUUGAAGAUAGAUACAAAACAUGUUAAAAAAUUCUGAAAAAAAUUGGAGACAUACAUCCAUAUUUGAUGGUUUCAGCUCCCAAAUCGAACUACACUUAGAGAAACAAAAAAGACAAAAUCAGAUGUGAAUAGUAUCAAAUACUAUUCAUCCCAAAGUAGAUACUAUUCAUAAUCGAAUUUGUCUUUUUUGAAUCGCUAAUUGUAGAUCGAGUUUUGAGCUGAUUUUUUUGGAGUUGUAGACAUACCCCGCAGGUAUGUUGUACAUUUUUUUUCAGAUUUUUUUGGAUGGUCUAAAUAUGAAAUAUUUGAGUUGAUCCUACGAUCUCACCUAAAAGGCUGAUCCUAUACAAGUCUUCCCCUUAGGUGAGAUCAAUGAGAUCAAUCUUUUUCAAGAUACAUAACAUGUUAAAAAAUCCUGAAAUAAUUUGGAGACACACAUCCAUGUUUGAUGUACGAUCUCAAAAAGUUUCAGCUCCUAAUUCAAACUACACUUAGAGAAACAAAAAAGACAAAAUUGAAUGUGAACAGUGACACACUAUCCACCCAAAGCUGACAUUAUUCACAGUUGAACUUGUCAUUUUUGUAUCUCCAAUUGUAGACCGAGUUUUGAGCUAAUGUAUUUUGAAGUUGUAGAUAUACAUCACAUGUAUGUUGACAAAUAAUUUCAGAUUUUUUUGGAUUGUCUAAAUGUGAAUUUUUUUGGUUGAUCCCACAAUCUCACUUAAAGGGCAGAUUCUAUUCUAGUCUCCCCCGCACAAUAAUGGUGUUCGAUGGACCCAACUUAUGAUAUACUGCGAGAUCACAUAGUCACUAUGUUGUUGGUAUUAUCAUAUUAUGUGUUAACGUUUACUCUUGUACCUAGACCAUAAGAAUAUCGUAGGACCUUCAUACCGGAUGGUUACUUUAUGUUAAAUGUAGCUAUGGGUAUACCAAAAAAGUAUGUCAAGAUUCUCGAUGGUUCAAGACUGGAAUUUGCUCCUUCGAUGAUGGAGAGGUACUUUUCGGGCCCACUCGGUAUAAUGUUACCCAACAUCGCCUGAAAGAAACAAAUGUGAUUGUUAUCAUGGGGAUACUGAAAUACGGAAAUGAGAAAGAGAACAAAACUGGUAAGGAGGAUAACAGGUAUAGUGAUCAAAGUGUUGAUCAUGGAAAUACUGUCUCGCCUCAGGUUUUGUAAAUGUACUGCGAAGCAAAGGGAAGUGUAUGUGGUAACAAAAGGUUCACCUAGUAAAGAUCUUCUUGUAUAUGUGGGAAUUAUCAUGGGUGUGCAGAUCCCGAUGUUAAUUAUUGACGAGAAGAUGUUCUAGGUCAUGUCCACAUUACCAAACUUGCAGGGUCACGCGCUUAAUGACUGCUGUUUUUUAGGAAAACUAGAAUAUCAUAGGAGAAUGAGAGAAGGACAUCAGAAGUGUUUCAAAUGAUCCUAUAAGUGCCGUGGGAGGUCUCGGGAGUUCGGAAAGCAUUUGAGAUUGUCCAAGAAGGUUGUGGAACCUUUUGGAAACGUUCGGAACCUUUCGAAGGGUCCUAGUGGUCUAAACCCGCUGACCCAAGGGGUGAUACCCACAUGGGCCUUAAAGGCCUAAUUAUGGGGUGCCACAAGGUGGCCUGGGGGGCAAGCCAUGAGGCAGAGUUACAUGAGGACUUCACCUCAUGUCUCCUCGGCCAUAGGAAAGCUUGGCCUCCAAGUCGGUCGACCCGCUAUAGCCACCUAUAAAUUAUUGAAGGAAAUAUGCCCCAGAGGCAAUAAUAAAGUUGUUAUUUUAUAUUUCCUUAUAUCAUGAUAUAAUUGUAUUAAUCAGAAACUUGAUACAUGUGUGGAUACAUAGACAAAACACUGUGUCCCUUGUAAGCCUCUACUAGACUAGCUCGUUAAUCAAAGAUGGUUAAAUUUCCUAACCAUGGACAUGUGUGGUCAUUUGAUGAACAUGAUCACAUCAUUAGGAGAAUGAUGUGAUGGACAAGACCCAUCCGUUACCUUAGCAUAUUGAUCAUUCAGUUUUAUUACUAUUGCUUUCUUCAUGUCAUAUACAUAUUCCUUUGACUAUGAGAUUAUGCAACUCCCGAAUACCGGAUGAAUACCUUGUGUGCUAUAAAUGUCACAACGUAACUGGGUGAUUAUAAAGAUGCUCUACAGGUAUAUUUGAAGGUGUUUGUUGGGUUGGCAUAGAUCGAGAUUAGGAUUUGUCACUCCGAGUAUCGGAGAGGUAUCUCUGGGCCCUCUCGGUAAUACACAUCAUAAUAAGCCUUGCAAGCAAAGUGAAUUCUGGUAACGAGAUUGAACUAGGUAUGAAGAUACCGACGAUCGAAUCUCAGGCAAGUAACAUACCGAUGACAAAGGGAAUAACAUAUGUUGUCAUUACGGUACGACCGAUAAAGAUCUUCAUAGAAUAUGUGGGAACCAAUAUGAGCAUCCAGGUUCGAUGUUGGUUAUUGACCAGAGAGGUGUCUCGGUCAUGUCUACAUAGUUCUCGAACCCGUAGGGUCCACACGCUUAACGUUCGAUGACGAUUUUGUAUUAUAUGAGUUAUGUGAUUUGGUGACUGAAUGUUGUUCAUAGUCCCGGAUGAGAUCACGGACAUGAUGAGGAGUCUCGAAAUGGUCGAGAGGCAAAGAUUCAUAUAUUGUACGAUGAUAUUCGGACACCAGAAGUGUUCCGGGGGUACCGGGUACAUAUCGGGUCACUGGAAGGGGUUUCGGGCAUCCCCCCGGCAACUGCAUGAGCAUAAUGGGCCAAGAAAGGGGGAGGAAAAAAUAAGGGGGAAGGAAAGAGGGGAAGAGAGAAAGGAAGGGGAGCAAUUCGGCCUCUCCCUUCCUUCUCUCCUCCCUCCUCCUUCCUUCCCCCUCCGGAUGAAUAUGGAAGGGGGGAGGCCGAAUUGGGAGUCACCCAAGUAGGAUUCCUCCUACUUGGGGCGCCCCCUUGGCUGCCUCUCCUCCCCUCCAACCUAUAUAUAUAUAUAUGAGGGGGGCACCGCUAGAACACACAUCAACAGUUGUUAGCUGUGUGCGGCGCCUCCCUCCACAGUUUAUGCAUCCGGUUAUAUUCAUGUAGUGCUUAGGCGAAGCCCUGCGCAGAUCACUUCACCAUCACCGUCACCGCGCCGUCGUGCUGACGGAACUAUCCCUCGACACUUUGUAGGAUCAAGAGUUCGAGGGACGUCAUCAAGCUGAACGAGUGCAGAACUCGGAGGUGCCGUACAUUCGGUGCUUGAUCGGUCGGAACGAUAAGAAGUUCGAUUACAUCUACCACGUUGUCAAACGCUUCUGCUUUCAGUCUACACUCUCCGUUGCUAUGCAUCUCCUAGAUAGAUCUUGCGUGAGCAUAGGAUUUUUUUUGAAAUUGCAUGCUACGUUUCCCAAUAGUGGCAUCCGAGCCAGGUCUAUGCGUAGAUGAUAUGCACGAGUAGAACACAAAGAGUUAUGGGCGGUGAUAGUCAUACUGCUUACCACCAAUGUCUUAUUUUCAUUCGGCGGUAUUGUUGGAUGAAGCAGCCCGGACCAACCUUACAUGACCAUGUUCAUGAGACCGGUUCCACCGACAGGCAUGCAACUACUCUUGCAUAAAGGUUGCUGGCAAGUGUCUAUUUCUCCUACUUUAGUUGAAUCAAAUUUGAGUGCGGCCAAUCCUUGUUGAAGGUUAAAACAACAAACUUGACGAAACACCAUUGUGGUUUGAUGCGUAGGUAAGAACGAUUCUUACUAGAAGCCCGUAGCAGCCACAUAAAACUUGCAACAACAAAGUAGAGGACGUCUAACUUGUUUUUGCAGGGCAUGUUGUGAUGUGAUAUGGUCAAUACAUGAUGUGAUAUACGUUAUUGUAUGAGAUGAUCAUGUUUUGUAAAAGUUACUGGCAACCGACACGAGCCUUAUGGUUGUCUAUUUAUUGUAUGAAAUGCAUACGCCAUGUAAUUGCUUUACUUUAUGACUAUGCGUUAGCGAUAGUUUAGAAGCAAUAGUUGGCGAGACGACCACGACACUACGAUGGAGAUCAAGGUGUCAAGCCGGUGACGAUGGAGAUCAUGACGUUGCUUUGGAGAUGGAGAUCAAAAGCAUAAGAUGAUGAUGGCCAUAUCAUGUAACAUAUUUUGAUUGCAUGUGAUGUUUAUCUUUUAUGCAUCUUAUUUUGCUUAGUACGGCGGUAGCAUUAUAAGAUGAUCCCGUAACUAAAUUUCAAGGUAUGAGUGUUCUCCCUGAGUAUGCACCGUUGCGACAGUUCUUCGUGCUGAGACACCACGUGAUGAUUGGGUGUGAUAAGCUCUACAUUCACAUACAACGGGUGCAAGACAGUUUUGCACAUGCGGAAUACGCAGGUUAAACUUGAUGAGCCUAGCAUGUACAGACAUGGCCUCGAACCACUGGAGACCAAAAGGUCGAAUGUGAAUCAUAUAGAGAUAUGAUCAACAUAGAGAUGUUCACCAUUGAAGACUACUCCAUGUCACGUGAUGAUCGGACAUUGUUUAGUUGAUUUGGAUCACGUGAUCAUUUAGAUGACUCGAGGGAUGUCUAUCUAAGUGGGAGUUCUUAAGUAAUAUGAUUAAUUGAACUUAAUUUAUCAUGAACUUAGUCCUGAUAGUAUUUGCAUAUCUAUGUUGUAGAUCAAUAGCUUGCGAUAUAGCUCCUAUUUUUUUGAUAUGUUUGUAGAGAAAAGUUGAAAGAUGAUAGUAGCAAUGAUGCGGACUGGGUCCAUGAUCUGAGGAUUAUCCUCGUUGCUGCACAGAAUAAUUAUGUCCUUGAUAAAUUGCUAGGUGACAGACCUAUUGUAGGAGCUGAUGCAGACGUUAUGAACGUUUGACAAGCUCGGUAUGAUGACUACUUGAUAGUUUAGUGCACCAUGCUUUACAGCUUAGAACCGGGACUUCAAAAACAUUUUGAACACAAUGGAGCAUAUGAGAUGUUCCAAGGAUUGAAAUUGGUAUUUCAGACUCAUGCCCAUGUAGAGAGGUACGAGACCUCUGACAAGUACUUUGCCUACAAGAUGGAGGAGAAUGGCUCAGCCAGUGAGCAUGUACUCAGAAUGUCUAGUUAGUACAAUCGCUUGAAUCAAGUGGGAGUUAAUCUUCCAGAUAAGAUAGUGAUUGAUAGAGUUCUCUAGUCACUAUAACCAAGCUACUAGAACUUCGUGAUGAACUAUAAUAUGCAAGGGGGGAUGACGGAAAUGAUUCCCGAGCUCUUCGCGAUGCUGAAAUUGGCGAAGGUAGAAAUCAAGAAAGAGCAUCAAGUGUUGAUGGUUGACAAGACCACUAGUUUCAAGUAAAAGGGCAAGGGAAAUAAAAGGGAACUUCAAGAAGAAUGGCAAGCAAGUUGCCACUCCCAUGAAGAAGCCCAAAGCUGGACCCAAGCCUGAAACUGAGUGCUUAUACUUGUAAGUGCAUCUAGCGCCCCUUAGUGAUUUUGGUGUAUUGAAGACUUAUAGGUUAAGGGACUAAUGUGUUUGUGAGGGUACACAGGCUCUAUAAGUCGAUGAGGAGUUUGAUAUUUAUGAUGAAAGUCGACCCCUAAAAAUGUAUGUCUUCAACUGAAGACUUUGUUUCUCCUGAAGACUUUGAAAUGAAGAAAUUGGUGUGACCUCGAAGACUUGGAUAUUCGUGCGAGGAUUAUGAAGCGUGAAGACUUUUGUUUUUGUUGUUUCUUUUUCUCUUUCUUGAGUCAUAGGAAACACCGUACUGUUAAAGGGGGUCGAGGUAAAACUAAGGAAACACUUUCCAAGUGAUGCUCAACUCAAAUCCUACACCUACCCAAUCCUUUCGACUGAAGCCAUUGGAAAUCUCAUACAGUUCAGUCAAGUUCUUCAGUGACAGAGAUGAAGAUCUUCUGUUCUCUGAGGAAUUUGUUCUAAGUGAGGAGUUAGGAAUUCGCCAGUGCGGAUUGCCUGCAAAGUGAGGAACAUGAUAGCCCUGAGGAAUUUGAUUCUCAAAUAUCCGACCGUUGUUGUGCUACGCGCCAGCUGUCCCAAAAUAUCCUACCACCUAACGGUCGUAUCAUUGAAGGGCAUUUAUGUCUUAUCAUGUCGGGAUGCUCCCUAGGCUAUAAAUAGCCGCCCCCUGCAACCACUAGCUGGUUGGGUGCUCCGAGAGAAACUGACGCUUGUCAUUGAGAGCAUCCCAUCCUCCGAGGACUUUGAGCGAAAUUCAUCAAGUGAGGAAAAACCCAAAACCCAAACACCUACAACCCAAAGUUAUUGAGCUUCACUGAAGAGAUUGUUCCUGUGUGGAACCAAUGCUUGUUACCUUUGAGGACUGUGCAUCCUCCAGACGGUUAGGCGUCAUGGUUUGAGCAUCCAAGAGGAAUUGUGGAUCGCCGAGUGACCAAGUCUGUGAAGGUUUGGAAGUCACCUGAAGACUUACCACGAGUGAUUGGGCGAGGUCUGUGUGACUUAGCUCAAGGAGAAUAUAGUAAGGACUGUGUGUCCUUAGGUUUAAAUGCCCAGCUACUCCAACCAGACGUACAACUGUCACAACAGUUGGAAUUGGUCUACCAAAUCAUCGUCUUCACCAAGCCACUGGUUCUAUUUCCUUAACUCUUUCAUUUCCUCAUUCAUGUGUUGAUGAACCCGAUGAUUACUGUUUGAAGACUUUGACUGAAGACUUUCUCUAUUUCCUCAACCCUAUUUCUUCAGUCACAUUGUCUUCAGCCUCCUUAUCAUGUUUUCACGCUACUUGUACUCUGUGAUUGUCUUUCAUUUCAUCAUGAUGACUAUGCUUUUGCUCUAUUAUGCUUGCACCAGAGUACUUAUUCUGCUGCUAGUGUGUCGUUGCCAAGGAAAUUCCUCACCUAGAAUUUCCUUAGUGACGAAUUUGUAAAAAUUGCCAAUUCACCCCCCUCUAGUUGAUAUAAUGUACUUUCAAUUGGUAUCAAAGCAAGGCACUCCCUUGUUCUGUGUGAUUUUGGUUUAACCACCUGGAGUUUUAGUUAUGCUGACCGCAGGUCUGAAUAAAGUCUCAUGCCCCAUCUUUGACGAUACGAUUAUCCCAAGUGGAAGGCCAUGAUGAGGAAGCACAUCAUGGCAAUGAAUAGCGAGCUGUGGACCGCCAUUGAGAUUGGCCUUAUCGAUCUAUGCAAGAUGGCGCAUGCUGAUGAUAUUUGCAAGUACACUCGUCUGGAUUGGAUGGCGAAGGAUAUCAUCUGAUUUUGUCUCUCCAGAAAUCAGUUCAGGCUCAUUAUGCAUAUGUGCAAUGCAAAGCUUAUCUGGGACCGAAUCUCUGAUGUUUAUGAAGGUCAUCAAACUCGUUAGGAUCCCUGGUUUGAUGAUUUCAAGGAAUCUCUCAAAACAAUGACUUUCGAACAAGAAUCAUCAUCAUCCGCACCAUGCCUCAUGGCCAAGGGUGCGAAGGUAUCUGAUUACUCCUCAUGCGACUCUAGUGAUGAUGAAUCUGAUGAUGAUGAUGUCUUUGACCUAGUUAUACCAAGCUUGUUACUAUUGCCACUAAACAACAAAAGGCUUUGGAAAAGGUUCAAAAUUUGCUAGACAAAAGCGAUGAACUAUUGGGUGAGGAAUUGGAUCGAACUCAAACUCUGACUGAUGAUCUUCAAAGUCUUUAGUCUAAGUUUGAAAAUCUUUAGAGGCAUCAUAACUCUCUCUUAGCCGAAUAUGAGAAGCUUUCUUAUGAAUUUCUUCAGAGAAAGCAAGAUCUUGAGAAGUUGAGGGUGAGUUAUGAAGAUCUUCAGAAGGAAAACAAUUCAUUGCUUGCUCAACAGAUCAGUUUCGCUCAGGAAGAAUUCAUUCCACCAUGUUUGAAAUGCAUUGAGCAUGAAUCUGUUAAUUCUUCACCUGAAUGUUUAAAUGCUUCUAUUGCUGCAAAUUCUUCAACUGUCUCCGUGGUCACAAAUUCCUCAUUUGAGGAUACCACAAGUAUCACUGACGAUAAUGCAGGAUUGAAGGAAUUGUAUGUGACAGGCAUAUACAAAAGCUUCAAAGGGCACCAGACUAUUUGCGAUGUGCUCAAAAAGCAGAUCUUGAACAGGAACCCUAGGAAAGAGGGUAUUGCUUUUGAGAGGAAACUCAAUGCUGACGGGACCUACUGGAAACCUGAGCAGUAUCCCAAAACCUCAUGGGUUGCUGUGAAAGGACCUCCCGUAGAUCCAUCCUCCCUAUCUGGCUUUACUUGUGAAUCCCCAUAUUCCUCUGAUGAGUCAUUUGACUCCAACUAUAAACUGUUCAAAAAUCAGAAUGGUGAAGUAUUUGCUUGAUGUGUUGGAACUAACUACAGGAACGACCCCCCCAUGAAGAAAAUCUGGGUUCCCAAAAGGUGCCUUGAAAAUCUUCAGUUGAAUGUUAUCAUGACACCACCUGUGAAGAAUAGGAACCCCAGAUCAAUUUCUUCAUAUGGAUCCAAGUCCUCAUAUGGACCCAAUUCUUCAUUUGGAUCAAAUUCCUCACGUGGAUCCAAAUCCUCCUAUGAAAAUCAUCAUGCUAACACUUCUGUUUCGCAGGGAAAGUCUAAAGGCUAUGAAUAUGUGCAUUAUUCUUCAAAUCAUUAUGUUCAUAAGUCCUCGAAGAAUUUCUCUGCUUAUUCAUAUGCUUACUCUAACCCCUCUUCUGUGAAACGAAGUGCAUUGGCUUCAAUGCAUUGGCUUCAAUGCAUUGGCUUCAAUGCCAUCUUUCUCUUACCACUACAAAAAAAUACACUUCCGUGAUGAUACGUGUUUGUCACGGUAGGUCACGUUUUCUGUCAUGCAUGUACAUCCAUGACGAUUUUAUGACAGAAUCAAGAUAGUCAUACCUGUGCUGUCGUAGACGUGUUCCAUGACAUUACCAAAAUUAUCAUCACGGAAGUGUCCACUUCCAUGAUGAAAAAUUGUGCGUCAGGGAAGUGCUUUCGUCAAGGGUGACCGACACAUGGCAUCCACCAUAACGGAAUGCCGUUAAGCUAUCGGGUCCGGUUUUGGAUCCGAUAACCCGUUAACAGCCCGAACCAAUGGGGAUUUUCCACGUGUAAAAUCAUCAUUGGCUGGAGGAAAAACGUGUUAGCUCCCCGUUGGCACAGGUGUCACUCAUCCAGUGGGCGAGAUGCGCUUAUGAAAUGUUGACAUGUGGACCGGCCCAAAAGUGGCCCAUAAAGUUUAAAUGGGCUGGCCCAACUAAAGGCCCACAAGAUUUUGCGGUCCAUAAUGGGCCGGCCCAACAAAAGGCCCACGAGAUUUUGCGGACCAUAAUGGGCUGGCCCAGCUAAAGGCCCACAAGAUUUUGUGGGCCAUAAUGGGCCGGCCCAGCUAAAGGCCCGCGAGGUUUUGCGGACCAUAAUGGGCCGGCCCAGCUAAAGGCCCACAAGAUUUUGUAGACCAUAAUGGGUCAGCCCAACUAAAGGCCCACUAGAUUUCGCCGACCAUAAUGGGCCGGCCCAGCUGAAGGCCCAAACGAUUUUGAUGACACUAGUAGGCCGGCCCAUUAACAUGCUGCCAUGUUUUGGGCCAAAUGCCGGCCCAUAUUUGAUCCGGUCCAUUAACAGCCUGCCACGUUCUGGGCCUAAUAAAGGCCCAUAUGAGAUCUAGCCCGUUAAAAGCCUACCAUAUUCUGGGCCAAAUUACGACCCAGAUCAGGUCCGGCCCUUUGAGAGGCUUUGGGCUAAAUUAUGGCCCAUAUCAGAUUCGGCCCGUCAACUGGACGCUAUGCUUUUGGGCCCACUUUAUAAAGGCCCAUUUAGUAAUUCGGCCUGAUAUUAGUUUCGGCCUGUUAAAGGCCCGUUUAACAUUUCGGCCCUAUAUAUAUAUUUCGCCAUGUUAAAAGCCCGUCAUAUAGUUGGGCCUAACUAUGGCCCCGUUUGCAUCCGGCCUGCUCACAGCCAAUAAUCUGAUUGGCCAAACAAGGACCGAGACAAUUUUGGCCUGUUAUAAGCCCGUGAUUUGAUUGGCACAAUUAUGGGUCGGGGUCUAUUUCGGCCUGCUGCCGGCCCAUGAGCUGUUCGGCACGUUUCAGGCCCAACCUACUUUUCAGCCUCCUAAAAGCCCACUGAGUUUUCUUGGGAAAAUAGGGCCGGCGGUUUACUUGGCCUAUUAAAGGCCGAAUCUACUAGUGGGCCAGUUUACAUUUAGGCUUGUUAACGGACCAACAUGAUGGGGCCCAUGAUGCAGAUCAUACAUAGUGAUUUGCAUGACGACCCGAUUAUGUACCGUAAUUUUAUGGUUUGGCCGGUUUACUACGAAGACAGGAUAUAUAUACAGUAAAAUAACUGCAGCAUCGUGAAUAAGAAAAAACCCUAGACUAAUACAAUAAAGAAAUUACAGCAUAUUACAUCCACUGGGCAUCAAAGUUCGCCACUAUGAUAAUAAAGCACAAGCAGACAACAGAUUACAUACACUGGGCAUCAAAGAUCGCCACCAGUGCAAUUAAACACGCCGACAAAAUAAUAUACAAAACCGACAACACUUCAAUAGAGUUCAAGAAAGGUUAGCCCUGCUCGGGAGCUGCUGCGCAAGUAGCUGAGCAAGCUGAUGAGACUGUGCUUGUUUGACACUUAUAUCCCCCUCACUCUGAAAGAUAAACAAGCAGACAAAUGACAAGUUUUGCACAUAUAAGUAUCAGUGCUAACAAUUCAUCACAUUUCUUACUGACCAAUAAAGUGACACAGUUUAAAAUAGCAUUAACACAAUAUGGUAUUGUUCAGGUCAAGACAUGGAAGGAAAUGACAUUGUGAAGGAGUUGGCAGCUUCACGACACCACUGGAUUACAGAUCAAGAACUCAUAAGUAUCAAUGGUUAGUGUGCUGUCAAUUUAUCCCAUUUCAGAUUGGCAAAAUAAGAUAACUUGCUCUGUAUAGUUUAAUUUACAUGGUAUGAAGAAGGAACUUGGUUGUACAACUGAAAACUUAAAUUGAGAAGGACAAACUUUUGUUUAUGAACUACAUAAUAAUCUUUAAACAUGCAAUUUGAUGCAAACACAAAAAAUAAACAGCUAUUGCAGUCAUGCCUAACCAAAUAUACACAACAAAGUUUGAAGACUUGAGAAGGACAAACUUACAUUAUUGGUGAAGGCAGGCUCUAUAAAGCCCUUGUCCAUGCUGAUGGGGGGGGGAUUCAAGAAGUUUACCACAGAAUCUUUUUCAUAAGCAUUGCCUUUAUUCUACAUUUUGUUAAGAGUAAAUAUAGAUGUGACAAUAUAAGAAAAAAUGGAGAAUAUUUAAGAUAAUAUGAAGAGUGAUGCUACAUAACUAAGUACGCGAUACAGGCAAGAGGUACAGCCAAGAGCAAUGCAGAGCUAAACUUCUUCAGUAACAUCAGUGUUAUCCAGCCUUAUGGUAAGAGUAAAUAUAGAUCUUAUGUGUAGAAAAUGGAGGGCAAAGGAAAAUAAGUUCCAGAGUGAUAGUACAUGAACAACUACCUGUCGAUAUAAGUACACUAAUAAAGGACAACAGGUACUUACAAGAACAAUGCAGAGCUAAAAAUUUUCAUUGGCAUUGGAUAUAUUCUACACUAAUGUAACCAUUCAUACAUAUCCGAUAAUUUGGAGCGAACAAUUGAUAAGCAAGCUAUCAUGCAUACUGCUGUCGCAUAAUGAACCACGUAUGUAUGCAAGUACAGUGAUAUAUGACAACAGGUACUAACAAGAGCAAAGCAGUGGGCAGCAUAUUUGCGAUAUCCUGUCGUUCUUUUCAAACCAGAAUUCUUUUUUACCAGAUUUCCUGCAAAAAAGAACCGUAAGGCACAUGCGGAAAAGUAGAAGUUCAAAUUGUCAUGCGAUAUCAUAGACAAUACCUCAUCCUCGGAACGAGACCAGUGCAUAACAAGGUUUUUCCAUUCAAUGUCAUCUAAAUUUAGCAUAGGAGACUUCACCGGAAAUUCGUUUAUAGACUUGCCAUCAAAGUGUGAUUUCCUCAAGUAACAUUGAUACUGCUGCAAUGCUUCCUUGAAAAGCGCAAGCAAGCUUUGCUCGUCAUGACUAUCCAGAUUGACCCUCGCCUACUUACAACAAUGUAAUGUAAAUCAUUGAUGUGUUCAAUCAGCAGAAAACAGGAAAAUAAUCACCAUGAAUAAUAGCACUAACACGUAAGUGGGACAGGAAGAUGUGAAAAUGUUGUUUGUCUUCACUAUAAUCUUCCCAUGAUGGGAAUAUAUGCACGUAGUCCCUAACAACAUUGAAAGCAUUGUCUUUUAAAUUGGGAAUAACUGGAAUGGGGUUCCAAUAUGCAGGAAUUAGCCGUCUCUGCAGUUGGGAUAGGUCUUCGGCCGGUGGACUUGCUGUACUUUUUGCUGGAGUGGGAUUUUUCUGUGGUAUGGCUGGUGCUAUGGCAACUGAAAUCAGCAUACCUUUUGCUGGAGGGCAGGUCCUGUGUGGUGGGGCUAGUGGUGUGGCCAGUGAAGUAUGGGUACAGUCUGCUGGAGUCGGUCCUACGUUUUGUGUCACUGGUUGUACAACCAAUAUAAGUGGGGUGCUGUCUGAUUUCUCCGGCACAACCACAUUCUUCAAGGACUUUGCUGGUGCUCCUUCAGGUUCGGCAAUCACCCUCUUCCUUUUUGAUGUCUGAUGCACAAGAACAACAUUUGAGUGGAAAAACAUGGUAUGAUGACAGAUGGAAUAUGUAUUGAUAAUGGAUGGGCAUGGCAUCUCGACAUAUAUGAUGAGUAAACUAAGCAGAUGGCGGUGCAACAAAGUAGAAGAAAUGCAAGAAAACAUAUGCAAGGUACGCGCAAUCAAUAAAACCUUGCCAAAUUAGAAUAGGCACCUUGAUUAGUGAACAUGACAGGCCAUCUGCCUUUGACUCCUCGAGGUUAGAAUAGUCAUUAGGAUCAUAUUGUAAACAAGAAUCUACAGGUGGGGAGCGUAUGAGUUUCAUUGCAUCCAAAAUGGCACUCAAUGCCUUGGUGCCAAUUUUGUAAGUCAUUGCAGUGUUCCACAAUAUUCUUCUGAUGCGCAGAUUCUGAUAUUCACUGUAAUUACGUAUAAUAUCUGAGAACCAUGAAAACAUAAAUAGUUGUGAGAUUAUCUUUGUAAUGCAGAGGAUAUUCGAAUAUAGGGGCGCCCCUGUAAACACUUGUGUGCUAUCACUGGAUUAUGAUGAGAGAGCUCAUGUGUGCUGUAAUAUGGUGCGUGCAUUUAUAUAAUCUAGCACAAGUACACAAAAAAUAGGCUCCAGAAGUAAGGAUAGUUGGAAGAUGAUAGGUUCAUAUACUGUAUGGAGAAUUUAUUGCCAAACCAUGAUAACAAGAGCACACAACAACUAGGCAGAUCAUAGUAUAUAUAAAAGGGGUACACCAUAACCACGAUAUAUAAAUUGGGAAAGUGGAACUGGCUUGAAAAUAUGAUGUUGUAUUGCCGCUAGUAAUUGAAAGCCUAUCGAUCACGUACAGGCCAGCUCUAUCAGCUGUUGACUGCAGAUGUCCCUGCUCCCCUUCCUAACAAGGAACAUACUGUACGUACUAAAUACAGAAUAACAAAAUAGGAACAUGUUAAAGAACGUAAGAGGAAGCAUAUUCUUGAGGUUCCGCUUCAUUGCAUACAAUGUUGGUUGCCCACUCAUGAUGAAUCACAGUGCCCAAAGAAAUGCAAUUCCAUGUUGUCUCUCUAUAUGUGGCAAUUUUGAACAAGAGUCAUUAGGAUCAUAUUCUGAACAAGAGUCAACAGGUGGGGAGCGUAUGAGUUCCAUUGCAUCCAGAAUGGCACUCAAUGCCUUGGUGCCAAUUUUGUAAGUCAUUGCAGUGUUUAGCUUCAAGAGUGGACUGUUGCUAGUACGACACAAAGCAGCUACACAGAUCAUAGUGUAGAUAUAACGGGAAAAUCUUAAGCAUCAGAGUAAAAUCAGCAAAGUGGAACUUGCUGGAAUAUAUGUGCUAGUAUUGCCGGUACGACUAUAAAGGCUUCGGAUACCAGCUCUCUUCAACUGAAGGUGCGGUACUGUUAAUAUCAGUGUAACUCUCAAAGGCGACACAACUCCCCGCAUUUCCUUGCUAUUCUUAUAGGAUUCAAGUGGGCAGGCCACUACAAAUCCUAUUCCCAUGUUUACAAAAUCCUAUGAAUCAAAGAGGCCCGAAGAGUUCAAAGUGUCCAUCACAACCGACUAUAUAGACCUCUACACUGCAAAUGUCCCUGCUCAUCUUCACUACAAGGAACAUACUGUACUACUAUCAUACUCCCUCCGUUCCAAAAUAUAAUUCUUGGUAGAGAUUUCCACUAUGGAUCACAUAUAGAUGUAUCUAGAUACAUUUUAGAGUGUAGAUUCACUCAUUUUGCUCCAUAUGUAGUCCAUGGUGGAAUCUAUACAAAGACUUGUAUUUAGGAACGGGGAGAGUACUUAUUAAAGAAGAACGGAAGAGGAACAUACUAAAGAAGAGCAAGCCGAUUUUGGAUAAUAAAAUGUUCGUUGCACGGUGCCCACACAUGAUGAACCAGAGCGCAUUAAGAAAGCAACUCCCUGCUGUCUCUCAAUAUUUGGUGCACGUGCUUUUCAAAAGUAAAGUAGGAACAUUAGCUGACCAACUAAAUGUUAUCUGUUUUAGUAAUAUCAACAUCAUAUCAAAUUCGUGCAUGUUGUUUAGCUUGAUGGAUUCAGGAGCAGUGCUAAGCAGGUACGAUGAUGGUACUGAAUAUAAAGGCAUGUCUGCAUGCAAGUCGCGUGACUUUUGUCAUUUGGGUCAGUUGACCAUUUCAGGCGGUUGGAUGAAGAUCCUACGUCUCCUAACCCUUCUUCUUCCUUGUCUCUGAUUCUUCUCAUACAGAACACCGCACGGGUCACCGGCCGGACCACCGACCCCCACCGCCUGUGUUCCUCUGCCACCCCUACUCCCACCCCCACCCGCGUCGAGUUUUCUUCGUUCGGCGAGGCCCCAUCACCGCCCUCCACAACCACCGUCCCCACCCGAGCCCCUUCGUUGGCACCGGCGAACUCCGGCGAGCUCAGCAAAAUCGACUGGCCCAAUUUUGAAAUUUAGCCUUCUAUGAUUUAACUAGUGUGGAAUAUAAAAGGGGAAAACCAUAAGCAUUGGGAGUAUAGUGUUGAGCGUGCCAUGGUGGAUCUGAAGGUGCAAACCGGACAAAGGCAACUUCACAACCAAUGUUUGCUUUCAACUAGAAAGUAAGCGAUGGACAAGAAAUCAGAGUAAAGCAAUGGCGAUCUAUUUUCUUGCUACGAUAAAUAAGUUGAGCAGAUACGAAAGAGUACCGCCUCUGGUGCGGCAUCGUGUAUGCAUCUGCUGAGAAUUUGAUGGUGCUGCGGUAGCGAUGGCUGUCAGCGGCGUGGAAGCAGAUCUAGGAGGGUAGAUGGUGGCGGCGGGGCGCGGUGGACGAGGCGGUCGUAGGAGCAGCGCCGGCAAGGUGGACGACAACGGGGAUGAAGCGAGAGGACGCAAGGAUCCCGGUCCAAAGCCAUGGAUGAGAGAGGUUGAUCUCUUGUAAUGGACGGCGGCGUCGGGGUAUCAACUCCGGCAUGGUGGAGGAGGAUGGCAGUGGAUGGGGUGGCGGAUGGAGGAGGCUGGGGUGGAGAGGGUGUUUUGGGCCCACAGAGUACGAAUGGGGAAAUGGAGGUAGAGAGGAAGGUGGAAGCAUGUCUUCAGGGCGCACUUGUCUCAAAUGCGAGGAAAUUUACAAACUUAGCCCCCGUUUCAAAUUUCCUACAUCACAACAAUAUUAGUCGGUUGGGGAUAGGAUGGUAAUCUCGCAUACACCAAAUAUUUGCCGACGAGAGUUUGUUUUUGGCGCCCACCGUGUAUGAAUCGGGGAGGGAAUCGAUUUCGACCGAGGACACACUGUGUUUUGGCGCCCACUGUGUAUGAAUCCGGGUGACAAGCGAUUAUGUCACGUUUGAGUGAAAUUACAAACCUACCCCUAUCGAAACCUAUAGAAAUCGAGCAGAUAGGCUUUGCGUGGCAGGGACAGGCAGUAGUGAUUUCCAUCUCGCAGAUUUUGGUUUCGGGCGGUUACUGCGACUUUCCCCGCUUCGUUCAAAUUUUGCAGAGUGCACGUUUACCGUGCCAACUCAAUUCAAAUUCCGUUUGUAUUCUAUUUUUUUGGGCGUGAUCCAUUUUUAUUGGAAUAAAAUUCUAUAUACAACAUUUUUUAUAUACUUUCAAAAGCACAACACCCUUUAUACAUAAAUAUGGUUUACAAAUGGCAUGAUCUCAGAUUCAUAAGGUUGUAUCCAUCAAUUUGGAUUUUCAAAUAUUUGAAACCACUUUUUGUUGAAAUCCAAUGUAUGCAUUCCUCGCUAAUUGUCUCCAAUUAAUGUGUGGUUCAUGCGGUUUUUACUUCUCAAACAUGUAUAAUGUAUUUCACACACACAACAUAUAGUGUAAUCCCAUUUAGACAUUAAUUUCAUAUAAACCAUGCAUUGUUUCUAAUUAAAGAAUCUAAGGAUCACCAAUAUUGAUAAACUAUAUAACAUUACACGUGUCCCCAAAUUCAAAUGAAUAUGCAUGUUUGAUACACCAAUUUGCAUUAUGAUAUUAUCGAUGUCGUGAUCUCCAGUUUAAAUAUUUGAAUCCCCUUUAAUCCAGAUAUUCGUGUCAUAUAGCUAUCACUCAUGCUUAUAUAGGACUAUCUCUCUAGACCUAUACGUGUUCAUCGUCUCUCGGUGUGGCACCCCAGCUCAGAGCAACCGGUUUACCAUGCAUUGCCAGCCCAGAGACCAUGUCUCUGGCAACACACAACAUCUUGGUACAGAAAACCAUCGCUUUAUUGAUGCUAGAGGAUCAAAGUUUAUAUUACAACAGGUGGCGAGACCAAGCGGCACACACGGUGCGGCUGAACAAUAUGUACAUUAUUCAGUGAACAUAAAGGGGCCUCGAUCAUAACAACUACCCGACAGUGGAACAACGUCGUAGCGGAAACUCCAUAGCACAGGGACACCAAUGUGGACAUGAUCAAGACUCGGAUGGCACUCCUUUCCGACGAGGCUUUCCUGAAAUCUGGCAUGACACGCCAGGUCAGUACAUUGAAUGUACUUGCAAGCUCACAACAAACAUAAACAUAAUGACAAACAAUAUCAUGGUAAUUAACCAAUUAUUAAAAAUGCAACAAUAUAUGCAACAUGUAGUGAUCCUGCUUUUAUGAGAAAAAUCCCUUGGACUGGCUUACCAACAGUGAUCGCUCUUGGAUCACAACCAUACCAACCUCGAGAUCUUAACUCAGUUUACCUCGUGAUCUUUCCGGCGAUCACAACCACGACCAACAUCUGGUCUCAAAUAGUGAUCUUCCGGUGAUCACAACCACGACCAACACUUGGUCCCGAACAUCAAGAUGGCCUUUCCCACCAUCAUCAACCAUGCAAAUUUUAUCACUUAGUGUGCAAGAUUUAUUAAAUGUUGACCCAUGGUGUGACCUACUUUAGAGCGUGUCCGUAACCGUGGACUCGACUAUCGAUAGAUUAAUACACUCUGCAGAGGUAGCGCAUUGUACCCACACCAUGGCACCCAUGGCCUCGCACUCCCAUUCGGGUGGACCAAUGGCAUUCCGACGAAACCCCUCCAUUGCCAUGACACUCUCUCGGCCACUCCGACUCACUCCCCACCGGGCUAGUCCUGGGUGGCCCCAUGUCUACCAAAGACACAACGACCACCGUCGUGGCCAAAACAUAAACGAUCCCACACGGGGACCCGGUACCAUAAUCUCAACAACGGGCACACAAGGUUAUGUCUGCUUACCGGGACAGGGUACCGCACUCCCAUAACCUUCCCUUAUUGGAGGCACCGACCAGAGGCAUGACAACGGACCGAAUAAAGGCCUUCCCAUAAAGGUGAAUGUGGUUGCACUGGGAAAAACUCGAUGCAGUGGCACCAUGACCCGGUCAACAAUAUAUUCAAGUUGAGUUAUUAUCAGGUUCAACUUAAAGUGAAAAUAACCGGUGUCAUAGUAUGCCAUGAAAUGCAACACUAACAUAUGCAUCACAUAUUAGCAGAAAUGACUGAGUCAACUAUAUCCACACUAAGCAUAAACAUCAACAACUCAUGACACUUCUCUGGUUAGGAUUAAAUCUCACUUUAAACAAAAUCUUUUCUAGCAAAUUUUAUUAUCUUUCCCAUGCAAGAAAAUAACUCCAAAUAAUUACUCAUAUCCAUAACCAUAUUAUUCUUUCAUCACCAAAAUAAAUCCUGGUUUCUUUACCAACUAAUUUAACUUCAAACUUUCUGUAAAUCAAGCAUAUUAACUAAAACAAGCAACUAACAGAAUAUAAAUAACAUAAUAAUGAUUUAAAUGCAUGGAUUAAAUCAUUUGUUCAAGUAGGAAAAAUCACAACUAUUGUACUGGCACCAUGAAAAUGUUGUUGUGGCUUGCCUUAGUGCAGAUGAGGUUCACAAGCCUCCUGGUGAUCCUCAAGACAAGCCUCACUCUCUGAAAAUAAUUUUAAACACAAGAAGAAAAUAUCAAGAACCCUUCUGAAAUUCACUAGAAAAUCUAGACAACAAAGAAAAAGCUCAUCUUUGGUGAGCUGCUAGAUUUCUGUACAAAGAACACAAUGCAAAAAGAAUCAAUUCAUUUGGACUUAUGGUUGAAGAGUUUUGGCUGUUUGAAGCUCUCUAGAAAAUAUGAAUUUGAAUUUAAAUAAAAACAGACUGGGGGGGGUGACGUCGAAGGCGUAAAGCCUUGGGGCGCCACCACUCAUACCGCUUCGCGUGCGUACUGAGUGGCUGACUAGCGGGCCCCGCUAGUCAGGUGAGGUGGAGGGGGAAAAGGAAACAGAGGAUGGUGCGGCUUUGCUGGAGCACAUGUCGGCGACGAGGGCUUCUUGGCCAAAACGAGAGGGAGGGAUCGAUAGAGGAGACGGAGGCACACCUGCCCGUACCCGUAGAGUAGCUACGGGUGGUCGGACGGCGUCAGAAUCAACCUCAAUAGCGGAGGCAGAGAGCGGAGGUCGCCGGAGACGAAGACGACGGUGAACAGAGGCGACUCCAGGGGCUCCAACCAGGCGGAACAACACCACCAACGAGUGGCGGAGGCCCUGGAAGGGUUGCCCAGGCCUGGGAGGGACUGGAACCACAGAGAUGACCCGAGCGGAUCACCGGCGAGCUUGAGCUCGGGGACGGCGGCCCGUGGCCUGCCCGGCCGGCUAUUGCUUCUACAAGAUCGUGGAAUGUGUGGGAGUGGUGGAUGGUGCUUGAGGAGGCUGGGGAGGGCUCUAUUUAUAACUGAGCAUCGAGGGGGGACCGGGCUCCGCCGAUGGACACCUGGACAUGCCGCCCGGCGACGAACAGCGUCAGUGAGAGGGGGAGAAGGCAACGCUAAUCACGCGGGAACUGUGGGCGAGCGGGGACGAGCACAGGAGCGAGGGGAAGGCGACGAGCACAGUGCACAGUGCACUGUUGCAUUGGCCGGACUGUGCCCGUGCUCACUACGGCGAGCUCUGGCAUCGACGAGUGCCAGGGGAGAGUUAAGAGAGCUUGGACGAAGAUUGUGGCGAGGUUUGGCACGCUUAGUCAGUCAGGGAAGCGAGCACGCGCGAAACAGAGCGCUCGGCGGCACUCAGAGCACGACGACAAGCAGGUUGGCAUCAUGUACACAUGUGAUCACCACAUGAACUCUGCCCUCAGGCCAACCUAAGUCCAAAGUUCAUGUCUGGCUUGUUGUUCGUGGUAGUUUUAGAGGUUACCACACUUGGGUUUGGUCUCAGGUGCAGUAGAAAAGAUUUCACACGCCUGUUAAGUUUCUGGACAGUAACUUUGAGAGCUUACUAUGGUCAAACUACUGGGAGUUGGGAGCUGGGCUUUUGAGGUUAGCAAUCAUCUACUAAGGUGAUGAUGCACAAGAAAAAUCAGCCACAAUGGAGCAAGUAAAAUGGUAGUUGCUGUACAAACUACCAUUUCUGUCCAGAACAGGAAAUAUUUUUUGUAGCAAAAAUAUUCCAAAUGGAGGUGAAAUCUUUUUGCUCAGGAAGGUGUCCUAGGGUUCAAAGAAUAUUUGUGAAUGUUCUCAGAUUUUUGUGGGCAAGAAAAAUUGGGGUUGCUUUGGAGCACAUUGAGCUAGCUAGGGUUUUAGAGAGGGAAAUGAAUAUUUUUCAUUAAAUAAAAAUAUUCCAAAUAUUAUUUUGAGUUGAACCAGAGAGGAAAUGAUGGUUAGAAGGGAAAUGAGGCACUUGGGUGAAAGUCAAGGGGUACCCAAGUGUUUAAGUCCAUAUGAAAAGAUUCAAAACCAAAAUUUCAAAAUCAAACCAACUGAAAAUCAGACAAAGAGAAGAGGGCAAAAACCAGGUUGUCACACUCGGGUAUCUCUCGUGCUACCUGUAUGUCGACAAUGAUCUUUUAUAUUCAUAACACAUUGACGGUACUCUCUCCCUCGACCUUCAUCACUCUUUCUCUCUCUAAGUAUAUCUCACUCCCUGCUAUGUGUCUCUAACUAUGAUUCUCCAUGUGGAAUCUCUUUCUCUCACACAAACACAAAAAUUUGUUUCCCGGGGUCUCAUUUCUCUCUACUAUUCCCAUGUGUGCCACUCGCACACGCCUCAUACAGAGAUGUCUUUCGCUCCUUAGAUAUGAGAACCUACGACUCUUCCUCUUAAAUAUCUCUUUCUCACACACAAACACAAACUCUGUCUCCCAGGGUCUCAUAUUUCUCCACUGUUCUCUUGUAUGUCGCUCACACACAGACUCUCUCUCUCCCUAGAGAUAUCUUGCGUUCCCUCAUAUGUCUCUCUAGCUAUCACUCUCGUUGUGAAAUAUCUUUAUCUCUCGUAGACACAAAACUCCGUCUCCCGGGAUCUCAUUUCUCUUUGAUAUUUGUUUGUAUGUGACUCACAUGCACCCUAUCUCUAUCUCUCUCGCACCCACACACUAGAUAGCAUCUUUAUCUUUCUAUUUAUCUGUUUCUCCAUCAACCUUCUUUCUCUCCCUCACUCUUGCUUCCUAUCACGCACACUACAUAUGUUUCUCUCUACAUGCACUCAAGUGCCCUCCUUUUAUAUUUCUCUUACACACACAUAACUUCACCCUCUGAACCACCCGGCGGUCAUAUCCAACACUCAAACUAGCGGAUGUCCCUCUAGCUAGCAUCUCUAUCUCUGUAUCUAUCUGUAGUUUCUCCGUUAACAUUUCUUUCUCGCACGCAAUCUUGCUUCCUAUCACCCACACUAUAUAUGUCUCUCCAUACAUAUGCAUUUAUAGGUUGAUCUCUUUUGCACAAUCGUUGUGCCUCACUCCCUCUGCUCGCCAUAGAUGCAUGCUCCAGCCCACGCCACUAUCUCUUAAAGACAAAAACACAUGCUCAAUUGUCGGGCCUUCGUCCCUGCAUUCUCACAUGCAUGCAUAUUGUCAUACUGAUCCGUCUCUCCCAUGUCGUUGAUCUUAUGACUUAUGUCUUCUUUCUUUUAUCUCGAUCAUGCGCGCGCACACACACACAUCCCACGUAUACAUGUAUACCUCUCACACAUGCACGCUCAAGGUCUUUAUGUCUCCACACGUAGUUAAUUACCCUCAACCCUAACGCCACAUCGAAUUGUUCUCUUCUUGUGUGCACAUAACUUCCGCCUGGAUGGGUAAAACACACACUCACACUUAAACAAUCUCCUUCUAGCUACCCCCCCUCUCACUCUUCCCCUAUAUCCCCGAAACCAAUAAGACCAUCCCUUCGUUUAAUUCCCGCCUACAUGCACCAUCGAUAUAUAGUAGUCUUCAUCAGUGUCUCUCGAACAAACACGUUCUCUCGAUGUCGACGCCUGUCAUGCGCACACACCUUCUCUUCCCUCUCUACAUGCAUUUUCUCUCUUGCACCCCAUCUAUAUCUGACGGAUAGAAAGCAAACUAUGAUAAUUUUACAAAAGAUACCCGCACCUCUCUCCACAUCCUUAUCUCCCACAACCUCAUCGCUGAGCAAUUAAAAAAGGAAGUCUCUGGAACAAUCUAGCAUGGUGGCCGCUGCCGCCUGCCGGCGCCAUCCAUCCCCAUGCCUCCGCCCAUUCCGACCACCAGUCACCACCAUGCUCCACCCUCCUCACCUUAUCUUUCAUCUUUCAUUUUUUCGAUGACAUUCUCGAGAUACCAGUUUUCUGAUAAAAUUGUCGAGAUAUCAUUAGUUUUACACAUGGGAUUACUCCUACAUGGGUCAAUCACAACAGGUGUUUUGUAAAAAAUGCAUAUUGAUGUUCCGUGCAAUGCACGAGCAUCUUGCUUGUAAUUAUAUAACACAAAUCACGAGCGGGAAGUGAAUUUUUUUACACAACCAUGUUAACAUGGCCACGUAAAUCACUAGCUAAAGUAAAUACCAUUAUACUUAUAUCCUGAUGCAAAAGGUUGAGUACAUGUCCGAAGAGUAGAGUCGCACACAUGCACUCUGUCUCUUGGAAUCUCGCGUGCACACACACACACACCAGUUACAUGACGCCCACUUAAGCAGACACGUAUGUUACAAUUUGUGCACCCGUGAGUACACGUGAUGCUGCGCAUUUAUUUAAGCCAGACGGUGAACCCAAACAGUAGCUGCAUUCAUUCCCCUCCCACCGCCUCUUCUGUGGUCAUCGUCGCCCGGUAGCCAUGGCCCGACCGAAGGUAACUGGUAACAACAUAGGCCAUACUCCCGCCGGAGCAGUGCUUUAAUCUAGAAAUUUUAGUGGUCAUGCAUGCAUCUUUUUGUUCUAGCACUCCUAUAUAAGGGUUGACCGGUCGCUUCCGGCGGAUGUGCGCGGGCGGUGGAAGAGGAAGGAGAAGGGAAGCGGGCUGUUGUCAGUGGGAACGACACCUAUGGGAUCACUGGAAUCCCUACUACGAACGGUGGGCGCGAGGUUGUGAAAAGAGCGGGUCCAGGAGCCAGCACAAGGAUCAUUUACCCAGGUUCGGGCCGCGAGAAUAGCGUAAUACCCUAGUCCUGCUAUCGCGUAAUACUAGCUAUGAUGCGUGUGUCAUCCAAAAAGCCGAAUCCUUCUCCCGUAUGCCUCGGGCCUCCUUUUAUAGGGAAAAAGGGGACGCCACAGUGGCACACAGGAGGUGGAAAGUGCAUGCGGUGGCUGAGUCUAUCCUCUAGCACGAUCAGACAAACACAUUUAAUGCACUGCCGAUGUGCCCUUCUUCCUAUCGUCGCUUCGCCUUGCUUCGACAUGCGUCCAGGCCAGCGCGGCUUGCAGUGCCAUGUAAGCUGGCUGGCUGCUGAGCUGGUGCGGUGGCAGGGUCUUCACGAAGAUCUGCAUGCCACCACGCAGGUGCUUGCUGGGUUGGUCUCGGGGUCGUACGUCGCCACACAGGUGCUCGCCUGGCUGGCUGGGCUGGUAGCUACAUGGGAACGAUGGUGGAGCUUUGGCGGGUGCGGGCCUGGCUGCGGCCCUGCUGACGCCCUCGGCAAGGGUCUUGUCGGGGCCCCGGAAAGGGUCUUGCCACGGCACUGUGGUCGUCCCCGGCAAGGAUCUUGCCGGAGGUCUCGUGGAUCUCCUUGGCAAGGAUCUUGCCGAGGAUCGUCGUCUUCUGGUCCUUAUCUAAUAUUGCAUGUUUAUGAUCUUCACGAAGAUCUGCAUGCCACCAUGGAGGUGCCUCCCGAGCCUUGGUUCCAAUGUGGUUGAUGGCGUUGGAACCCGUGGGCUCAUGGGUGGCGCACUCUGCUGGUGUUGGGCAAGUUGCCCCGGCAAGGCUCUUAACAAGGCCGCGGAGGCCGCCCCGGCAAGGGUCUUGCCGGGGGAGUCCACCUCGCCCUCUUGCUCUUUGCGUUUCUGGUCUUGGUGCCGCCUUGAGCGCCUUGCGUCCUUGGCUUCCCUCCUCUGCCCUGCUAAGUGUGGCUGUGGGCGCGGCUCUGACUGCACGUGCACAAGUAAAUGGGUACAAAAAGAGUGCCCCUAUUUUUGUACACCGACAGGAGCCCCCGGGCCUGGGCAACACAUAAGCGCAACACGUUGUUGGGCUAGGCCCAGAACGAUGCGCGGGCAGUCGGGGCCAUUUUUUAUUAUUGCUGUAACUCUUUCAUCCACUGCGCUUCCCCACGACUCGCGUUGAAUGUGUGGCGUGGGGAUCAUGCGCGGGGAUGACCGAAGCAUGCCUGCAUCAUCCUGCGGUGAAUAGUAAAGAGGCGGCUUGCGUGUCCCUUUAAGAUCGCAGGGCCGCUGCUCAUUUACUUUCUUCGCCUUGGAACUAUCAUUCCAUGUGUCCCACUACACCCGCCCCACCUCUUCGCAGCGUUGUGCUCCCAUCGAGGACAUGCCAGAGAGCUCCACCGGCACGAGCAAGAAAUCUAGAGCUACACCACCAGAGACCAAGAAGGUGUCCGUCAAGGAGGAUGGCACGGGAGGGGCUUUCACCUUAAGCUCCACCCUCGAUGGAAAAUAGGAAGGCGAGCUCGUCACUUUCCUGCGGGCGAAUGUUGAUGUGUUUGCAUGGCAAGCAUCCGACAUCCCCGGCAUUCUCAGGGAGGUGAUUGAGCACCAUCUUGUUAUCUGUCCUCAUGCGCGGCCCGUCAAGCAGAAGGUCAGGAAGCAAGCUCUGGAAAGGCAGGAGUUCAUUACAGAAGAGAUCAGAAAGCUAGAAGCGGCAGGCUUGGUGAGAGGAGUACUCCAUUCGACAUGGUUGGCCAAUCCGGUGGUAGUGCGCAAGGCAAAUGGGAAGUGGAGGCUGUGUAUUGAUUACACAUAUAUCAAUAAGGCCUGUCCAAAAGACCCUUUCCCGUUGCCGCUCAUUGAGAAGAUUGUUGACUCCACUGCCGGGUGUGACCUGUUGUCCUUCCCCGAUGCCUACUCAGGAUACCAUCAGAUUUUCAUGAUGAGAGAAGAUGAAGAGAAGACAACAUUCAUCAUCCCAUGUGGUACGUAUUGCUUUUUACGGAUGCCUUUCGGGUUGAAGAGUGCUGGCUCGACCUUCGCAAGAGCAGUCCAAAUUGGUUUUGAGCCCCAGCUACAUAGAAAUAUGGAAGCUUAUAUGGAUGACAUAGUGGUCAAAACCAAGGACAAUGCAACACUUGUGCAAGAUUUGGAAGAGACGUUUGCAAAUCUGUGCAACAUCAACCACAAGUUGAACCCUGAGAAGUGUGUAUUCGGUGUUUUGUUCGGCAAGCUUCUCGGGUUCUUUGUGUCAUAGCGUGGGAUUGAGGCGAAUCCAGACAAGAUCAAGGCCAUUGUGCAGAUUGAGGUGCCUAGGAGGAUCAAGGAUGUGCGUCGGCUCACUAGCUGCAUUGCUGCCAUGAGCAGAUUCAUCUCCAAGUCUGCCGAGCGUGCCCUUCCCUUUUUCAAAAUCUUGAAAAAGGCAGGCCCAAUGGAGUGGACCCCAGAGGCCGAGCAGCGCUGCAGGAUUUGAAGAAAUACCUCUCCUUCAUGCCGAUACUGGUUGCGCCUAAACCACAAGAGCUGCUAUUGCUGUAUCUAGCGUUAACAAAUCAAGUGGUUAGUGCCGCACUAGUGGCACAGAGGAAGGUCGAUGAAGGGACAGUGGCAACGGCGGGGUUGGCAGAUGGUGAGCCAGAGCUCCGCCCGGCAGGGACUGGUCCCGGCAGGGUGAGGCACCCGGUAGGGUCUAGCACCAACGAGACAGGGCCUAUGCAACCAAGUGAAGUGGUGCAGAAGAAGAAGAUGAUGCAGCACCCGGUUUACUUUGUCAGCUCCCUCUUGCAGGGGGCUAGGUCAAGGUACUCCGGUGUGCAGAAAUUACUCUUCGGCCUGCUUAUGGCCUCGAGAAAGCUGCGUCAUUAUUUCCAAGCGCAUGAGAUCACCGUCGUCACCCGCCUCCUGUUGCAACGAAUACUGCAUAACCCAGAUGCAACAGGAAGGAUUGUGGAAUGGGCCUUGGAGCUGUCAAGUUUUGGUUUGAAGUUUGAAAGUACUUCGACAAUCCAGAGCCGAGUCUUGGUAGAGUUCGUUGCAGAGUGGACCUCGACGCCUGACGAAGAGAUCCAGGAAACCACUCUCCCCGGCAAGGAAACAAAUCGGAACUGGGUUAUGUACAUCGAUGGAGCUUUCUCGCUGCAAGGCGCCGGUGCUGGCGUGCUGCUUGUUGCACCAAAAGGAGAGCACCUCAAGUAUGUAAUCCAGAUGCACUUUCCCAGGGAGAUGUCGACGAGCAACACCACUGAAUACAAGGGAUUGCUUGCCUGUCUCAGGAUCGCGGCAGACCUCGGGGUCAAAAAGCUCAUCGUCAGGGGUGAUUCACAGCUUGUCGUCAGACAAAUCAACAAGGAUUAUCAAAGCCCAUUGAUGGAAGCAUACGUAGACGAGGUGAGGAAGCUGGAGGAGCAUUUUGACGGGAUACUGGCGGAGCAUGUCCCCCGAGUGGAGAACAACAUCGCCGACUAUCUGUCGAAGCGCGCUGCCCUCAAACUACCUGUGGAACCAGGUACUUUUGUGCUUCGGUUAACUCAACCAUCCGUUGAACCAUCAACAGAGCAGAACAAGCGGAGGAAAUUAGGCUCCGGCAAGUACUUUCCCACCGAGCUCCCUGGAGCCGCUGGCGAAGAUGUUGUCGUGGACGCUGAGCCUGCCGUGGGGCAACCGACUCCGGCAGGGCGUCAAGCCCUGGCCAUAGAGACAGCCGCUCCCAUGGCAGAGGAGAUGCCUUUAGUCCUUGCCGUCGAGCCCCAGGCUCCGUCAUGGGCAUAGCAUACCGUCUGAUUCCUCCAAACAGGGGAGCUUCCUAAGGAUCAGGAAGAAGCAGAGAAAGUAGCCCAUCAGUCUGCCAUGUAUCAGUUCGUUGACAACGUUCUGUACAGAAAAAGACUAAACAGUGUGAAACUGAAGUGCAUUCCCCGGGAGGAAGGACUGGAGCUGUUGGCAUGGAGGCAUAUGUGGCUCCCACAUAGGGUCGAGGGCCCUUGCCGGCAAGACUUUCCUCUGAUUUCUUCUGGCCCACUGCCCUCCAAGAUGCAAUGACACUAGUAACCAAGUGUGAAGCCUGUUAGUUUCAUUCAAAGAAGCUUCAUCAGCCAGCUCAAGCCCUUCAAACAAUACCUCUCUCUUGGCCAUUCUCGGUCUGGGGGCUCGACAUAUUGGGCCCUUUCCCCCAUGCUAUUGGGGGUUUUGAGUACUUGUACAUUGCAAUCGACAAGUUCACAAAGUGGCCGGAGGUGGAAGCAGUGAGGAAGGUGACAGUGCAGUCAACCGUCAAAUUCUUCAAGGGGCUAGUUUGCCGUUUUGGUGUGCCAAACAGAGUCAUCACCGACAAUGGCAUGCACUUCACAAGCCACACCUUCAUGCAACACAUUGAACACCUCGGCAGCAAGGUUUGUUUUGCUUCCAUGGCACACCCACGAAGCAACGUCAAGUGGAGAGAGCAAAUGUUGAAGUACUACAAGGACUGAGGACAAAUACUUUUGACAGGCUGCACAAGAGCGGAAGGUGCUGGAUUGAUGAGUUGCCGACGGUUCUUUGGUCGAUCAGAACGACGCCAAAUUGAGCCACCAGCCAGACACCCUUCGCCCUGGUAUAUGGGACAUAGGAAGUUCUCCCCACGGACCUCAUAUACGGGUCACCUCGAGUGCUUGCUUAUGACGAGCUUGAGCAAGAGCGAUUGCAGCAAGAUGACACGACGUUCCUUGAGGAAGAUCAUCUUCGGGCGGCCGUGAGAGCAGCAUGCUACCAGCAAGCCUUGCGCCGCUACCAUAGCCGCAAGGUUCAUGCCCGAAGCUUUGAGGAAGGCGACCUUGUUCUUCGGCGCAUUCAAUCGGGCAAGAAUUCCAACAAGUUGACGCCAAAGUGGGAAGGCCCUUAUCAGGUAAUACAAGUCACCAGGCCCGGCGCAGUCCACCUAGAGACCGAAGAUGUCAUUCAAAUGAGCAACUCCUGGAACAUCGAGCAUCUUCGUAAGUUUUACGCAUAAGGCGCGGUUGCCGGCGCCCCCGACAGACCACCUUUUGUACAAGCCUUGCCGGCAAGGCAUGUAACCCUCUGUACAAAGCCAGGCGCAGACCCUAAGCAUAAAUAAAUGAAGUGCUGGCGCCCUAAGUUAUAGCAUACAUGCUAGGUUGAGUCCCUCCCUCGGUUAGGGUUGAUAGAGCUUAGCAGUGACUAACCCCUAGCAUAGAGGUCGAGUGUGCAUGUCUCUGUUCCUUUCCAUCCUUUUUGGUUCAUAGGGUACAUGGACACUUCUGCUGAGCUAUCUGGAAGAAAGAGAACGAGACGGCACUUCGGACCUGGCAAGCCAAGGUUGCUGGGGGCUGAUGACACAAGGGUCCAACCCCGGCAAGCCUCAGAUAAGUCCUUUAUCCCCUGUUAUGCAUUUCCGUAUGGAAUUGGGACGUAUGGAACCUCAUUUUGUUCCUAGGCUACCGUGCUCCCCUUUUCCUGUACCCAAGAGCUAUUCCUUGGGUCGGAAUUUGGUUGUAGCCGCGGUGGCAGUGAAGCAAGCGUAGGGCCUAAGCCUACUUCGCCCCUGCCUCCGCCAAGAGUGUGAGUAUGGUCGAAUGAAAUGGGGGGACGGCAAGGCCUAUUGCCGUGCGACAUCGUUUAUAUUAAAAAUAACAAGGAUUUAUUCCUUGGCAUGGACCUCGCUCAGGCACAAAGAACCCGGCAAGCACCCUUUUUUCAUUAAUAUGUCACAUACAGGUACAGUUCGUACAGAAUGUAAACAUGAGCAAGGGGAUUACAAGCUUUAAAUUUAACUAAGGCACAUAGGCUUCCAAACUAAAAAGAGAUAAGAUGCCAGUAUCCCUUUCUUGUCCCUCUCCUCAGGAAACGGAAUAAGAUAGCAAAAGGGUAAAAGGAGUGCCUAGGCGUGGUACGAGCAGCAGAAGGCACCAAGAGAACAUUUCGGUGGCUGCCCAGGAGAUGGCUGGUGAUGAUGGUUCCGAGAGAAGAGCUGGAAGAUGAGGCAGCGGGCCGCCAAUAUGCUAUGAAGGCGUCGGUGCCAUCAUACUCCGACUUGGCGGCCCGCCACCCGCCUUCUUCGCCUUCUCCGGCCUUCCCACGCCAGCCGCCCAAGGAGGCGACCCCGAGAAGUUCAAGGAGCUGGCCCCACCCCAGGAGGAAGGGCCAGGUGCAGAUGCUACUGUUGCCGGUGCCGCCCGGGGAAGGCGGGCCCAACGCCUAGUCGGACCCGUCAUCCUCCCGCCUACCUCCCUUGUCGUCGCUGUUGCUUUCCUCCUCGUCACUCUCGCCCGAAGAGGAGCUUUCACCAUCAGUCGAGCUCUCCGCACAGCACCCUAGCCUGUGUCUCGAGCGCCCGAAAACCUUGACGGAGAGAAAAUCACUCUCCACCAGCUUGAAGCAGAGGAUGUGCCCAUCCAUCAGGCAAUGGGCAGGUGUAAAAGUUUUCCAGCCCCGACGAAGGAGCAUCACUUGAGGGGCGGGGAACCUUGUGUUCACCCACAUGUCGCUGUGGCAAUAUCCCUUCAUGUGAAGCCUCAGCCCCGGUGGUUGGUCGACCUCCAGCACGGUCACGAACGCCUGGGGAAGAUGAAGGCUGCGGCGUAGCGGCCCACAUAGCUGCAAGAUGAACUCAAGCGCCGAGUCCCCGACAUGACCACUCAGCGAAGCAGGAGGAGAUGGCGACGGAGACGGAGGCGGUGCAGGUGUUCCCCUUCCACGCCCACCUCUGCCUCGGCCACCUCGCCGACCGCGGCCCCAUCCAGCGGCCCCGCCUCGAGCGUGGCCUUCACCCUCGGCAUCGAGCUCUUCCUUGACCAUCGCAGCUCUCUGGCGGGAGGAGGACGUGGUCACCUCCACGGAAGAACGGCCUCGGCCACGCCCCCUCGCCAUGACCGUGGAUGGGGAUGGAGACAAGAGGGAGACGCAGGGAGAUGCUUUUCCUCCCGCCCCUGAGUCGCUUUUUAUAGUUGGGAGAGGGAGGGUGGAGGACCGGCUCUAUGCCCCCAAAAAGCCCGCUCGAAUCCAGCUCAUUAAGGUGGCAGCAGGCGAGGCCAUCGACCGCCCUCCUCGCCCAAUUGAAGGCGCGUAGGUAUCGACCCACGCGCACGCCUUCCCAUAUUCCAUGCACUUGUCACAUACCUCGUGCCGUGCAUGCGUCAUACGUGGCACAGGGGGCGGGCGUAGUGGGACACAUGGAACGAUGGUUCCAAGGCGAAGAAAGUAAAUGAGCAGCAGCCCUGCGAUUUUAAAGGGACACGCAAGCUGCCUCUUUACUAUUCACCGCAGGAUGAUGCAGGCAUGCUUCAGUCAUCCCCAUGCACGAUCCCAAUGUCAUGCAUUUAACGUGAGUCGUGGGGAAGCGCAGCGGACGAAAGAGUUACUGCGAUAAAAAUGACCCCGCCUGCCCGUGCACCGUUCUGGGCCUAGCCCAACAACGCGUUGCGCUUAUGUGUGGCCCAGGCCCGGGGGCUCCUGUCAGUGUACAAAAACAGGGGCACUCUUUUUGUACCCCUUUACUUGUGCACGGGCAGUCAGAUCCGCGCCCACAACCACACUUAGCAGGGCAGAGGAGGGAAGCUGAGGCCGCAAGAUGAUCAAGGCGACGCCAAGACCAGAAACGCAAAGAGCAAGAAGGCGAGGUGGACUCCCCCGGCAAGACCCUUGCCGGGGUGGCCUCCGCGGCCGUGGCAAGAGCCUUGCCGGGGCAACUUGCCCAACACUAGCAGAGCGCGCCACCCUUGAGCCCAAGGGUUCCAACGCCACCAGCCACAUUGGAACCAAGGCUCGGGAGGCACCUCCAUAGUGGCAUGCAGAUCUUCGUGAAGAUCAUAAACACGCAAGAUCAGAUAAGGACCAGAAGACGACGAUCCUCGGCAAGGAGAUCCACGAGACCUCCUACAAGAUCCUUCCCAGGCACGACCACAGUGCUGCGGCAAGACCCUUGUCGGGGCCCCAACAAUACCCUUGCCGAGGGCGUCAGCGGGGCCGCGGCUAGGCCCGUGCCCGCUGUCAGUGUCAAAAUCGACGGAUCUCGGGUAGGGGGUCCCGAACUGUGCGUCUUAGGCUAAUGGUAACAGGAGACUGGGGACACGAUGUUUACCCAGGUUCGGGCCCUCUCGAUGGAGGUAAUACCCUACUUCCUGCUUGAUUGAUCUUGAUGAUAUGAGUAUUAUAAGAGUUGAUCUACCAUGAGAUCAAAGAGGAUAAACCCUAGAAGCUAGCCUAUGGUAUGAUUGAUGAUGAUGAUCGUGGGUCCUACGGACUAAACUCUCCGGUUUAUAUAGACACCGGAGGGGGCUAGGGUUACACAGAGUCGGUUUACAGAGAAGGAGAUCUACAUCCGAAUCACCAAGCUUGCCUUCCACGCCAAGGAGAGUCCCAUCCGGACACGGGACAAAGUCUUCUGUCUUGUAUCUUCAUAGUCCAACAGUCCGGCCAAAGUAUAUAGUUCGGCUGUCCAGAUACGCCCUUAUCCAGGACUCCCUCAGUAGCCCCUGAACCAGACUUCAAUGACGAUGAGUCCAGCGCGUAGAUUGUCUUCGGCAUUGCGAGGCGGGUUCCAUCUCCGUAUACUUCAAGAUAAAUUCCGAACACAAGGACCGUGUCCGGUUUUGCAAGAUAACAUUCCAUAUACCACCGUAGAGAGAAUAAUAAUAAUCCAUGAAUCUAAUCUGCUGACAAUUCUUCAAAAAGUGACAUGACGCCACGGUCCGGUUUUGUUUCGAACCAUUCCUACAACCUGCUAUCGCACACACCACGAGGCGGUUUCCUUGGCAUGUCCUGUCAGAGCAGAGAUCGUGUUCCUCUUAUUGCGGAUUCUCAUCAAUACAAGUAUGGGUAAUCCAACCGCGCCCAUUGGCAUGACCCCGUGGUUUUAGGCAAGUCCCAAACGACCAUGUUCGGGGAUGCUUGAUAUUCUUCCCCCUUUAUAAAGGGGCUAAGGCCUAUCCCUCUAUCUCCACGCUUGCACACCUCGCGCCCUGAGUUCCAACACCCAAAGCCCGAGCUUAAGCACUCCGGAUCUCCGAUCAUGUUCGGAUCUGAACAUCAAGGUCGAUGGAUGGCCUCCUCUGUCAUAGAGGAGGAUAUUAUGAAGCUCAGGGAGGCUGGGUACUUAACCGCCGAUGUCAAGCACAGGCUUCCUACUCCCGAACAGGUUAUACCCACUCCCGAGACCAAUGAGAGCGUCGUAUUCAUCUCCCACUUCCUUCGGGGCUUGGGUCUCACUCUUGAUCCCUUUGUGAGGGGGCUCAUGCACUACUACGGGCUAGAUUUCCACGAUCUAGCUCCGAAUUCCAUCCUCCACAUCUCGUCAUUUAUCGUUGUGUGUGAAGCCUUCCUUCACAUUGCCCCCCACUUCGGCUUAUGGCUCAAGACUUUUGAUGUGAAGCUGAAGACAAUUGAGGAGCGACACGCAGAGUGCGGAGGUGCCAUGAUAAGCAGGAAUGCUGAUGCCCCAUGGCCCGAAGGCUCCUUCCCGGAGGUAUCUGAUUUAUGGCAACGGAGGUGGUUCUAUGUCACAGCUCCCCGAGGCUCAAAGUGGGUGGCCGCACCCGCCUUCCGCUCGGGCCCUCCACCCCAACUGGCAUCAUGGGCCAAUGUGGGACUAAACUGGGGGCCUGCAGACGAUGUACCAAUGCUACAAAGCCGCCUUCGGGAGCUCCUUGAGAGGAAUAUUAGUCUCGUCAAAAUAAUCCAAGUAAUGCUAGUUCGACGGAUCCUACCGUGCAAACGCCGGCCUCUCCGGAUGUGGGAAUUCAAUCCAGAAGGUCCGCAGACCAUUCAGCAUUUCUUCGGCAUGACACCCGAAGGGAUGUACAAGUUGUUCUUCGGACCACGAAUAAAGUGUCCGGACACCAUCGAGGAUGCGGGUCUGAGCUGCAAUCGCCUCGAUACCCAAGUAAGUAACCCCAUAACCGAACACCUCGUUUAUAUUUGUCAUAGCAUUUCUCUAAACACUGUCCGCAACCAGGAUUGGCUUAGAAAGGCAGAGAGGAUCAGGUGUCCGGCCCCUCUUCCCGACGGUUCGCCUGGCCCGGCAAUGGCCAAGAUUCUCGAACGGACACUUAGUCGGGUGCCACCAGAGAAAGCUGAAGGGGAGAGCGGGGAGGCCAAGAGUAGGCCUCACUCACUGCGCAUCUGAACCGGAGGAAUCAGUGCCUUCAAAGAGGAGGAGAACCGGGGGGGGGGCGACUCCAAGGUUUCCUCCCCCCGUGGGAAGAAAAGGGCCGCCUCCGUAGAUUUGGAGACGGAGGCGCCUAAACAAGGAAAAAGAAUUUCGCCAAAGGACCCUGCUUCGAAGGGCGUCCUUGACGUACAACGCCCGCCAACGGGCCAGACCUCCAUCGAGCUGUAAGUUUAAUUAAGCAAGGAUCUUACUGCUUCUUCCUCUGAGAGUAAUGACCAAGACCUGUUUUUGUAGUCCGGCUAGCAGUUCGUCUCAACAGGGUUCGUCCUCAGGGGAUCUUCUUCCGGAGAUGAUGGAGAGCGAAACCCCACCAGCCUCUCCGCCCCGUGGGGCGGGCGAACCUGAGGUAUCGUCACGGAGGAGUAUGGAUCCAAAGGGGCCGGAAGCUAACACUUCGGCCGCCCCGAGCCCAGCGUGUUCAGCUCCCAUGGCGGACAACAAAAAGGAUCCGGGAGAGUCCGGAGUCCGGCCGAACGCGCUGACGGGCCUCCUGGAGUCGGCUGAUUUCUUGAAGGGUCAUCGUACCCUAAUGGGUACGGUAUUGGAGAAAAUCUCCUCCGCCAUGAGCGGUUUAAACGGAGCUUUUAAGAGCCUGCUCAAAGGCUUUGACAUAAGCCGUAAUUUUUUAGUUGAACCGCACGCGAUACAUGCGCUCUGUAUAGAUAGUAGCCCCUGAGACUGUGGAUGGCAGCCCAUGGCGGCAAACGGAGGAUCACACUCCCCGAUUAUGAUCGCACCUGUAUUAAUGUGCAGGUUGCUAAGUGUUCAGCAACAGACCAGGCCGCUGAAUGCACCGAACUGAGGCAGCAGAUUGACGUUGUGGAGGCCGACUUCAUGCUUGUGAACAAGCGAUUCGAGGAGUCACAGAGUAUGCUUUCCUAUAUCCACAUCUAUUUUCGCAAGAAGGUUGAAAUAUUAAUGUGAUGUUAUGUAGUUGCAGGCGGAGCUGCUGCUGUUGAGGCCCUGAGGGCAGAGCUUGCUCUAGCCAAGGAGCAAGCCCGGAUUAGUAAUGCGGCUGCUCUAAAGGCAGCCGAAGAAUUAAAGGCCGAACAGGCCGCUCGUCUCCGAAGCGAGGAGAAGAUAGUCGAGAUGGCUAUGGAGCUGAGGGACGCCGCUGACCGGUAUGAGCUUCUCGAAAAGGAGAAUCAAACAAAGGCGGCCGACCUGAAGAAGGCGAUGGAUUCGGCUAAAGAGAUGCGCUCUCAGGUUAGAGAUGCACGGGAGGAACUUCGACAAGCCGGAGAAGUCGUGGCUGGAAGACCUUAUGUGUUGCGGAUGAAGUUUUUGGAUCCAAAGUAUGCUCCGUUGGAUAAGCUAUGGAGCGCCGCAGAUGAGUAUGCGGACUUGGCGAAGAGUGCAGCUGAUGCGACCAAGUUAUUCAAGGAUCAUGAGGAUAAUAAAAUGAAGAGGAUGUUCUGGUCGCAAUUUGAUGCUCCAGCGCGCUCCUUGCCCUUGAGUGAGAAGAUGGCCGCCAUAGCCGAGCUCCAUAGGCUGUCCGGCCUUGCAAUGAGGUCCGUAAUAGACCAUUUGUGGCCGAAGGAGCUGAAGCCGGACAGUUACUUUGCUCUGGUGCAACGAUUAUUUGGCGGCAGGGUGCAGAUUGAUGCCAUGAAGAGAUCGUGUGCAUAGAGGGUGCGCGGAUGGCUCUUUCCCGCGUGAAAACUUACUUGGCGGACAUGGAGGCUGAUGACCCACAAGUAUAGCGGAUCUAUCGUAGUCCUUUCGAUAAGUAAGAGUGUCGAACCCAACGAGGAGCAGAAGGAAAUGAUAAGCGGUUUUCAGCAAGGUAUUCUCUGCAAGUACUGAAAUAAGUGGUAACAGAUAGUUUUGUGAUAAGAUAAAUUGUAACGAGCAACAAGUACCAAAAGUAAACAAGGUGCAGCAAGGUGGCCCAAUCCUUUUUGUAGCAAAGGACAAGCCUGGACAAACUCUUAUAAUAGAAAAAGCACUCCCGAGGACACAUGGGAAUAUUGUCAAGCUAGUUUUCAUCACGCUCAUAUGAUUCGCGUUCGGUACUUUGAUAAUUUGAUAUGUGGGUGGACCAGUGCUUGGGUACUUCCCUUACUUGGACAAGCAUCCCACUUAUGAUUAACCUCUAUUGCAAGCAUCCGCAACUACAACAAAAGUAUUAAGGUAAACCUAACCAUAGCAUGAAACAUAUGGAUCCAAAUCAGCCCCUUAGGAAGCAACACAUAAACUAGGGUUUAAGCUUCUGUCACUCCAGCAACCCAUCAUCUACUUAUUACUUCCCAAUGCCUUCCUCUAGGCCCAAAUAAUGGUGAAGUGUUAUGUAGUAGACGUUCACAUAACACCACUAGAGGUUAGACAACAUACAUCUCAUCAAAAUAUCGAACGAAUACCAAAUUCACAUGACUACUAAUAGCAAGACUCCUCCCUUGUCCUCAGGAACAAACGUAAUUACUCACAAAGCAUAUUCAUGUUCAUAAUCAGAGGGGUAAUAAUGUGCAUAAAAGAUCUGAACAUAUGAUCUUCCACCCAAUAAACCAACUAGCAUCAACUACAAGGAGUAAUCAAAACUACUAGCAACCUACUAGCACCAAUCCCGGACUUGGAGACAAGAAUUGGAUACAAGAGAUGAACUAGGGUUUGGAGAUGAGAUGGUGUUGGUGAAGAUGUUGAUGGAGAUUGCCCUCUCCCGAUGAGAGGAGCGUUGGUGAUGACGAUGGUGAUGAUUUCCCCCUCCCGGAGGGAAGUGUCCCCAGCAGAACAGCUCUGCCAGAGCCCUAGAGUGGUUCUGCCAAGGUUCCGCCUCAUGGCGGCGGAGUCUCGUCCCGAAAGGUUCUCUUCUAUUUUUUUCUCAUCGAAAGACUUCAUAUAGGAGAAGAUGGGCGUCGGAGAGCCACCAGGGGGCCCACGAGGUAGGGGGGCACACCCAGGGGGGCGUGCCCCCCACCCUCGUUAGCAGGGUGUGGGCCCCCUGGCCUUCAUCUUUGGUGACGAUUUUUCUUUAUUUACUUCAAGGUAAUCCCUAGAGUUUCAGGACUUUUGGAGUUGCGUAAAAUAGGCCUCCAAUAUUUGCUCCUUUUCCAGCCCAGAAUUCCAGCUGCCGGCAUUCUCCCUCUUCAUAUAAACCUUGUAAAAUAAGAGAGAAUAGCCAUAAAUAUCGUGACAUAACGUGAAAUAACAGCCCAUAAUGCAAUAAAUAUUGUCAUAAAAGCAUGAUGCAAAAUGGACGUAUCAACUCCCCCAAGCUUAGAACUCGCUUGUCCUCAGGCGAAAAGCCGAUAACAAUAAAUAUGUCCUCAUGUUUAGAGGUAGAGGCAUCGAUAAAAAACAAAAUACGGACAUGAAGGCAUCAUGAUUAUUUCAUAACAGCAACGUAAAUAGAUUUUGUCAUAUGAUUACUCAUGUUCAAGUAAUGAUCUAUUCACAAAGCCAAAGCAUGAAUCAGAAAUCUUAUUGGGCACUAACAAUUAUAAUCUCAGUCAUUGAAGCAAUUGCAAUUUAUCAUAACAUCGGAAAGAGUCUGUGUCAGAGCUUAAAAGCAAGUCCACAUACUCAACUAUCAUUUAGUCCUUCAUAAUUGCUAGCACUCACAUGAUACUUGUGGUUACAGAGUUUUAAUCAGACACAGAGAAAGAUAGGGGCUUGUAGUUUUUCCCCACAACCUUUUACCUCAAGGGUAAUGUCAACAAUAAUAACUCAUGCUCCACCACAUCCAAUAGAUAUGUAUAUCAUACUCUUUCCAACAUGCUGAGCUUGCCAAAGGAUAAAAUGAAAAAGGAAAGGUGAGGAUCACCAUGACUCUUGAAGGUAGAGGAUAAUAAUAAAAGAUAGGCCCUUCGCAAAGGGAAGCAUAGGUUGUCAUGCGCGUUUAGGGUUGAUGCACAAAAUCUUAAUGCAAAAGAACGUCACUUUAUAUUGCCCCUUGCAUGUGAACCUUUAUUAUGCAGUCCGUCGCUUUUAUUGCGUCCACAACAAGUUCGUACAAAGCUUAUUUCUCUACAUUAAUAAGUCAUGCAUAUUUAGAGAGAAAUUUUUGUUGCUUGCACCGAUGACAACUUACUUGAAGGAUCUUACUCAAUCCAUAGGUAGAUAUGGUGGACUCUCAUGGCAAAACUGGUUUAAGGGUGUUUGGAAGCACAAGUAGUAUUUCUACUUGGUGCUAAGAAUUUGGCUAGCAUGAGGGGGAAAGGCAAGCUCAACACGGUAGAGGAUCCAUGACAACAUACUUUAUCUCGAAUGUAAGAAAACAUAACUCAUUAUGUUGUCUUCCUUGUCCAGCCUCAACUCUUUAGCAUGUCAUAUUUUAAUGAGUGCUCCCAAUCAUAAAAGGUGUCAAUGAUAAUAUAUCUAUAUGUGAAACCUCUCUUUCCUUAUUACUUCCUAUUAAUUGCAACUAUGACCAAAGCUAUAUUUGCCAACUCCCAACAACUUUUAAUCAUCAUACUCUUUCUAUGUGAAGUCAUUACUUUCACUAAGAUCAAUAUGAGCUCCUUGAUUCUUUUUAUUAUUUUCUUCUACUUACCCAAGAUCAUGGCAAAAAAUCAAGCCCUUGACUCAACACUAAUCUUUAUUAUAUAGCUCAUGGACUCGAUUACAAAGAAGGAUCGUAAAGCAAAACUCAAAACUAGAUCAUGCCAUGACUUUAUUCUACUAAAUCAAGAUACUACUAAUAGGACCGAACUAAGAAAAACUGUAAAGAUAGGAGUUGUGAUGGUGAUACGAUACCAUGGCACCUCCCCCAAGCUUGGCAGUUGCCAAGGGGAGUGCCCAUACCCAUGUGAUUAUUUCUCCUUCUUUGUCGUUGGUGUUGGAGGUAUUGUCGAUGAUGCAGGCUUGUCGUCCAACUUCCACGGCAUAGGCUCUCCAUCAUAGAAGGAUGAUCGAGUCUCCGGAAUCCUCAAAUCUGCAGCCAAACUCAUCCUUUUGAAUCUAUAUUCAUACUCACAGUUUUGAUUUUGCAGAUCAUAAAUUUGGGCUUGGAGGUGCUCGAUCUUCUCUUGUAGCUUAAAGAUGGCCUCCUUAGUGUUCUUGGCAUCCGGCUCGUAGUUGUUGGUGAACUCCGCGAGCAUCUUGUGGCUAGCGUUGAUUCCACGCUCCACCAUCCCCUGACACUUGAAAACUUGUUGCUCCAUUGCCUCGAGCCUCGACUCUACACUUCCGGUUCCCUUGGGUCCCUCAACAUCGCGGAUGUGCAGCAACCCAUCAUGCAUCUCAAUGGUUUGAGGGUGCGGCAGCACCUCCGCGAGGUAAGGGUUAAUCACCUUCUCGAAGAACUUGUCCUUGGAAGCACUUGGGGUCAACACGAUGAUCUAGACCUGUCAGAAAAACAACUCGAAACAAAAACAGAGGAUAUUUGCAUGAUACGAGAGUCAAAACCUUCGGGAGUAUAUAUAAUGAAUUUUUACCGACCAAAAUACGCGUCGUGCAAGGAAACGGAGUCCGGAGGGCACAUGAGGUGCUCACGAGGUAGGGGGCGCGCCCAGGGGGUAGGGCGCGCCCUCCACCCUCGUGGAGGCCUCGUGUCCUCCCCGGACUGCUGCUUAUUUUUUUAUUUUCUAAAUAUUCCAAAACGGAGAAAUAUUGCCUUAAAAAUUGUUUUGGAGUCGGUUUACUUACCGUACCACAUACAUAUUCCUGUUCGGAGUCUGGAACGUUCUGGAAAGUGUCCUUUAUGUACUCCUCCGGGGUCACGAUUUCAAUAAUAUUAAUUUCAACAUUUAUAGGAUUACCUGAGAUAUAGUGUUUGAUCCUUUGACCGUUUACCACCUUCGGAUUUGUGCCUGCGAAGUUGUUGAUUUUUAUGGCACCGAAACGAUAGACCUCCUCGAUAACGUAAGGACCUUCCCAUUUAGAGAGAAGUUUUCCUGCAAAAAAUCUUAAACGAGAGUUGUAUAGCAAUACAUAAUCACCUACAUGAAACUCACGCUUUUGUAUCAUUUUGUCAUGCCAUCUUUUAACCUUUUCUUUAAACAACUUGGCAUUUUCAUAUGCUUGGGCUCUCCAUUCAUCAAGUGAGCUAAUAUCAAAUAACCUCUUCUCACCGGCAAGUUUGAAAUCAUAGUUGAGCUCUUUAAUAGCCCAAUAUGCCUUAUGUUCUAGUUCGAGAGGUAAGUGACAAGCUUUUCCAUAAACCAUUUUAUACGGAGACAUGCCCAUAGGAUUUUUAUAUGCAGUUCUAUAGGCCCAUAAUGCAUCAUCAAGUUUCUUGGACCAAUUCUUUCUAGACCUAUUAACAGUCUUUUGCAAAAUUAAUUUGAGCUCCCUAUUGCUCAAUUCUACUUGACCACUAGACUGAGGGUGAUAAGGAGAUGCAAUCCUAUGAUUAACGUCAUAUUUAGCAAGCAUCUUACGGAAAGCACCAUGAAUAAAGUGUGAACCACCAUCAGUCAUUAAAUAUCUAGGGACUCCAAACCUCGGAAAAAUAACUUCCUUAAGCAUUUUAAUAGAUGUGUUAUGAUCAGCACUACUAGUUGGAAUAGCUUCCACCCACUUAGUAACGUUAUCAACAGCAACUAAAAAAUGUGUGUAUCCAUUAGAGGCAGGAAAAGGUCCCAUAUAAUCAAAGCCCCAAACAUCAAAUGGCUCAAUAACAAGUGAAUAAUUCAUAGGCAUUUCUUGACGUCUACUAAUAUUACCAAUUCUUUGACAUUCAUCGCAAGAUAAAACAAACUUACGGGCAUCUUUGAAGAGAGUAGGCCAAUAAAAACCGGAUUGCAAUACCUUAUGUGCAGUUCUAUCUCCAGCAUGGUGUCCUCCAUAAGCUUCGGAGUGACACUUGCGUAGGAUCUGUUCCUGUUCAUGCUCAGGUACACAACGUCUAAUGACACCAUCUACUCCUUCUUUAUAAAUAUGUGGAUCAUCCCAAAAGUAAUGUCGCAAGUCAUAGAAAAACUUUUUCUUUUGCUGGUAUGUGAAGCUAGGUGGUAUAAAUUUAGCAACAAUAUAAUUAGCAUAAUCAGCAUACCAAGGAAUGCUACGAGAAGUGAUUAUGACACUUAAUUGUUCAUCAGGAAAGCUAUCAUCAAUAGGUAGUGGGUCAUCAAGAACAUUCUCUAACCUAGAUAAGUUAUCUGCAACGGGGUUCUCAGCUCCUUUUCUAUCAACAAUAUGCAAAUCAAAUUCUUGAAGCAAAAGAACCCAUCUAAUAAGCCUAGGUUUUGCAUCCUUCUUUUCCAUAAGAUAUUUAAUAGCAGCAUGAUCAGUGUGAAUAGUAACUUUGGAAUCAACAAUACAAGGUCUAAACUUAUCACAAGCAAACACCACUGCUAAAAGUUUCUUUUCGGUAGUAGCAUAAUUUCUUUGAGCACUGUCUAGAGUCUUACUGGCAUAAUGGAUAACAUUUAAUUUCUUAUCAACUCUUUGCCCUAAAACAGCGCCUACAGCAUAAUCACUAGCAUCACACAUAAUUUCAAAGGGUAAAUUCCAAUCAGGUAGCUGAACAACAGGUGCAGAGACUAGUGCUUUCUUAAGUGUUUCAAAUGCUUCUACACAAUCAUCAUCAAAGACAAAUGGUACAUCUUUUUGUAAUAAAUUAGUCAGAGGCCAAGAAAUUUUUGAGAAGUCCUUAAUGAACCUCCUAUAAAAUCCGGCGUGACCAAGGAAACUUCUUAUACCUUUGAUGUCCUUGGGACAUGGCAUCUUUUCAAUAGCAUCAAUCUUGGCUUUAUCAACUUCAAUACCUCUUUCAGAAACUUUGUGCCCCAAGACAAUACCUUCAUUGACCAUUAAGUGGCACUUUUCCCAAUUCAAGACAAGAUUAGUUUCUUCACAUCUCUGCAAAACUCGAUUAAGAUUGCUUAAGCAAUCAUCAAAAGAGGAACCAUAGACGGAAAAGUCAUCCAUGAAAACCUCACAAAUCUUUUCGCAAAAGUCAAAGAAUAUGGCCAUCAUGCAUCUUUGAAAGGUAGCAGGUGCAUUACAUAAACCAAAAGGCAUACGUCUAUAAGCAAAAGUACCAAAAGGGCAUGUAAAAGUAGUCUUUGAUUGAUCUUUAGCUGACACAGGUAUUUGAGAGAAACCAGAAUAACCAUCUAGAAAGCAAUAAUGUGUAUGUUUGCAUAACCUUUCUAGCAUUUGAUCAAUAAAAGGUAAGGGGUAAUGAUCUUUCUUAGUAGCUUUAUUUAACUUACGGAAAUCAAUUACCAUCCUAUAACCUGUGAUAAUUCUUUGAGGGAUCAAUUCAUCUUUAUCAUUAGGGACAACUGUAAUACCUCCCUUCUUAGGGACACAAUGGACAAGACUUACCCACUGGCUAUCAGCAACAGGAUAAAUUAUACCUGCCUCCAGAAGCAUGAGUAUUUCUUUUCUUACCACUUCUUUCAUUUUAGGAUACGUCGUUGAGGAUCACAAACUGGUUUGGCAUCAGCUUCCAAAUUUAUUUUAUGUUGACAUAGAGUGGGACUAAUGCCCUUAAGAUCAUCCAGAGUAUAUCCAAUAGCAGCACGACGCUUCUUCAGAGUUUUCAAUAAUCUUUCCUCUUCAUGCUCUGAAAGGUUAGCGCUAAUCAUGACAGGAUAUAUUUUCUUUUCAUCAAGAUAAGCAUAUUUAAGAUUAUUAGGCAACGGUUUAAGCUCAAAUACGGGAUCACCCUUGGGUGGAGGGGGAUCCCCUAGGAUUUCAACAGGCAAAUUGUGUUGCAGAAUAGGUUCCUGUUUAAAGAAUACUUCAUCUAUUUCCCUUCUUUCAUUCAUGAACAUAUCAUUUUCAUGGUCUAGCAAAUACUGUUCUAAAGGGUCACUAGGAGGUACAGCAAUAGAGGCAAGACCAAUAAUUUCAUCCUUACUAGGAAAUUCUUCCUCACGAUGUUGUUUACUAAAUUUAGAGAACUCAUGAACCAUAUUAUCCAAGCCAAUAGUAGCAACAUUCUUUUCGCAGUCUAUCUUAGCAUUAACAGUACUCAAGAAGGGUCUACCAAAUAUAAUGGGACAAAAGCUAUCUUGCGGGGAACUAAGAACAAGAAAAUCAGAAGGAUAUUUAGUUUUCCCACACAAGACUUCAACAUCUCUAACAAUUCCCACUGGUGAAAUAGUAUCUCUAUUGGCGAGUUUAAUUGUGACAUCAAUUUAUUCUAACUCAGCAGGUGCAAUUUCAUGCUUAAUUUCUUUAUAUAAUUCAUAAGGUAUAACACUAGCACUAGCACCCAUAUCACAUAGGCCAUGAUAACAAUGAUCUCCUAUUUUAACAGAAAUAACAGGCACGCCCACCACAGGUCUAUGUUUAUCUUUAUCACAAGGUUUAGCAAUUCUAGCAGUCCCACCCUGGAAUUGAAUAACAUGCCCAUCGAUAUUAUCAGACAAGAGAUCUUUAUAAAUAGCAAUAUUAGGUUCUACUUUGACUUGUUCAGGAGGUGUAUAAGUUCUAAUAUUUCUUUUACGAACAACAACUAAAGCUUUAGCAUGAUCCUUCAUUCUAACAGGGAAAGGUGGUUUCUCAACAUAAGAAGUGGGAACAAUAGGAUCAUUAUAAGUGACAAUCUUUUCUUCAACUUUAAUAGGUGCAGCUACUUUCACUUCUAUGGGGGGAUGAUAUUUAAACCACUUCUCCUUGGGGAGAUCAACAUAAGUAGCAAAAUAUUCACAGAAAGAAGCUACUAUCUCAGAGUCAAGUCCAUACUUAGUGCUAAAAUUAUGGAAAAUAUCGGUAUCCAUAAAAGAUUUAACACAAUCAAACUUGGGUGUCAUAGCUGACUCCUUACCUUCGUCGAGGUCCCAAUCUUCAGAGUUGCGUUUAAUUCUAUCCAGUAAAUUCCAUCUGAAUUCAAUAUUCUUCAUCAUGAAAGAGCCAACACAGGAAGUAUCGAGCAUGGAGCGAUUGUUAUCAGAAAGCCGAGCAUAAAAACUUUGCAUAAUUACUUCUCUUGCGAGCUCAUGAUUGGGGCAUGAAUAUAACAUUGAUUUAAGCCUCCCCCAAGCUUGAGCGAUGCUUUCUCCUUUGCGAGGCCAAAAAUUAAAUAUAUAAUUGCGAUCACGAUGAACAAGAUGCAUAGGGUAAUACUUUUGAUGAAAUUCCAAUUUCAAUCUUUUAUAAUUCCAUGAUCUCAUAUCAUCACAUAGCAUGUACCAUGUCAAUGCAUCUCCCUUCAAAGAAAAAUGGAAAGCCUUCUUCUUAACAGCAUCAUCGGGUAUACCUGCAAGCUUAAAUAGUACACAAACAUAAUCCACAUAACGUAGAUGUUCAUCAGGAUGCUUUGUUCCAUCUCCUGUAAAAGUGUUAGCUAGCAAUUUUUCCAUCAAACCCGAAGGAAUCUCAAAAGGAGUUUCAUUUUCAAUAGGUUUAGUAGGUUGAGUAGGUUGAGGAGGUUGAGGAGCAACUCUUUGCUCUGCUGGACGGGGUGAAGAUACCCUGAACAAGCCCCUCAGACAAAUACUUUCCAUAGUAACAAGUGACAGAAAAUUUCAGCACACUAAAUAAAUUUUUCCUUACCAAAUUCCACCUACCAAAGGCGCUUCACUCCACGGCGACGGUGCCAGAAAAGAGUCUUGAUGACCCACAAGUAUAAGGGAUCUAUCGUAGUCCUUUCGAUAAGUAAGAGUGUCGAACCCAAUGAGGAGCAGAAGGAAAUGAUAAGCGGUUUUCAGCAAGGUAUUCUCUGCAAGUACUGAAAUAAGUGGUAACAGAUAGUUUAGUGAUAAGAUAAAUUGUAACGAGCAACAAGUAACAAAAGUAAACAAGGUGAAGCAAGGUGGCCCAAUCCUUUUUGUAGCAAAGGACAAGCCUGGACAAACUCUUAUAAUAGAAAAAGCGCUCCCAAGGACACAUGGGAAUAUCGUCAAGCUAGUUUUCAUCACGCUCAUAUGAUUCGCGUUCGGUACUUUGAUAAUUUGAUAUGUGGGUGGACCAGUGCUUGGGUACUGCCCUUACUUGGACAAGCAUCCCACUUAUGAUUAACCUCUAUUGCAAGCAUCCGCAACUACAACAAAAGUAUUAAGGUAAACCUAACCAUAGCAUGAAACAUAUGGAUCCAAAUCAGCCCCAUAGGAAGCAACGCAUAAACUAGGGUUUAAGCUUCUGUCACUCUAGGAACCCAUCAUCUACUUAUUACUUCCCAAUGCCUUCCUCUAGGCCCAAAUAAUGGUGAAGUGUUAUGUAGUCGACGUUCAGAUAACACCGCUAGAGGUUAGACAACAUACAUCUCAUCAAAAUAUCAAACGAAUACCAAAUUCACAUGACUACUAAUAGCAAGACUCCUCCCUUGUCCUCAGGAACAAAUGUAAUUACUCACAAAGCAUAUUCAUGUUCAUAAUUAGAGGGGUAAUAAUAUGCAUAAAGGAUCUGAACAUAUGAUCUUCCACCCAAUAAACCAACUAGCAUCAACUACAAGGAGUAAUCAACACAACUAGCAACCUACUAGCACCAAUCCCGGACUUGGAGACAAGAAUUGGAUACAAGAGAUGAACUAGGGUUUGGAGAUGAGAUGGUGCUGGUGAAGAUGUUAAUGGAGAUUGCCCUCUCCCGAUGAGUGGAGCGUUGGUGAUGACGAUGGUGAUGAUUUCCCCCUCCCGGAGGGAAGUGUCCCCAGCAGAACAGCUCUGCCAGAGCCCUAGAUUGGUUCUGCCAAGGUUCCGCCUCAUGGCGGCGGAGUCUCGUCCCGAAAGGUUCUCUUCUAUUUUUUUCUCAUCGAAAUACUUCAUAUAGGAGAAGAUGAGCGUCAGAGAGCCACCAGGGGGCCCACGAGGUAGGGGGGCGCCCAGGGGGGCGCGCCCCCACCCUCGUGAGCAGGGUGUGGGCCCCCUGGCCUUCAUCUUUGGCGAUGAUUUUUAUUUAUUUAUUUCAAGGUAUUCCAUGGAGUUUCGAGACUUUUGGAGUUGCGUAAAAUAGGCCUCCAAUAUUUGCUCCCUAUCCAGCCCAGAAUUCCAGUUGUCGGCAUUCUCCCUCUUCAUAUAAACCUUGUGAAAUAAGAGAGAAUAGAGGCCCAGUGCAAUAACAGCCCAUAAUACAAUAAAUAUUAUCAUAAAAGCAUGAUGCAAAAUGGACGUAUCAGAGGCCACCCGCAUUGCAAUCCGGGGUCCGGCCGGAAGCCAAGACCCAGCCAAGCACUAUUUUGAGCAGGUUAUAGAAGGUGCUCGUAGAAUAGAGGCCCAGUGCUCCAAGAAUGUCAUGUUUGAGUGAUGAAAUUGUAAACAACUAUGUGUUUAAUUAUGGAGGCUGCUUUUUUUUGUAUAAUUUUGACUGAAAGUAUUACAGUAUCUCCUGUGCGGCUGUUUAUAUAUGCAUAUAAUCGUGAAAGUUAGCAGUCAUUGGCUUCAGCCCCCACGCGCAUAAUACGGGGGUGUUCGAGAAAAUAUGCCUGAACACACUUGAUCCAAUGUCUUGGUCCAUUAAGGAGGUGAUUGCACGUCGAACCAGGCAACCGAACUAUAUAGCUGUAACACUUUCGCUUAGCCGUAGGAGUUGAAAGGUGGGGCUACUAUAUAGCCCCUAGUACUUCCGCGUGCGUCCGGAUACGGUGCGCGUACUUGACAGGUAGACCGGUCCUUCGUUAAUGCGGAGGAAUCCUAUAGAUUCCGAUGAGUCCUCGAGUGGCUGACCAGUCUCUCGCUAUAUCAUGACAGUCAGAAUUCGGCUUUCUCUACUGAGGUGCUCAUCCGGAAUAACUAGGGCACAAUCACAGUAGUUCUUCUUUGGCCACCUUAGCCGAUAGAAUGGAACGUAAGGCAGCAAACCCAGGAGCCGGGCUAACCCAACAUUUGACCAAAGUCAUGAUUCGGAGCUGAUGCAUAUAAGGCCAAACUCGUGAUGCCGAACACUCCCGGAGGUAUUCAGACUUUACAAAAUAUAUUGGGCCACAAUGCCCUUGACCCUGUGAUUCCAGGUACGCGCAUUGAUCUGUCGUGGCAAAGAAGCCUAAAACGCCAGUGUCCCGAAUAGGUGUGUGAAAUACCCAUGGGACGUUGAGCAACAAGAGACGGUAAAGAAGGUUUACGCAGGGGCUUAAUCUAAAGAGAAACCUGUGGGCAGGGCCCUGCUGCACGUCUACGCCUGUGUCUCUGUUGUGCCGUAUCCUGGAAGGGUGUCGCACUGGUAGUGUCUGUAAGAACGAAAAAGAAAACAUGUGAAAAGUUAGUUAUGCUCGAGGGAUGUUCGAAAUCCGGUGAGGCGAGCCGAAUUGUGGGCUUGCGUUACAUGUUUGCAGCCCCUCGUAUUAUUUAUAGGGACACAUGUACGGCCCCUAACUCAGGUAUAUCCGAGCCAUUGUAAAAAUGGUGUAUUGGACUCGUCUAACCGUGUCCGUGGUCUUGACGACCGAUCAUGCGUUUCGGUGGGAGAGGCCGCCUAGAGUCCGGCAGUGAGAACUGCCACAUACUGUUCUGUGUUACCGCUAACCGUGAAGACGCCGCAUGGACCAGGCAUCUUGAGUUCAAGGUAGGCGUAGUUUGGUAUUUCGUUAAAGCAAGCGAAGGCUGGUCUUCCAAGCAAUGCAUGAUAAUCGCUGCUGAAGGGAGCGAUGUUGAAGAGUAAGUUCUCGCAUCUGAAGUUGUUGGGAGAACCGAAUGUUACUUCUAACACGAGGGAUACCCAACAAUGGGCCACGACGCCUGGAAUUACUCCAUUGAAGGUGGCAUUGUUUUGAUUUAUUCUGGAUGGUUCUAUCCCCAUCCUGCGGAUGGUGUCUUGAUAUAUUAAAUUAAGACUACUGUCGCCGUUCAUUAGGACAUGAGUGAGAUGGUCUCCAUCGAUUAUUGGGUCGAGCACCAAGGUAGCCAAUCCUCCGUGCCGGAUACUGGCCGGAUAGUCCCUAUGAUCAAAAGUGAUCGGGCAAUUUUCCCAGGGAUUAGAUUGGGGGGCUACGAACUCUGCAUGAGUUGCGUGUACCAUGUUUACCGUUUUGACUUCCGAUGGGAAUUGUUUCUGGCCCCUAGUAUUUGGCUGGAGAGGCUCAUCCUCGUCUUCGCUUGGUGUUUCCCUUCCCUUAUGUUCGGUGUUUAACUUGUCGGCCUGCUUGAAGACCCAACAUUCUUUGUGGGUUUGAUUUGCAGGUUUGUCGAAAGUGCCAUGGAUUUGGCACAAUCUGUCCAAGACUUUGUUCAGGCCGGAUGGUUCCUCUUUACUGUCGUUAAAUGGCAUUUUUCCUUGACUGGGUUGAGAGCCCCUGAAUCCGGCGUUGACUGCUAUGUUGUCCGGACUGUUGUUAUUCCGACGUUUGUUCUUGGUGUGCCGUGUCUUCCCGUUGCCAUCUCGAAUUUCGGAUGUGCAUGGGUCGCUGGGGCCUUUACGGGCCAACCAGCUGUCCUCGCCCGCGCAAAAUUGGGUCAUGAGGCUUGUUAAGGCUGCCAUCAUUCUCGGCUUUUCUUGGCCGAGGUGUCUGGUAAGCAACUCGUCUCAGAUACUCUGUUUGAAGGCCGCUAAGGCUUCGACAUCCGGACAGUCGACAAUUUGAUUCUUCUUAGUGAGGAAUUUGUUCCAAAGUUUGCAGGCUGACUCUCCAGGCUGUUGUAUUAUGUGACUUAAAUCGUCCGCAUCUAGAGGCCGGACAUAGGUCCCUUGAAAGUUGGCCCUGAAAGCAUCCUCAAGUUCGUCCCAACUUCCAAUUGAGUUUUCGGGGAGGCUUUUCAGCCAAUGACGAGCUGGUCCUUUUAACUUGAGGGGGAGGUAUUUAAUGGCGUGGAGGUCGUCCCCACGAGCCAUGUGUAUAUGAAGGAUAAAAUCUUCAAUCCAGACCCCGGAGUCCGUCGUUCCGUCGUAUGACUCUAUAUUCACGGGUUUAAAUCCCUGUGGAAAUUCAUGGUCCAGCACCUCAUCCGUGAAGCACAGGGGGUGUGCAGCCCCUGUGUAUCUGGCUAUGUUGCGGCCUGCUGCCGGCCAUUGUUGCUCCUGGUGUUGAUUCUGGACAGGUAUUCGAUCGACAUGAUCGCUGUGGUGACAAUAAUCCCGCACUGGAGCCUGUCCUCUGGACCCAUAGAUGGACCUGGCCGCACUGGCCUCUUUGUCCAGGAGCUCUCAUAAAUCACGUGCAGUAUCCAUGGCUGCUCUAUCAUAGCCAUGAGGUGGUUGGUCCGGCUGAGUAGCCGUAUUGUUUUGGGUCGGACAGGUGUUGCGCCUUCAUUGUCGAAUUUGGGUAACAGCUUGCGCUUUGGGUAGCUCUUUGUGUGGCGAUUAUCGCCAUGCUUUCCUUCGGUGUCCAUCACCUUAUUCCAUCGUCGGUUGAGCAUAUCCUGCGCGGCCUUUAAUCUUUGCUUCUGCUUCUUCAGGCUCCGCGUUGUUGCAGGAGUUUUCUGCGGAGUUUGUCUUGUUUGGAAUGUUCUUCCGGGAUGAUGAAAGCAUCAUUGACCGGACUGUUAGCUUCUUUUGAGGUAGCAUGAUGAGUUCGGCCCUCUAAAUCAGGCGUCUGCUCGGGGCUGUGUUCGGCCUAACCUGGUUUAUCCUGCUCCAUCACUGGAUCCCUAUGGUCGUUGUUGCCUUCGAAAUCAACUGGAGUGUCAUCCUGUUUUGGAUUAUUAUCGCUAUUUUUGAUGUGACUGGACCUAAGGCGGCGCUUACGCCGUCGUUUUUGUUUUUGCCCGAGGGGUUUAUCCUCCGUUGUGUCCUUUUUGUCACUAUUGUCCUCUUUGGGUGUGUCCACCAUGUAGGCGUCGCAUGAUGAAGUGGCAGUCCAGCGCUGCGUGGGCGGUGGUUCCGGAUCUUCCCCUAUAUCAACGUCCAUACCGUCGAUGUUAUUGGGGGAGCUGUCAAGCAUGUCUGUUAGGUCGUCGACAGUGGCUAUAAAGUGGGUGGUGGGUGGGUCGCGAUUUUCCUCGUCCUCCAUAUCCCACACGGGCCGAACAUAGUUCGGCCAGGGGCCUCUUGACAAAGAGAGAGACUUUAAUGAAUCCAGCAUAUCUCCGAAGGGUGAGUGCUGGAAGAUAUCCGCGGAGGCGAACUCCAUGACUGGAGCCCUAUUAGGCUCAAUGGGCAAGAGUGCGUGCGGUCCGGAACACACUACCGGAGAUGAGUCCGGGGGUCCGGAGACACAGAUCCUUUUAGGAGAGGAGUCUGUGUUCGGCUCCAACGCCGAGGAGUACGUGGCCUUCGGGCGGGGUCCAUCCACCCGUCCUUGGAAGGCACGACCCGCUCUGGAAUGGAGUCCGGAGCGGUAGCAGACGCGAUGUUCCGAAUAUUAUCCGACUGCCGAUCUAGAUCGUGCACAUCGUGAUUGUUCAGCGCUCCUGACACAGGCCUGAAUCCGUCGAAGAUCAAGUCUCCGCGGAUAUUGGCGGUGUGGUUUAGGUUUCCUCCAGAGCUGGCCUGAUGGUCGGGGGCGUAGCUAUUGAUCUGCUCCAGAUGACCAAGCGAGUUGGCCCGCAGUGCGAAGCCGCCGAACACGAAGGUCUGUCCGGGGAGAAAAUUCUCGCCCAGGACAGCGUGGUUGAAGGUUGGAGAAGCCAUCUAGCCUUGCAGCAACGGCACAGAGGAACUCUCAAUGAAAGCACCAAUGUCGGUGUCAAAACCGGCGGAUCUCGGGGAGGGGGUCCCGAACUGUGCGUCUUAGGCUAAUGGUAACAGGAGACUGGGGACAUGAUGUUUACCCAUGUUUGGGCCCUGUCGAUGGAGGUAAUACCCUACUUCCUGCUUGAUUGAUCUUGAUGAUAUGAGUAUUACAAGAGUUGAUCUACCACGAGAUCAGAGAUGCUAAACCCUAGAAGCUAGCCUAUGGUAUGAUUGAUGAUGAUGAUCGUGGGUCCUACGGACUAAACCCUCCGGUUUAUAUAGACACCGGAGGGGGCUAGGGUUACAUAGAGUCGGUUUACAGAGAAGGAGAUCUACAUCUGAAUCGCCAAUCUUGCCUUCCGCGCCAAGGAGAGUCUCAUCCGGACACGGGAGAAAGUCUUCUAUCUUGUAUCUUCAUAGUCCAACAGUCCGGCCAAAGUAUAUAGUCCGGCUGUCCGGAUACCCCCUUAUCCAGGACUCCCUCACCCGCCAAAGCUCCACCGUCAUUCCCAUGUAGCUGCCAGCCCAGCCAGCCAGGCGAGCACCUGUGUGGCGACGUACGGCCCCGAAACCAACCAGCAAGCACCUGUGUGGUGGCAUGCAAAUCUUCACGAAGACCCUGCCACCGCACCAGCUCAGCAGCCUACCAGCCUACAUGGCACUGCACGUCGCACUAGCCUGGAUGCGUGUUGAAGCAAGGUGAAGCGGCGACAGCAAGAAGGGCACAUCAGCAGCGCAUUAAAUGCGUUUGUCUGACGGUGCCAGAGGAUAGACUCAACCACCACAUGCACUUUCCACCUCCUGUGUGCCACUGUGGCGUCCCUUUUUGCCCUAUAAAAGGAGGCCCGAGGCGUACGGGAGAAGGACUCGACUUUUUGGACAACGCACACACCGUAGCUAGUUCAAGAAUGCAAGAACAUUCAGAUAUACACCAAAGCAGGACUAGGGUAUUAUGCGAUUCACCUCUUCGGAGUGUUGUGCUCCUGUCGAUGACGUGCCAGAGAGCUCCACUGGCAAGAGCAAGAAAUCAAGAGAUGCACCACCAGAGACCAAGAAGGUGUCCGUCAAGGAGGAUGGCACGGGAGGGGCUUUCACCAUAAGCUCCACCCUCGAUGGCAAAUAGGAAUGCGAGCUCAUCACUUUCCCGCGGGCGAAUGUCAAUGUGUUUGCAUGGCAAGCAUCCGACAUCCCCGAUGUUCCCAGGGAGAUGAUUGAGCACCAUCUUGCUGUCUGUCCUCAUGCGCGGCCCGUCAAGAAGAAGGUCAGGAAGCAAGCUCUCAAGAGGCAGGAGUUCAACACAUAAGAGAUCAGAAAGCUAGAAGCGGCAGGCUUGGUGAGAGGAGUACUCCAUCUGACGUGGUUGGCCAAUCCGGUGGUAGUGCGCAAGGCAAAUGGGAAGUGGAGGCUGUGUAUUGAUUACAUAGAUAUCAAUAAGGCCUGUCCAAAAGACCCUUUCCCAUUGCCGCGCAUUGAGUAGAUUGUUGACUCCACGAUCGGCUGUGACCUGUUGUCCUUCCUUGACGCCUACUUAGGAUACCAUCAGAUUUUCAGGACGAGAGAAGAUGAAGAGAAGACAACAUUCAUCACCCCAUGUGGUACGUAUUGCUUUUUACGGAUGCCUUUUGGGUUGAUGAGUGUUGGCUCGACCUUCGCAAGAGCAGUCCAAAUUGGUUUUGAGCCCCAGCUACAUAGAAAUAUGGAAGCUUAUAUGGAUGACAUAGUGGUCAAAACCAAGGAUAAGGCAACACUUGUGCAAGAUUUGGAAGAUACGUUUGCAAAUCUACGCAAGAUCAACCUCAAGCUGAACCCUGAGAAGUAUGUCUUUAGCGUUCCGUCCGGCAAGUUCUCGGGUUCUUUGUGUCGCAGCAUGGGAUUGAGGCGAAUGCAUACAAGAUCAAGGCCAUCGAGCAGAUUGAGGUGCCUAGGCGGAUCAAGCAUGUGCGCCAGCUCACCGGCUGCGUUGCCGCCAUGAGCAGAUUCAUCUCCAAGUCUGCUGAGCGUGCCCUUCCCUUUUUCAAAAUCUUGAAAAAGGCUGGCCCAAUGGAGUGGAACCCAUAGGCCGAGGCAGCGCUGCAGGAUUUGAAGAAAUACCUCUCCUCCACGCCGAUACUGGUUGCGCCUAAACCACAAGAGCCACUGCUGUUGUAUCUAGUGGCAAUGAGUCAACUGGUUAGCACCGCACUAGUGGCACAGAGGGAGGUCGCCGAAGGGACAGUGGAAACGGCGGGGUUGGCGGAUGGCGAGCCAGAGCUCCCCCCGGCAGGGCCUGGUCCCAGUAGGGCGAGGCAAUCGGCAGGGUCUGACGCCGGCAUUCAUCAGAAAUAAAAAAUAAAUGUAAAUUAGCAGUGAUGCUAUUUUUUUGAGAACCAAUCAGCAGCGAUACUAUACCAUGCGGUUUUCUUGCUCCUCGAUAUCGGAAAGAAUACUUCCGUUCGCCAACAUGUGGGACGUCGACCAUCCUGGUCCACUUGCCAUGCACGCAGAACUCCAAGGGAGAAUCACCCUGGUCGCCCGCCGCAGUAAUAGUGACUAAUGAGCCGUCAAAUCACAGACCCAACCUUUCCCACUUUGAAGUUGCUCGGACGAAGGAACCAACAUGACUUCGUUGAAUUCCGCUUCUUGAAGAAAACUACUGUACCAGCAGUACUGCUAGCUACAGUAGUUACUCCAAUAGAGGCCUCCUUUCGUUCAUAAGAUAGGAAUUUUAUUGGAAUAUGAAAAUCAUAGGAAGUGAGAUGACAUGCAUCUCAAUUCCUAUAGAGAAAGAGAUGCCAUUUGAUGCAUAGGAUAGGAAUUUUUCCAUUGAGUCUAGGUUAAUGUACUGGUAAUUUGCUCUAAAACUACAGUAGUAACUAGUAGUACUGGUACAUGCUCGUACUCAAACACAGACACACACAUUAACUACUAGUACUACUACUUCUCACAUGCUGGCCAGACGUCGUCGUUCUCCUUCCCGGCUUUGUCGGCGACACCCCAUCAUGCUUGGAUCUCCGCCGACCUCUCCGCAGCAGUGCGUGCAUCCUCUUCUUUCUUGCGGCGGCAGGCCUCUCUUUCUUGAGUGCUUUCUGACUUUUCCGCUCCCUCUGUGCAGCUUUGGCCGCCUCUUUCUCUACCGCCCAUUCGGCCUUGGCAGCUUCAAAUUCCUCCCACAUAGGUGUGAGGUCGCGAGCGGCGAUGAACUCGGCACGGCGGGAUGCCAUCGCUUCCCUACCAUUUUGUGUGUGAUCUGAGCGGCGAGGAACUCGGUGCGGUGGGAUGCCGUCGCUUCCUUACCGGCUAGUGUGCGGCGCGGUGGCAUGAACGACGCUUGGUGAGAGCUCUGGGGUGGAGUGGCCGGACAACCGUAUAGUGCAUUGGUUUGUCAAGAGCUCAAGGACAGAAGACGAAGGAAAUCUGAUUCCCCUUCGAUCAUGGUCAUUUAUUACCAAGUAAAAUGCAUUGUCGGUCAUCAAACUUGUCUUGAUAGCUCACUUUGAUCAUUGUAUACAAGAUAUGGUGAUUAUACAGUCACUGGCUCAGCGUAUAGCUCCGUAUUUGUCUGGUUGACCAGUCAAGCAGUCCGCAUGCGCCUCAUCAGCUCGUGUGCUUUAUCUAUCUACGGAGGCCUACCUAUCAAUGGAGAAAGAAAUAAAAACCAAAAUUAUGCGUAUGUGGGGAAUCAAACCACGGUCUCGUCACUGCAACGCACACUCGUCAGCCAAAUGAAAAUGAAAUACUUUGCGUCGGACACUCACGCUCACGCUGUCAAAGCAUGCUAAUGCAUGCACGUCGCCCUCUCAAUCAAAGUCCUGCUCAUGGCGCAACGCAAACGGCGAUCCCAUCACCUGCGUGCCCCGGCGGUGCCUAACAUUACUGUUUAGACGUUUGAUGGAGGCUUACGCGAAUACCAAGCAUGUAUUUACCUGGCUCAACACCAACGGUCAUACUCGGAGUGCCUUGCUCAUGUAUAUCAUCCAUCACAACGACAAUCUAUAAAACAACCUAGCUAGAGAGGGUACUAUGGUAUGGAGUAUGUACUAUCGUGAGCGACCGAUCCUAGUGCCACUGCACACGAGUGUGUGUCUAAUCGAUUUGUCCAUUAUUCGUAAGUUAUGCAUGGUUGUGUGGUGUCUAAUGGUGGUCGUCGAAGGCUAGCUGGCGACAAGAGAGGUUGCAUGGACACCUGGUUGUCAAUAUGUGCCGCAUAUGCUUCAAAGGCUCAUCAUCCAUGAGUUCACACUUUACCACCACGCUAGCGUAUGACCGCCCUGGCCUACUGAAACCCCUUCUAUCGCUAGCGCGUGCUUCCCGCCUGAAAUUGUCACCGUCUCUCCAGAACGUCAAUGCCGCAUUCACUGGACUUAACUGCAGGUGCAGUUGGUGUGUCACUGACAUGCGGGCGAGAUGCCCAUUGGGCCCACAUGUCAGUAACCCAAUGCACCUGCAGUUAAGUCACUGAAGCAGCAUUCACAUUCACGCUCGACGAACCUACUCCAGCGCCAGCCGUCCAUCCGUCUGCCGCAGCUCAUUGCCAUUUGCCCGCUAUAUUAACUUGAGCCCUAGCUCCCAGCCAUAGCCAAAGACCCACACUCAUUCUCCUCCGGUCCCUUCCUUCUAUCGGCAUCACUCCAACCAUGGCCUCCUGGCGCCCUGAAGCUCUCUUGGACGUAUUGUCGCAGGAGCAGAUGAGGGACAUCGGCGGCUCCGCUCCGAGCACGCUCCAAAGCUCUCUUUGACGUACUGUCGCAAGAGCAGACGAAGGAGAUCGCCGGCACCCCCCGGCCGCCCUCCGCCACCAUGACCACGAAGCCGGCGCGCGUGCACGGGCGCAGCCGGCAGCGAGGAAGAGUAGUACACGAUAGGUGGCCGCCGCUCUAGUCGUAGGAAGGCCAUUGCUACUCCACUCAGUCGACACCAAGCUUGGUGGGGUAACAUCGGCGGCCGAUUAGCCGCUUGACGACGACGUGGAGGCAGAAAUCUUCAGAACCUUGUGCUUCGGAGGAGGAGGUUAUCGAGGCGGAUGAGGAGGAGGCAAAGGCAAUGGCCGGCUUUCUUGGGUUCAUGGCCGGACAUGGUGGUCGGGCGCCGGCGAUCGUUUAGAUUAGGUUUACAGUAGGUUUUAGUAUGGUUUGUGCGAAAUAUGUAAUAAAUUUCGUCCAGCUUGUAGGAAAAGUUUUCGAAAUGUAAUGAAUUUCAUCUAGUUAAUUUGAAAUUUGUUUUGUUUGCACGAAUUUCGUUCGGUUAGUUCAUAUAGUUGUUGAAAGGUAUACGGGCAGCAUCGGAUGGCAUCCAUCAGUGUACUCGGACAGAUGCCGGUGUAAAUUUGUGGGCCAGCGCUAGAGAUGCCCUAACUAUCAUGCUAUAAUCGCUAACAGUGCUCCAUUAUUUGGCAAGGAACAGUUAUCCCUCGAUCAAAAUCAGAUCUGCGGUGUUUCGCACUCCUCCCACAUAAGAGUGUAAACUCUUGCUUACAUAAAAUGGAGCAAGUGGACGGCACUGUAGCAUGUCAUAUCACUAAACUAGCCCGCCUAACAAGCGGGAAAGCACCACCCUCGUCAUUUUGUUCUGGAUUUCUAUCAAUCGAUCGCAUGAAAAUGUUACGCUUUGCAAGUUCUAAAGGAAAAGGCGACACACUUACGACUCGUACGCGUCGCACCCCCGGCAGUCCGGCUCGCACGCCGCUCACCAGAGGGGACACACGUUGUCUUGCAAUUUCACUAACAUGUGGGACUGCAAUUGAAUAAACCGUUGAUAGCCAAAAUCUAAUCGCUCGGCGGGCUCGGCUGAGAAGAGAGAGACGGGGGAGGGAGAAGAGAUCACCCGCCCGCCGCGCACGGACUCCAAGAAAUAUAUGGUGAUAAUGUGAGGUGGGCCAUGCGGGAGUCUGGGCCGCUUCAAAGCCCACUUCUGACCGCCCUGGCCCCUCAGACGCCAGCUGCCCGCCGCAUGCAUGCAUAGCAAGUAGUACCAGUAAAAUACUGGGCUAUACGCCCGCUUAUUGUGGAGGAGAGAGAGGCAUUGACAAAGUCAAGGAGUGGGCUCUGCCAGAGCCCGUCUCUACACGUGCUCCUAGGUAUAAAAAAAUAAUUCUAAAAAAGAGGCAUAAAAACAAUUGUGUCUAAAAAAGAAAGGUAAAAAACAUUUGAGAGGAAAUAGAUAGAGAGAAAGUGAGAAAAAGUUGUAACCUUAUAGCCAACCUUAUAGUCAACAAUAUGGUAGUAUUAUAUGAGGAAGGAGGGAGUGGUGCACAUGCCAAGUUCACUGGGCUGCCAUGUUUCACACUCCUCUGUCGUAACAGUGGAGACAAUAGCUUUCAUCAAAAAUAAACAAUGAAUACUCGUUGCUCAUCCUCUAUAUCGAAAAGAAUACUUUCAUUCACCGACAUGUGGGACGUCGACCAUCCUGGUCCACCUGCCAUGCACAAAAUUGUCCUGGUCUACCCCGGUUGUAUCACAGGCCCAACCUUUCCCACUGUAAGUUGGUCGGACGAAGGAACCAUCAUGACUUCAUUGAAUUCCGCUUCUUCAAGAAAACUUACUGUACCCGCAAUACUGCUACCACACCCGAAGACUGGAUGGCACUGUACCACGUCAUAUCACUGAAACCCACUAGGCCAUCCUAAAAAAACCACUAGGCUAAACUAGCCCGCCUAUAGGUCAUCUAUUUUGGAACAGAGGGAGUACGUCUCUGUACUGCUAUGAUUUUGUGUUGUAUGUCUCUGUACUUUUGCUAUGAUUUUCCUACCCUAUGAACCAAAUGAGGCCUGAAUGUAUCCGUGUUGACUAAGCCUACAAUUUUAGGAGCUUGGGCUAUUGGCCGAUCAACAACGGAUAAGUAUAAGUGUACCACGAGCUCAUGAGCCCUAACGUUUCUCUUGGGUGAGUGUUUUGCAAGUACUAUAGCUCGCACAGUAGCUAGACUACUAACACCAAGAAUCAUCAAACAAGCCAUGCUGAUAUGAUAAACAGUUCAAACUUACAUCUAAGCAUGCCAUAUAUUACAUCAAAAGUUGGUGAGGAUACAUCUGUUUCCAUAACUCGGAGAGGGUUCGCAUGAUUCACUAUCAAACAAAAGUAGCAAGUACCACCCACACAAGACAGUGCACUAGCCCUAAGAUGGUUUGAUAACACGCAUCGUUCUAGUAAUUAAACAUGGGGCAAUGCAAACUACCCUGAAGGAUUAGUGCGACCAACUAUUUCUUGUCAUUGAUCUCUCAGGCAAUGACCACAACACAGACAGCGGCAUGGGAAUCGAUCUCUGGGGCGAUGUCCACAGGAUGGACAACGACAUCGAAUCGAUCUACGGGGCGAUGCCAACAGGACGGACCGUGACAUCGAAAACGAUCUCUGGGGCAUUGUCCAUAGGACGGGCCGCGACAUCGGAAUCAUCAAGGACGUCCACCGGCACCUGCACAACCCUAACAUAUUAUCAAGCACAUUUUAAAUAAUCAAAAACCACAACUAUGGUAAUAAGCCAUUAUUUUUUACCUUGUGCAACUCACUAGGGGAUCCCAUCCCUCGGGGGGGCCAUAUCCUCAUCCUCGAUGGGGGCCAUCACCUUGCCAGGGGAAUACUGCUUCUCAACGGCGACUAUCUCCUCAAACUCGGCCUUGAGCUUCGCAUAGGUGGCCAUCAGAGUUUCUGGGGUAGGCAUGGUGGGGCCCUUGCUGUUCUUCCAACUUUGUUUGAGGAGUUCGUCCUUGAUACGUCCCCGUCGUAUCUAUAAUUUUUGAUUGUUCCAUGCCAAUAUUCUACAACUUUCAUAUACUUUUGGCAACUUUUUAUACUAUUUUUUGGGACUAACAUAUUGAUCCAGUUCCCAGUGCCAGUUCCUGUCUGUUGCAUGUUUUAUGUUUCGCAGAAACCCCAUAUCAAACGGAGUCCAAACGGGAUAAAAACGGACGGAGAAUUAUUUUGGAAUGUUUGUGAUUUUUCGGAAGUAAAAUCAACGCGAGACGGUGCCCGAGGGGGCCAGGAGAUAGGGGGUGCACCCUGGACUCUCCUGGGCCCCCUGUAAGGCGGUUGAUGCUCUUCUUUUUCCGCAAGAAAGCUAAUUUUAUGAGAAAGAUCUCGGUGAAAGAUUCAUCCCAAUCGGAGUUACGGAUCUCCGGAUAUAAAAGAAACGGUGAAGGGGCAGAAUCUGAGAACGCAAAAACAGAGAGAGACAGAGAGAUGGAUCCAAUCUCGGAGGGGCUCUCGCCCCUCCCAAGCCAUGGGAGCCAUGGACCAGAGGGGAAACCCUUCUCCCAUCUAGGGAGGAGGUCAAGGAAGAAGAAUAAGAAGGGGACCUCUCUCCCCAUUGCUUCCAGUGGCGCCGGAACACCGCCGGGGGCCAUCAUCAUCACCGCGAUCUACACCAACACCUCCGCCAUCUUCACCAACAUCUCCAUCACCUUCCCCCUUCUAUCUACAGCGGUCCACUCUCCCGCAACCCGCUAUACCCUCUACUUGAACAUGGUGCUUUAUGCUUCAUAUUAUUAUCCAAUGAUGUGUUGCCAUCCUAUGAUGUCUGAGUAGAUUUUUGUUGUCCUACCGGUGAUUGAUGAAUUGCUAUGAUUGGUUUGAAUUGCAUGUUUUAUUAUUGGUGCUGUCCUAUUGUGCCCUUCGUGUCACGCAAGCGUGUGGGAUUCCCGCUAUAGGGUUUGCAAUAUGUUUAUGAUUUGCUUAUGGUGGGUGGCGUGAGUGACAGAAGCACAGACUCGAGUAAGUAGGUUGUUUGCGUAUGGGAUAAAGGGGACUUGAUACUUUAAUGCUAUGGUUGGGUUUUACCUUAAUGAUCUUUAGUAGUUGCGGAUGCUUGCUAGAGUUCCAAUCAUAAGUGCAUAUGAUCCAAGAAAAUAAAGUAUGUUAGCUUAUGCCUCUCCCUCAAAUAGAAAUGCAAUAGUGAUUACCGGUCUAGUAACGUAGUCAAUUGCUUAGGGACAAUUUCACAACUCCAACCACCACUUUUCACACUCGCUAUAUUUACUUUAUUGCAUCUUUAUCUGAACAGCCCCUAGCUUUUAUUUACGUGCUCUUUAUUAUCUUGCAAACCUAUCCUAUCACACCUACAAAGUACUUCUAGAUUCAUACUUGUUCUAGGUAGAGCAAACACUAAGCAUGCGUAGAGUCAUAUCAGUGGCAUAUAGGACUUGAGAGAAUAUUUGUUCUACCUUUAGAUCCUCGUUGGGUUUGACACUCUUACUUAUCGAAUGAGGCUACAACUAUCCCAUAUACUUGCCGGUCAUCAAGACCUUUUUCUGGCGCCGUUGUCGGGGAGUCAUAGCGUGGGGUGAAUAUUCUUGUGUGUGCUUGUUUGCUUUAUCACUAAGUAAUUUUUAUUUACUGUUCUUAGUUGUUUUCUAUCUUUAGUUAUGGAUAUGGAACAUGAAAUAUCAAAAAAAAAUAGGUGUACUUGCUACUCAUGGAGAUGGGGAACCUCCUAAAACCCUCGAUGCUCAUUAUGUUCAAGAUAUUAUGUACUACUUUGAUAAUCCUGAGAAAACCCCAUUCAAUUUUUUUAUGGGAGACAGGUUGGAUCAACGUGAAUACUUUAGGGAUUAUGUCUUGAUACAAAAAGGGAAGCUAUUGUGGGAUCAAAUGUAUAUGUUGCAUUGGUAUGCUCGGGACCUAUGCUUGAGAUAUGAUUAUACUUGUUGCUCUAGGAUGAAGGCUCCACACCUUCCCUUUUCAUGCAAAUUCAAUGAUAAUAAAACCUUGGCUUCUUAUGCUAAUGGUAUCUAUGAUUACUAUGAUGUGGAACAAAUAGAACAAUUCAUUGCUUUUAAGGGUGCUUAUGAAAUUGAAUCUUUGUUUGAAAAGUAUGAAGCUUUAGAUGAUGAUGUUUAUAGACCUGAAAAUUAUGCUAUAUUGAAAUAUUGCUAUGAAAAUUAUGAAUAUAACUACAAUAUUGAUGCAUUUAUUGAGAAAGUCUCUGCUGUCCAGGAAGAGACUAAUAUUUUGCAGGAGUCUACGGAAGAAGAAUUUGAUGAAACUGUGAGCUCAUUGGAUGAAAAAGAUGAGGAGGAGAGUGAAGAACAUAAGGAGGAAGAGCGGAUUAGCUACCCGUGCUCACCUUCUAAUGAGAGUAACUCUUCGACUCAUACAUUCUUUCAUUUCCCUUCGUACUUACCGAAGGAUGAUUGCUAUGAUGAUUGUUAUGUUCCCGUUGAUUCUCUUGGAAUACCCCUUUUUGAUGAUGCUUGCUAUGCUUGUGGCCAAGAUGCCAAUAUGAAUUAUUCUUAUGGAGAUGAACUUGCUAUAGUUCCUUAUGUUAAACAUGAAAUUGUUGCUAUUACAGCCACACAUGAUAGUCCUAUUAUCUUUUUGAAUUCUCCCGACUACAGUAUAUCAGAGAAGUUUGUGCUUAUUAAGGAUUAUAUUGAUGGGUUGCCUUUUAUCGUUGCACAUGAUGAUUUUGAUAGAUAUAAUAUGCAUGUGCUUGCUGCUCCUACUUGCAAUUAUUAUGAGAGAGGAACUAUAUCUCCACCUCUCUAUGUUUCCAAUAUGAUAAAUUUGCAAGAAACUGUUUAUACUAUGCAUUAGCCUUUACUUGGUGUGCAUGAAUUGUUCUUUUAUGACAUGCCGAUGCAUAGGAAGAGAGUUAGACUUCGUUGUUGCUUGAUAUAUGUUACCUUGUGCUCACUACUAAAUUACAAAUCAUUGUUAAUUAAAAUUGGCUUUGAUAUACCUUGGGAUCCGGGUGGAUUCAUUACUUGAGCACUAUAUGCCUAGCUUAAUGGCUUUGAAAGCGCUGCUAGGGAGACAACCCGGAAGUUUUAGAGAGUCAUUUUUUUUUGAGUGCUUUUAUAUAGUUUAAAAAUAAAAAAGUAAAGACGGGAACCCAAAACUUUUCAAAAAGGAAAGUGAAAGUGAGAAAGACAAGCAUUGAUUGAAGUGGGAGCUAGCCUUGAACUUUGUUCAUGCUCACGGAAACUUUGUGAAUCUUGAUUACAGAAACUUUUCAACAAAAAUAAUCAUCCCCUUUUGCAAUUCCAUUGUAUUAUAAAAAUAAUGUGCUAAGGUUUGCCUUUAGGAUGUCUACAAUACUUGUUGGUUUGUACGGUGCAGGACAGAAACUUUGGCUGUAGUGCGUGAUUUUACAUUUUCUACUGGAACGUCAAACGGUUCUGAUUAUUUUUGCACUGUCUUUCUGUAUAAUUUUUUUAUUUUUCCUAAUUUUGGUAGAAUUUGUGGGGUACCGUAAGUACGGUGAAUGUUCAGAUUGCUACAGACUGUUCUGUUUUUGACAGAUUCUGUUUUUGAUGCAUAGUUGGCUUGUUUUGAUGAAUCUAUCAAUUUAUAUCAGUGGAUUAAGCCACGGAAAAGCUAUAUUAUAGUAUACACAAUGAAAAAACAAAAUAUUAAUUGGUUUUCUACAGUACUUAGAGUAGUGAUUUGCUUUAUUAUACUAACGGAUCUUACCGAGUUUUCUGUUGAAGUUUUGUGUGGAUGAAGUGUUUGAUCGAGGAGGCCUGAUAUGAGGAAAAGGAAGAGAGGCAAGAUCUCAAGCUUUGGGAUUCCCAAGGCACCCCAAGUAAAUAUUCAAGGAGACUCAAGCGUCUAAGCUUGGGGGUUCCCCAGAAGGCAUCCCCUCUUUCUUCAACAAGUAUCGGUAUGUUUUCGUAUUUGUUUCGUUCAUGCGAUAUGUGCAAAUCUUGGAGCGUCUUUUGCAUUUAGUUUUCACAUUCUUUUAUGCACCAUGCUGGUAUGAGAUAGUCCUUGGUUGAUUUAUAGAAUGCUCAUUGCACUUCACUUAAAUCUUUUGAGUAUGGCUUUAUAGAAUGCUUCAUGUGCUUUACUUGUAUCAUUUGAAGUUUGGAUUGCUAGUUUCUCUUCACAUAGAAAACUGCCAUUUGUAGAAUGCUCUGUUGCUUCACUUAUAUUUGUUAGAGCGUGGGCAUAUCUUUUGUAGAAAGAAUUAAACUCUCUUGCUUCCUUAUAUCUAUUUAGAGAGAUGACAGGAAUUGGUCAUUCACAUGGUUAGUCAUAAAAUCCUACAUAAACUUGUAGAUCGCUGAAUAUGAUAUGUUUGAUUCCUUGCAAUAGUUUUGCGAUAUAAAGAUGGUGAUAUUAGAGUCAUGCUAGUGGGUAGUUGUGGAUUGUAGAAACACUUGUGUUGAGGUUUGCAAGUCUCGUAUCAUGCAUGUAUGGUAACUGUUGUGUGACAAAUUUGAAGCAUGGGGUGUUUCUUUGAUUGUCUUCCUUAUGAGUGGCGGUCGGGGACGAGCGAUGGUCUUUUCCUACCAAUCUAUCCCCCUAGGGGCGUGCAUAGUAGUACUUUGCUUCGAGGGCUAAUAAACUUUUGCAAUAAGUAUAUGAGUUCUUUAUGACUAAUGUGAGUCCAUGGAUUAUACGCACUUUUACCUUUCCAUCAUUACUAGCCUCUUCGGUACUAUGCAUUGCCCUUUCUCGCCUUGAGAGUUGGUGCAAACUUCGCCGGUGCAUCCAAACCCCGUGAUAUGAUACGCUCUAUCACACAUAAGCCUCCUUAUAUCUUCCUCAAAACAGCCACCAUACCUACCUACCAUGGCAUUUCCAUAGCCAUUCCGAGAUAUUAUUGCCAUGCAACUUCCAUCAUCAUCAUAUACAUGACUUGAGCAUUCAUUGUCAUAUUUCCUUGCAUGAUCAUAAGAUAGCUAGCAUGAUGUUUUCAUGGCUUGUCCGUUUUUUGAUGCCAUUGCUACGCUAGAUCAUUGAACAUCCCGGUACACCGCCGGAGGCAUUCAUAUAGAGUCAUAUCUUUGUUCUAGUAUCGAGUUGUAAUAUUGAGUUGUAAGUAAAUAGAAGUGUGAUAAUCAUCAUUAUAGAGCAUUGCCCCAUAAAAAAAGAUAGGCCAAAGAAGCCUAAAUAAAAAAAGGGGGCCAAAGAAGCCCGCAAAAGAAAAAAAAGAAAAAAGGGAAAAAAAGGGGCAAUGUUACUAUCCUUUUACCACACUUGUGCUUCAAAGUAGCGCCAUGUUCUUCAUAUAGAGAGUCUCUUAUGUUAUCACUUUCAUAUACUAGUGGGAAUUUUUUCAUUAUAGAACUUGGCUUGUAUAUUCCAAUGAUGGGAUUUCUCAAGUGCCGUAGGUCUUCAUGAGCAAGCAAGUUGGAUGCACACCCACUUAGUUUUCAGUUUGAGUUUUCAUACACUUAUAGCUCUAGUGCAUCCAUUGCAUGGCAAUCCCUACUCCUCGCAUUGACAUCAAUUGAUGGGCAUCUACAUAGCCUGUUGAUUAGCCGUGUCGAUGUGAGACUUUCUCCCUUUUUGUCUUCUCCACAUAAACCCCCACCAUCAUAUUCUAUUCCACAUAUAGUGCUAUAUCCAUGGCUUGCGCUCAUGUAUUGCGUGAGGGUUGAAAAGGCUGAAGCGCGUUAAAAAGUAUGAACCAAUUGCUCAGCUUGUCAUCGGGGUUGUGCAUGAUGGGAGCAUUUUGUGUGACGAAAAUGAAGCAUGGCUAAACUAUAUGAUUGUGUAGGGAUAAGCUUGCUUUGGCCAUGUUGUUUUGAAAAGACAUGAUUGCUUUAUUAAGUACGCUCGAAGUAUUAUUGUUUUUAUGUCAAAUGAUAGACUAUUGCUUUGAAUCACUCGUGUCUUAAUAUUCACGCCAUGAUUAGACAUAUGAUCAAGAUUAUGCUAGGUAGCAUUACACAUCAAAAAUUAUCUUUUUUAUCAUUUACCUACUCGAGAACGAGCAGGAAUUAAGCUUGGGAAUGCUGAUACAUCUCUGUCGUAUCUAUAAUUUUUUAUUGUUCCAUGCCAAUAUUCUACAACUUUCAUAUACUUUUGGUAACUUUUUAUACUAUUUUUUGGAACUAACAUAUGGAUCCAGUGCCCAGUGCCAGUUCCUGUCUGUUGCAUGUUUUAUGUUUUGCAGAAACCCCAUAUCAAAUGGAGUCCAAACGGGAUGAAAACGGACGGAGAAUUAUUUUGGAAUAUUUGUGAUUUUUCGGAAGUAAAAUCAACGCGAGACGGUGCCCGAGGGGGCCAGGAGAUAGGGGGCGCGCCCUAGGGAGGCAGGCACUGUUGGAAAUAUGCCCUAGAGGCAAUAAUAAAAGUGUUAUUAUUAUAUUUCUUUGUUCAUGAUAAUAGUCUUUUAUUCAUGCUAUAACUGUAUUAUCCGGAAAUCGUAAUACACGUGUGAAUACAUAGACCACAAUAUGUCCCUAGUAAGCCUCUAGUUGACUAGCUCGUUGUGAUGAACAGAUAGUCAUGGUUUCCUGGCUAUGGACAUUGGAUGUCGUUGAUAACGGGAUCACAUCAUUAGGAGAAUGAUGUGAUGGACAAGACCCAAUCCUAAGCAUAGCACAAAGAUCGGUUAGUUCGUUUGCUAGAGCUUUUCCAAUGUCAAGUAUCUCUUCCUUCGACCAUGAGAUCGUGUAACUCCUGGAUACCGUAGGAAUGCUUUGGGUGUAUCAAACGUCACAACGUAACUGGGUGACUAUAAAGGUGCACUACAGGUAUCUCCGAAAGUGUCUAUUGGGUUGACACGGAUCGAGACUGGGAUUUGUCAGUCCGUAUGACGGAGAGGUAUCUCUGGGCCCACUCGGUAAUGCAUCAUCAUAAUGAGCUCAAGGUGACCAAGGUGUUGGCCACGGGAUCAUGCAUUACGGUACGAGUAAAGUGACUUGCCAGUAAUGAGACUGAACAAGGUAUUGGGAUACCGACGAUCGAGUCUCGGGCAAGUAACGUACCGAUUGACAAAGGGAAUUGUAUACGGGGUUUGAUCGAAUCCUCGACAUCGUGGUUCAUCCGAUGACUUCAUCGAGGAGCAUGUGGGAGCCAACAUGGGUAUCCAGAUCCCGCUGUUGGUUAUUGACCGGAGAGUCUCGGUCAUGUCUGCAUGUCUCCCGAACCCGUAGGGUCUACACACUUAAGGUUCGGUGACGCUAGGGUUAUCAAGAAGACAAGUAUGUGAUUACCGAAUGUUGUUCGGAGUCCCGGAUGAGAUCCCGGACGUCACGAGGAGUUCCGGAAUGGUCCGGAGGUAAAGUUUUAUAUAUGGGAAGUUGUUAAACGGGCACCGGAAAGUUUUGGGGUCAUACCGGUAUUGUACCGGGACCACCGGAAAGGUUCCGGGGGUCCACCGGGAGGGACCACCCCUCCCGGGGGGCCACUUGGGCUGCGUAGGGAUAGCAGCCAGCCCCUAGUGGGCUUGGCACCCCCCCCCUUGGGCCCAUGCGCCUAGGGUUGGGGGCGCACCCCCCUUGCUUGGGGGGCAAGCCCCCCACCCCUUGGCCGCCGCCCCCCUAGGGUUUUCCCUAGAGGGCCGGCCCCCCUUGCCCCUUCCCCUAUAUAUAGAGGGGUGAGGGGAGGGCUGCAAUACACCACAACUCAAGGCACAGCCCCUCCCCUCCCCAACACCUCUCCUCCUCCGUACGUGCUUGGCGAAGCUCUGUCGGAGUACUGCUGCACCAACUACACCACGCCGUCGUGCUGCCGUUGGAGCUGCCUUCCUCAACCUCUCCUUCCUCCUUGCUGGAUCAAGACGGAGGAGAUGUCUCCCAUCCCGUACGUGUGUUGAACGCGGAGGUGCUGUCCGUUCAGCACUUGGACAUCGGUGAUCCGAAUCACGUUCGAGUACGACUCCAUCAUCACCAUCCCCUUGACAAGCUUCCGCUCGUGAUCUACAAGUGGUAUGUAGAUGCAAACUCUUCCCCUUGACUCGUUGCUUAGAUGAACUCAUAGAUGGAUCUUGGUGAAACCGUAGGAAAAUUUGUAAUUUUCUGCAACGUUCCCCAACAGUGGCAUCAUGAGCCAGGUUUAUGCGUAGUUCUCUUUGCACGAGUAGAACACAAUUUUGUUGUGGGCGUGGAUCUUGUCAACUUGCUUGCCUCUACUAGUCUUUUCUUGCUUCAGCGGUAUUGUGGGAUGAAGCGGCCCGGACCAACCUUACACGUACGCUUACGUGAGACCGGUUCCACCGAUUAACAUGCACUAGUUGCAUAAGGUGGCUGGCGGGUGUCUGUCUCUCCCACUUUAGUUGGAGCGGAUUCGAUGAAAAGGGCCCUUAUGAAGGGUAAAUAGAAGUUGAAAAAAUCACGUUGUGGUUAUUCGUAGGUAAGAAAACGUUCUUGCUAGAACCCAAUUGCAACCACGUAAAAGAUGCAACAACAAUUAGAGGACGUCUAACUUGUUUUUGCAGCGAUUGAUCAUGUGAUGUGAUAUGGCCAGAAGUUGUGAUGAAUGAUGAAUUGUGAUGUAUGAGAUCAUGUUCUUGUAAUAGGAUUCACGACUUGCGUGUCGAUGAGUAUGACAACCGGCAGGAGCCAAAGGAGUUGUCUUUAUUUUUGUAUGACCUACGUGUCAUUGAAGAACGCCAUGUAACUUACUUUACUUUAUUGCUAAACGCGUUAGUCAUAGAAGUAGAAGUAGUCAUUGGCGUGACAACUUCAUGAAGACACGAUGAUGGAGAUCAUGGUGUCAUGCCGGUGACAAGAUGAUCAUGGAGCCCCGAAGAUGGAGAUCAAAGGAGCUAUAUGAUAUUGGCCAUAUCAUGUCACUACUUUAUAUAAUUGCAUGUGAUGUUUAUUAUGUUUUAUGCAUCUUGUUUACUUAGGACGACGGUAGUAAAUAAGAUGAUCCCUUACAAAAUUUCAAGAAGUGUUCUCCCCUAACUGUGCACCGUUGCUACAGUUCGUCGCUUCUAAGCACCACGUGAUGAUCGGGUGUGAUGGAUUAUUACGUUCACAUACAACGGGUGUAAGACAGUUUUACACAGCGAAAACACUUAGGGUUAACUUGACGAGCCUAGCAUGUACAGACAUGGCCUCGGAACACGGAGACCGAAAGGUCGAACACGAGUCGUAUGGAAGAUACGAUCAACAUGAGAAUGUUCACCGACGAUGACUAGUCCGUCUCACGUGAUGAUCGGACACGGCCUAGUCGACUCGGAUCGUGUAACACUUAGAUGACUAGAGGGAUGUCUAAUCUAAGUGGGAGUUCAUAAUUUGAUUAGAACUUAAUUAUCAUGAACUUAGUCUAAAACCUUUGCAAAUAUGUCUUGUAGAUCAAAUGGCCAACGCUCAUGUCAACAUGAACUUCAACGCGUUCCUAGAGAAAACCAAGCUGAAAGAUGAUGCUAGCAACUAUACGGACUGGGUCCGGAACCUGAGGAUCAUCCUCAUAGCUGCCAGGAAACAAUAUGUCCUAGAAGGACCGCUAGGUGACGCUCCCGUCCCAGAGAACCAAGACAUUAUGAAUGCUUGGCAGACUCGUGCUGAUGAUUACUCCCUCGUUCAGCGCGGCAUGCUUUACAGCUUAGAACCGGGGCUCCAAAAGCGUUUUGAGCAUCAUGGAGCAUAUGAGAUGUUCGAAGAGCUGAAACUAGUUUUUCAAGCUCACGCCCGGGUCGAGAGAUAUGACAUCUCCGACAAGUUCUAUAGUUGUAAGAUGGAGGAAAAUAGUUCUGUCAGUGAGCACAUACUCAAGAUGUCUGGGUUGCACAACCGUAUGACCCAGCUGAAUAUUAACCUCCCUGAUGAGGCAGUCAUUGACAGAAUCCUUCAGUCGCUCCCACCAAGCUACAAGAGCUUUGUGGUGAACUACAAUAUGCAGGGGAUGGUAAAGACCAUUCCUGAAGUAUUUUCUAUGCUGAAUUCAGCAGAGGUUGAAAUCAAGAAAGAACAUCAAGUGUUGAUGGUCAAUAAGACCACUAAGUUCAAGAAGGGCAAGGGUAAAAAGAACUUCAAGAAGGACGACAAAGAGGUUGCCGCGCCCGGUAAGCCAGUUGCCGGGAAGAAGUCAAAGAAUGGACCCAAGCCUGAGACUUAGUGCUUUUAUUGCAAGGGGAAGGGUCACUGGAAGCGGAACUGCCCCAAAUACUUAGCGGAUAAGAAUCCCGGCAACACCAAAGGUAUAUUUGAUAUACAUGUAAUUGAUGUGUACCUUACCAGUACUCGUAGUAACUCCUGGGUAUUUGAUACCGGUGCCGUUGCUCAUAUUUGUAACUCACAGCAGGAGCUGCGGAAUAAACGGAGACUGGCGAAGGACGAGGUGACGAUGCGCGUCGGGAAUGGUUCCAGAGUCGAUGUGAUCGCCGUCGGCACGCUGCCUCUACAUUUACCUACGGGAUUAGUUUUGAACCUUAAUAAUUGUUAUUUAGUGCCAAGUUUGAGCAUGAACAUUGUAUCUAGAUCUCGUUUAAUACGAGAUGGCUACUCAUUUAAGUCUGAGAAUAAUGGUUGUUCGAUUUAUAUGAGAGAUAUGUUUUAUGGUCAUGCUCCGAUGGUCAAUGGUUUAUUCAUAAUGAAUCUCGAGCGUAAUAUUACACAUGUUCAUAGUGUAGAUGCCAAAAGAUGUAAAGUUGAUAACGAUAGUCCCACAUACUUGUGGCACUGCCGCCUUGGUCACAUUGGUGUGAAGCGCAUGAAGAAGCUACAUGCUGAUGGACUUUUGGAGUCUCUUGAUUAUGAAUCAUUUGACACAUGCGAACCAUGCCUCAUGGGAAAAAUGACCAAGACUCCGUUCUCCGGAACAAUGGAGCGAGCAACCAACUUGUUGGAAAUCAUACAUACCGAUGUGUGCGGUCCAAUGAGCGUUGAGGCUCGCGGAGGAUAUCGUUAUGUUCUCACUCUCACUGAUGACUUAAGUAGAUAUGGGUAUGUCUACUUAAUGAAACACAAAUCUGAGACCUUUGAAAAGUUCAAGGAAUUUCAGAAUGAGGUGGAGAAUCAACGUGACCGAAAGAUAAAAUUCCUACGAUCAGAUCAUGGAGGAGAAUAUUUAAGUCACGAUUUUGGCACACACUUAAGGAAAUGUGGAAUCGUUUCACAACUCACGCCGCCUAGAACACCUCAGCGAAACGGUGUGUCCGAACGUCGUAAUCGCACUCUAUUGGAUAUGGUGCGGUCUAUGAUGUCUCUUACCGAUUUACCGCUAUCAUUUUGGGGAUACGCUCUAGAGACAGCUACAUUCACUUUAAAUAGGGCACCAUCUAAAUCCGUUGAGACGACACCGUAUGAAUUAUGAUUUGGGAAGAAACCUAAGCUGUCGUUUCUAAAAGUUUGGGGAUGCGAUGCUUAUGUCAAGAAACUUCAACCUGAAAAGCUCGAACCCAAGUCGAAAAAGUGCGUCUUCAUAGGAUACCCUAAGGAAACUGUAGGGUAUACCUUCUACUUAAGAUCCGAAGGCAAGAUCUUUGUUGCCAAAAAUGGAUGCUUUCUGGAAAAAGAGUUUCUCUCGAAAGAAGUAAGUGAGAGGAAAGUAGAACUCGGUGAAGUACUACCUCUCGAACGGGAAAGUGGUGUAGCUCAGGAAAAUGUUCCUGUGAUGCCCACACCAACUGAAGAGGAAACCAAUGAUGAUGAUCAAGGUACUUCGGAUCAAGUUGCUACUGAACUUCGUAGGUCCACAAGGACACGUUCCGCACCAGAGUGGUACGGCAACCCUGUCCUGGAAAUCAUGUUGUUAGACAACGGUGAACCUUCGAACUAUGAAGAAGCGAUGGCGGGCCCAGAUUCCAACAAAUGGCUAGAAGCCAUGAAAUCCGAGAUAGAAUCCAUGUAUGAAAACAAAGUAUGGACUUUGACUGACUUGCCCGAUGAUCGGCGAGUGAUAGAAAACAAAUGGAUCUUUAAGAAGAAGACGGACGCAGAUGGUAAUGUCACCAUCUAUAAAGCUCGACUUGUCGCUAAGGGUUAUCGACAAGUUCAAGGGAUUGACUACGACGAGACAUUCUCUCCCGUAGCGAAGCUUAAGUCCGUCCGAAUCAUGUUAGCAAUUGCCGCAUACUAUGAUUAUGAGAUAUGGCAGAUGGACAUCAAAACGGCAUUCCUUAACGGGCAUCUUAAGGAAGAGCUGUAUAUGAUGCAGCCGGAAGGUUUUGUCGAUCCUAAGAAUGCUAACAAAGUAUGCAAGCUCCAGCGAUCCAUUUAUGGGCUGGUGCAAGCAUCUCGGAGUUGGAAUAUUCGCUUUGAUGAGAUGAUCAAAGCGUUUGGGUUUAUGCAGACUUAUGGAGAAGCCUGCGUUUACAAGAAAGUGAGUGGGAGCUCUGUAGCAUUUCUCAUAUUAUAUGUGGAUGACAUACUCUUGAUGGGAAAUAAUAUAGAAUUUCUGGACAGCAUUAAGGCCUACUUGAACAAAUGUUUUUCAAUGAAGGACCUUGGAGAAGCUGCUUAUAUAUUAGGCAUCAAGAUCUAUAGAGAUAGAUCGAGACGCCUCAUAGGUCUUUCACAAAGCACAUACCUUGAUAAGAUUUUGAAAAAGUUCAAAAUGGAUGAGUCCAAGAAAGGGUUCUUGCCUAUGUUACAAGGUGUGAGAUUGAGCUCAGCUCAGUCACCGACCACGGCAAAAGAUAAAGAAGAGAUGAGUGUCAUCCCCUAUGCUUCAGCCAUAGGAUCUAUUAUGUAUGCCAUGCUGUGUACCAGACCUGAUGUAAAACUUGCUGUAAGUUUGGUAGCAAGAUACCAGAGUAAUCCCGGCAAGGAACACUGGACAGCGGUCAAGAAUAUCCUGAAGUACCUGAAAAGGACAAAGGACAUGUUUCUCGUUUAUGGAGGUGACGAAGAGCUCGUCGUAAAGGGUUACGUCGAUGCUAGCUUCGACACAGAUCUGGAUGACUCUAAGUCACAAACCGGAUACGUGUAUAUGUUGAAUGGUGGAGCAGUAAGCUGGUGCAGCUGCAAGCAGAGCGUCGUGGCGGGAUCUACAUGUGAAGCGGAGUACAUGGAAGCCUCGGAGGCAGCGCAUGAAGCUAUUUGGGUGAAGGAGUUCAUCACCGACCUAGGAGUCAUACCCAAUGCAUCGGGGCCAAUCAAACUCUUCUGUGACAACACUGGAGCUAUUGCCCUUGCCAAGGAGCCCAGGUUUCACAAGAAGACCAGGCACAUCAAGCGUCGUUUCAACUCCAUCCGUGAAAAUGUUCAAGAUGGAGACAUAGAAAUUUGCAAAGUACAUACGGAUCUGAAUGUCGCAGAUCCGUUGACUAAACCUCUCUCGCGAGCAAAACAUGAUCAACACCAGAACUCUAUGGGUGUUCGAUUCAUCACAACGUAACUAGAUUAGUGACUCUAGUGCAAGUGGGAGACUGUUGGAAAUAUGCCCUAGAGGCAAUAAUAAAAGUGUUAUUAUUAUAUUUCUUUGUUCAUGAUAAUAGUCUUUUAUUCAUGCUAUAGUUGUAUUAUCCGGAAAUCGUAAUACACGUGUGAAUACAUAGACCACAAUAUGUCCCUAGUAAGCCUCUAGUUGACUAGCUCGUUGUGAUCAACAGAUAGUCAUGGUUUCCUGGCUAUGGACAUUGGAUGUCGUUGAUAACGGGAUCACAUCAUUAGGAGAAUGAUGUGAUGGACAAGACCCAAUCCUAAGCAUAGCACAAAGAUCGGUUAGUUCAUUUGCUAGAGCUUUUCCAAUGUCAAGUAUCUCUUCCUUCGACCAUGAGAUCGUGUAACUCCUGGAUAUCGUAGGAAUGCUUUGGGUGUAUCAAACGUCACAACGUAACUGGGUGACUAUAAAGGUGCACUACAGGUAUCUCCGAAAGUGUCUAUUGGGUUGACACGGAUCGAGACUGGGAUUUGUCACUCCGUAUGACGGAGAGGUAUCUCUGGGCCCACUCGGUAAUGCAUCAUCAUAAUGAGCUCAAGGUGACCAAGGUGUUGGCCACGGGAUCAUGCAUUACGGUACGAGUAAAGUGACUUGCCAGUAACGAGACUGAACAAGGUAUUGGGAUACUGACGAUCGAGUCUCAGGCAAGUAACGUACCGAUUGACAAAGGGAAUUGUAUACGGGGUUUGAUCGAAUCCUCGACAUCGUGGUUCAUCCGAUGACUUCAUCGAGGAGCAUGUGGGAGCCAACAUGUGUAUCCAGAUCCCGCUGUUGGUUAUUGACCGGAGAGUCUCGGUCAUGUCUGCAUGUCUCCCGAACCCGUAGGGUCUACACACUUAAGGUUCGGUGACGCUAGGGUUAUCAGGAAGACAAGUAUGUGAUUACCGAAUGUUGUUCGGAGUCCCGGAUGAGAUCCCGGACGUCACGAGGAGUUCCGGAAUGGUCCGGAGGUAAAGUUUUAUAUAUGGGAAGUUGUUAAACGGGCACCGGAAAGUUUCGGGGUCAUACUGGUAUUGUACCGGGACCACCGGAAAGGUUCCGGGGGUCCACCGGGAGGGACCACCCCUCCCGGGGGGCCACUUGGGCUGCGUAGGGAUAGCAUCCAGCCCCUAGUAGGCUUGGCGCGCCCCCCCUUGGGCCCAUGCGCCUAGGGUUGGGGGGGAAACCCUAAAGGGGGCGCACCCCCCUUGCUUGGGGGGCAAGCCCCCCACCCCUUGGCCGCCGCCCCCCUAGGGUUUUCCCUAGAGAGCCGGCCCCCCUUGCCCCUUCCCCUAUAUAUAGAGGGGUGAGGGGAGGGUGCAAUACACCACAACUCAAGGCGCAGCCCCUCCCCUCCCCAACACCUCUCCUCCUCCAUACGUGCUUGGCGAAGCUCUGUCGGAGUACUGCUGCACCAACUACACCACGCCGUCGUGCUGCCAUUGGAGCUGCCUUCCUCAACCUCUCCUUCCUCCUUGCUGGAUCAAGACGGAGGAGACGUCUCCCGUCCCGUACGUGUGUUGAACGCGGAGGUGUUGUCCGUGCAGCACUUGGACAUCGGUGAUCCGAAUCAUGUUCGAGUACGACUCCAUCAUCACCAUCCCCUUGACAAGCUUCCGCUCGCGAUCUACAAGUGGUAUGUAGAUGCAAACUCUUCCCCUUGACUCGUUGCUUAGAUGAACUCAUAGAUGGAUCUUGGUGAAACCGUAGGAAAAAUUUUAAUUUUCUGCAACGUUCCCCAACAGGCACGCCCUAGACUCUCCUAGGCCCACCGUAAGGCGGUUGACACUCUUCUUUUGCCGCAAUAAAGCUAAUUUUAUGAGAAAGAUCUGGGCAAAAUAUUCACCCCAAUCGGAGUUACGUAUCUCCGGAUAUAAAAGAAACGGUGAAGGGGCAGAAUCUGAGAAUGCAGAAACAGAGAGAGACAGAGAUAGAUCCAAUCUCGGAGGGGCUCUCGCCCCUCCCAAGCCAUGGGAGCCAAGGACCAGAGGGGAAACCCUUCUCCCAUCUAGGGAGGAGGUCAAGAAAGAAGAAGAAGAAGGGGGCCUCUCUCUCUCCAUUGCUUCUGGUGGCGCCGGAACACUGCCGGGGGCCAUCAUCAUCACCGCGAUCUACACCAACACCUCCACCAUCUUCACCAACACCUUCAUCACCUUCCCCCUUCUAUCUACAGCGGUCCACUCUCCCGCAACCCGCUGUACCCUCUACUUGAACAUGGUGCUUUAUGCUUCAUAUUAUUAUCCAAUGUGUGUUGCCAUCCUAUGAUGUCUGAGUAGAUUUUUGUUGUCCUAUCGGUGAUUGAUGAAUUGCUAUGAUUGGUUUGAAUUGCAUGUUCUAUUAUUGAUGAUGUCCUAUUGAGCCCUCCGUGUUGCGCAAGCGUGAGGGAUUCUCGCUGUAGGGUUUGCAAUAUGUUUAUGAUUUGCUUAUGGUGGGUGGCGUGAGUAACAUAAGCACAGACCCGAGUAAGUAGGUUGUUUGCGUAUGGGAUAAAGGGGACUUGAUACUUUAAUGAUAUGGUUGGGUUUUACCUUAAUGAUCUUUAGUAGUUGUGGAUGCUUGCUAGAGUUCCAAUCAUAAGUGCAUAUGAUCCAAGAAGAUAAAGUAUGUUAGCUUAUGCCUCUCCCUCAAAUAGAUUUGCAAUAGUGAUUAUCGGUCAAGUAAUGUAGUCAAUUGCUUAGGGACAAUUUCACAACUCCUACCACCACUUUUCACACUCGCUAUAUUUACUUUAUUGCAUCUUUAUCUAAACAGCCCCUAGCUUUUAUUUAUGUGCUCUUUAUUAUCUUGCAAACCUAUCUUAUCACACCUACAAAGUACUUAUAGUUUCAUACUAGUUAUAGGUAAAGCGAACACUAAGCGUGCAUAGAGUUGUAUCAGUGGCAGAUAGGACUUGAGAGAAUAUUUGUUCUACCUUUAGCUCCUUGUUGGGUUCGACACUCUUACUUAUCGAAAGAGGCUACAACUAUCCUGUAUACUUGCGGGUCAUCAAGAGUCCUCCAACAUCGUCAACUCUAUGGCCAGUGCUUGUUUCUUGGAGUUCUUCGUCUCCAUGAGUUGGCCUGCCAACAUGGUCAUCUCGUUGGUUGGUGCUUGCUUCUUGGAGAUUGCUGUCUCUAGUGGGUUGUCCACCGGCAACUCUUUGCCUAGUGCUACAGGAUCCAUCAAUGAACUGACAAACAAAAAGCAAUCAAGAGGAAACCACAAUCACAAUGAAAACGGGAAAAGAAUAGGCUGUGAGAAUCGGUCGGUGCUUCGCAAAAAGAAGAUUCUUGGAAUGGAAAUAUAGCAGCAUCACUGAUUCGCCCACCUUUCCUUCAUUGGUACAGAAGAAAAAUGGUAGAACUGAGUAGCCUGGAGUGAGGUUUUCUUCAAGAAAGGGGAGAAAGGGCUUCAACGAGCAUUCCAGUGAAAUGACGGUUGCUUCGUCCAGUCCAACUUCGAGGCCACUUUACCACUGUCGGUAAAGGUGUGGGUUUUGUGAUAUGAUGGGUCAUGACGGCCACACUGGGGUGACCGGUGAGUCUCGACUGUAGCACCUCGCUGUGAUUUGGUGGAUGGCACACGGGCCCGGAUGCUUUGAUGUCCCCCAUGUAGAUAGAGCGGCUAGUCAUAUAGGAGUGCUCAAUAUUGUGCACCGCGACCAAGGCAGAGAGGAAAAUGAGAGAACUAUGUAAUUAAUGCAUGAGUUUAAUUAGGGUAGUUUUGUAAAGUAUGAGAUACAUUCCUCCAAUCGCAAAAUGCUUUGGUUAAUGAGAUUUGAGAUUUGGGCCCUAUAAACCGGAAGGGAGGGAGUAUUGCAUGUGGUGUAGUCUAGUGACUUGUUGAAAUCUCUAGAAAGGCAAAUACUCCUUUCCGGUUUACAUGGCUAUACUAGCAAGUACUAGUACUACAAUAGUGGGCUCAAAUAGCAAUUUUGUCUCGUGCAAGAGCAUGGCUAUAUGUGUGCUCCAAGGCACCGCACCAUGCCCCACCCCUACACAAAGACUGCCACGCGAGCGUUCACAACUGCCAUGUUCGGGUUGCGCUUAGCUCUUCGCCUCUUUGAGAAGAUGAACAAUGAUGUUACUUCUACUUCUACAGUAUUGAAUCCACUGAUGCAUGUCCGUCCACCUCGUGCGGGAGGGAUAGCAUGUAGUGAAAGCUUCUACUAGUCCUGCCAGCCACCACGCUCAUGCGCGAGGGAGGGACGCAGCUUCAUUGACUUACUGCUCCUGCCUUUGCGUCUAUGACAGGUGGGCCCAACAGGUGGUUGGCCCACCUAUCAUGCAGCCAAAGGCAGGUGCAGUUAAGGCACCGGAGCUCAGUCUACGAGGGAGAGGGUGUUGUAGUAAUCAAACUUCUCGGUAUUGUAUGAGUUGACGCGACACAUCAAAGCACUGCACUCGAUAUAAGUCUUUUUACACAUUUCAAAUGGACUACAACAUACGGAUGUAUGUAGACAUAUUUUGCUUCGUAUGUAGUCACUUGUUGCAAUCUCUAAAAAAGACUUAUAUUUGGAAACGGGGGGAGUACAACGCAUGCAUGCAUGCUGUGACUUUCCUUUUGAUACUUGCAUGUGUUGAUUUGAUGCACCUUGCCAAAUUUUGACUAUAAAUUUAACUAACCAAUUUUUCAUGCAUGUCACAAAAAAUUACGGGGCUGUUUGGAUUGUGACUAUGUUUGUCUUAUGUUGCCACAUUAUAUUUCCCACACUUGCCACACUUGCCUAACUUGAGUUGCUCAUAUUGUUAGACACACUUUGGCUUGCCUAAGGGAAUCUUGCCACACUUUUUGUGUCUAUGACAUGUGGGGUUCACUGCUAAUAAAAACCUCUUGUCUUAGGUGUGGCUAAUAAAAAAGAUUUAUAUUUAGGAACUGAGGGAGUAGAAUAUAUAAAUAUAAUGCAUGUUGGGGCAACCCACAUUUCCGAUAAUUUUAGCCAUGGGCUUGUUCACAAUUUUUACGAGGGAGUGGCUGUUCAUUUAAUGGAGGGACUUCUGCCAGACUUGAACGAUACAAAGUGCGACGUGGCACACCGUAACACCACUUGGAACAAGCGGGUAGCUAUAUCAAAAAACAAUCAACAACUAAAAAAAGGUGACAUGGCACGUAGUACACAAUUUUAAACGAUUGUUUUGAUGAAGUGAAAAAGGAAAACUACCCCACUACGUAUAUAUAGGCCAGAGCCUCCGCGCUUGCUUGCUAGGGUUGCUCUAUUCACACACUCUCAUCCUCUCCAGAUCUAAACAAGAUAGGGGUGGUAACACUGUCUUUCUCCCUUCAAAACACACUGUCUUUCUAUCCUCACCGCUGGUUACAGAUCCGGACGUAUCCCCCUCCGCCGGUGAAGGGGGGAGGGGCAACGUUUAGGCCAUCGUCGAUAGCGAGGGAGGAGACCCACUGUCGGUCGCACCGUUAUCUCUGGCCGAGCGCCAGCACGGGAGGUCCUCCGAUCCCUUCGUUGUUUCCCUAGUGUGGGUGGAUCCGGCCUCCCGCCGCCCACCUAUCCACAUCCCGAUGACCUUCAGGUAUAUCUUCCUUCGAAACCGCCUUAGCUCUACUUCCUCAGCUUGCUACGUUGCUGCAUGUGCAUCAUUUUCUAUCUCUCAGCCCCUCUCGAUCGGAUGGUCCAACGUCACCUAUUUUUUUCUUCUAUUGUUAGAGGUAAAGCUACUUCAUGGAGUUGAAUCUUGUACUUGAUUCAAACAAGAAAUAAAGUGGGGGUGGGGGAAUUUAGUAUGUACAUCGGACUUGGUACAAACAGGAAGGAAAGGGGGUGAAAGUAGUACAGACUGGUCAUUCAACCGGUCUCUUGGUCGAAAAGGGAAAUAUAGGGGUAACGUUGUACACAGUGGUAUGACCAGGACUAAAUUUGCUAUCCACACAUAGGAGUAGGUGGCUAGAGUGAACAAAAACGGGACCAACCCAGAUAUGUUUCUUGGGGCAACAAACUAUCAAUCACCACUUUAUGCCCUUGUUUAGGUACAUGGUGCUGGACUGCUGGUGCACCCACUGUCCCAUGCCCUUAUACCAAACAUUUAGCUAUUCUUAAUCUAAUGCCCCUGGUAAAAUGAAGCCAUGCCACUGUUAUAAGCCGCGACAAGUUUAGCCAAAUGUUUUUGCCUGUAAUUGUUUGAGACUCUGACUAUUUCCUCUGUAGCUUUUUGUGCAAACAAGGAUAUCCAUUUCUCCUGGUUGCUGUUGUGACCUUUUGGUGCACCGCACAAAACUCUUCUUAAAAGAAGUGAUUUUUGCGUUGUUUAACUGGAAUGCUAGAAUGGAACAAUUGGUUCAUUUCAGUGGAACUGCACAAAGGGAGAUCUGUGUUCCAAUCCUCAUCAUCCAUAUUGGCGCCAUAACCUUCCUUUAGGUAAGAAUGAUAUCUAAUGCAUGUGUUCAUCUCUAUUUUGCGACUGCCAUGAGAAAAUAAUGCUAUUUUUUACUAGUACACUUGUACUCCCUCACUGAAAAAACCAAUUCUGAAAUAGAAGGCCAAUCAUGUACUUGGUUUCACCAACUGGCGAGGAGAAAGAGAAAUAGAGCUGUAAGAGGAGGAAGAAGAAGAAGAAUAAAUAGUGCCAAGGCGAUCUUGCUCAAGCCAGAGGCCUCAGUCGAGGCCAUUCAAGGGCUCCGGCAAUGACUAUCUUACAUGUGAGACAAUCCUCCAGGGGGCCCUUCCAUUUCUGCUGUCUCACUUAAUUAAUUAGGAGUACUUAAGUACCACUAAUUUAUUGCUGCCUAAUUUCCUAUCGGAGUUGAACAAAUCUUUAGUAGCACCCUAUGUUGAAUCAUGUACGUGUGUAUGUUUGUCUAUGGAGGUGAAUCAUGUGGUGGAGCAGGGAGGGAAUAUUAUUAGUGUCAUGACAUAAUAGUGAUAUUGUUUUGCAUGUCAAUUUAUUGUCAUUGGUUCAAUGAGGCAAUGUUUUGCGUAUUGUCCAUCAUGAAUUUGAUGCUACUGUUAGAGUAAUAUGCUAAUGUCUUUCUAUCCUUUCUCACUAAGCUAAUGAAGGUUUCACCUUGUUCCUACUUGUGCAAACAGGGAUCAUGUUGUGCCAAUCAUACAUUUUAGUGGAACUACACAAGACAAUACAAUGAAUUGUAUCCCAGCCAGUGCUUUAACUCUGCUGGAAGUUCUUGAUAAUCUUUCGAUAUGAUCUCAGCGCUGGUAAACAAGACUGAUUUCAACCAUACAUUUGAAGUUUAUAAAAAUAUAUACUAUUGAGUGAUUCCAGUGAGUGCUUUAUCAUCUCUUAUGGGACUACAUGAAUAAGCUUUUUUCCUCAGGUUGGUACAGGCCUAAGGCCUUCAUCCAUAUUAGUUUGUUGUCAUCUCUAUUUGUAUCGUGCUACUGUCAUGAGAAACUCCUUUAUCUUUGCACGUUAAAGUAUUGCAACCUAUGAUACAUGGCAAUGUUUUGAGUGUUGAGCUAAUUGGCACUGAUUAAAUAAACUAAUACCUCUCUUUAAGCAAGACUACUAUGUUGCUAACCUUACCCAUUACGAUAAAGAGGGUGCUUCUAUUUGUUAAUGUAUGUUUCAUCAACUAGUCCCACUAUUACAGUAAUCUCACUCUCUCAAUAUAUGUGCCAACAGGGAUGCUCGAUUUUGCUCGAACUGCACAAAAACUUUGGGUGCUUCAUUGCCUCAACAGCUUCCGUCCUUUCCUGUCAGUCGCUAAUUUGGGCCUGCUUUCUUCCUUUGCUGUCAGUCGCUUCGCUUAUCUUGGCUUCCAGUCAAAGGAAAUAGUAAUUGAUAUGCUACCUCACACAGGUUGGUAGUGAUCUUUAUCCUGAUUAUUGUGCUUGUCAUGUAUUGGUAAUUUGGUAUUACGCUAUUGUUUGCCGAUUUUAUAAAGGAGUAACUUGGAGCCUGAACUCGCAGGCAAAUCAUUGCAUUGGGUGAUUUCAGUAGAACUGCACAAAAGGAUCAGAUGGACAGAUACUUGUGUUGCUGCUAUGUACUCCAAAGUUCACUCAGACAAGCAUCGAUGUUGACAAGAAGUGCCUAUAUUCAUUCGAGUAUCAACCGGCAUCAACCAGUUGUCAAACUCCAAGUAUUAGGAGAGUGAACGCCAAAAAUAUUGCUUGGCGCAUUGCCCAGAAAAACAUAGUCUAGUCUUUGGUCUCAACUUGUGCCUUUUGGUUAUCGACAGAUAUGGUAGCGAACUGUAUGGCAUGGAGUCUAAAGAUUCCAGACAAGUUGGUUGACGUGUAUAUUCAUCUAGCACUUAAUUAGUCUGCACGCCAGGGAUGCUCCAUUUCAGUUGAACUGCACAAAAAAUUUGGGUGGUUCAUUUUCUCAACCGCCUCCUUUCCCAGCUGCAAUGUAGAAUUUUGGCGAGCUACAAGACCAAGAUGAGCCAGUAAACUAGUUGGAUGAAAGUAGUGGCCAAGUUGCUCAAACCUCCCUCGGCAUGAGGCCACUAUUUGAGGAUAAACCUACAAGCAAAGUUCAGAUUGUCCGUGCUGCCUGUACUCGAAAGUUUACUCGUACAAGCAUUAAUUUUAGCAAGAAGUACCUCUGACUGAACACCAUUUACCAGUCUGUACCCUAGGUAAUUAAAGUUCAUCCAUGGAUCAUAUUGGUUGUGAUCUCAAUCAUUUGGAUGCAUAAACAUACUGAACAUGUGUAUAUUUGAAUCUUUUUGUGAAUUAUCUAUGAAUAUUGUCGUGUGAUCUAUCAAUCAUUUGGAUGCAUAGUCAUGCUGAACUUGUGUAUAUAUGAAUCUUUUGAGUUGUUGAUAGUGAAUGUUGGCUAUGAAUAUGAACGUGUCCUAUGAACCUGUCGGGGAUAUACCCCGUGGUAUGACCCGGCCGGAUAUAUGACUCGGCCGGAUAUAUGACCCGGCCGGACUUGUUGUUUCAUUGGUAACCGCUCGAGGAUUGGCGACUCACAUGUCCGGGGGCUCACUGGUGUGACGACUCACGAGCCUGAAGACUCAUGGGUGACCCGGCGGGUGCUUCAGAUGGACGACAAGGCCCAAGGCCCAGUAUGCCGGUUCAUAUAAAGGUGGGCCGGCUUAAGAGGAAAGGGAUGACGAAUAUUUCCUUUACGAGGAAUCAAGACCCGGACUUGUAUCCGGCUUGUAGUACAAGAUAGGCUAGUCCUAAUCCUAUUUGGACUCCACAUGUAACCCGCCCCUCUAACUUAUAUAAGGAGGGGCAGGGCUCCCCAAAGGGGGACAUGACAAUAAGAACAAUCUCUAGGGCUAGACACAAAGUGGGAGCCGGCUUACGGCGACUCCUCUCAUGAGCAUAAUGAGACCUAGCCACAAACAGCAUGUAGGGUUAUUACCGGAUGAUGUUUCCCGGGGCCCAAAGCUGUCUAAAUCCUUGUCUUGCGUGUUGCGUCUCUCGUCCCGAUCAACCCCUCUCAAGCUACCACAUAGAUGCGUUGGCCUCGCGACUAAGUCCUGACACUAAGGACAUCUGACGUGUUAAUUCCACGAUAGUUGGCGCCCACCGCGGGCCUGCGCACGGUGGUGUUGAGUUUUUGGAGGAUCUCUCCUAGGGAUCGAAAGCUCGUGAUGUGAUCAGAUGAAGAAGAGCCGGCACGGAACGAUAGUGUGAGCCACCGGACAACCAUGGGAAAAGCCGGCAAAUUUGUUGUUUGGAAAUCAGAAUUAUGGUUAACUUUGGAGAUGACAGAUGCAAGAUUCAUCAAAGCCGGAAAGAUUUUUAGGGUUUUCGUGCAUCACCCCGCGCAUCGCUGGGUGACCCAUCGAAUCCGAUGGCACAUCGUUUUUUCUAUAGUCGAGACCGGAUAGGAGCUGUUAUAUAAGGGGCAGCCGUUGUCGAUGCUACAACUCAUAUCAAGUCCCGAGGAGAUAGUACCAGGAGACAUCGUAGUUUGCAUCACACCUUAUAAUUAUGGUAUUACCAAAACAAGAGUAACCGACCGGUCAAAUCUGGAGAAGAUGAGAUUCAAACUCGGAUAGCCGCGCGCACGCGUUCCGGGUUAGCUACUGUGCCACGUAACCUUUUUCUGGUCAUGGGUCCGCUCCCUCUGAUCGCAAGCCCGUAGUUGUACGUUCAUGAGUUUCUACUGCCGGAUCAAGUCCCAGGAAAAUUUUCGCCGGCAGUCGUACAAAUACCUACAAAUACGUGGUUGUGGCGGCACCGAGAACUGUGCUGGCUAGCCCCGUUCGGCGCGCACACGUGCAGGUACAAUCCAUCAGAACCAGAAGCUUGAAAAAGAAUAAUCACCGCUGCCGCGAUCAGCGGCGGCCAAGGAUCUGCUACCUGAGGUUGGGCGGUCUCCGAUCUGCACAGUCGCACGUGCUAAGACAAAACUUGCAAAGAAGGCCAUGUGGGGCAGCAACAUGCUGUCAAAAGCUGCAGGACCGGAUACUACGUGACGAACAAUCAACAAUGACCACAAAUCCCUUUUUCCUUACGUGAUACGCAGGGGAAUAUAAUGACAGAGGUAUCCAUGAUAGCCAGGUUAACCGAGCCUUAAUUAGGUGCUACUAGCUCACGUGGAGGAGCAAAUCCAAAGUCCACUACUAAUAGUCCUUCUCACAAGAGUACUACCUGACGACCAUUAGUAUCACGAACAUCGGAAAAAUCAUCAGGACGCGCACCAAGCAUUAUCCUGCAUCAGUGUCCGCGUUUAUCUGACAAAAAUACCAGGUGCUAUUUGUCCUGCCUAUUUUUUAAUACAUAUUUAUCCAAGAACAAUUACUUUGUCUGUACAUUUUUAUAUAUGCAGGACAAUGAUUCAUCGCUUGCUGUUGGACGGGUGUGCACAAGCCGCCGCCCGCGCAAUUUGAUCUACAUCAACCCGCCAGAGCCGUGUUGAGCCGCCCUUGCCGCUUUAAUCCAUCGGAGUGAUAUUAAAGUCGCCGGUCUACCUGGGCCGCUGGAACUAUAUCGAGUUGCCGGUCCGCUUGAGCCACCUCUGUCACGAUAAAUGGAUCAUCCGUCGUCCAAACAAAUCAGGUGAUAUCCAUCCAAGUUUAUUUUAUUAGCACAUGUUGUUUUUGUCAAGAAACAAGUUUAUUUUUGCCUUGGUCUGCAAUAUUGUUUAUACAGGACAAUUAUUUAUGACAAAAAGUGAUAUUAUACCGUGGAGAUGGAGGCAUGCCAACAUCUUUUGGCACAGGUGGUCGUCAUUACUCAACGGACUCCCGCACCGUGGCUGUCUCUCGUGACCGCGGCAGCUUACAACGCCGUGGCCGUCUCUCGCGACCGUGGCAGCUUACAACGUCGUAGCCGUCUCUUGCGACCACACUGGCUUACCACGAGGAUGAUAACUUGCCCGUUCGCACCGGCUUACAACGCCGUGGCCGUCUCUCGCGACCACGCCGGCUUACAACAAGGAGACAACUUGCCUGUCCGCACCGGCUUACAACGCCACGGCCGGUUCAUCUGUCUAUGCUUCUUCUGAUGCUGCGGUCGUCUUUACCGUCCGUCUCUCGCGGCCUGGUCUACAUCGACACACCGAGCCGCACUUGUCUGGAUGAGCCGUUUAUUGAGUAUGAGCAAGUCACUACUUGGGAAGCCCGGUUUUCUUCGAACAAAUUAGAGGCAAAUUAUCAUAUAUUAUCAGCCGCCGUCUGCACUAGAUGGUUCAAUGGGCAGGUGCACAAGUCGCCGCCACUACAGUUUGGUUAACUUCAAACAACCAGUUGGAAGGAACCAUUGGCCGAGUUGCUGACACGGCUCAUACGGGAUCAUUUAUAACCCGCCGCAGUCACCUCAACCUUCUGUGGAUAAUCACUGGCCUAACAUUUUAGGUGAAAUCCAUCCAAUAUAUUUUAUAUUACAUAUUAUUUUCUUCAAAAGAGCAAUUACUUUGGUUUGCAAGUUGUCCCAUGCAGGAUUCAAACCGGUCUAUAUCAUGGUUAAUUAUGGAGAAUCUCAAGCCAACUCCUCAAGUUGUCUUGAGACUCAGGGGCUACAAUGACAUGGAUCGGGAACUCCGGAUCAUUGAAGGGGAGAUAACCCGGCCCUGGAGGCUAUUGCUUUAUUGGCGAAUAUUUUAAAGCCGUCAGAAAAAUUUAUGGUUAAAAAUGAAGAUUCCGGUUUAAAAUACAGCUCAAGAGACAUCUCUCUCCCGCAAAGCUUUGAAGCUCUCAAAACCGGUUCAACAUUCGGAUCAAGGUAAAUUUGUCCCUUACAAAGCAUUGAGGAUCUCAAUAUCCAGUUUAGGAAUUUCCGGUUCAAAAAGAAUUAAUCUCUCGCAAGUUCGAGAUCUCAGACAAAUUAAUGGUUACCAAAGAGAAUUUGCUGCCAUGAUGCAUGGUUGAAAACAUGGGUAUCCUGCCUUACGGCUUAUUUUGUUAUGGUCACUUGGGGGCUUCCUGCUCAUCGGGCAUAGCUAUCAGUACCCUCUUGAUCGGUGUAAUGCCAAAACUUUUACGAUCAUUUGGGGGCUUCAUGUUCAAACAUAGGUCGUAUUCGAACCAAAGAGAACAUAGCUGUCGAUACCCUUUUGAUUAGCAAACUGUUGAACCUACUUGGGGGCUUCUUGAUCGUAUCCGAAUCAUAGCUCAACCCCUUUGGGAAUCGACAUGGAUCGUAUUCGAAUCAGCGUCAUUAAACAACUUUUAAGGUCAUUUGGGGGCUUCCUGUUCAAACAUAGGUCGUAUUCGAACCAAAGAGAACAUAGAUGUCGAUACCCUCUUGAUCGGCAUCACCAAAGCCACUGGGGGCUAUAUGAUCGUAUUCGAAUCUUAGCUUAACCCCUUUGGAACGGUUUACUGAUCGUAUCCGAAUCAGAAGCCUCAAAAAGUUUUAUUCUGUCUUUGGUAAAGUUUAUUGCAGCCACAAUUACUUAACUUGAGACCUUUUUGGGAUUAUAUCUCAAAUAUAUGUAAGUGUUUUAUGCUUAACCCGGCUUGACUUUUGACUAUAAGUCGCUAGUUCAUUACAAUCAUCAUCUAUGUGGAAGCAUUGGCUUCUAAGGAUUGGGUUAUCACUCUUACUACACAGGUCAUGUAAGCUGGUAGUACAAAUUCAAUGUCACAGUGGUUAUAUGUGAGAUAUUAUGACCCGCCCUGGUUUUGACGCUAAGUCGCCAGGGCAUAUGUUGUCUCUCUGCAGGAUUUGCAGAAAUAUGACAUAUAAAUGAUUAAGUUCAAGCUCAUUACCAAAGUUGAUGCUUCAAAAUGAUUAUCCAUUCUGGAUUUUUCUCAAAAGGCUAUAAACCUCCGGGUCAUAAAAAUUCCGGUUUACAAUGAAGGCGUAUUGAAUCGCCAUCGGCCAAGAGCCGCCGAGUAUUUAAACUCCGGAUUUACUUGUCAACAGAUAAGGUAUUUGAAAUCUUUAAAUAGCCAAACUUGGCUGGAUUUUCGUUAUGAUAUUGAAUGAUUGAGGUUCUCAAACCGGGUUAUUCAAAUCUUUAAUAGCCAACAUGGCUGGAUUUUCAUGAUGAUAUUGAAUGAUUGAUGUUUUCGUACCAGAUUAUAUUAUUGAAAUCUUGAAUAGCCAACAUGGCUGGAUUUCUAUUGUGAUUAUCAAUAACCAGUGUUAUGAUUGAGAUUUUCAAAGUCGCUUUAGCGCAACGGCUAUUAUUUUUAUCAAUGGGCAUGGUUUAUUUUACAAUGGAGGAAAUAGUCCCGAGUCGCUGCAGGCUUACGACCCGGCACUUGGGGGCUACAUUGUUCAAAUCAAGAUUACAUUGAAUAUACAAGUCCCAUGUCACUGCCAGCAUGCACCAUGGUACUUGGGGGCUACAUUGUUCAAAUCGAGAUUACAUUGAAUAUACAAGUCCCAUGUCACUGCCAGCAUGCACCAUGGCACUUGGGGGCUAAUGCAAAGUCAUUUUUUGCUCAACUUAUUGAAGACCCGACUCAUCACAUUUUAAAUGAGCCGGCCCUUGGGGGCUACCAAUGGCUCCUGUCAAAAAUUCAAGGUACACAAGCCUCAGUCCAUUACAUUGAAGGAUCCAUUGCUCAGUUGGUAAAGCACAAAGCUCUUAACCUUGUGGACGUAGGUUUAAGCCCCAUGGUGGAGAUUACAUCAUAUGAUGUUAUUAUCAAUGAAUUAUAUACAAAGUCCCAGCUCAGUAAUAUCUUACUGAGCCGGCCCUUGGGGGCUACACGUUACUGCUCAAAUUUACAUCAUCAUAUUUACAAAGUCCCUGCUCAUUAUUACAUAAUGACCCGACACUUGGGGGCUAAUGCAUAUUGCUCUUUGCUGAAGACAAUUCUAGGAUGACCCGGCUACACUACUAUGACUAAAGCCGACUCAUGGGGGCUACACAACUGGAUUUUAUUUAAAGCCAUGGUGAUAAGUCCCAGCUUAUUCAUGCUGAUUAAACCGGCCCUUGGGGACUACAAGUAAUAUGGAUAUAAGGGAGAAAUAUCUUCAAAAUUUCAGUUUUGAGUAAAUCAGAUUGACCCGGUGUCUGCAAAAAUCAUAAACCGGCGUCGGCGACAAUUAUGACUCGGCAUCAUCUAUUUAUAACCUGGCAAUUUUGGUAAUCGUAAACCGACAAGUUUUAUAUCUUCAAGCCGGCUGAAUAUAAGUUGAAUAUUUGAAGACCAAUAUUUUUGUCAAGUCAGAGCAUUCAAAGCCGACUCAAGUGGAUCAUCUCUCACAAUAUUUCUCAAACAAGAGACCAAUGUCAGCAAAUUGACUCUAAAGCUGGCCUGUUGACCCGGAUUUUUCAAAGGAAGUAUCUAGAUUUUUUGCAUUGGCAAAAUUUGAACAUAUUUACUAAAAGAGAUUUGCUAUGAGUUCAUGGGCAUGUAUAAAGAAGGAAAUGACAAGGAUUUAAAGAUGAUCAGGUGCCGACUUACAAAUAUCUAACCCGGAGCACAACCUGUCAAAUUGUUCUUGAGUUAUUUUGCAGGGUUAGUUUAACAUGGAUAAAUCCAGAUUAAACUGGGGGCUAAUGUCAGGGAUAUACCCUGCGGUAUGACCCGGCCGGAUAUAUGACCCGGCCGGACUUGAUGUUUCAUUGGUAACCGCCAGAGGAUUGGCGACUCACGUGUCCGGCGGCUCACUGGUGUGACGACUCACGAGCCUGAAGACUCAUGGGUGACCCGGCGGGUGCUUCAGAUGGACGACAAGGCCCAAGGCCCAGUAUGCCAGUUCAUAUAAAGGUGGGCCGGCUUAAGAGGAAAGGGAUGACGAAUAUUUCCUUUACGAGGAAUCAAGACCCAGACUUGUAUCCGGCUUGUAGUACAAGAUAGGCUAGUCCUAAUCCUAUUUGGACUCCACAUGUAACCCGCCCCUCUAACUUAUAUAAGGAGGGGCAGGGCUCCCCAAAGGGGGACAGGACAACAAGAACAAUCUCUAGGGCUAGAAACAAAGGGGGAGCCGGCUUACGGCGACUCCUCUCAUGAGCAUAAUGAGAUCUAGCCACAAACAGCAUGUAGGGUUAUUACCGGAUGAUGUUUCCCGGGGCCCGAAGCUGUCUAAAUCCUUGUCUUGCGUGUUGCGUCUCUCGUCCCGAUCAACCCCUCUCAAGCUACCACAUAGAUGUGUUGGCCUCGCGACUAAGUCCUGACACUAAGGACAUCUGACGUGUUAAUUCCACGACAGAACCUGAGUUUGAUACGAAUGUUUACCUUUUCUGUUGUACGUGUGUGUGAACUUGUUAGUAUGCCUACUGUGGGGUAUGUGACGUGUGGGUGUCAACGGCACACCUUCUUCCCGAGAAGAAUUGCACCUGCUUUGUUAGGGUGGCAACGGCGCAUUAGCUCUUUUUAAUCUUAUUGCUCUGUCUUCCCCCUCCUACACUCAACCCCUGCCGUAAUGUUUUCGGCCUCAAAACAAACAUAGUACUGCGUUGUUUUUGGGACUUGAUGAAAAAACGAGUGCUGGUUUCAAUAGGUUAGCCCGCCCAGCAAAUGGGAUGCUGGUCCACCACGGACUGGGAGGCUAAAAAUAUAAGUUGUAUGGUGCAGAGGCAAGUAAAAAACGCCAUCGAGAGCCAUCCACUGAAGAAGAAGAAAUCGCUCCUGAUGUGCUUCUUCAGUCAUGCCGCCGGCCCCCUCUUUAGUCCAGUUCACUCAGGGAUCUGGUAUCAUUUUUUCCAGAGGGCGAACAAGUAUCAGCUAGGCCUAGGUUUUGUAUUAUAACAUGCGUAGCCCACGACAUACGGAGACAGUGGUUUCAACUUAUUUUUUGAGGUCCAUACCGACCUAUGGGCUUUUUCUUAAAGAUCGGCAGCCCAAUGUAUUUUUUUAAUAAAACGCAGGUCUCUGUCUAUUUAUCUAUAUAUAAGAAUAAUAAUGUUGUGUCCAAUUUAUGUUUUCCCUUCUAACCACAUUAUAUAUAUUUAUAUUAUUACUAUUAUCGUAUAUUUUCUAGAGACUUAUAUAUACAUUAUAAAAACAUCCCAUGUGUUAUUAACUUAUAAAAAGAAAUGUUUAACAGAAGUUGGCAAGGAAAAUACUGUUUGUUUUUGACUCACAGGCAAGGAAAAUCCUGGUGAUUGCGUACAAAAGCUUGCGAAGAUUUUAAGGACCAAUGUAAUAAUAACGUGCUCAUUUUUAUUUUGAGCAAUAACUCGCUAAUUUGUUAAUUAUAUAUAUAUAAUGUACCUCUCCGGUUUAUUUUUUGUAUUAAUUGCUCCUUCUAACAUAACAUUAUAUAUAUAACGAGCCUAGCUAAUUCGUGUAUUUCAAGGAAGUGCAAAUGGGCUAGGAUUUCUUAGAAAAUAUAAAUGGGCCGCAUUGACGCGAAAUUAUUUGUUCACCAGCCCAACAAAUGGACUGUACAUUUUAGAAAACAUGGGUUAAAUAUAUGCCACAUUUUUGCAGGCUGACAUGUGGGCCAAUAGGUCGAAGCCUAGGCAGGGCGUUGUCAACUUGGUCAACAAAUGAUUAUGACACCCAUAGCCAUUGGAUUUAUAUCCAACGGCCGGCAUGCACCUUCAAUCUCUCGUCUUCUUCCUCCAGCGUCAUCGGGACCGCCUGGUCCGGCCUUCGGCGGCUAGUGGCUCUGCUUAGCAGGCAUCACUGUGAAGCGCUACCCCACCGCUGGCCAGGCUAUCUCUCCACCCCUCCACACCUCCUAUUAUUCUCCACCGACUGCAGCCCCACACCGCACCAGAACCAGUUAAACCCCUUCUCCUCCUCUCAAUUUUCAACUCCACUUCCGCGUCUUCCCAUCUCCAAGUCAUUCCCGUCCGGGGCCUCGCCGUUGUCCACCGCCUUGCUGCGCUCGGUGCGGCAUGGUCAACAAACAAGAAUCAUCGAAAGAGGACUGUACAUGAAGAGCCUGACGGCUGGGACCCAUGAGGUCCAUGGUCGCACACAAGGAAAGGUCCUCCUUAUUAAGCUGGAAAAAUGUUUCCUCCACCUGACAACUGGGACCCACUAGCUGUAUCUUCGCACGGAAGGAAGUGCCUCCUUGUUAUGUGAAAAAAAUUAUUCCUCCCGUUGACAGCUGGGACCCGUUAGAUUUGGUGGCUAACUUGUGGGCCUACUAAGCGGAUGUGUACGCAGGGCUUUGUCAACUUAAUCAACAAAUGAUUCUAGCAUCUGAACCGUUGGACGUUAAUCCAACAGCCGUGCUCCUUCUUCAGCCUCUGUUCUUGCUCCUGUCUCCCAUGGGCGGCAACACGGCUGUGCUGCCGCGCACCCGAACCAGUCAAGUUUCCCACUCCUCUCCAUCUGCGACUCCACUGCCCCGUCUUCCCCAUCUCCAGGUCGUUCCAGUCUGGGGCCUCGCUGUCGUCCACCGGCCUUGGUGCACUCGGCACGGUGUAGUCAACAACUGAGAGUCAUCGGAAGAUGACUGUACGUGAGAGGCUCACAGUGAGACGCACCACGCCCAUGGAUGCAUGCAUGCAACGGAAUGCGGUGUGGUCAACGUGGUCAAGGAACGACUUCCAUCGGAAGUGUACUGUACAUGGAGAAGCUGAUAGUUGGGUCCAUGGCCACAGCAAGGAAGUGCCUCCUUAUUACGCAGAAAAUAAUGAUUCCUCCACCUGACAGCAGGGACCCACUGGACGGGCCACCGUAUUUUGCAAAAAAACGUUCCCCCCUGACUGCUGGGACCCACCGGACGGGCCACCAUAUUUCGUGAAAAAAACAUUCCCCCCGCUAUCAGCUCGGACCCACCAGAAGUGCCUCCUUAUUACGCAGAAAAAAUGAACCCCCCCGCUAGCUGGGACCCACCUUGGUGGGAGGCUAACUUGUGGGCCUACUAAGUUGACGGGGACGGAGGGCUUUGUCAACUUAGUCAAUAUAAACGAUUCUAGCUCCAGUGAAUGUACGAUGUCCAUCCAACGACUGUAGUGCUUCUUCAACCUCUGGUCUUCUUGCUCCAACCGCCCAAAGCAGCGCUGGUCGUGCCGCAUGCUCCUGCCUCUCGUGGCCGGCUAUGCUGCCGCGAAGGCCUCACCGCCCCCUACUAUUCCCAUCGCUGGCCAGGCCCUGCAGCGACGGCAGCCUCACACCGCAGCCGAACCAGUGAACCCCCGUACUCCUCUCCGCGCGGGCUUCCAUUGCCAUGUCUUCCCCAGCUCCGCGUCGUCCCCUUCCUAGGCCUCGCCGUCGUCCACCGCCCUGGUGCUCUCGGCACGGCAUGGUCAACAUGGUUAAGGAAUGACUUCCAUCAGAAGAGUACUGUACGUGGAGAGGCUGACAGAUGGGUCCACGGCGGCCGCAAGGAAGUGCCUCCUUAUUAUGCGCAAAAUAAUUAUUCCUCCACCUGACAGCAGGGACCCACCGGACGGACCACCGUAUUUUGCAAAAAAGCAUUUCCCCCUGACUGGUGGGACCCACCAGCUACAUCUUCGCAUGCAUGGAAGUGCGUUCGGGCAAAAUAAAAACGAUUCGCCCACCUGAAUGCUGGGAUCCACCAUCUACAUCUUCGUACACAAGGAAGUGCCUGACAGUCGGGACCCACCUGGUCGAAGUGUACGUAGUAUUGUCAUUCUGGUCACGAAUGUGUACGUACAUACUGGUCGAUGUAGAGGCGCGCACGUGUCGUAGUAGAGGCACGCAUGUAGCAUGUACACAUACAUACAACGGCCAGGGUGCAAGAAAGAAAAUACAGCCACGUACGUACGUACGGGUGGGGUCUCGAACGCCUACUCGCGCAUACGUACGGCCAGGGCUCGUGUACAUGGCUGGGUCGAAAUGGAGAAACAGCAUCGUCGCCGUGUUCAUGGGGAGCCAACCGGCUGGGUCGGAACGGAAUGCCAACAGCCGAUGGAAAUGAGGCAUGGCGUACCACACAACGGAGGAAACGGCCUUGUGUUGGGUCGACCACGUUCGAAAUGGGAUCCUGUUCAUCGGGAGGGGUCUGGCGUACCGCAAAAUGGAGGAAACAUACUUGUGUUGGACCUCCUACGGUCGAAAUGGGGUCCUGUUGAUCGGGAGGGGUGUGGCGUACCGCAAAACGGAGGAAACGGACUUGUGUUGGAGAGCUACGGUCGAAACGGGGGUCCUGUUCAUCGGGAGGGGUGUGGCGUACCGCAAAACGGGACUCCACGGGAUAUUGUUCAUCUCCAUCGUCGACCUCCUCCAGCCUCCACAGGUUACUGUUCAUCCACCAUCGACCAAUGCCUCGCACCCACGCGCGUGCGUGUACGAGAGAAAUGCGCAAACCUUCGUGCAUCGCUCGGCCCCGACCACCCAUCGUAAUUGGGAACACCCCGAUAUUUUCCUCGCCCUCGCUUCUACCAUGGUUUUUUCGUCAUGGACGGCCCAAAGAAUGUCAUGCAACUGCUUCUCCGGACCGCCCAGGACGAAAAGCCCAUUUUCUGUCAUGAUUUUUUUUCAUAGAAGUAGGAGCCCACCACAUCUAUGAUGAUAUCGGGUUUUGUCACAAUUAUCGUCAUAGAAGUGUCAUAAGUAUGACAGGAAAAAAAUCCGUUCGGCCCAAAAUGUCAAGGAUGUGUAUUCUUUUUUGUAGUGUACAGAGCUCGCAGAAUAAUGAACUCUUUGCCACCCCUCCAGAUGUGGGUGGUGAAGAAAAAGAAUUAAUCUCUUAUGCAGGGUCAGGUCUCCAAACGAACUUAAUCGUUUGAAGAAUUUGCUGGAGACCUGAAUAUGCUUGAAAGGACGCAAGCUGAUCAUGAAGAAAUGAAUUACUCAUUUCUCACGUCCUCAUACUGCUAUAUCUGUUGUACUGUUGAUGAAAUUCAAUCUAGUGAAAUUGAUGUCAUAUUCUUCACUGAUAAAGUAUGUGGGUUCGUAAGUUGUACUAAUCCAUAUGCAGGAUGAACAACCCAAAGCUACUGAGUGGGUCCUCGAUAGUGGAUGUACAAAUCACAUGACCGAUGACAGGAACUUAUUGAUGGACACUGCUUUAUCUCCAUCUCAUCUGAAGCAUAUCACCUAUGCUGACAAAGGCCAAAGCAAGGUAUUGGGUCUAGGUAGGGUUGCAAUCUCAAAGGAUAGACACAUGGACAAAGUCAUGCUUGUCGAGUCCUUAGGAUUCAACCGCAUGUCUGUCUCAAUGCUUUGUGAUCUUGAUAUGGUUGUCGUCUUUGUCAAAUAUCGUUGCAUUGUGCUAAUGGAAUCUGACAAUUCCAAAGUCUUCGAAGGCUUUAGGAGAGGAGAUUUGUAUAUUAUUGAUUUCUCUGCAGGACCACAUCCUGCCACAUGUCUACUUGCAAAAGCUUCAGAAGACUGGUUAUGGCAUCGAUGACUUGGUCAUGCUGGCAUGAGGAACUUGCAUACCCUCACGAAGAAGAAGCAUGUCAUUGGCAUCGAGGGUGUCAAAUUCCUCAAAGAUCAUCUUUGUGGGGCUUGUGAGGCUGGAAAGAUAACCAGAGCCAAGCAUUCCUCGAAGACUAUCAUGACCAACUCUCGUCCCUUUGAAUUACUUCACAUGGAUCUCUUUGGCCCUACUCAUUAUGCCACAUUCACUAAUGUUGCAUCUCUAUAUGGCUUUGUCAUUGUUGAUGAUUAUUCUUGUUACACAUGGGUGCAUAUCAUCACUUACAAAACUAAAGUGCAGGAAGUCUACAAACGAUUUUCCUCAAGAGCAUCUACGAACUUUGGUGUGAAGAUCAAGCAUAUCAGGAGUGAUAAUGGGACCGAGUUCAAGAAUACUGGUCUUGAUGACUAUCUUGAUGAACUUGGUAUUACUCAUGAGUUAUCUUCCCCUUAUACUCCUUAGUAGAAUGGCGUCAUGGAGCGCAAGAACCAGACUCUUGUUGAGAUGGCUCACACUAUGCUUGAUGAAUACAAGACACCUCCUCGUUUCUGGCCUGAUGCUAUUGAUACUGCGUGCCACAUCAUCAACAGGGUAUAUCUUCACAAAUUCUUCAAAAAUACCUCAUAUGAACUCCUCACUGAUAAGAAACCCAAUGUAAGUUAUUUCAAAGUCUUCGGUGCUAAAUGUUGGAUUAGAGAUCCUCAUCACAAUUCUAAAUUUGCAUCGAAAGCACAUGAGGGUUUUAUGCUUGGUUACAUAAAGUACUCACACACCUACAGAGUCUUCAACACCUAUCACCACAAGGUUGUUGAAAUUGUAGGUGUGCGGUUCGAUGAAACUAACGGCUCGCAAAGAGAGCACCUACCUCCUGUGCUAGAUGAAAUGUCACCUGAGGAAUCCAUCAAGUUCAAGGCUACUGAGGAUGUUAUACACACUAAAGAAUCUGCUGAAAAAUUCAUUCCAGAAUGUGAAGAAAAUCAUGCUGGUGCUACCGAAGAAAAUGGCCCUGAAGAAAAUGUUGUGCCAAAUCAAAGUCGUCAACCUGCUCACCUUGCAUUGCAAAUGAAGUGCAUAUUGAGAGAAUCAUCGAUGACAUCCAUGCACAAGGUCCUCUCACACGCUCAAAAGAUUCACAUUUGUCUAACUUUUGUGGGCAUUUUGCAUUUGUCUCUAUCACAUAGCUCACCAAAGUUGAUGAAGCAUUUCUGGAGCCUGAGUGGAUUCAAGCUAUGCAAGAGGAAUUACAUCAAUUUGAGCUCAAAAAUGUGUGGGAGCUUGUCAAGCGACCAGACCCACGCAAGCACAAUAUCAUCGGCACAAAAUGGAUCUACCGCAACAAGCAAGAUGAAAAUGGCCUUGUGGUGAGGAAUAAGGCUCGUCUUGUAGCUCAAGGCUACACACAAGUUGAAGGAAUUGAUUUCUAUGAAAAUUUUGCACCUGUUGCUAGACUUGAGGCUAUUCGCAUAUUGCUUGCUUAUGCUAACCAUCAUAAUAUCAUCUUACUAGAUCAUUGAAGGCACGCGUUGCCGCACCCCUCUAUUUUUACAAUAAAUAUACGGUCCCAUGAAACAUAUUAAAUUUUGCAUAAACAUAAAUUCAUAUUAGUUAGUAAUCAAGGAAAAUGUCACAGGUACAAACUGGCUUCGGUAUGACAACAUAUGAAACAACAUACACUUAGUAAAUAUAGAGUAUUUUCAAGACAAAUAAUAAGCAGCAGCACAAACAAACAUGUAGUCGUUGGCUUCAAUUGUCAUGGUAGAUUUUAUACAUGGUGCAUUGAUGAAAUCUUCAGACCUCCAAAUGCAACAUAAUGCGCGACAACCAAGAAGAGUUAGGCGAGCCUGAUGCACCUGGUCAUUUGUAACAAGUGAGCAUUAAUUAUACAUGGAUUGCCACAUGUAUAAAAUGGGGAAAAUGCAUCCAAGAAAAAGUGAGCAUGUAAAACUUAAAUCAGAUGUUGAUGGAACUGAAGUAGGAGGUUUACCUCGAGUGAGUUGUAGAAACAAUUAAUAGGCAUUGCAAUACCUUCUGAAGCAAACUCAACAGAUUUUGCAAUGAAAUAAAACAUAUAUCACUCAAAUUUGAGAUGAACUUUGAGGAAAGGAUUGUACUAUCAAUAUUAAGCAAACAUCACAUCUUACUACCAAAAAUUGGAGAUAUUAUAAAGGUCAGAUGAACAUAAGGUUCAGAACCUAUGAAAAUAACUUAGAUUCACAUAUGAAUCAUCUAAGAAACAACCAGAAUGUUUCUGUGGAUAGCUAAAAAAUAUGCCGAAACGAGAAGAAAUUCCUUCGGAACCUCUUUAGUUUUUUAGAUAAUUGAGAUGUACCAAAAUAUCUGUUCUGGAGUUGCUGAACAAAUCAAAUAAUUUAAUUAUUGGCCCCUCUUCACUACAUAAUUGCAUUGCUAACUCAUAGUUACCAGAAGAAAUAGAAGGGGCAACCAUGGGAGGCUUUGAUGAAACCUGAGAUCUAUAACAGGCGAGCCUCAUAAGCAAAUAACCAAUUUCAAGAUUAACAAACAAAGAAGGCCAGCCAUGAAUCAAUAUGUCCUACCAUGUAUGCACCAACAGAUUCUCCAGCCAGCAAAAAUUGUGACAGGAAAGAACUCAGGACUCAAGCAUAGGAACUUUUAUGAAUUUAUCCAAUGAUGGCCGAUGUAUCCACAGGCAGAGCAAGCUGAUCUUCUAGCUUUCUUUCACCAUUGAUGGCUGGGUGACCCCGAGGCACCUCUGAUGGACUCUCUCCUUUGUGUCCGCAGGCAACAUUCAUGCCCUUUGAUUGGCUACACCACAACCACCACAUAAUUUCAAUUUUUCGCAACAUAAAAAAUUGAGAUAUGGUAUGAAAAAUAAUAAUUACAAAAAUUGAACUAAAAUUUGAAAAUCUAACUAAGUAAAUUUCCAAGUAUGUCAUUUUUUCUCGGAUGAACAUUUUAACAUAUACAUGCCCAAGACAUAGAGAGAUCUAAAACAGUGGCAAGAAACACAUCCAUCGAGUUGAAUAAAAUAGUUAUCAAUAUGUCCUACCAUGUAUGCACCAACAGAUUCUCCAGCUAGUCCUAAGCAAAAAUUGUGAUAGGAGAGAACUCAGGGCUCAAGCAUAGGAACUUUUGUGAAUUUAUCCAAUGAUGGCCGAUGCAUCCAUAGGCGGAGCAGGCUGAUCUUCUAGCUUUCUUUCACCAUUGAUGGUUGGGUGACCCUGAGGCACCUCUGAUGGACCUCUCUCCUUUGUGUCCGCGGCCAACAUUCAUGCCUUUGAUUGGCUACACCACAACCACCACACAAUUUCAAUUUUUUGCAACAUAAAAAGUUGAGAUAUGGUAUGAGAAAUAAUAAUUACAAAAAUUGAACUAAAAUUUGAAAAUCUAACUAAGUAAAUUUCCAAGUAUGUCAUUUUUUCAUGGAUGAACAUUUUAACAUAUACAUGCCCAAGACAUAGAGAGAUCUAAAAUAGGGGCAAGAAACACAUCCAUGGAGUUGAAUAAAAUAGUUAAGAAUACAUCCAUUAUGUCUUCAAACCAGUGCCAGCAAGCACAUACCGAUAGGAGUACAUGUGCAUUUCGUGACCUGGCCAUUAGCUAUUGGAAAUCGAAAACUAUAUAGGAUUCCUUCAGCCAAUCGAGUAGAACUAGUUGCCACUUCGUACACUAACACCACCUGCAUAAAAUUGGGAAGAAACUAUAACAAAAGUCAGAACCCAUAAUUAACUGGGCAAAAGAUGGAAGGAACAUAGGAAAAAGGGUGAAUUUGAGGCAAGGGAGAAGCCAACCAAAUUGAACUAAGCACGAAUAAUAACAAUAUCUAAGGCAUUGAUUCUGUAUGUACAGGUGGCCAUGGGUGAUUGAUUUGAUGAGCAUCAGCUACAAGCCUACAAGUGAAACCAAAACUUAUGUGUGCACAGUCACACCCAAAUAUAAGUGUUCUGGAAACAUAGUACAUAACCUGAAUCAAAAAACUACACGCAGCCAUACUCAUUCCGGUCAACCAUCUUUACUUAAACAUGCCACUACUUCCACACAUACAAUUGUCGUAUCAUGAACUAAUCAAGGGCGGCCAGCGCAACCCCCAUCACAACCCGUGGUAUAUCCACCUCAGAAUAUCCAAUUCAUGUAUGUAAUCACAAGCUUGUAGCAGCAAGUCACGAUGAACUCAGUGAAAAACUGGGAAUCAAAGAAUUGGGGUUAGAAGUAUUCCUAAAUUCCUUUUUUUAUGGAGUAGAAGUGUUUCUACAUUCCAUGGAGAAAGAACUAAGUUAAGAGGGUAGGCAGGAGGGAGCAGAGACAGACAUAGCUCACAAGAUGGAGUGGUGACCUAAGCAUCAACGGUGGUUGUCGGAGACUGUCAUAGAAUUAAGAAGCAAAAGAGGGGAGUGGGAACGAACAGCGAGACAACACACGGGAGAGCCUAUAUAGACGCGCGUGGAGUGAAGUAGGAACACACAGCCGACAUAGUAACUGACUUGCAAUAAUCAGCCAUCAGCGAGUUCGUGCAUAUCAAUCAGCAUUAAAGGUGUGUAGCAACAACGAUUUUUUUCCCGAUAUAGCGAGUCGACUCCAAUCGACAGGAGAUGAUUUGUUGCAAUCCCUAGUACAUCUUCUGAAGGUCCCUUUUUUCCAUCUUCAAACUUGUUGUCCCAUCUUGUCCAUACUCUGUAUAGGUCCGCAUCUAAUCAUGUACAUUUACACUGAUCGUUUUUACACACAAAUGAGCUUAAUUUGUUUCGCGGGAUACAACAAACCAAAGCAAGUUAUAAUUGAACUUGUAAUCGAGAAAAACAUCUAGAAUUACAAUUAGAUGCCUGAUGCAACACAAGCUAAAAAAGACUUUCAGAACCAAUCUGUAGUACUGACCUUGCAGUGCAAUCUGUGUUGGAUAUCAUGAAGCAAAAUACCUAAGUAGUACUCUACAUGAUAGAGGUAUUCUCCUCCUGUCUCCAACUUUCUCCUCCUCACACAUCUAGGGGAAGAUAUGGUUGAUGUAGGGCGGAAACGGAGGCUCUCUUGAACAGCAGCGUGCCUGAGACACUAGUUGAAUCGGCAUGUAGCCGGCAAGAUGAUGAGUUGCGUCACUCGAGGUCGAGAUCGUGCAAGGUCGCUGUUUCUCAAGGACGAGAUCAGGGGAGCCCUAAUGCCUGCGUGAUAUGGAGCAAUAGAUUGCAAUUGGCAAGCCUGCUAUUUAGCCCAAUUUAAAUCCGACCCUCUGGUCCUCAUCCUCUCAUCUCCUCUUCCACCCACAGGGAUACCAGAUCGAGAGUAAUUGGACCUAUCAAAAAUAAGGGAUGCAUGGAAGGGGGAGAGAUACAUACCAGUAGAGGAUUGACCUAAGAUCGCUAGUGACAUUUUCUGCCUAGAUCACAGGGACAUCCGAUGUCGCCAUCGCCAUGAUCGCUAUUUUUUCGUGUGGGAUUUGGAGUUUGUAGCGAUCCGGGCGGCUCGACUUCGACAAAGAUGUGCUAAUUGCCGACUCACUCCAGCGUCAAGCCCCAUGGUUACCAUUUUCCAUCAUCUCCCUCUCUCUCUCUCUCUCUCUCUCUCUCUCUCUCUCUCUCUCUCUACGGCAGUGACCUCACCCGGCGAUCCACAUCUCAAGGCCUAUAGAGAUUGGGAGGGGUGUGGGGGCAUGAAGCGAGGCGGUAUGCGGGCCGCAACAGGGAGAGGAGGGGGCAGGGCACGACGAUGGAUAGGGAGCCGUAUCGUGACUGUCCGUUUGGCAUCGGACGUCAUCCCGCAUCAAUGACCAAGAGACCUCCAAUUUUGUUACGAGAAUAGCAGCCCACACAGGAGGUGCAUCGCAUGACCAGUAACGACCAGUGUAUGCCAUCAGAUGGCCGAAAUCGAUGGAGGCAUGAGAGAGCUGGAAAAUUUCUCGGUUAUAAUGUUUCUAAAUAUCAAAUGGAUGUGAAAAGUGCAUUCCUCAAUGAUAAGCUUGAGGAAGAAGUAUAUGUUGCUCAACCACCAGGUUUUGAGGAUCCAAAACUACCAAACCAUGUCUUCAGACUCAACAAGGCCCUCUAUGGUCUCAAGCAAGCACCUCGGGCGUGGUAUGAUACUUUGAAGGAAUUCCUCAUGAAGAAAGGCUUCAAACCCGGUUCACUUGACCUAACUCUUUUCACCAAAACAUAUGAUGAUGAAUUAUUUGUGUGCCAAAUAUAUGUUGAUGAUAUUAUCUUUGGUUGUACUAACCAACGUUACAGUGAUGAAUUUGCCUAUAUGAUGAGUGAGGAAUAUCAAAUGCCUAUGGUGGGAGAAUUAAAAUUCUUCUUAGGUCUUCAAAUUCGUCAACAACACAAUGGCAUAUUCAUAUCCCAGGAGAAAUACCUCAAGGAUGUGUUGCGGAAAUUCGGCAUGCAAGAUUGCAAAGGCAUCAAAAUCCCUAUGCCCACAAAUGGCCAUCUGUGCACCGAUGAAAAUGGUAAAGACUUCGAUCAAAAGGUAUACCUCUCCAUGAUUGGCUCUUUAUUGUAUCUAUGUGCAUCUAGGCCGGAUAUUAUGCUUAGUGUUUGCAUGUGUGCCCGAUUUCAAGCUACACCGAAGGAAUCACACCAUAAGGUUGUAAAGCAUAUUCUUCGAUAUCUAGCUCACACUCCAACACUUGGAUUAUGAUAUCCCAAGGGCUCGACUUUUGAUCUUAAUUGAUAUUCUAGCUCUGACUAUGCUGGUGAUCGGGUGGACCGCAAGUCAACAUCAGGCACAUGUCAUUUCCUCGGACGAUCCUUGGUAUGUUGGUCCUUGAAGAAGCAGAACUGUGUAUCACUCUCUACUGCUGACGACACCAUCAUUAUGGUGGAAGGCUCGGAGACGGACAUCUCCAAUCUCAAGUUCCUCCUCCUCUGAUUCCAACAAAUGUCUGGCCUCAAGAUCAACUUUGACAAGAGCGAUGUGAUGGUGAUGGGCUACUCUCCAGACGAAUGCCUGGACAUUGCCAACUGGCUUAACUGUCGCUUGGGCUCCUUCCCCACGACCUACUUGGGGAUGCCCAAUAGUGACUCUCGGCUCACCGUCGCUGACUUGCGCUCGACCGUGGCCAAGUUGCAGACGCGUAUUGAGCCUUGGCGGGGCAGGUGGUUCUCUAAGGCGGCCCAGACGAUUCUCAUCAACUCCUCCUUAUCCAGCCUCCUCUUGUUCCUCAUGAGCUUUUAUAGCCUGCACGAGACUCUGCACCAUGAGAUCGCCGGAGUCCAAUCGCGUUUCUACAGGCGGGCGAAAACAAUAAGCAGAAAUACCAUAUGGUCAGCUGGCCGGACAUCUGUAAGUCGCGGGAACAAGGAGGCCUCGGGAUCAUGUGCUCUAAGCGCAUGAACAUCGCCCUCUUAACCCGCUGGCUUUGGCGCAUCUCUCAAGGCCAAGAUGGCCUCUGGUUAGACAUCAUCCAGAAAAAAUACCUGCGCGGGCAACCCCUCGCAUUUUGUCAGAGAUCUGAUGGCUCCCAGUUCUGGCGGUCGGUCAUACAACUCCUUCGAGUCCUCCGCAUUGGGACCUCCAUUUCGGUUGGAUCUGGGGCGGCGACUCUGUUCUGGUUCGACCGGUGGGCGGGAGACUCUCCCUUCGCCGCGCGCUUCCCCGACCUCUUCUACAUUGCCGUUGAUCCUUGGAUCUCUGUAGGGAGGGCCCUUAUUGACUUAGGGCGCCUCGCCUUUCAGAGGCCAUUUGGUCCCCCGGAGGCUGCCGCCUGGCAUGAGAUGCUUGACUGCAUCGCCCUCCACGAGCCUGAGGUGGACGAUGGCCCGGACACAGUUCGGUGGCGACUUGAGCCGUCAGGCCAAUUCUCCACCAAGUCCCUCUACCGGGCCAUUGCCCCCUCCUCCGCCUCCUCCCCUCAUGGCAGUUUGGUCCAUCCGCCUGCCGCUGAAGAUUCGGAUCUUCAUGUGGCAAUGGAUUCGCGGGCGGAUCCCAUCUGGGUGGAGGUUCGCAAGCGCAAUGGCCCGCGUAGUGGCCUUUGCCCGCUCUGUGAUGUCCCCGAAGACUCGAAUCACAUCUUCUUCUCUUGUGUGUCCGCUCAAUUUAUUUGGAGCUGCUUUAGAGAGGUGGUUGGCGGCAGUUGGUUCCAUACCAAUUUCCCCGACCUGUUCGCCGAACUCCAAAACUCCCCCGGCAUUCUCGCCACAUUAGGUGGCUGGAGAUUGGGGCCCUCGCUUGGACUCUUUGGACGAUUCGCAAUAGACUUGUGAUUUAGCGCAUUCCACUUCGGCGUGCUACUGGCGCCCUCUUCAAACUGUCUGGUUACUUGCAGCUUUGGCGGCCACUUAGCCGCCCCACGGACUAGGACGCCAUCUCUGCCUUCAUCGCCGACCUCCGCUCGAUGGAUGUCCGCCUGUCGCCGCCACUCCCUCCGCCACCCCCCGAUCCAGAUUAGGGGCCGGGCCCUCUUUGGCCUCUCUCGGCCGUUCUUUUUCUUUUUCUCGUUUGUUUGGGCUUGUUGAGUUGUGCCCUCGGCAGAACCUAUUGUACUUCUUGUUGUGAGACUUGGGUGUAUGAGUUCUGGACUAGUCCUUGUAUGGUUGAUCUGUGGCGGUUUGCUUUAUUUAUAAAGCGGGGCGAAAGGUUUUUUCCGUAAAUGAGGACAUGCAGUGUACACAAAUUAUAACGGUGCGCGUACACAACAACAUUGACCGGUGAAAAAAGGAGAAGAGUCCGUUUGAAUGAACAACAUUGAUGAGCCAAUGAUCACCGGUCUAUUUUGGGCAUCAGAAGGUGGCACGAACACAACAUCACUGACCAGUCCAUUUUAGGCUGGUUAGUUAUAACCCUUUAGCCGAGCUCGGGACUCUAUCAUUGAUGUCUUUGAAGUGUCCGAUUAGUGCUAAUGCGGAUCAUUGACGUGUAGUCUUGAUCACGUUAUUGAUGAGGGAUGCUAAAACAAUUUGUUGAGGCCUCCACAGCAACGGAGACAUCGUUUGCAACAAAAGGGCAUUGAUGGUGGCGGGACACGAUGGCAGUGGGUGUGAGCUCGGGUUGGACUACUCGUAUCGUUGGGUCUCCCCUGACGGAUGCGUGACCUGUCACCAUAUUUUUGGGUAGAAGCCCAUCAAUAAACGGGUAUAUAGUGUAAAUUACAUUUUGAUUUAUCAAAACAUAUAAAACGAAAUAUCAACAAUAUCCCAACAAUAUACACGUUUCUCUCUAGAAAAACUAUACAUGCACGUCUCGAAAUUUCGCUCAUUUUUUUCUUGAUUUAUUGAAGCUCUCCCUUUUCUUCUUUUUGAUGAGAAGGCUUAUUUUAUUAAUCAAAUAAUAGAUUUUUUAGGGGUAUCAAAUAAUAGUUACAUCCUCGGCUGACAAUUCCAUGAUAAACUCAGGCCGGGCAUCAAGCAAAGUCCAAGCCGAUUCAGAUCCUACCUGCAAAUACCCCCCUCCCACUUGCAGCGACGGCCCAUUUGCUCCGAAGUCCGAACCCCGCAUCGGCUCACGAAAGACAGCAACCGCAACCUCCACAUUCUUCUCCUCCAAACCCCACCUCCGCCUCCUCUCAAUCUCCUCUCCUCUCCCCUCCCCUCCCCUCCCCUCCCCUCCGCCGGUUAGCCUCAACUUCCUUUGCGCUUCAAGGGUUGCAUUGUGUUGGCUAGGCGUAAAUUUGCGCAGGUUUGGCUUCAGGAUGCGCGGAUUGUGGCACCGAUUUGAGGCUGUUUGAUCUUAUAGCCUGCAAUGUUUCCACCCCAUGCGACUGCUAUGUGUUGGUCUUAGAGAUUUCUAUCAGUUCGAAGUGAUUGACGAAGGGUUUAACCGCUGAUUUACAUCCGCGUCGCAUUAGGAUUUGGCUUAGUAUCGGUGUGUUUUGGGACCGAUUUGAGACGGAUUGGUCAACGCUGCGUGACUGGAACAUGUUCGUAAUAGAGAUUUCUACCAUUCCGAAUCGAUUGACAAAGGGUUUAAGCGCUGAUUUGCAUCUGUUUCGCAGCUGCAGUACAACAGUUAAUUUCGCAGCUACAACAGCACGCAGGGCGCCACUUAAAUCUAUCUUUUCCAAUCUCACCACGAUCCUCUUCCUCUGUUUCUUCGCCGCAUAACCUCUCCACCUCCAGCGCCGGCUCCCUAAUUUCUUCCAUCCGCUGCUCCUCGCGCCUCCCCCCUGCCAAGCUCCGGCCACCCCUGCACCUGCCGCCCGGCCCGUACAUCAGCGUGGCCUCUCCACGUCUUCACCUCCUUGCACCGGCCAAGCGCGAGCUCCCUGCGCCGCACCAAGCAAAGGCUCCGCCGCUCCUCGUGCUCGCCGACGGCAUCCUCCUGCUGCCUCGGGGUGGCGCGAGUGAACCUUCCGGAGGUGUCCGUUGCCCCAGUGGCACGGAUCAAGACGCCUCCGGAUCCAUCUCGGUACGGGAGACCGAACUCUGUAUUGGGGACCCCGAUUAUCGGAGGAGGCAGAUCGGGGAUCCGCUGGAUACGUUUUCUUCCGUUUCCCUCCCCUAUUUUCGGGGCGGAGUUCAUCUCUUAGAUUUCAUCCGAGCGGUCAGGAUGCUGUUUGUUCGCUAAGUGGUUGUUUGGAUGCCAAGAAUUAGACGUGACUACGUGAGUUUUUAGAAAACCAGUUUUCACAGGAUUUUUAGGAAAGCCAGUUUUAGUUAGUUUUUCUGUUAAGGUGAGUGUAUACAAUUCUUUGUUUGGAUAGAAAACAAAAAGAAAACACGAUUAGUCUCUCUUCUUGGACCAAUUCCUCGAGGACGGCGUCGCCAUGGACCAAGCGAACCACACGACAACGGCGUUGUCGAGGACAAAGCGAACCAAGUGGCGGGCUAGUCGGCUACGCAGGGCGUGCAACAGGCGGCUUGCCGCGCGACCCCGCCUCAACCGCAGCCGAAGAGGAACUAGGGUCUAGGGUGCAGAGGCACUACCACCCGGCGACGGGAUGCACACCCUGCUAUGUCAGGGCGGAGAGCAGUGCAGUUGGUGUGACGGCGUUGCAUUCACUGCUCUACUGAGCUCUGUUGUUGCUACAAAUUUCACAAAAAGGAGGAUUGGAAUGGGCCUUCAACUACAUCUCCGUUCUCGUGCUGUUCAAGUGCUUGUUGAAUUACUUCCUUACUGGUUGAUUAACUUAUACUCAGUAGUUAGUUCCCAUGAACCUCCGCCUGGAGUGCAGCGACCGGAGAGAUCAGGUUGUAGCCGUCGCCGGUGUACAGGAAGAGGAGUUUGUCGGCCAUGCUCACCCUGCCCUCGGCGGCCGCUCCCAUCUCGCCGUCCCAACACGACGGCGGCCACGUCCGGACCCCUAGUGGCGAGCUCGCCAGUGGUGCGAGCGCUUCAUUGAUGUCUUGGCAUAGAACGUUUCACCCUCCAGUGGACUUUCAGCGUCGCCAUGGUUGUACCUGGGAGAACGUCGCAGUGCUCGUGGCCGAGUCCGUGUUCAGCCAAAACGAGUAUAUAGAAAAACGUCGAUUAGUCGUUUUUCCAUAAACUCGGUUUUUGGGCUUUUCAUAAACUUAGUUUUGCAUAUCCACGAUUCUGUUAGACAAUCCAAACAAGAUUUUUGAUUGUUACAACUGAAAUCGAGUUUGAAGGAAACUAGUUCUCUAUAAUCUACGUAACCAAACAACCCCUAAGGUAAGUUUGGGCGGUUCGUCCACUCCAACUCGGUCUCUUCUGGCCUCUCUCAAUAAUAAGUACUCCUUCCGUCCCAAAAUUCUUGUCUUAGAUUUAUCUAAAUACGGAUGUAUCAAGUCACGCUUUAGUAUUAGAUACAUCCAUAUCUAGACAAAUCUAAGACAAGAAUUUUGGGAUGGAGGGAGUACUAGUAGCUCACAACUGUAUUAGUUUCUUUAUCACCAAGAUCAAUCUUUUGCGGGGUCCAAUCAUGGAGUCACCUCGCAACAUUGUAAGCUUAUUACAUCCUUCCGGAAUUUUCGUUGUUACCUCACCCUCACGUUGUAACCUUUUUCCUCAUUUUUUUCAGUUAACUGCUUUGCAUAGCAAAGAUGAAGGUCGAGUUUGUGCGAACGAAGAUGAAGAUAGAAUCGGUGCUCUCCCCAACGACAUUUUUCUCCAGUGUUAGAAGGGAGAGAGGGAAUUGGUGGAAUAGUAUGUUGUAUUGCUUGAGCCUCGUGGGCAUAUAUAUAGAAGUACAAUAAUCAACUUGAAGUACAAGACAAGCGAGAACUAAUCCUAGUCUAUCUAGUCUUUCAUAAUAAUCAAUAUACUCAAUAUCCCCCGCAGUCACAACGGGAGCGACGCAGACGGUGAGACUGGAGAAGAAUCCGAAGGCAAGCCGACGGACACCCCCCUACAGUGUAACGGUCGAUGCAUCGCGGAGUUGUGGCUGGAGUGAAAACCGGCGAGGUUGCUCAAGCAGGCGGUAGCCCUUUGUGUCGUUUGUCGAUGUAGCCGACAGCGUGGGUGGUGGAGCCAUGGUCGAGGUAGCAGUGCGAAGAAUGCCGUGGUCGAUGUCGAGUCGAGGUAACCGGUGUCAAGAAAAUCGCCGUGGAGCCGCGGGCGCAAGAAGGCGCCGAGUUAGUCGUGGGCGCAGUGGUGUCGAAGUAGUGGUGCGCCAGGAAGUAGAUGAUGUUGACGACGCGUCGCGCCGGGGUUGCCUACCCCGGGGACACAUCGUAGAUGAAGGCACGCGUCAAUGUUGCCAGCACCGGGCAUGCGUAGACGGACGAUGACGAAGUUGACGAAGCGCCGCACCAGGCUUGUCGGGCCCGGGGACACGUCGUGGACGAAGGCACGCGGCGGUGUUGCCAGCACCGGGCAUGCGUAGACUGGGACCUGCACGAGCUGUAAGCCUUGUCGAAGAAGUCAGAGAGGCUAGCAGAGAAGGACUCGACGAUGGUUGCGGCGCCAAUCGGCACGGGGCCAAUGUCGCCCGCGGUUGUCGGAGUAGAUGAAGCGGUCGGGGUAGAUGACGGCGACGCUGGUGAUGGGCUGGUGCUGGACGAAGACGAAGGAGGUGGACGGGCGGCUACGGCGGCUUCGGGGGUAGCGGCGGCGGCUAGGUUAGGAGCGCGGCGACGGUGGUCGAAGUAGGCGAAGAAUCCGACAGCGUGACGAAGACCGGCGCGGAUGGUCGCGUUCCCGCGCCAAGGGAGACGGCGCAGCGCAUACCACGGGAGGUCGACGCGCGGUGACGGUGGAGUGGACCGCGGGCCGCGGCGCUACGGCCCGUAGGGGCGACGAAGCGGCGGCGGGCAGGUCCNNNNNNNNNNNNNNNNNNNNNNNNNNNNNNNNNNNNNNNNNNNNNNNNNNNNNNNNNNNNNNNNNNNNNNNNNNNNNNNNNNNNNNNNNNNNNNNNNNNNNNNNNNNNNNNNNNNNNNNNNNNNNNNNNNNNNNNNNNNNNNNNNNNNNNNNNNNNNNNNNNNNNNNNNNNNNNNNNNNNNNNNNNNNNNNNNNNNNNNNNNNNNNNNNNNNNNNNNNNNNNNNNNNNNNNNNNNNNNNNNNNNNNNNNNNNNNNNNNNNNNNNNNNNNNNNNNNNNNNNNNNNNNNNNNNNNNNNNNNNNNNNNNNNNNNNNNNNNNNNNNNNNNNNNNNNNNNNNNNNNNNNNNNNNNNNNNNNNNNNNNNNNNNNNNNNNNNNNNNNNNNNNNNNNNNNNNNNNNNNNNNNNNNNNNNNNNNNNNNNNNNNNNNNNNNNNGCGUCCACGCUCGCUACGGCCCGACGGGGCGACGCAGCGGCGGCGCGAGGGUCGGUGCAGCCAUGGGGACGGCCUGGAGCGGACGGCACUGGGGCGGCGGUGGAUCGCGGGCCGCGGCACUACAGCCCGAAAGGGCGACGCAGCGGUGACGCGGGUCGGUGCAGCCGGGAGGAGAACCACGGGGCGGCGGCGCUGCGGCCCAGCGGCAGCCCGUUGCUCGAUCUGUGGAGGGGCGCGCUGAACUCGGGACAAUCUUCACGGGACCUGCGGAGGCGCACACAACCGACGGGCCAGGUUGGUCGCGCGGCGUAGAUGAGGCGGAUCGCGGCGGCAAGCGGGUGAUCAAGCCGAUCGCGCGCGAGGACGGGGACGCCGCUCGAUGGAGGCGUGGUGACGGCGGAGUCCUGGAUGAGGCCGGCGACGACGGACGGCGUGGGACGUCAGCACCGGCACCCGGGUUGCCAAAGCAGCACCGGCGCCCGGGCAGCGAGGCCCGAGCGACCAACGGAGUAGCGGCGCCCGAGUUUGAGGCAGCCGAUGAGCCUGACAGCCGAGGACGAGGCCGGCGAGGUAGACCACCGAGCCGCCGUGCAGACGCGGCGGAGGCGGGUGACGUGGAUCGAUCGGCGGGCCGGCGCGCGAGCGACGGAUAUGAUUGGCCAUCGCAUGGCGCGAAGCCGCCGGGUCGGGGCGAUGCAGGUUUCCCGGUCGGAGCAGGGCGGUGACGGCCGGCGCAGGGCGACGGGCGGACCGACGCGCAGAGGGCGGCUGGCCCUGACGGACCGCCUCGGCGCGCGUGGCCGCCGGGUCGGAGCAGAGGCCGGCUGGUCGCGCCGGGGUCGGAGUAGAGGCGCUCGGGGUCGACGGCGGCGGUGGGCGAUGCAAACCGAUCAAGAAUAGAUCGGAAAAUCAAAAAAAACCGCGCGAUCAAGAUGACCGGCGGGAGAGAGAAAACCCCGAAGCAAGCCUCAGGAAAAAGACUCUCUAGGGCAACCGGUCAACACGACCGGCGGACGAACCCUAGGUACGGGUGGCGCGGCCCCCGGCGGCGGUCAUGGAGGCCGACCGCCCCGGGGGCGGCGCGCAGGUGCAGAUGCGGCACGCUAGGGUUUAGGAUCGACUUGCGAUAGAUACCAUGUUAGAAGGGAGAGAGGGAAUUGGUGAAAUAGUCUGUUGUAUUGCUUGAGCCUUGUGGGCAUAUAUAUAUAUAUAGAAGUACAAUGAUCAACUGAGUAAAGACAAGCCGGAACUAAUCCUAGUCUAUCUAGUCUUUCCUAAUAAUCAAUAUAAUCAACAUCCAGAUCUAUGGAUACCUUGAUAUGCGCAUGGCGAUUCAGGCCAGCGCAGUCUCUAGACAAUGGAGGCACCUCCUUCAUCAGCGCUCUCGUCUGCUCAUGAACGUGGGCGACUUUCGCAACUCCAAGCGCACGGUGGAUCAGGUAAUGGCCACCUACACUGACGCGACAUUGAAAUUGCUGUCUCCUCUGACGUGCAAAUGUCGUCGUACCAUCAAGACCCUGCAGCUCAGCUUCUACCUAACAGAGCCUUACAUAUCCUCUAUUGGCCAUGCGGUUGGUGACGUCGUGAAGAGUGGCAUAACUGAACACCUUGAGUUCGCAAUAUAUGCUGAGGUAGAUAAUCCAAGUGAUGCCCAAUUAGUCUUGUUCGGGCAGCGGUUUAUGUCGUUCUUCCAUGCUAGCCUCGGUCCGUUCAAAUUGCUCACAAAGCUAACGCUCAAGGACCUUGAGUUUCAAAGACUCGGAUCUCCCCAAUCUUCUCAGCACUUGCAAUAAACUGAAGCUCCUUUCCCUGAAAGCGUGUGGAUUGGGCCCAGACUCUAUCCUCAGGAUAGAUGCCCCCUGCUCGGAGCUGCAGGCGCUCGAGCUUAUCUGCUUUGGAUGCAUACGAGUUGAGCUAAUCUGUCUCCCCAAACUGUGGCGUGUGGUGUACGAUACAUGGUACGGUGAAACCCCCCCUUGUGUCUUUUGGCUACGUACCUCAGCUUCAACACCUAAGCUUUGCCUCUCCUGCUCUGGAUGGGCAGGCACCAUUCACGUUAAGCGAGUGUAUUUCUAGUAGCAACAGAAAUCUGUCGAAACUGCAUUAAAUUUUCGAACUCAGAUGGUGAGCUUCUUCUUCCACAUCUACAUAUUUUUUAUAUGUUUGGUUAUAUAUGCUAAUUGCUGCACGUUUUUAUUCUUGUUUCUGCAGAUUUGGGUUAAACCUGAAAAUCCAGAGCAGCUCUCUCCUAUAUUCGGCAAAUUGAGAGAUGUGGAUCUUUGCAAUAUUUUUGCUGAGUGCGAUCUGAGUUGGAUUCUUUUUAUCCUUGAAGCCGCACCUUCCCUGGAGAAGUUUUAUGUAAGCCUCUUACUUUGGUUCUUUUAAUCCUCAUCUUAGCCUGGAUAUUUGUAUUCCCUCCAUGUCAAAAUAUAGUGUAUAUUGUGAACCGAGCGUAGCUCAGAUGGUGAGGUUCCUUGUCCCGGGUUCAAGUCCUGACAAGGGUCCUUGCAUUUUUCGGGAUUUAUUCUGGUCUUUCUGGUGGUGUUCGUUCAAUGGGAGACAACGUUCCCACUGACUACGAGGCGUUUGUGGUGACUUUUUUUGAAAGAUUUCCCGUCUCAGUCUUUUGAAGAUGCUCACGGGGAUAGGCGCGUGUGUGGGUUCAUAUAGGUGGAUGUACGUGUUGCUCUAAGUCAAGUUUUGUAAACUUUGACCAAGUAUAUAGAAAAAAUUCUUAAUAUUUACAAUACCAGAUCAACAUCAUCAAAUCCAUCAUAAAAUGUAUUUCAAUAUUAUAAUUAUCUGAUAUUCUAAAUUUUCAUAUUUUUUUGCUAUAAACUUGGUCAAACAUUGCAAAGUUUGACUUAGGACAAGCUAAUAUACACUAUAUUUUGACAUGGAAGGAGUAUGCCAUGUUUUCAGAUAAUAUUCUAUCACUCGCUAAAUACAUUGCAUUUGAGUUAGUAAAAGUGGUACAUACAAGCCUCUAUACCUUGUGUUGUGGAACUUCUCCGAAGUUUAUAUGACCUGUGUUGUAAUUUACCAAUUUCAUGCGAAUGAUACAUGUUCAUUUAUUUGUUUGAAAGACUAUAGGAAAUUAUCCAAUAUGAUUUUAGUUGUGCAAUUUUUUCCAAAAAUCUACUCCCUCCGUCCCAUAAUGUAAGACGUUUUUGGACACUAGUAGUGUCAUUAGUUUCAAAAAACGUCUUACAUUAUGGACGGAGGGAGUACACUUCAAAAAGGAUCUAACCAUUUUAGCAAGAACACAUUUACUUGUAAGUCUUAGCUCUCUCGCUUUUUUUAAGCAAGUCUUUAACUCCUCUUGCUAACAUUUUGAAUAUUAAUAUUGAUGUUGAUGCCCAUUUCGAAUGCAAUGUGUGUCUACUAAUUUUCUUUACACUUUUGACUCCAUGUAGUCAUCUCGGCAUCCAUGUGAACUCAACAAGUCUGAGGACAGUGCUGAGAGGACCAACUUGGUAUGGCAAACAUCCAAUUUCAAGCACUUGAACUUAAAGCUGCUGGUGAUACAAGGGUUUGAGGAGGAAGACAUGGUAAUGAAUUAUAUAAGGCUCGUCAUGGAACGAGCUGUGGGUUUGAAGAGAAUUGAGUUGCAUGAUAAAAGGCAAUGCAGUAAGUGUAAUGCUUUAAAUUUGGGGUCAAAAUUUCCCUCGGAUGAAGCCAGCAAGGAAUGGAUUAGGCAGCAACUCACUUAUAGUUUCUCCUCAUCCAUAGAGAUAGUUUUCAAGGAAUAGUUGGCAAAGAUAAUAACUGGAAGAUGGAUUAUGUCAAGUAAUAAAGUGGUCUUUUGGUAUUUUUUCUUAUUGCGACUAAGUGCUCUUCUGGUUGGUGUAGAGUAACCAACUUGAGUGAUGUGUUAGACUGUUUGCUGUUCCGCAGCUGGAAAUAAGUUGAAGAGGUGUGUUAGAAUAUGAACCAUUCAGUUGGAUUUCUAUUUUGGUUUAAAUUAUUGAUAGCCAAUAAAUUGAAUUUUAACCCCUGAUUGCAACCAAUGUGAUGUAUAUACACUGCAAGUAUUUUCUCUUUCUUAAGCAAAAGGUUUUUCGCCCCGUUCCAUUCACAUUGAAAAAUGAAAUUUUAACAAUUCAUGUACAACCCUUAUCAUGGUUUCCCUUGGAUUACUUGUACACAUGCAUUUACUACUUACAAAUAUCACAUUAGAGAAAUUCUAAGAAAAUACUAUGAAAAAAAACUUGUUUACAACCCAAGAUAGGCAUGAACCAUAACAUCAUCUUAGAGGCAUGACCUCAUCUAGAGAACCAAACGACCUAAGGAUCGUGAACCCAAGAAUCGAUGAUCCGCGGCUAGUAGACCAACAUACCCGACCUAGAAUGGAACAAGAGUGCCACACAAGGUAACAACAAGACAAACAUCCACUGCGAAGGCAUGCGAAGGCAUGAACAACAGCUAGCAACAACGCGACACGUGCGUGCUACCAAGAUAAUGACCACAAGUGCCACAGGGACAAGUCCACCAUCAGCCAUGAGCCGGCACCACUAGCAUGAGUGUAAGCACGAUGUCACCGAGCAACGAGACCCUAGCCGAUGCCAUGAGAUCGACGGCCACCCUGGUCAAAGAAGGAGGACCGACGGGUGAAUGAGCAAGAACUAGGGGAGCACGAGUCGCACCGCAGCGAGGAUGACACCAUCCACGACCAACGACCUGGGCAGAAGGAGAGGAAAAUGGUUAUUGGGUAACGUACCACGAAAUAAAAAAAGAUUUCCGUAUGUACAAACACACCCGCGAACACUAUGAACUAUGAAGAUGCAUGGAUAGAUAAAUCUCACCAACAAGAACGCAUAGGAGAUGAAGAUUUGCAUAUUCCGGCAGCUGGGUAUUACCUCCUUGUCGUGAUAGUUGAACAUACGACCCCUCUGCGGUAUCCAUGCGUAUUGUAUUAGCAAUUCGGAUUCGACGGCACUUCGUCGCGCGCGGGCGCGCGCGCACACACACACACAAAGAGAGAGAGACAGAGAGAGAUGGCGCAAGGGGAGGGGGCGUCAACCUUGGGGCUUGUUUCCUUUGGGGACGCCCCUCCCAUCUAUUUAUAGAUGUGGCUUGGAGGGGCAGCCCCCCUUAGGGCUUGUGCAUCGAAGGGAGGGGGAUCCUUCCAAGACCUCCAGAUCCUCCCGAGACCUGCCCGUGCAACUCCGGGGCACUCCCGACAUCACCAAUAAAUUCCGGAAACCUCGCAUAACAUUUUCGGAAACAUCUGAAACACUUUCGGUCCUUUCUCUCAUUCUCCUAUGAUCUCCCAGUACUCUACCAAACCAAUAACCGUUAAGCAUGUGACCCUACAGGUUUGACAAUUUAUGGACAUUACCUAGAACAACUUUUGGUCAAUAAUAACAACGGGUCUGAACACCCAUGUUAAACAAAGAUCUUUAUUAAGCAAAUAUUUCAUUCCCGUACAUAAUUCCCCUUGCUUCACAGUACGUUAUAAAACCCGAUAUCUUUGUGAAGCAACUCUUUGAUCACAAUACUAAGUUGCCAUUGUUGUAGGUUAUAUACUUUUUUUUUCUCGUUUAUGUACUUCGGUAUUUUUAUGUUUGGUUCCGGUUUGUGUUCGAACAUCCAGACAGGUCGGGGCACAUUCUGAUGACCGACGCUGGAGGGCAGAAACUGUCCGAACAAUCCUGUCCAGACGUGUAGGAACGAUUUGAUGAAAUAGUUGCCCUAAGAAGACCCGAUCAAUUAGCAACUCGAUCGACAAAUGCACAUGGCCCGUAUGACUGACAGAGUAUGUAGAAUCCAGAACUUGUAUUGACUGACAGAACUUCUUGGAAAUUCCUCGCCGUGCAUGCACGUGCUAUGAAAGUGAAAGACGACGAGGACCAUGCGGUCAUGCAAUGAAAUCACGCUAACUUUCUACCGCACCAUGAGUCGAUGAGACGUGUGCACGCACAUUCCAUCGGUGCGACGCCAUUUCCAACAAGGCAGUAUCCAGUAUGGCGGUCAUGCUAUUCCAUUGCCAACUUUGUCUCUACCUUUUGAGGUCUUUCCAUAGUGAACCAUCGAGGAACGUACAGGAAGAAAAACAAUCAGAGCAACCGACGAGAGAACAUUCAACCCAAAUCAAGAAUUGACCAAGGACUUGGCCCCGCCAACACACUACUGGCGAGUGGUGAUCAGUCCGCUCCAACUUGGCCGUGGCACACCAACCCGAGUCCCCCCUCCGCCGUCGCAGUCCGGCGGCAUGAAACGUGGAGUGGACGGCGUCGCCUUGCAUCUCAAGGUGCCGCGCCGUCACGAGGCCCAGAGGCGAUGCGAGCGACCGACCUGCUAGUCUCCCCGCCCGCACACCAGCCGCUGAUCGAGCUCCGCGUCUCUAGCGGCAGCGAUGGCGGCGAGCGAGCGAUCACUGCCCUGCCUCUUCCUCCACGGCGCCAGCGCCGGGGCCCACCUCAUCCUCGCGCUCGCCGUUGCUGGGAGCCGGCUCUUCCCCCGCCGCGGGAAGGACACGGCCGUCGCCGUGGGCGGGUUCCCGUGCUACGCGGUGGUGGUCUGCGCCACGUGGGCUCUGGCUUUAUUCCAGCUCCUCCUUGCCGCGUACUCCUGCUACCUGGACGCCGGCGCCGGGUGGCCGCUCGACGCGGUGGUGGACCAGGCGGAUGCCGCCACACGCGCGGUGGCGUGGCUGCUGCUCGCGGCGUACCUGCAGUUCGAGUUCCGCCGCGAGGAGCGGUUCCCCGCGCCGCUCAGGCUCUGGUGGGCGCUCUUCCUGCUGCUCUCGGUCGUCGCCGUCGCUGUGCACGUCGCGACGAGCCUCGACGGGCUCCCCGUGCCAGCGCGUUCGUGGGCGCUCGACGCCGUCUCGGUCCUCGCGGCCGUGGUGCUGCUCGUCGCUGGCCUUUCUGGCAAGAGCGAAGCAGGCGGGUCUCCUUCAGAGGAGCCCCUGCUAGAUGGCGCGAGCGAGAGCAGCAGCGCCUAUGCCUCCGCGUACGCCGGCGCCGGCCUCCUCGGCGUCCUCACCUUCUCCUGGAUGGGGCCGCUUCUCGCCGUGGGCCACAAGAAGGCCCUCGGCCUCGACGACGUCCCGGGCCUCGACCCCGGCGAUAGCGUGGCCGGCCUGCUCCCCUCGUUCAAGGCCAACCUCGAGACGCUGGCCGGCGACGGCACCACGAGCCAAAGGGUGACGGCGUUCAAGCUCGCCAAGGUGCUGGUGCGCACCUUCCGCUGGCACGUCGCGGUGACCGCGCUCUACGCGCUGGUCUACAACGUGGCCACCUACGUCGGCCCGUACCUCAUCGACUCCCUCGUGCGGUACCUCAACGGCGGCGACGAGAGGCACGCGAGGAAGGGGCAGCUCCUUGUCCUCGCCUUCAUCGCAGCCAAGGUGUUCGAGUGUUUGUCGCAGCAGCACUCGUGCUUCCGGCUGCAGCAGGUCGGGAUACGAGCGCGCUCCGCACUCGUCGCCGUCGUGUACGAGAAAGGGCUGGCCCUCUCCGGCCGUUCCAGGCAGACCCACUCGAGCGGCGAGAUGGUCAACAUCGUCGGCGUCGACGCCGACCGCGUCGGGAACUCCUCCUGGUACAUCCACGACCUGUGGCUGGUACCGCUCCAAGUAAGCAUGGCGAUGUUCGUCCUCUACUCCACUCUCGGGCUUGCCUCGCUCGCCGCGCUCGGCGCCACCGCGGCCGUCAUGCUUGUCAACGUUCCUUCGGUGAAAGUCCAGGAGAAACUCCAGCAGAAUCUGAUGAGGAGCAAGGACGUUCGGAUGAAGGCGACGUCCGAGAUCCUACGCAACAUGAGGAUUCUCAAGCUGCAGGGGUGGGAGAUGAAGUUCUUGUCCAAGAUCAUCGCCCUCAGGAAGACAGAAACAAACUGGCUCAAGAAGUACCUGUACACCUCGACCAUGAUCACCUUCAUCUUCUGGAGUGCCCCUACAUUCAUCGCCGUGGUCACCUUCGGAGCAUGCGUCCUCAUGGGGAUACCAUUGGAGUCGGGCAAGGUGCUGUCUGCAUUGGCCACACUCCGGGUGCUGCAGGAAUCGAUAUACAACCUUCCGGACAGGAUCUCGGCCAUCAUCCAGACCAAGGUGUCUCUUGACAGGAUAGCAUCCUUCCUAUGCCUCGAGGAGUUCCCGACGGACGCUGUGCAGAAGCUGCCGAUCGGCAGCUCAGAUGUUGCAAUCGAGGUCAGCAACGGGUGCUUCUCCUGGGAUGCCUCGCCUGAAAUGCCAACGCUCAAGGACCUCAACUUUCAAGCUCGGCAGGGCACGCGUGUAGCAGUCUGCGGCACGGUCGGCUCCGGAAAAUCGAGCCUGCUCUCUUGCAUUCUUGGCGAGGUUCCGAAGCUAUCAGGAGUGGUCAGGACUUGCGGUACAAUAGCCUAUGUGAGCCAGUCAGCGUGGAUACAGAGCGGCAAGGUUCAGGAGAACAUAUUGUUUGGCAAGCAGAUGGACAGUGAGAAGUAUGACAGCGUGCUAGAGCUGUGUUCGCUGAAGAAAGACCUGGAGAGCUUCCCGUCGGGCGACCAGACGUUCAUUGGAGAGCGAGGCAUCAACCUCAGCGGUGGGCAGAAGCAGAGAGUUCAGAUAGCACGGGCUCUGUAUCAGGACGCCGACAUUUAUUUGUUCGACGACCCCUUCAGUGCUGUCGAUGCUCAUACAGGAUCCCACAUAUUCAAGGUACAAUGGUACUACCUUCUGUUUGCUGCUCCACAGGAAUUUGACAGACACAUUUGUUAAGGUUUCUUCUGUGUUCUGUAGGAAUGCUUGCUUGGGGCAUUGGCUCAAAAAACAGUGGUGUACGUCACUCAUCAGCUUGAAUUUUUACCUGCAGCUGAUCUUAUUCUGGUGAGUUUUUCAUGAGCAAAUAAUUCGUGCAUGUUUCUUUUUGAAAUAUCUUCAUGUGAUAUUUAUUGCCAUGAAGUGCUUCUCUUAUAAAGUAACUGUAUUGUAGGUAAUUAAAGACGGCAUAAUAGCACAAUCUGGCAGAUACAACGAAAUACUUGGCUCAGGGGAAGAGUUUAUGGAACUGGUCGGUGCUCACCAGGAUGCUCUUGCAACAAUCGACACAAUCGAUGUUCCAAUUGGAGCCAGUGAGGCUUUCUCAUCUGGUGGCGCAGCAAGUCUGUCCGGGUCACUGACAUCAGCUGAGAAAAAGGAUAAGCAAAAUGUCAAACAAGAUGAUGGCCAUGAUCAGAGUGGGCAGCUGGUGCAGGAAGAAGAAAGGGAGAGAGGUAGGGUGGGGUUUUGGGUCUACUGGAAGUACCUCACCUUAGCUUAUGGGGGAGCUCUUGUGCCAUUCGUGCUGCUCGCGCAGAUACUUUUUGAAGUGCUUCACAUUGCUAGCAAUUACUGGAUGGCCUGGGCUGCUCCUGCGUCGAAGGACGUCGAGCCUCCAGUGAGCAUGUACACACUGAUAUACGUCUAUGUGGCAUUGGCCCUAGGAAGCUCGGUGUGCACCUUCGUGAGAGCCCUGUUUCUUGUGCCAGCCGCAUACAAGACAGCAACUCUGUUGUUUAACAAGAUGCAUGUAUCCAUAUUCAGAGCUCCGAUGUCUUUCUUUGAUUCCACUCCAAGUGGGCGCAUCUUGAAUAGGGUAAGUCAUUCUCAAAAACAAAUCCUAGGAAAGUUCAGUUUAUUUGCUUCGAGCAUGUUAAUACAAGAACUUGUUUUUUUAGGCUUCGACUGAUCAAAGCCUGGUGGACACCAGCAUUGCUAACAGGAUGGGUUCUAUUGCGUUUGCCUUCAUACAACUUGGUGGAACUAUUGUUGUGAUGUCUCAGGUUGCAUGGCAGGUCUUUGUUGUUUUCAUUCCUGUAAUUGCUAUCUGCCUCUGGUAUCAGGUACUUUAUCCUACUCGUUAUCCUUCGCUGUAUUAGCCGCAAGAUCAACAUAUAAUUAUAUAGAGAGAAAUAUUCCUCAGUACCACUGAAUAUCACUAUUUCGUUUCGAUUCGAUGUAUCCUAUUGCCCUUAGGUGUGUAAAGACUGUUUUUCACCUGUAAUGUGAUUCUUUCUAUGCAUGCUAAAUAGACAUUAGUUGGCCUAUGUACACCAUGUCCUUGGCGCCAAAGUUGACGUUGAAACUCAGCAGAACUUUUGUACAAACUUUGAACAAAUUUGAAAAUAUUUUUUGCACAAAUUUCUGUGCAUAAUUUUGGUCUUAUUCGGUGGUAAAUGGAAUUAUGGUCUUAUUCGGUGGUAAAUGGAAUUUUCGCUUAUAUUUAUCGUUUUGCAGCGCUACUACAUUGAUACAGCCAGAGAGUUGCAAAGGAUGGUCGGGAUUUGCAAAGCUCCUAUCAUACAACAUUUUGUAGAAUCAAUAACAGGAUCAGCAAUCAUUAGAAGUUUUGGCAAGGAAAAACAGUUUUUAGCAACUAAUAACCAGCUAAUGGAUGCCUACUCACGACAAAAAUUCUACAAUGCUGGAGCAAUGGAAUGGCUUUGCUUCCGCAUGGAUAUGCUAUCAUCCCUUACAUUUGCCAUCUCUUUAAUAUUUUUAAUCAAUCUGCCGACCGGUAUCAUUGAUCCAGGUAUGAUGCUAGUUCCCAGCAUUUUUUGUUUUGAAAUAACAGCCUGGAAGCUAUAUUUCAUUUGAAGAUAGGGGGAAUUUACACCGGUAUUAACCAAAAAAAAUAGUAAAAGGUUUCAAACACAUUUUGUACUGAACAAAAUGGUGGGAGAAACGAUCUGAGUUUGCAACUGAAAUUCCAUCCGACGUCCAGGAAUUGCUGGCCUUGUAGUCACAUAUGGGCUUAAUCUGAACAUAAUGCAAGUAACGCUUGUAACAAGCAUGUGCAAUUUGGAGAACAAGAUCAUCUCAGUAGAGAGAAUUUUGCAAUACCUAAGCCUUCCUGAAGAGGCCCCUCUUUUGAUGUCUGAAGAUGGGUUGGCCCAUAACUGGCCGUCAGAGGGAGAAAUUCAGCUCCAUAACCUCCAUGUAAGUAAUACACUACUUCCGUCUGGAAAAGCUUGUCCCAAGCUUGUCCCUCAAAUGGAUGUGUCUAGCACUAACUUGGUGCUAGAUACAUUCAUUUGAGGGACAAGUUUUUUCGGACGGAGGGAGUACAUUUUUUGCCCUUGUCAGUAAACUGUCAGAAAUCUAGACUCAUGGCCAAAGUAAUUGUUAGAUUGGGUGCUUUGCCAUCACAGGUCCUUAACAUUUUAAGAAUGAUGCAGGUGAAAUAUGCUCCACAACUACCGUUUGUUCUGAAGGGCCUUACAGUCACUUUUCCUGGAGGCAUGAAGACAGGUAUUGUUGGUAGAACAGGCAGUGGUAAAUCAACUCUCAUACAGGCCCUUUUCCGUAUCAUGGAUCCCACUGUCGGCCAGAUAACAGUAGACGGCGUCGACAUUUGCACCAUCGGGUUGCAUGAUCUGAGAUCUAGAUUGAGCAUCAUUCCGCAAGACCCAACGAUGUUCGACGGAACCGUGAGACACAACCUUGACCCUCUAGGAGAGUACACUGACAAUCAAAUCUGGGAGGUAGUCUCAAUGUUCACAUGCUUCAUUUCUUUCAUUUCUCGAAUUAUUACACGCUCUAAAACCACUCACUUAAAAACUGAAAAAUAAACAUUUCAGGCCUUGGAUCACUGUCAGCUAGGAGAUGAAGUUCGGAGAAAGGAGCUCAAACUUGACUCGCCAGGUCUGAUCUAUAUUGAACCAUACAGUUCACAUUCCACUAGUCUAGCUUCUUCUGAAAUUUCUGAAAUUCAAAAGUCCACUCGCAGUGGUGGAGAACGGAGAGAACUGGAGCGUCGGCCAGCGUCAGCUCGUCUGUCUCGGCAGGGUGAUCUUGAGACGGACCAAGAUACUGGUCCUGGACGAAGCCACCGCUUCGGUGGACACCGCAACAGAUAACCUGAUCCAGAAGACACUGCAGCAGCAUUUCUCGGGGGCGACCGUCAUCACAAUCGCGCAUCGAAUCACCUCGGUCCUUCACAGUGAUAUAGUCUUGCUUCUUGACAAUGGUCAGCUACCAUAUCACCACUCCUUUAAAUGAACUUUAAGCUACGUCUUGUUAAUCUGCCCAAUCUGGGUGUGACACUUAUGAACUGGACUGACAAACACAGUGGCAAAAUUUUACAGGCAUGGCUGUGGAGCACCAAACGCCAGCCAGGUUGCUGGAGGACAAAUCCUCUCUGUUCUCAAAGCUUGUAGCGGAAUACACGAUGAGGUCGACGCGCACUUGAGCCGCCAUUACUAGUGUGAUCAAACGAAAUACCUAGACUGAAUUGCGAUGUGUAAAUGCCAAAAGGAAAACAAGUUCAUGAUUUUUUUACUGAUGUUUGACAAAGGCUUCAAGCUACCAAGAAACCAAGAUAUAUAACCGAAAGAAAGCAAGAUCAUUGGAAAUUGUACCUUCAAAUUGGCAAGGGCCGCGCGGACGCGUAACCCUACUAGCACAAAUUAUGACAUCCAUUCUCCCACUUAGGGAGAUGGUAAGCCAGCACUCCUCCGAAGUGCAAUGGAGGCUGCUAACCUAGGCCAUGAGCCUUCUUGAUAGGUCAUUGACCCCGUCCAGGUAAGUGAGGAUUGAGGUAGCAGCUGGUCCCUUUUAUAGCCUCUUCGUCGUGCCUCCUGCUGUGGACGAGCGAUGUGGGACUAAACAAAAUUUGCCCUAACCAACCUGGCGGCUGGCGCUGUGUCUACCACACGGCGGGGGAAUCUGUGAUGAGAACUUGGUUUAGGGCUCAGUACUUAUUAUUCGGCCUGCUGGGCUUUCGUGGGAGCCCAUGGUACAGACCACGGCGGGUACAAUGCUCCUCAAAUAUUGUUCAAAGACCCUAGAAAAACAUUGUUCAAAAAACCCUCGAAGAAAAAUGUUGUUAAAAAAAUGAACAAUAUAUCAAGCUGUCAUCAGGUACUGGUUUUCUCUCCCUUCAGGUUUUUUAUUUAUUUUCCAGUUCUCCGUUUUUUAUUUUGAUUUCCUACAUAAAAGUUGAUAUGAAAAAUGUGCAGAGACAACUCCAACUCUAUAUGAGAUUUAGUGGACCAACGUAACAGUAAAACAUACUCCCUCCGUCCCACAAUAUAAGGCACUUUUUAACAAUACACUAGUGUUAAAAAACGUCUUACAUUAUGGGAGGAAGGGAAUUGAGAUACCCAACACAAGAAAAAUAAAUGCAGCGGUGACAAAAAGACACUAUUCUUUUUUGUUUGGGGACAAAGAACUAAUCGAACAACAAAACAAAACUUGCAUGGCGAUCAAAUUUUUAUUUUCUUGUGGCAAAAAAUAUGCUAUAAAUUCCUGCAAAAAAAUAUGCUAUAAAAGUGGUAUUUAUUUUUUGGCCACAGUAUCUUUGUUAUACCACGUUGGACUAAAAAAUAUGACUCAAAACCAUGGGCCAUGCUGAAAAGUUGGCGUCACAUAGCAAAAAGGCCCUACACGCCAAGCCCAUGGUUAACAUCUGCAUUUCCAAUUCGAGGAAAAUAACCACAAUGUGUAGCCAUUCACAUCACAGUAGGAGCUAUACAUGAUCCAAGAAAAGGAUGUCUCGCACUCUAGUAAGUCUAUUAUGACCUAAAUGAAACCAAGCUUUUCUUCGAGAACUGGGCUAGGCAAGGACACAAUGAUGUUUCCUUGCAGACCGGGGUUCGACUCCCGUCGGAAGCGAUUUUCUGUGAUCUCAUGUAACACCCCAGUUGUAAAACUUCCAUAUUUGGCAAUGUAUCCAACCUUAUCAUGAUCAAUCCAAAGUGGUUUCCUCCUUCUUGGUUUCAUUUUGGGUUUUGCUUUGUUUCAUAUUGCAUUGCCUUCCUUUUCUUGUCAUAUUGUAUUUGCUCAUUCUUGUUGUUAUCAUGUGGUGCUUCAUGUUCCUUGCUAUGUUGCAUUGUGCUUGGUGUCAUUUUGCAUAUCCUCAUCAUCAUGUGCAUCUUCAUAUUGUAGCAUAUGGCAUUGUGGCAUGUUCUUAUGCAUCUAAGCAUCAUCAUUUCCCCUUCACUCAUCACCACCUCUCCUUCUCUUUUCUUCCAUUUUUGCAAGUGCACCUCUACCCUACUCCAUUAAUGUUCAUAUUUGCCUCAUAAAUCAUGCACCCUGCCUUAAACCUCUCUUCAAAAUUUCAUCUCAUUUGGACUUGGUUUGGUUGGGGUCAAAAAUGCCUCAAGUUUGAAUCUAAUUCAAACUUGUUUUAUUUUUCUUCCUCUAAAAUGUCCAAACCAAUUUUACUAAAUAGAGCAUGAUUCCAGGAGCUUCAGGAUAUUUUUAUUAUUCUCAAACACCUCUCCUAUGUUCCUGUGCUUUUCUGUUUUGUUUUCCAUCCUAGGGAAAUGGAAAGAAAAGGGGCAGCAACAACAACAACCUACCUGGGCCUCUUCCUCGUAGGCCGGCCCAGCUCAGCCGGCGCCCCGGCCCAGCCUGCCUUGUGCGCCUGCCUCACCAUUUCUCACCCGCGCCCGAACCUACCCCCGCUAGCCCUUCGCCAUGUGGCACAGCCGGCCCCGCUCGUCAGCGUCUGCAUACUCCUCCUCACCCACCUUUUCGUCUAGCUCUAGCAGCGCCAUGGGGACCGCGAGCCCGAGCGCACCGUCGCGUCGUCCCACCGCCCUAGCCCCUUUUAAACCCACUCUCCUUGUCCUCUCCCUCUCCUAGGGUUUCCCUCAUCUGCCGUCGUCGUCGCCUGGUAGGUUUAGCCACCAGAUCCGCCGCCCCGACUGCGUCCCGAACGCGUCCGAGAGCGCUGCCAUGUCGCCGCCGUGAUCUCCGUCGUUCUUUGCUUCAACGCCCGUAUCCGUCAAGUCUGCCGUUGUCGUCCACGUCGACUACUUCCCCUACGGCCUCAAGGGACACCAAGUUCGGCGCCGUCCCCUUCGUCCUCUUCUUCCUUCUUCCUUGGACAGGAACCGCGUCGGGUUCAGAGCUCGACCGCGUCGCCGCAUGAUCAUCUCCGUCAUCGUCGUCGUGUCCUAGGGUGAGCUAGGUAUACCUGCUCCCCCUACCUCUUCUCAUGCCGCAUGUAGAUCGCCAUAGACGUCGCCAGGGUCGGGUUCGCGUCGUGCUCUUGUCGCUCCAGCGUUAAUUGAAUUUUUCUCAGGUUCAGUAGUCUGCUCUCUGCACCCCGCGGAUCCCGAGACCAGUUGGCUCUGUAGACAUCCCACUGGUCUCGCGCCUUCUUCCGCAGGUUCGCCGUCGUCUCGCCGUACCCUGUUGCCGUCGUCGCCGCUGCUUGCCGUGCCCCGAGUCGAGCCAUGCUCAAGCUCGAGUGCCCCGCCGCUCCAAAACUGCUCGCGCCCUCGUAUGGGUGCCGCCAACCGUUUUUGCACGCCCGCCGCUUCCCCCUGAGCCCGACCGUCACUGUUGCUGUCGCUGGUGUUGCCGUAGACGCCUCGGCCUCGUCGAAGCAGCCAUCCGACAACGCUAGAACAAGUGGCACGAGGCCCCCCUCCUGUCCUCCACCUCGCUGUAGCCCAGCGGUUGACCCCGCACACCCGCACCGGGGAGACCCGGGUUUGAUCCCCGCGGCCGCAAUUAGGGUUAGUUUGGUUUGCGUCCUCGUUGUUUCAAGCCUGGCCUGGAGCGUGCCUGUGGUCUGCCUGGGAGGCGUUUGGUUCAGUUCCUCGAAAAGAUAGUAGUGGCCUGGCCUGGUAGUCAGGCAUCUUCGUUAGCCUGCCGGGCUUCCAAAAAUUAGCCCUUAAACUCCUCCCCUUUGUAUUUGAUUAAUGAGUCCCUAACAGUCAGGACCCACCAGUCAUGCUCUCUGCCAUCAGGUCCCACUUGUCACUCCCACAAAACCUUCUGUUCCCUUUUUUCUUUUUAUUUAACCAAGCGAAUAUCCCAUUUCAGGGAAAAGGAAUCUUUCCAUUUCGGGCAAGUCCAUUUCUAGACGUUUCCAAAUAUGGAAAAUGCCAUUUCUGUAAUGGCCAUUUUAGGCAGAUUGCAUAUUUGUGUAAUUGUGGAGAUCAUUCUAAUGCAACCUAGACAUAUUAUAUAUGUUUUGGGGUAGAAAAAUACCACCAAUCUAGUGGUGGCAUUAUUUCCUGCAUUUGAGCAAGUUUGCACACAUGUCAUUUUACAUCAUGUUGUUGUUUUGUCUUUUAUGUGUAUAUUUAUGCAAAUAUGCUAUGGGGUAGUUUUGCACAUGAACAUGCUCUUCAUCAUGCCUACUUGAUGCUAGAAUUAAUCUCAUGCCAUGAUAUGCUUUAUAUUGAGUUAAACAUGCUAUCAUAAAUCUGUUUCUGCCAUGCCAUUAAAUUCUACUAAGUCUGAAAUAUGUUCAUAUCACUUGCCAUGUUUCUUCCAUGUCCAGUAUUUUCACCAAGUCUGUAAAACUGUUAGCAUUUGCAUUUUUGCCAUGUUGUUUAAGUCAUGCUCUAGUGGUUUCUAGUAGUAGCUUAGUAAUAGUGUUUUGUAGUGCUUGAUAUGUACUUCACUACCAUGCCUUUUGUUUUCAUGUUUGGGUGCUGUAGCAUAUUUUUAUGUUGCAUCGAAUGUGCCAUGUUGUUGUUAAUCGUAGAUUUGCAUUGUUAUUGUUUUGUUCACCGUUUGAGUUGUGUGCAUCCAUUCCUCAUGAUCUUUAUUUCGAUUUCAACCGAAAUCCUCCAAUCUAUCUAGUGGCAUGCUUGGUUUACCAAGAUAGUGCCAUGUUCAUCUUUUCCCCUUCCAGAGCACCCAUAUGCAUUGCAUAUCAUAUCUUGCAUUCCAUGCCAUGUCUUGCAUCAUGUUGCUUGCGCGUUGCAUCGUGAUUGAUUGUUGUUUCGUUGCUUGUGUUCUUGCUUUGGGUAGAGCCAGGAGAUGAAUUCAUGAACGGGGACCCUAUCGAGUACGUUUACGAGGAGCAAGCUUUCGUUCCCUCUGAGGAGAAUUCAGGCAAGAUGAUCAUUACCCCCGAUAUCACUUCUAUCUUUGCUUGCUAGUUGUUCGUUCUACUGUUAUGUCGCGCUACCUAGCAUUUGUUUAUCAAGCCUCCCAUAUUGCCAUGUCAAGCCUCUAACCCACCUUCCUAGCAACCGUUGUUUGGCCAUGUUAUCGCUUUUGCUCAACCCCUCUUAUAGCGUUGCUAGUUGCAGGUGCAGUGAAGGUUGUUCCAUGUUGGAACAUGGAUAUGUUGGGAUGCCACAAUAUCUCUUAUAUGUAAUUAAUGCAUCUAUAUACUUCGCAAAGGGUGGAAGGCUUGGACUUUUGCUCAGUGUUUUAUUCCACUCUUGCCGCCUUAGUUUCCGUCAUAUCGGUGUUAUGUUCCUUGAUUUUGCGUUCCUAACACGGUCGGGGUUUAUGGGCCCCCUUGUCUCUUCGCCUAAAGUAAAGCUUUUCCGAGGAGAUCCAACAUUGGUUUUACCAUUUGCCUAAUAACAACUAAAAUUCGCAUAGGGAGUAAUUAACCUGAGGCCUCUUAAUCAACCCCCCCCCCCCGAGGGCCAAUGCUCGACAUGAGUGUUGGUCCACCUACCUAGCAGUCGGUGGUGCCGCCUCGGCGCAACUCAAAGUCUUUUGGCUAUCGUCCACUUUGCAUAGACGGAUGAGUCCGUAGAUAGAGAGCGCGCGGCUCUGGACACAGGUAUGACUCACCGGGAGACCUCCUUGGGAUAGUUUUCCUUUCUUCGAAGAGCUUGUGCACCGGGAUUCCGAAAAUACUUGGGGUGUCCCGCGAUGGAGGAUUGUCUCCAUGGAUCAUGAGCUUGUCAUGGGCUAAGUUGGGACACCCCUACAGGGUUUUAUCUUUCGAAAGCCGUGACCGCGGUUAUAUGGUAGACGGGAGUUUUUAAUAUCAGGUUGUAGUGAACUUGAAACCAAACUCUUUAAAAUACACCAACCAUGUGUGGAACCGUGAUGGUCUCUUUUCGACGAGGUUCAGGAAGAGAACAUGGUGGGGUUAUGUUUGAACAUAAGUAGUUCAGGAUCACUUCUUGAUCAUUACUAGUUUGCGACCGUUGCAUAGUUUCUCAUCUUAUUCUUGUAUGCGUAAGUUAGCCACCAUACAAAUGCUUAGUGUCUGCUGCAACUCCACCAUAUGUCCAUACCUUACCUUAAGCUUUGUUAGUCUUGAUACUGUGGGUGAUAUGAUUGCUGAGUUCCCGUGGCUCACAGAAUACUACAAACACAGUUGCAGGUACCGACGAGACUGAUGCAGGUGAUGCCACUGAACUCAAGUGGGAGUUCGACGAAGACCGUGGAUGUUACUAUGUUUCUUUUCCGGACGAUCAGUAGUGGUGCCCAGUAGGGUCGAUCGGGACUUAGCUUGGGUGGUUGUUUUUUUAUUCGUUUGAUUUCGUCCGUAGCCAGACUCUGCGUUCAUCUUGAAUGAUUGCAUAACUUAAUGAUAUUGUGUGACAUUGUGGCGAUUGUAAGCCAAAGUUCAUAUCCUAUCUAUUCAGUAUAUGAGAUGAGCAAAGAUACAACCACUCCUGUGACCAUACCAAUAUGCGCUUAUGCCCCAAGUUGUGCCUCUACACAUAUGGAGUAUAGUCGCAUAUUGGGCGUUACAUCUCACCCAGGUGUGCUUCUUCUAUAAAAAUAUGUCCUGGGUGCUAGUGCCCAUGAAUCUAUUUUUUAAAAACAAAGUUUUUUUUGACACAACAUGCACAUGACUUUUCGUGGCCAUCAGGCAACAUGCCAGGCAAAGAGCUAGCCUACAAACUCUUACUUGAAAUGCUAAGAUCUUAUCUUUUGCCCACGGCUUAUUGUCGAUUAAUAAAUUAAAAUAGCCAUCAAACAGAAUUUAGAAGCUGCAAAUUGCUACAGUUGUGACAAAAGUUCUCUUUUCUCGAUGAAAGAACAUGUGGUGCCCCCAUGUUUGGUUUUGGUAAUUAAUGACAAUCUCUAUGGACUAAUGGUUGCCUUGAGUUAUAUUUGAAGGAUUUGUCCAUAGGAUUUUCUUGGAGUCCAUUUGUUGGUUUCAAGGAGAGUUUGUGAUGACCAAGGUGCCAUUCAAGGAAUUACCUAAAGAUUGGUCAUGUGAGAGGUUGAUCAAGACUAAGUCAAAGAGUGAAUCAAGUUGAUCAACACACAAAGCGUAGAAGAUGUACCGAGAGGGAUCAAGCGAUCCCAUGGUAUGGUAAGCAUUAUCAAUUACGCUUUGUGUACUAACCCAUGAUCUUCGUAAGAGUUCUUUAUAGGGUUAGGUUGUGGUGUGCAAGUUCAAGUGAAGCAUCACAAAGAGAUCAAAUGCUUGAAGCUUGCUGUCCAUUGUGGUGAAAAUGGACUUGUGAAGAUGUGCGGAAGAGUGGCUCACCCAUAGUGGAGUAUGGGGGAGCAAUCAACUAGUCUUCAUCGAGCCAACACAAUCAAGAAAGGUGGUCCAACUUGAGGGAGUCAAGAUCGUCAUCAUCUAGCUCAAGUGGACCAUGUGCAAGGCAAAGGUUUGCCCUUGAUAGGUUUUCUAUUUUGCCGGUAUCAUGAUGGUAGUUGGGAGACCGGGUUUUAGGAUCGAUUGUCGUACUAUCAAGGGGGGCUCUCGAUGAGUAACUUGAUCGUAUCAUUCGUAGAGAGCUCAAACCAUUGCAUCCUGGCAUCAUCUUUCUUGGUUCUUGUUUGGUUCUCUUUGUGAGUUUUUGAGCUUAUAGUCAUCUUGAUGACAAGCUCGAGUUCAUCGAAGACGGAGUUCACAUGCUUCUUCUAUGAUGUUUUUGAUGUUGGAGGUUAUGCUGAUUCUUCUCUGAUGGAAUGUUCACUUCUCUGAUGGAGUUCACAUGAUUCUUCUAUGAUGUUUUCAUUAUUUUGAUGCUACUCGUUGUCUUGUAUCCAACAAGCUUGAGUUUGCUCAAUUCGGAGCUCAUAUGAAGAAGUUAUGGCAGUCCUGUUUUUCUCCCUGCGGUAGUACCGCGGAGCCAGCGGUAGUACCGCUUGUAGCGUUAAGCGGUAGUACCGCUCCUAUGCCGCUCUACUACCGCCUCGUUUUUGGGUCUGCUCUUUUCGUGUCGGGUUCAACAGUAGUCGCACGGCAGUAAGGCACGGCAGUUCCGCCUAUAAGCAGUAGUGCCGCCCAGAAUGGACGGUAGUACCGCCUAUAAGCAGUAGUACCGCUCCGUUCGGGCGGUAGUACCGCUACUGCACUACUGCCACCGUACUCUGCUCUGUCCUACCUCCUUUGGUCCCGUGCUCUGCUCCUCCAGCGGUAGUACCGCUGGGGUGAGCGGUAGUACCGCUUGUAAGCAGUACUACCGCCCCAAGGUUCAUGUUUUGUUCCUCCUUUUCCCUGCUUCUUCCACCCGAGCGGUAGUACUGCUCAUGGAGCGGUAGUACCGCUCAUGUGCGGGCUGAGCACAUAACGGUUGGAUUUUUCCCCUCCUAUAAAAGGUUUGUCGGUGUCAAAACCGGCGGACCUCGGGUAGGGGGUCUCGAUCUGUGCAUCUAAGGCUGAUGGUAACAGGAGGCAAGGGACACGAUGUUUUACCAAGGUUUGGGCCCUCUCGAUGGAGGUAAAACCCUACUUCCUGCUUGAUUGAUAUUGAUGAUAUGAGUGUUACAAGAGUUGAUCUACCACAAGAUCGUAGAGGCUAAACCCUAGAAGCUAGCCUAUGAUGAUUAUGAUUCUGUCUCUAAGGACUAAACCCUCCGGUUUAUAUAGAUACCGGAGGGGGCUAGGGUUUACAUGGAGUCGAUUACAAAGAAGGAAAUAUAAUAUCCAGAUCGCCAAGCUUGUCUUCCAUGCAAAAGAGAGUCCCAUCCGGACACGGGACGAAGUCUUGAGUCUUGCAUCUUCACGGUCCAACAAUCCGGCCAAAGUAUAUAGUCCAGCUGUCCGGAUACCCCCUAAUCCAGGACUCCCUCAGUAGCCCCUGAACCAGGCUUCAAUGAUGAUGAGUCCGGCGUGCAGUUUUUUCUUCGGCAUUGCAAGGUGGGUUCCAUCUCCGAAUACUCCAAAGUAGAUCGAUGAUUGUGUCUGGCUUUGCGAGAUAAUUUCUGCACACCUCUAUAGAGAGCAUAGCACUUAAUAAAUCUGAUCUGCUAGCAAUUUUUGUACGGUGUGCUCUUACAUCGUGGUAUGGUCCAACACGAACCGGUUUUUCUUGGCCUGCCUCGAUACGCGUUGCUAGGCGGUUUUAUUGGCACAUCCUGCCAAAGCAGAGAUCAUGCUCCCCUUAUUGUGGGAUUUUCCAUCAAUACGGGAGCGUGCAACCCCACGACGCCUGUUGGUAUGACUCCGUGUUUUUAGGCAAGUCCUGAGUGGUUACGCUGAGGACGCUUGAUAUUCACCCCCUUUAUAAAGGGGCCGAGGCAUAUCCCUCUUUUCCACCACCCUUGCGCCUUUUCGCAUCUCGAGUUCUAACACCCGAAACCCAAGCUCAAGCACCCCGGAUUCUCCACCAUGUCUGGAUCCAACCCUCAAGGCCGGUGGGUGGCCUCCUCGGUCACAUAGGAGGACAUUGCGAAGCUUAGGGAGGUCGGAUAUUUGACCGCUGACAUCAAGCACAGGCUUCCUGCUCCAGGGCAGGUCAUCCCUACUCCCGAGCCCAACGAGAGCGUCGUAUUUGUUUCUCACUUCCUCCGCGGCUUGGGCUUCACCCUUGAUCCCUUUGUGAGAGGGCUCAUGUUUUAUUAUGGGUUAGAUUUUCAUGAUUUAGCUCCGGAAGCUAUCCUCCAUAUCUCGUCGUUCAUUGUUGUGUGCGAAGCUUUUCUCCAUGUCACUCCACACUUCGGCUUAUGGCUCAAGACCUUCAAUGUGAAGCCGAAGAUGACUGAGGGGCGACACGUGGAGUGCAGAGGUGUUGUGAUAAGCAGGAAUUCCGGCGCCCCAUGGCCAGAGGGCUCCUUCCGAGAGCUGUCCGAUCUAUGGCAGCGGAGGUGGUUUUACGUCACGGCUCCUAGAGGCACAAAGUGGGUGGCUGCCCCCGACUUCCGUUCGGGCCCUCCUUCUCAACUGAAGUCAUGGACCAAUAUAGGACGGGAUUGGGGAUCUGCUAGUGAUGUACCAACAUUGCAGAGCCGUAUCCGGGAGCUUCUUGAAAAGGACAUUAGCCUCGUCAACAUAAUUCAGGUAAUGCUAAUCCGACGGAUGUUGUUGUGCAAACACCGGCCUCUCCGGAUGUGGGAGUUCAAUCCGGAGGGUCUGCGGACUAUUCUACACUUCUUCGGCCUGACGCUCGAAGGGAUGUGUAAAUUAUUCUUCGGACCACAAGUAAAGUGUCCGGAUACCAUCGAGGAUGCGGGCCUGAGCUGCAAUCGCCCAGAUACCCAAGUAAGUAACCCAAAAACCGAACACUUUGUCUAUUUUUGUCAUAGUCAUUAUUCUGAAAAUCCUCCGUGGCCAGGAAUGGCUCAGCAAGGUGGAGAGAAUCAGGUGUCCGACGCCACUUCCCGAAGGCUCGCCAAGUCCCGCCAUAGCCAAGAUGCUUGGCCGUGUGCUAAGUAAAGUGCCCUCAGGGAAAGACGAAGGGAAGAACAGAGAAGCAUAACUUCACACAUUGCGCAUCCAAACUGGGGGAAUUGCUACCUCCCCAAAGAAGGAUAGUCGGGGAGGGGAAUCUAAGGCCUCCUCCCCUCGCGGUAAGAAGAGGGCCGCCUCCGAAGACUUGGAGAUGGAGGUGCCCAGACAAGGGAAGAAAGCUUCACCAGGGGGCCCUGCCCCAAAGGGCGUCCUCACCGCGCCAUGCCCGCCAACGGGCCAGCCCUCAGCCGAGCUGUAAGUUAAUCAUAAAUACAAAGAUACUGCUUCCUUUUCCAAGAACAAUAACCAGGAUCCAUUCUUUGCAGUCCGGCUAGCAGCUCUUCUCGACAGAGUUCGUCUUCGGGGGAUCUCCUUUCGGAGAUGAUGGAGAGUGAGACCCCACCAACCUCUUCGCCUCAUGAGGCGGGCAAUCCCGAGGUGUCGUCACGGAGGAGUCCAGAUCCGCCGAAGCCAAGAGCUAAUACUUCGGCCGCCCUGAGCCCAGAGCGUCCGGCUCCCAUGGGGGGCGAUAAGAAGGGUCCGACACUUCGGCGUCCGGCCGGACACACUGAUGGGCCUUCUGGAGCGAGUUGCUCUCUUGGAGGAGCACCAUUCAUUAAUGAGCACGGUGCUCGAGAAGAUUUCAUCUGCCACAAGCGGGUUGAAUGAAGCCUUUACGAGCCUGCUCUGAGGCUUUGAGGUAUGUAAUGAAAAAUACAUAAUUUUUGGCUGUGACGCACGUGCUAGGUGUGCUCCAUAUGGAUAGUAGCCCCUGAGACUCUGGUUGUCUGCCCUAGGCGGCAAACAGACGAUCAUAUUGUGUAAGUAAUCAUCGCGCUGUAUCUAUGCGCAAGUGUCCAAGGAUUCGGCAGCCGACCGGUCUGUUGAAGUUAUCGAACUAAGGAGGCAGAUUGGAGCUAUUGAUGCUGAUAUCACACUGGUAAACGAGCGGCUUAACGAGUCACAAGGUAUGUGCUCUGCUUUCCUUAUUAUUUUUUGUAGGAAAAACUGAGAGGAGCAUAAUGCUAAUGUUAUAUGCUUGGACUGCAGACGGUGCUGCUGCCGUGGAAGCCCUGAGGGUGGAACUUGCCCUGGCCAAGGAACAGGCCCGGGCGAGCAAUGCGGCUGCCCUAAAGGCGGCCAAAGAGUUGAGAGCCGAACAAGCUGCUCGUCGCCGGAGCAAAGACAAAAUAGCCUAAAUGGCUGUGGAGCUAGAAAACGCCGCCAACCGGUAUGAGUUUCUUGAAAAAGAAAAUCAGGCGAAUAAGGCUGACCUGAAGAAGGCCCUUGAUGCGGCCAAGGAGACGUGUUCCAACAUUAGGGAUGCGCGGAGGAGCUUCGACAGGCCGGAGAAAUCGCGGCUGGAAACCCCUAUUUGUUGCGGAUGAAGUUUUUAGAUCCGAAGUACGUUCCUCUGGAUCGACGCUGGAGUCCUGCAGACGCCUAUGCGGAUUUGGCGAAGAGUGCGGCUGAUGCGGCCAAGUUUUUUGAGGAUCAAAAAGAUGAUGAAGUGGAAAAGCUGUUCUAGUCGCAGUUCAGCGCUCCAACGCGCACAUUGCCUUUGAGUGAGAGGAUGGCUGCUGUGGCCGAGCUCCACAGGCUGUCCGGUCUUGCAAUGCGGUCUGUAAUAGACCAUCUAUGGCCGAAGGGGCCUAAGCCGGACAGUUAUUUUGGUUUAGUGCAACAAUUCCUUGGUGCCGUAUCGCGGAUCGAUGCCAUGAAGAGGUCGGCAUGCAUAGAGGGUGCACGGAUGGCUCUUGCCCGUGUUAAAGCAUAUUGGACAUAUAUGGAAGCCACCAUCGUUGCGACCCAGAAUCCGGCGGGGGCCAGGAUCCGGCCGAGCACAUGUGCUCGCUUAAUAGAGGCUCAGUGCUCGAAAAAUGUCAUGUUCGAGUGACAAAUCGUGUCAUUGUAAAGACAAUGUUAUUUUGAUUAUGGAGGCUAUAUUUAUACUUUUCGCCCGAAAGUGUUGUUGUGCCUCCUGUGUGGCCGUUAUUUAUAUAUAUAUAUAUAUGUAUGUGUGUGUGUGUAUGUGUGUGUGUGUGCAAUUCUGAAAGUUAGCAGUCGUUGGCUUCAGCCCCCACGCAUAUAAUGCGGGGGUGUUCGCAAAAAUAUGAGUAAUCACACUUGAUCCAACAUCUUGGUCCAUUAAGGAGGUGAUCGCAUGUCGAACUAGGCAACCGGACUAUAUAGAUUUAACACUUUCACUUAGCCAUAGGAGUUCGACGGCGGGGCUACUAUGUAGCCCCUUGUACCUUUGCGUGCAUCUGAAUCCAGGCGCGUGUGUACAUGACCGGUAAGCAGUCCUUUGUUAAUACGGAGGAACCCUGAAGGUUUCGAUGAGUCUUCGAGUGGUUCAACAGUCUCUCGCAAUAUCAUGACAGUCAGUUUUCGGCUUUCUCUACUGAGGUGCUCAUCCGCAAUAACCAGGGCACAAUCGCAGUAGUUCUCCUUUGGCCGCCUUAGCCGAUAAGAACGGGACGUAAGGCAUCGAACCCAGGAGCCGGGCAAACCCAACAUUUGACCAAAGACAUGAUUCGGAGCUGACACAUAUAAGGCCAAACUCGCGACGCCGAACACUCCCGAAGGUAUUCGGACUUUAUAACAUAUACUGGGCUGAGUAACGCCCCUUAUUAUGAACCCUGUAUUCCCAGGUACGUGCAUUAGUCUGUCGUGGCGAAAUGCCAAUAACGGCAGUAUCCUCUGCGGGUGUAGUGCCCAUGGGAUGUGUAAGCAACAAGAGACAAUAAAGAAGGUUUACACAGGGGCUUAAUCUAAAGAGAAACCUUUGAGCAGGGCCCUGCUGCACGUCUGCGCCUUUGUCCCUGUUGUGCCGUGUCCUGGGAGGGUGUCGCACGAAUGGUGUCUGUAAAAAGGAAAACUCAUGUAGAAGAGUAUGACAUAAGCGUGCGAAAAGUUGGCUAUCAAUAAUGGAUAGUAAAAGUGUAAGACAUUGGCCUGUUAAUAAGGUUAGGCCGAGAAUUGAGCUUUAUUAAUUGUCUAUAGCCCCUGGUGUCCUCUAUGGGAUUACAUGUGUGGCGCCUAGAUCGGGUUGAUCUGGGCUGUCAGACUCGUCUAACCGUGUCCGUGGUCUUAACAACCAAUCAUGCUAUCUGGUAUUAGAGGCCGCUUAGAGUCCGGCUGCUGGAGCCGUCGCGUAUUCCUCUGUGCGUAAGGAACACUCUAUACUUCUGUUAACGGUGAUGACACCGCGUGGACCAGGCAUCUUGAGUUUAAGGUAGGCGUAGUGCGGUACUGCGUUGAAGCAAGCAAAGGUCGUUCUCCCGAGCAAUGUGUGAUAACCACUUUGGAGGGGGCGCUGGGGAAGAGUAGUUUUUCGCUUCUGAAGUUGCCUGGGGAGCCGAAUAUCACCUCUAGUAUGAGGGAGCCCCUGCAGUGGGCUUCGACGCCUGGUAUCACCCCUUCAAAGGUGGUGUUACUGUGGUUGAUUCUGGAUGGGUCUAUCCCCAUCCUGCGGACAAUGUCCUGGCAUAUUAGAUUAAGACUACUGUCGUUGUCCGCGAGGACGUGAGUAAGAUGGUAUCCGUCGAUUAUUGGGUCGAGCACCAAGGCAGUUGAUCCUCCGUGCCGAAUACUAGUCGGGUAGUCCUUGUGAUCGAAAGUGAUUGGGUAAGCCGACCAGUGGUUAAGUUUGGGUGCAAUGGGCUCUAUAGUGCAUGCGUCUCUGAGCGUGCAUUCGCGCUUUCUCGUGGAUAUGUGAGUCGCGUGGAUCAUGUUUAUUGUUUUUACCUCUGGUGGGAAUUUUUUCUGUCCCCCAGUGUUCGGCUGGCGAGGCUCAUCCUCGUCUUCACUUGGUGUUUCCCUUCCCUUGUGUUCGACAUUUAAUUUGCCGGCCUACUUGAAGACCCAGCAUUCCCUGUGAGUGUGGUUCGCAGGUUUUUCGGGGGUGCCAUGAAUUUGGCACAGUCUGUCCAUGACUUUGUUCAGGCCGGACGGUCCCUCUUUGUUGCCUUUAAAUGGCUUCUUUUGUUGACCGGGUCGAGAGCCCCUGAAUCCGGCGUUGACCGUUGUGUUGUCCGGACUUUCUUCCUUGUUUUGACGUUUGUUUUUAUUGCGAUGUGGCUUCCCGUUGCCAUCCCUGGUUUCGGAUGUACUUGGGUCGUUGGUGCCUUUACGGGCCAACCAGCUAUCUUCGCCUGUGCAAAAACGGGUCAUAAGGCUUGUUAAGGCUGCCAUUGUCCUCGGCUUUUCUUGGACGAGGUGUCUGGCGAGCCAUUCGUCCCGGAUGCUAUGCUUGAAGGCUGCUAGGGCUUCGGCAUCCGGACAAUCGACAAUUUGAUUCUUCUUAGUGAGGAAUCUAUUCCAAAGCUUGCGGGCGGACUCUCCGGGCUGUUGAAUUAUGUGACUUAAAUCGUCCGCAUCCGGAGGCCAGACGUAGGCCCCUUGAAAAUUGGCCCUGAAAGCAUCCUCGAGUUCCUCCCAACUUCCAAUUGAAUUUUCGGGGAGGCUUUUCAACCAGUGUCGAGCUGGUCCCUUCAACUUGAGGGGAAGGUAUUUGAUGGCGUGGAGGUCGUCCCCACGAGCCAUGUGGAUAUGCAGGAUAAAAAUCCUCAAUCCAGACCCCGAGGUCUGUCGUUCUGUCGUAUGCCUCUAUGUUCACAGGUUUAAAACCCUGUGGAAAUUCAUGGUCCAGCACCUCUUUGGUAAAGCACAGGGGGUGAGCAGCCCCUCUGUAUCUGGACGUGUUAUGGCAUGCCGUCGGUUGUUGUUGUGUCCGGUGCUGAUUUCGAGCUGGUAUCCGAUUGGUAGGAUCGUUUUGGUGACCAUAGUACUGCGCAGGGGUGUGUCCUUUAGAUCCAUAGAUGGACCUAGCCGCAUCGGCCUUUUUAUCCAGCAGCUCACGUAAAUCGUGUGUAGCGUCGGUAGCCGCUCUAUUGUGGUUACGAAGUGGUUUGUCCGGCCUCCUGGCCGUAUUGUUUUUCGGUGGAACGGCCUCAUCGUCGAAUUCUGGCCGCAACUUGCGUUUUGGAUAGCUCUUUGUGUGGCGAUCGUCGUCGUACUUUUCUUCAGUGUCUAGCACUUUAUUCCAUCUGCGACUGAGCGUUUCCUGUGCGGCCUCAAGCCUUUGCUUCUGCUUCUUUACACUUCUCGCAGUGGCCAUAAGCCUUUGAUAACCCACAAGUAUAGGGGAUCGCAACAGUUUUCGAGGGUAGAGUAUUCAACCCAAAUUUAUUGAUUCGACACAAGGAGAGCCAAAGAAUAUUCUCAAGUAUUAGCAGCUGAGUUGUCAAUUCAACCACACCUGGAAACUUAGUAUCUGCAGCAAAGUGUUUAGUAGCAAAGUAAUAUGAUAGUGGUGGUAACGGUAACAAAAGUAAAGACAGCAAAAGUAAUGUUUUUGGUAUUUUGUAGUGAUUGUAACAGUAGCAACAGAAAAGUAAAUAAGCGAGAACCAGCAUAUGGAAAACUCAUAGGCACCGGAUUAGCGAUGGAUAAUUAUGCCGGAUGCGGCUCGUCAUGUUACAGUCAUAACAUAGGGUGACACAGAACUAGCUCCAGUUCAUCAAUGUAAUGUAGGCAUGUAUUCCGUAUAUAGUCAUACGUGCUUAUGGAAAAGAACUUGCAUGACAUCUUUUGUCCUACCCUCCCGUGGCAGCGGGGUCCUAUUGGAAACUAAGGGAUAUUAAGGCCUCCUUUUAAUAGAGAACCGGAACAAAGCAUUAGCACAUAGUGAAUACAUGAACUCCUCAAACUAUGGUCAUCACCGGGAGUGGUCCCGAUUAUUGUCACUUCGGGGUUGCCGGAUCAUAACACAUAGUAGGUGACAAUAGACUUGCAAGAUAGGAUCAAUAACACACAUAUAUUCAUGAAAACAUAAUAGGUUCAGAUCUGAAAUCAUGGCACUCGGGCCCUAGUGACAAGCAUUAAGCAUAGCAAAGUCAUAGCAACAUCAAUCUCAGAACAUAAUGGAUACUAGGGAUCAAACCCUAACAAAACUAACUCGAUUACAUGAUAAAUCUCAUCCAACCCAUCACCGUCCAGCAAGCCUACGAUGGAAUUACUCACGCACGGGGGUGAGCAUCAUGAAAUUGGUGAUGGAGGAUGGUUGAUGAUGACGACGGCGACGAAUCCCCCUCUCUGGAGCCCCAAACGGACUCCACAUCAGCCCUCCCGAGAGAGAUUAGGGCUUGGCGGCGGCUCCAUAUCGUAAAACGCAAUGAUUUCUUCUCUCUGAUUUUUUCUCCCCGAAAGCCAAUAAAUAGAGUUGGAGUUGGCGUCGGAGGGCCACCAGGGGGCCCACGAGGUAGGGGGCGCGCCGAGGGGGGCGCCCCCCACCCUCGUGGACAGGGUGUGGGCCCCCUGGUCUUCAUCUUUGGCGAGGAUUUUUUAUUAUUUUUUCUAAGGUGUUCCGUGGAGUUUCAGGUCAUUCUGAGAACUUUUAUUUUCUGCACAUAAAACAACACCAUGGCAAUUCUACUAAAAACAGCGUCGGUCCGGGUUAGUUCCAUUCAAAUCAUACAAGUUAGAGUCCAAAACAAGGGCAAAAGUGUUUGGAAAAGUAGAUACGACAGAGACGUAUCAACUCCCCCAAGCUUAAACCCUUGCUUGUCCUCAAGCAAUUCAGUUGACAAACUGAAAGAGAAAAAGAAAAACUUUUACAAACUCUGUUUGCUCUUGUUGUUGUAAACAUGAAAAGCCAGCAUUCAAGUUUCAGCAAUUAUUAUGAACUAACCAUACUCACAAUAACACAUAGGUCUCACAAUUACUCAUAUCAAUAGCAUAAUCAGCUAACGAGCCAUAAUAGCAAAACUCGGAUGACAACACUUUCUCAAAAUAAUCAUAACAUGAUAUAACAAAAUGGUAUCUCGCUAGCCCUUUCUGAGACCGCAAAACAUAAAUGCAGAGCACCUUUAAAGAUCAAGGACUGACUAAACAUUGUAAUUCAUGGUAAAAGAGAUCCAGUCAAGUCAUACCCAAUAUAAACCAAUAAUAAUGAAUGCAAAUGACAGUAUGCUCUCCAGCAGGUGCUUUUUAAUAAGAGGGGUGAUAACUCAACAUAAAAGUAAAUAGAUAGGCCCUUCACAGAGGGAAGCAGGGAUUUGUAGAGGUGCCAGAGCUCAGUUUUAAAAUAGAGAUAGAAUAAAACUUUGAGCGGCAUACUUUUGUUGUCAACACAACAACUAUGAGAUGACGAUAUCUUCCAUGCUACACAAAUUAUAGGCGGUUCCCAAACAGAAUGGUAAAGUUUAUACCCCCCCUCCUCCAAAAGCAUCAAUCCAUGGCUUGCUCGAAACAACAAGUGCCUCCAACAUUCAACGGGUCCCAGGGGGAGUUUUGUUUGCAGUUAUUUUGAUUUAGUUUGCAUAAAGCAUGGGACUGGGCAUCCCGAAGACCAGCCAUUUUCUCGUGAAUGAGGAGCGAAGUCCACUCCUCUUGAGAAUAACCGCCUAACAUGGAAGAUAAGGGCAGCCCUAGUUGAAACAUGAGCUGCUCAAGCAUACAAAACAGAAUUUCAUUUGAAGGUUUGGAGUUUGGCACAUACAAAUUUACUUGGAACGACAUGUAGAUACCGCAUAUAGGAAGGUAUAGUGGACUCAUAUGGAACAACUUUGGGGUUUAAGGAGUUUGGAUGCACAAGCAAUAUUCCCGCUUAGUUCAGGUGAAGGCUAGCAAAAGACUGGGAAGCGACCAACUGAGAGAGCGACAACAGUCGUAAACAUGCAUUAAAAUUAAUUUACACCGAAUACAAGCAUGAGUAGGAUAUAAUCUACCAUGAACAUAAAUAUCAUGAAGGCUAUGUUGAUUUGAUUCAACUACAUGCGUGAACAUGUGCCAAGUCUAGUCACUCAAUUCAUUUAAAGGAGGAUACCAUCCCAUCAUACCACAUCAUAAUCAUUCUAAUAGCAUGUUGGCACGCAAGGUAAACCAUUAUAACUCAUAGCUAAUCAAGCAUGGCACAAGCAACUAUAAUCUCUAAAUGUCAUUGCAAAUAUGUUUACUUCAUAAUAGCUGACUCAGGAAUGAUGAAUCAUCAUAUUUACAAAAACAAGAGAGGUCGAGUUCAUACCAGCUUUUCUCAUCCCAAUAAGUCCAUCAUAUAUCAUCAUUAUUGCCUUUCACUUGCACGACCGAACGAUGUGUAUAAUAAUAAGAGUGCACGUGCAUUGGACUAAGCUGGAAUCUGCAAGCAUUCAACUCAAGAGAGAAGACAAGUAAUAUGGGCUCUAAGUUAAAAUAAUCAUUCAUGCAUAUAAGAGCCACUAAGCAAUUUCAAUAUAGUCUUCUUGACCCCCAAAGAAAGGAGAAGAAAAAUAUAAAAAAUUAUUUACACGGGAAAGCUCCCAACAAGCAAAAGAAGAACGGGAAAUAUUUUUGGGUUUUCUUUUUAAUUACUACAACAAGGAAAUAAACUGCUACUAUUUUUUUGGUUUUUCUUAAGGUUUAUCAAACACACAAGAAGAAAGCAGGAAAAAUAAAAUAAACUAGCAUGGAUAUUACAGUGAAAGAGUAUGAGCACCGACAUCUAGCAAUGAGUGUGUGUGAACAUGAAUGUAAUGUCGGUGGGAAAUACGUACUCCCCCAAGCUUAGGCUUUUGGCCUAAGUUGGUCUAUUGCCAGGGAUAGCCUGGCGGAUACCCGUAGGUGAAGCUGGGGUCAUACUGUGACGAAGAAGGCUCCGGCUGCCACUGACUGGCAACCUCCUCUGGAUCCCAAGAAUAAACAGAUAGUCGUGGAGGCUCAUCUUGUGGUUUCGGUUCCGGGGCUGGUGCAGGAUUCCGAUAGGCUUGAAUAGCCGACCACGGAACAAUGUGAGGACCUGCAGAUAAAUUAAACAAAGAAGGAGCAGGCAAAGUAAUAGUCUCAGGGUGAUGCUUAUCAAAGUAUAAUUUGUAUUUGAGCUCCCCUUCGUGACUCUUAACAAGAAAAUCAUGCGCUAUCAUACUCUUACAAUCUAAGUAAGCACGGGGCAGUGCUGUUUCUUCUUCCUCCUCAUGCCUAAUAGGUAUUUCAAAAUGUUCAGCUAGGCGUGAAGCAUAAAUGCCUCCAAAGAUGGGGCCCUUAGUACAGUUCAGACUUAACCGUCUAGCAACAAUUCCACCCAUACUAAUAGAGUUAUUGUGGUAUAAACCAUGGAACAAAAUAAUAAUAUCAGGAAUACUAAGGUUCCCACAGUUUCCGCGUCCAAUCAAGCAACGACUAGCAAAUAAGGCAAAGUAGCGUAAAACAGGAAAAUGUAUGCUAGUGAUCCUCGCAUCAGAAACCUUCCUGGUUUCUCCCACAGUGAUAGUGUUAAUAAAAGCUUCUACAUCGUUACGAUGGGGUUCAUCUAAGGUGCCCUCAAAGGGUAUUCUGCAAACCUCGCAUAAUUCAGCUAAUGUCAUCUCUUGAACAACGUCAUAUAAAUGAAAUUCUACUGUUGGAGGUGAUUUCUUAGGGAAAAAGUAGAAAUUUUGCACAAAAGUAUUUGUGAGUAAGAGAUACUGAUGACGUUGGCCGCGGAGGAAGUCGGUGAGGCCGGCGUUCUCAAUCAAUAGAUAGAUAUCCUCAUAAAUCCCGACUCUCCUCAAGAAGUCAUCGGAAGGUCAUUCACACGGUCGGACCUCCGCGGUGCGAGGCAAAUUAAAUUUGGGCUUCUGCUCUUCUUCCUUUUGUUUUUUCCUUCGAGCUUCAGCUCGACGAGCCCCUCAAAAAUCUCUUCAUUAUUUCUGAAACAAUCUGAAAUUUUUAGUAACUUCAAAUAAAAGUGAACCAACUUCAAUAAAAUUGAUAGUAACAACUCCCACAAGUGCCUAGAGCCCAUAUAAAGCAUUGGAACUACUUGGAACCAUAUAAAUUUGACAUGCAAGCUCAAGAACAUGGUCACCUAUGCAGCACAAAUUUGCAAUGAAUAAAGCACUAGAACAAAAACUAAUUGGACCAAUGGAAGAGUCACAUACCAAGGAACAAUCUCCCCAAGCAGUUUUGCGAGAGGUGCUUUGAGCAAGGAGAUCGAAAAUCACAACAACAGGGACUGGAACUCGUGCUUGAGUUGGUUUUUCGUGUUCGUGUGUGUCGGUGUCAAAACCGGCGGAUCUCGGGUAGGGGGUCCCGAACUGUGCGUCUAGGCGGAUGGUAACAGGAGACGAGGGACACGAUGUUUUUACCCAGGUUCGGGCCCUCUUGAUGGAGGUAAAACCCUACGUCCUGCUUGAUUAAUAUUGAUGAUGUGGGUUACAAGAGUAGACCUACCACGAGAUCAAGGAGGCUAAACCCUAGAAGCUAGCCUAUGGUAUGAUUGUUGUUCGUCCUACGGACUAGAGCCAUCCGGUUUAUAUAGACACAGAGAGGGCUAGGGUUACACAAAGUCGGUUACAAAGGUAGGAGAUCUACAUAUCCGUAUCGCCAAGCUUGCCUUCCACGCCAAGGAAAGUCCCAUCCGGACACGGGAUGAAGUCUUCAAUCUUGUAUCUUCAUAGUCUUGGAGUCCGGCCGAUGAUGAUAGUUCGGCUAUCCGGACACUCCCUAGUCCGGAACUCCCUCAGUAGCCCCUGAACCAGGCUUCAAUGACAACGAGUCCAGCGCGCAUAUUGUCUUCGGCAUUGCAAGGCGGGUUCCUCCUCUGAAUAAUUUAUAGAAGAUUGUGAACACCAGGAUAGUGUCCGGCUCUGCAAAAAUAAAUUCCACAUACCACCGUAGAGAGAAUAAUAUUACACAAGAUCAAUCUGCUGACGUAUUCUAUGGCGUGACGUCACACCACUUCCAAGCCUUUACUCGAAUUGUUUUUAUUGUUCCACCUUAGCGCGUUUAGCGAGGCGGUUUCCUUGGCACGUCUUGUUGAAGCAGAGACCGUGUUCCCCUUAUUUCGGGAUUGCCAUCAAUAUGGGCGUGGGUAACCCAACCGCGCCAUUGAUUGUGACGUUUGGGAGAUAAGGGAGUUUUACCAGGCCGGUGGGGACGCGUGUUUCUGUCCGCCCAUAUAAGGGGAUAAAGAUCCAACCUUUUUACCUGCGCCUUCUUCCUCCUUGGCUUAUCCAUCUCUACGAACUCGAGCUCCAGCGCCCAAGUCCGCACUUCUCACCUCAACCUUCUCCAACUAUGUCCGGAGCGGGAGGCAAGUGGAUGGCCUCCUCCGUCACGGAGGGGCAGAUCCAGAAGCUGCGCGACGCCGGAUACUUGUCCAGUGACAUCGCGCAUCGGCUCCCCAACGAGGGAGAGCUCAUCCCCACCCCCAGGCCCCAUGAGAGGGUAGUGUUUUUUCCCCAUUUCCUCCGCGGACUGGGCUUCCCACUUCAUCCCUUCGUCCGGGGGCUCAUGUUCUAUUACUGCCUGGAUUUCCAUGAUCUGGCCCCGAAUUUCAUCCUCAACAUAUCGGCGUUUCUCGUCGUGUGCGAGGCCUUGCUCUGCAUCCAGCCCCACUUCGGCUUAUGGCUCAAGACCUUCAGUGUCAAGCCGAAGGUUGUGAAGGGCAGCCAAGCGGAGUGCGGAGGCGCCAUGGUGGGCAGGAUGUCCCACGUUACAUGGCUGGAAGGCACUUUCGUCGAAACCAUCAAGGGGUGGCAAUCGGGGUGGUUCUACAUCACCGAGCCGCGUGACACCGAUUGGGCAGCGGCCCCCGAAUUCAGAUCCGGCAUCCCUACACGGCUCACCUCCUGGAAAGAGAGUGGCCUGAUCUGGGGGAAUUCGGAGGAGCUGACCGGACUCCAAGCCUGUAUCCAGAAGCUGGUGGACAAGAAGCUCAAGCUUGUCAACGUAGUCCAGGUCAUGCUCAUCCGCCGGAUUCUCCCGUGCCAACGACGGGGUUUCAACAUGUGGGAGUUUGAUCCGGCGCAGCACCAGACCCUGAGCGGGCUCUUCGACACUAUGUAUGAAGAUGUCUGGAAGGUGUUGUUCAAGGGCGCUGAAGCUCCCGCAUCAGCUAUCGAAGAUCGCCGAUUCCGCUCGCAGCGUCUGGCUGACGAGGUAAGUGAUUUUGCCACUUGUUUUCCAUAGUUUGACUCUAUGCAGGAUCUAAACUCCCUUUACCUUUGACAGGACUGGCUGGCGAAGGCCGAACAGACUAUCUGUCCGGCCCCAUUGCCAGAGGAUCCAGCGGACGCCCGCCUAACGGGGCUGCUGGCUCCGGCACCCCACGUGGUGCCGAAGAAGAAGGCCAAGAAGAAGGCCACGGGGACUCGGAAGAGUUCCCGUUUUCAGGUGCUAUCGGAUGAUGAAUCCGAGGCUGACUCCUCCCACCAAGGCGAGGAGGAGAAGAAAGCCUCUCCCCCAGCGGGGGAAGGGAAGAAAAGGAAGGCCUCCCCAACAAGGGAGGCCGAAGGGUCCAAGAAGGGAAAACUCUUCCCCCGGACCGCUCCGCCAACGCCAGUGACGACGACGAGGGCUGGCCUCCAAGGGCCAAGCCCCUGGCGAGAUCGUAAGUAUCCGGACUCCCGAAUAACUUCAAGGUUUUUUCUUUUCGCCACAUAAUGUCUUUCUAAUGCCGCAUACAACCCUGCAGUCCGCCCAAGGAUGAUCUUCCCGUUUCGUCGAGCGGGUCCUUAGGGGCGUCGGAUAUGGAUUCUCUUCCGACUGCCUCCACCCCCCGUGAUGCGGACGAUGCCGAGGUGGGAUCCCGGGAAGGGACCCACCAGGAGGAGAGGGCCCUGGAGGUGUCGCAGGACAACCUUCCGGACUUUGCACCGGACUCAGCCCCGGAACCCAUAGUGGCUCCGGAGUCCGGCGGGCGACCCCUUCGUAAGAAGGGCAAGACCGCGACGCCGGCUGCCUCCGUCCAACCGGAGGUGCCGGAUAAUUUGCUGGAGGUGCUCAACGGCGCCUCCAUCGGAGAGGAACACCGCACUGUUAUGAGUGCGGUGAUUCAGAAGGUUCAGCUUGCCAAGAGCGGGCUGACCGAAGCCUGCAGCAGCCUUCUAACAGGCUUUGAGGUAAGAAUUUCAAUAUAUGUAAAAUGGUACCGCAUAGACAGUAGCCCCUGAUGCUCGGUUCGGUGUUCAGAAAGAAAAGCCGGACUGAGGAUCUUUAGAAAGAUAAAUGCAUGAGUCAUGAAAAUAUGUCAAUAUGGGAUUGCAGGCUGUGCUGCUGACCUCCGCCGCACUAACUGCGGAGGUCAAUACUUUGAAGGAAAACCUAGAGCGGUCCGAGAACGAGCUCGGCCGUGCCAAGAAGUAGCUCGAGGAAAAAGAAGGUGAGUAAUACCUUAUGAAAAUUGUACCUUAUAGAAAAGGAUUUGGUUGCAAGAAAAAAUGACAAGGAUAACUUGGGUAUUGCAGGGGCCACUAACGAGGUGGCGACCCUGAAGGAGGCGGUGGCCGCGGCCGAACGCAAUGCGGCCGUGGAGCGCACCGAGCGAGAGAGGCAGGAGGCGUGGGUGGCGGAGGCACAGCAAGAGCUCCAGGUUCUCGUGAAAAAACAUAAGAGCUUGGAGCGUGACUCGAAGACUCGAGAGUCUGAGCUUGCAACGGCUCUUGAGAGUGCCAAAGCCGCUAAGGCCGAGGCCUACAAGGCCCUCCAGGAGAUCGAGGCGGUAAAGAAAAUAGCAGCGGGUAAGGCAUUUUUCAUGCAAAGUAAGCAUGUGAGUGUUAAUUACCUGUCGCUUACCCGAAUUCGGAGCUCUCCAGGAGCGUUCGCAGAUCUUCCUCGCAGCGUGUCCGAUGCUGCCGCAUUCUACCGGGCUGAGGAGGGGAGCUCGACUGAGAAGGUCUUCUGGUCUCAGUAUGCUGAGGCCGGACAUCCGGUGCCCCUUAGCGACCAGCUGAAGCAGCUGGUCGAGCUCCACAAGGCGGCCGAACAGGCCAUGAAGGGCCUCAUAGUUCGGCUGUGGCCUAAGGAGGCUAUGCCUAGGAGCUACUUCGGCCUGGUGCGGCGGCUGGUGGAUGCGUGCCCGUGGGUUGAAGUCAUCAAGCAUUCCGCUUGUAUUGAAGGUCCCCGUUGGGCCCUUGCCCGCGCAAAGGUGCACUGGGGCAAGAUGGAUGCCCAGAAGCUCGUGACGGACCCGCCACCAGAGGGCAAGGAGCAUCGCACGCCCGAGAUGUAUUAUAAGAGUGUGCUGAAGGGCGCCCGCACUAUUGCGGGUGAGUGCUCCAAAGAUGUAAUAUUUGAGUAGCCUGUGCACUGAAAACUUGGUUCAUAUGCGCUAAGCAACACUUGUUAAUUUAAAAUAUUACCUUCUGUGCGGCUGUUUAUCAAAUCUGAGAGAUGGCAAGUCGUCGGCUUCAGCCCCCAUGCCACGAGUGCUGGGGUGUUCGGGAUAAACUCGAGCGCUCUUGUUCCCAUUUUUGGGUCCAUCUAGGGAGGCGCUCGACACAGCGAACAAGGCAACCGGACUUAUAAUGCUUGAACACUCUCACUUAGCCAUAGAAUUCUAUAAUUUUAAAUUUCGGCGAAGCCCCUAGUCUUCGGAAGGCCGAAUUUGGGGCGCUAUCCAUGCCUUGGCCGGACAGUAUCCGGCUCCUCGCUCUAAGCGGCAUAAGUCUUUAAGGACUCACAAAAAACCUCUCGAACAGCGACCGGCUCUCGCCUCAUCAUGACGGUUAGUUUUAGCUUUCUCCACUGAGACGUUAACCCAGCUCAACUGGGGCGCAAUCGCAGUGGUUCUCCCAGUGCUACCUUAGCCGAUAUAACGGAACGUAAGGUACCAAAACAUGGGAGCCGGGCAAACCCAACUAUUGACCCAAGACAUGAUUCGGAGCCGAUGCAUAUAGUGCUAUAAGUUCGGGGUGCCGCACUUGUGGAAGUGUUUGGACUCAUCACACCAUGAUUCGGGGAACAUAAGCCCCUGAUGUGUAUUAGCCGUACCAAAGUGUACGAAUGCAAUAUGCCGUGAAUGAACAUAUGUAUGAAAAGGAAAUGCAAUUAUAAGCAAAAAGGUGCUGCAUUGUUUUAUUCAAUAAGUGCUGCUACGAAUGCAGAACGAUACAAAUAGUGCGAUAAGCAAGGUAUGGGACUGUUAAACAUGUCCCCCUCCAGGGGUAGGCUGCAGAUUGGUGUAUAAAAAUGCUCGUAACGGAGACCACCUGUAUAUUUGUUGUAGCCUUUAUCCUUUCCUGGCUGUUGCAUCGUGAGUUUGGCAGAUUUGCUGCCGGACAGGGCCUCUGACAAACGGAGUCCUGUGGGUAAAAAAUAAAAGGUAAAAAGAAAAGAAAAAAGAACGACACACUUGAGAGCCCCUGGUGUGGUUGAGCCGCAGUUGGGUUUAUCGUGGUCGUGCCCCUCUCCCCAUGCCCAUGGUAUCUUCAGAGCGUAAUGGUGUACGCGAAGGACCUGCUUUAACGUUUCGCAGGAGCUGGGGUUGGGGCCGCACUGCUACGCAUGCUCGGAACGUGCCAGGUGGUCUUGUUGUAAGUUACUCCGGGCGCGCUUAGCUGUGUCCAGCCGCUUAAAGGCCGGACUCGAGAAUUGCCUUAAGAGGCUGCAUUGCACUUCUGCCGCGAGAGCCGCUGUAUGUUCCUCCGUGCGGAGAGAACGUUCAGUGUUUCCGUUGACCGUGAUGACUCCUCGAGGGCCUGACAUCUUGAGCUUGAGGUAUGCAUAGUGCGGCACCGCGUUGAACUUUGCAAACGCGGUGCAUCCGAGCAAGGCAUGAUAGCCGCUACGGAACGGGACUAUGUCGAAGAUUAACUCCUCGCUUCGGAAGUUAUCCGAGGAUCCGAAGACCACUUCCAGUGUAAUUGAGCCUGUACAAUUGGCUUCUACACCUGGUAUGACGCCUUUAAAGGUCAUUUUGGUAGGUUUAAUCCUUGAGGGGUCUAUGCCCAUUUUGCGCACUGUAUCCUGGUAAAGCAGGUUCAGGCUGCUGCCGCCGUCCAUCAGGACUCUGGUUAGGUGAAAUCCAUCGACGAUUGGGUCUAAGACCAGUGCGGCGAAUCCGCCGUGGCGGAUGCUGGUGGGGUGGUCCCUUCGGUCAAAAGUGAUCGGGCAGGAGGACCAUGGAUUGAACUUCGGGGCAACUGGCUCCAUCGCGUAGACAUCCCUGAGUGCACGCUUCCGCUCCCUUUUGGGUAUGUGCGUUGCGUAUAUCAUGUUCACCGUUCGCACCUGUGGGGGGAAACCCUUCUGUCCUCUAUUGUUCGGCGGUUGGGUCUCAUCCUCGUCAUCGCUAUGUAGCCCCUUGUCAUUGUUUUCGGCAAUUAACUUGCCUGCCUGCUUGAAUACCCAACAGUCCCUGUUGGUGUGGUUAGCUGGCUUUUCGGGGGUGCCGUGUAUCUGGCACAAGCGGUCGAGUAUUCGGUCCAAAUCGGACGGACCCAGAGUAGUUCUUUUGAAUGGCUUUUUCCGCUUACCGGGUUUAGAGCCUCUAAAUCCGGCAUUGACUGCCGUAUCCUCAAUAUGAUUGCCGUUAAUGCGGCAUUUGUUUUUGUUGCGACGCGGCCUGCCAUUUUGGUCCUUGAAGUCCGGACUACCAGAAUUUUUGCUGAGGUUGUUGUUGCGUGCUAGCCAGCUGUCCUAGCCCGCGCAUAAGCGGGUCAUGAGUGAUGUGAGGGCUGCCAUGGAUUUCGGCUUUUCCUGUCCCAGGUGCCGGGCAAGCCACUCGUCGCGGAUGUUAUGCUUGAAGGCCGCGAGGGCCUCCGCAUCCGGACAGUCGACGAUUUGGUUUUUCUUGGUUAAGAACCGUGUCCAGAAUUGCCUGGCCGAUUCGUCUGGCUGCUGAAUUAUGUGGCUUAGGUCAUCAGCGUCUGGUGGUCGCACAUAAGUGCCCUGGAAGUUAUCGAGGAAUGAGGCUUCCAGGUCCUCCCAACUCCCAAUUGACUCUGCUGGCAAGCUGUUGAGCCAAUGCCGGGCUGGUCCUUUAAGCUUGAGGGGGAGGUAUUUGAUGGCGUGAAGAUCAUCACCGCGGGCCAUGUGGAUGUGAAGGAGAUAGUCUUCAAUCCAAACCGCGGGGUCUGUUGUGCCAUCGUAGGAUUCAAUAUUGACGGGUUUAAACCCUUCGAGGAUUUGACGAUCCAUUACUUCAUCUGUGAAGCAUAGUGGGUGUGCGGCGCCUCUGUAUUGGGCGAUAUCACGACGGAGCUCAAGGGAGCUUGGUCUAUUUUGUUCGGCCCGGCCGGACUUACUGUGUCCGGCGCGACGAUUGUCGUCACAUAUCAUGGGACGCCCACACGAUCCGUAGAUCGAUCUUGAUUGUCCUGCCUUAUCCUCCAAUAUAUCUCGCAAGUCCGGAGUGUUCCCUUGUGGCCCUGUGCUUUUCGAGCGAUGCCGGGGUACGUGUCUGGUGAAGGGCCUAGAGGCCACUCUGUCGCGACCACGGGGUGGUCGGUCAGCCGUAUUGUCUCCUAGUGAUGCGGGUUCGUAAGCCUCCUCCUCUAAUCGGGGGAGCAGCUUGCGUUUAGGGUAGCUUUUGGAGAGGCUUUCGAGCUCAUGCUCUUCGGCCGCGAGGACUUCAGUCCAUCUGUCGGCUAGUAGAUCCUGAUCAGCUCUAAGCUGUUGCUGCUUUUUCUUGAGGCUGUUCGCCGUGGCCAUAAGCCUGCGUUUAAAACGCUCUUGUUCGACGGGAUCCUCAGGCACGACGAAUUCGUCAUCGUCGAGGCUCGCUUCCUCUCCGGAGGGAGGCGUAUAAUCCUCUGCCUCUUCUCCUGCCGCUCCUUCAUAAGGGCUGGCGUCUCCAUCCUCCUGCGCUGCAUCUUGCUGGAGCGGGUUGUCUUCGGCACUGUCCGGUGUAUUAUUGUCUCCGGUGCCAGAGUCUUCAUUCUUGCUGUGGCGGGAUUUAGAGCGGCACCGCUGACGCCAGCGCUUGGGCUGCUUUUUGGAGGGGUCAUCCUCCUCUGUUCCUUCGCCAUUCCCAUCUUUUGGGAUAUCCACCAUGUAUAUAUCAUACGAUGAGGUGGCUGUCCAGUGCCCAGUGGGCGCUGAUUCUUGGUCGUCUCCGGCAUCAUCGUCCAUACCGUCGAUGUCCUCGGAGUCGUAGUCUAGCAUGUCGGUUAAAUCAUCGACAGCGGCUACCAAGUGGGUGGUGGGUGGGCUUUGAAUUUCUUCGUCGUCCGCAUCCCAACCAUCCUGACCGCAGUCCGGCCAGGGCUCUCCUGAUAACGAGAGAUAUUUUAGCGAACUCAAGAUGUCGCCGAAAGGUGAGUGUUGAAAGACGUCCGCUGCGGUGAACUCCAUGAUCGGCGCACAAUCAGAUUUGAUCAGGGCGGGCGUGGGAGGUUCGGAGUCCGGCGAGGAGUCCGGCACCUUGGAGUCACGAGCUUUAUGAGGGACAAAGUCAAUGUUCGGCUCUAUCGCCGUAGAGGUUGCAGCCCCCGAGGCGGUGUCUAGGCAUCCAUCCUCGAUCUGCGGAGCUGGCUCCCAAUUGAAGAUCGGAGCGGUUUUGAGUGCGGCCUCCAAGGUACUGUCCGGCCGCAGAGCUAAAUCAUGCUCGCCGCGACAGUGCGGCACGCUCGGCUGUGGCUCGAACCCAUCGAGGAUCAAGUCCCCGCGGAUGUCAGCCGUGAACUUCAAACUUCCAAACCUGACCUAACGGCCAGGGGCGAAGCCUUCGAUCUGCUCCAGUUGGCCAAGAGAAUUGGCCCGCAGUGCAAAGCCGCCGAAUACGAAGAUUUGUCCGGGGAGGAAGGUCUCACCCUGGACUACGUUGUUGAUGAUGAUUGAAGAAGCCAUCGAGCCUAUCGGUGACGACACAGAGGAACUCUCAAUGAAAGCACCAAUGUCGGUGUCAAAACCGGCGGAUCUCAGGUAGGGGGUCCCGAACUGUGCGUCUAGGCGGAUGGUAACAGGAGACGAGGGACACGAUGUUUUUACCCAGGUUCGGGCCCUCUUGAUGGAGGUAAAACCCUACGUCCUGCUUGAUUAAUAUUGAUGAUGUGGGUUACAAGAGUAGAUCUACCACGAGAUCAAGGAGGCUAAACCCUAGAAGCUAGCCUAUGGUAUGAUUGUUGUUCGUCCUAUGGACUAGAGCCAUCCGGUUUAUAUAGACACGGCGAGGGCUAGGGUUACACAAAGUCGGUUACAAAGGUAGGAUAUCUACAUAUCCGUAUCGCCAAGCUUGCCUUCCACGCCAAGGAAAGUCCCAUCCGGACACGGGACGAAGUCUUCAAUCUUGUAUCUUCAUAGUCUUGGAGUCCGGCCGAUGAUGAUAGUUCGGCUAUCCCGACACCCCCUAGUCCGGAACUCCCUCAGUGUGAGACAAAGGAAGAAGAUGGGUGCAGGAAUAAGUGGAGGAGGCCCACCAUGGGCCCAUGAGGCAGGGGGCGCACCCAGGGGGGUAGGGCGCGCCCUCCACCCUCGUGGCCAGGUGGCAGCUCCCCCCGCGGUGAUUUUUGCACAGUAAAUCCUCAAAUAUUCCCGAAAAAUCAUAUUAAAUUGGCAUGGCAUUCUGAAGACUUUUAUUUACGGGAUAUUUUUAUAUUGCACGGAUAAGUCGGGAGACAGACAGAAAAUACUAUUUUACUUUAUUUCUACUAAACGACAGAAAAUAUAAAGAGGGUAUAGAAGGUUGUGCUUCUAGUUUCAUCCAUCUCGUGAUCAUCAAAAAGAAUCCACUAACAAGGUUGAUCAAGUCUUGUUAACAAACUCAUUCCGACAAUCAUGGAACCGGAGAAACUUUGAAUAGCACUAAGUUACCUCAACGGGGAUAUGAAAAUCCCCAACAAUAAGAAUAUCAUACUUUUUCUUGACAGUAGGGAGAGGGAAUUCAAAACCUCCAAAUAUAAUCGAUGGAAUUUUUCCAAUAGAGUUGAUACUAUAAACUUGAGGUUGUUUCCUCGGAAAGUGUACCAUGUGCUCAUUGCCAUUAACAUGAAAAGUGACAUUGCCUUUGCUGCAAUCAAUAACAGCCCCUGCAGUAUUAAGAAAAGGUCUUCCAAGAAUAAUAGACAUACUAUCAUCCUCGGGAAUAUCAAGAAUAACAAAGUCCAUUAAAAUAGUAACGUUUGCAACCACAACAGGCACAUCCUCACAAAUACCGACAUGUAUAGCAGUUGAUUUAUCAGCCAUUUGCAAAGAUAUUUCAGUAGGUGUCAACUUAUUCAAGUCAAGUCUACGAUAUAAAGAGAGAGGCAUAACACUGACACCGGCUCCAAGAUCACAUAAAGCAGUUUUAACAUAAUUUCUCUUAAUGGAGCAUGGUAUAGUAGGUACUCCUGAAUCUCCAAGUUUAUUUCGUAUUCCACCCUUAAAAGUAUAAUUAGCAAGCAUGGUGGAAAUUUCAACUUCAGGUAUCUUUCUUUUAUUAGUAAUGAUAUCCUUCAUAUACUUAGCAUAAGGAUUUGUUUUGAGCACAUCAGUUAAUCGCAUACGCAAAAAGAUGGGUCUAAUCAUUUUAGCAAAUCGCUCAAAAUCCUCAUCAUCCUUUUUCUUGGAUGGUUUCGGAGGAAAAGGCAUGGGUUUCUGAACCCAUGGUUCCCUUUCUUUACCAUGUUUCCUAGCAACGAAGUCUCUUUUAUCAUAACGUUGAUUCUUUGAUUGUGGGUUAUCAAGAUCAACAGCAGGUUCAACUUCUACAUCAUUAUCAUUACUAGGUUGUGUUGGGGAACGUAGUAAUUUCAAAAAUUUCCUACGCACACGCAAGAUCAUGGUGAUUCAUAGCAAUGAGAGAGGAGAGUAUUGUCCACGUACCCUCGUAGACUGUAAGCGGAAGCGUUAUGACAACGCGGUUGAUGUAGUCGUACGUCUUCACGAUCUGAUCGAUCCAAGUACCGAACGUACGGCACCUCCGAGUUCAGCACAUGUUCAGCUUGAUGACGAUCUCCGGGCUCCGAUCCAGCAAAGCGUCGGAGAUGAGUUCCGUCAGCACGACGGCGUGGUGACGAUGAUGAUGUUCUACCGGUGCAGGGCUUCGCCUAAACUCCGUGACAAUAUGACCGAGGUGGAAUAUGGUGGAGGGGGGCACCACACACGGCUAAGGAAUGAUCCGUAGAUCAACUUGUGUAUCCUAGGGGUGCCCCCUCCCUCGUAUAUAAAGGGGGAGAGGAGGAGGGGGCCGGCCAAGGGGAGAGGCGCUCCCUAGGGGGAGAAUCCUACUCCAAGUAGGAUUCCACCUCUUUCCUAGUCCAAGUAGGAGAGGGGAAGGAAGGGAAGGAGAAGGAGAAGGAAGGAGAGGGAGGAAAAGGAGGAAAGGGGGCCGGCCCCUUAGUCCAAUUCGGUUUGGGCUAGGGGGGCCGCGCGCCCUGCCUCCUCUCUUCCACCACUUGGCCCAUGAGGCCCAUUGCUUCUUCCUCGUAUUCCCGUAACUCCCCAGUACCCCCACCUGAAUCACUCGGAACCUUUCCGAACUCCGAAUAUAGUCGUCCAAUAUAUUGAUCUUUACAUCUCGACCAUUUCGAGACUCCUCGUAAUGUCCCCGAUCUCAUCCGGGACUCCGAACUCCUUCGGUACAUCAAAACUCAUAAACUCAUAAUAAAACUGUCAUCGAAACCUUAAGCGUGCGGACCCUACGGGUUCGAGAACAAUGUAGACAUGACCUAGAACUAUUCUCGGUCAAUAACCAAUAGCGGAACCUGGAUGCUCAUAUUGGCUCCCACAUAUUCUACGAAGAUCUUUAUCGGUCAAACUGCAUAACAACAUAUGUCAUCGGUAUGUUACUUGCCCGAGAUUCGAUCGUCGGUAUCCAAUACCUAGUUCAAUCUCGUUACUGGCAAGUCUCUUUACUUGUUCCGUAAUACAUCAUCCCACAACUAACUCAUUAGUUGCAAUGCUUGCAAGGCUUUAAGUGAUGUGUAUUACCGAGAGGGCCCAGAGAUACCUCUCCGACAAUCGGAGUGACAAAACCUAAUCUCGAAAUACGCCAACCCAACAUGUACCUUCAGAGACACCUGUAGAGCACCUUUAUAAUCACCUAGUUACGUUGUGACGUUUGGUAGCACCCAAAGUGUUCCUCCGGUAAAUGGGAGUUGCAUAAUCUCAUAGUUACAGGAACAUGUAUAAGUCAUGAAGAAAGCAACAACAACAUACUAAACGAUCAAGUGCUAAGCUAACGGAAUGGGUCAAGUCAAUCACAUCAUUCUCCUAAUGAUGUGAUCCUGUUAAUCAAAUGACAACUCUUUUGUCCAUGGUUAGGAAACAUAACCAUCUUUGAUAAACGAGCUAGUCAAGUAGAGGCAUACUAGUGACACUAUGUUUGUCUAUGUAUUGACACAUGUAUUAUGUUUCCGGUUAAUACAAUUCUAGCAUGAAUAAUAAACAUUUAUCAUGAUAUAAGGAAAUAAAUAAUAACUUUAUUAUUGCCUCUAGGGCAUAUUUACUUCAGUCUCCCACUUGCACUAGAGUCAAUAAUCUAGUUCACAUCAUCAUGUGAUUUAACACCAAUAUUCAUAUCUGUAUAUGAUUAACACCUAUAGUUCACAUCGUCAUAUGAUCAACACCCAAAGGUUUACUAGAGUCAAUAAUCUAGUUCACAUCGCUAUGUGAUUAACACCCAAAGAGUACUAAGGUAUGAUCAUGUUUUGCUCGUGAGAGAAGUUUAGUCAACGGGUCUGUCAUAUUACAGAGUCGUAUGUAUUUUGCAAAUAUUCUAUGUCUACAAUGCUUUGCAUGGAGCUACUCUAGAUAAUCGCUCCCACUUUCAAUAUGUAUCCAGAUUGAGACUUAGAGUCAUCUGGAUCGGUGUAAAAGCUUGCAUCGAUGUAACUCUUUACGACGAACUCUUUUAUCACCUCCAUAAUCGAGAAACAUAUCCUUAUUCUACUAAGGAUAAUUUUGACCAAUGUCCAGUGAUCUACUCCUAGAUCACUAUUGUACUCCCUUGCCAAACCAGGGCAGAGUAUACAAUAGGUCUGGUCCAUAGCAUGGCAUACUUUUAUAGAACCUAUGACUGAGGCAUAGGGAAUGACUUUUCAUUCUCUUUCUAUUUUCUGCCGUGGUCGGGUCUUGAGUCUUACUCAAUUUCACACCUUUGCAACACAAGCAAGAACUCUUUCUUUGACUGUUCCAUUUUGAAUUAUUUCAAAAUCUUGACAAGGUAUGUACUUAUUGAAAAACUUAUCAAGCGUCUUGAUCUAUCUCAAUAGAUCUUGAUGCUUAAUAUGUAAGCAGCUUCACUAAGGUCUUUCUUUGAAAAACUCCUUUCAAACACUCCUUUAUGCUUUCUAGAAAAUUCUACAUCAUUUCCAAUUAAUAAUAUGUCAUUCACAUAUACUUAUCAGAAAUGCUGUAGUGCUCCCACUCACUUUCUUGUAAAUACAGUUCUUUCCAAAAGUCUGUAUAAAACCAUAUGCUUUGACCAACUCAUCAAAGCGUAUAUUCCAACUCCGAGAUGCUUGCACUAGUCCAUUGAUGGAUCGUUGGAGCUUGCACAUUUUGUUAGUACCUUUAGAAUUAACAAAACCUUCUGCUUGCAUCAUAUACAACUCUUCUUUAAUAAAUCCAUUAAAGAAUGUAGUUUUGACAUCCAUUUGCCAGAUUUCAUAACAUGUGACAAUUGCUAACAUGAUUCGGACAGACUUAAGCAUCGCUACAGUUGAGAAAAUCUCAUUGUAGUCAACACCUUGAACUUGUCGAAAGCCUUUUUAUGACAAGUCGAGCUUUGUAGAUAGUAACACUACUAUCAGUGUUCGUCUUCCUCUUGAAGAUCCAUUUAUUUAACAUGGCUUGCUGAUCAUCGAGCAAGCCAAUCAAAGUCCAUACUUUGUUCUCAUACAUGGAUCCUAUCUCAGAUUUCAUGGCCUCAAGCCAUUUCGCGGAAUCUGGGCUCAUCAUCGCUUCCUCAUAGUUCGUAGGUUCAUCAUGGUCUAGUAACAUGACUUGUAGAAUAGGAUUACCAUACCACUUUGGUGCGGAUCUUUACUCUGGAAGACCUACGAGGUUUGGUAGCAACUUGAUUUGAAGUUUCAUGAUCAUCAUCAUUAACUUCCUCACUAAUUGGUGUAGGAAUCACUGGAACUGAUUUCUGUGAUGAACUACUUUCCAAUAAGGGAGAAGGUACAAUUACCUCAUCAAGUUCUACUUUCCUCCCACUCACUUCUUUCGAGAGAAACUUCUUCUCUAGAAAGGAUCCAUCUUAGCAACGAAUCUUGCUUUCGGAUCUGUGAUAGAAGGUGUACCCAAUAGUUACCUUUGGGUAUUCUAUGAAGACGCACUUCUCCGAUUUGGGUUCGAGCUUAUCAGGUGAAAACUUUUUCACAUAAGCAUCGCAGCCCCAAACUUUAAGAAAUGACAACUUUGGUUUCUCGCCAAACCACGGUUCAUAAGGCGUCAUCUCAACGGAUUUUGAUGGUGCCCUUUUUUAAAGUGAAUGCAACUGUCUCUAAUGCAUAACCCCAAAACGAUAGUGGUAAAUUGGUAAGAUACAUCAUAGAUCGCACUAUAUCCAAUAAAGUACUGUUAUGACGUUCGGACACACCAUUAAGCUGUGGUGUUCCAGGUGGCAUGAGUUUGUGAAACUAUUCCACAUUGUUUUAAUUGAAGACCAAACUCGUAACUCAAAUAUUUGUCUCCGCGAUCAAAUUGCAGAAACUUUAUUUUCUUGUUACGAUCAUUCUCCACUUCACUCUCAAAUUCUUUGAACUUUCCAAAUGUUUCAGACUUGUGCUUUAUUAAGUAGAUAUACUCAUAUCUGUUCAAUUCAUCUUGUGAAGGUCGGAAAAUAACGAUACCUGCCACGAGCAUUGUCACAUCCCUAGUUCUGGCCUGACCUAUGCUUGCUUCCACGUGUGCAUCAUGUUUAAAGUUCAUGAAAUUUGAAAUGGGGAUGACCAAGCCCUAGCACCAAAGCAAUGCAAAUAGGUUCAACUUCAAAAUAUUUUCAAAGAACCCAAAUUGGUUUGCAAAAAUGUUCAUGAUUAAUGGAAAAGGGUGAAAACCAUAUCCAGAGAUGAUGGAUAUUUUUCCAAGACAUUUUUGGAUUUUUGAAUAAACCAUAUUGUAUUUGAAUUGGGGCAUUUAAAUACUGUUAAUAUUUUUAAAUGCUCCAAUAAUUCUGAAAAUAGUUGAGGGCCUCUGUAAUAAUUCAGUUAAUGCCCACAAUUAUUUUCAGGAUUUAUUAAAAUGAUUUGGUUUAUAAACUAAGUCAAAACAGAGCAAAUAAAUAGAAAACAGAAAUAAGAGAGAGAAGCCCAGCCACUUACCUGGCGCUCACCUGCAGCAGAGCCGGCCCAGCUUCCGUUCCGGCCCAGCCCACCGCCGCCUUCCCCCCCCCCUAUCGUCUUCCUCCUCGCCAGAAGGACAGAGGCAUGUCGCCCGCGCGCGCUUGCCCCUGGCCACCUCCUGCUUCCUCCCCGAGCCCUCUAGCGACGCCACGGAGACGCCCUCGACCCCCUCGACCGCUAUCCCUUCUCUCUGCUCGCUCUAGCUCUCUCCCUCCCUCGAUUUGGAGCACCACCGAGAGCCACCGGAGGGCGCCGCCAUCGCAUCCAUAGCCACCGGCCACCCCUCGCCCUCCUGCUGAGCUCAGGAGCUCCGCCUCGACCCCCUCUUCCUCCCCACCGAGCCAAGCCCCUCAGGAAGCCCUGCAUCGCCGGCUGCCUCGUCUUCUUCCUCCUCGGUCGCCGGAAGCCACACGCGCCGAUUCGCCGCCGUCUCCGCCUCCCCGAGCUCGUCAUCUACCUCAUCCGAACCACCGUGAGCUCCUGCACGUUUUGCCCCUAACCCCGUGGCUUGCCGCUCGCCGUAGCCGCCAUUUCAUAGCUGGCCGUAGCAAGCCGCCGCCUGAGCUCGUCGCCGGCGUAGCUCCGGUGACCAUUAGGUCACCCCGGCGCGCCUAACUUGCUCCCCGCAUCGUGUAGCGCUCCGCUAGCCCAUCGCCUCGCUCAUUAGCACACCGCAACGCUAACCCGCACCAGCCCCGAACUCCGGCAGCCGCCGCGGGUUCCACUCCGGCGAACUCCGGCCACCCCCGCACCUCCCGUUGGUUCCCCUAGAUGCGCGCGGGCACGGGCUAUCCUCUGGUGCCCCUGGCGCAUCGAUCCGUCGACUCUGGCGAGUUCCGAGCGAACUCCGCCGCGGUUCGAGGUCACCGCCGGCGAGACUCCGGCGAGAUGACGUGGCCCGUCAUUAGCAGCUAACAGCCCCACUAACCAACCUCCUAGCUCACUGACAACUGGGCCCCACGCCCUAACUAACCCAGGUUUUAUCUGUGUUUAGAUUAAACUAACCCCCACGGGCCCACAGGUCAGUUUGACCUGGCCACGUCACAUGUUGACCGACCCCACACGUCAGUAUUGACUUGCUGACGUGUCUGUUGACCCGGCCCCACCUGUCAUUGACACUAACCAGCCCCAGUCACUGACCAGUGGACCCCACUGGUCAGGUUUGACCAGCAGCAGCGUUUGUUGACCUGCUGACGUCAUGCUGACACAGUAAAUGUUUUCUGGAUUUAUUUUUAUUCAGAAAAUUCCAGAAAAUUGUAUAAACUUCUAAAAAUCAUAGUAAUUCAACCGUAACUCCAAAUGAAAUAAAUUAUAUAUGAAAAAUUAUCAGAAAAAUUCAAGGAAUCCAUCUGUAAUAUUUUCAUGCAUGUUAGAACAGCUUAUAGCUGCUGUUUAGCACAAAUCAAUUAAUUGGCAUUUAAACUCUCACAUAUGGAGUUUGAAUUUGAACCUAGUGUUCAAACCAGCCCCAUUUAACAUGUUGCUAGAUGCAUUAGCCCAACACACAUUCAUAUUGCCAUGUCAUUAUCAUGCAUCAUAUUGUUGCAUCGCAUUGAUUGUGUUCUUCCUUGUUUGCCGGUAAUUGUCCCCUCUCGAUAGACGUGUACCGGCGAUGUGAUCGAUGACACCGAUGAAGAGCUAUAUUAUCUUCAGAAGUGCCAGGCAAGCAAAACCCCCUUGUUCAUUCCGAUAAAAUCCCCCUCUCUCGCCCCUGCUCUCUUUUACUGCAUUAGGACAACACCGAUUCAUCUGUUACUUGCUGCGGUAGCUGAACCCCUUUAUCCUUUGCAUGACCUGUCAUUGCCACAGUAAAUAGAUGAAACCCACUAGCAUGAGUAGGAGUUGUUUGAGCCCUGAUGUGCCUACUCAUUCAUGCUUGUUUGUCAUGCCUGCUACUGCUUAGAGUUGAGUCUGGUCUGAUUCAUUGGGAAUGAAUCGGAGGUGUGUGAACAUGUCCUACUGUGUGUGAGCUAAGUGUGUGAACACGAUUUGGUAAAGGUAGCGAUGAGAGGCCAUGUAGGAGUACAUGGUGGGUUGUCUCAUUGCAGCCGUCCUCAGGAACUGAGUUCUGUGUUUGUGAUCCAUGAACAGCUACUACCACACAUUGGGAUCCUUAAUUGACUCUCUCGACUUAUUAAUCAACAUGAUCUCUGUCCAGGAGUUGCAACUAGUUUCUGGUGUUUGUAGGUAGUGUUAGUAGUCUACCAAGUGGCACCCGGUACAGGUGGGCUUGGGACAGACUAGGCACAGUGGCACGGUGUACCAAGCGUAGAUCCACCCGUCGAGGUGGGCUUGGGAACCCUGCUCACAUCGUUUGGGGCCGUGAGCGACACCCCGGCCAGAUCUCCUUGCGGAUGGAACCCGAAUAGGCGAUAAACCUAGACGAGAGACUUGUAUGGUUAGUCAGGUCGUGGCCGACUCCCUCGCCCGGCUUCCACUUGAAGGUUGCCGAGGUACAUGACGUGUACUGGGCGAUAAGUGGCGGGAGCGUGUGUGAAGAAGUACACCCCUGCAGGGUUAUCAUUAUCUAUUCGAAUAGCCGGAUUCCUCGGAUAUGGAAACUUGGACCCCUUGCAUAGUUCAUAGACGAGUGAAAGUGGAUACUCUAAAAUACGCAAGAUAAGCGUGAGUGCUAUGGAUGGCGUUCUCGUAGGGAGACGGGAGCGGAUCCAUAGUGGUGUAUUGAUAUGGUGAAUAUGUGGACUCGUGUGCGCCAUCUCAAAAGAGUUACUUGCAGUCGUAGUUCAGGAUAGCCACCGAGUCAAAGCUGGCUUGCUGCAGUUAAACCCCACCACCCCCUUGUUGAUAAUGAUGCAUAUGUAGAUAGAUCUGAUGUAAGUCUUGCUGGGUACAUUUGUACUCACGUUGCUUAAUUUAUGUUUUUGCAGAGAGACUUCAGUCUCGCUAGUAGUACCUCGUGGACUUUGACGUUUAGCUUGUUACCUCAGCUACGAUCUUGUGCCCUCGGCAGGAUCUGGUAGAUAGUCAGGCUUCUCAGCCUUUUUCAUUUAUAGUUGUCUGUACUCAGACAUGUUAAGCUUCCGCUUGUGCUUGACUUGUUUGCUCUGAAUGUUGGGUCAUGAGACCCCUGUUUGUAAUAUCUCGCUCCUCGGAGCCUAUUGAAUAAAAUACUUGAGUCGUAGAGUCAUUUUGUGAUGCCAUGUUGUAUUGCACAUAUCGAGCAUAUUGUGUGUAUGUUAUUGAAAUGCUUGGUAUGUGUGGGAUCCGACUAUCUAGUUGUUUAUCUUUAGUAGCCUCUCUUACUGGGAAAUGUCUCCUAGUGUUUCCACUGAGCCAUGGUAGCUUGCUACUGCUCCGGAACACUUAGGCUGGCCGGCAUGUGUCCUUCUUCGUUCCUGUGUCUGUCCCUUCGGGGAAAUGUCACGCGAUGAAUACCGGAGUCCUGUUAGCCCGCUACAGCCCGGUUCACCGGAGUCCUGCUAGCCCAGUGCUACAGCCUGGAUUCACUCGCUGAUGACCGACACGUUCGAUGCUGGGUCAUGGAUGCCUGUCCCUGUAAGUCUGUGCCACUUUGGGUUUACGACUAGCCAUGUCAGCCCGGGCUCCUUAUCAUAUGGAUGCUAGCGACACUGUUAUAUACGUGUGCCAAAAGGCGCAAACGGUCCCGGGCAAAGGUAAGGCGACACCCGUGGGAAUACCGUGCGUGAGGCCGCAAAGUGAUAUGAGGUGUUACAUGCUAGAUCGAUGUGGCAUUGAGUCGGGGUCCUGACAGCUUUGGUAUCAGAGCUUGACUGCCUGUAGGAUUACCAAGCCAAACUGGUCGAAGUUGAGUCUAGAAAUUCUUUAGUUAUAUAAGGGAAUUGAUUGUGGGAUGGAACGUAAGGCUCUUUUUACUCCUUAUACCUUAUGCCCUUCUGAUCUGAGUCAUCUUAUCUUUCCUACGGGGUUAAGGAACUAGGCUUUCUCUUCUUUCUAUCAGGAUCACGUGUUACUAAUCCGUAGACCUAUAGAACUGUUGGACUUAAGCCUCAGUCCAGUUCCUACUACUUCUGUAUGUUAACUGUUGAUCUCCAAACCUUGAUAUUAUGAUGAUCAAGUGGUUAUGCCACCAUUUUUGUGAAUGUCUCAAAUCUUUUCUGAGCAUUUACAGCCGUUAUGCUGUCCGAGUCAUCCCAGGUUUCUAAAUAGUCUGAUGCAUUUGCAAAUCCUUUCUUUCCGUUCCCGAUGUCCUUUAUGGCCAGAUUAACCACACUAGACGGUGAGUUGAGGUACUCUAUUGCCUCGACAUUUAUGUUGGAGUUAUUAUUAUGACCCUAGGUGUCUCAGGGGAUCAUCUAUUAGUCUAGCCAUGUUUUGUGAUCCCAGUGUGAUGAUUCUGGCCAUCAUUCCCAAAAGCAUCCCGUGAUGCCAGUUAGCUAGUAGGCAUUCUACUUCUGGGUUCUUGACCCGAGAUUCACCCUACCUACUUCAUGUUGAUAGUAAUUGCUAGCUCCCUUAGGUUAUUAGUAACCUUUGCGAUAGUCCUUGAAGUCCGUGGUAUCUUCUUCUUCCAAAUACCAUGAACUACUUAUGGCAGAAGUUCCUCGUUGAACUGAACGAUCACAACCAGAGUGCUCUUGAUGAGUUCUCCGUUAUAUAUUGUGGCUCUGCCAGUUCUACCUUUCCGCAUGGGUUAUCCGGAAGAAAUAUGUUGAACUUCGUUCGACAUGCUAAACCAUGCAUCCACAACUCAGAAAAUCGUAUGUUCCUUUGAGUUGUCCCUCUUUAGUUGUCUUCUGACCCUCGUUUAUCAAUUGAUAGUCAAGAGUAUGCGUGCAAUCGUUCAUCGAUACCUAUUACUCUUGUGGUCCGUCAAGCCAUUCUAUCCCGGAAUGACUAGGAGAAACAAACUCCAGUACCUCAUCCAUAUCUAGGAUUGGGUCAAAACAAUUGUACUCCGCAGAUCAAAAUGCCAAUCCAGCUUUUGCUCUAUUCUACCUUGGAGUAUUACCAUCUUUUAUAUCGGGAUUAUUGUAGGAAUUGCACACCAUCCUAUGAACUCUUGGUACAGUGAUACUUCUUGCCAUCAUUGUUCAUUCCUCGGUUCCUGUGUUAUUGUAACCGGAAUGCCGACAAGUGAAUCGUGGUGUGUGAAAUCAAUACUGCUAGCAACUCUGUUGCUUGGUAGUUAAAUGGACAAUAACAUCAUUCUUAACAUGUUGGUUCUUGAAUCAUCAUUCUAAGAUUGAUCGUGCUACCUUGUCCAUCUUCCUGGUGCACAUUUCGAUUGAUGAGUUAGGAUUUUGUCAAGUCCUCGCUCAUUUGAUCAUAUCGUCUUGCCCUGAAAAGCAUGAUUGUUCUCGAUCUUAGUAACAUAUCGGUGGUUCGUGAUUUUUCCGAAUAUCUUCUCGAAAGUAUCACCAGGUUGUCACCUGACUGUUAUGUUGAGCUCGUGAUCAAGUUGGUUUAUCCUGUAAACCACCCCUUCUCCAAGAAUCUGUGCAGGAUACCCCUGAGCUAGUUGGUUAAGCUAAACAACAACUUGGAGAGUUGGAAGAUAAAAGCUUGUCUAACUUAGUUCAUUUCCAAAGGGAUAUUCUGUGUUAUGUGUUUGUUGAAGAAAGAUGAUAUCUUCAUUGAUUGAUCCUCAUGGUCAAUUGCUGGAUCUAUUAUGUUAUCCAAUCUUUGAUUUGAGUAUGGGCUAUCGUCAAAUCAAAUCAGAACCAACGAUAUUCGUAAUGUUGUCUUACUCGUGGUUGUUUCCUCGAGCAUACAUCAUUAUAUCUUUUGGGUCUGACCAAUGCUAUCACUUGUUCACAUAAUUAUGGAAUUCCAUCUUCAUGGAAACCUGGAUGAAUUGUUGUUGCACCCAUCAGCAACAUUGUUAUCUUCUCCAUGAUUUGUGUUGAACAUCGAGCUAGUAUUGGAAACUUUAUAAGCGUUAUCUUCAUGUCCCGUUCAUGAAGCAUAUGCUCGGAUGAAAGAAAUGACUUCCUCUAAUUCAUGUGCAUUUUGGUGCAAGUUGCCGCCGUGAAUUCGAGAAAGUCUAUUUUUGCUUCCUCUAGAAUCAUCCCAAGUCAGCCAUGCACGUGCAAAGUAUUCUGUGGUCUGUUAGACUGAUCAUCUUCGUUCCAUAUGAAUUCUGUAGCACACCAAGCCACUGACUGAUUUGUUCUAGGAGAAGGAGUUCUUUUUAAGAGCUAACCCGGGCUUAAUCAAGAACUUCAAUAUCCUCGAUUAUGGUUCCCCACCUGAACUCGGUAGUGUUUUAUUGUAAGACUACCAUGUGAUAAUGUUUUGUCUGGGACAACGUGUUCACAUGUUUGUAGCAGAACCAGCUCAUGUUUUGGAGCUUGCUAUCGUAGUUCAUUCCCCGAGAAUCUCGCAACGUCAUCUCGUCGAUUUGUGUUGCCAACUUUCAUUUUUCUUUCCAGACUUGAUGAGUCUGGAAUAUUCUGACACCAACCAGUUCUGAAUCUCAGGCAGACUUGAUGGUUGGAACAUUUCCCAAGAACUAUAAUAUUGGUCCCUCGAUAACCGGUAAGGUGGAUGUCGUGGCCAACACACCCAUCCGGGAGACCUAUUAUAUUAGUAUCUUGACUGAGGAAGUUGGCCACCUCCCCAUAAGGAUUUCGUAGGAUUUACCCCCUAGUUGUUCCUUAUGAAUUUUCUUUUGUGCUCCCGAAGUCCGACCUUUUACUUGAUGUUCUAGGAACCAAACCAUUUUAAUUAAUGGGUUGCACUAGAACAUCAAGGAGAACAUUAGUAGCGGAGUGCUAAAUGUCUCUCAGUCGAUCAUCCAGAUUUUGUUUCCUUGGUCUCGCUAAGGUGAAAUCUGAGAAAGUGUUAUCCUCCUUUGCAUCUGCGUCGUCCAUCGCUAUUCAUCAUGGUAGUAUGUUGUGUUGUCAGCACCCUUGACACGGAUGUUGAUAAAACCUUGAUGAUUGUGGAAAUGCUCAAGUUCUUGAGAGCACGCACAAGCACUAGGUAUUAUCGCCGGCACUAACUGGGAUUUCUCCUAGUCUCUUCGGUUAUGCUAUAACCACUCCAACAGUGGAAUCACUCUCUACUGCUGAGCUCCUCCCCAGUUAUCAGAAUCAUUUCCAGCAUUUGUGUUUUGUUUCCAGCUUGCACCGUCAUUGUGCCAUCCUAUCUUGGGUCCCACCCAUUUCCGAUGAUAAGCAAAAUCGUCCCUUGUGUUGUCUUCAACAAGGUAAUCCACAUCAUCCAACCUGGCCCGAGAAUGUCAUUCUCUCGGACUCCUUCAAAUGAUCGAUUGUGAAUUGCCUUAGACUGGUAUAAAGAGUUUCAAUGAUCUCUGAAUCAAAGGUAAUUCUUUUUGCCACUUAAGGUAAUAAUCUACGAAUCACCCUCCUCCAAGGUGUCUCGUUGUCAUAUCAUGGCAACUCAACCCUCGCUAUCUUGAAACCAUUCACCACCCCCUCAAGUGUGGAAUUGUUGUCAACCUAGUGAACCCUCGUCAUCUGUCUCACUCCAUUUCUUCAGAUCUAUGCUUCGUGUCUCAGCUCGAGAGAUGUGUCAAUGUCUCAUCCCAUGAGUUGAUCCUGAGUUGUUCGAUCUUCGAGAAGAUCGAUCCUUCUAGAGUUUUCCUUUCCUCUUCUUGUCAUGAUAGUUGGAGUUCUCAGAGCAAGACUUCGAGACAAUGAUGGUGAACGAAUCAACGUUCAGUUGAAGUGCACCCUGGAUCGUGAAGAUUAUACUAGUUUGCGUUUCCCCUUCAUCUUACCCUACGCUUGAAUCUCGAGACGAGAUUCUUGUUUAGUGGGGGUGAGUUGUCACAUCCCUAGUUCUGGCCUGACCUAUGUUUGCUUCCAUGUGUGCAUCAUGUUUAAAGUUCAUGAAAUUUGAAAUGGGGAUGACCAAGCCCUAGCACCAAAGCAAUGCAAAUAGGUUCAACUUCAAAAUAUUUUCAAAGAACCCAAAUUGGUUUGCAAAAAUGUUCAUGAUUAAUGGAAAAGGGUGAAAACCAUAUCCAGAGAUGAUGGAUAUUUUUCCAAGACAUUUUUGGAUUUUUGAAUAAACCAUAUUGUAUUUGAAUUGGGGCAUUUAAAUACUGUUAAUAUUUUUAAAUGCUCCAACAAUUCUGAAAAUAGUUGAGGGCCUCUGUAAUAAUUCAGUUAAUGCCCACAAUUAUUUUCAGGAUUUAUUAAAAUGAUUUGGUUUAUAAACUAAGUCAAAACAGAGCAAAUAAAUAGAAAACAGAAAUAAGAGAGAGAAGCCCAGCCACUUACCUGGCGCUCACCUGCAGCAGAGCCGGCCCAGCUUCUGUUCCGGCCCAGCCCACCGCCGCCUUCCCCCCUAUCGUCUUCCUCCUCGCCAGAAGGACAGAGGCGUGUCGCCCGCGCGCGCGCUUGCCCCUGGCCACCUCCUGCUUCCUCCCCGAGCCCUCUAGCGACGCCACGGAGACGCCCUCGACCCCCUCGACCGCUAUCCCUUCUCUCUGCUCGCUCUAGCUCUCUCCCUCCCUCGAUUUGGAGCACCACCGAGAGCCACCGGAGGGCGCCGCCAUCGCAUCCAUAGCCACCGACCACCCCUCGCCCUCCCGCUGAGCUCAGGAGCUCUGCCUCGACCCCCUCUUCCUCCCCACCGAGCCAAGCCCCUCAGGAAGCCCUGCAUCGCCGGCUGCCUCGUCUUCUUCCUCCUCGGUCGCCGGAAGCCACACGUGCCGAUUCGCCACCGUCUCCGCCUCCCCGAGCUCGUCAUCUACCUCAUCUGAACCACCGUGAGCUCCUGCACGUUUUGCCCCUAACCCCGUGGAUUGCCGCUCGCCGUAGCCGCCAUUUCAUAGCUGGCCGUAGCACACCGCCGCCUGAGCUCGUCGCCGGCGUAGCUCCGGUCACCCCGGCGCGCCUAACUUGCUCCCCGCAUCGUGUAGCGCUCCGCUAGCCCAUCGCCUCACUCAUUAGCACACCGCAACGCUAACCCGCACCAGCCCCGAACUCCGGCAGCCGCCGCGGGUUCCACUCCGGCAAACUCCGGCCACCCCGCACCUCCCGUUGGUUCCCCUAGAUGCGCGCGGGCACGAGCUAUCCUCUGGUGCCCCUGGCGCAUCGAUCCGUCGACUCUGGUGAGUUCCGCGCGAACUCCGCCGCGGUUCGAGGUCACCGCCGGCGAGACUCCGGCGAGAUGACGUGGCCCGUCAUUAGCAGCUAACAGCCCCACUAACCAACCUCCUAGCUCACUGACACCAGGGCCCCAUGCCCUAACUAACCCAGGUUUUAUCUGUGUUUAGAUUAAACUAACCCCCACGGGCCCACAAGUCAGUUUGACCUGGCCACGUCACAUGUUGACCGACCCCACACGUCAUUAUUGACUUGCUGACGUGUCUGUUGACCCGGCCCCACCUGUCAUUGACACUAACCAGCCCCAGUCACUGACCAGUGGACCCCACUGGUCAGGUUUGACCAGCAGCAGCAUCUGUUGACCUGCUAACGUCAUGCCAACGUCAUGCUGACGCAGUAAAUGUUUUCUGGAUUUAUUUUUAUUCAGAAAAUUCCAGAAAAUUGUAUAAACUUCUAAAAAUCAUAGUAAUUCAACCGUAACUCCAAAUGAAAUAAGUUAUAUAUGAAAAAUUAUCAGAAAAAUUCAAGGAAUCCAUCUGUACUAUUUUCAUGCAUGUUAGAACAACUUAUAGCUGCUGUUUAGCACAAAUCAAUUAAAUGACAUUUAAACUCUCACAUAUGGAGUUUGAAUUUGAACCUAGUGUUCAAACCAGCCCCAUUUAACCUGUUGCUAGAUGCAUUAGCCCAACACACAUUCAUAUUGCCAUGUCAUUAUCAUGCAUCAUAUUGUUGCAUCGCAUUGAUUGUGUUCUUCCUUGUUUGCCGGUAAUUGUCCCUCUCGAUAGACGUGUACCGGCGAUGUGAUCGAUGACACCGAUGAAGAGCUAUAUUAUCUUCAGAAGUGCCAGGCAAGCAAAACCCCCUUGUUCAUUCCGAUAAAAAUCCCCCUCUCUCGCCCCUGCUCUCUUUUAUUGCAUUAGGACAACACCGAUUCAUCUGUUACUUGCUGCGGUAGCUGAACCCCUUUAUCCUUUGCAUGACCUGUCAUUGCCACAGUAAAUAGAUGAAACCCACUAGCAUGAGUAGGAGUUGUUUGAGCCCUGAUGUGCCUACUCAUUCAUGCUUGUUUGUCAUGCCUGCUACUGCUUAGAGUUGAGUCAGGUCUGAUUCAUUGGGAAUGAAUCGAAGGUGUGUGAACAUGUCCUACUGUGUGUGAGCUAAGUGUGUGAACACGAUUUGGUAAAGGUAGCGGUGAGAGGCCAUGUAGGAGUACAUGGUGGGUUGUCUCAUUGCAGCCGUCCUCAGGAACUGAGUUAUGUGUUUGUGAUCCAUGAACAGCUACUACCACACAUUGGGAUCCUUAAUUGACUCUCUCGACUUAUUAAUCAACAUGAUCUCUGUCCAGGAGUUGCAACUAGUUUCUGGUGUUUGUAGGUAGUGUUAGUAGUCUACCAAGUGGCACCCGGUACAGGUGGGCUUGGGAUAGACUAGGCACAGUGGCACGGUGUACCAAGCGUAGAUCCACCCAUCGAGGUGGGCUUGGGAACCCUGCUCACAUCGUUUGGGGCCGUGAGCGACACCCCGGCCGGAUCUCCUUGCGGAUGGAACCCGAAUAGGCGAUAAACCUGGACGAGAGACUUGUAUGGUUAGUCAGGUCGUGGCCGACUCCCUCGCCCGGCUUCCACUUGAAGGUUGCCGAGGUACAUGACGUGUACAGGGCGAUAAGUGGCGGGAGCGUGUGUGAAGAAGUACACCCCUGCAGGGUUAUCAUUAUCUAUUCGAAUAGCCGGAUUCCUCGGAUAUGGAAACUGGGACCCCUUGCAUAGUUCAUAGACGAGUGAAAGUGGAUACUCUAAAAUACGCAAGAUAAGCGUGAGUGCUAUGGAUGGCGUUCUCGUAGGGAGACGGGAGCGGAUCCAUAGUGGUGUAUUGAUAUGGUGAAUAUGUGGACUCGUGUGCGCCAUCUCAAAAGAGUUACUUGCAGUCGUAGUUCAGGAUAGCCACCGAGUCAAAGCUGGCUUGCUGCAGUUAAACCCCACCACCCCCUUGUUGAUAAUGAUGCAUAUGUAGAUAGAUCUGAUGUAAGUCUUGCUGGGUACAUUUGUACUCACGUUGCUUAAUUUAUGUUUUUGCAGAGAGACUUCAGUCUCGCUAGUAGUACCUCGUGGACUUUGAUGUUUAGCUUGUUACCUCAGCUACGAUCUUGUGCCCUCGGCAGGAUCUGGUAGAUAGUCAGGCUUCUCAGCCUUUUUCAUUUAUAGUUGUCUGUACUCAGACAUGUUAAGCUUCCGCUUGUGCUUGACUUGUUUGCUCUGAAUGUUGGGUCAUGAGACCCCUGUUUGUAAUAUCUCGCUCCUCGGAGCCUAUUGAAUAAAAUACUUGAGUCGUAGAGUCAUUUUGUGAUGCCAUGUUGUAUUGCACAUAUCGAGCAUAUUGUGUGUAUGUUAUUGAAAUGCUUGGUAUGUGUGGGAUCUGACUAUCUAGUUGUUUAUCUUUAGUAGCCUCUCUUACCGGGAAAUGUCUCCUAGUGUUUCCACUGAGCCAUGGUAGCUUGCUACUGCUCCGGAACACUUAGGCUGGCCGGCAUGUGUCCUUCUUCGUUCAUGUGUCUGUCCCUUCGGGGAAAUGUCACGCGAUGAAUACCGGAGUCCUGUUAGCCCGCUACAGCCCGGUUCACCGGAGUCCUGCUAGCCUAGUGCUACAGCCUGGAUUCACUCGCUGAUGACCGACAUGUUCGAUGCUGGGUCAUGGAUGCCUGUCCCUGUAAGUCUGUGCCACUUUGGGUUUACGACUAGCCAUGUCAGCCCGGGCUCCUUAUCAUAUGGAUGCUAGCGACACUGUUAUAUACGUGUGCCAAAAGGCGCAAACGGUCCCAGGCAAAGGUAAGGCGACACCCGUGGGAAUACCGUGCGUGAGGCCGCAAAGUGAUAUGAGGUGUUACAUGCUAGAUCGAUGUGGCAUUGAGUCGGGGUCCUGACAAGCAUCGACACUCAUUGGACCGUAUACAUCGGUAUGUAUUAUUUCCAUCAAGUCAGUAGCUCAUUCCAUUGUUCUGGAGAACGGAGUUUUAGUCAUUUUGCCCAAAUGGCACGGUUCGCAAGCAUCAAAUGAUUCAUAACCAAGUGUUUCCAAAAAUCCAUCUUUAUGGAGUUUCUUCAUGCGCUUUACACCGAUAUGACCUAAACGGCAGUGCCACAAAUAAGUUGCACUAUCAUUAUCAACUUUGCAUCUUUUGGCAUCAAUAUUAUGAAUAUGUGUAUUACUACGAUCGAGAUCCAACAAACUAUUUUCAUUGGGUGUAUGACCAUCGAAGGUUUUAUUCAUGUAAAUAGAACAAUAAUUAUUCUUUGACUUUAAAUGAAUAACUGUAUCGCAAUAAACAUGAUCAAAUCAUAUUCAUGCUCAACGCAAACGCCAAAUAACAUUUAUUUAGGUUUAACACUAAUCCCGAAAGUAUAGGGAGUGUGCGAUGAUGAUCAUAUCAAUCUUGGAACCACUUCCAACACACAUCGUCACUUCACCCUCAACUAGUCUCUGUUUAUUCUGUAACUCAUGUUUCGAGUUACUAAUUUUUAGCAACCGAACAAGUAUCAAAUACUCAGGGGCUACUAUAAACACUAGUAAGGUACACAUCAAUAACCUGUAUAUCAAAUAUACCCUUGUUCACUUUGCCAUCCUUCUUAUCCACCAAAUAUUCAGGGCAUUUCCGCUUCCAGUGACCAUUUCCUUUGCAGUGUUAACACUCAGUUUUAGGCUUUGGUCCAGCUUUGGUCUUCUUCACGGGAGUGACAACUUGUUUGCCAUUCUACUUGAAGUUUCCCUUUAUUUUCCUUUGCACUUUUCUUGAAACUAGUGGUCUUGUCAAUCAUCAACACUUGAUGCUCUUUCUUGAUUUCUACCUUCAUCGAUUUCAACAUUACGAAGAUCUCGGGAAUCGUUUUCAUCAUCCCUUGCAUACUAUAGUUCAUCACGAAGUUCUAGUAACUUAGUGAUGGUGACUAGAGAAUUCUGUCAAUCACUAUCUUAUCUGGAAGAUUAACUCCCACUUGAUUCAAGCGAUUGAAGUACCCAGACAAUCUGAGCACAUGCUCACUAGUUGAGCGAUUCUCCUCCAUCUUUUAGCUAUAGAACUUGUUGGAGACUUCAUAUCUCUCAACUCGGGUAUUUGCUGGAAAUAUUAACUUCAACUCCUGGAACAUCUCAUAUGGUCCAUGACAUUCAAAACGUCUUUGAAGUCCCGAUUCUAAACCGUUAAGCAUGGUGCACUAAACUAUCAAGUAGUCAUCAUAUUGAGCUAGCCACACGUUCAUAACGUCUGCAUCUGCUCCUGCAAUAGGUUUUUCACCUAGCGGUGCAUCAAGGACAUAAUUCUUCUGUGCAGCAAUGAGGAUAAACCUCAGAUCACAGAUCCAAUCUGCAUCAUUGCUACUAACAUCUUUCAACACAAUAUUUUCUAGGAACAUAUCAAAAUAAACAUAUGAAAGCAACAACGCGAGCUAUUGAUCUACAACAUAAUUUGCAAAAUACUACCAGGACUAAGUUCAUGAUAAAUUUAAGUUCAAUUAAUCAUAUUACUUAAGGACUCCCACUUAGACAGACAUCUCUCUAGUCAUCUAAGUGAUCACGUGAUCCAAAUCAACUAAACCAUGUCCGAUCAUCACGUGAGAUGGAGUAGUUUCAAUGGUGAACAUCACUAUGUUGAUCAUAUCUACUAUAUGAUUCACGCUCGACCUUUUGGUCUCCGUGUUCCGAGGCCAUAUCUGUAUAUGCUAGGCUCGUCAAGUUUAACCUGACUAUUCCGCGUGUGCAACUGUUUUGCACCCGUUGUAUUUGAACGUAGAGCCUAUCACACCCGAUCAUCACGUGGUGUCUCAGCACGAAGAACUUUCACAACGGUGCAUACUCAGGGAGAACACUUCUUGAUAAUUAGUGAGAGAUCAUCUUAAAAUGCUACCAUCAAUCAAAGCAAGAUAAGAUGCAUAAAGGAUAAACAUCACAUGCAAUCAAUAUAAGCGAUAUGAUAUGGCCAUCAUCAUCUUGUGCUUGUGAUCUCCAUCUCCGAAGCACCAUCGUGAUCACCAUCAUCACCGGCGCGACACCUUGAUCUCCAUCGUAGCAUCGUUGUCGUUUACGCCAUCUAUUGCUUCUACGACUAUCGCUACCACUUAGUGAUAAAGUAAAGCAAUUACAGGGCGUUUGCAUUUCAUACAAUAAAGCGACAACCAUAUGGCUCCUGCCAGUUGCCGAUAACUUCAGUUACAAAACAUGAUCAUCUCAUACAAUAAAAUAUAGCAUCACGUCUUGACCAUAUCACAUCACAACAUGCCCUGCAAAAACAAGUUAGACGUCCUCUACUUUGUUGUUGCAAAUUUUUACGUGGCUGCUACGGGCUUAGCAAGAACCGUUCUUACCUACGCAUCAAAAUCACAACGAUAGUUCAUCAAGUUAGUGUUGUUUUAACCUUUGCAAGGACCGGGCGUAGCCACACUCGGUUCAACUAAAGUUGGAGAAACUGACACCCGCUAGUCACCUGUGUGCAAAGCACGGCGGUAAAACCAGUCUCGCAUAAGCGUACGCGUAAUGUCGGUCCGGGCCGCUUCAUCCAACAAUACCGCUGAACCAAAGUAUGACAUGCUGGUAAGCAGUAUGUCUUGUAUCGCCCACAACUCACUUGUGUUCUACUCGUGCAUAUAACAUCAACGCAUAAAAUCUAGGCUCAGAUGCCACUGUUGGGGAACGUAGUAAUUUCAAAAAUUUCCUACGCACACGCAACAUCAUGGUGAUGCAUAGCAACGAGAGAGGAGAGUAUUGUCCACGUACCCUCGUAGACCGUAAGCGGAAGCGUUAUGACAACGCGGUUGAUGUAGUCGUACGUCUUCACGAUCCGACCGAUCCAAGUACCGAACGUAUGGCACCUCCGAGUUCAGCACACGUUCAGCUCGAUGACGAUCUCCGGGCUCCGAUCCAGCAAAGCAUCGGGGAUGAGUUCUAUCAGCAUGACGGCAUGGUGACGAUGAUGAUGUUCUACUGGCGCAGGGCUUCGCCUAAACUCCGCGACGAUAUGACCGAGGUGGAAUAUGGUGGAGGGGGGCACCGCACACGGCUAAGGAACAAUCCGUAGAUCAACUUGUGUAUCCUAGGGGUGCCCCCCUCCCCUAUAAAGGGGGAGAGGAGGAGGGGGCCGGCCAAGGGGAGAGGCGCGCCCUAGGGGGAGAGUCCUACUCCAAGUAGGAUUCCCCCUCUUUCCUAGUCCAAGUAGGAGAGGGGAAGGAAGGGAAGGAGAAGGAGAAGGAAGGAGAGGGAGGAAAAGGAGGAAAGGGGGGCCGGCCCCUUAGUCCAAUUCGGUUUGGGCUAGGGGGGCCGCGCGCCCUGCCUCCUCUCUUCCACCACUUGGCCCAUGAGGCCCAUUGCUUCUUCCUCGUAUUCCCGUAACUCCCUGGUACCCCCGAAAAUACCUGAAUCACUCGGAACCUUUCCGAACUCCGAAUAUAGUAGUCCAAUAUAUCGAUCUUUACGUCUCGACCAUUUCGAGACUCCUCGUCAUGUCCCCGAUCUCAUCUGGGACUCCGAACUCCUUCGGUACAUCAAAACUCAUAAACUCAUAAUAAAACUGUCAUCGAAACCUUAAGCGUGCGGACCCUACGGAUUUGAUUGAGAUUGAAAGAAAAGGAGUCGAGCCUUGGUCUCUUUAUAAAGAGGUUGAAUACUAAGAGCCCUCCCCGUGACCGUUUGGGAAUCACCUUUGCUUGAGAAGACAUACCAACAGGCACGGUUGGGUUACCCACGCCCGUAUUGAUAAGAAUCCCGGAAUAAGGGGACACAAUCUCUGCUUUGACAAGACGUGCCAAGGAAAUCGCCUUGCUAAACGCGCUGAGGUGGGACAGUAAAACGAUUCAAAUAAAGGCUUGGCCAUGGCAUGAUGUCACGCUGUAGAAUACGUCAGCAGAUUAGAUUUGUUCAAAUGUUAUUCUCUCUACGGUGUAUGUGGAACUUAUUUUGCAGAGCUGGACACUAUCUUUGUGUUCAAACAUCUUCUAUGAAGUAUUCGGAGGAGGAACCCGCCUUGCAAUGCCGAAGACAAUUGGCGUGCCGGACUCGUCGUCAUUGAAGCCUGGUUCAGGGGCUACUGAGGGAGUCCCGGAUUAGGGGGUGUCCGGAUGACCGGACUAUGACCUUUGGCCGGACUCCUGGACUAUGAAGAUACAAGAUUGAAGACUUCGUCCCGUGUCUGGAUGGGACAUUCCUUGGCGUGGAAGGCAAGCUUGGCGAUACGGAUAUGAAGAUCUUCUCCCAUUGUAACCGACUCUGUGUAACCCUAGCCCUCUCCGAUGUCUAUAUAAACCGGAGGGUUUUAGUCCGUAGGACGAACAACAAUCAUACCAUAGGCUAGCUUCUAGGGUUUAGCCUCUCUGAUCUCGUGGUAGAUCUACUCUUGUACUACCCAUAUCAUCAAUAUUAAUCAAGCAGGAGUAGGGUUUUACCUCCAUCGAGAGGGCCCAAACCUGGGUAAAAACAUCGUGUCCCUUGUCUCCUGUUACCAUCCGCCUAGACGCACAGUUUGGGACCCCCUACCCGUGAUCCGCCGGUUUUGACACCGACAUUGGUGCUUUCAUUGAGAGUUCCUCUGUGUCGUCGUCUUUAGGCCCGAUGGCUCCCCCGAUCAUCAACAACGACGCGGUCCAGGGUGAGACUUUUCUCCCCAGACAGAUCUUCGUAUUCGGCAGCUUUACACUGCGGGCCAAUUCGCUUGGCCAUCUGGAGCAGAUCGAAAGCUACGCCCCAGGCCAUCAGGUCAGAUUUGGAAGUUUGAACUACAUGGCAAACAUCCCUGGAGACUUGAUCUUCGACGAAUUCGAGCCACGGCCAAGCGCGCCGCACUGUCACGAUAGGCAUGACCUAGCUCUGCCACCAAACAGUGCCUUGGAGGCCGCCCCAGUGUCCGCUCCGACCCUUAGUUUGGAGCCGACUGUGCCAAUCGAGUACGGGUGGCUGGACACCGCCUCGGGGGCUGCAAUCUCCACGGCGAUCGAGCCGAACACCAGCCUUGUCCUUUGCAAAGCUCGUGACUCCAAGAUGGCGGACUCCUUUUCGGACUCCGAACCUUUCGCGCCCCUGCCAAUCGAACCCGAUGGGGCGCCAAUCAUGGAGUUCGCCACCGCGGACAUCUUUCAGCACUCGCCCUUUGGCGACAUUCUAAACUCACUAAAGUCUCUCUCUUUAUCAGGAGAGCCCUGGCCAGACUAUGGUCAGCAAGGUUGGGAUGCAGACGACGAAGAAGUUCGAAGCCCACCCACCACCCACUUUGUAGCCACUGUCGAUGAUUUAACCGACAUGCUUGAUUUCGACUCCGAAGACAUCGACGGUAUGGACGACGAUGCAGGAGACGAACAGGAAACAGCGCCUAUAGGGCACUGGACAACCACCUCAUCUCACGAGGUAUACAUGGUGGAUACACCUAAAAGAAGCGACGAUGAGGAACAAAGGGACGCAACGAGGGAUCGCUCCCUUGACAAGCAAUCAAAGCGGCGGCGUAAGCACCGCGCCAAACCCCACCUCGACAGAAACCCAGCCAACGAGUAGGGCGAACCGGCGGACGACGAACAUACCAUCGAGCAAUCAUCUGAACAUGGCAAUUUGGGUAAACAAACUGAACAACCCGUCCCCGGUGAAGAUAAUAGUCCGGACGACCUCACGCCGGACAAAAUGCUGGAGCAGCAGAAUCUCCACAAAAGGCUCAUCGCCACUGCGCGUAGCUUGAAAAAGCAGAAGCGGAAGCUCAAAACAGCGGAAGAUGCACUCAGAAUUAGAUGGGGCAAAGUACUCAACACAGCAAACAAGUACGGCGACAGUCGUCACACAAAGAGCUAUCCGAAGCGGAAAUUACUGCCGGAAUUUGAUGAGGAGGCCUUAGAGCCCCCGCAAUCAAAAAAUAAAAAAGACACCCGGUCGGAUAAAAAACCCCAUGGCCAACAUAGAGCGGCAAGGGGCGCCGCACUCAAGCCGGCACGCGAUCCGCACAAGGAUUCGCAUCAAAAAGACGGUCUGGCCAGAUCUAUCUACGGGCCAAGAAAGCAAGCUCUAGUAAGCAACACAGCGCAACAAGUAUCCGAACAUCACGGCAUACCCAAGUAUAGGGGUGCCGCACACCCCUUAUGUUUCACCGAUGAGGUGCUGGACCACGAAUUUCCAGCGGGAUUCAAGCCCGUAAACAUAGAGGCAUACGACGGAAUAACAUACCCUAGAGUCUGGAUUGAGGACUAUAUCCUCCACAUACACAUGGCUAGAGGAGAUGACCUCCACGCCAUAAAAUACUUACCCCUAAAGCUCAAAGGGCCAGCCCGACAUUGGCUUAAAAGCCUUCCCGAAAACACCAUCGGAAGUUGGGAAGAGCUCGAGGAUGCUUUUCGGGCAAAUUGUCAAGGGACCUAUGUCCGACCUCCGGAUGCAGAUGAUCUAAGUCAUGUAACUCAACAACCCGGAGAGUCAGCCCAGAAACUCUGGAACAGAUUUCUUACUAAAAAGAACCAGAUAGUCGACUGUUCGGACGCCGAAGCCUUAGCAGCCUUCAAACACAGCGUUCGAGACGAAUGGCUCGCCAGACACCUCGGCCAAGAAAAGCCAAGAACAAUGGCCACAUUAACAAUCCUCAUGACCCGCUUUUGCGCAGGAGAGGACAGUUGGUUGGCAAGAAGCAGCACCAGCGACCCAAGCACAUCCGAAGUCAGGGAUGGAAACGGGAAACCACGGCGUAGCAAGGACCAACGCCGAACCAAGGGAAACAGCCUGAAGAGCGCGGCAGUCAACGCCGGAUUCAAAAGCUCUCGGCAGAAUCAGAAAAAGCUGCCCCUCAAGGAUAGCAGGGAUGAGCUAUCUAACCUAAACAACAUCUUGGACAAAAUAUGUCAAAUCCACAAUACUCCCGGGAAGCCUGCAAACCAUACCCACAGAAAUUGUUGGGUCUUCAACAAUCCGGCAAACUUAACGCCGAACACAAGGGGCUCGACAUACCAAGCGAGGACGAUGACGAACCCCACAAAUAGAGCACGGAGAACAAAAGAAAUUCCCACAAGAAGUCAAAAUAGUAAACUCACUUCACGUGACAAAAGGGAAAUACAGAGCGACACCUAUAAAGAUACGCGCCAUACGGCCUGUUCCAGAGGAGUCUGACCACUGGUCAUUACAACCAAUCACCUUCGACCAUCAGGAUUACUCUAGAAGUAUCUGGAACACGGGCAGGACUGCCAUGGUAUUCGAUCCGAUAAUUGACGGACUCCACUUUACAAAAGUCCUAAUGGACGGCGGCAGUGAUUUAAACCUGCUAUACCAGGACACAGUCCGCACAAUGGGGAUAAACCUGACAAAAAUUUGCCAUGGCAACACUUCCUUUCAAGGGGUAACGCUAGGCCCAGAUACCCAUUGUACGGGUUCUCUCCUACUAGAAGUUAUGUUCGGCUUCCCCGACAACUUCCGUCGUGAAAAGCUAACCUUUCACAUCGCCCCAUUCACAAGUAGCUAUCAAGCACUGCUGGGACGCGACGCUUUCACCCGCUUUAACGCAAUACCGCAUUAUGCAUCCCUUACGUUUAAAAUGCUCGGUCCACGAGGCAUCAUCUCAUUAAAGGGAAAUAUCGAGUGUUCCUCGAGUGCGGAAUACUAUGCGGCUGCUUUGACAGCCACACACUAAACCAGCUUUACUAGUUAAAGCAACUAAAUAGGUCGUUCAGACCCCCGGACAUGGCUAGACGAGUCCGGCGUAAACAUGCAAAGGCUUAUUAGCAGCACACCCCCGUAAAAGGGUCUCCGCGCAUAUACAACAAGAGACAAUCAAGCUCAAUCCUACCCAUUUCCCGAACUAUACUUUGUUUAUUUAAUAUAACAUAAAGUUUCGCACGAUUGUUUUUCAACUAAGUUCCUCUCUUUUACAGAUGAACACCGUGCUACACCCGCCCAGGAUACGGCACAACGGAGACACAGGCGCAGACGUGCAGUAGGGACCCCUCCCAAGGAUUCUUUUCAGAUUAAGACCCUGCGUAAACCUUUUUCACUGUCUCUUGUUGAUAACAUCCCCCGGUUUCUUUCCAUAACCGAGGAGGAGGCUGGCGUCCUGGCAUUUGGCCACGUCAGAUUUUUGCGCGUACCUAGACACCAGAGGCUUCUUAUCAAGAGCAUUGUUCAGCCCGUUUUCAUAAAGACCGAACACCUUAGGGAGUGUUCGGCGUCGCGAGUUUGGCCUUAUAUGCAUCAGCUCUGAAUCAUGUCUUUGGUCAAAUGUUGGGUUUGCCCGGCUCCUGUGUUUUGCUGCCUUACGUUCCGCUCUAUUGGCUAAGGCGGCACUAGGAGAACUACUGUGAUUGUGCCCCGGUUCGGCCAGGCGAGCACCUCAGUAGAGAAAGCGGAAAACUGACUGUCAUGAUAUAGCGCGAGACUGGUCAACCACUCGAUGACCCGCCGAAAUCUUUAGAAUUCCUCCGCAUUAACGAAGGGCCGUUUCCCGGUCAGGCACAUACGCGCCCCGAAUUCGGGUGAGCGCGGUGCCCCUAGGGGCUAUAUAGUAGCUCCACUGUCAAACUCCUCUGGCUAAGUGAAAGUGAUAAAGCAUUAUAGUCCGGUUGCCUAGUUCGCUGCGUUGUCACCUCCUUUAUAGGACCAAGACGUUGGAUCAAGUGUGAAAAUGCGCCUUUUGCAAACACCCCCGCAUUAUAUGCGUGGGGGCUGAAGCAGAAGACUGCCAUCUUCCAGGUUAUAUACGCAUAUACAUCAAUGGCCGCACAGGAGGUAUUCUAAUUCUUGAAAGCGCAAGUAUAAAAAGCUUUUAUAUCCCAUCAAAACAUUGUUUUACAAUGACACACGUUAUUCAUACAUAACAUCCUUCGAGCACUGCGUCUCUAUUAAACGAGCGCCCUGCAGAACCUCCGGAAAAUAGUGCUCGGCAGGUACUCGGCUUUCGUCUAAAUCUUGGGAUGCAACAGCACUGGCCUUCAUAUCCGCCCAGUAUGUCUUGACACGGGCAAGAGCCAUCUGUGCACCCUCUAUGCACGCCGACUUCUUCAUUGCAUUAAUAUGUGGCACCGCACCGAGGAACUGCUGCACCAGGCUAAAAUAACUGUUCGGCUCGGGCCUUUUCGGCCACAGGUGACUCACGACAUGAUUCAUGGCGAGUCCGGAUAACUUAUUCAGCUCCGCCCAUGCGGCCAACUGAUUGGACACUGAAAGUGGGCGCUCUGGAUUGUGGAACUGCGACCAAAAAAGCUUCUCCACUUUGCGGUCAUUUUGAUCGCAGAAGUGUUCGGCCGCGUCCACGACACACGCUGCCACGUCCAGGUAAGUGUUCGCCGCACUCCACUUCCGGUCCAACGAAGCAUAUCUAGGAUCCCCAAACUUCAUCCGCAGCAUAUAGGGCUUCCUAGCCGUGAUAUCUCCGGCCUAACGUAGCUCCUCUUUCAUAGCUCUCAUCGCAGAGCGAAUGUCCUUGACCUCGGCAGUGACCUUUUCUAGGUCCUUCUGUGCCACUCGAUCUUCUUUUUCAAGAAGCUUGCAGCGGUCGGCAGCAUUCUUCAACUUUCCAGCCAUCUUGGCCUUUUCCUUCUUGCUUUGGCAGUGAGCAGCCUGUUCGGCUUUCAGCUCUUCAGCUGCCUUUAAGGCAGCCACAUCGCUUUUUCUGGCCUGCUCCUUGGCUCGAGCAAGUUCCGCCCGAAGGUUCUCCAUGGCAGCGGCACCAUCUGCAUCAAGCACAUAUGUUGUAAGGUACGGGCAUCAAGCUCCUCUUACCAGGUGUCUUCGGAGAAAUUAUAUACCUUGUGCCUCGUCAAGCCGCUUGUUGACAAGCGCGAUGUCGGCAUCUGCCACGUCAAGUUGCCACUUUAUCUCGGCAAAUUCAUCAAUCCGGCCAGCCACCGGACACUUCGCCACCUAUAUAAGAAAGGCGCAAUAUUAUACCUGGGAUUAUGAUCCUCGGCGCGCCGUCCCUUUUUGACAACGCACCGAGUCUCAGGGGCUACUAUCUACACAGGGCGCAUUUUACAUAUGCGGAUCUGUCAAAAGGUACAUCGCUUCACGUACCUCAAAACCCGUCAGUAAACUCCUGGCAGCCUCGUACAAUCCACUUUCCACAGAUGAAAUCCUUCCAAUCACCGUAUCCAUCAACGCACGAUGCUCUUCUGAGAUAGAUGCUUGCCCGAGCAGAUCCUUCAGCUCCUCCGACCGUGCACCAGGCGGUGCCGGACUCGUCCGCUGGCCUUCUUUGAAGGCCGGACACGAAGGGCCUUGGGGGGGCCAUACGACUGCCUUCUGGCCCGGCCGGAUUCGGAGAAACCCUCCGUGACGACACCUCAUGGUCGCCCGCCUCGCGAGGUGAUACGGCAGGGGGAGGCAUUCCGCUCUCCAUCAUCUCCGGACGGAGAUCCCCUGAAGAUGAGCUCUGCUGGGAAGGGCGGAGACCCAAACUACAAGGUAAAGAUUUCGGUUAUCUUCCUCGGGAAUAGAACAGGGAUAUCUCUCAUUUUAAAACCCCCCUCUUUACUUACGGCUCGGUGGAGAGCUGAUCCCCUUGGGGACACAAUGCGGCCGAGGCACCUCCCGGCGCCGGACCCUCUGACGAAGGUUUCUUCCCCCGCUUUGAGGCCAUCGCCUCCGGGUCUUCAGAGGCGGUCCUAUUCCUUCCAUGGUUGGAGGAAUUCUCGAUUCCUCCUUCCCUGACAGCCUCCUUCGGGGAGGCGGUAGCUUCCUUGUUCCCCUCUUCGCCUUCUUCCAAAGGCGCAACCUCCAGCAUCCUGGUUAACACAGGAUCCAGCGUAGUCUCGGGGAGGGGAGCCGGACACCUAAUUACUUUUGCUUUCGCUAUCCACUCCUGCUUAAGGGACGGCUCUUUCAAGGGCAAUUUUAUGACAAAUAUGCAUAUAGCGAGUCCAGGUAUAGGGCUACUUACUUGAGUGUCCAGACGAUUGCAGCUCAGACCGGCGUCCUUGGAUGAAUCCGGACACAUUGCUUGUGAUCCGAAGAACAAAUUGUACAUCUCCAUGGGCGUCGCGCCCACAAAAUGUUGGAGGGCUCGUGGUCCUUCCGGAUUAAACUCCCACAGGCGGAGGGGGCGGCGUUUGCAGGGCAGGAUGCGGAGAAUCAACACAACCUGCGUCACUACGGCCAGAUUGAUAUCUCUUUCUAGGAGGUCUCGAAUGCGGCCCUGCAACAAGGGCACGUCCUUGGAUGGCCCCCAGUUUAACCCUUUAUUGACCCAUGAUGCUAGCUAUGGUGGGGGACCCGAGCGAAAAGCAGGUGGCGCCACCCAUUUGGUGCCCCUGGGAGUAGUAAUAUAAAACCACUCUCGUUGCCAUAAGCCGAACUCCUCUUGAAAAGAGCCCUCGGGCCAUGGAGCGUCGGCAAUCUUGCUUAUAACAGCACCUCCGCACUCCGCAUGCUGCCCCUCGAUCAGCUUUGGCUCUAUUUUGAAGGUUUUGAGCCACAAUCCGAAGUGAGGAGUAAUAUGGAGGAAGGCCUCGCACGCGACAAUGAACGAUGAGAUAUGGAGGAUGGACUCCGGGGCUAAGUCGUGAAAUUCCAGCCCGUAAUAAAACAUGAGCCCCCUCACGAAGGGAUCGAUCGGGAAGCCUAGCCCCCGAAGGAAGUGAGACGCGAACACCACGCUCUCACCGGGCUUGGGAGUAGGAAUGACCUGCCCUUGGGUGGGCAGCCUAUGCAAGAUUUCACCGGUAAGAUACUUGGCAUCUCUUAACUUUAACACGUCUUCUUCCGUAACGGAGGAAGGCAUCCACCGGCCCUGAAGGUCGGAGCCGGACAUCGUCGGAAGUCCGAAGCGCCUGAAUCUGAAGCUUUGGGUGUUGGAACUCGAGGUAGGCGGCGGAUUUGAUUGAGAUUGAAAGAAAAGGAGUCGAGCCUUGGUCUCUUUAUAAAGAGGUUGAAUACUAAGAGCCCUCCCUGUGACCGUUUGGGAAUCACCUUUGCUUGAGAAGACAUACCAACAGGCACGGUUGGGUUACCCACGCCCGUAUUGAUAAGAAUCCCGGAAUAAGGGGACACAAUCUCUGCUUUGACAAGACGUGCCAAGGAAAUCGCCUCGCUAAACGCGCUGAGGUGGGACAGUAAAACGAUUCAAAUAAAGGCUUGGCCAUGGCAUGAUGUCACGCUGUAGAAUACAUCAGCAGAUUAGAUUUGUUCAAAUGUUAUUCUCUCUACGGUGUAUGUGGAACUUAUUUUGCAGAGCCGGACACUAUCUUUGUGUUCAAACAUCUUCUAUGAAGUAUUCGGAGGAGGAACCCGCCUUGCAAUGCCGAAGACAAUUGGCGUGCCGGACUCGUCGUCAUUGAAGCCUGGUUCAGGGGCUACUGAGGGAGUCCCGGAUUAGGGGGUGUCCGGAUGACCGGACUAUGACCUUUGGCCGGACUCCUGGACUAUGAAGAUACAAGAUUGAAGACUUCGUCCCGUGUAUGGAUGGGACAUUCCUUGGCGUGGAAGGCAAGCUUGGCGAUACGGAUAUGAAGAUCUCCUCCCAUUGUAACCGACUCUGUGUAACCCUAGCCCUCUCCGAUGUCUAUAUAAACCGGAGGGUUUUAGUCCGUAGGACGAACAACAAUCAUACCAUAGGCUAGCUUCUAGGGUUUAGCCUCUCUGAUCUCGUGGUAGAUCUACUCUUGUACUACCCAUAUCAUCAAUAUUAAUCAAGCAGGAGUAGGGUUUUACCUCCAUCGAGAGGGCCCAAACCUGGGUAAAAACAUCGUGUCCCUUGUCUCCUGUUACCAUCCGCCUAGACGCACAGUUCGGGACCCCCUACCCGUGAUCCGCCGGUUUUGACACCGACAUUGGUGCUUUCAUUGAGAGUUCCUCUGUGUCGUCGUCUUUAGGCCCGAUGGCUCCCCCGAUCAUCAACAACGACGCGGUCCAGGGUGAGACUUUUCUCCCCAGACAGAUCUUCGUAUUCGGCAGCUUUACACUGCGGGCCAAUUCGCUUGGCCAUCUGGAGCAGAUCGAAAGCUACGCCCCAGGCCAUCAGGUCAGAUUUGGAAGUUUGAACUACAUGGCAAACAUCCCUGGAGACUUGAUCUUCGACGAAUUCGAGCCACGGCCAAGCGUGCCGCACUGUCACGAUAGGCAUGACCUAGCUCUACCGCCAAACAGUGCCUUGGAGGCCGCCCCAAUGUCCGCUCCGACCCUUAGUUUGGAGCCGACUGUGCCAAUCGAGUACGGGUGGCUGGACACCGCCUCGGGGGCUGCAAUCUCCACGGCGAUCGAGACGAACACCAGCCUUGUCCUUUGCAAAGCUCGUGACUCCAAGAUGGCGGACUCCUUUUCGGACUCCGAACCUUUCGCGCCCCUGCCAAUCGAACCCGAUGGGGCGCCAAUCAUGGAGUUCGCCACCGCGGACAUCUUUCAGCACUCGCCCUUUGGCGACAUUCUAAACUCACUAAAGUCUCUCUCUUUAUCAGGAGAGCCCUGGCCGGACUAUGGUCAGCAAGGUUGGGAUGCGGACGACGAAGAAGUUUGAAGCCCACCCACCACCCACUUUGUAGCCACUGUCGAUGAUUUAACCGACAUGCUUGAUUUCGACUCCGAAGACAUCAACGGUAUGGACGACGAUGCAGGAGACGAACAGGAAACAGCGCCUAUAGGGCACUGGACAACCACCUCAUCUCACGAGGUAUACAUGGUGGAUACACCUAAAAGAAGCGACGAUGAGGAACAAAGGGACGCAACGAGGGAUCGCUCCCUUGACAAGCAAUCAAAGCGGCGGCGUAAGCACCGCGCCAAACCCCACCUCGACAGAAACCCAGCCAACGAGUAGGGCGAACCGGCGGACGACGAACAUACCAUCGAGCAAUCAUCCGAACAUGGCAAUUUGGGUAAACAAACUGAACAACCCGUCCCCGGUGAAGAUAAUAGUCCGGACGACCUCACGCCGGACAAAAUGCUGGAGCAGCAGAAUCUCCACAAAAGGCUCAUCGCCACUGCGCGUAGCUUGAAAAAGCAGAAGCGGAAGCUCAAAACAGCGGAAGAUGCACUCAGAAUUAGAUGGGGCAAAGUACUCAACACAGCAAACAAGUACGGCGACAGUCGUCACACAAAGAGCUAUCCGAAGCGGAAAUUACUGCCGGAAUUUGAUGAGGAGGCCUUAGAGCCCCCGCAAUCAAAAAAUAAAAAAGACACCCGGUCGGAUAAAAAACCCCAUGGCCAACAUAGAGCGGCAAGGGGCGCCGCACUCAAGCCGGCACGCGAUCCGCACAAGGAUUCGCAUCAAAAAGACGGUCUGGCCAGAUCUAUCUACGGGCCAAGAAAGCAAGCUCUAGUAAGCAACACAGCGCAACAAGUAUCUGAACAUCACGACAUACCCAAGUAUAGGGGUGCCGCACACCCCUUAUGUUUCACCGAUGAGGUGCUGGACCACGAAUUUCCAGCGGGAUUCAAGCCCGUAAACAUAGAGGCAUACGACGGAAUAACAUACCCUGGAGUCUGGAUUGAGGACUAUAUCCUCCACAUACACAUGGCUAGAGGAGAUGACCUCCACGCCAUAAAAUACUUACCCCUAAAGCUCAAAGGGCCAUCCCGACAUUGGCUUAAAAGCCUUCCCGAAAACACCAUCGGAAGUUGGGAAGAGCUCGAGGAUGCUUUUCGGGCAAAUUGUCAAGGGACCUAUGUCCGACCUCCGGAUGCAGAUGAUCUAAGUCAUGUAACUCAACAACCCGGAGAGUCAGCCCAGAAACUCUGGAACAGAUUUCUUACUAAAAAGAACCAGAUAGUCGACUAUUCGGACGCCGAAGCCUUAGCAGCCUUCAAACACAGCGUUCGAGACGAAUGGCUCGCCAGACACCUCGGCCAAGAAAAGCCAAGAACAAUGGCCACAUUAACAAUCCUCAUGACCCGCUUUUGCGCAGGAGAGGACAGUUGGUUGGCAAGAAGCAGCACCAGCGACCCAAGCACAUCCGAAGUCAGGGAUGGAAACGGGAAACCACGGCAUAGCAAGGACCAACGCCGAACCAAGGGAAACAGCCUGAAGAGCGCGGCAGUCAACGCCGGAUUCAAAAGCUCUCGGCAGAAUCAGAAAAAGCUGCCCCUCAAGGAUAGCAGGGAUGAGCUAUCUAACCUAAACAACAUCUUGGACAAAAUAUGUCAAAUCCACAAUACUCCCGGGAAGCCUGCAAACCAUACCCACAGAAAUUGUUGGGUCUUCAACAAUCCGGCAAACUUAACGCCGAACACAAGGGGCUCGACAUACCAAGCGAGGACGAUGACGAACCCCACAAAUAGAGCACGGAGAACAAAAGAAAUUCCCACAAGAAGUCAAAAUAGUAAACUCACUUCACGUGACAAAAGGGAAAUACAGAGCGACGCCUAUAAAGAUACGCGCCAUACGGCCUGUUCCAGAGGAGUCCGACCACUGGUCAUUACAACCAAUCACCUUCGACCAUCAGGAUUACUCUAGAAGUAUCUGGAACACGGGCAGGACUGCCAUGGUAUUCAAUCCGAUAAUUGACGGACUCCACUUUACAAAAGUCCUAAUGGACGGCGGCAGUGAUUUAAACCUGCUAUACCAGGACACAGUCCGCACAAUGGGGAUAAACCUGACAAAAAUUUGCCAUGGCAACACUUCCUUUCAAGGGGUAACGCUAGGCCCAGAUACCCAUUGCACGGGUUCUCUCCUACUAGAAGUUAUGUUCGGCUUCCCCGACAACUUCCGUCGUGAAAAGCUAACCUUUCACAUCGCCCCAUUCACAAGUAGCUAUCAAGCACUGCUGGGACGCGACGCUUUCGCCCGCUUUAACGCAAUACCGCAUUAUGCAUCCCUUACGUUUAAAAUGCUCGGUCCACGAGGCAUCAUCUCAUUAAAGGGAAAUAUCGAGUGUUCCUCGAGUGCGGAAUACUAUGCGGCUGCUUUGACAGCCACACACUAAACCAGCUUUACUAGUUAAAGCAACUAAACAGGUCGUUCAGACCCCCGGACAUGGCUAGACGAGUCCGGCGUAAACAUGCAAAGGCUUAUUAGCAGCACACCCCCGUAAAAGGGCCUCCGCGCAUAUACAACAAGAGACAAUCAAGCUCAAUCCUACCCAUUUCCCGAACUAUACUUUGUUUAUUUAAUAUAACAUAAAGUUUCGCACGAUUGUUUUUCAACUAAGUUCCUCUCUUUUACAGAUGAACACCGUGCUACACCCGCCCAGGAUACGGCACAACGGAGACAUAGGCGCAGACGUGCAGUAGGGACCCCUCCCAAGGAUUCUUUUCAGAUUAAGACCCUGCGUAAACCUUUUUCACUGUCUCUUGUUGACAACAUCCCCCGGUUUCUUUCCAUAACCGAGGAGGAGGCUGGCGUCUUGGCAUUUGGCCACGUCAGAUUUUUGCGCGUACCUAGACACCAGAGGCUUCUUAUCAAGAGCAUUGUUUAGCCCGUUUUCAUAAAGACCGAACACCUUAGGGAGUGUUCGGCGUCGCGAGUUUGGCCUUAUAUGCAUCAGCUCUGAAUCAUGUCUUUGGUCAAAUGUUCGGAGCUGACACAUAUAAGGCCAAACUCGCGACGCCGAACACUCCCGAAGGUAUUCGGACUUUAUAACGUAUACUGGGCUGAGUAACGCCCCUUAUUAUGAACCCUGUAUUCCCAGGUACGUGCAUUAGUCUGUCGUGGCGAAAUGCCAAUAACGGCAGUAUCCUCUGCGGGUGUAGUGCCCAUGGGAUGUGUAAGCAACAAGAGACAAUAAAGAAGGUUUACACAGGGGCUUAAUCUAAAGAGAAACCUUUGAGCGGGGCCCUGCUGCACGUCUGCGCCUUUGUCCCUGUUGUGCCGUGUCCUGGGAGGGUGUCGCACGAAUGGUGUCUGUAAAAAGAAAAACUCAUGUAGAAGAGUAUGACAUAAGCGUGCGAAAAGUUGGCUAUCAAUAAUGGAUAGUAAAAGUGUAAGACAUUGGCCUGUUAAUAAGGUUAGGCCGAGAAUUGGGCUUUAUUAAUUGUCUAUAGCCCCUGGUGUCCUCUAUGGGAUUACAUGUGUGGCGCCUAGAUCAGGUUGAUCUGGGCUGUCAGACUCGUCUAACCGUGUCCGUGGUCUUAACAACCAAUCAUGCUAUCUGGUAUUAGAGGCCGCUUAGAGUCCGGCUGCUGGAGCCGUCGCGUAUUCCUCCGUGCGUAAGGAACACUCUAUACUUCUGUUAACGGUGAUGACACCGCGUGGACCAGGCAUCUUGAGUUUAAGGUAGGCGUAGUGCGGUACUGCGUUGAAGCAAGCAAAGGUCGUUCUCCCGAGCAAUGUGUGAUAACCACUUUGGAGGGGGCGCUGGGGAAGAGUAGUUUUUUGCUUCUGAAGUUGCCUGGGGAGCCGAAUAUCACCUCUAGUAUGAGGGAGCCCCUGCAGUGGGCUUCGACGCCUGGUAUCACCCCUUCAAAGGUGGUGUUACUGUGGUUGAUUCUGGAUGGGUCUAUCCCCAUCCUGCGGACAAUCUCCUGGCAUAUUAGAUUAAGACUACUGUCGUUGUCCGCGAGGACGUGAGUAAGAUGGUAUCCGUCGAUUAUUGGGUCGAGCACCAAGGCAGUUGAUCCUCCAUGCCGAAUACUAGUCGGGUAGUCCUUGUGAUCGAAAGUGAUUGGGUAAGCCGACCAGUGGUUAAGUUUGGGUGCAACGGGCUCUAUAGUGCAUGCGUCUCUGAGCGCGCAUUCGCGCUUUCUCGUGGAUAUGUGAGUCGCGUGGAUCAUGUUUACUGUUUUUACCUCUGGUGGGAAUUUUUUCUGUCCCCCAGUGUUCGGCUGGCGAGGCUCAUCCUCGUCUUCACUUGGUGUUUCCCUUCCCUUGUGUUCGACAUUUAAUUUGCUGGCCUACUUGAAGACCCAGCAUUCCCUGUGAGUGUGGUUCGCAGGUUUUUCGGGGGUGCCAUGAAUUUGGCACAGUCUGUCCAUGACUUUGUUCAGGCCGGACGGUCCCUCUUUGUUGCCUUUAAAUGGCUUCUUUUGUUGACCGGGUCGAGAGCCCCUGAAUCCGGCGUUGACCAUUGUGUUGUCCGAACUUUCUUCCUUGUUUUGACGUUUGUUUUUAUUGCGAUGUGGCUUCCCGUUGCCAUCCCUGGUUUCGGAUGUACUUGGGUCGUUAGUGCCUUUACGGGCCAACCAGCUAUCUUUGCCUGUGCAAAAACGGGUCAUAAGGCUUGUUAAGGCUGCCAUUGUCCUCGGCUUUUCUUGGACGAGGUGUCUGGCGGGCCAUUCGUCCCGGAUGCUAUGCUUGAAGGCUGCUAGGGCUUCGGCAUCCGGACAAUCGACAAUUUGAUUCUUCUUAGUGAGGAAUCUAUUCCAAAGCUUGCGGGCGGACUCUCCGGGCUGUUGAAUUAUGUGACUUAAAUUGUCCGCAUCCGGAGGCCAGACGUAGGUCCCUUGAAAAUUGGCCCUGAAAGCAUCCUCGAGUUCCUCCCAACUUCCAAUUGAAUUUUUGGGGAGGCUUUUCAACCAGUGUCGAGCUGGUCCCUUCAACUUGAGGGGAAGGUAUUUGAUGGCGUGGAGGUCGUCCCCACGAGCCAUGUGGAUAUGCAGGAUAAAAAUCCUCAAUCCAGACCCCGGGGUCUGUCGUUCUGUCGUAUGCCUCUAUGUUCACAGGUUUAAAACCCUGUGGAAAUUCAUGGUCCAGCACCUCUUUGGUGAAGCACAGGGGGUGAGCAGCCCCUCUGUAUCUGGACGUGUUAUGGCAUGCCGUCAGUUGUUGUUGUGUCCGGUGCUGAUUUCGAGCUGGUAUCCGAUUGGUAGGAUCGUUUUGGUGACCAUAGUACUGCGCAGGGGUGUGUCCUUUAGAUCCAUAGAUGGACCUAGCCGCAUCGGCCUUUUUAUCCAGCAGCUCACGUAAAUCGUGUGUAGCGUCGGUAGCCGCUCUAUUGUGGUUACGAAGUGGUUUGUCCGGCCUCCUGGCCGUAUUGUUUUUCGGUGGAACGGCCUCAUCGUCGAAUUCUGGCAGCAGCUUGCGUUUUGGAUAGCUCUUUGUGUGGCGAUCGUCGUCGUACUUUUCUUCAGUGUCUAGCACUUUAUUCCAUCUGCGACUGAGCGUUUCCUGUGCGGCCUCAAGCCUUUGCUUCUGCUUCUUUACACUUCUCGCAGUGGCCAUAAGGCUUUGAUAACCCACAAGUAUAGGGGAUCGCAACAGUUUUCGAGGGUAGAGUAUUCAACCCAAAUUUAUUGAUUCGACAAAAGGAGAGCCAAAGAAUAUUCUCAAGUAUUAGCAGCUGAGUUGUCAAUUCAACCACACCUGGAAACUUAGUAUCUGCAGCAAAGUGUUUAGUAGCAAAGUAAUAUGAUAGUGGUGGUAACGGUAACAAAAGUAAAGACAGCAAAAGUAAUGUUUUUGGUAUUUUGUAGUGAUUGUAACAGUAGCAACAAAAAAGUAAAUAAGCGAGAACCAGCAUAUGGAAAACUCAUAGGCACCGGAUUAGCGAUGGAUAAUUAUGCCGGAUGCGGUUCGUCAUGUUACAGUCAUAACAUAGGGUGACACAGAACUAGCCCCAGUUCAUCAAUGUAAUGUAGGCAUGUAUUCCGUAUAUAGUCAUACAUGCUUAUGGAAAAGAACUUGCAUGACAUCUUUUGUCCUACCCUCCCGUGGCAGCGGGGUCCUAUUGGAAACUAAGGGAUAUUAAGGCCUCCUUUUAAUAGAGAACCGGAACAAAGCAUUAGCACAUAGUGAAUACAUGAACUCCUCAAACUAUGGUCAUCACCGGGAGUGGUCCCGAUUAUUGUCACUUCGGGGUUGCCGGAUCAUAACACAUAGUAGGUGACAAUAGACUUGCAAGAUAGGAUCAAUAACACACAUAUAUUCAUGAAAACAUAAUAGGUUCAGAUCUGAAAUCAUGGCACUCGGGCCCUAGUGACAAGCAUUAAGCAUAGCAAAGUCAUAGCAACAUCAAUCUCAGAACAUAAUGGAUACUAGGGAUCAAACCCUAACAAAACUAACUCGAUUACAUGAUAAAUCUCAUCCAACCCAUCACCGUCCAGCAAGCCUACGAUGGAAUUACUCACGCACGGCGGUGAGUAUCAUGAAAUUGGUGAUGGAGGAUGGUUGAUGAUGACGACGGCGACGAAUCCCCCUCUCCGGAGCCCCGAACGGACUCCACAUCAGCCCUCCCGAGAGAGAUUAGGGCUUGGCGGUGGCUCCGUAUCGUAAAAUGCGAUAAUUUCUUCUCUCUGAUUUGUUUUCUCCCUGAAAGCCAAUAAAUAGAGUUGGAGUUGGCAUCGAAGGGCCACCAGGGGACCCAAGAGGUAGGGGCGCGUCCAGGGGGGCGCGCCCCCACCCUCGUGGACAGGGUGUGGGCCCCCUGGUCUUCAUAUUUGGUGAGGAUUUUUUAUUAUUUUUUCUAAGGUGUUCCGUGGAGUUUCAGGUCAUUCCGAGAACUUCUAUUUUCUGCACAUAAAACAAGACCAUGGCAAUUCUGCUGAAAACAACCUCAGUCCGGGUUAGUUCCAUUCAAAUCAUACAAGUUAGAGUCCAAAACAAGGGCAAAAGUGUUUGGAAAAGUAGAUACGACGGAGAUGUAUCAGCCUUCUGUGGAGGUUAUCUCGUUCCAAACAUGUUUCCGGGAUGAUGAGUGCAUCAUCAUUCGGACUAUGCUCUUGUCCCGGGGCGGUUUGAUGAGCUCGUCCCUCGGGAUCAUUGUGAUCGGGCGUCUGCUCCGAGCUGUGUUCGGCGUGACCUGGCUCAUCCUGCUCCAUUGCUGGGUCCAUAUGGUCGUUGUUGCCUUCGGAGUUGACUGGGGUGUCGAUCUUUCUAGUGUUGUUAUCGCUAUUUUUACUGUGCUGGACUUGGAGCGGCGUCUGCGUCAUUGUUUUGGCUUUUGUCUGGGGGUUUUAUCCUCCAGUUUAUCGCCGUCGUCCUCCUUAGGCGUAUCCACCAUGUAUAUAUCGUAUGACGAGGUGGCAGUCCAGCGCCCCGUUGGUUCUGAAUCGUCUCCUGCGCCGACGUCCAUACCGUCGGUAUCAUCGGAGUCGAAGUCAAGCAUGUCUGAUACAUCGUCGACAGUGGCUAUGAAGUGGGUGGUGGGUGGGCAACGGAUUUCUUCGUCACCUUCUUCCCCCUUGAGCCGGACAUAGUUCGGCCAAGAGUCUCUUGACAAAGAUAGAGACUUUAAUGAGUUCAGCAUGUCGCCAAAGGGCGAGUACUGGAAGAUAUCCAUAGCGUUGAACUCCAUUACCGGAGCCCAACCAGGUUCGGCGGGCUUGGGAGCGCGCGGGCUGUAACCUAUAGCCGGAUACGAGUCCGGGGGUCCGGUAUCACAGGCUUCCUUGGGGGUGAAGUCUGUGUUCGGCUCUACCGCCGAUGGGUGUGCGGCCUCUGGGGCGGGGUCCAUCCACCCGUCCUCGGGCGACGCAAUCUGCCUCGGAUUUAGGUCCGGGGCUCCUGCGGGGGUGAUAUCCCGAGCAUUGUCUGACAGCAGGUCUAAGCCGUGCUCAUCGUGACUGUCCGGUGCUCCUGGCAUAGGCCCGGAUCCGUUGAAGAUCAAGUCUUCACGGAUAUCGGCCGUGUAGUUUAGGUUCCCGAACCUGACCUGAUGGCCAGGGGCGUAGCCGUCGAUCUGUUUCAGAUGGCCAAGCGAAUUGGCCUACAGUGUGAAGCCACCGAACACGAAGAUCUGUCCGGGGAGAAAAGUCUCACCCUAGACCAUGUUGUUGAUGAUUAAAGGAGCCAUCAUGCCUUGCAGCGACGACACAGUGGAACUCUCAAUGAAAGCACCAAUGUCGGUGUCAAAAUCGGCGGAUCUCGGGUAGGGGAUCCUGAUCUAUGCGUCUAAGGCUGAUGGUAAUAGGAGGCAAGGGACACGAUGUUUUACCCAGGUCCGGGCCCUCUCGAUGGAGGUAAAACCCUACUUCCUGCUUGAUUGAUAUUGAUGAUAUGAGUGUUUCAAGAGUUGAUCUACCUCGAGAUCGUAGAUGCUAAACCCUAGAAGCUAGCCUAUGAUGAUUAUGAUUCUGUCUCUAAGGACUAAACCCUCCGGUUUAUAUAGAUACCGGAGGGGGCUAGGGUUUACAUGGAGUCGGUUACAAAGAAGGAAAUAUAAUAUCCGGAUCGCCAAGCCUGUGUUCCACGCAAAGGAGAGUCCCAUCCGGACACGGGACGAAGCCUUGAGUCUUGCAUCUUCACGGUCCAACAGUCCGGCCAAAGUAUAUAGUCCGGCUGUCCGGAUACCCCCUAAUCCAGGACUCCCUCAAGGGGGUCUUCUUCCCCAAUGAACCUUAUCAUUUGAGCUUGUGUUCUUCCCCAUUGUUGACCUUCUUCGAGCUUGCUAACUCUCAAUCCCUCCAUGGAUUCUUGCUAGCUUUUGAGGGAAAAGAGAGAGGAGAUCUAGAUCCACAUUUCCACCAAUCACUUUCUCCUCUAUGUGAGGGGAACCCCUUGGAUCUAGAUCUUGGAGUUCUUGGUGUUCUCCUUCUUGUUCUUCCUCUCAUCUUCCUCCCUGGCAUUAGUUGCUUCGAUGGGAUUUGAGAGAGAAGGAUUUGGGCACUCCGUGUGCCCUUGCCAUUGCAUUUGGUGCAUCGAUUUGAGUUCUCCACGUGAUACAUGGAAGUUACAAAUUGAGAAGCUUAUUACCCUUGGGUGCUUGGUACCCUUGAGCUUGUUACUCUUGUGUGCUUGGACACCCUAGAGCUUGUUCCUCUUGGGUGCCUUGGCGCCCUAGACGAUUGGUGUUGUUCGGAGCUCAAUCAUUGUGGUGUAAAGCUCCGGGCAAGCGCCGGGGUCUCCAAUUAGGUUGUGGAGAUCGCCCCGAGCAAUUUGACGGGUACCGGUGACCGCCCCAAGGGUUGCCAAAGUGUACGGGUUUGGUGACCGCCCCGAAGGGUUGCCAUUUGUACAAGUUCGGUGACCGCCCUCAAGGGUCCCUUAGUGGAAUCACGGCAUCUUGCAUUGUGCGAGGGCGUGAGGAGAUUACGGUGGCCCUAGUGGCUUCUUGGGGAGCAUUGUGCCUCCACACCGCUCCAAACGGAGAUUAGCAUCCACAAGGGUGUGAACUUCGGGAUACAUCGUCGUCUCCGCGUGCCUCGAUUAUCUCUUACCCGAGCCCUUUACUUAUGCACUUUACUUUGUGAUAGCCAUAUUGUUCUUUGUCAUAUAUCUUGCUAUCACAUAGUUGCUUAUCUUGCUUAGCAUAAGUUGUUGGUGCACAUAGGUGAGCCUAGUUAUUUUAGGUUUUGUGCUUGACAAAUUAACCGCUAGGUUUAUUCCGCAUUUGUUCAAGCCUAAACCGUAAUUAUUUUAAAGCGCCUAUUCACCCCACCCCACCCCACCCCCCCACCCCCCCUCUAGGCGACAUCCUCGAUCUUUCACUUGGUAUUAUAGCCUUUUGCUCGCAGCAAAUAAGCCACUCCAAAUGUUUAAACAAAUUUAUUCUUCUGCAAAACAUUGAAUCGUAUGAAACCUAAGCUCUUGCGACUCUUUCAAAACUGAUGGUCUAAACCUCUAGAUAUACACAUGGCCAACAUGCUUACGUGACACUAACCUUCUAAACGGGUGCACCAAAGCAAGUUAAGUAUUGUUGACCCGUUUAACUCCUAGGAGACAGAUUACAGAAGGAAACCCCUUUUCUGAUUGGCCACAUGCAGCUCCAUAUUUUAAUUAUUUAUCAUUGCUUCGAAAUUGUACAAUAGUGCAAAAGAAAGAGGGAGAAACCAAUGAUUCUAAAGCUUGUUUUUUACAUUUUGGGAAACUAUGGAUUGGACAUGCUUAUUUACAUGUUUACAUGUCUUUAUUUUCUCUUCUUCGUAUGCUUUCUUCUGGUUUUUUUCCAACUCCCAUGUGUGUAUAGAGAACUAUCUUUUACUUUCAUUCAUAUUUCCACUUGUUGGCAGACAUGAAGAUAAUGGCAAGUAUUGUCACUAUGGUCGUUUCUGUCCGCCGCAGUUGCAACAAGAUCGACCACAGGGCUAUGAUAUUCCUAUUGCUCUGCUGGUAACCACUACAAAGCAAAUUUAAAGUUGUCGUUCUUUGGGUUGCACCAGAAGAUCUCCACUUCGGCCGCACUUUUUGCUACGGACUUGGUUGCAUCUUUGGGCUACACCAGAAGAUCUCCACUUCGGCCACAUUCAUUUGUUUGCAACAAAUGCAUUUAUGAAGUGUUUCAAGACGCACAAAGAUCUGUACGUACAAGAAUUAUGUGGAUGGGUCUGCUCCCCCAUUUAUAUAUCAGGGGUACUAUUUAUAUACCAGGGGUACAUACUGGGGGAGGGGGGCAAAUGCCCCCCCCCCCCCCCCACACACAAAAUAUAUUUGUUCAAUGGUUGUUUACGGUUGAGUAUAUGCAUGUUAUAUUCACUAUAUAUAUAAUUCAAUCACAAUAUAGAAUAUAUAUGGUAUAUUAAGUGGAAAAAUGCUAAUGGUGCUUGCUAUCUUGACCGUCCUCCAUCAGUGUGGGAUCCCCAACUAGCGCAUAUACGGGAUACAACUAGCACUGUAUAUUGCAUUGCAUGUGCGUAUUCCGGCUGAAAGCCACCCUAGAGCUAGCUAGAGAAUCUCUCCCGGCCCUCCAACCAAUUAAUUUGCCGCGCAAAUGCAUUAGCAUUUCCAGAAAACGCAUGUACACGAGCUCAUCGACUAGGAGAAUAUCUUGUGAUAAUGCUCCAAGUUUGGAAAGGUCAAACUGAGAAGUGUCAAAAAAUUCUGAUUUGUUUUUGAAUGUCAUAACACAUAUGUUUACAACCCCUAGAAAUUUUGAAUCUAAAUUCGAAAUACACAUUAAGAAUAAAAAAGAUAAAUCCAACAUGAAUAGUGUCAGUAAUAGAGACAACAUGAAUAUGUCCAAAACAACACUAUUCAUAUCUGAAUUUAUUUAUUUUUGUUUCUCAAUGUGUAUUUUGAAUUUGGAUCUGAAAUUUUUAGGAGUGGUAGACAUAUGUCUUGUGAAGAUUCAUAAAAAAAAAUAUUAACACUUCCAAAUUUGACCUUUUUUAAACUUAGAGCAUGGGAGCACUUGAGUCAUGGUAUCACAAUGAUAUACUCCCCUCAUGGACUGUACUCACAUGUGCGGGAGCUCAUGAACUGUACUCAGGCCGGUGGUAACAAUUCUUGUGUAUGUGGAGAAGAUAGUACUGUCCACAAUCAGUACAUAAUUGAGCUUUGCCCGCAUGCCGAGUCAAUUUGUUUGGCAUUAGGUGAGACGGAUCUCAUAGUUAUUUACAUUUUCUUUUUUUUUGUGAGAAAAAAAAUAGAUUUUCUUAGAGUGGUAUAGUUUAGGGCUCCGCUCUUAUUGCUCGGCCUGUUGGGCUUUGUGAGAGCCCAUGGUCAGUGAUGCCGAUUGGACUCUAAACUAAAAAUCAGAAUACAAUGUUCCAACCCCUACUUGCUCUAAUUAAGUUUUAACAAAAAUCCUAGUUUGUCUCAAAAAAAAAUCCUAGUGCCCUAAAAAAUUGUUACAUUUCUCAAAAAAAAAAAGUGUUACAAUCCUAUUGCUCAUUUCCAAAACAAACAAGCAAAAAAAAAUCCUACAGACCGAUCAAAACAGAAUGCUCCUGUCCGUCUUAUAGUUGUAUACGUAAUUUUUUGUUCGAUUUUCCAGCUUGUCAUUUUUCACCCCCACAUAUAGCAUGCAAGUAUGGAACUGUACCACAUACAGCAUGGAAGAACAUAUCAAUGCUACAUAAAAGUUGACAUGGAAAAGCUGUCGACACAACUCCAAUUCUACAUGAGAUCCAAUGGACCAACGUUAACAGCAAUAGAACAUUUGUAAACCUCGGUCAGUAGAAUAGAGACACCCUGCACGCAAAGGAGCAACCACUAUUUUCAUCACAGCCCAGUACAACAGAUAUCUCAUCCAUUCUCUUUCCUUGAAGAAAAAAAAGAACUCAUCCAAAACCUUUGCCAAGUCUUCUUUCGAUCACCGUAUAUAUAUGUUACAACAAAAACACGCCGAGCUAGAUCGGACUUGUACAAACAAAUGAUGAAUCGAAUUAAGUUACAGCUUUGACCUCCACCUAUAACCUAUCUACGGAGCACAAUGUCAAUCUCCAGUCCACUGCAGUUCUUGUAGUCGGUUCCAACGGUGCCGGAGAACUAAAACCGCAGGCACCCGCCACAGCAUUGCUUGCCGGAGAAUGCUCUGCCUGAUCGGCUAGCGCACCAUCGGCUUGUCACACAUCAAAACCUUCCUGCUAGCAUACGCGCCUUCAGCAGUGUCACGUAUGGUGGAUCUCCAUCCCAUCGCGUCUGUUAUUUCCUUGAUCUCCACUAUCGUUUCCUUUUUAUCACGGAUAUACGCCCUACCACCAGGUCUGAGUAUCCGAUCCAUCUCAAGCAAGAUAAUUGAGGCGUUACACCUGGUAAUGAGAGAAAAUAUGGUGAACUGCAAAUAAGGUAUAUCCGAUGAAUGACGCAAGGUCGGUUCUUCUGCAUUACAACUACCACAGAGUAAUAGAUGACACAAUAAUCCAAGCAAGGUGUUGUCAACCGGGUGCUUAAACAGUGCAACUUAGUUACAUAGCCGGGCAUCCAUGUAAUAAACCAUCUCCUUUAACGUAAGCACCUCAAUUGUUUACAUGUUUUGCUAAAGGCUAGAAGGCCUAAAGCAGCAGUUUGUUCUCAAUUGUAUUCUUGGGUUUCCUGGGUUAUACAACCAUGGAGAUUUCUACAUAUCUUUUGUCAAGAAAUCUGAACAAAGAACUAACAUGAAUUUAUGUUCAAAAGAGCUGGUUACCUUUUCUGCUCCUUUGAGAAUAGCCCGAAUGCAUGCAGCAGAUCAUAAGUCCUUGGAUAUGUGUCAAAUGGUUCACACCUGUCCAUAUAAACAUAUAAAUUGCAGAAUGGGCAAUAUCAAGGUGGAAACUACAUGAUGCCCUUUGGGUGCCUUUUCUUCUUCUUCAAGAAAAAGGUGGAAACUAUGCCAUGAGCUCAUUCACGUCAAGCAUCUACCAGCUGCUUCUUAGAAAGAAGUUUGAUGUCCGGAAAAUAUAGGAAGCAAAGCACUGAUAAUAUUAUAAUAAAAAAUGUUGGCUAAUUCAAUGCAUGGCAACUCGUUCUGAGGAACUCAUUCAAACACUUCAGGAAGACAAGAUGCAAUGAGAAGAAAAUGUGGCUGAUAUGCUAUGCUUAGAACUCCAUGUUGAAGUGCAAUAUUUUUUUAGGAAGAGCAAUUCCAACUUAAUAUUAUGCCAGGCAACGAAUAUACCAAAAACUUACCAGUCAUGGGCCACUCCAAGAAGUCCCCGGUCAUAAAUUACAGGCAGUGUGUUUGGCUCAGUAACAGGAACAACAUUCAUCACCCAGCAAUCAAGCUUGCGACCGAUCAAUGCAGCAGCAAACCUACACGCAAAAUUGGUAAUAGAAAUGAGAUGUUCAGCAAAACAAACAAUAUUCCACAUCAAGCACAAAAGUCUGAUCUGCUAAUUAUUUUGUAUUCAGGACAACCCAUAGCCUGGUAUUAGAGCAAAAGGUUGUGACAGCCGAGGUCAUCGGUUCCAGCAGUAUUUCCAUGUAUUCUCGGUCUGUAUUCAUCCAAACAAAUGUGAGUCCUCCAUCUAGUAGCUUUGCUAACAACCUUCUAAUGGUCAGAGGUGAUUGGAGGCUAUUUCUAUGUUUGAAACAACAAGAGAGAGAAUGGAGGGACCAGGAAAGAAAGGGCUUUGAGCAAAUAAAUUACCCUCCAAAUCCAGCCCUCAUGUCCAUUACAUUCCGGAGUUUGAACUUUUUCCACUUGAAAACACGAAUAUAACCUUCGAGUAUAUCAUCCCAAAAUUUCGUCUCUGCUUUGAAAAGCUCAUUCUUUGAUGAGUAGGCGUCCAUUUCAACACCUUGAAGUCUCCUUGGAGGCUCCAUUAAGCGUGCAGGCCAUGGAAAGGGAGUUGAUCCGUCACUAUUCACAGGUAGUCGACUGAUACAUGCUUUCAGACCAACAUACCUGAAACCGAAGAGAACGUAUAGCGCAAAAAAAGUUUGUGUCAAAUAAGCUCAGUAACAGUAUAAUAUAGUCCAAGAAAGGAGAAGCAGUCUAUAUGAAUUUCAGCAUCUGUUAAAUGAUCGCAGUGCAAACAACAAGAUGAACAGGUUAAAGCACAUUGUUGCCCCAACAUUAAUUAUACGCCACAUUCUUGCAGAUUUUGCUGUCAACAUGCUUUGUGUUUAUCAGGUAUUGUCAUACUGAUGGCAAAUGCUUGACAGAUCUUGCUAAUGAUGAUGGAAAUGAAAGAUCGUUCGCAUCUAAAGUGCUAUUUUAAGGCCCGACAAGAAUUAAAGAUCUUAAUGACAGAGAAAACAAUGUGGCCAGUAAUGAGAGUUAUUAAGUUAUUUCCACUGCCAAGACUUAUCCAAGAAGUGACUAAAGUGUUAAACUGAGGCUUCAAUAAUAAAACCGGGUCAAGUGAGGUCGAAACAUACCAGACAUUAUCUGGAUUAUCAUCAGUAUCACAAAGUGGAGGUUUGACCCCUGGAUCACGGCUCAUAUAGCACGAGUUAUUUACAGGCUUCCUCCACAUAGCAACAUAUCCCUCUUUCUUCACAAGCUCCCAACAAAGUCGGGUUGUGAGGUCCUCCAUCUCUACAAAUAAAUUUAUCUGUGAGCAAUCAUUUUGGAAACAAAAAACAAUGCAGCAUUUCAUUAUCAGAGGCUUCUUGACCUGAUAUAAGUAAUGUUAUCAAAAACUAUUAUUACAACAUCCCAAGGAUUUGCAGUUUAAACUAUGCACUUCCAAUUUUCGUCAUCCUUCACAUGAAAGAAUAUCUCUGGCAUACUGUAGAUUUAAUCAGGCCAUCUGUGCAUAUUAGCAGUUUGGCGUAGAUAGUUGUUACUAGAAAAAUAUUGUUCAUGUGUAACCAUAGGAAUCCAUCCUCUUUCUAGUUGUGCAAUUUAACUUAUGCGGGAAACCGGGAACAGCCAAAUAGGUAGUAGAGCACAGAAUUCAGGUCAAAGCAUUUGUGUAUGCCAAAGAUACAGGCAUACACAAUAUGAUAACAUUUUUCCUGUCAAGACUGUGUUAAGUUGUUCUGGCUGAGAUCAGUUUGUAUUUUGCAAUAGGAUAGCACGAUCAAAAACAGAUCCAUUAGGUAAUGCCUGUAGCUCAAGAUCGAGUUUUCUGGCAGUGCAUCAGACUCGUUUCCCUCUAGUCCUAAUGAACUUCCUUUUCCAUUACCAGUCAACGGGAAUCCGGUUUGAAAACAAAAGAAGACUUUACUCUGACUAGAUCCUAAAAUCAACAAAUGGACAACUAUGGAUGCAUCUUGUGGAAAAAUAACAACAGUGUAAAUUGACACAUAGUGUAUAUAGCCCUAAAGAAACAAAAUUAUCACAUAGUACUAAGCAGCAAUACCUUUCCACGCCUCUUGCUGGGCCUCUUCAUGCUUAUAAACAGGCUGUGCUGCCCAAGCAAAAUACCCACCAGCUCUUAGCAUUCUAUUAACCUCCAGGAGCAGGAUUCCAUCUUAGAAAAGGUAAAUUAUGACAACAGGAAUUAAGUGGUUUGUCAAUCGAAGGAAUAAAGUAGGUGCAUUAUCAAGAAAAUAAAUAAAGUAAAACUACACAUCAAAAUGAGUGCUCACCGUCACGUGUCCAAUUUAUUCUGCAGCGGGAACAAUGGAUAAUCUCAAAUGCUUGACUGGGAUAUAAUAGUCUGUGUGUUGCAAAUGCUGCCACCAUUGCAGGAACACCACGCUCAAGAGCAAACUGUAUCUGAUUCUCAUGAACAUCUUUGGGGGCAAUGGACAAUGUCAACACGUCACGUGAAAGUAAGUAUGCGCCAAAACUUGCUACACCACAGCCAACAUCCAGAACAACUCUAGUGCGAGAGCCAAAUGCAAUAUCUGGUACCAUCUGGACAAACAGAGAAACAUGUGCUUCGAAUGAGAUUCAGAAAUGGUAGAGGUUUUUUAGCAGUGGAAGCUGAUGCAGUCCAUGAAACUUUAGCGGUUAUUUGUCUUUUGCAUGUUCCUGUUAAGCACGGAUGCAUCUAGAACCCAUAUGUGUUAUGUUCUACUUUUACUUAUACACUCUCUAGAAACUACUCGUUUGCUUUCAUGUUUUAAGCAAUUUGAAGUUACCUUUCACGUUUCCAAAAAGAUUUGAGUAAUUUAUAAUAUAUAAUCAAGGGAAACCUGAGAUAUCUGAUCCAGGUAUUGACUUGCUCCAUGUAUGAACUGGGUUCCUCCCCCAGGAAAUGUAAAUUUAUCUUUAGCCUUGGUAAUCCAAUUCUGCCCUCCUUUGUCGUCAACCAAGCGUGUAUGAGGUACAUUGCUAAACCACACCUGCAAUUCACAGAAGUACAUAAAUUCCAUUACAUGGAUGCUGCAGUUUCUGCGGGAAAAGCCAACCCAGUUGGUUCAAUUCGAUUCUGCAGCAAUAAUGGCAUACAUCAAAUGUUGCUUAAAUCAUGUCUAGUUCAUUCAAGCUAAAACUUUGAGUGCUGUGAUUGGUGAAACAAUAAACCCUGUGUGCAGAGAGGUGCUAGCAGAAACCCAAGAAGAAGAUUACUACAGUACAAAGACAUACUAUUCCAUUGCAGUAAAACCGAAAGGUUCUUUACCAGUUGAACCGGCAAGAAUCAAUACAGAUACUCACCUCGUCUCUGCUCCGAGGCCAGGGGAUGGGCGCCCUAUACCCCUUGGGGGCUGGCACGAGGCAGCUCAGGGCCUUGUCCUUGGCCGGGCAGUGCCGCUCGAACCGCUCCCCACGCUCCGUGGAGGGCAGCCGCCUGAUCUCCUCGUCGUUGUCGAGGCAGGGAAUGUACUCCCUCAUGCUCGCGGGGCAGGCAGGGAACUUCCCAAUCCGGGCCCUGUUGCCGCCGCCGGCGCCCGCGUUGCCAAGCUCCUCCGGCGCGCCCUCGUCGGUGGCCAGAUCGGUUUCGUUGACGACGGCGCCGAUGUCAAAGUCGUCCCGCAUAGCGCCGUCCUCGCCGACGAUGCCGAGGCGGACGGGCGGGGGAGGGGGCGAGGGCGGGAGGGGAGGCGGCGGUGGUGGCGACGGAGUUGGCGUUGGAGGCGGCGGCGACGGAGUUGGCAUUGGAGGCGGCGGAGAUGCCACUGGAGGCGGCGGCGGGGCAUUGGGGGUAGACGAAGCGGGCGGAGCAGCUGCGGGGGCGGGGAUUAGGGAUGGGUCGAAGGAGAUGUUGGAGUUAGGCGAGAUGGCGACGGAAGGGGAGCGAGACGAUAUGCGGGAGGAGGGGGACGCCGGGGAGAAGACGGACGAGAAGAAGAGGGGGCUCGCGGAGGCGUCGGACCAGCGGUAGCCGACGAGGAAGGAGGCGGCGCAGGCGAAGAAGAGCACGGUGGCGCGGACGAGGUGCGGGCCGCGGAGCAGAUCGGAGGCGUGCGCGCCGAGGGCCUUCAUGCUCGCCCCGCCGGCCGGCCGCCCUUGGGUGGGGAGCGAUCGGCGUCGGCGCGGUGCCUUGCCGAUGCGGAGGGGAUGGGAUCGUACAGCGGAGUGAACUGGACUCCGGCGUGUUGCUUCGAAGGGGAAAUCCCACUUCCGUUAUUAUUGUUUCUCGGAGGAGUAUGUACAGUGGUUGAUAGAAUAUUUCUUUUUGAAAAAUUCACUGUAGGUUACAUAACUCGAGCCGGGUGACACUUUGGUACCACUACUUUAAAAUAUCCGAACUACGGUCCACGUACUUGCGCAAGGGGUUCACUUUGGCCCGUAUGUACGAUUUCAUCUACGUAUUUGCUGACUUGGCCGAGCCAGCGGCCGCCAGCUUGCUUUGACCGUCACCUAGUCGUGCCUAAGGUGAAUACUAGUCUAUUCGGGGUGUUUUUUUUUGUAAAAACGCCGGACAAUGCGGGAGUGCGUCUGAGUUCCUUCGCUCCCUCGGCCUCGGCCUCGACGACCUCGCCGCCUACCCGCUCGCCCUCGGCUGCAACAUCCGCAAGAACAUGGUCCCCGUCCUCGACUACCUCGGCAAGAUUGGCGUCCGCCGCGACGAGCUCCCGCACCUGCUCCGCCGCCACCCGCAGGUGCUCCACGCCAGCAUCACCGUCGACCUUGCGCCCGUCGUUAAGUACCUUCAGGGGAUGGACGUCAAGCCCGGCGACAUGCCGCGCGUGCUCGAGCGCUACCUCGGCUGCAUGCUCGAGGGCACCAUGAGCACCUCCGUCGCCUACCUCGUCGGCAUUGGCGUCGCCAGGCGCCACGCUGAGCUGCUCACAAGUGAUCUUUAUUCAGCCGGCGCUGCCGCCAAGACGCCAUGGCGAUUGGCGAAGCCCCACUGAACCGAGCGCAUGCAGGCGACGGCGCGUGCGGCGGCACAAGUCCGGUAGUGCAUUGCUCUCUCCGCGCGCGCACGCACACCACGACCUGAAUAUAGUAGCACAGCUGGUGCUAAUUGAAGGGACCAUGCAUGCUAAAUUAUUAUAGGCACUGUUGAUUAUUCAUAUGUGUCUUUCAUUUCCAGAUUGCAGGUGGAUGUUGGUAUGUUCUUGCGAUUCAGCGUGUUGCCUCCUGCCUACAAUCGGAAUGCGAGAUAAACAACAACUGCAAUUUGAUGUCACUGGCUUGCUCCAAGGAGAUGUGCUUUCACUUCCCUUGGUCAUCAGACAUGACUGCAUUAGCAUGCGAUACGAGCUUAACUUCUUUCAGUCAACAAAAUGUGCCGGCCUGUCUAAGUGGCAAUGGCGCCUUUGCUUAUGGGAUCUACAAGGGAGCCCUUCCUGUUAUCUCCAGCAAUUCACUUGCUGUCAAAAUCAUCUAUCCCAUAUUCUGGGGUCUCAUGACCCUCAGGUAAUUUAUAUAGUAUUAUGUUAAAUAAUAAUAUCAUCCAUUUCUGACAUAGGAAAUGUUUUCCUCCGUGAAACUUGAAUAUCUGAAUGUUCAGUAGUCGGCUCGGCUGUCAUUCUAUCUGAAAUAUGCACAUUCCUGACAAAUUUAUAUGCCGCUCAGGCCGCACGACCACCUCGAGUAGGCUGGGGACCGAUCGGGUGACUAGAAGGGUGCGUGACUGCGUGGCAGCGUGGGGAUGGAUGCAGAGGGACCAUGGAUCGAUCUGCCGGCCGUAUGCCGUUUUGCAAAAAAAAAAAAAAACCCGGAUGGACUUGUACUCACGAAAGGAACGACAGUGUGGCGGUCAAAGCCGAGCUGGCGGCCGCUGACUCGGCCAAGUCAGUAAAUACGUACACAAAAUCGUAUACAUGGACCAAAAUGAACCUCUAGCGCAAGUACUUGGACCGUAGUUCAGGUAUUUUGAAGUAGUGGUUCAAAUGUGUCACCCGGCUCAAGUUUAGUGACCUAGAGUGAAUUUUUCUCUAUUUCUUUUUUAAAUUUUGCAUGUAAUGUAAUGAUGACAAUAAAAAUAUAUCUACAAUAAGUUAUGCUUAUCUAAAAUAAUUAGUUACUCCCUCCGUUCCUAAAUAUUUGUCUUUUUAGAGAUUUCAAAUGGACUAUCACAUACGGAUGUAUAUAGACAUAUUUUAGAGUGUACAUUCAUUCAUUUUGUUCCGUAUGUAGUCAUUUGUUAAAAUUUCUAGAAAGACAAAUAUUUAGGAACGGAGGGAGUAUUUCUUAAAAUCAUGGACAUUUCUGCUAAAAAACUCCCUCCGUUCCAAAAUAGAUGACUCAACUUUGUAACUCUUAAAAAGAGAGGCAUCUGAUAAGCGCCCCAAAGUAUCGACCGGUCGCGCGCGGGCCUUCCGAUGCCAAUCGUAUAGACCGUCGGAUCUAUAGAAAAAUGGUUCAUUAGAGCCCCUUUCUUCCUCACGCAGCACCCACGUCUCCCACCGCGUCUUGCGCAUGCACCCCCUCCCCCACGCGCCCGCGUCUCGCGUAGCUCGCCGAGGCGCCGCGCUCUCCUACUGCCCCCUCCAUCCGUCCCUCGCCGCACCUCAUCGCGGGCCACCCACUCGUCGGCCAUUGACCUCACAACAGGUUGCACCUCGUCGCACCCACCCCCGUAGAUCACAGCUAGCCACUGUCAUCGUCGCCGCAGCUGGGCGAUGAAGUCGUAGCAAUUCCGUCGCCGCCGACCAUCGACACGUGCAAACACUCGCCGCUUGCUCGUAGCACUGGUGUCGUGGAAUUGUCACGGCAGAUGUCCUAGUGAAAGGACUUAGACGUGGAGCCAUUGCGACGUAGUUAGCUUAAAGGGGUUAAACGGGACAAAGGACACGAGGAGUUUAUACUGGUUCGGCCCCCUUAUGGUGAAGGUAAAAGCCUAAUCCAGUUUGAGGUGGUAUUGCUAGGGUUUCGAUUACCAGGGAGCGAAUACGUUUGACCUGGCUUUCGAUCUGUUGUUUCUUGUCCUAAACCGUCGCCAGGUCGUCCCUUUAUAUACAUAGGUUGACGCCCCGCGGCUUACAGAAUCCCGGCCGGCUCAUAAACGUGUCCGGCUCGAUAUCUAACCCCGCAUAUCUUACAAUAUAAGUCAUACACAUAUGACGGUUUACACUUAUGGGCCCUAACCCGCCUUUGGGCUUUGGGCCUCUUAAUAAGUUUCCUUCGUAAAUCGCCAUCUUCCACGUCUUCAUGGGCUUCAACUUGGUAAACCGCCAUGGGUGGGUUAUAUUCAUUAGUUAUAUCCCAACAACUGGCAGCCGCUUCCAGCAUUUGCGGGCCAUGGUUUCAACAUUUCUCCACCGCAACCACAACACCCCCCGCUUGGUCAUGGUCAUCGCCGGGGAGCUCGUGUUCGCGGGGUCCAGUUUCUGUUAGCCCAUGGUUCCAGCAAAUUCCCAUUGCGGUUCCAGCAUCCGGUAAAUGCGAUUGCAACAUUCCUUGCGCCGCCGUCGUCGCAAUGCCCCGGCGCAAAUGCAUGGAUGUAGCGAAAAUCUUUGCCGGUGGUAGCAAAAUCGAAGCAUAGUUGCAGCAAAAGAUCGUAGUCACCGUUGUUGCUGGUUGCAGCUAAUCCAUGAAUGGAUGUAGCAAAAAUCAGCGGCAGUCGAAGCAAAAAAGUCGCCGCCGUCGCCGCACGUCGCAGCUAAGUUGUGAGGCAUGUAGCAAACAAUGACGCUGAUAGUAGCAAAAUUGAAAAUGAUUGCAGGCAAGUGUUGUCGCCGUCGACCCGGGUCGCAGAAAAUCCGUACAUGGUUUGUAGAAAAAAACACGCCGGUGGUAACUCCACCAUAGCCGUUGUGGCACCCAUAGUCUUGGUUCUAGCAAAAACGUACAACUUGUUACUUGUUGAUCAGCGCCGUCGUACCUUGUCCACCUGCCGUAGCCUGGUUGAAGCUCGGAGGGCACAAGGUUUCAGCAUUAGAGCAUCUUUAAUAGACGAUUCAUAUGUAAAAAUAACUAACUUUUAAAGCUUCGAGAAUAGAAAGCGCUGCUACAACAGACUAUCCAUAUGUAAAAGAAAAAUUGGACCUCGCCUCCCGAUGAUGUAUAAUUCAACACCUUGCGAUGCAAAUAUACAUCACGAGAUACAAGUGGUGUAAAACCACGGCCGCCCGUGAAAUGACCAACUGCCAGUUCCUUUGCCUUCCCGCUCGCGACCGCCCGCCCGUCCCCCCGCCUUCCGCCGCCGCCGCAGCCGGUGGGCUGACCCACGUCGCCACCUCCGCUGCCGUCGCGACGAACUCGCCCUCCGCCGUCGCGUCCAUGCCACCGCCCCUCGCCCGCCGCCCCAGAUUCGCGCCACCGCGCUGGCGGUUCCUACGAAGGCGACGAAGGCACGAGGUGAAGGCGACGGCCGACAAAUCGCGACCGGAACCCGGCCGAAAGUGCGGCUCGGCCGGCCAAAAUCUUGAAGGCAGCCGCGGUGGCUCGGGCCGCCGACUCGCAGCCACGGCCAUCGGCGUCCUCCAGCAGCCAAGGAGCUGUUCCUCCACCUCCGCCGCCGCCACAGCCGACCGUACAGUGGCUGAAUAGCAGCCGUGUGGCCGCGACCGGUUUACAUCUUCGUUUUAGACCAUCUGUUGGAGUUGUUUUUUUUACAUCUUCGUUUUGGACCAUCCGUUGGAGUUGAGCCUUUUUGGAAGAUGUAAAAAGCAUUUUUUGGUGCUUCAAAUUUGGACCAUCAUCGAUUUGGACCAUCAAAAUUUGCAUCAUCUAUUGGAGAUGCUCUUAGGAUCUCUUUUGUGGUGCAACACCUCCCAAACCACCGUGCUUUCAGUUUGCAACUCCUCCCCGGCAUGGUGGAUUGUAGAUUGGCCAUGUCUACUAACUCACCCGGCUGUGGGCGUCCAUGGGGACGAUCGCACCCAAAUGUGGCCGGCUAUGGCGACGAGCACGCCUAGAUGCGCACUAUCUUCAAGCUCGAGUGCGCUGAUGAUGCGUUGCUACAACCUGCAACGCCGGAGAGGAGAGGAAGAGGAGGGGCGCCGGGAAGAGAGCAGAAUGGGGGCAGGAAGGGGGUUUGCUAGCGUUGCAUGGGACCCACGUAGCCGCGCGUGUGGCAUAAGCCAACUGUGGGCGUGAUGGCGCUACGCGAAAGGGCGUGCGUGUGACCGGUCGAGCGUUCGGUCGGCGUGUCGAUUGUAAAUGUUUCCCCUUUUCUUAUGGAUUCUUUCCCUUCCACCUCAACAUUUAUCCUAUGUGACACAUCUAAGUUAGUACUAAUGUACAUGCGCUAAUACUACACCUAAAAGGUUACUUGAUAUUUUUUUACAAAGCAAGCCGAUGUGGGGAUUAUGAUUGGUAAUAUGGCGAUAAAGGAGCCUGUCAAAGUGGAAUUCAGGAGAAGAGAGAAUUAAAGUUGGAGAAGCUAAGUAAAACAUUUAUAAUUCUUAGUAGGUCUAACAUUACUGUCCCCCUCAAAAAAGAAAGUGUUAUUGUUCUAGGAGUGUCUAAGUUUUUCGUUCUAUUUUUUAUUCCCCCACAGUCAGCUUUUCCGAACUAUCUGAUCUGGUUUUUCUUUCUUCUUCUUUAUAUACUUUGUUUCAAUAAUGUUAUAAAGAACGUCAGCUAGGAGGGGAUGGCAAGCGAACGUUGUUUGAUGGUGCUUUUAGUUGUGGGGCCCAAAAAUUACCUUCUCGAGAAGAAACUGCCAUGGCGCCCCAAAAAAUGCCACUUCUCACCACAUCCUCUCAAUUAAAACUGCCACAAAAUCAUUCACAUAUGCCAUCCUCCUGGCGAACGUUGGCCAACUAACAUGGUCCUUUGUUUUUCUUUGUUUUUCUUUUUUGUUUCAUUAUCAGUUUUAUUUGUUUUUGAUUUUCCAACACAUGUCUACUUUGUCAAGCUGUAUAUUUUUCGUAUACAUGUAACAUUUUUUAUGCUUGUUUAACACUUUUAAAACGCAUGUUUAACAUUUUUACAAAACAUGUUUUGAAUAUAUUUUUGGAAUACGUGUUAAGCAUUUUCUCAAUACAUGCUGAAACAUUUUGAUAAAAAUAGUUAUUUUGAAGUGUGCAAACAUUUUGUAAAAUUUAUAAUUAUUUAUUUUUUGAAAUGUCAAGAAUACAUUUUUGGAACUUGUGACUAUUUUAUUACAACACGAUCAUUUUUAUAUUGUACAAAACAUUCUGAAAUCUCAUGUACAUUUUCUUAAAUGCGCGCCAUUUAUUAAUUGUCACAUACAUUUACACUUGCUUAAUAUUUUUGGUACACAUGAUACUUUUUUCAUUCAUGUUUUACAUUUUUUCGUAUACGCCAAAAAUAUUUUUCUAUACAUGCAUGAAUUUUUCUUUUUCGUUUGGGUCGACUCAGUUCAGGCUCGCUGCAGGCGAGCCGUGCCUAGGCGCCGCAGUAGUCACAUCCCUAUCUUUACUCAUAACUAGUAGUAUGCCCGUGCGUUGCCACGGGCUUCUGAAAUAUAUUGUUGAAGGUAUAUAAAAUAAUUCAUGUAAAAGAUCACAAAAAGAAACAAUAUAGCAUGGACACAAUUACAUAAUAAUUGAAGUCUACUUCACUUGUAAUGUAAACUGAUAACAAAAAGGCAAAUUGACGAUGUAUACACAUAAAUCGAUGAUCGAGCCAAAAAUAUAUUACAAAUUAUUCAAAUCUACUUGAUGCGCUUAAGAAAUUCUUGCACAAUAUCAAGAAAGUUUUUUUCCUUCAUUCGCACGAUGCUUGAGCAAGUAUAAUAAAAACUGCUUUCUCAACUCAAACUCAUCAUGCAAAAACAAUAGUAGAACGCCCAUGCGUUGCUACGGACUGCUACGGACAACAAUGCAUAUAAAUGAAUCACAGAAACAAUUAAAGUAGUAUUCAACAUCUAAGUUUAUUUUUUUCCUCAUACGUCCGAAUGUGUUCGGACAUCAAACGGGCUACUACAACUGUCUUGAUAGUCCGGGUGCCCCAAAUCCGUCCCAUAUGUAAGAAAGAAAUGUUGCUAUCCAGACUAUUCGUGAUGUUAUCUCCAACAUGUGAAACCAACGCAAAACCCCACCACCACGACACACCCUCUGCUUUUCUCAUCGGACCCUCCCCUUCCCGCUCUGUUUCCCGCCGUAGUGGGUGACGUCCGCCUCACUUUCACCAUGACACCCUCUCUCCUUCACACCAUACUUCCUCAUAGACCGUUAAGGAGGAGUCCCCCGUAAUGCCUGCCCCGCUCUCUGCCAUGAUCCCCUCCCCCGAGUCCGUGUGUUUUCACCACUGCCAUCAAGAGGAAGGAGGUAUUGCGCCGCCUGUGGCGCCCCCAAAGCCAGGAAUGCAAAUUUGUAAGUAAACAUACCAAACCCAACCUCCGUCCCGCUCACUCUUAUCACAAAAUCCAUCAACUUGUAUUUUAAGUGAGCCGGUGAUCAACAUCACCGUGGCCGGCCAGCAGCAAGGGAUAAGGGUGGCAACCACCUUCCCAUCUUAGUGCUAGUACCUCCUGGUUCUAUACCGGACCCACCCUUCAUCCCGGGCUCUACAACACAGCUCCACACUCAUGUGUUCCCAUGGAAAAGAAAGCUAUGCAUAAAAAUGUUCGCCCAGAGCAUGAAAAAUGUCAAUGGUUCUCUCCUCUUUCCUCCUCGUGCGCACAUGCCUGAUUCAAUCAGAUAUUAGUGAAUAAACCAAAUAGAUAAUUAAAUGACAUGUCUGAAGCACACAAACACACAACACACAACACACAACACACACUAUAUACAUGGUAAUACUAUUCAUCACCCAGGGUGGAGUAUAAGUUAUUCUUCACCCGAGAUAAUAUUACAAACGGUUCAUAAAUAAAUUUCAUUUUGUUUACAGAGGGAGUACAUUAGAAGUCUUUUUAGAGAUACAUGCAGUCCGUCUGGAGAUCGAAGAUGGCACUCAGUUUCAAAACUCAUGGAAUAUUGAGCAUCUCCGUAAGUACUACCCGUAAGGCGCGAGGCUGUCGGCACUGCCUGGCAGCCACCCUUUUGUACAUGCCUUGCCUCAGCUGCAUGUAACCCCUUGUACAAAGCCGGGACGAUGACCCGUGCAAGAGAAAAUAAAGAAGCGCUGUAGGGGGGCCCCAACUAAGAUUGCAUGCAUGAGCACACCAAGAUCACUACAUAAGCAUUUCAUUAGUAUUUGCAUAUGCAUAUAGAUAGGAUUGCAUCAUGCAUUCAUUCUCAUCUACAUGGAGUUGUAGGUUCCUGUCACGCCCAAUAUGCGACCCUAUCCAAAAGGGACUCGAAGGUCCCACCAAGGAUAGACCCGCAUAUUGAAACGCUUUUGCAAGGUGGAUAUCAUUACAUCAACAUUACAUAAUAGGUGGGGAUACAUACAAGAGGCAUACAAUGCCCCACAAAUACAACAUCACAAUACAUAAGAGCAUCAUCCGGCUACGGAUGAAACACAAACAGAAACUCAAACGACAUCCACCCUGCUAGCCCAGGCUGCCGACCUGGAACCUAUCCCCUGAUCGAAGAAGCAGAAGAAGAACUCAACGCAAGCAAGCAUCACUCUUGCGUCAUGAUCAUCGAUUAACCUGUACCUGCAACUGUUGUUGUAGUAAUCUGUGAGCCACGAGGACUCAGCAAUCCCAUUACCAUGGGUAUCAAGACUAGCAAAGCUUAAAGGGAAUGGAAGGGGUAAAGUGGUGAGGCUGCAGCAGCGACUAAGCAUAUAUGGUGGCUAACAUACGCAAAUAAGAGCAAGAAGAGAACAAGUGGAACGGUCGUGAAGCUAGCAAUGAUCAAGAAGUGAUCCUGAACUCCUACUUACGUCAAACAUAACCCAGAAACCGUGUUCACUUUCCGGACUCCGCCGAAAAGAGACCAUCACGGCUACACACGCGGUUGAUGCGUUUUAAUUCGCAUCUGGUGUCAAGUUAUCUACAACCGGACAUUAACAAAUUCCCAUCUGCCUAUAACCGCAGGCACGGCUUUCGAAAGAUUAUACCCUGCAGGGGUGUCCCAACUUAGCCCAUGAUAAGCUCUCGCGAUGAACGAAGGAUAUACCUUCUCCCAGGAAGACCCGAUCAGACUCAGAAUCCCGGUUUACAAGACAUUUCGACAAUGGUAAAACAAGACCAGGAAAGCCUCCCGCUGUGCCGACAAAUCCCGAUAGGAGCUGCACAUAUCUCGUUCUCAGGGCACACCGGAUUGUCCAAACUUCCGGUAGGCCAGCCCAGAGUUGCCCCUGGUGGCCACCGGCGGCUGACAGGUUGGACCAACACUCACAACAAGCACUGGCUUGGGGGGGGAUAAUAUAAAGAUGACCCUCGAGAGCGCGACUCCCAAGGGAAAAAGGGCUAGGUGAGGCAAAUGUAAAACCAAGGUUGGGCCUUGCUGGAGGAUUUUUAUUCAAAGCGAACUGUCAAGGGGGUCCCAUAAAUCACCCAACCGCGUAAGGAACGCAAAAUCCGGGAACAUAACACCGGUAUGACGGAAACUAGGGCGGCAAGAGUGGAACAAAACACCAGGCAAAAGGCCGAGUCUUCCACCCUUUACCAAAUAUAUAGAUGCAUUAAUAAUAUAAGAGAUAUUGUGAUAUCCCAAACAUAAAUCCUGCCCACCAUGGAGAAAUCUUCAACUUCACCUGCAACUAGCAACGCUAUAAGAGGGGCUGAGCAAAAGCGGUAACAUAGCCAAACAACGGUUUGCAUAGGAAAGGUGUCAAAGGUUAGAGGUUCAUGGCAAUAUGGGAUGGCUUGAUAAACAGGUACUAGGUAGCGCAGCAUAGCGAUAGAACGAAGCAACUGGCAUAGCAAUGAUAGUAGUGAGAUCCAGGGUAGCAGUCAUCUUGCCUGAAAUCCCGCAAGGAAGAAGAACGAGUCCAUGAAGAAGACGAACGGAUGAAGCCGAACCACGCGUAGACGAACGAAUCCUCACGAUCGCACGAAACGGGAACUAUCGAGAAGAAGCACACAACAUGGUAAACACACCACACAUAUACAAGACAUGAUGCACAACAAGCAUGAUGCAUGAUAAAGCUACAUGAAGCUACUCAUGGCAAAAGAUGAUGCAAACAAGAGCAACACAUCAAGGCAAGUUUAAAUGAGGCUGGGAACAACAUAUAACAAUUCCGGUAAGUCCUCAUAAGCAUAUUUCGAAGUUGGUCCAGAUCUGAAUAAACCUUAUGUUCAAGUUGUUAAACAACAAGUUAAGAUGCACCAAGAUGAUCUACACGAGAUUCUAGUCAAGUUACAUAUAAAGUUCAUUUAGUUCGGAGCUACGGUCUAGAAGAUAUGAGCAAAACAAGUUAAACAUGGCAUUGAUGCAAAAUGCACUCAAACCUCAAGCAAACACACCAAAACAAGGAUGCAACAUGAUAAUAUGAAACUACAUGCAAUUCUAAGCAAGUUUCAUAUAGAGCACACUCAAAACGGAGCAACGGUUCAACACACACACAUGAAACAAGUUAUAGCAACAAUCUGCCCAAAACAGCAACUAGGCAUAUUGCAAGCACCAAAACAACAUGCUACAGGACCUCAACAUGAAAACAAAAGACAUGGGCAUGAUGUACAUGUAAAGCACAACAAAACAUGAACAUUGAGCUAUCUCUAGAAAUCACUAGAACAUACUCAAACAAACAUGGUAAGAUUGCAAGUUAUAACAAUUCAGGCUUUGCAGAAAAUAACAUCACGAUGCAAUGUUCAGAGCUAUCAAACAACAUGUUACAGGAACUUAUAAUAGCAAACAAAGGCAUGGCAUGAUUCUACACAAAGCAUAGAUCAAAAGGGUCAGAAAAUAUGAUGGCACCCACGUAAACAUAGCAAGUUAUUAUUACAGAUUCAUACAUGGCAGGAACAUAAUUAUGAAGGCAUGUAGAUGAGCUUGUGAAACUCUCUACAGGGCAAAACAUGGCAUGGCAAGGUAACCGACAGUAAGAAGACAUGAUUUUGAAACAAACCAAGUCAAGAACAAGUUCAUAGCAUGCAAGGAUCAACUAUAGCAUCCUUGGCUAAAUUGAAUAACAUGUAAACAAUCUGCCAGGAAACAUUUUGAAGCAAAAGUAGAGCACGAAAAUGACAUGCUAGACUACUCCAUAAUUGCAACCAAGGAUAGGGAUAGAUAGAGCAUAACCAUAUGUUUAAAACACCCUUACUGAAGUAUCUCAAAAUAUGCAUGGAUCUCUCUGUAGCAACAUGUUUACAUGGCAUCAAAAUAACAGCAGAACAUGGACUAAAAUCAGCAACAUCACGAUGCCUAGUUUGCAAGCUUGUGCUAGUCACCACAUUGAUCACAAAAAUACAUGGUAAGCACCUCUGUAAAGAAGAAAUAGCAUAGAUCAAAACACAUGAGACAUCAACCUCCUAGGAUGCACACAUCAAUCAUGGCAAAAAUGACAAAUGAGCUCGUUCUGUUAACACACAGCAGAAAACAUCAUGAAGCACUCUUACAACGAUGAUUCAGGCAUCAAGAUGAGCUCAAAUGAAUAUGAUGCAAUGGAUUGAAAUGAUUUACUCGUUGAGAUGAACAAUUUGACAUAUUACACACACAAAACGGAGCUACGGAUGCAGAGAUAUGAUGCGUUGAAUAGGGCAUGACAAUUACACAGAAGCGGGGACUUGGUGAAAAAUUGGACCUCGGGGAAAAGUCAACGGGCGAGGUGGCGGCGGAUCUCGCCGGAGCCAGGGAAGAAGAUGGCCGGAGAGAAGGGGCGCCGGAUCCGGCGAGGUCGCUCAGGCGACGGGGUUCGGCGGCGGGGCCUCUCCCCGACCAGCUCUGGCCGAAUCCGGCCGCGAGGAGGCGAAGCGGGGCGGCACUGGGAGGCGGGGCGCCGGCCUCCGGCGGCGGAGCUCGGGUGGCAGGGCCCCGACGGCAUGGCCGGGAGGCAAGGCGGCGGUGGGGCAGAGCGUGGCGGGGGCNNNNNNNNNNNNNNNNNNNNNNNNNNNNNNNNNNNNNNNNNNNNNNNNNNNNNNNNNNNNNNNNNNNNNNNNNNNNNNNNNNNNNNNNNNNNNNNNNNNNNNNNNNNNNNNNNNNNNNNNNNNNNNNNNNNNNNNNNNNNNNNNNNNNNNNNNNNNNNNNNNNNNNNNNNNNNNNNNNNNNNNNNNNNNNNNNNNNNNNNNNNNNNNNNNNNNNNNNNNNNNNNNNNNNNNNNNNNNNNNNNNNNNNNNNNNNNNNNNNNNNNNNNNNNNNNNNNNNNNNNNNNNNNNNNNNNNNNNNNNNNNNNNNNNNNNNNNNNNNNNNNNNNNNNNNNNNNNNNNNNNNNNNNNNNNNNNNNNNNNNNNNNNNNNNNNNNNNNNNNNNNNNNNNNNNNNNNNNNNNNNNNNNNNNNNNNNNNNNNNNNNNNNNNNNNNNNNNNNNNNNNNNNNNNNNNNNNNNNNNNNNNNNNNNNNNNNNNNNNNNNNNNNNNNNNNNNNNNNNNNNNNNNNNNNNNNNNNNNNNNNNNNNNNNNNNNNNNNNNNNNNNNNNNNNNNNNNNNNNNNNNNNNNNNNNNNNNNNNNNNNNNNNNNNNNNNNNNNNNNNNNNNNNNNNNNNNNNNNNNNNNNNNNNNNNNNNNNNNNNNNNNNNNNNNNNNNNNNNNNNNGGGAGGUCUAGUUUUAUAGGUAGGGGGAGCUAGGAGAGUCCAAAUGAGGAGCGGUUUUCGCCCACACGACCGUGAUCGAACAACCGAGAGCAUGGAGGGGGUUUGGAUGGGUUUUGGGCCAGUUUGGAAGGGGUGUUGGGAUGCAAAGAGAGAGGGGCUUUACGGUUACCCGGUUACCCGUUGGAGUACCAAACGACCUCCAAAUGGCACGAAACUUGACAGGCGGUCUACCGGUGGUAUACCAAGGCCACUUGGCAAGACUCGGUCCAUUCCGAGAAAGUUUAACACCCACUCACAACAGGAGACGAAAAGGGGAACGCCGGAGGGCAUAGGAGUGCCGGAUUGCAAAACGGACAACGGGGAAAAUGCUCGGAUGCAAGAAACGAACACAUAUGCAAAAUGAAAUGCACAUGAUGACAUGAUAUGAAAUGCAGAUGAUGACAUGGCAAAAUGCAACACGCAAGCAAAUGACAUGGCAACGACGGCGAAUAACUGGCAGACACCUGGCGCAUCGGAUCCGGGGCGUUACAGUUCCUGCCGUGAACUUGGCUUUGACAAAGGACGAGAAGAUUGCAUGGCACAACGAUCCCCGGCAAAGCCAAAUAGAUGAGUUCUACCUCUUGUCCAUUAGUGUUCUGUAAGGCUAUAACUUUGCAUGAGAAAACCUCGCCUCUCAUUUGAAACUUAGGUGCUCCCAUCCAUGACUCGAACGUUGCUUCAGUCAGGAUGGUCAUAGUAGCCUUUGGUAAAAAGGAGCUAGCGGGGGGCUGGCCCCUUUGUCUGUUCCCCGGUAGACAUAGCUCUUCGGCAGACAAAUAAGGUGCCGACAGGAUAUCCUGCCGGGAAAAACUCGUUUAUUUUCAUUAAAGAGGCACUCCACCUCUGCAAGGACAUACACAUGCACGGGUUCCCGGCAAGGUUCAUCUUUUUCAUUCGGAAUAAAUGCAUACCUUUUUUUUGCAUUUGCAUGGGAAUAAAUGCAUACCUUUUCUUUGCGGGGAAUAAAUGCAUACCAUCGAUGGCAUGUGCUUGGUGACCCACAAGUGUAGGGGAUCUAUUGUAGUCCUUUUGAUAAGUAAGAUUGUCGAACCCAACGAGGAGCAGAAGGAAAUGACAAGCGGUUUUCAGUAAGGUAUUCUCUGCAAGCACUGAAAUUAUCGGCAACAGAUAAUUUUGUGAUAAGGUAAUUUGUAACGGGUAACAAGUAACAAGUGUAAAUAAAGUGCAGCAAGGUGGCCCAAUCCUUUUUGUAGCAAAGGACAAGCCUGGACAAACUCUUAUAUGGAGGAAAGCGCUCCCGAGGACACAUGAGAAUUAUCGUCAAGCUAGUUUUCAUCACGCUCAUAUGAUUCACAUUCGGUACUUUGAUAAUUUGAUAUGUGGGUGAACCGGUGCUUGGGUGCUGUCCUUCCUUGGACAAGCAUACCAUUUAUGAUUAAACCGUAUUGCAAGCAUCCACAACUACAAAAUAAGUAUUAAGGUAAACCUAACCAUAGCACGAAACAUAUGGAUCCAAAUCAGCCCCUUACAAAGGAACUCAUAAACUAGGGUUUAAGCUUCUGUCACUCUGGCUACCCAUCAUCUACUUAUUACUUCCCAAUGCCUUCCUCUAGGCCAAAACAAUGGUGAAGUGUCAUGUAGUCGACGUUCACAUAACACCACUAGAGGAAAGACAACAUACAUCUCAUCAAAAUAUCGAACGAAUACCAAAUUCACAUGACUACUUAUAGCAAGACUUCUCCCAUGUCCUCAGGAACAAAUGUAACUACUCACAAAUCAUAUUCAUGUUCAUAAUCAAAGGAGUAUUAAUGUGCAUAAAGGAUCUGAACAUAUGAUCUUCCACCAAAUAAACCAACUAGCAUCAACUACAAAGGGUAAUCAACACUACUAGCAACCUACAGGUACCAAUCUGAGGUUUUGAGACAAAGAUUGGGUACAAGAGAUGAACUAGGGUUUGAGAGGAGAUGGUGCUGGUGAAGAUGUUGAUGGAGAUUGACCCCCUCCCGAUGAGAGGAUCGAUGGUGAUGAUUUCCCCCUUCCGGAGGGAUGUUUCCCUGUCAGAACAGCUCCGCCGGAGCCUGAUGUCUACGACACAACCUUCUUCUUGUAGACGUUGUUGGGCCUCCAAGUGCAGAGGUUUGUAGGACAGUAGCAAAUUUCCCUCAAGUGGAUGACCUAAGGUUUAUCAAUCCACGGGAGGCGUAGGAUGAAGAUGGUCUCUCUCAAACAACCCUGCAACCAAAUAACAAAGAGUCUCUUGUGUCCCCAACACACCCAAUACAAUGGUAAAUUGUAUAGGUGCACUAGUUCGGCGAAGAGAUGGUGAUACAAGUGCAAUAUGGAUGGUAGAUAUGAGUAUUUGUAAUCUGAAAAUAUAAAAACAGCAAGGUAACAAGUGGUAAAAGUGAGCGUAAACGGUAUUGCAAUGCUAGGAAACAAGGCCUAAGGUUCAUACUUUCACUAGUGCAAGUUCUCUCAACAAUAAUAACAUAAUUGGAUCAUAUAACUAUCUCUCAACAUGCAACAAAGAGUCACUCCAAAGUCACUAAUAGCGGAGAACAAACAAAGAGAUUAUGGUAGGGUACGAAACCACCUCAAAGUUAUCCUUUUUGUUCUAUCUAUUCAAGAGUCCGUAGUAAAAUAACAUGAAGCUAUUCUUUCCGUUCAAUCUAUCAUAGAGUUCACACUAGAAUAACACCUUAAGACACAAAUCAACCAAAACCCUAAUGUCACCUAGAUACUCCAUUGUCACCUCAAGUAUCCGUGGGCAUGAUUAAACGAUAUGCAUCACACAAUCUCAAAUUCAUCUAUUCAAACCAAAACAAAGUACUUCAAAGAGUGCCCCAAAGUUUCUACCGGAGAGUCAAGACGAAAAUGUGUGCCAACCCCUAUGCAUAGGUUCAUGGGCGGAACCCGCAAGUUGAUCACCAAAACAUACAUCAAGUGGAUCACAUGAAUAUCCCAUUGUCCCCACAGAUAAGCACGACAAGACAUACAUCAAGUGUUCUCAAAUCCUUAAAGACUCAAUCCGACAAGAUAACUUCAGAGGGAAAACUCAAUCCAUUACAAGAGAGUAGAGGGGGAGAAGCAUCAUAAGAUCCAACUAUAAUAGCAAAGCUCAUGAUACAUCAAGAUCGUAUCACCUCAAGAACACGAGAGAGAGAGAGAGAGAGAUCAAAUACAUAGCUACUGGUACAUACCCUCACCCCCGAGGGUGAACUACUCCCUCCUCGUCAUGGAGAGCGCAGGGAUGAUGAAGAUGGCCACCGAUGAGGGAUCCCCCCUCCGGCAGGGUGCCAGAACGGGCUCCCGAGAGGUUUUUGGUGGCUACAGAGGCUUGCGGCGGCGGAACUCCCGAUCUAUUGUUGUCUUUGAUGGUUUUAGGGUAUAUGUGAAUAUAUAGGCAAAAGAAGUCGGUCGGGGGAGCCACGAGGGGCCCACGAGGGUGGAGGGCGCGCCCAGGGGGGAUGGGCGUGCCCCCCCUGCCUCAUGGCCUCCUCGAAGCUUCCCUGACUUGCACUCCAAGUCCCCUGGAUCGCUUCCGUUCAAAAAAUAAUGCUCCCGAAGGUUUCAUUCCGUUUGGACUCUGUUUGAUAUUCCUUUUCUUCGAAACACUGAAAUAGGCAAGAAAAUAACAAUUUGGGUUGGGCCUCCGGUUAAUAGGUUAGUCCCAAAAGUAAUAUAAAAGUGCUUAAUAAAGCCCAUAAACAUCCAAAACAGACAAUAUAAUAGCAUGAAUGCUUCAUAAAUUAUAGAUACAUUGGAGACGUAUCAGCAUCCCCAAGCUUAAUUCCUGCUCGUCCUCGAGUAGGUAAAUGAUAAAAGAAAGAAUUUAUGAAGUGUGAAUGCUAGCAGGUGCACAAGUUUGAUCAAUGAUAACUUCAAUCACCUUUUCUAUCAUGAUUAUAUGUCAUAACAGUAGCUCAAUUCAUAAAACUUCUAAAUAACAAGCUAUUCACAUGUUAAAGCAUAGACCAUAAACUUUCUUGAAAACUAGCAAACUUCAUUCUCAGUCAUCAGCCAAUUGCAAUUCAUCUUAUUUUCAGGAAAGGUCUAUGUUAGAGCUUUGAUUUAGCAAACUCCACAUACUCAACUAUCAUAUGUCUUCUACAAUUGCUAACACUCACGCAAUACUUAUGGUUAUGGAGUUUUAAUCGGACACUGAGAAAGAUAGGGGCUUAUUUUCGCCUCCCAACGUAUUCACCUUUGGGUGAUGUCAACAAUAAUAGUUCAUGCUAACUUACAUCCAAUUGGAUAUAUAUAUCAGGAUCUUUCCAACACGAGGUGCUUGCCAAAGGAUAAAAUGAAAAAGGGAAAGGUGAAGAUCACCUUGACUCUUUCAUAAAAGUAAAAGAUAGGCCCUUCGCAGAGGGAAGCAGGGAUUUGCAGAGGUGCCGGAGCUCGAUUUUGAAAUAGAGAUGAAAACAAUUUUGAGAGGUAUGCUUUCAUUGUCAACAUAACAACCAAGAGUUCCCAAUAUCUUCCAUACUACAUACAUUAUAGGCGGUUCCCAAACAGAAUGGUAAAGAUUUUACUCCCCCUCCACCAACAAUCACACUCCACGGCCAUCCGAAACAACGGGGUACCGUCCAUACCAACAACAGUCCUGGGGGAGUUUUUUUGCAAUUUUUUAUUUGAUUUUGAUCUUUUGAUCAUGGGACUGGGCAUCCCGGCUACCAGCCAUUUUUCUCGUGAAUGAUGAGCGGAGUCCACUCAUCUUGAGAAUAACCCACCUAGCAUGGAAGAUACUGACUACCCCUAGUCGCUACAUGAGCAAUUCGGGCAUACAAAACAGAUUAUUAUUUGAAGGUUUAGAGUUUGGCACAUGCAAAUUUACUUGGAACGGCAAGUAAAUACCGCAUAUAGGUAGGUAUGGUGGACACUCAUGGCAAAAACCGGGUUUAAGGAUAUUUGGAAGCACAAGUAGUAUCUCUACUUGGUGCAAGGAAUUUUGGCUAGCAUGAGGGGGAAAGGAAAGCUCAACAUGUUUGAAUGGUCCAUGACAAUAUACUUUAACUGAGAUGUGAGAAAACAUAACCCAUUACGUUGUCUUCCUUGUCCAACAUCAACUCUUUAGCAUGUCAUACUUAAUGAGUGCUCACAAUUAUAAAAGAUGUCUAAGAUAAUAUAUUUAUAUGUGAAAUCUCCCUUCCUUCAAUAUUUUUUUCAUGAAUUGUUCAAAAUGACCAAUACAAUGCUUGCUAACCUUCAAUAAAUUUACAACCUCUACUUCUUAGAUGUGAAGUCAUUACUCCCCAUGGGAUAAGCAAAUGAAACAUAUAUAAUUUCAGAUUUAUGACAUUCAACUCAUUCAACCAUUUACUCAUAGGAUAUAAGUGAAGCACACGAGUAAAUGACAAACUACUCCAAAAAGAUAUAAGUGAAGAUCAAUGAGUAGCUAAAUUAUGUAACUAUGUGAAGAGUCUCUCUCAUUUAAGAAUUUCAGAUCUUGGUAUUUCAUUCAAAUAGCAAGCAAAACAAAAUAAAAUGACAUUGCAAAAAUAGCACAACUCAUGUGAAGAAGCAAAAACUUAGGUUCAACCGAUACUAACCGAUAGUUGUCAAGAAAGGUGGGAUGCCUAACGGGGCAUCCCCAAGCUUAGAUGCUUGAGAUUCUCGGAAUAUUAUCUUGGGGUGCCUUGGGCAUCCCCAAGCUUGAGCUUUUGUGUCACCUUAACUCCUCUCAUAUCAUGGGUUCUCUAUUUCUCAAAAACUUCAUCCACAUAAAACUCAACAAGAACUCGUGAGAUAAGUUAGUAUAAACCAAUGCAAAACCUUAUCAUUUUCUACUGUAAAAAAUUACUAAAAUUAUUAUUCAACAUUGCAUACUAAAUGUCUCUGCAUAUUUAAUACUCCUAUCCUCAAAUAGAAUCAUUAAACAAGCAAACAUAUGCAAACAUAACAGCAAUCUGCCAAAAUAGUACAGUCUGUAAAGAAUGCAAGAGUAUCAAUACUUCCCUAACUCCAAAAAUUAUGAGAAAAAUACUAAGAUGUAUAAGAUUUAUCAGAGCUCAAUGUGCAAAAGGUUUCAACAUUAUAUCAUUCUCUGACUUUUCUAGGGAGUUUUUGCAACAGUGGUAAACUUUCUGUUUUGAAACAGCAACAUGUAUACUUGCAAACUAAGCAUGGUAAAGGCUAUCUUUGACAUUUUUAUUGAAACUAAAGAUGCAAAACAUUAUUCUAAAUAACAGUAAGCAAAUACUAAAAAAAGAAAAUGACGCUGCAAGCAAAACACAUAUCAUGUGGUGAAUAAAAAUAUAGCUCCAAGUAAAGUUACCGAUGAACGAAGACGAAAGAGGGAUGCCUUCCGGGGCAUCCCCAAGCUUAGGCUUUUGGUUAUCCUUGAAUAUUACCUUGGGGUGCCUUGGGCAUCCCCAAGCUUAGGCUCUUGCCACUCCUUAUUCCAUAGUCCAUCGAAUCUUUACCCAAAACUUGAAAACUUCACAACACAAAACUCAACAGAAAACUCGUAAGCUCCGUUAGUAUAAAAAAAUUAAUCACCACUUGGUACUGUUGUGAAAUCAUUCUAAAUUCAUAUUGGUGUAAUAUCUACUGUAUUACAACUUCUCUAUGGUUCAUAACCUCCGGUACUACUCAUAGAUUCAUCAAAAUAAGCAAACAACACAUAGAAAAACAGAAUCUGUUAAAAACAGAACAGUCUGUAGUAAUCUGUAUCAAACGUAUACUUCUGGAACUCCAAAAAUCCUACAAAAUUAGGAAGUCCUAAGAAAAUUGUUUACCAAUGCAGAUAAAAAAAAAUCAGAUCAAAAUCACGUUUAUGUGAAUUAACAAAACUAAUUUACUGAGUGCAAAAGUUUCUGAUUUUCAGCAGGAUCAACACAACUAUCACCGUAAGCUAUCCUAAAGGUCUUACUUGGCACUUUAUUGAAACAAAAGCUACAAAACAUGAUUAUUACAGUAGCAUAAUCAUGUGAACACACAAAAACAGUAAAGGGUAAAUAUUGGUUUGUCUCCCAACAAGCGCUUUUCUUUAAUGCCUUUCUAGCUAGGCAUGAUGAUGACAAUGAUGCUCACAUAAAAGAUAAGAAUUGAAACACAACGGGAGAAUCAUGAAGCAUAUGACUAGCACAUUUAAGCCUAACACACUUCCUAUGCAUAGGUAUUUUGUGAGCAAACAAUUUAUGGGAACAAUAAUCAACUAGCAUAGGAAGGCUAAACAAGCAUAACUUCAAGAUUUUCAACACAUAGAGAGGAAACUUGAUAUUAUUGCAAUUCCUACAAGCAUAAGUUCCUCCCUCAUAAUAAUUUUCAGUAGCAUCAUGAAUGAAUUCAACAAUAUAACAAGAACCUAAUGCAUUCUUUUCAUGAUCUACAAGCAUAGAAAAUUUACUACUCUCCACAUAAUCAAACUUCUUCUCAUUCAGAAUAGUGGGAGUAUCAUAAGAGACUCGAAUACUAUAAAUUGUUUCCUCAUUAAAAGAGUAAUGUUCAGAAAAAGGGUAAUCAUAAUCAUGACAAGUUUUAUAAAUAUAAUCAUUACUACUUUUUAUAGCAUAAGUUUCAUCACAAUAAUCAUCAUAAGUAGCAACUUCGUUCUCAUCAUAAUCGAUUGAAACCUCUCCCAAGAUAGUGGAAUUAUCACUAAAUAAAGUUGACACUCUUCCAAAUCCACUUUCAUAUUCAUCACAAUAAAAUUCAACAUCCUCCAAAAUAGUGGGAUCACUACUUGCUAAAGUUGACACUCUUCCAAACCCACUUUCAUCAAUAUAAUCAUCAUAGGUAAGAGGCAUGCUAUUAUCAUAACAACUUUGCAUAUCAAAACUUGGGAGGCAAAAAAUAUCAUCUUCAUUAAACGUAGCAUCCCCAAGCUUGGGACAAACAUUAAUUUUAGCAAAUAUAUUCUCAAAUAUGGCAUCCUCAUCAAACAUAGCAUCCGCAAGCUUGGGCCUUUUCAUAUCAUAAGCAUAAUCACUCUCAUCAUUAAUAGUAUGGAUAGCACCAAUAGUAUAGCAAAUAUCAUCAUAACAAUGAGUAGUAGGAGCAACAUCAUUUGGAAGGGAUACCUUUCUACCUUUAUUGCUCCUUCUUUUAUUUUUCUUCUUCACAUUAUGUGUGGGUUCAACCUUCUUCUUUGAGCUCCUUAUUGAUGAGAUUGGUUGAACAGAAAGCUCCUCCUCAUUAACUGAUUCAUCAUAAGAAAUAAUAGGAGGAUAUUGGGAAAUCUCUUCUCUUUCAUUAUAUUCUCUUCAUCUUCUAUUUGCUUUGUUUUCUUUAGGUAAUUGGCAAUAUAAGGAUUUUCAAUGCAAUUCACCGCACAAUACAAAUAAAUCUCCUCUAGAUCAAUAUCAAGGAAUUCCUCAAGGUUAAAUUCUGGAAUAAGCUUAGUUGCACAUUUCAAUUCUUCAUAACCCAAAAGCAAACUAAGUUCAUUAUGAUGUGCAAGGGAAAUCAAAUCAUCACAAUUUUUAGACAUGAUAUGAUCACGAAACAAUUUGCAUCGGAGAUUUAAAUGACCAUGUUCAUUGCUAAGUUCACAAGUACGGCGGAGAUAUUUUAAAUUUUCAGCACUAACAUUAAGCCUUUCUUGCAACCAUUUAGUUUCUAAAUGCUUAUGCCUCUUGCAAUAUCUAUUUUCCCUAUUUGGUGCGUACUUGCAAACCCAAUGCUCUCCACAAAAACCGACAUGUGUAACACCCACGAUGCGGCUAUAUCUCCCACGUGUCAAAGCACGACUUAGAGGCAUAACCGCAUGGUGGUUUUAUCGCAAGAAGGGUCAUCUUCACACAAUCCCAUGUAAUGAACAAGAAUGGGAUAAAGAGUUGGCUUACAAUCGCCACUUCACACAAUGAACAUAUAAUUCAUCCAUCAUUCAGAGUACACACAUAGUCCGACUACGGACGAAGCCAAAAGAAAAGAAGAUAACCCAACUGCUAGAUCCCCGAUCAUCCCAACUGGGCUCCACUACUGAUCAACAUGAAAUGAAACAUAGCAACGACCAAGAUCUUCAUUGAAGUAUCGCCUGCACUGGCAUCAUCGGCACCUGCAACUGUUGUGAUAGUAUCUGGUGAGUCACGAGGACUCAGCAAUCUCAAAACCCGCGACAUCAAGACUAUUUAAGCUUAUGGGUAUGGAAAGAAUAAGUGGUGAGGUUGCAGCAGCGUCUAAGCAUAUAUGGUAGCUAACAUACGCAAAUAAGAGUGAGAAGAGAGGCAACGGAACGGUCGUGAAGCUAGCAAUGAUCAAGAGGCGAUCCUGAACUACUUACGCACAAUCAUAACACAAAGACCGUGUUCACUUCCCGGACUCCGCCGAAAAGAGACCAUCACGGCUACACACGCGGUUGAUGCGUUUUAGUUAAGUCAAGUGUCAAGUUCUCUACAACCGGAUAUUAAAAAAUUCCCAUCUGCCACAUAACCGCGGGCACGACUCUCGAAAGUUUAUACCCUGCAUGGGUGUCCCAACUUAGCCCAUCACAAGCUCUCAUGGUCAACGAAGGAUAUACCUUCUCCCGGGAAGACUCGAUCAGUCUCGGAAUCCCGGUUUGCAAGACAUUUCGAUGAUGGUAAAACAAGACCAGCAAGACCACCCGACUGUGCCGACAAAUCCCGAUAGGAGCUGCACAUAUCUCGUUCUCAGGGCACAAUGGAUGAGAAAUCCGUACAACUAAAACCAGACCUCAAGUUUCCUUGAGGGGGCGCUGCAAAGGGCUCUAGUUUGGACCAACACUCGGAGGAGCACUGGCCUGGGGGGGGGGGGUUAAAAUAAAGAUGACCCUUGAGUCUGCAGAACCCAAGGGAAAAAGGCUUAGGUGGCAAAUGUUAAAACCAAUGUUGGGCCUUGCUGGAGGAGUUUUAUUCAAAGUGAACUGUCAAGGGGGUCCCAUAAAUCACCCAACCGCGUAAGGAACGCAAAAUCAAGGAACAUAACACCGGUAUGACGGAAACUAGGGCGGCAAAAGUGGAACAAAACACCAGGCAUAAGGCCGAGCCUUCCACCCUUUACCAAGUAUAUAGAUGCAUUAAUUAAAUAAGAGAUAUUGUGAUAUCCCAACAUAAUCUUGUCCAUCAUGGAGCAAUCUUCAACUUCACCUGCAACUAACAACGCUAUAAGAGGGGCUGAGCAAAGCGGUAACAUAGCCAAACAACGGUUUGCUAGGAAGGGUGAAAAGUUAGAGGCUGACAUGGCAAUAUGGGAGGCAUGGUAAACAAGUGAUAGGUAACGCAGCAUAGCGGUAGAACGAAGAAACUAGCAAGCAAAGAUAGAAGUGAUAUUGAGGCUAAUGGUCAUCUUGCCUGAGAUCCCGCAAGGAAGAAGAACGAGUCCAUGAAGAAGACAAACGGACGUAGUCGAACGAAUCCUCACAACUCCGGAACGAAACCGAAGCUAACGAGAGAAGCAAACCGGAAAGAAGCAAACAACAUGGUAAACAACCAUCACAUAAGCAUAGCAUGAUGCACAAACAAGUAUGAUGCAUGUCCGGUUUAAUGAGGCAUGGCAUGGCAAUAUGCACAAACAACACUACAAGUUAAGUGGAGCUCAAUAUGCAACGAGUUGCAUAUUGACGGAACACCACAUCAAUUAUUUAGUUCUCUCUCGGUUAUACUACCAAACAAUAUUAAGUGUUGUAAAACAUGGCAAGAGGUGAAGCAUAAAUAAACUAACUAUUUAGGCAAGUUUAAAUGAGGCCGGAACAACAAACAACAAUUCUGGUAAAUCCCCACAUGUCUUUUAGUAGUUUAAUGCAAACACAAUUUUAAGCAUUUAAAUGUUGUUAUCAUGAUGCGGAUGACAUAUGCAAGUUUAUGCAAUUUUUAUGAAAAUGUUGACAUGAGCAUGUUAUGAAGCAUUUUGGUCACCAUGGCGGAAUGAAAAGGGUGCCACGGCGGAGAAACGAAAAUGGUGCCACGGCAACAUUCCGGUCCCGGUAACUCGAGUGAGAUACCGAUGCAAACGAGAAGUGUGCGGAUGUGUGGAACACGCAAGAGAUGGGGAGUGAUCCUGGAUACCGGGUGUCCCACAUGACGGUGGCAUGGCAAACAAGGAACGUGCAAAGACAAAUCGAUCACGAUGCAAAACUCGAGCAUCUCAUACAACACACAAGCAUUCGUUCAAGGGCGUCGUCUCGUCAAUAUACCUUUGAACCGUGCAUUUUCGGAGCGGUUCGGGUUCGGUACGAUGUAGAGGAAGUAGUCGUUCAUGGGUCGUCGUGGGAAGUAGAUGUUCACGUGGCGAUGGUAGUGAAAGUUGUCGUUCUCGUGACGGUAGUGGAAGUAGUUGUACACGUUUGUUUCGAAGAGGCACUUGACGAAUCCAACAUCUUCGGGGCGACGGUAGUGGAUGUAGUGGUACACGUUUCGUAGAUGUUCGGGUCCGGCGAGGAACUUGACGUCCUGGUACUUGGCGUCCACUCGGCCUUGAUGGUGAUGAAACAAAACGCGAUGGUUGUGGUACUUGGUGAGUGGAGGAGGCUGGUUCCGAGCGGGACUGGCCUGUCCUAGCGGGCUGCUUGCCGGCGAGGUUCAGGUGAGGUCGCCGGCCGGUGGAGGUGCAGUAGAGGAUGUUGUGGGGCCGGGCUCCUCCUGCUGGUUUUUGGCGACGAGCGGCGUGGGAACGAGGCAGGAGGUCGCACAAGGUGUAGCAGAGAGAGGCGGUGAGGGACUUGGCGGCGGGGACGUCCUGAAGCUGCUGCUGGUGGCGCUCGUGGUGGCCGGAGACCGGCACUAGCGAGGCGAGGGAGAGGCCAGGCGCGGAAGACGGCGUGGAGGCACUGCGAUCCAUGGAGGCCGGCGGUGCCAUGGUCAUGCGGCCCACGCGAGCUCGGCGGCCUAUACUUGCUGGCCGAAGCGGCAGCGGGGUCACCAGGUAGCACGGGGACGAAGCAGCAGGAGGAUCUGCGGGGAGGGAGAAGGCAGAGGACAGAGGUCCGGCGGUGGUGGUCGCGGAGGUCGGGGUAGUACUGCGGUGGCGCUGCUGCACCGGCUGACGGCGAUGGAGUUUCUGCGAUGGCGCGCGGGGUCGAUGGAGAGGGGCUUGGCGCGGCGGGGACGAUGGAGGGUGACGCGAGGCAGAGGAGAUCAAGGGCGUGAGGUGGCGGCGCUACGGGAUCGAGCGAGAGGCUCUCGCUCCUCUCUGGCGGCGCGAGCGGGGGAAGAUGGGAGAGACCAGGGGAUCGAGAGGAGGGGAUCGGGGCUAGGGUUAGAUAGGCGCUAGGGUUGGGCCUUGGCUGGAUCUUGGGCCGACCGGCCUAAGGCUGCAGCUGGGCUUGCUCCUCUCUCCCUCUUACUCUUAUUUCCUUUAGCAGAAAACAAAUUAGAGAGAAGAAAAAGAAAGAGAGGGUUAAGGAAAGAAUUUGCGCACGGGGGUAAUUUUCCCAGACUUGCAAAAAUGCACUGGUUCCAAGGAAAUAGAAAUGGCCAAGAUCGAACGAUAAGAAUUCAAACUCAUUUGAAUUUAAUUCAAAUGGGUUUGAACUAGGACUUGAUAAAAGGAAGGUCCAAAAAUGUUCAGAUUUUUGGUGGAGCUCCGAAAAAUGAUGAAAGAAAUUAUGGGCAAGGUUGGAGACCAAGAAUUGAGAUAACAACGGCAUGGGAUAUUUUGCAAGUGGGUUAUGGUUAAUUCCAAAUAAACGGAAUAAUUUUAUUAUAGCUCCCUAAUAAUAGUAGGAGACUUUGAAUAUGUUUUAAAGAGAAAUAACCAUGUGAAUAUCCCUCGGUUUAAAUAGAUCAACGAUCUAUGCAAUUUAUUUAGGUGAGUUUUAAAAAUUAAUGAUAUGAUGGCAUGAUGACAUGAUGCAAUGCAAGAGAUGGCAUGAUGAAUGCACAAACAAAACAAAUCACACGACAAAACUCGGAAUAGCUGGAAGUCUUCUGGAGCAUCGGUCUUGGGGUGUUACAACACUCCACCACUACAAGAGGAUCUCGUCCCGAGAUCUAGGAUGUCACCGGAGAGAAACGGAAGAGGAAGAGAAGAGGUUAAACUAAGUUGCUUCUUCGACCAAUGAGUGAAACCAAGAACCUUGGGAGGUUGAGCAACUUAAAAGAAAGACUACAACAGAGAUGAAUGAGAUUGCAAACAAUCCGUUAGAAAAGAGGAACAAGGAACAUUACGAGAACUUGAAGAUUGCAAAGACACGAAUCAAGAGUUUAAUGGACAAGAUAGAAUUCGAAACCACUCUGGUUAAAACAAGAUGAGAGAGGAAGAAUUCGGGUAGCACUCUGGUUGAACAUGGAAGGAAUAGAACAUGAACUUGAGAAGAUGGGAUGAUACUUGAUGAAAUAAACAACACACUGCCUCCGGAACUAUUGAAAGAAUGGCACAAUGGGUAAGAAGGAUUUCAGACAGCAAUCCGGUUGAAAAGAGAGGCAAAACUUGAUAAGAUGAAAAGAACUUGAAUGAGAACACAACACUCUGGUUAAAUGGAUAAGCACGAAAAGAACACGAUCCUCACAAUCAAGAUGAUGUUUGAAAAGAGCAACAUCACAAUGCCUCCGGAAGAAAGAAUAGAAGAUAGAUCAUUGAAAAAACAGAAUGGAGAAGAAAAUGCCAACUUGUGCCACAAAUGAGCUUGGAAAGCAUCCUUCCAAGAAGGUUAGAGCGGAGUUGUUGGAAAACCAACAACGAAAGGAUAUGAUCCUCAUGGGCUUAUGGAGACAUCUCAAAACUUGAGGUGAAAUUCUGCCACUGACAAAAACAAUUGCUCGCUUGGGAUCAACGAAGAGAUUAAAAUUUCUUUCAUCGAGAGGAUAGGAGCAAACUUGGAUCGUUGAUAAGCACCACAAUAUCAACAUUCCUUAGGGAAGGCUUUAGGUGAAAUCUUUACCAAGUUAACUCCAAGGAAUAAAAUGAUGGGUUUAAAAUACCUCAUUCCUGACAACAUGUGAAUCGCGAACCAUGAAUGGAAAUUGUCAAGAAUGCUAUAACACCACCUCAAAAGAUAAGGUAGAAAGAAUUGCACUUUGAAAUGCAAGAAGAAGAAUGGUUGAGCUCCUCCAACAAAAUAUUGAAGAAAGCUUCGCGAACGAAUGAAAUAUUGAUGAACCACCCUGUACAACCUCCAUGAAGAACUUCGGUAAUAAAAGAAUGAUAAAAAGAAAGAGAAGUUGAAAACACAAGGUGAAGCCUUGUGAUGAUUUAGAAGGAGCUUCGCGACGAGAUAAUGCGGAAAACUUGGAACUCCGGAAACAAAAAGAUGAAACAUCUCGAACCGGGAAAUGUGACAUGAUGAACCACUCUAGAAAGAAGAAACUAGAUCACUUGGAUGAAACAAUAAUAAGAAUUACGUUAUGCCUAUCCUUCAUCAAUUUAAAUUGAUGACAAGCAACGGAUUUGGCAUACUACUUAUUCUAGUAGAAAGGAUUAAGAGGGAUAUAGCGUAAACUUGGGAAGGUCUUCAAUGAACCACCGGUAGGAUUGAAACAACGAAUAAAUUGAUAUGAUAACCAAGGAAGAGAACUCUUGAAUGAACCACCGUAAGAAUUGGAAAGAAUUUGAAAAAGGACAAAGAUACUUGAGAGAAUUUAGAUACAUGAGAACGAAGAGAUCAUGAACUGAUUAGAGGGUAUUUGAACGAUGCACCGGUAAGAUUUGGAGAGUGAGAGCUGAAAACUGAGAAUGAAUAAACCCGAAAUGGUGGCCUUCGUAGGAAUAAAAUGGAAAGAACUCACGAAAUGCUCUGGAUGAUAAGAAAAGAAUUGUCACAAUCAAAAACAAUUAUGAGUAUGGCAUCAAACUUGAACUAUGCAUCUUUGGAAGAACGGGUAAGGAUUUAAGAGAAACUCUUCUUCGGUCUUCAAAAUCCAAGAAUGACAAUGAGAAACACCACCAUGAGUUGUUGAGACACUCCAGAAUGAAAUUAGAAAGGUUGAACCAACGACGAAAGAAUUUGAAAGAUCUUGGAGAAAGACAUUUGACUGAUGAUAAUUCAUUCUUACAUCAAACUUUGAAAAGAAUUUGGGAAUGGCUCCUGGAAAAUUAGAAGAGUCAGGUAAGAUCUUGGAAAAAGACCUGUGGGUUAGGGCCCACUAAAAGAUACACCAUUGAAUGAUUUAAAAAAAAAGAUUGCGCCAGCUGAAUUGAAUGGCUUGAAUGAGAUAACAACCUCAAAAUAACUUGAACAGAUUAAGAAUGGAAAGCACGAAUCUUCUAAGAUAUCUUGAGCACCCUAGGACAAAUGAAUAGUGAGAAGUGAAUGAUUAAGAGAUACACGGGCAUAAGAAAGCACUUGAAAUGAGAAAAAGAAUAUGAUCAACACCAAAAGCUUGAGUUAAAUCCACCGGAAAAGAAUACGAGAAUGAAGAAUGAUGAACUUGAAGCUGUUGAGCAUCUUCAUGGGAAAUCAUCGGAUAAGAACAUUGAAAGAAAAGAAUGAAGAGACUUCUCACAAAUAAAAGGAUACAUGAUUAAGAAAUCUGAGUCCUUGAAGAAAAAGGGUGGGAGGGCAUGAAAACAAAGGCAACUUGGGACGGAUGAAACAAACACCGUUGAGAAAACAUAGAAUUGAUCUUGCGGAUGGGGAGAAUGAUUGGAUCGUCUCGAAAGAGAAGCGCACCGGUUGAAAAAGAUUAACAUGACGACCUCGAUGAUCAAGAAGGAUUAGUAUUCACAUAGCAAUAUGAGAACACCAUUUAGGUAAGGUAUGGAUCAACACUUGACAUCGAAGCAACUCGAAUACCACAACUCAAAACAAAACAAAGGAUUUGGCUUGUAGAAUAAGCCGGAACAAACAUAUGAUAGAGAUUUCGUCCGAAGUUUUCGUGGUGGGGCCCACACGGGCUCGAUCGUACAGCACCAUCAUGUACAAGGCAGUGCACAUGACAUACGAAGUGUCUCUGAACUAGCAUAGCCAAGGGUUCUUUAAGACACAACGAGACCACUGUAAAAAACGACCGUGGAUAGGCGGACCACUAGACGUCGAACCCCAAUCUCAUAUCAUGCAUCUGUCGGAAAAAAAACUAGAGCUACUUGAAUUCCCACCUAUAAAACUCCCGAAACUUUCUGGUUAUGCAAUCUGGUGUUGGGGAUACAGGGGAAGCAAUAUAUAUCUCACCCAAAACUAACAAUACCUACAUCCAAGCUGUAUCCAUCCGUCAACACAUAACCAAGAAACCUUCGGAAAUCGUGUACCUCAACCUUCGAAAAGCAUCCGUUAUACGAGCUAUGGCAAUACUCCCGAACUCCCCAGUACUGGGUGGCGUCGAGGUUAUCUCACCAACAACUGCAUAAAAGAGAUUUUCGAUGUCGGCAAAACUCAGGUAUUCCAGAACUGCAACGAUAAAAUUAUGACGACAACACCGCGGAGCUCAACUCCCCGGGACACUGCCACAACCCCUAAAUGUCAGGAGGCACCAAGAACAAUGUUCUCGUCAUAAGAAUAUUGGAACGAUCCCAAGAACCCCACGUGAUCCUAAAAAAUUUAGUGAAAUUUGAGGCGAGGAAAGACAAAACAUCUAUGUCAGGAGGCCUCACCAGAGCGACAAAGGGACUGAGGAGUAAAAAGAAUCCUACUCUCCGAUAUAUAUAAUCCUAAGACUCAAAACAUUUAUGUUCUAGACUCAAGAACGCCAGCGAUUCGAUCAAGCAGGGGGCUCCUAAGUCGGGGAUGGCUCUGAUUACCAACUUGUAACACCCACGAUGCGGCUAUAUCUCCCACGUGUCAAAGCAUGACUUAGAGGCAUAACCGCAUGGUGGUUUUGUCGCAAGAAGGGUCAUCUUCACACAAUCCCAUGUAAUGAACAAGAAUGGGAUAAAGAGUUGGCUUACAAUCGCCACUUCACACAAUGAACAUAUAAUUCAUCCAUCAUUUAGAGUACACACAUAGUCUGACUAUGGACGAAGCCAAAAGAAAAGAAGAUAACCCAACUGCUAGAUCCCCGAUCAUCCCAACUGGGCUUCACUACUCAUCAACAUGAAACGAAACAUAGCAAUGACCAAGAUCUUCAUUGAAGUACCGCCUGCACUGGCAUCAUCGGCACCUGCAACUGUUGUGAUAGUAUCUGGUGAGUCACGAGGACUCAGCAAUCUCAAAACCCGCGACAUCAAGACUAUUUAAGCUUAUGGGUAUGGAAAGAAUAAGUGGCGAGGUUGCAGCAGCGUCUAAGCAUAUAUGGUAGCUAACAUACGCAAAUAAGAGCGAGAAGAGAGGCAACGGAACGGUCGUGAAGCUAGCAAUGAUCAAGAGGCGAUCCUGAACUACUUACGCACAAUCAUAACACCAAGACCGUGUUCACUUCCCGGACUCCGCCGAAAAGAGACCAUCACGGCUACACACGCGGUUGAUGCGUUUUAGUUAAGUCAAGUGUCAAGUUCUCUACAACCGGAUAUUAACAAAUUCCCAUCUGCCACAUAACCGCGGGCACGGCUCUCGAAAGUUUAUACCCUGCAGGGGUGUCCCAACUUAGCCCAUCACAAGCUCUCACGGUCAACGAAGGAUAUACCUGUUGGAGAACAUAGUAAUUUCAAAAAAAUUCCUACGCACACGCAAGAUCAUGGUGAUGGCAUAGCAACGAGAGGGGAGAGUGUUGGUCCACGUACCCUCGUAGACCGUAAGCGGAAGCGUUAUGACAACGUGGUUGAUGUAGUCGUACGUCUUCACGAUCCGACCGAUCCAAGCACCGAACGUACGGCACCUCCGAGUUCAGCACACGUUCAGCUCGAUGACGAUCCCCAGGCUCCGAUCCAGCAAAGCUUCGGGGAUGAGUUCCGUCAGCACGAUGGCGUGGUGACGAUGAUGAUGUUCUACCGGCGUAGGGCUUCGCCUAAACUCCGCGACGAUAUGACCGAGGUGGAAUAUGGUGGAGGGGGGCACCGCACACGGCUAGGGAACAAUCCGUAGAUCAACUUGUGUGUCAUGGGGUGCCCCCCUGCCCCCGUAUAUAAAGGAGGGAGGGGGAGGUGCGGCCGGCCCCCUUGGGGUGCGCCUGGAGGAGUCCUACUCCCCCCGGGAGUAGGACUCCCCCCUCUUGCCUUGGUGGAGAAGGAAAGGGGGGAGGGGAAAGAGGAAAGGGGGGCGCCGCCCCCCCUUCCUUCUCCUAUUCGGACUAGGGGGGAGGGGGCGCACGGCCUGCCCUGGCCGGCCCUCCUCUUCUCCCUCAUGGCCCACUAAGGCCCAUUAACCCCCGGGAGGGUUCCGGUAACCCCCCGGUGUUCCGGUAAAAUCCCGAUUUCACCCGGAACCUUUCCGAUGUCCAAACAUAGGCUUCCAAUAUAUCAAUCUUUAUGUCUCGACCAUUUCGAGACUCCUAGUCAUGUCCGUGAUCACAUCCGGGACUCCGAACAAACUUCGGUACAUCAAAACUUAUAAACUCAUAAUAAAACUGUCAUCUAACGUUAAGCGUGCGGACCCUACGGGUUCGAGAACUAUGUAGACAUGACCUAGAACCAUUCUCGGUCAAUAACCAAUAGCGGAACCUGGAUGCCCAUAUUGGUUCCUACAUAUUCUACGAAGAUCUUUAUCGGUCAAACCGCAUAACAACAUACGUUGUUCCCUUUGUCAUCGGUAUGUUACUUGCCCGAGAUUUGAUCGUCGGUAUCCAAUACCUAGUUCAAUCUCAUUACCGGCAAGUCUCUUUACUCGUUUUGUAACACAUCAUCUUAUAACUAACUUAUUAGUUACAAUGCUUGCAAGGCUUAGGUGAUGAGUAUUACCGAGAGGGCCCAGAGAUACCUCUCCGACAAUCGGAGUGACAAAACCUAAUCUCGAAUUAUGCCAACCCAACAUGUACCUUCGGAAACACCUGUAGAGCACCUUUAUAAUCACCCAGUUACGUUGUGACGUUUGGUAGCACACAAAGUGUUCUUCCGGUAAACGUGAGUUGCACAAUCUCAUAGUUGCAGGAACUUUGUAUAAGUCAUGAAGAAAGCAAUAGCAACAUACUAAACGAUCAAGUGCUAGGCUAACGGAAUGGGUCAUGUCAAUCACAUCAUUCUUCUAAUGAUGUGAUCCCAUUAAUCAAAUGCCAACACAUGUCUAUGGUUAGGAAACAUAACCAUCUUUGAUUAAUGAGCUAGUCAAGUAGAGGCAUACUAGUGACUAUAUGUUUGUCUAUGUAUUCACACAUGUAUCAUGUUUCUGGUUAAUACAAUUCUAGCAUGAAUAAUAAACAUUUAUCAUGAUAUGAGGAAAUAAAUAAUAACUUUAUUAUUGCCUCUAGGGCAUAUUUCCUUCAGUCUCCCACUUGCACUAGAGUCAAUAAUCUAGAUUACAUAGUAAUGAUUCUAACACCCAUGGAGUCUUGGUGUUGAUCAUGUUUUGCUCGUGAGAGAGGCUUAGUCAACAGGUCUGCAACAUUCAGAUCCGUAUGUAUUUUGCAAAUCUCUAUGUCUCCCACUUGGACUUGGUCCCGAAUGGAAUUGAAGCGUCUCUUGAUGUGCUUGGUCCUCUUGUGAAAUCUGGAUCCUUUGCCAAGGCAAUUGCACCAGUAUUGUCACAGAAGAUCUUCAUUGGUCCCAAUGCACUAGGUAUGACACCUAGAUCGGAAAUGAACUCCUUCAUCCAGACUCCUUCAUUUGCUGCUUCCGAAGCAGCUAUGUACUCUGCUUCACAUGUAGAUCCUGCUACGAUGCUUUGUUUAGAACUGCACCAACUUACAGCUCCACCGUUUAACAAAAACACGUAUCCGGUUUGCAAUUUAGAAUCGUCCGGAUCAGUGUCAAAGCUUGCAUCGACGUAACCGUUUACGACUAGCUCUUUGUCACCUCCAUAUACGAGAAACAUAUCCUUAGUCCUUUUCAGGUAUUUCAGGAUGUUCUUGACCGCUGUCCAGUGAUCCACUCCUGGAUUACUUUGGUACCUUCCUGCCAAGCUUAUUGCUAAGCAUACGUCAGCUCUGGUACACAGCAUUGCAUACAUGAUAGAGCCUAUGGCUGAAGCAUAGGGAACAUUUUUCAUUUUCUCUCUAUCUUCUGUUGUGGUCGGGCAUUGAGUUUGACUCAACUUCACACCUUGUAGCACAGGCAAGAAUCCUUUCUUUGCCUGAUCCAUUUUGAACUUUUUCAAAAUUUUGUCAAGGUAUGUGCUUUGUGAAAGUCCUAUUAAGCGUCUUGAUCUAUCUCUAUAGAUCUUGAUGCCCAAUAUGUAAGCAGCUUCACCAAGGUCUUUCAUUGAAAAACUUUUAUUCAAGUAUCCUUUUAUGCUAUCCAGAAGUUCUAUAUCAUUUCCAAUUAAUAAUAUGUCAUCUACAUAUAAAAUUAGAAAUGCUACAGAGCUCCCACUCACUUUCUUGUAAAUACAGGCUUCUCCAAAAGUCUGUAUAAAACCAUAUGCUUUGAUCACACUAUCAAAGCGUUUAUUCCAACUCCGAGAUGCUUGCACCAGUCCAUAAAUGGAACGCUGGAGCUUGCACACUUUGUCAGCACCUUUUGGAUCAACAAAAUCUUCCGGCUGCAUCAUAUACAACUCUUCUUCUAGAAAUCCAUUCAAGAAUGCAGUCUUGACAUCCAUUUGCCAAAUUUCAUAAUCAUGAAAUGCAGCAAUAGCUAACAUGAUUCGGACGGACUUAAGCAUCGCAACUGGUGAGAAAGUCUCAUCGUAGUCAACCCCUUGAACUUGUCGAAAACCUUUUGCAACAAGUCGAGCUUUAUAGACAUUUAUAUUACCAUCAGCGUCAGUCUUCUUCUUAAAGAUCCAUUUAUUCUCAAUGGCUUGCCGAUCAUCGGGCAAGUCAACCAAAGUCCAUACUUUGUUUUCAUACAUGGAUCCCAUCUCAGAUUUCAUGGCUUCUAGCCAUUUUGCGGAAUCCGGGCUCAUCAUCGCUUCCUCAUAGUUCGUAGGUUCAUCAUGGUCAAGUAACAUGACUUCCAGAAUAGGAUUACCGUACCACUCUGGUGCGGAUCUUACUCUGGUAGACCUACGAGGUUCAGUAGAAACUUGAUCUGAAGUUUCAUGAUCAUCAUCAUUAGCUUCCUCACUAAUUGGUGUAGUAGUCACAGGAACCGGUUCUCGUGAUGAACUACUUUCCAAUAAGGGAGUAGAUACAGUUAUCUCAUCAAGUUCUACUUUCCUCCCACUCACUUCUUUCGAGAGAAACUCCUUCUCUAGAAAGGAUCCAUUCUUAGCAACGAAUGUCUUGCCUUCGGAUCUGUGAUAGAAGGUGUACCCAAUAGUUUCUUUUGGGUAUCCUAUGAAGACACAUUUCUCCGAUUUAGGUUCGAGCUUAUCUGGUUGAAGUUUCUUCACAUAAGCAUCGCAGCCCCAAACUUUAAGAAACGACAACUUUGGUUUCUUGCCAAACCACAGUUCAUAAGGCGUCGUCUCAACGGAUUUUGAUGGUGCCCUAUUUAACGUGAAUGCGGCCGUCUCUAAAGCAUAACCCCAAAAUGAUAGCGGUAAAUCAUUAAGAGACAUCAUAGAUCGCACCAUAUCUAGUAAAGUACGAUUACGACGUUCGGACACACCAUUUCGUUGUGGUGUUCCAGGUGGCGUGAGUUGCAGAACUAUUCCACAUUGUUUCAAGUGUAGGCCAAACUCAUAACUCAAAUAUUCUCCUCCACGAUCAGAUCGUAGAAACUUUAUUUUCUUGUUACGAUGAUUUUCAACUUCACUCUGAAAUUCUUUGAACUUUUCAAAUGUUUCAGACUUGUGUUUCAUCAAGUAGAUAUACCCAUAUCUGCUCAAAUCAUCUGUGAAGGUGAGAAAAUAACGAUACCCGCCACGAGCCUCAACAUUCAUUGGGCCACAAACAUCAGUAUGUAUGAUUUCCAACAAAUGAGUUGCUCGCUCCAUAGUUCCGGAGAAUGGCGUUUUAGUCAUCUUGCCCAUAAGGCACGGUUCGCAAGUACCAAGUGAUUCAUAAUCAAGUGAUUCCAAAAGUCCAUCAGUAUGGAGUUUCUUCAUGCGCUUUACACCGAUAUGACCCAAACGGCAGUGCCACAAAUAAGUUGCACUAUCAUUAUUAACUCUGCAUCUUUUGGUUUCAACACUAUGAAUAUGUGUAUCACUACUAUCGAGAUUUAAUAAAAAUAGACCACUCUUCAAGGGUGCAUGACCAUAAAAGAUAUUACUCAUAUAAAUAGAACAACCAUUAUUCUCUGAUUUAAAUGAAUAACCGUCUCGCAUCAAACAAGAUCCAGAUAUAAUGUUCAUGAUCAACGCUGGCACCAAAUAAUAAUUAUUCAGGUCUAAAACUAAUCCCGAAGGUAGAUGUAGAGGUAGCGUGCCGACCGCGAUCACAUCGACUUUGGAACCGUUUCCCACGCGCAUCGUCACCUCGUCCUUGGCUAGUAAUCGCUUAUUUCGUAGUCCCUGUUUCGAGUUGCAAAUAUUAGCAACAGAACCAAUAUCAAAUACCAAGGUGCUACUACGAGCUCUAGUUAGGUACACAUCAAUAACAUGUAUAUCACAUAUACCUUUGUUCACUUUGCCAUCCUUCUUAUCCGCCAAAUACUUGGGGCAGUUCCGCUUCCAGUGACCAAUCUGCUUGCAGUAGAAGCACUCAGUUUCAGGCUUAGGUCCAGACUUGGGUUUCUUCUCUUGAGCAGCAACUUGCUUGCUGUUUUUCUUGAAGUUCCCCUUCUUCUUCCCUUUGCCCUUUUUCUUGAAACUAGUGGUCUUGUUGACCAUCAACACUUGAUGCUCCUUCUUGAUUUCUACCUCCGCAGCUUUUAGCAUUGCGAAGAGCUCAGGAAUAGUCUUGUUCAUCCCUUGCAUAUUGUAGUUCAUCACAAAGCUCUUGUAGCUUGGUGGUAGUGAUUGGAGAAUUCUGUCAAUGACGCUAUCAUCCGGAUGAUUAACUCCCAGUUGAAUCAAGUGAUUAUUAUACCCAGACAUUUUGAGUAUAUGCUCACUAACAGAACUAUUCUCCUCCAUCUUGCAGCUGUAGAACUUAUUGGAGACUUCAUAUCUUUCAAUCCGGGCAUUUGCUUGAAAUAUUUACUUCAACUCCUGGAACAUCUCAUAUGCUCCAUGACGUUCAAAACGUCAUUGAAGACCCGGUUCUAAGCCGUAAAGCAUGGCACACUGAACUAUAGAGUAGUCAUCAGCUUUGCUCUGCCAGACGUUCUUAACAUCGUCAGUUGCAUCAGUAGCAGGCCUGGCACCUAGCCGUGCUUCCAGGAUGUAACUUUUCUGUGCAGCAAUGAGGAUAAUCCUCAGGUUACGGACCCAGUCCGUGUAAUUGCUACCAUCAUCUUUCAACUUUGCUUUCUCAAGGAACGCAUUAAAAUUCAACGGAACAACAGCACGAGCCAUCUAUCUACAAACAAACAUAGACAAGCAAAAUACUAUCAGGUACUAAGUUCAUGAUAAAUUUAGGUUCAAUUAAUCAUAUUACUUAAGAACUCCCACUUAGACAGACAUCUCUCUAGUCAUCUAAGUGAUCACAUGAUCCAAAUCAACUAAACCAUAACCGAUCAUCACGUGAGAUGGAGUAGUUUUCAAUGGUGAACAUCAUUAUGUUGAUCAUAUCUACUAUAUGAUUCACGCUCGACCUUUCGGUCUCCGUGUUCCGAGGCCAUAUCUGCAUAUGCUAGGCUCAUCAAGUUUAACCUGAGUAUUCCGCGUGUGCAAAACUGUCUUGCACCCGUUGUAGAUGGACAUAGAGCUUAUCACACCCGAUCAUCACGUGGUGUCUGGGCACGACGAACUUUGGCAACGGUGCAUACUCAGGGAGAACACUUCUUGAUAAUUUUAGUGAGAGAUCAUCUUAAAAUGCUACCGUCAAUCAAAGCAAGAUAAGAUGCAUAAAGGAUAAACAUCACAUGCAAUCAAUAUAAGUGAUAUGAUAUGGCCAUCAUCAUCUUGUGCUUGUGAUCUCCAUCUCCGAAGCAUCGUCAUGAUCACCAUCGUCACCGGCGCGACACCUUGAUCUUCAUCGUAGCAUCGUUGUCGUCUCGCCAACUAUUGCUUCUACGACUAUCGCUACCGCUUAGUGAUAAAGUAAAGCAAUUACAGGGCGUUUGCAUUUCAUACAAUAAAGCGACAACCAUAUGGCUCCUGCCAGUUGCCGAUAACUUCGGUUACAAAACAUGAUCAUCUCAUACAAUAAAAUAUAGCAUCACGUCUUGACCAUAUCACAUCACAACAUGCCCUGCAAAAACAAGUUAGACAUUCUCUACUUUGUUGUUGCAAGUUUUACGUGGCUGCUACGGGCUUAGCAAGAACCGUUCUUACCUACGCAUCAAAAACCACAACGAUAGUUUGUCAAGCUGGUGCUGUUUUAGCCUUCGCAAGGACCGGGCGUAGCCACACUCGAUUUAGCUAAAGUGAGAGAGACAGACACCCGCCGGUCACCUUUAAGCAACGAGUGCUCGUAGCGGUGAAACCAGUCUUGCGUAAGCGUACGCGUAAUGUCGGUCCGGGCCGCUUCAUCUCACAAUACCGCCGAAGCAAAGUAUGACAUGCUGGUAAGCAGUAUGACUUAUAUCGCCCACAACUCACUUGUGUUCUACUCGUGCAUAUGACAUCUACGCAUAAAACCAGGCUCUGAUACCACUGUUGGAGAACGUAGUAAUUUCAAAAAAUUUCCUACGCACACGCAAGAUCAUGGUGAUGGCAUAGCAACGAGAGGGGAGAGUGUUGGUCCAUGUACCCUCGUAGACCGUAAGCGGAAGCGUUAUGACAACGCGGUUGAUGUAGUCGUACGUCUUCACGAUCUGACCGAUGCAAGCACCGAACGUACGGCACCUCCGAGUUCAGCACACGUUCAGCUCGAUGACGAUCCCCGGGCUCCGAUCCAGCAAAGCUUCGGGGAUGAGUUCCGUCAGCACGACGGCGUGGUGACGAUGAUGAUGUUCUACCGGCGCAGGGCUUCGUCUAAACUCCACGACAAUAUGACCGAGGUGGAAUAUGGUGGAGGGGGCACCGCACACGGCUAAGGAACAAUCCAUAGAUCAACUUGUGUGUUAUGGGGUGCCCCCCUGCCCCCAUAUAUAAAGGAGGGAGGGGGAGGUGCGGCCGGCCCCCUUGGGGUGCGCCUGGAGGAGUCAUACUCCCACCAGGAGUAGGACUCCCCCCUCUUGCCUUGGUGGAGAAGGAAAGGGGGGAGGGGAAAGAGGAAAGGGGGGCGCCGCCCCCCUUCCUUGUCCUAUUCGGACUAGGGGGGGAGGGGGCGCGCGGCCUGCCCUAGACGGCCCUCCUCUUCUCCCUCAUGGCCCACUAAGGCCCAUUAACCCCCGGGAGGGUUCCGGUAACCCCCCGGUGUUCCGGUAAAAUCCUGAUUUCACCUGAAACCUUUCCGAUGUCCAAACAUAGGCUUCCAAUAUAUCAAUCUUUAUGUCUCGACCAUUUUGAGACUCCUUGUCAUGUCCGUGAUCACAUCCGGGACUCCGAACAAACUUCCGUACAUCAAAACUUAUAAACUCAUAAUAAAACUGUCAUCGUAAUGUUAAGCGUGCAGACCCUACGGGUUCGAGAACUAUGUAGACAUGACCUAGAACCAUUCUCGGUCAAUAACCAAUAGCGGAACCUGGAUGCCCAUAUUGGUUCCUACAUAUUCUACGAAGAUCUUUACCGGUCAAACCGCAUAACAACAUACGUUGUUCCCUUUGUCAUCGGUAUGUUACUUGCCCGAGAUUUGAUCGUCGGUAUCCAAUACCUAGUUCAAUCUCGUUACCGGCAAGUCUCUUUACUCGUUUUGUAACACAUCAUCUUAUAACUAACUCAUUAGUUACAAUGCUUGCAAGGCUUAGGUGAUGAGUAUUACCGAGAGGGCCCAGAGAUACCUCUCCGACAAUCGGAGUGACAAAACCUAAUCUCAAAUUAUGCCAACCCAACAUGUACCUUCGGAAACACCUGUAGAGCACCUUUAUAAUCACCCAGUUACGUUGUGACAUUUGGUAGCACACAAAGUGUUCUUCCGGUAAACGUGAGUUGCACAAUCUCAUAGUUGCAGGAACUUUGUAUAAGUCAUGAAGAAAGCAAUAGCAACAUACUAAACGAUCAAGUGCUAGGCUAACGGAAUGGGUCAUGUCAAUCACAUCAUUAUUCUAAUGAUGUGAUCCCAUUAAUCAAAUGACAACACAUGUCUAUGGUUAGGAAACAUAACCAUCUUUGAUUAAUGAGCUAGUCAAGUAGAGGCAUACUAGUGACUAUAUGUUUGUCUAUGUAUUCACACAUGUAUCAUGUUUCCGGUUAAUACAAUUCUAGCAUGAAUAAUAAACAUUUAUCAUGAUAUGAGGAAAUAAAUAAUAACUAUAUUAUUGCCUCUAGGGCAUAUUUCCUUCAAUACCUUCUCCCGGGAAGACUCGAUCAGUCUCGGAAUCCCAGUUUGCAAGACAUUUCGAUGAUGGUAAAACAAGACCAGCAAGACCACCCGACUGUGCCGACAAAUCCCGAUAGGAGCUGCACAUAUCUCGUUCUUAGGGCACAACAGAUGAGCAAUCCGUACAAAUAAAACCAAACCUCAAGUUUCCUUGAGGGGGCGCUGCAAAGGGCUCUAGUUUGGACCAACACUCGGAGGAGCACUGGCCCGGGGGGGUUAAAAUAAAGAUGACCCUUGAGUCUGCAGAACCCAAGGGAAAAAGGCUUAGGUGGCAAAUGUUAAAACCAAUGUUGGGCCUUGCUGGAGGAGUUUUAUUCAAAGCGAACUAUCAAGGGGGUCCCAUAAAUCACCCAACCGCGUAAGGAACGCAAAAUCAAGGAACAUAACACCGGUAUGACGGAAACUAGGGCGGCAAAAGUGGAACAAAACACCAGACAUAAGGCCGAGCCUUCCACCCUUUACCAAGUAUAUAGAUGCAUUAAUUAAAUAAGAGAUAUUGUGAUAUCCCAACAUAAUCUUGUCCAUCAUGGAGCAAUCUUCAACUUCACCUGCAACUAACAAUGCUAUAAGAGGGGCUGAGCAAAGCGGUAACAUAGCCAAACAACGGUUUGCUAGGAAGGGUGAAAAGUUAGAGGCUGACAUGGCAAUAUGGGAGGCAUGGUAAACAAGUGAUAGGUAACGCAGCAUAGCGAUAGAAUGAAGCAACUAGCAAGCAAAGAUAGAAGUGAUAUUGAGGGUAAUGGUCAUCUUGCCUGAGAUCCCGCAAGGAAGAAGAACGAGUCCAUGAAGAAGACAAAUGGACAUAGUCGAACGAAUCCUCACAACUCCGGAACGAAACCGAAGCUAACGAGAGAAGCAAACCGGAAAGAAGCAAACAACAUGGUAAACAACCAUCACAUAAGCAUAGCAUGAUGCACAAACAAGUAUGAUGCAUGUCCGGUUUAAUGAGGCAUGGCAUGGCAAUAUGCACAAACAACACUACAAGUUAAGUGGAGCUCAAUAUGCAACGAGUUGCAUAUUGACGGAACACCACAUCAAUUAUUUAGUUCUCUCUCGGUUAUGCUACCAAACAAUAUUAAGUGUUGUAAAACAUGGCAAGAGGUGAAGCAUAAAUAAACUAACUAUUUAGGCAAGUUUAAAUGAGGCCGGAACAACACACAACAAUUCCGGUAAAUCCCCACAUGUCUUUUAGUAGUUUAAUGCAAACACAAUUUUAAGCAUUUAGAUGUUGUUAUCAUGAUGCGGAUGACAUAUGCAAGUUUACGUAAUUUUUAUGAAAAUUUUGACAUGAGCAUAUUAUGAAGCAUUUUGGUCACCAUGGCGGAAUGAAAAGGGUGCCACGGCGGCGAAACGAAAAUGGUGCCACGGCAACAUUCUGGUCCUGGUAACUCGAGUGAGAUACCGAUGCAAACGAGAAGUGUGCGGAUGUGUGGAACACGCAAGAGAUGGGGAGUGAUCCCGGAUACCGGGUGUCCCACAUGACGGUGGCAUGGCAAACAAGGAACGUGCAAAGACAAAUCGAUCACGGUGCAAAACUCGAGCAUCUCAUACAACACACAAGCAUUCGUUCACGGGCAUCGUCUCGUCAUUAUACCUUUGAACCGUGCAUUUUCGGAGCGGUUCGGGUUCGGUACGAUGUAGAGGAAGUAGUCGUUCACGAGUCAUCGUGGGAAGUAGUUGUUCACGUGGCGACGGUAGUGGAAGUAGUCGUUCUCAUGACGGUAGUGGAAGUAGUUGUAAACGUUCGUUUCAAAGAGGCACUUGACGAAUCCAACAUCUUCAGGGCGACGGUAGUGGAAGUAGUGGUACACGUUUCGUAGAUGUUCGGGUCCGGCGAGGAACUUGACGUCCUGGUACUUGGCGUCCACUCGGCCUUGAUGGUGAUGAAACAAAACGCGAUGGUUGUGGUACUUGGCGAGUGGAGGAGGCUGGUUCCGAGCGGGACUGGCCUGUCCUAGCAGGCUGCUUGCCGGCGAGGUUCAGGUGAGGUCACUGGCCGGUGGAGGUGCAACAGAGGAUGUCGUGGGGCCGGGCUCCUCCUGCUGGUUUUUGGCGACGAGCGGCGUGGGAACGAGGCAGAAGGUCGCACAAGGUGUAGCAGAGAGAGGCGGUGAGGGACUUGGCGGCGGGGACGUCCUGAAGCUACUGCUGGUGGCGCUCGUGGUGGUCGGAGACGGGCACUAGCGAGGCGAGGGAGAGGCCAGGCGGGGAAGACGGCGUGGAGGCGCUGCAAACCAUGGAGGCCGGCGGUGCCAUGGUCAUGCGGCCCAGGCGAGCUCGGCAGCCUGGACUCGCUGGCCGAAGCGGCGGCAGGAUCACCAGGUAGCACGGGGACGAAGCAGCAGGAGGAUCUGCGGGGAGGGAGAAGGCAGAGGACGAAGGUCCGGCGGUGGUGGUCGCGGAGGUCGGGGUAGUACUGCGGUGGCGCUGCUGCACCGGCUGACGGCGAUGGAGUUUCUGUGAUGGCGCGUGGGGUCGAUGGAGAGGGGCUUGGCGCGGCGGGGACGACGGAGGGCGAUGCGAGGCAGAGGAGAUCGAGGGCGUGAGGUGGCGGCGCUACGGGAUCGAGCGACAGGCUCUCGCUCCUCUCUGGCGGUGCGAGCGGUGGAAGACGGGAGAGACCAGGGGAUCGAGAGGAGGGGAUCGGGGCUAGGGUUAGAUAGGCGCUAGGGUUGGGCCUUGGCUGGAUCUUGGGCCGCCCGGCCUGAGGCUGCAGCUGGGCUUGCUCCUCUCUCCCUCUUACUCUUAUUUCCUUUAGCAGAAAACAAAUUAGAGAGAAGAAAAAGAAAGAGAGGGUUAAGGAAAGAAUUUGCGCACGGGGGUAAUUUUCCCGGACUCGCAAAAAUGCACUGGUUCCAAGGAAAUAGAAAUGGCCAAGAUCGAACGAUAAGAAUUCAAACUCAUUUGAAUUUAAUUCAAAUGGGUUUGAACUAGGACUUGAUAAAAGGAAGGUCCAAAAAUGUUCAGAUUUUUGGUGGAGCUCCAGAAAAUGAUGAAAGAAAUUAUGGGCAAGGUUGGAGACCAAGAAUUGAGAUAACAAUGGCAUGGGAUAUUUUGCAAGUGGGUUAUGGUUAAUUCCAAAUAAACGGAAUAAUUUUAUUAUAGCUCCCUAAUAAUAGUAGGAGACUUUGAAUAUGUUUUAAAGAGAAAUCACCAUGUGAAUAUCCCUCGAUUUAAAUAGAUCAACGAUCUAUGCAAUUUAUUUAGGUGAGUUUUAAAAAUUAAUGAUAUGAUGGCAUGAUGACAUGAUGCAAUGCAAGAGAUGGCAUGAUGAAUGCACAAACAAAACAAAUCACACGACAAAACUCGGAAUAGCUGGAAGUCUUCUGGAGCGUCGGUCUCGGGGUGUUACAACAUGCUUAUAGGAGACAUUCUCGUCAUAACUAGUGCAAUCAUCAUUAGUACUAUGGAUAUUCAAGGAGUUCAUACUAACAACAUUGCAAUCAUGCUCAUCAUUCAAAUACUUAGUACCAAAUAUUUUAUAGACUUCUUCUUCUAGCACUUGAGCACAAUUUUCCUUUUCAUCAUACUCAUGAAAGAUAUUAAAAAUAUGAAGCGUAUGAGACAAACUCACAACCAUUUUUUUGUAGUUCUUUUAUAACUAAACUAGUGAUAAAACAACAAACAAAAAGAUUUGAUUGCAAUAUCUAAAGAUAUAUCUUCAAGCACUCACCUCCCCGGCAACGGCGCCGGAAAAGAGCUUGAUGUCUACUACACAACCUUCUUCUUGUAGACGUUGUUGGGCCUCCAAGUGCAGAGGUUUGUAGGACAAUAGCAAAUUUCCCUCAAGUGGAUGACCUAAGUGUCGGGGGUUGGGUACGACAUAUGCCAAAGGAUGGCUUAUCAUGGUGGGAGCGAGUAGAACGUCGCCAGUGCAUGGAAGCGGGAUGAGGCGAAGACAUGCACGCUGGUGGAACUUACCCAGCUUCAGGGCUCUCCUAGGAGAUAACACCCCUAAUGCUGCUCUGCGGGGUCUCCGCAUGAUCACUAAAGCAAAGUGGCUACAAUGGUGCUCCUGGAGCUGUUUCGGGAGGUAGGAGAGGGCAAGGCUAGCUCUCUCCUCCCUGGGCUAUCUGGUCUAUCUCUCUCUAGGUCCGAACCCUUUGCAUGGGUGCCCCGGGGGGUUUAUAUAGGCCUACCCCCCGGGGGUACAAUACUAAUCCGGCUGGGCGCGGGUCCCAGCCGUCUGUCUCUCAGGCUGCCGUCCUUCCCGCCGGCUUCUAGGGCCCGUCGACUAGUGGGUCCCGCGGACAGGCUUGAUACUGUAGCGGCACUCCUGAUGACGCAGGCUCGGUCAUCGGGUUGUGGCAACAGUGCCGCCGUCUAUUGGGCGAUCACUGUCGCCAUUCCCCAUCUUAUCUGGUUAAUGGCUAGUGGGGCCCUGGGAAGGAGUCGACCGACUCCAGGGAGGCCGACUCCCACAGGUCCGUCUUCGGGUUGCCCAGGCCGCCUUGGGCCCACCCACUGACAGGCGGCCCCGCCACCUUUGGGUCGUACAGGCCGGCGUCGUGGGCACAGUGUACUGCGCACUGUGGCUGAGAUCAGGGCAAGCAUGACAACAGUGCCGCAUCUCGCCGGAGAUCUCCCAGCGAUACGGCUCACUGUAGCCAUGCCGGCCCUUUGUAAGCAGGGGGGGAAUGGCCAUGCCGUGACCAUACCCCGCGUCUUACUUCGAGAUGAGGGAGGAGUCUUGGGCCGACUCUCCAUAGUCGGCCUCUCUGGAGUUCCCCAGCUUGGAGUCGGCUUAUCUGGGAGUCGCCGUCUGGGACUCGGCAUGUUUUGGAGUCGCUCCUGGGACUCGGCCUGAGGGGCGCGGCCUGCCCCGAUGUCUUGAAAUGUCCUGGGCCUCGGGUUUGCCUACCCGUGGCCUAUUACUCCGACACUAAGGUUUAUCAAUCCGUGGGAGGCGUAGGAUGAAGAUGGUCUCUCUCAAACAACCCUACAACCAAAUAACAAAGAGUCUCUUGUGUCCCCAACACACCCAAUACAAUGGUAAAUUGUAUAGGUGCACUAGUUCGGCGAAGAGAUGGUGAUACAAGUGCAAUAUGGAUGGUAGAUAUGAGUAUUUGUAAUCUGAAAAUAUAAAAACAACAAGGUAACAAGUGGUAAAAGUGAGCGUAAACGGUAUUGCAAUGCUAGGAAACAAGGCCUAAGGUUCAUACUUUCACUAGUGCAAGUUCUCUCAACAAUAAUAACAUAAUUGGAUCAUAUAACUAUCCCUAAACAUGCAAUAAAGAGUCACUCCAAAGUCACUAAUAGCAGAGAACAAAUGAAGAGAUUAUGGUAGGGUACGAAACCACCUCAAAGUUAUCCUUUCUGUUCUAUCUAUUCAAGAGUCCGUAGUAAAAUAACAUGAAGCUAUUCUUUCCAUUCAAUCUAUCAUAGAGUUCAUACUAGAAUAACACCUUAAGACACAAAUCAACCAAAACCCUAAUGUCACCUAUAUACUCCAUUGUCACCUCAAGUAUCCGUGGGCAUGAUUGUACGAUAUGCAUCACACAAUCUCAAAUUCACCUAUUCAAACCAACACAAAGUACUUCAAAGAGUGCCCCAAAGUUUCUACCGGAGAGUCAAGACGAAAACGUGUGCCAACCCCUAUGCAUAGGUUCAUGGGUGGAACCCGCAAGUUGAUCACCAAAACAUACACCAAGUGGAUCACAUGAAUAUCCCAUUGUCACCACACAUAAGCACGGCAAGACAUACACCAAGUGUUCUCAAAUCCUUAAAGACUCAAUCCGACAAGAUAACUUCAAAGGGAAAACUCAAUCCAUUACAAGAGAGUAGAGGGGGAGAAGCAUCAUAAGAUCCAACUAUAAUAGCAAAGCUCGUGAUACAUCAAGAUCGUAUCACCUCAAGAACACGAGAGAGCGAGAAAUCGAACACAUAGCUACUGGUACAUACCCUGCGCCCCGAGGGUGAACUACUCCCUCGUCGUCAUGGAGAGCACCGGGAUGAUGAAGAUGGCCUCCGGUGAGGGAUCCCCCCUCCGGCAGGGUGCCGAAACGGGCUCCCGAGAGGUUUUGGGUGGCUACAGAGGCUUGCGGCGGCGGAACUCCCGAUCUAUUGUUGUCUUUGAUGGUUUUAGGGUAUAUGGGAAUAUAUAGGCGAAAGAAGUCGGUCGGGGGAGCCACGAGGGGCCCACGAGGGUGGAGGGUGCGCCUAGGGGAGGUGGGCAUGCCCCCCUGCCUCGUGGCCUCCUUGAAGCUUCCUUGACUUGCACUCCAAGUCCCCUGGAUUGCUUCCACUCCAAAAAUAAUGCUCCCGAAGGUUUCAUUCCGUUUGGACUCCGUUUGAUAUUCCUUUUCUUUGAAACACUGAAAUAGGCAAGAAAACAACAAUUUGGGCUGGGCCUCCGGUUAAUAGGUUAGUCCCAAAAAUAAUAUAAAAGUGCUUAAUAAAGCUCAUAAACAUCCAAAACAGAUAAUAUAAUAGCAUGAAUGCUUCAUAAAUUAUAGAUACGUUAGAGACGUAUCAGAGCCGUAGAUUGGUUCCGCCAAGGUUCCGCCUCGUGGCGGCGGUGUUUCGUCCCGAAAGCUUGCUUGCUAUUUUUCCAGGGUAAAAGACUUCAUAUAGCAGAAGAUGGGCACCGGAGGCCUGCCAGGGGGGCCAUGAGGUAGGGGGCGCGCCCAGGGGGUAGGGCGCGCCCCCCACCCUCGUGGAUGGUGGGUGGCCCCCCUCUGGUACUUUCUUCGCUCAAUAUUUUUUAUUAAUUCCAAAAAUAACUUCCGUGGAGUUUCAGGACUUUUGGGGUUGUGCAGAAUAGGUUUGUAAUAUUUGCUCCUUUUCCAGCCCAGAAUUCCAGCUGCCGGCAUUCUCCCUCUUCAUAUAAACCUUGUAAAAUAAGAGAUAAUAGGCAUAAGUAUUGUGACAUAAUGUGCAAUAACAGCCCAUAAUGCAAUAAAUAUAGAUAUAAAAGCAUGAUUCAAAAUGGACGUAUCAACUCCCCCAAGCUUGGACCUCGCUUGUCCUCAAGCGGAAGUCGAUAACGAUAAAUAUGUCCACAUGUUUAGAGAUAGAGGUGUCGAUAAAAUAAAAUACAGACAUGAGGGCAUCAUGAUCAUUCUUAUAACAGCAACGUAUAUAAAUAUUGUCAUAUGAUUUCUUAUGCUAAAGUAACAAGCUAUUCACAAUGUAAAGUAUGAAUCAGAAACUUCAUUGAAAACUAACAAUCUAUGGUCUCGGUCAUUGAAGCAAUUGCAAUUUAUCAUCACAUCGAAAAGAGUCAAUACAAGAGCUUUUCAGCAAGUCCACAUACUCAACUAUCAUUUAGUCUUUCACAAUUGCUAACACUCACGCAAUACUUAUGGGUAUGGAGUUUUAAUCGGACACAGAGAAAGAUAGGGGCUUAUACUGUCGCCUCCCAACCUUUUACCUCAAGGGUAACGUCAACAACAAUAGUUCAUGAUAACUUACAUCCAAUUGGAUAUAUAUAUCAGGAUCUUUCCAACACAAUGUGCUUGCCAAAGGAUAAAGUGUAAAAAGGAAAGGUGAAGAUCACCAUGACUCUUGUAUAAGAUAUAAGACAAGAAAAAGAUAGGACCUUCGCAGAGGGAAGCAGAGGUUGUCAUGUGCUUUUAUGGUUGGAUGCACAAAAUCUUAAUGCGAAAGAACGUCACUUUAUAUUGCCACGUGUGAUAUGGACCUUUAUUAUGCAGUCCGUCACUUUUAUUUCUUCCACAUCACAAGAUCGUAUAAAGCUUAUUUUCUCCACACUAAUAAAUCAUACAUAUUUAGAGAGCAAUUUUUAUUGCAUGCAACAAUGACAACUUACUUGAAGGAUCUUACUCAACCCAUAGGUAGGUAUGGUGGACUCUCAUGGCAAAACUGGGUUUAAGGAUAUUUGGAAGCACAAGUAGUAUCUCUACUUAGUGCAAAGAAUUUGGCUAGCAUGAGGGAGAAAGGCAAGCUCAACAUGUUGGAUGAUCCAUGACAAUAUACUUUAUUUCGGGUAUAAGAAAACAUAACCCAUUACGUUGUCUUCCUUGUCCAACAUCAACUCUUUAGCAUGUCAUAUUUUAAUGAGUGCUCACAAUCAUAAAAGAUGUCCAAGAUAGUAUAUUUAUACGUGAAAACCUCUCUUUCUUUAUUACUUCCUAUUGAUUGCAACGAUGCCCAAAACUAUGUUUGUCAACUCUCAACGACUUUUAUUCAUCAUACUCUUUAUAUGUGAAGUCAUUACUCUCCAUAAGAUCCAUAUAAUCUCUUUAUUCCUUUUUAUUCUUUCUUUUUCUUUUAUUUCCUCAAGAUCAAAGUAAGAUAAUCAAGCCCUUUACUCAAAACUAAUAUUUAUUAUAUAUAGCUCACGUACUCGAUUACAUAGAAGGAUCAUAAAGCAAAACUCAAAACUAGAUCAUACUAAAACUUUAUUCUACUAGAUCAAGAUAUUACUAAAAGGAUUGAACUAGGAAAAACGGUAAAGAUAGGAGUGUGAUGGUGAUACGAUACCGGGGCACCCCCCCAAGCUUGGCAGUUGCCAAGGGGAGUGCCCAUACCCAUGUGAUUAUGUCUCCUUCAAGGGUGGUGAUGUGAUAUUCUUGGCGAUGAUUCCCCUCAGGAUAUGAUUCUCUUCCUCGACCUUAUUGACUUGUUGCUUGAGGUCCAUUAUUUCCUUACGGAGUUUACCCGUGACGGCUAAGGCUCCUUUCACCCAAGGAUGUUGCAUAGCUAUGGGAGAGAAAGUAACACUCUUUUUCAUAUUUUCAUAAGAAAGAAAUUUAACAUUGGAAGGGAUGACCGAGUUUGGAAUGGCUGAGCUUUGCAGUUCCCCCAUUGUGAAUCCGGAUUGGAAACGAGAAGUAACUUCUUGAUCCUUCUCCAUGGCAUCUAUCUUUUUCAAGUCGGCCUCCAUCUCUUCCUCUGUUGAUGGCCCAAAGUGAUCAGCAUUGCUGUUUACUCCUGGUCCCGGUGUCGGAUGAGACACUCGACUCUCCCCGACUGAUUCCCAAGAAGACAUCUUGCUCUAAUCUGCAGUAGAAACAACUCGAAACAAAAACAGAGAAUAUUUGCGUGAUACGAGAGUCAAAACCUUCGGGAGGUUAUAUAAUGAAUUUUUACCGACCAGAAGAAGUAUCGUGCAAGAAAACAGAGUCCGGAGAGCACACGAGGUGCCCACGAGGCAGGAGGUGUGCCCAGGGGGUAGGGUGCGCCCUCCACCCUUGUGGACGCCUCGUGUCCUUCCCGGACUGCUUCUUAUUUUCCUAUUUUCUUAAAUAUUCCAAAACAGAGAAAAAUUACCAUUAGAACUGUUUUGGAAUCGGUUUACUUACCGUACCACAUACCUAUUCCUUUUUGGAGUCUGAAACAUUCUGGAAAGUGUCCCUUGUGUAUUCCUCCGGGUUUAUGGUUUCAAUAACAUUAUUUUCAACAUUUAAGGGAUUACCUGAGAUAUAUUGUUUGAUUCUUUGACCAUUCACCACCUUCGGAUUUGUGCCUUCAAAGUUGUUGAUUUUUAUGGCAUCGGAAUGAUAGACCUCCUCGAUAACGUAAGGACCUUCCCAUUUAGAGAGAAGUUUUCCUGCAAAAAACCUUAAACGAGAGUUGAAUAGAAAAACAUAAUCACCUACAUUAAACUCACGCUUUUUGUAUCCUUUUGUCAUGCCAUCUUUUAACUUUUUCUUUAAACAGUUUGGCAUUCUCAUAGGCUUGGGUUCUCCAUUCAUCAAGUGAGCUUAUGUCAAAUAGCCUCUUCUCACCGGCAAGUUUGAAAUCAUAAUUGAGCUCCUUAAUAGCCCAAUAUGCCUUAUGUUUUAGUUUGAGAGGUAAGUGACAUGACUUUCCAUAAACCAUUUUAUACGGAGACAUACCCAUAGGAUUUUUAUAUGCGGUUCUAUAGGCCCAUAAUGCAUCAUCAAGUUUCUUGGACCAAUUCUUUCUAGAUCUAUUAACAGUCUUUUGCAAAAUUAAUUUAAGCUCUCUAUUACUCAGUUGUACCUGACCACUAGACUGCCGGUGAUAUGGAGACACAAUUCUAUGAUUAACAUCAUACUUAGCAAGCAUUUUACGAAAGGCACCAUGAAUAAAAUGUGAACCACCAUCAUUCAUUAAAUAUCUAGGGAAUCCAGACCUCGGAAAAAUAACUUCUUUAAGCAUCUUAAUAGAGCUGUUAUGAUCAGCACUACUAGUUGGAAUAGCUUCUACCCACUUAGUAACGUAAUCAACAGCAACUAAAAUAUGUGUAUACCCAUUAGAGGAAGGAAAUGGUCCCAUGUAAUCAGAGCCCUAAACAUCAAAUGGUUCAAUUACAAGUGAAUAAUUCAUAGGCAUUUCUUGACGUCUACUAAUAUUAUCGAUUCUUUGACAUUCAUCACAAGACAAGACAAACUUACGGGCAUCUUUGAAGAGAGUAGGCCAAUAAAAACCGGAUUGCAAUACCUUGUGUGCAGUUCUAUCUCCAGCGUGGUGUCCUCCAUAAACCUCGGAGUGACACUUGUUUAGGAUUUGUUCCUGUUCAUGCUCAGGUACACAAUGUCUAAUGACACCAUCUACUCCUUCUUUAUAAAGAUGUGGGUCAUCCCAGAAUAAUGUCUUAAAUCAUGGAAAAACCUUUUCUUUUGCUGGUAUGCGAAACUAGGUGGUAUAAAUUUAGCAAAAAUGUAAUUAGCAUAAUUAGCAUACCAUGGAGCAGUACGAGAAGCGUUUAUGACAGCCAAUUGUUCAUCAGGACAGCUAUCAUCAAUAGGUAGUGAGUCAUCAAGAACAUUCUCUAACUUAGAUAAGUUGUCUGUAACGGGGUUCUCCGCUCCCUUUCUAUCAAUAAUAUGCAAAUCAAAUUCUUGUAAUAGGAGAACCUAUCUAAUAAGUCUAGGUUUAGCAUCUUUCUUUUCCAUAAGAUAUUUAAUAGCAGCAUGAUCAUUGUGAACAGUUACUUUAGAAUCACAAUAUAAGGUCUGAACUUAUCACAAGCAAAUACAACUGCUCAAAAUUCCUUUUCAGUAGUAGCAUAAUUUCUCUGGGCACUUUCCGUUGGAAAUAUGCCCUAGAGGCAAUAAUAAAAUGGUUAUUAUUAUAUUUCGUUGUUCAAGAUAAUUGUCUAUUGUUCAUGCUAUAACUGUAUUAACUGGAAACCGUAAUACAUGUGUGAAUACAUAGACCACAACAUGUCCCUAGUGAGCCUCUAGUUGACUAGCUCGUUGAUCAAUAGAUGGUCAUGGUUUCCUGACCAUGGACAUUAGAUGUCAUUGAUAGCGGGACCACAUCAUUAGGAGAAUGAUGUGAUGGACAAGACCCAAUCCUAAGCGUAGCACAAAGAUCGUGUAGUUCGUUUGCUAAAGCUUUUCUAAUGUCAAGUAUCAUUUACUUAGACCAUGAGAUUGAGCAACUCCCGGAUACCGUAGGAAUGCUUUGGGUGUACCAAACGUCACAACGUAACUGGGUGGCUAUAAAGGUACACUACAGGCAUCUCCGAAAGUGUCUAUUGGGUUGGCACAGAUCGAGACUGGGAUUUGUCACUCCGUAUGACGGAGAGGUAUCUCUGGGCCCACUCGGUAAUGCAUCAUCAUAAUGAGCUCAAUGUGGCUAAGUAGUUCGUCACGGGAUCAUGCAUUACGGAACGAGUAAAGUGACUUGCCGGUAACAAGAUUGAAUGAGGUAUUGGGAUACCGACGAUCGAAUCUCAGGCAAGUAACAUACCGAUUGACAAAGGGAAUUGUAUACGGGAUUGAUUGAAUCCCCGAAAUCGUGGUUCAUCCGAUGAGAUCAUCGUGGAACAUGUGGGAGCCAACAUGGGUAUCCAGAUCCCGUUGUUGGUUAUUGGCCGGAGAACGUCUUGGUCAUGUCUGCAUGGUUCCCGAACCCGUAGGGUCUACACACUUAAGGUUCAGUGACACUAGAGUUGUUAUUGGAAAUAGUAUGUGGUUACCGAAGGUUGCUCGGAGUCCCGGAUGAGAUCCCGGACGUGACGAGGAACUCCGGAAUUGUCCGGAGAUGAAGAUCGAUAUAUUGGACGAAGGGUAUUGGAGUCCGAAAUUGUUCUGGGAGUACCGGCUGACGACCAGCGUGACCGAAAGGUGUUUCGGAGGCCUCGGCAAGCGUUGGGGGGCUUAUGGGCCAAGGGGAGGGGGCACAUCAGCCCACUAAGGGGAUGUGCGCCCCUCCCACCCCAUCUCACGUAACGUGGAGAGGUGGGGGCGCCUCCCCUAGGGCAGCCACCCCUCCCGGCUUGGGGGGCAAGUUUCCUAGGGGUGGGGGCGCCCAAACCCAUCUAGGGUUUCCCCUGUGGCCGCCACCCCUCCCCUAGGGAACCCUAGGGCGCCUCCUCCAGCCUCCCUUACCCCUAUAUAUAGGGAGGGAGAGAGAGGGCAGCCGCACCCUUGCCCCUGGCACAGCCCCUCCCUCCUCCAACACUUCCUCCUCCUCCGUAGUGCUUAGCGAAGCUCUGCCAGAGAACCACGAGCUCCAUCACCACCACGCUGUCGUGCUGUCGGAGUUCUCCCUCAACUUCUCCUUUCCCCUUGCUGGAUCAAGAAGUAGGAGACGUCCCCGAGCUGUACGUGUGUUGAACGCGGAGGCGCCGUCCGUUCGGCGCUUAGAUCGAAAUCGACCACGAUCUGAAUCACUGCGUGUACGACUCCACCAACCGUGUUCUUGUAACGCUUCCGCAUCGCGAUCUUCCAGGGUAUGAAGAUCAACUCAUCCUCUCCCUCUCUUGUUGCUAGAAUCUCCAUAGAUUGAUCUUGGUGAUGCGUAGAAAAUUUUGAAUUAUUGCUACAUUCCCCAACAGUGACAUCAUGAGCUAGGUCUAUUGCAUAGAUUCUAUGCACGGGUAGAACACAAGUAGUUAUGGGCGUUGGUUUGUUCAAUAUUCUUACCAUUACUAGUCUUAUCUUGAUUUGGCGGCAUCGUGGGAUGAAGCGGCCCGGACUGACCUUACACGUACGCUUACGUGAGACAGGUUCCACCGACUGACAUGCACUUGUUGCAUAAGGUGGCUAGCGGGUGCCAGUCUCUCCCACUUUAGUCGUAUCGGAUUCGAUGAAAAGGGACCUUAUGAAGGGUAAAUAGCAAUUGGCAUAUCACCGUUGUGGCUUUUGCGUAGGUAAGAAACGUUCUUGCUAGAAACCCAUAGCAGCCACGUAAAACAUGCAACAACAAUAGAGGACGUCUAACUUGUUUUUGCAGGGUAUGCUAUGUGAUGUGAUAUGGCCAAAAGAAUGUGAUGAAUGAUAUGUGAUGUAUGAGAUUGAUCAUGUUCUUGUAAUAGGAAUCACGACUUGCAUGUCGAUGAGUAUGACAACCAUCAGGAGCCAUAGGAGUUGUCUUAAUUUAUUGUAUGACCUGUGUGUCAAUCAGAACGCCAUGUAAUUACUUUACUUUAUUGCUAACCAUUAGCCAUAGUAGUAGAAGUAAUAGUUGGCGAGACAACUUCAUGAAGACACGAUGAUGGAGAUCAUGAUGAUGGAGAUCAUGGUGUCAUGCCGGUGACGAAGGUGAUCAUGCCGCGCCUCGAAGAUGGAGAUCAAAGGCGCAAGAUCAUGUCACUCUAUGAUUUGCAUGUGAUGUUUGUCAUGUUUACAUCUUAUUUGCUUAGAAUGACGGUAGCAUAAAUAAGAUGAUCCCUCGCUAAAAUUUCAAGAAAGUGUCCCCCCUAACUGUGCACCGUUGCGAAGGUUCGUUGUUUCGAAGCACCACGUGAUGAUCGGGUGUGAUAGAUUCUAACGUUCGAAUACAAUGGGUGUAAGCCAGAUUUACACAAGCAAAACACUUAGGUUGACUUGACGAGCCUAGCAUGUACAUACAUGGCCUCGAAACACAAGAGACCGAAAGGUCGAACAUGAGUCGUAUAGUGGAUACGAUCAACAUGAAGAUGUUCACUAAUGAUGACUAGUCCGUCUCACGUGAUGAUCGGACACGGCCUAGUUGACUCAGAUCAUGUAUCACUUAGAUGACUAGAGGGAUGUCUAUCUGAGUGGGAGUUCAUUAAAUAAUUUGAUUAGAUGAACUUAAUUAUCAUGAACAUAGUCAAAAGAUCUUUUCAAAUUAUGUCAUAGCUUACGCUUUAGUUCUACUAUUUAAGAUACGUUCCUAGAGAAAAUUUAGUUGAAAGUUGACAGUAGCAAUUAUGCAGACUGGGUCCGUAUUCUGAGGAUUGUCCUCAUUGCUGCACAGAAGGCUUAUGUCCUUAAUGCACCGUUCGGUGUGCUGAACCUGGAGCGUCGUUUGUGGAUGUUGCGAACAUCUGACCUACACAUUUUGAUGACUACGUGAUAGUUUAGUGCGUAAUGUUAAACGGUUUAGAAUUGAGGCGCCAAAGAUGUUUUUGAAACGUCGCAGAACAUAUGAGAUGUUCCAAAGACAAUUGGGAUUUCAGACUAGUGCCCACGUCAAGAGGUAUGAGACCUUUGACAAGUUUCUUAAGCCUGCAAACUAAGGGAGAAAAUCUCAAUCGUUGAGCAUGUGCUCAGAUUGUCUGGGUACUACAAUCGCUUGAAUCGAGUGGGAGUUAAUCUUCCAGAUGAGACAUUGAUAGUUCUCCAUAGUCACUGCCACCAAGCUAUUAGAGCUUCGUGAUGAACUAUAACAUAUUAGGGAUAGACAUGAUGAUCCUUGAGCUAUUCGUGAUGUUUGACACCGUGAAAGUAGAAAUCAAGUAGGAGCAUCAAUUGUUGAUGGUUAGUAAAACCACUAGUUUCAAGAAGGGCAAGGGCUAGAAGGGAUACUUCAUGAACGGCAAAUCAGUUGCUGCUCUAGUGAAGAAACCCAAGGUUGAACCCAAAUCCGAGACUAAGUGCUUCUGUAAUGAGGGGAACGGUCACUGAAGCAAAACUACCCUUGGUAAAUGAGAAGGCUGUCAAGGUCGACAGAAGUAUAUUGGAUAUACAUUAUGAUGUGUACUUUACUAGUACUCCUAGUAGCACCAGGGUAUUAGAUAACGGUUCGGUUUCUAAGUGUUAGUAACUCGAAAUAAAAGGCUACGGAAUAAGCGGAGACUAGCUAAAGGUGAGGUGACGAUAUGUAUUGGAAGUAUUUCCAUGGUUGAUGUUAUCAAACAUCGCACGCUCCCUCUACCAUCGAGAUUGGUGUUAAACCUAAAUAAUUGUUAUUUGGUGAUUGCGUUGAGCAUAGACAUGAUUGGAUUAUGUUUAUCGCAAUACGGUUAUUCAUUUAAGGAGAAUAAUGGUUACUCUGUUUAUUUGAAUAAUACCUUCAAUGGUCGUGCACCUAAAAUGAAUGGUUUAUUGAAUCUCGAUCAUAGCGAUACACAUGUUCAUGCCAAAAGAUAUAAGAGAGUAAUGAUAGUACCACCUACUUGUGGCACUGCCAUUUGAGUCAUAUUGGUAUAAAACGCAUGAAGAAGCUCCAUGUUGAUGGAUCUUUGGACUCACUCGUUUUUGAAAAGUUUGAGACAUGCGAACCAUGUCUAUUGGUGUAUACGCAUGAAGAAACUCCAUGCAGAUGGAUCGUUUGGACUCACUUGAUUUUGAAUCACUUGAGACAUACAAAUUGUACCACAUGGGCAAUAUGACUGAAAGGCCUCGUUUUCAGUGAGAUGGAACAAGAAAGCAACUUGUUGGAAGUAAUACAUUUUGAUGUGUGCAGUCCAAUGAGUGCUGAGGCACGCAGUGGAUAUCGUUAUGUUCUUGCUUCACAGAUGAUUUGAGUAGAUGCUAAGUAUAUUUACUUGAUGAAACACAAGUCUGAAUUAUUGAAAGGUUCGAGUAAUUUUAGAGUGAAGUUGAAGAUCACCGUGACAAGAGGAUAAGAUGUCUAUGAUAUGAUCAUAGAGAAGAAUAUCUGAGUUACGAGUUUGGCACACAAUUAAGACAUUGUGGAAAUUGUUUCACAACUAAUACCGCCUGGAACACCAUAGAGUGAUGGUGUGUCCGAACGUCAUAACUGCACCCUAUUGGAUAUGGUGCAUACCAUGAUGUCUCUUAUCGAAUUACCACUAUCGUUUAUGGGUUAGGCAUUAGAGACAACCGCAUUCACUUUAAAUAGGGCACCACACAAUUCCGUUGAGACGACAUCGUAUGAACAAUGGUUUAGAGAAACCUAAGCUAUCGUUUCUUAAAAGUUUGGGGAUGCGACACUUAUGUGAAAAAAGUUUCAGGCUGAUAAGCUCGAACCCAAAACGGAUAAAUGCAUCUACAUAGGACACCCAAAACAGUUGGGUAUACCUCCUGUCUCACAUCCGGAAGAAAAAGGGAUUAUUUCUAGAAUCAGGUCCUUUCUUGAGGAAAAGUUUCUCUCGAAAGAAUUGAGUGGGAGGAUGGUGGGGACUUGAUGAGGUUACUGAACCGUCACUUCAACUAGUGUGUAGCAGGACAUAGGAAGUUGUUCCUGUGGCGCCUACACCAAUUGAAGUGGAAGCUGAUGAUAUUGAUCAUGAAACUUCAGAUCAACAAACCUCGUAGGUCGACAAGGAUGCGUACUAUUUCAGAGUGGUACGUAGUCCUAUCUUGUAGGUCAUGUUGCUACACAACAAUGAACCUACGAGCUAUGGAGAAGCGAUGGUGGGCCCGGAUUCCGACAAAUGGCUCGAGGCCAUAAAAUCCGAGAGAGGAUCCAUGUAUAAAACAAAGUGUAGACUUUGGAAGAACUACUCGAUGGUCGUAAGGCUAUUGAGUACAGAUGGAUUUUAAAAGGAAGACGGACAAUGAUGGUAAGUGUCACCAUUAAGAAAGCUCGACUUGUCGCUAAGAUGUUUUCCGACAAGUUCAAGGAGUUGACUACGAUGAGACUUUCUCACUCGUAGCGAUGCUAAGAGUCUGUUGGAAUUAUAUUAGCAGUUACUGCAUUAUUUAUGAAAUCUUGCAAACAGGAUGUCAAAACAUUGUUUCUUCGACAAUUUUCUUGAGGAAAGGUUGUAUGUGAUACAACCAGAAGGUUUUGUCAAUCCUGAAAGAUGCUAACAAGUAUGCAAAGCUCCAGUAAUCCUUCUAAGGACUGGAGUAAGCAUCUCGAAGAUGGAAUAUACGCUUUGAUGAGAUGAUCAAAGAUUUUGGGUUUAUACGAAGUUUAUGAGAAACUUAUAUUUCCAAAGAAGUGAGUGGGAGCACUAUAAAAUUUCUGAUGAGUAUAUGUUGUUGACAUAUUGUUGAUCGGAAAUGAUGUAGAAUUUCUGGAAAGCAUAUAGGGUUGUUUGAAUGGUGUUUUUCAAUGGAAAACCUGGAUUAAGCUACUUGAACAUUGAGCAUCAAGAUCUAUAAGGAUAGAUCAAAAACGCUUUAUAGUACUUCAAAUGAAUACAUACCGUGACAAGAUUUUGAAGGAGUUCAAAUAGAUCAGCAAAGAAGGAGUUCUUGGCUAUUUUAUAAGGUGUGAGCAUUGAGUAAGACUCAAGAUCUGACCACGGCAGAAGAGAGAGAAAGGACGAAGGUCGUCCCUAUGCUUUAAACAUAGGCUCCAUAGAAUGCCAUGCUGUGUACCGCACAUGAAGUGUGCCUUGCCAUGAGUCAGUCAAGGGGUACAAUUGUGAUCCAGGAAUGGAUCACAAGACAACGGUCAAGGUUAUCCUUAGUAACUAGUCGACUAAGGAAUUUUCUUAGUUAUGGAGGUGGUAAAAGAGUUUGUCGUAAAGGAUUACACCGAUGCAAACUUUGACACUAAUCUGGACGACUCUGAGUAGUAGACCGGAUUCGUAUAGUAGAGCUGUUAUUUGGAAUAGUUCCAAAUGGCGUGUGGUAGCUGCAUAUAGGAGAUGACAUAGAGAUUUGUAAAGAACACACGGAUCUGAAAGAUUCAGACCCGUUGACUAAUAACCUCUCUCACAAGCGAGUUAUGAUCAAACCCAAUGGGUGUUGGAUUCAUUACAAUCACAUAGUGAUGUGAACUAGAUUAUUCACUCUAGUGCAAGUGGGAGAUUGUUGGAAAUAUGCCCUAGAGGCAAUAAUAAAAUGGUUAUUAUUAUAUUUCCUUGUUCAUGAUAAUUGUCUAUUGUUCAUGCUAUAACUGUAUUAACUGGAAACCGUAAUACGUGUGUGAAUACAUAGACCACAACAUGUCCCUAGUGAGCCUCUAGUUGACUAGCUCGUUGAUCAAUAGAUGGUCAUGGUUUCCUGACCAUGGACAUUAGAUGUCAUUGAUAGCGGGAUCACAUCAUUAGGAGAAUGAUGUGAUGGACAAGACCCAAUCCUAAGCGUAGCACAAAGAUCAUGUAGUUCGUUUGCUAAAGCUUUUCUAAUGUCAAGUAUCAUUUACUUAGACCAUGAGAUUGAGCAACUCCCGGAUACCGUAGGAAUGCUUUGGGUGUACCAAACGUCACAACGUAACUGGGUGGCUAUAAAGGUACACUACAGGCAUCUCCGAAAGUGAUUGUUGGGUUGGCACGGAUCGAGACUGGGAUUUGUCACUCCGUAUGAUGGAGAGGUAUCUCUGGGCCCACUCGGUAAUGCAUCAUCAUAAUGAGCUCAAUGUGGCUAAGUAGUUAGUCACGGGAUCAUGCAUUAUGGAACGAGUAAAGUGACUUGACGGUAACAAGAUUGAACGAGGUAUUGGGAUACCGAUGAUCGAAUCUCGGGCAAGUAACAUACCGAUUGACAAAGGGAAUUGUAUACGGUAUUGAUUGAAUCCCCGACAUCCUGGUUCAUCUAAUGAGAUCAUCGUGGAACAUGUGGGAGCCAACAUGGGUAUCCAGAUCCCGCUAUUGGUUAUUGGCCGGAGAACGUCUUGGUCAUGUCUGCAUGGUUCCCGAACCCAUAGGGUCUACACACUUAAGGUUUGGUGACGCUAGAGUUGUUAUGGGAAAUAGUAUGUGGUUACCGAAGGUUGUUCAGAGUCCCGGAUGAGAUCCCGAACGUGAUGAGGAACUCCGGAAUGGUCGAGAGGUGAAGAUCGAUAUAUUGGACGAAGGGUAUUGGAGUCCGAAAUUAUUCUGGGAGUACCGGGUGACGACCAGCGUGACCGAAAGGUGUUUCGAAGGCCCCGGCAAGCAUUGGGGGGCUUAUGGGCCAAGGGGAGGGGGCACAUCAGCCCACUAAGGGGCUAUGCGCCCCUCCCACCCCAUCGCAUGUAACGUGGAGAGGUGGGGGCGCCUCCCCUAGGGCAGCCACCCCUCCCGGCUUGGGGGGGGGGCAAGUUUCCUAGGGGUGGGGGCGCCCAAACCCAUCUAGGGUUUCCCCUGUGGCCGACACGCCUCCCCUAGGGAACCCUAGGGUGCCUCCUCCAGCCUCCCUUACCCCUAUAUAUAGUGAGGGAGAGAGAGGGCAGCCACACCCUUGCCCCUAGCACAGCCCCUCCCUCCUCCAACACUUCAUCCUCCUCCAUAGUGCUUAGCGAAGCUCUGCCGGAGAACCACGAGCUCCAUCACCACCACGCCGUCGUGCUGUCGGAGUUCUCCCUCAACUUCUCCUUUCCCCUUGCUGGAUCAAGAAGGAGGAGACGUCCCCGGGCUGUACGUGUGUUGAACGCGGAGGCACCGUCCGUUCGACGCUUAGAUCGGAAUCGACCGUGAUCUGAAUCGCUGCGUGUACGACUGCACCAACCGCGUUCUUGUAACGCUUCCGCAUCGCGAUCUUCAAGGGUAUGAAGAUCAACUCAUCCUCUCCCUCUCUUGUUGCUAGAAUCUCCAUAGAUUGAUCUUGGUGAUGCAUAGAAAAUUUUGAAUUAUUGCUACGUUCCCCAACAGUGGCAUCAUGAGCUAGGUCUAUUGCGUAGAUUCUAUGCACGAGUAGAACACAAGUAGUUGUGGGCGUUGGUUUGUUCAAUAUGCUUACUGUUACUAGUCUUAUCUUGAUUUGGCGGCAUCGUGGGAUGAAGCGGCCCGGACCGACCUUACACAUACGCUUACGUGAGACAAGUUCCACCGACUGACAUGCACUUAUUGCAUAAGGUGGCUAGCGGGUGCCAGUCUCUCCCACUUUAGUCGGAUCGGAUUCGAUGAAAAGGGUUCUUGUGAAGGGUAAAUAGCAAUUGGCAUAUCACCGUUGUGGCUUUUGCGUAGGUAAGAAACGUUCUUGCUAGAAACCCAUAGCAUCCACGUAAAACAUGCAACAACAAUUAGAGGACGUCUAACUUGUUUUUGUAGGGUAUGCUAUGUGAUGUGAUAUGGCCAAAAGAAUGUGAUGAAUGAUAUGUGAUGUAUGAGAUUGAUCAUGUUCUUGUAAUAGGAAUCACGACUUGCAUGUCGAUGAGUAUGACAACCGGCAGGAGCCAUAGGAGUUGUCUUAAUUUAUUGUAUGACCUGCGUGUCAAUCAGAACGCCAUGUAAUUACUUUACUUUAUUGCUAACCGUUAGCCAUAGUAGUAGAAGUAAUAGUUGGCGAGACAACUUCAUGAAGACACGAUGAUGGAGAUCAUGAUGAUGGAGAUCAUGGUGUCAUGCCGGUGACGAAGGUGACCAUGCCGCGCCUCGAAGAUGGAGAUCAAAGGCGCAAGAUGAUAUUGGCCAUAUCAUGUCACUCUAUGAUUUGCAUGUGAUGUUUGUCAUGUUUACAUCUUAUUUGCUUAGAACGACGGUAGCAUAAAUAAGAUGAUCCCUCGCUAAAAUUUCAAGAAAGUGUUCCCCCUAACUGUGCACCGUUGAGAAGGUUCGUUGUUUCGAAGCACCACGUGAUGAUCGGGUGUGAUGGAUUCUAAUGUUCGAAUACAACGGGUGUAAGCCAGAUUUACACAAGCAAAACACUUAGGUUGACUUGACGAGCCUAGCAUGUACAGACAUGGCCUCGGAACACAAGAGACCGAAAGGUCGAACAUGAGUCGUAUAGUGGAUACGAUCAACAUGAAGAUGUUCACCAAUGAUGACUAGUCCGUCUCACGUGAUGAUCGGACACGGCCUAGUUGACUCGGUUCAUGUAUCACUUAGAUGACUAGAGGGAUGUCUAUCUGAGUGGGAGUUCAUUAAAUAAUUUGGUUAGAUGAACUUAAUUAUCAUGAACAUAGUCAAAAGAUCUUUGCAAAUUAUGUCAUAGCUUACGCUUUAGUUUUGAGAAGUCUUUAAUGAACCUCCUAUAAAAACCGGCAAGACCAAGGAAACUUCUUAUACCUUUAAUGUCCUUGGGACACAACAUCUUUUCAAUAGCAUCAUCUUUAGCUUUAUCAACUUCAAUACCUCUUUCAGAAAUUUUAUGCCCCAAGACAAUACCUUCAUUAACCAUAAAGUGGCACUUCUCCCAAUUCAAGACAAGAUUAGUUUCUUCACAUCUCUGCAAAACUCGAUCAAGGUUGCUCAAGCAAUCAUCAAAAGAAGUUCCAUAUACGAAAAAAUCAUCCAUGAAAACCUCAACAAUCUUUUUCACAAAAAUCAAGGAAUAUAGCCAUCAUGCAUCUUUGAAAGGUAGCAGGUGCAUUGCAUAAACCAAAAGGCAUAAAUCUAUAAGCAAAUGUACCGAAAGGGCAAGUAAAAGUGGUCUUUUCUUGAUCCUCUUUUGACACAUGUAUUUGAGAGAAACCAGAAUAACCAUCUAGAAAGAAAAAAUGCGUAUGUUUAAUCUUUCUAGCGUUUGAUCAAUAAAAGGUAAAGGGUAAUGAUCCUUUUUAGUGGCUUUAUUUAAUUUGCGGAAAUCAAUUACCAUCCUAUAACCUGUAACAAUUCUUUGUGGGAUCAAUUCAUCUUUAUCAUUAGGAAUGACAGUAAUACCUCCCUUCUUAGGGACACAAUGGACAGGGCUUACCCACUGACUAUCAGCAACAGGAUAAAUUAUACCUGCCUCCAGGAGCUUUAGUAUUUCAUUUCUUACCACUUCUUUCAUCUUAGGGUUUAACCAUCGUUGGUGAUCAACAACCGGUUUAGCGUCUUUUUCCAAUUUUAUUUUGUGUUGGCAUAGAGUAGGACUAAUGCCCUUAAGAUCAUCAAGAGUAUAUCCAAUAGCAGCACAGUGCUUCUUUAGAGUUUUCAAUAAUUUCUUUUCUUCAUGCUAUGAAAGGUUAGCACUAAUAAUAACAGGAUAUAUCUUAUUUUCAUCAAGAUAAGCAUAUUUAAGAGUAUCUGGUAAUGGUUUAAGCUCAAACACGGGAUCACCCUUGGGUGGAGGAGGAUACCCUAGGAUUUCAACAAGCAAGUUGUGUUUCAAAAUAGGUCCUUGUUUAAAGAAUACUUCAUCUAUUUCCCUUCUUUCAUUCAUAAACAUAUCAUUUUCAUGGUCUAGCAAAUAUUGUUCUAAAGGAUCAUUAGGAGGUACGACAAUAGAAGCAAGAACAAUAAUUUCAUCUUUACUAGGCAAUUAUUUAUCAUGGGGUUGCCUACUAAAUUUAGCAAAAUUAAACUCAUGAGACAUAUCUCCUAACCCCAUAGUAACAAUAUCCUUUUCACAAUUUAUCCUAGCAUUGACAGUAUUCAAGAAGGGUCUACCAAAUAUGAUGGGACAAAAGUUAUCUUGUGGGGAAGCAAGAACAAGAAAAUCAGUAGGUAUUUAAUUUUCCCACACAAGACUUCUACAUCUCUAACAAUCCCAACCGGUGAGAUAGUAUCUCUAUUGGCAAGCUUAAUAGUAACAUCAAUAUCUUCUAUCUCAGCAGGUGCAAUAUCAUGCAUAAUUUCUUUAUAUAAGGUGUAAGGUAUCGCACUAACACUAGCCCCCAUAUCACAUAAGCCAUGAUAACAGUGAUCUCCUAUUUUAACAGAAACAACAGGCAUGCCAACAAUAGGUCUAUGUUUAUCUUUAGCAUCGGGUUUAGCAAUUCUAGCAGCUUCAUCACAGAAGUAUAUAACAUGCCCAUCAAUAUUAUCGGCCAAGAGAUCUUUAACCAUAGCAAUACUAGGUUCAACUUUAAUUUGCUUAGGGGGUUUGGGUGUCCUAAUAUUACUUUUGUUGACCACAGUUGAAGCUUUAGCAUGAUCCUUUAUUCUAACAGGAAAAGGUGGUCUCUCAACAUAAGAAGUAGGAACAAUAGGAUCAUUAUAAGUGAUAGUCUUCUCUUCAACUUUAAUAGGUGCAACUACUUUUACUUCAAUGGGGGGAUUAUAUUUAAACCACUUCUCCUUAGGGAGAUCAACAUGAGUAGCAAAGGAUUCAUAGAAAGAAGCUACUAUCUCAGAGUCAAGUCCAUAUUUAGUGCUAAAUUCACGGAAAACAUCGGUAUCCAUAAAAGAUUUAACACAAUCAAACUUAGGCGUUAUACCUGACUCUUUACCUUUGUCGAGAUCCAAAUCUUCAGAGUUGCGUUUAAUUCUUUCCAAUAAAUCCCAUUUGAAUUCAAUAGUCUUCAUCAUAAAAGAACCAGUACAAGAAGUAUCGAGCAUGGAGUGAUUAUUGAGAGAAAGCCGAGCAUAAAUUUUUUGGAUAAUAAUUUCUCUUGAGAGCUCAUGAUUGGGGCAUGAAUAUAACAUUGACUUGAGCCUCACCCAAGCUUGAGUUAUGCUUUCUCCUUCGCGAGGCCAAAAAUUAUAUAUAUAAUUACGAUCACGAUGAACAAGGUGCAUAGGAUAAAACUUCUGAUGAAAUUCCAAUUUCAAUCGAUUGUAGUUCCAUGAUCCCAUAUCAUCACAUAGCCUAAACCAUGUCAAUGCCUUUCCCUUCAAAGAUAAAGGGAAGACCUUCUUAUUGAUAACAUCCUCGGGCAUACCUGCAAGCUUAAAUAAUCCACAAACUUCAUCCACAUAGAUUAGGUGUAAAUCAGGAUGCAAUGUUCCAUCUCCUGUAAAAAGGAUUAGCUAGCAGUUUCUCUAUCAUACCCAAAGGAAUUUCAAAGUAAAAAAUUUCAGUAGGUUCAGUAGGUUGAGGAGCAACUCUUUGCUCUACUGUUCGGGGUGAAGAUACACCGAACAAGCCCCUCAAAGGAUUACUUUCCACAGUAACAAGUGACAGUAGAUUUCAGCACACUAUAUAAAUUUUUCCUUACCAAAUUCCACUUACCAAAGGCGCUUCACUCCCCAGAAAUGGAGCCAAAAAAGAUUCUUGAUGACCCACAAGUGUAGGGGAUCUAUCGUAGUCCUUUCGAUAAGUAAGAGUGUCGAGCCCAACGAGGAGCAGAAGGAAAUGACAAGCGGUUUUCAGUAAGGUAUUCUCUGCAAGCACUGAAAUUAUCAGUAACAGAUAGUUUUGUGAUAAGGUAAUUUGUAACGGGUAACAAGUAACAAGUGUAAAUAAAGUGCAGCAAGGUGACCCAAUCCUUUUUGUAUCAAAGGAUAAGCCUGGAAAAACUCUUAUAUGGAGGAAAGAGCUCCCGAGGACACAUGUGAAUUAUUGUCAAUCUAGUUUUCAUCACGCUCAUAUGAUUCACGUUCGGUACUUUGAUAAUUUGAUAUGUGGGUGGACCGGUGCUUGGGUGCUGUCCUUCCUUGGACAAGCAUCCCACUUAUGAUUAACCCCUAUUGCAAGCAUCCGCGACUACAAAAGAAGUAUUAAGACAAACCUAACCAUAGCAUGAAACAUAUGGAUCCAAAUCCUCUUACAAAGCAACGCAUAAACUAGGGUUUAAGCUUCUGUCACCCUAGUAACCCAUCAUCUACUUAUUACUUCCCAAUGCCUUCCUCUAGGCCCAACCAAUGGUGAAGUGUCAUGUAGUCGACGUCCACAUAACACCACUAGAGGAAAGACAACAUACAUCUCAUCAAAAUAUCGAACGAAUACCAAAUUCACAUGACUACUUAUAGCAAGACUUCUCCCAUGUCCUCAGGAACAAACGUAACUAAUCACAAAUCAUAUUCAUGUUCAUAAUUAGAGGAGCAUUAAUAUGCAUAAAGGAUCUGAACAUAUAAUCUUCCACCGAAUAAACCAAUAGCAUCAACUACAAAGAGUAAUCAACACUACUAGCAACCUACAGGUACCAAUCUGAGGUUUUGAGACAAAGAUUGGAUACAAGAGAUGAACUAGGGUUUGAGAGGAGAUGGUGCUGGUGAUGAUGUUGAUGGAGAUUAACCCCCUCCCAAUGAGUGGAUCGAUCGUGAUAAAGAUGGUGAUGAUUUCCCCCUUCCGGAGGGAUGUUUCCCCGGCAGAACAGCUCCGCUGGAGCCCUAGAUUGGUUCCGCCAAGGUUCCGCCUCGUGGCGGCUGUGUUUCGUCCCGAAAGCUUGCUUGCUAUUUUUUCCAGGGUAAAAGACUUCAUAUAGCAGAAGAUGGNNNNNNNNNNNNNNNNNNNNNNNNNNNNNNNNNNNNNNNNNNNNNNNNNNNNNNNNNNNNNNNNNNNNNNNNNNNNNNNNNNNNNNNNNNNNNNNNNNNNNNNNNNNNNNNNNNNNNNNNNNNNNNNNNNNNNNNNNNNNNNNNNNNNNNNNNNNNNNNNNNNNNNNNNNNNNNNNNNNNNNNNNNNNNNNNNNNNNNNNNNNNNNNNNNNNNNNNNNNNNNNNNNNNNNNNNNNNNNNNNNNNNNNNNNNNNNNNNNNNNNNNNNNNNNNNNNNNNNNNNNNNNNNNNNNNNNNNNNNNNNNNNNNNNNNNNNNNNNNNNNNNNNNNNNNNNNNNNNNNNNNNNNNNNNNNNNNNNNNNNNNNNNNNNNNNNNNNNNNNNNNNNNNNNNNNNNNNNNNNNNNNNNNNGUAUUUUUUAUUAAUUUCAAAAAUAACUUCCGUGGAGUUUUAGGACUUUUGGAGUUGUGCAAAAUAGGUCUCUAGUAUUUGCUCCUUUUCCAGCCCAGAAUUCCAGCUGCCAACAUUCUCCCUCUUCAUAUAAACCUUGUAAAAUAAGAGAGAAUAGGCAUACAUAUUGUUACAUAAUGUGCAAUAACAUCCCAUAAUGCAAUAAAUAUAGAUAUAAAAGCAUGAUGAAAAAUGGAUGUAUCAGUGCUACUAGCUUUAUAUAUAGUGCCCUCUAUCUUCUAGUUUUACAAUCUCAACACAAAGCCAAGGGCGACCACUUGUGUUGGAUGACCAUGGCAAAGUAUGCACAUAUGCCUUUCAUCCUUAUGGUCCUUGUUCUACGCACCAGCUUCCAAGCCCAAGGUAUGAAACACACCUCUGGACUCUGGUCACUAAAUUUAGGUAUACCUACACAAAAUUGUUAUAGGAAGUUCACUAACACGAUGCUGAAACAAAUAUAACAAUCAUCCAUUGCAUGAUGAUAUAUUUUGUGAAUAUGCUCUCACAUGAAACAUAAUAAAAAUUUAUUGUCUAUCUUUUUUAUGGAUGAUCUCAUAGAACUGUUGCUAAAGUUUUUCCCUAAUCAUAAAUAAAUACUUGAUAUGUAGGACAACUAGGACCGACGGAGACACACAACAUCACCGAGUACAUUCCAUUGGAGUUCACAAAGACUUUUUUCCAACCCCACGGAAUACAUCCCUCUGAUACAUCGAUUGCAUUUAAAAGGUGUAGGCUGUGCCCCUGCUGCCCAAAGGAUCCCAAGAAACCAUGU